RNAcentral lists this long non-coding RNA (603106 nucleotides) under Malus domestica (apple). Lineage: Eukaryota; Viridiplantae; Streptophyta; Magnoliopsida; Rosales; Rosaceae. The record is from RNAcentral.
CGAAUCCUCCAUUUCGAUAUCGAACCUGAUAGUGUUUUGCUCGACCAAAACUUCACGCUAAAAAUCUCUGAUUUUGGUCUGUCCAAGUUAUGUUCCAAGGAUCAAAUCAAUGCCAAUGACUACAACGAGGGGGACCAUGGGAUACGUUGCACCUGUAGUGUUUUCCAGAAAAUGUGUCUUACAAGGCAGAUGUCUAUAAUUUUGGAAUGCUGCUGCUUGAGAUGGUAGGAGGAAAGAAGAAUAUUGGUUCAACAAUAGAGGACACGACAAAUGAAAUUUACUAUCCAAAAUGGAUUUAUAAUCUUCUAGAGGAAGGAGAUGACCAACGAAUCCAUAUUGAGGAAGAAGGGGAUGGUAAGAUUCCAAAGCAACUUGCAAUUUUAGGGCUCUGGUGCAUCCAGUGACACCCGGUGGAUCGUCCUUCCAUGAAAAUGGUGGUUCAGAUGUUAGGAGGAGAAAACUUGACGAUGCAAGCAUCCGUAAAAGGCUCCAAUAGUUAAAAGCAAUUGCUGAAUUAGAGUAACAUGUAUAUAUGUUUACGCACCAAUACAAGUGGUUCUUAGAUGAAUCCAAGCCCAAACAAUUACAGAUGACAAUUCUUCACUAAAUCAUUUUAAAGCAAUAAUUUAACUAAUAAUACAUUAUUGCACUUACUCAACAAUUUGAUCAUCACCUAGCUGACAAUGAACAUGUUAGCUCCACAUUAGAACAUAUUGGGUUCGAUUUAUUGACUUGAAUAUUGCCCACAGUCACAGGCGUCUCUUGUGGGCAUAGAGAAGGCCUGAGAGGCAUUUGCAGACAUUCAACAUCUCCUCCAAGCAUUUUGACAACUUUGGACAUCGAAGGGCGAUCACUUGGUUUCAUUUGAAUACACCACAAGGCGGUUAUAACCAUCUUUCUUAUUACUUUCUUUUCCUCCUCUGUAACAUUGUCCAUUUCUAAGUCAUUUCCCACUAUAUACUGAUCGUACACCCACACUGGGAAGUAGUUUUGGCUUGAAUGCUCUACCCUUGCAUUCCAAUUCUUCCUUCUGCUUGCCAUUUCCAUCAACAACAUUCCAAAACUAUAGACAUCUGCCUUGUAUGAGACGCCUCCAAUAUUUUUGUAGAACAACUCAGGAGCAAUAUACCCCAACGUACCUCGUGCUGCCGUCAAAGGGACAAUGCUAUUAUCUAUGGGAUACAAUUUUGCAAGCCCAAAGUCAGAAACCUUUGCUUUAAAGUUCUGAUCAAGAAGAAUGUUAUGAGGCUUGAUGUCGAAAUGUAGAAUUUGCAUUUCACAACCUUGAUGUAGAUAUUCAAUCCCUUGAGCCACUCCAAGAGAAAUCUCGUACAUGUUCUUGAUAGUCAAGGGAAGACUUCCUUCUUUGGAAUAAAUGUAUUUAUCAAGAGAGCCAUUAGGCAUGAAGUCAUAUACUAGAGCGCGCUUUGAUCCCUCGACACAAUAUCCAACAAGUUGCACCACAUUAGCAUGGUGAAUCCUUCCGAUCGUAGCUAUUUCGCUAAUAAAAUCUUGACCAUUAGCUUUGGGCUUGCCCAAGACUUUAACUGCUACAAAACGGCCACUGCGGAGCUUUCCUUUAAAUACAGUGCCAAAGCCACCUUCACCCAACUUGUGCUUGAACCUGCGAGUCAUUUUCUUGAUGUCCGAGUAAGAGUACCUUAUAGGCAUGAAGUUGUUAUCGCAUUGUAGAAAAUCUUCUAUUGUGCUAUACAUAGACAAAUGCCUUCUGCGCCAUCUAUAGAUUAAAAAUGCAGUCACAACUGGAACUCCAAAAAUUAUUUUGGCUAGGAAAAGUAACCCUGCAUGCAUUGACAUUAAUAUGUUAGAUCCACUGCUUACUACUUUUGUUCCCUUUCUUUCCAAAUUACUUGUUUGAUGUAAUUAAAGAGAGGGAAUGGGAAAUCUAUAUAUGCUAAUAAUACAAUCUCGUCUUAGUUCUUACCGAUGCAUAUGACUAUAACCCAUCCACGUACUGCAACAAAAUCAAUCGACUAUGAGUUUGAAAAGUGCAUAAAGUGAAAAAAAGAUCAAAGCGUGCCUUUAUUGACACCCAAAUUUUAGUAUAAGUUUCACUCAACUAAAAAAUUGUCAUUAUGCUUCAUAAUAUGCCGUCGGUUUUGAGUUCACCCAACCCACCAAGCAGCAAGUACCACUCACCAAAAGAAAGAGAAAAAACACACACACACCACCGCCUACAUUACCACACCAGCCUCCUCCAUCUCCUACGUUGGUCCUUAAUGGAAAUAACAUCUUGCAGGAAGUCUGCCAGUCAUUUCAUUUCCUUCCCCUUCUGGACACUUGAAAUCGACACUCUCGAACAAUUUGAUUUUGGGUGAACAUAAGAAUGAGGGCAGACUUUGAAGUUUAUAAGUGACAAAAUGUUUUAGUUAGGUGAACUUAACUAAAAUUUGGGUGCCAAUAAAGACACCCAAAACCAAAAUACUUGAGCGUAUGGACUAAUUAACUGAAGCUCUUACCGAUGUAGUUGUUGUGUAACAAUGAACUCAACUUGCCAGCUGCAAUAGAUACAUAUUAUAGAAAAGUGAGCAAAGUCAUACACUUACUAGGUUUAAUAAGUACAGAUAGAGGCCAAAGAAAUAAAAUAAGCUUUUGGGAGAAACUUCUUACGCAACCAGAUCCUUUCAUGACCUGCAGUGAAAAAUGUGAAGAAGAAUACACAAAAUUAGCAAUAGCUCACCCAGUCUUCAGAAUUUAAAAAAUCAAGGCUGUCGAUUGAAAACUUGUGAACAUUGCAUAAAUAAAACUAAAAGAAGACCGCUUACUGAUUUGCUGCCACAGAAAUUGAAAGAAACCUACAGGAACAAAGAAAGAACAAGACCACAUUAGCAUAACAAGUGUGAGGUACAUAAGUCCAUAUCAAGAAUUUAAGCUCAAUCACACAAUGGGUCCUCAAUAAUCUGACAUCGAACUCGCUAUUUAUAUGAGUCAAACAUGAGACCUCCUACCUACAAAUUGAUUGGAAUACCACUAGCGACAUAUGUUGAUACCUUUAAUCUCAUCUUCCAUAUAAUGGAUUGCAAGUUAGAAUAUAUCUGAACCGGUUAUUUAGUCAGUGUGUGAGUCCGAACAAUUAACCAGGGCUUUAUUCUUGCUUGAAUGUAUGUUAUAUGUUCAUAGUUUGACAAGGCAAUUAUUUUUCAGACUACAUACACAAGUUUAUUACUUUAGUCGAGAGUUGACCCACCUGAAAUGGUCUGCGGAAAACAUGUAGACACAUAAUUCCCGGUCCAAUAUUUGCCUUGGCAGCGUAUUGCAUAAGGCCUCUCAAAUCCAAGCUCGAAGCCAUACAUGCGCAUCGUGUAUGUCUUUAUAAGAGACGUUGCUGUAAUCAACGUAGUCGACGGGAGCCAAAGUCAUCCACUCUGCACUGCAACCCGCAUCCAAAUCCCAUACUUCUAUUUCCCCGACCUUGACAUAGCUAUACGUUUUUGGUUGGCUCGAAGAACUUGUGUUAUUCAAGCAUGAAGCAGUGUCCACGUACAGAGAAGAAUUCAAUGGAUUCGAACACAUCAAGUAAUAUAUAGAUGUUGUUGAAGGCCAUGACCAAUAUAGAUUAGUGUUGGGCGGAAUAUUUUGAGGCAUGGAAGAGCAAUUGUUGCUCUGAAGGCCAAAAUCUACAAUUCGGAUUGUCUUCUUAUCGUAGUUGAUUGCCUGGACGUAGUAUUUUCCGGAAGAAGGUAUGUCUAGUACUGUAAUGUUGCUCUCGCAGGACAUAGUAUACAUAACGUUGCCGCAGUGCUUCGGGUCAUCGUCCAGUCGAAAAGGAUAGCUGAUGUUGUGGAUAUGGCCGCAGGAUGAAGUACAUGACUUGGCACAAGUUUCACUGCAAAAGCAAAGAAGAAGAAAGGCUAAGCUUAGGGUGAAGGACCUGCUUCCACUAAUUUCCAUUUUUUUUUGGGGGUCGGGAAGAGAGAGAGAGAGAGAGAGAGAGAGAGGUGUACAAGUAAACACCAAGUAGUUAUAUAAUAAGGUGGGGUUAAAGCACCUUCCGUGAAAUUGCUGUAAGCACAUCAAAUAUUCUAGAGAAACGUCGGUCAAUGGUGUCCUAGGGACUCUUAAAAUGGCUGAAAAUGAAGGCUAUGAAAGUGGCAGAUUGAAUGAAUUUCGUAUGUUAUUGACUGAGUAUAUUGUAUAAUAUAGACACAACAGAGUCAACUAAUGAACCCUACAUCAUUGGCGAGGAAACAGGACCCCACAUUUAGUGGGAUUUGACUCAAACAUUACUAAAUUAGCCCUUAGUACUACUAUCAUUCUCCAUGAGACGGAAUGAGGUGUAGUGGUAAACACCAAGUAGUAUUAUAAUACAGGAGAGGGGUUAAAGCACCUUCCGUGAAGUUGCAGAAGGACUUCAAGUGUUUGACAGAGUCAGUCAACGAAAGACAGAAUUGUAUAAUCAUAAUGCUCUCUAGAGAGAGAGAGAGACAGAGAGAGAGGUGUAGCAAAUACCAAGUAGUAUUACAAUACAGGAGCCUUCCGUGAAGUUGCAGUAAUUCAACGGCAAAGACAGAAUUGUGUAAUCAUAAUGCUCUCUCUAUUUCUCUUUCAUUAAUGGAGGACAGUGUAUAAUUAGUACGUACAUAUCUCUGCUUAAUUACACAAAAGAAAAAUCCACGAGCAUUAUUUUUUUUUAUUAUUAGCUCAGAAAUGCAGAAAUUGUUCAUCUCUUCCUUUUGCAUAUUGUUGCUGGUUUUCUUCAAACGAGUUGGAGCAAGCCAAUAUGUGUGCCCGGAAUCCGAGUGUGGUGAUGAUCAAGGCCCGGCUAUCCAUUUCCCCUUACGCAUCAGCCGCACACAUCAUUGUGGAAAUCCUGGGCUUGAAUGCAAUGGGAGAUAUGAGCAGCAAAUAUUAGUAAAAUUAUUUAUCAAACAGAUAGAUUACAAGCGUCAGGAAAUCCAAGUGCAUCCCCCAAGCAACUGCCUGCUGCUAAAGCCCGUCGAAAUCACAAACGUGCCACCCUCUCCCUUCUACUUGUCAAAUUUUAGCAUCAGUAACGUUACCUUAUUCAGUUGUCCUACUGUUGCAAGAGUUACGUAUGCGUAUCAAGACCCCUGCCUAGGUGACCCUGGCCGCAGAAUUUAUGCCAUUGAUUCAAAACAUCAAUUAGAAUAUCUCUUCCAGAAUCUACAAUCUUGUUCAAAGAUGUAUGAUGUUUUAUCAGUUCCAUUUGGCUAUUGGAAGGGUAAUGGCUAUAUUCUUCAAUUCAAAUGGUCGAAACCAAAUUGUACAGAAUGUGAAGCACAGGGAAAGAGGUGUAGAUGGAACAACAAUGGCACCAACAGUGAAAUUGAAUGUCAACACGUGAGGAAACCAAGUAAGGAGAACAUUAUAUUCACUGCUAGUUUUAAACAUCGUUGCAUUUAUGUCGCAGUAAUUAUUAUUUGAAGGAUGUUGUCCGAUCCAUUUUUCCGAGGAUAUUAAUUGUCAGUCUCGAUUUAAUUUGCAAUUCUUUUACAGGCAACACAUGGAAAUUAGUGGUUACAGGUGGAAUCCUCGGUGCUUUGCUACUUGUUCUACUGAUGAUUGCAGCAUUUCGGGUAUACAGCGCUGAUAGGAAGGAAAAAGAGAGUCAAUUAAGAAUUGAAAGAUUCUUGGAGGAUUACAAAGCACUCAAACCAAGCAGGUAUUCGUAUGCAGAUAUUAAGAGGAUUACAAAUCAAUUCAAGGACAAGUUGGGCGAAGGAGCCUAUGGAACUGUCUUCAAAGGAAUGCUCUCUUCUGAAUUCUUUAUUGCUGUCAAAGUCCUCAACAGUUCUAAGGGAGAUGGGGAAGAGUUCAUAAACGAAGUGCGAACGAUGGGUCAUAUCCACCACGUCAACGUGGCUCGCUUGGUUGGAUUUUGUGCUGAUGGAUUUAUACGAGCUCUUGUUUACGAGUUCUUCCCCAACGGUUCCCUGCAGGAUUUCAUUUCAUCCGCAGGUAGUAAGAAUUCCUUUCUUGGUUGGGAUAAGCUGCAAGAUAUUGCCCUAGGCAUAGCCAAAGGAAUUGAAUACCUUCACCAGGGAUGUGAUCUACGAAUCCUGCAUUUCGAUAUCAAACCCCAUAACGUGUUGCUAGACCAAAACUUCACUCCAAAAAUUUCUGAUUUUGGUUUGGCCAAGUUAUGUUCCAAGGAUCAAAGCUUGGUGUCCAUGACUACAGCGAGGGGGACCAUUGGCUACAUUGCACCUGAAGUGUUCUCCAGGAAUUUCGGAAAUGUGUCUUACAAGGCAGAUGUUUAUAGCUUUGGAAUGCUGCUGCUUGAGAUGGUAGGAGGAAGGAAGAAUAUUGGUGUAACCAUAGAUAACAAUACAGAUGAAAUUUACCAUCCACAGUGGAUUUAUAAUCUUCUAGAGGAAGGGGAUGACCUACGAAUCCAUAUUGGGGAAGAAGAAGAUGGUAAAAUUCCAAAGAAACUUGCAAUUAUAGGGUUAUGGUGUAUCCAAUGGCACCCGUCGGAUCGUCCUUCCAUGAAAACAGCGGUUCAAAUGUUAGAAGGAGGGAGGAGAAAGCUUGACUGUGCCGCCUAAUCCCUUCAUGCCUACAGGUCCUACAACUAGAAAUGUAAGACGCCUAGAGCUAGAAGCAAUUGCUGAAUUAGAGUAAAAUGUAUACGCAAAUGUAUAGUAACAUUCGCAUUGAAUGUGUAAUGAUUCAAACCUAAGGGAUAUUUUGAUAACCAUUUCGUUUUGGUACCAAACAAAAGAAGUUUGUUUUCUCUCCUUGUUUAAGCAUUAGAUGCCAAUUAUUGUUUAUCAUUUUUAAAUUUAUAUUUUGUUACAGUAGAAGCCUAGAAGGAAAUCGAGCACUGGACUUACCAAAUUCUAACUCGUUUCUACACACCAAGAGCUUGAUGAUUUCGGCUCUUAUUUAUAGUAUUUAAGCUAUAAGCCGUGACAAUAAUUAGAGCACUAUCAUUUGUUGUGAGCUUCAACUGGUUAGCAUUUUUGUAUGUUUUAAACUUUUAAUUAGAAUAUAUAUUUCAUGUAGACUUAUCUUGCCAUAAAGCAUGUCAUCCCCUCCCAAGUUUUUCUCUUCGCGUUGAGUUUGGGAUACGAAAACUUGCCAAACAAAGUGGAUUGAUUAGUAACCGAAGCUUAUUAUUCGACUAAAUAUUAUUUGGAAUUUUAAUUAAAAGAAACAAUAUGAAUCGUUUUUGUUUGAUUUGAAAACUAUAAAAUGAGGAGAUUAAAUUGUUAGUUGUUAGGAGUAGAGAAAUUGGUAGAGAUCGAAUUCAUACAAGAAUGUAUAGACAUUAUUGUGCUUUGUCACAAGGAUAAAUCACAUAAAACAAAAUGUAGUACUUUGAGGAUGGAAGAAACUUCAUGGAUGACGGGUAAUCAACACAAUAUGGGUGGGGAUGCAGAGGUGACGCGGAAGGAAUUGGCGGGCUGGUGGAAGUGGGUUGUGGCAUGCAGAGAGAGUGGGGUUGGGGACGCAAGAGAUUGCGUAGAAGGUAGAGGCGGGCGUGAGGGUGACGUGAGGGCAAGGGAAGUAGCAAACCGUGUGGGCUGCUGUGGUUGAUCCACUAGGGUGGCUGGAUAGCCUUUUUGACCAAAUUAUAAAGCGCAUAGACUUUUUGACCAAGAGGAUAGUCAACAAAUAUGCAACGUUUUGCACGGGUAUCAAAUUUAUGAGUGGGAUGUGUAAGAACCAAUAAAGCCUCCUAGAGAUCUAAGUCAAGUUAAAUAAACCACGAAUAACCAAAACAAUUAAUAUACUACAAGUAUGAAAUAUAAACCAACUUGCAGCAGUAAUAGAUGAAACCAUGAUCAAACAAGUAGUAGACCUUCUCCUCUCUGUCAAAACCAAUAAUACUCAAACUAACAAUAGGUCUUAGUUCGAUAAUGAGCGUAUGUUUUGUAAGAGCAGAGGCUACUAUUUAUAUACAAUCAAUCUAUGUAAUUCUCCUAUUAGAAUCUUUAUUCAACACUGAAUAAGUUUACCUUAUUGUAUACAAAGUGUUAAAACCAGUUUUCAUACUUUCAUUCAAUCCUUCACAAAUAAGGAUUAAGUAUACCUUUUUACAUUGGGACUUUUCUAUACGGAUCUGAAACAAAUAGUAGGCCUUAGGAAUUAUAAUCAUGAUCAUAUUCUUACAUUCUCCCACUUGAUCAUGACCCAAAACCAUCGCACAACAAUUCAAAUCAUUAUAGAAGUGAUCACUAAAUGUCAAUGAAAAAUUACUUCAUCACAAACAAUCUAUCAAUGCAUUUCAAAGUACUGAAUCCAGAAAUUCACACUCUUGAUACAAUACAGAGCUAAUUUCAAAAUCACAGAUACUUAAUCUGCACCUUUGUAACAUUGUGAACCAACUGAUUAAAGACAAACUCAAAACAAGUUUGCUCCCACUUUUGAAGCCAAAACAUUUAAUAUCAACACAUGAUACCAAAUCGUAAUCAUCUCAAUAUUCAAACCGCUUAAAUAACAUGAUUCGUAAUCCAAGUAAUUACUUAAACCAAACUCUUGAAAGAUCAUAAGUAAUACUAUGAACAACACUUUAUAAUUCAGCCAAUUGCUUUAUCAAAUAAAAAACUGACUUUAAAGCAUUGUAAGAACCAUAAAACAAAAUUUUGUCUUCUAGAACAAUUAAUCACAGAUAAUCUGGAAAAAUUGAACCCAAAUGAAAACAUUCGAUUAUUCAAAACUAGCUAAAACAUAAAACUAGUUGAAACAAAAUAAUUGAAACAAAACUAACUAAUAAACCUACAAAGAUGUCAUCACCUUUAAUACUUCUGUACCAGCAACUACUCCCACUGAUCAAAAGAUUCCAGCACUCCCAUUCGAGUAACAUGAGCUUUGAAGACUCCAAUUGGUAAAGCUUUAGUCAAAGGAUCUGCAACCAUGAGAUUUGUACUAAGAUGUUGCACUUCUAUAGUUCCUUUCUUUACCAUCUCCCAAACUUUCAGGAAUUUUACAUCCAUUAGUCUACUAACAGAAUUCCUCUUAUUGUUUUUAGAGAAAAACACAGUUGAAGUGUUGUCACAAAACAUCUUCAUCGGCUUUUGAAUUGAAUCCAUUAACUUCAACUUACUUAUGAAAUUCUUGAGCCAAUUAGCUUGCUUGCUGCCUUCAAAACAGGCUACAAAUUCUGCUUCCAUGGUGGAUGUUGUUAUGAUAGAUUGCUUAGAACUUUUCCAUGAAAUAGCUCCACCUCCAAGCAUAAAGACAUAACCUCCAGUGGAUUUUCUUUCAUCUAAGUCUCCAGCUAGAUCUGAAUCAGUAUAUCCAGUGACUUCUAGAUGUGGAUUUCUGCCAUAUAUGAGCAUGAACAACUUGGUCCGUUGCAGAUAUCUCAAUACCUUCUUCGCCGCAGUCCAAUGAGCUCCACCUGGAUUUGAUUGAAACCUAUCCAAGAUGCCAACAAUGAAGGCAAUAUCAGGUCUCGUACAAACAUUUGCAUACAUCAAACUACCCACCAAAAAGGCAUAAGGUUUGUCUCUCAUCUUUUCCUCUUCAAUUUCACUCUUGGGACAUUGUGCUCUGGUGAAUAUAUCACCUUUAUUGAUAGGAACGUUGCCUCCUUUGCAAUGCUCCAUGUUGAACCGAGUUAGCACUCUAUCAAUAUAACCCUUUUGAGAUAAACCCAAAAGUCUCCGCCUUCUGUCUCUCACAAUCUCUAUCCGAAGAACAUAGUGUGCUUCACCAAGGUCCUUCAUUUCAAAAUUAACACUAAGCAUGGACUUAGUGUUCUGCAGUAAUUGAGAACUAGAACUAGCCAGUAGUAUGUUAUCGACAUAUAGCAUCAUUAUAAUGAAAUUUGGUCCACUGAACUUGAUAUACAUGCAAUCGUCUAACUUAUUUUCAGUGAAACCAUGAGCUGUAACUACUUGAUUUGAGAUACCAUUGCCUUGAAGCUUGUUUGUGACCAUAAAUUGACUUAUUUAAUUUACAAACCAUAUCUUCCUUCCCCCUUUGAGCAAAUCCAAUUGGCUGCCUCAUAUAAAUAUCUUCUUGUAGCUCUCCAUUAAGGAAAGCCAUCUUGACAUCCAUCUGAUGCAGCUCUAAAUCGAAAUGCGCAGUCAAAGCCAUUAUGACCUUCAUGGAAUCUUUUGAUGAAACAAGUGAAAAAGUAUCGUUGUAGUCAAUACCUUCUCUUUGAGUGAACCCUUUUGCAACUAAUCGAGCUUUGUACCUUUCAAUUCUACCUUGAGAGUCUCUUUUCGUUUUAUAAACCCACUUACAACCUAUAAGCUUGAUUUUGGAAUUAGAUUCUACCAAUGUCCAGACUUUGUUUUUGCUCAUCGAUUCCAAUUCCUCAUUCAUUACAUUGAUCUAUAAGAUUGAUUGUGAGCUCUUUAUAGCUUGAUUGUAGGUGAUGGGAUCAUCAAUAUCACCUAUGUCAUACUCAGAUUCUUGCAAAUAGACAUAAUCAUUUGAUAUGGUUGACUUCUUUGUUCUUGUCGAUUUUCUUAAUUCUGGUUCAGCUCGAGGUGGUUCUGAACUGUCAACUUGAUGUUGUGUUUGCACAACAUGAUCUUCCAGCCGAGUCUGUUCAGAUGUAGUUUCUGUUUCAAGUCCACAAUCUACCAUUUGAUGAUCUUCUUCUUCAUUUGGACUAAUCUUUUGCGGGAAUAUGGGAAGAAUCUUGUAAUUUUCUGCAGGAGAGACAUAUUCAUCUAAGAUUUGUUCCUCAAAAUUAAAUUCUUCUUGAUUCAGAUCUGCCACAUCUUGGUCUUAUAGAAAAACAGCAUUGUGUGACUCUUGAAUUCUUGAAUGAGCUUGUGGAUCAUAAAAGUUGAACCCUUUGGACUUUUCGCAGUAGCCAACAAAAUAACAAGACUGAGUUCUUGCAUCUAAUUUCUUCUCAUGUGGAUUAUAGAACCUUGCUUCAGCCUUGCAGCCCCAAACAUGAAAGUAAUCAAAAUUUGGUUUUCUUCCAGUCCAAAUUUCAAAAGGGAUUCGUGAAACAACUUUGGUUGGAACCCUGUUGAGUAUAUAAGUUGCUGUUUUGAGUGCUUUUCCCCAUAAGAAUGUUGGAAGUUUAGCUCUAGACACCAUGCUUCUCACCAUCCCAAUCAAAGUUAUGUUCCUCCUUUCUGAGCCUCCAUUCUGUUGUGGCGUUCCAGGUGUCGUAUAUUGUGCCACAAUGCCAUGUUUCUCCAGAUAAAGAGCAAAAGGUCCUUUCUAUUGACCUGCCUCAGUAUACCUGCCAAAAUACUCUAUUCCCCUAUCCGAUCUAACAAUUUUAAUAGUUCUAUUUAAUUGUCUCUCAACCUCAGUUUUAAAAAUUAUGAAGCAACUAAGGACAGCUGAUUUUUCACUAAUGAGAUAAGUAAAACUGAAUCUUGAGAAGUCAUCAAUAAAAUUCACAAAAUAGUUGUUUCCACAUAUAGUUUUAACUGGAAAAGGACCACAUACAUCAGUGUGUAUGAUUUCAAGCAGAUUUUGACUCCUAGCUUCUAAUUUUCUAGUAUUAGUCAAUUUCCUUUUCAAACAAUCAACACAUUCACUUUUGGUUUGAAAAUCAAAUGAGGGAAUCAAAUUGGACUUAGAUAAUUGUAAGAUUCUCUCUUUCGAAAUGUGUCCCAACCGUUUGUGCCACAAAAUAUUAGAAUUUUCAAAAUCAUGCAUCCUUUUGGUGUUUACAUUUAAAACAUGCACAUAAUCAUUUUCAAGAGAACAAUCCAAUUGCCAAAGGUUUUCACGUAAAUAAGCUUUUCCCAAAACUGGGUCUAAAUUAUUCUUUUGAAAAAACUUUAUGCCCUCAUCAUCCCCAAGAAAAACCAAAUUAUGUUUAGUUAGUUUUGAUGCAGAAACUAGGUUCCUUCUCAUUGUAGGCAUAAAAAGUACAUCAUUUAGUUCAACUAUAAAACUAGAAGAUAAUUUUAGUUUCACUUUCCCUAUAGCUUCUACAACAACCUUAGUCCCUUCCCCAACAAAAACACUAUAAUUCAUUUUAUUUGUUUGUUUUUGUUUUUCAAAACCAUGCAAUGUAUUUGUGACAUGAACUGAUGCACUAGUAUCAAACCACCAAGAUUUAGCAGGAAUUUCAACCAAGUUAGACUCCUCACAGACAUAGACAUCAAUAUUACCCUUACUCCUCAGCCAAUCCUUAAAAGUUUCGCAAUCUUUUCUAACAUGACCUUUGGUUUUGCAAAAGACACAUUUAAGCUUAGUUAUAUCUUUAAUUUUAACUUUAAUAUUGUCAUAUUUCUUAGAGGAUUCAACAUAUUUAGCAGGCAUACUAGAUUUAGAGACAUUAUCAUAAGACUUAGAGUUCUUACUUGGAUUAAUUCUGCCACCCUUCUUGCUCUUUCCUUUGGAUGCAUGUACAAGGUUUACUGCUUCAAUUUCCUUGACCUUGUCUUGCUUCAGUCUUUUCUCUUCUUGGACACAUUGAGCAAUGAGCUCAUCAAGUGUCCAAAGAUUCCCUUGAGUGUUAUAUGAGACUUUCAGUUGACAAUAUUUAGCAGGGAGUGCUUGAAGCACCAUAAAAACCAGUUGAGUCUCUGAAAUAUGUACAUCCAUUGAGUUGAGUUCUCGGCAGCAUCUGAGAGUUUCAGAAUAUGAUCCCUAAUUGAGCCAUUGCCCUCACACUUGUAAGUUGUCAAGAGUGACAUGUAGUGUCCAAUUUCAGCCUUCUGAGGUUCUUGAAACUUCUCUUCAACAGCUUUGAAGUAAUCAACAACAAGGUCAUGUUGUUUGAUACCUCCUCUAACAUGAUCAGUCAUGCCAGCCUCCAAAAUGGACAAUGUCAAUUUAUUUGAUCUCCACCACCUCUCGUGCUCUGCUUUCUUAGCCUUGGAACUUUUGUCAGUCAAUAAUGGGGGUUGUGGAUUGUCAAUUGCAAUGUCAAAUUCAUUGAGUAUCAGUAGCAACUUGAUCUCGCGUCUCCACUUCUUGAAAUUACUUCCACCAGUAAGAAUCGAAACACUUGCCAAAUUCAAGGGUUUCAGUGAAAUUGCAGCAGAUCAUAAUGAAAUCAGUAAACAUGAACCAAUAGGUUCCUGAUUUCUCUACUACUAGUUAAACUGUACAAAACAAAAUUUGAACCAAUUUGACCAUAUAUGUAGUCCCAAUGAUAAAGGAUACACAUAGAUCAAACAAUUCAAAAAAUGUCCUUUUUUUUUUCUUUCGGAAUAUGUAUCAAUUGAUAGUUCAAUACUUAUCACUCAUAAUUCCAUUUGAUUUACAGAUAACACAAUCUUCAAAAAACAAAAUAUGCAGUAUAUACAUGCAUACAUUUUUGACAUUGAACUGUUGAGUUUUUUUUUUGACCCAUCAAGCAAAACCAAUCAAUUAUUGGAGAUGUCUGGAUGCAAUAAUUUUAGUCAUCUUAAUUAAAAAUAGAUAAUUAAGAUCUCAACUUCUGGCAAUAAAAAUAAAGAAUCACACGAUAACAUGAGGAUCAUAAUUAACAUAUAUGCAUUUUAAAUCCAAUUCAUACAAGUCUAUUGAGUUUGUAUUGCUUUUGAAUCUCAUAUAGUAUCAAUUAGAAUAAGGCACUCAGAUUCAAAAUCAUAGAGAAGUGCAGUAAAUAAAAAAUUAUCACUUUCUUAUGAAUCAGCAAAGAUUGAAUUAGACGAAAAAAGAAAACGCAACACAUACCAGUAAGGAUCCAGAUUGAAAACGAAAUAGUGCAGAGGAAGUAAUGAAUUAUUUGUAAUCUAGAUUGACUACUCUUUAUGAACCCUAAUUCGAUCAGAAAACCCAGUUUUUCUGAACCCCCAAUUCGAAACGACGGCAACUUAAUUUUACCAAACAAACAUUAACUUUGUUUUUUAGUUUUUUUUUUUUUAUAAAGACAGCUCCUGGGUUCGAAACCUUUAGGGGCCCCUUUUAUUUUAUUAUUCGAGUUUUUUAACUAAAACUUAGGCUCUGAUACCACAUGUAAGAACCAAUAAAGCCUCCUAGAGAUCUUAGUCAAGUUAAAUAAACCACGAAUAACCAAAACAAUUAAUAUACUAGAAGUAUGAAAUAUAAACCAACCUGCAUCAGUAAUAGAUGAAGCCAUGAUCAAACAAGUAGUAGACCUUCUCCUCUCUGUCAAAACCAAUAAUACUCAAACUAACAAUAGGCCUUAGUUCAAUAAUGAACGUAUGUUUUGUGAGCAAAGGCUACUAUUUAUACACAAUCAAUCCAUGUAAUUCUCCUAUUAGAAUCCUUAUUCAACACUGAAUAAGUUUACCUUAUUGUAUACAAAGUGUUAAAACCAGUUUUCAUACUUUCAUUCAAUCCUUCACAAAUAAGGAUUAAGUAUACCUUCUUACAUUGGGACUUUUCUAUACGGAUGUGAAACAAAUAGUAGGCCUUAGGAAUUAUAAUCAUGAUCAUAUUCUUACAGGAUGGGCACUCAUUUUCUUCCUUAUUCAUGUUUGGUGUUGAAAAAUAGAAGCCUCCUAAUUUGGUGGCGUUGGAGAAUCCUUUUAACCAUCCAAAACAUGGAUCUAAGGAGUCAGGAAGCAAGAGGAGUUUAUCCAUAUUCAUGGAUACAAGAAGCUAUGAGCAAAGGAAUGAGGACCCCAUUUUAGGUGAUUAUUCUUUGCUUCUACAAAGAGGAUCUACAUAAGUAUAAAGUCACCUCUCUUUGUUUUGAAUUUGAGUUGAGUCUUUGACUAACAAUUACUAGACUUUUAAUUUCAUGAGUUAAGUUUUGUUUUUGAGUGCAUAUAAGCAUGCUAGAGCCUUUAAUUGUCAAUUACAUGUAUGUGUGUUGCUCAAAUGAACUUAGUUUAUCAAAAUUUUCCUUCAAGACCAACUUCUAUGGCAUGUGUGGUUUCUUGUGCCAAUCACACAAACGUUAUGUAAAAAGAACUUACACAUUACAUUGCAUGAUUGACAAUUAACAACACAAUAGUGUUAUAACUGUGUCAUGAAAGUUUUUAUGCAAAGUCACUUGAUAUGCUGCAACAAUUAGUAAACAAUAUUAGAAAGACCUAGAGGAACCCACGAACCCGCAAUUCAUUCCAAUCCAUUAAGUAGCUCAUGCAUCAUUUCUCCUCAGCAAAUGUGAUUUUGAAAGGUAGACGAAUUUCUGAUUGCAUUGGUCUAGUUUCAGAAGGGUUCAAUUUUAUGGAAAAAAAUGCUUGUGGUGGUAAUGUGAGCAUAAAAGUUGAUAUUGUUGAAGCUUUUGAUACUUUGAAUUGAAGUUUUCUUCUUCAUGUGCUUUCUAGCUUUGGUUUUCUCGAAUAUUUGUGGACUCGAUGCAUGUUUAGUUUUAGUAUGGUCGGCUCGACUUUCAAUUUUGGUAAAUGGCACACCACGAGGAUUUUUCUCUUGCUCUCAGGGUGUACGUCAGGGAGACCUUCUUUCUCCACUUCUUUUCUGUCCAGUAGAGGAAGCUAUGAGUAGGGGUUUAUCUUUGCUUUUUUCUACUAGUCAAAUUACUGCUAUUUCAGCUUUGUGGGGUUGCUGCCUUCCUACCCAUGUGUUAUAUGUUGAUGAUCUUUUUAUUUUUGGUCAUGGAAGUGUUCGAUCUCUUCGUGCUCUUCGAAAUUUGUUGGAUAAAUAUGGUUGUGCUUUGGGACAACUUAUUAAUGCAACUAAGAGUACUUUUUUAUCUGGGCUCCACCUCUGCCCAUUUCAGAGCACAGGUUUAGAGAUAUCUUGGCUUUCGUUAGGGUACUGGUCUUUUUACUUAUCUUGCGGUACCCAUUUUUUGUGGUAAGCCAAGGAGAAUUCACUUUCAAGUUUUGGUAGAGAAGGCUAAAGCUCGCCUAUCAAGUUGGAAAUAUAAACUUCUCUAAAUGGCUGGACAAUUUCAGUUGGUGCAGUCUGUUUAUCAAAGCUUGUUUCUUUAUAGUUUCUCAGUUUAUCAAUUGUCGGCGUGCCUUUUAAUUCAUCUUACUGCUUGUGCAAGGAAUUUUCUUUGGUAAGAAGACCUGGCUUCUUGAUAGUUGGUAAGUGUUGACUGAAGUAUGGUGACCUAAUCAGGAUGGUGGGCUUGGUCUUCAGGAUUUAGCUUCUUCAAACUUGACGACUUUACUUAGAUUCGGUUGGGAUGCUUUACAAUCCCGUUCUUUGUGGGGCUUUUUUGCUCUUCAGCGUUUUCUUCUUGCACCUUAAAAAAACAAAAUAUCUACUUAUGGUCUUCUGUGUGGCAUGGUUUAAAGCGUGCCUUACCUAUUCAUAAUAAUAAUAGUUGUUGGAUUAUUGGUGAUCAGAGGUUAGUUUCCCUUUGGUUCGACAAAUGGUUAGAUGACCCAAUUAGUAACUCUUCAUUAUCUCUAGUCAUUUCACCUAUGGUUCAUCCUCAAGUUUUAGAUGCUAUUGAAUCUCAAAGUUGGUCUUGCCAUAUUAUUUUACAAAUUUAUUCUCAUCUGUGGUUGAACAAAUUUUACGUAUACCUUAGCCUUUAAAUGCAGAGGAUGACAAAUUAAUUUGGAAACCACCACCUACUAGGAACUUUUCUUUUUCUUUUGGUUCACCUUAUCUGAGGAAUCUGCUGCUAUUCUUUUCUUUGGGUGUCGGAUAUCUAGGCAACUUUGGAGGUGGUUAGCAUGUCAAUUUGGUACUUCUUUGCCUCUUUCAGAUUCUUCAGAUGUGUUUAGGAUGUCUAUAUUAAACCCUUUCUUAUCAGUUGCAUAAUCUUUGGAUUUUUGCAGGUCUUUCUUCUAUUUCAACUAUUUGGAAAGCUCGAAAUAAGUUUAUUUUUUAGGGUCGAUCAAUCUCCCUUCAUCGACUUUGCAUGUCUAUCAAUUCCAGGGUCGUUCAUAUUGGGAAAUUUAUUCUUUGUUACUCUCAAGGUUUGGACACUCAUAUCAUUUCUUCUCUUGGGAUUCGACCUAUCCCUAUCAAGGCGCCUACUGUUCUUCUGCGCUUAGGUCUCCUCUUUGAUUUCCUUGGAUUAAAGUUAAUACAUAUGAUUUGUCUAAAGGAAAUCCUGGUCCUGCUAUGUGUGGAGGAGUUUUCAAGGAUUUCCAUGGUUAGUUUCCUGAUGAUUUCUACUAAUGGAUUGGGCAUCACAACUUUUUUUUUUUAAUUUUUUGCAUAAUUAUUAGCAAUUAUUAUUAGUGUUGAGUUUGUAUAUCUGCUGGGUUAACAUUGCCUUGGUUGGAAAGUGAUUAUUGUAGUGUUAUUGCUGCUCUCCAAUCAACCAAUUUUGAUUUUGCUUGGCCUCUUCAUACACAAUGGCCUACUUGUCUAGAUCGCAUUCGGAAUAUGAUAUUCUAUGCCUUUCACAUAUAUCAUGAAGGAAAUGUUGUUGCGGAUAAAUUUGCUAACAUGGACUUGUCUUCUCCAACUUUGGUGGCAUGACUUCCCUCCACCAGUGGCUUGUGCUGCUUUGUUUUCAAACUAUAUUCGCUUGCUUGGCUUCCGCUUCUCAAACUAAUGUGCAUCUCACCAUGCAGGUAUGUCUCCAUUUCUUGUUUUUUCCUAACCUUGUGGUGUCAUUUGACUUGUUUUGCAAAAUGUCUCCAUUUCUUGUUUUUUCCUAACCUUGUGGUGUCAUUUGACUUGUUUUGCAAGUUUUUGACUUUUUAGGUUUUGCUUUAGAGGGUUUAGGUUUCAUGUCCCCCCUUCUUUUCCUUGUAUCUUUUUUGUUUUCGUUUCUAGAGGGGUAAGGUCUAUGUCCCCCUUCUUAUAUAUUCAUGUUGUUUUUCUCCUUUUCUUGGUAUAAUGAGGGAUAAGGUUUAUGUCCCCUCUGACUAGGUGAAACUUAUUAUUAUUAUUAUUAUUUUGUUAUCCAUAAAAUAUCCUUCAUCCCAUCUAGGUUUUCUAAAAUACAAUAAAAAUUAAUUAGCUCAUGUGCAAGCAAAGUAUGGGCUUCCCAUGCGCAGGAACUUGAAUUUACUCAUAUUUGGUAGUUACGUAGUUUGAUACGAGGUGCCUCCCCAUCGUUCAAUGUGUUCACCCACAUGAUGUUAAGUGUAACCUUCUUAAGGUUCAACAAAAUUAUUGUUUCUAUUAACAAAUGUAAAUAAAAAAUAAGCAAAAUACUAGAUAGAUCACAUAUUUUAUUUUUAUUACAUUGGUGUGCCGUAUUGUGAUAUGACUGCAUGCAUGCCACGUUUUGUAAUGAGUUAUCUCAUUAGAUGUUAAUUGUAUGUAUCACUUUCCAUAUCAUAUGGUACAUCAAUGUAGUAUAAAUAUGUGGUCUUUAUAAUACUAAAAAAAAAAAAAAGUAAUGUUGCAUUUAUCACAUUUUUCAUACCAUUGUAUCAUCUCUUUAUAGAAGCAGGGCACAUCAACAUAUGUGUCUCAUCUCUGUUAAAAAAGUGAUACAAAUAUGGUAUGAAAAAUAUGAUAAGAGUAGCAUUUACAAAAAACAAAAUCUUAAAGUUAAAUGAACUGAACAAACAUAGAAAAUUUGAAAGGUACUGUUAGCAGUUCAAUCCCACGAAAAACAGGGGGUGGUCUUAAUCAACACAGAUGAGACGUGCAAUUCAUCUGUAAAGUUCAAUAAUUUUCAUUUACCACAGCUUAACAUAAACAAGCUUCGUCAUGCAUAAAUGUGGAACUUUAUGAACCAAAGUAGGCAGCACAAACAGGAUAUGAGCGAAAAAUGACACUCUCAAUAGACUGAAUGGAAUUGAGUAAAAACAAUCUCACAACUGAUGAGAAAGAUCAUGAAAAUUCCAAGUUAUCCCAUUAGUGUUUAAGACAAGAUGCCAUGAAGAACGUCAAUACUCUGCAUAGCUAUUCUCACAAAUGGUAUGUACAACAUUAUUAUUCCUGGUUACUUCCAAAUAAAAGCUUUUCAAGCACUGCAAAUCACUAUUCAGCUUUAAUGUGUCCCAUCAGUCUUCUACAAAAGCAAAACGACAGUAAUAAGUGCAUCGGUGGCCCUGGCGACGGAAUUUAUGGCGCCUCUUCGUUCUUUCAAUUAUUUCAAAGCUUCCCGGCCCUGUAUUCCUGUACAAAGAUGUGUGAUGUUUUAUCAGUUCCAUUUGGUGAUUGGGUGGGAAAUGAAUUUAAACUCUUCAUUUCAAAUAGUCUAAACCAAAUUGUAUAGAAUGUGAAGCAGAGGGCAAGAGGUGUAGAUUGAAGAACAAUGGCACUAAGAGCAAAACUGAAUUUGUUCAUCGGAGGUAAUCAAAUAAGGAUUAUGCGUGUAAAUCUUAUUUCGCAUGUAUUCUGCUCAUGAUGUUUUAAUGAUGAUUAUUGGUAUAUUCUGCUACGUGUUAUGAUUUUUCUGCUUUCAUGUAAUUAGCGGCUUAGAUAUGUGAAAAAAAAAAAAUUGUUUGGGUUAGUAUUUGAACAUUGGGUGUAAGUGAAAGAAGGCACAAGGAUGCCAAUUGAAAGGGGAAUUGCUCGAAGCCCAACAUUAUACCCAGAAGCAAAUUGAGGCUUUCUCAGCCAAGAGUCAUAAACCACGUGUCUAUAAGUAAAGUGACAAGUGAUGAAGAUUAACCUACUAUCAACAAAGAACACUUUCCAGUGGCAUUACAAGUAAGAAAGCUGAUGACUCAUUACCCUCCAAAUGUUUUCGGGCAAGAGCAAAAGUUACAGUAGUCGGGCUAGUUUGCCUAUAAAAGGAAGAAGAGGCCCCAGAGACAAAGACACUUAACCAAUCAAACAAACAAACAUACAAACUCUGCUCUCAAGCCAGAUUUGCAUCCAAAAGCUGAACACAGCCCAUAUUUAGUCCUUUUAACGCUAGUUCCCUACAAAAGACAUCUUUUGUCUAGUCUAAAAGCUUUUCUACCUCCCUUAGUGGCAUAGUAUCGAUUCCCUUGUGUAAACUUGUUUACCAUCCAUCCCUUUUUAAGCAUACAACUCUUGUAAACUCAAAGAGAAAUGAUUGUAAGAAGUUCAACCUUGCCAGACAAGGUGAAAUCUUGCCCGAAGCUCUUUGUUUGUUUUCUAAAUUAGUAGAUCUAUUGCUUAAUGCAUUCUCCAGUAUGUAUUUAAGUUAUUUCCACCUGUUUUUCUAUUUUAAGAAGUUCAUUUGCAUCUGGAUCUGGUUCGCUUAAAUGAAUAUGCUUUCAUUAGAUAUACUCUGGAACCAAACAAGUAACUUAAGGGGAUCUGGACCCCCUUCAUUUCGAACAUACAAGACUAUGAACUAAAAGUCCUUGUUUACAAGGCAAGAAAAAGAACUUAAUAUGGACUUAACCCAUCCACGACAAUCAUUUGAUAACAAGAAGUUUGAAGUAACUUGGGGCGCAAGUAAUCUACUUAAAACACACUUGUUCUACAUCUGUUAUACUGAGAUAGCAGUGACACGCCUAGAACUUAAUUAGUUUUGAUUAUGAGUCUUAAGGCCUACACCUAAGGCCCCAUAAAGGAACCUUUCAUAACUAACUUUGUUCUCUUCUUGUAGCACAUCAACAAGCAAGAGCCCGACUACACAUCCAAAGUGCCAAUCCCUUGGGGAGCUGUGCUGAGGUCCGAGGAUCCUUCUCCACAGAAAUCUUUGCCCGAACAUAGUUUUGGCACGCCCGGUGGGAUUCGAAUACUAGUCUUGUAUGCCAAGAAGAAGGAAGAAGGAGAAAACCUUCAAGUGGAACACAGAAUACGAGCUACCCCGGUGUCUACCAAGAUCAAUCAUGACAGCUCAUCCAAAAGAUUUCCCUUCCCUACGAGGGCUAGCUAUUUUAGACAGCUCGACUUCACCUGAGAAGUCAGGGAGGAAGGUGACCAAUGAAGACUUGCAAGCCACCAUGAUGCAAGUAUUGAAAACUAUGGAAAAUAUCACUUUGGAAAUCGGAGGAGAAGUGAGUAGACUUUGUUCUUUAACAGGGAGUCUACAAAGAAGAUUAGAUCUGGAGUACUUUACUCCAAAUAAUGGUCAUUUCAUGGAAAUGGUGAAAGAAGCAAACCCUGAAAGAGAACCAGUUAUCCCCCUAUUUCCUUUACUGGAGGAAAAAAAGGAUGAAGGAAAAAACAAUGAGGGAUUUAGAGUUAGUGAACCAGUAGUGGAGGAAAUCCUAUAAGCAAAGUUGCAUGACCCCUUAUUAUUUUCACUAGAUAGUAGAGGCAGAACGAGAAAGACAGAAAGAAGUAUGGGAUGCCCUAUGUAAUCGGAGAGUCCAGUGGGAAAAAAGAUUUCACAACUGUGGACAAACCUCCUCCUUAUAGGCCACCACCAUUGGCUAAUAAGGGAUGAGAGCCUAGAUGGAGAAAGCCCGAACCAAAAAAGGAAGCUUGCUUGGGCAAUGAUCCUAGCGCGAAGUGGGAAUUUCCUUACACCCCACUUAAUAAUACAACUAACCAACAACUCAGAGAUGAGUUAGCCAAGUUAAGAAGAAUGAUAGUCUACAAUGCUAACCUCAGGCUCGCCCCACUGUUUAGGAUCACCUACCAGAAGCCAUACCCCGAAAAGAUCGAUGAGCAUAAUCCAUUUCCACUCAACUUCAAGAUGCUCGCGUUUCCCACUUUUAGUGGAAAAGAUGGCAGUGUGUCCUCUAGAGAUCAUAUCUUUAAGUUCUCUAAUCACUGCGUGGCAUUCGAAGAUAAUCCUAAUUAUAAGUUAAGAUUGUUUGGGAACUCGUUGGUUGGUCUAGCAUCUCAGUGGUACUCUCUGUUGCUCUCCAAUUCUAUUGCUAAUUGGGGGCAAAUGGAGAUGGUUUUCCAUGAGCAGUUCUAUAGGAUGGAGCUCAAGAUGUCUAUCAAUGACCUAGUAGAGGUGAAGCAAUAUGAACAUAAGUCUACAGAAGACUUCAUGAUGAGGUUUAGAAGGACAAGAAUGAGGUGCCAAUUCCCUAUCAAUCAUGCUUAGAUUAUAUCUAUUGCUCAGAAAGCAUUGAGGUUGCCUUUGAGAAAAAAGUUUUAUGAUGUACAGUUCAAUGAGUUGCAAAAGUUGGUAAUUGCUGCCACAAAGUAUGAAAAGGUAUUGCUUGAAGAACAACAAGUGAAACACUCAUCCAAGGUCCCUCAUUUUUAUAAAAAUAAAGCUGCAAUUCACCAAGUAAAGUUUGAAGGAAGAGAGCCGGAAGGAAGCGAUGAUCAUGGAGAAGAAAAGAUUAAUAUGUGUGCAGCAGAGAUGACUACGCUUUUUAAACCAUCAACAGUAAAGGGUUUAGUUCAUCCAGUCAAAGAUCAGAAGAUAGUAAUGAAUGAUGGUGGAUUUGUCCCUAUGAACCCCCCUAAGUAACAGAAUUAUUAUUUUGAUUUAACCAAUGCCUCAUAAAUCUAUGAAGAGUUAGUGCGGGCAAGAGUAAUUGUGCCUAAUAGCACCAAGAAGAUGCCAAAGCCAGAAGAAUUAAGAGGAAAUAAAUAUUGCAAAUUACACUACACCUUUAACCAUUCCAUAACCAACCGUGUCCAGUUUAGGGAUUAAAUACACGACCUCAUAGUAAAAGGAAAGUUGUUAUUGGAGAAAUCGCAAGCCAAUAUGAUGAUUGACACAUAUCCCUUCCUAGAAGCUCUAAUAAACAUGAUCAACCUGACUUGGGCUGAGAAAGGGAAGGGAAAAGCCACUUGGGAAGUAAAAGCAGAAAUAAGGCAAGUUGAUAGACCGACAGAAUGAACUAUCAAGUUGUUCGAGAAACCCAAAACAGCCAUAAUUAAAGGGCUGGUAUUAUGUAGCAAGUGCCAGUAUGAAUGUGAGCUAGAGGUGCCAGCAUCAGGAGCCAUUAUUGAUCAAGAAUUGAUUAAAAGAAAAGAGAAAGAAAAACAAGAAGCCCACAGAAGCAUCAUGCGAGCAGUUGAGAAAGAAACCUCCAGGAAUGUCUUCUAAAAGUUAGGAGGGGAUUCUCAACCAAAGGGCUUGUCAGAGGUAUUCAGAAAUUGCGAAGCCUCUGAAGAAGUAGAAGACAAAGAAAGCUAAAAUACCAAAAUGGGUGGUGAAGGUUUAGCCUUCCCAGCCUAGAUAUGAAGAUAGUGAUGUCGGGAUGAAGGGAAGAACAAAUAGUGUAAUAUCCACAUUCACCAAGAAGGAUUCUACUCGACUCGGGGGGAAAUGGUAUGUAGUUAGGAAGGAUGGAAGACCUAUCAAGGAAAUGGGAGCCUCUAUGAUUAGGAGAGUCCAGAGAUAGCACAAAGCUCAUAUGAACUCACUCAAAGUCCCUGCUACAUCAGAAACCUCUGAAAAUGAGAAAUUCGAGAAGGUACGUCAUGCGGAAGAAAUCAACUUCACUAGAGAAGUGAAAAACAGGUAGAAAGAGCUAAUAGCAAGACUAAAGAAGAGGGAGAUCAUGUGCCACAAAGCCCUCAUCCAGGAAAGUACAGAAUCUUGAUGAGGGCUCAAAAGGAUAUGGUGAUGAUGCUAACCCCAAGAUGAAACCCAAAACCAAUAUGCUUUGGAACUAUCUCGCCUGAUAGAGGGUUGCACACACCUUUUUUGGUUAAUACUCUAUUUGAAAACCUGGAGCAAGUAUAGGACUUUGGAAUAACCUGAGAAGAAAAGUUGCUCGAGUUAAUGAUACCACAAAAAGCACAAGUUUGGUUAGAUGAAUUCAUGGACCACAUUAGGGGCAAAAAUGAGGAUGUACCUGAACCUAGCAACUUCCAUGUAAACAUGACAUAUGUUCUAUCUACUAUGUUUUACGUCGAGCCUGAUCAACCUGCCGCAAUGGAGGGUGAUUACUUGGCAACAGAACCUAUGAUGGCAUGAAAAGAGGAAUCCAGCCAGACAGGUUUGCCCGAGCAAAUAAGGAAGGAGCCCGAGAGAGUGUAUUUUGACAGAAUGGUCUUUAGCCACCCGAAUAUGGUCUUAGCUAACCAUUUUAAGCCCAUAUAUGUAACUGCUCAUUUGGAGGGAGUACCCUUUAAGAGGGUUUUGAUUGAUGGAUGAAAUGCGGUCAAUAUAAUACCAUUGAAGCAUAUGAAGAAGUUUGGGAGAAGUGAAGAAGAUCUCAUUCCUACGGUUUUAACAGUCUCUAGCUUUUCUAGAGCUAUCACCAAAACACAUGGAAUACUACCAUUAGAAGUUGACUUGGGGUCCAAGCAAAUCAUGCUAGCUUUCUUUAUAGUAGAUGGUACUUCCAUUUAUGGAGCUUUGCUUAGUAGAGAUUGGAUUCAUCAGAGUCUCUCUGUACCAUCUACAUUACACCAACAGAUUGCAGUUUACCAUGAAGCCAAGACUGGAAAACCAAGAUUUUGGGAGAUAGUGGAGGCCGAGACACGGCCAUUCCCCUCUCUCACAGUUAAUGUUGCAGAAGUUAGCUUUUGCAAUCCUAGUAUUGGGAUUCUCCAGUGCUUAGGAGCUGAUGAGAACGGCCGCCCGACUCAGGUGAUGGCCCAAAAGCUUUUGGAGCAAGGAUUGUUCUUCACAAGAGAUGAGUGAGAUGGACCCUAUAUUAUCCCAACUCCCUAACACCAGUAAUGUCGAAACAAAGAAGAAAUGACCAAGUAAUUGCAGUUAGGUUUUUAAUCAAAAGACUGUUAGUGUAUGGGAGAGAGAGAAAGCAAGAAAGAGAGAGCUUGACCGAGGAGCAAGAGGAAGAAGCUUCAAGCAACCAGAACAGAGAUAAAGAAGAGUUUUUUGGAAAUGAGUUGGAAGCAGCCAUACAAAUGGUUGAAUGUAUAUAUGACUUGGAUGGGCCAGAAGACUUGCCCGAGAGUCCAGAGUUAGUUGAAUUUUUGUGUGCAAGACCUUACAAGCCACCACCAGAGGUUCAAGACCAUUUGGAGACCAUUGAUUUAGGGACUAAACAGAUCAGUAGCUUGUUAGAAGUUGAAGAUCGGGCAAGAAUAGUCAGCCUGCUGCGCGAGUUCAAAGAUUUUUUUGCUUGGUAUUACACUGAGAUGCCAGGUUUAGAUUCAACCUUAGUAGAGCACAGAAUGCCUAUUAAGGAGGGGUGUAAACCUGUGAAGCAAGCAUCACGAAGGAUGUCAAAAGAGAUUGAAGAAAAAGUCAAGGAAGAGAUUUAAAGGCUAGUAAAUGCUGGAUUUAUUAGGCCUAUCAAAUAUGUCAAGUGGUUGACAACAUUGUACCUGUAUUAAAAGCUAUAACUAAUGUAGUUUGAUGUUGUGUUGACUAUAGAAACAUUAAUGGAGCCACGCCUAAAGAUGAAUACCCCAUGCCCAUAGCUGAUUUAUCCAUAGAUGCAGUUGCAAAACAUAAAGUUUUAUCUUUCAUGAAUGGGAAUGCCGGUUAUAAUCAGAUAAAAAUGGUAAAAGAAGAUAUACAUAAAACAGCUAUUAGGUGCCCAGGACAUGUUGGAGCAUAUAAGUACUUAGUCAUGCCAUUCGGGCUAAAAAAUGAUGGUUCAACCUAUCAAAGAGCAAUGAACACCAUUUUUCAUUACUUGAUUGGCAAUAGCAUGGAGGUGUACAUUGAUGACAUCGUGGUGAAAUCUAAAAUUAAAGAACAGCACCUAGUAGACCUCAGACAAGCCUUAACAAGAAUGAGGAUCCAUAAGCUAAAAAUGAAUCCUAAGAAAUGUGCUUUUGGGGUGAGGUCGGGCAACUUUUUGGGUUUCCUUGUUCAUCAAAGAAGGGUGGAAGUCGAAAAAAAUAAAGCUCGGGCAAUAAUGGAAUCACCACCUUCCACCAACAAAGUACAACUACAGAGGCUACUAGGAAAAAUCAAUUUCUUAAGGAGAUUCAUUGCUAACUUGGUAGGUAAGAUUCAACCGCUAACUCCUCUGUUAAGAUUGAAAGACAAAGAAGAGUUCGAGUGGGGUCCACCAUACCAAGAGGCCUUUGACAGAAUAAAGGCUUAUUUGACUUCUCCACCAGUGCUCAUGCCACCUCAGAGGGAAACCUUUAAAGCUUUAUAUUUCUGCCUCUGAAAAGUCAAUAGGAAGCUUGCUAGCUCAAAACAAUGAAGGUGGGAAGGAACAAGCAAUAUACUGCCUCAAUAGAAUCCUUACUGAGGUAGAAACAAGAUAUACACCAGUGGAAAGGUUAUGUUUGGCUUUAUACUUCACUGCCUGUAAGUUAAGGCAUUACAUGUUACUUUGCCACAUCCACAUUAUUGCCAAGACUGAUGUGAUCAAGCACAUGCUGUCAAAACCAAUGUUAACUUGGAGGAUUGGAAAAUAGAUUCUAGCACUUUCAGAGUUCAGCUUUCAAUAUGUGCCCCAAAGAGCGAUCUAGGGGCAAGCAAUUGCAGACUUUUUGGCUGAGCACCAAGAGUCACAAGAUGAGCUUGUUAACAUCCCAGGAACUUUGGAAGUGGCCAGUGUGUGGAUCCCACCAAGCAAAGCCUUCUCGAGCAAAGAAGAAUGGAUCUAGCAAGAGAUAAAAAGAAUAACUAGCCCCUGAAUCACUAAUUGGAAGCUAUAUUUUAAUGGAUCUUGCACUCAAAAUGCUGAUGGGGCUGAGAUUGUCAUUAUUGAUCCUAAGGGUGCUCACCACUGUUAUUCAUUUCUCUUAGAUUAUCAAGAGACUACCAACAAUUGGGCAGAGUAUGAGGCAUUAAUAAUUGGUUUGGAAAUCUUGAUAGAGUUGGGGGCAACUAAAGUUGAAGUGUUUGGUGAUUAAUUAGCUAAAUAGGGAGUACAAGUGUAGACAUAUUACCAUGACUGGUUAUUACUUGGCGGCCACGUAAUUGUUUAGCUAUUAGGGUGCUGAAAUAAUAGUUAGCCAUAUCCCCAAAAAAUCAAAUGCAAUGGCCAAUGAAAUGUUGUAGUUGCCUUCUGGAACACAGAUCCAAGAAAGAAGAUUCAACGUGGAAGUGGAAGUGCAAAUGAGGAAUCUCCCUUCUAUUUUUUAUAGAGGAUUCAACCUAGAUGUGAUGACUAAGGAGCUCGAGAUGGAAGGUUGAAGAUCACCCACAAUUCAAUACUUGAAAAAUUCUUCUUUCCUCAUAAGUAAGAAGAAUAGGCAGUAAGCAACUAAGUAUGUUAUGUGGGAGGAUAAUUUGUUAAGAAAGUCUCCAGAUGGAUUAUUGUUAAAAUGCUUAGGCUAAGAAAAGUCAAUGAGAGAAAUGGCUGAAGUACAUGAAGGAAUAUGCAGAGCACAUCAAGCUGGUACCAAGAUGAGGUGGUUACUUAGGAGAUAUGGUUAUUUUUGGCCCGACAUGGAAGAAGACUGCAAGGCCUAUGCCCGAGGGUGUGAGGAGUGUCAAAGACAUGGACCUUUCCAACAUGUGCCCUCAGUGCCCUUAAACCCCGUGGUCAACUCUUGGCCCUUCAGAGGAUGGGCAAUGGACUUCAUUGGGAAAAUUUACCCAACUUUUAGCAUGGGGCAUACAAUCAUAAUUGUGGCAAUAGAUUACUUCACUAAGUGGGUAGAAGCUUCAACUGUUAAAACUAUCACCUCAAUUGCAGUGAAAAAGUUCAUUAAAACCAAGAUCUUACAUAGAUAUGGGGUGCCCGAGACAAUUGUCACAGACCGCGGGCCAUCUUUUAUUUCAAAGGAAAUAGAAGAAUUUGCAAGUAAGUUCAAGAUAAAGAUGAUCCAAUCUAGUCUUUACUACCCCCAGUCAAAUGGUCAAGCAGAGGCCAGUAACAAGAUCUUGGUAAACAUUAUUAAAAGAAAGGUGGUAGAUAGUCCAGAGAAGUGGCACGAAAAGUUAGAAGACACUUUGUGGGCUUACAAAACCUGCAAAAGGGUAGGAACUAGAACUAUUCCUUAUGCCUUAACCUUUGGGCAUGAUGUUGUACUCCCCAUGGAGAUUAAUGUAAGUUCUAUUAUAAUUCAAAAUCAGUUUGGGUUGCACAUUGAAGAAUAUAUUCAGGCUAUCUGUCAAGGAGUUGAAGAUCUAGAUGUAGCCCGAAUUGAAGCUCUAAAUAAAAUUCAGGAAAGGAAGAGAGUUGUUGCCUGAGCAUACAAUAAGAAGAUGAUUGAAAAACUUCAAGGAAAAGAAUUAGUUUGGAAAGCAGUUUUGCCCUUAGGAGCUCAAGUGAAAGGCUUUGGGAAAUGGAGUCUUACUUGGGAAAGUCCUUUUAUUAUUCACCAAGCACUGGAUAAGGGAGGAUAUUACUUGGCAGAUUUAGAAGGAAACUUGCUAAGACAUCCAGUUAAUGCUAAGUUUUAGAAGAAAUACCAUCCAACUCUGUGGGAUGUCAGAGAUUGUUAUAUUGAAGAGGGCUAGUGAUUUCAAAGAGAAUUAAAGUUAGAAGGUGUAGUAAAACUUAAAUGUAAGGCAAGGAUUGAAACAAGUAAAGAUAUGGAAAGAUUUCAUUUCAUUUCAUAAUAAGGGAAUUACAGUGGCCUCAACCUAACAAAUUUACUUCACCAAAAGUAAUUAUUCUAGAAUGAUAAGUUUGCAUAACUGUGAAUAUUCUAGUAGGCUCAGCCAAAAUAGUACUGCUAUUGAUUAAUUGAGCCUCAUCAUAUUCCAACUCCGAAUUGUCCUUCUUCACUUCUUCAAUAUGUUGAUAAAGUUUACUUAGAAGAGUUCAUUGCUUAGCCCUUAGCAUAGCUAGUUGCUCAUCUAACUUCCAAAUCUCAAAAGUCACUACCUUAUUCUUCUCAUCUGUUGCUGAAUCUUCAUCUACCAGCUGUUGAAUAUGAGUUGAAAUACUGGAUUGUUUCUCCUUAAAACAUCUCACUCGAUUGGCUUGCCUCUCAGCCCUCUGAUGUUGAUCCCUCAAAACCAUCAAGUUCUCAAAAUAAGAGAUGAAGGAUUCAUACUGAGCUUUGGAUAGUUGAUCAGCCUUAAACAGAUCAGUUAUGGCCUUCUCUACGUCGUGAAGAGCCUUGAGGGUAAAGUAUGCUGAGAAAUCAUUCCUAGACUACUCUUAGAUGACUCGACGUUGCUCUUGAAAGCCUGAAAACCCUUGAGGAUCUCAGCUUUGUCUUGAGUUGCCCGAACUCUUUAAAAAGCUCGGGCAAAGCUGCAAUUGUAGAAAUAGGUGUAGGACAAGAGGGCAGCGCCCCAGUUCCUUCAGAGGGCACAACAAUGGAGGAGGUCUCAACAGAAAGAGGAACCCCAGAAGAUGGAGUAGAGGUAAUAGUGGCGGCAGUAGCUUUAACUUCCAUCUUUGGUCGAGGGAUGAGGGUCCCUGUGACCCCAGAAGCUAAAGGAGGUCGUGGAAGAUCUGAUUUGCUUACCAAGCGUGGAGGAGAUAUGCCUGAGCCAUCUUCAAAGCCCUGUUGGAAACGAAGAAAAACAAAUUAAGAAGAAAGAUUAUAAAUCAGAGCAUACAACAGGAAGGCGAGAAAAGGAAAAUUGAUAUACUUAAGUAGAGCUUGGAACCUUGGAAGAAGGUGGAUGAUGAGUUGUUUCUUUUCACUGUUGAGAGGGAUCAUUCCCACUUCCUUGUGAAUAAGGAAUGAUGCAUGAACCUUCACUAGAGACCUAUAAAUAUCAAAGAAAGAAGGCUAAUGUCAGUAAUUAGCUUAUGAAGAAAAGAAAAUAGAAAUAAGAGUACUUCUAUACCUGAGUAGGAUCUUGAGUGGAAAUAGGGAACUCCUAUGUGGUGGUUGCUGGUUGAAAAGAAGCCCGCAGCUAGUCACCUCUGAGACCACAGUGAUCUUAGGGACUAUGGGGUCCCCAAAGGCAGUAAUUGAUGGUUGUUGAGACUCCUAUGUUGGGGAAGACUAGAAGAAAGUAAAAGAUAAGUAUAAAAGAGAGAGAAUGCUUUAACCACAUAAUGUCAAGACAAAACACUCACCGAAUUGUUGUUGUCUUCCACAAAAUGCAGCAUCUCCCUAGUUAACGGAUCAAACAGGGAAGUAGAAGCCACUACCAAGGGAAGAGAGGUUGAAGGAAUAAAAAGAUGAAAAAGUAAAAGACAAGUAAAAGACAAGUGUUAAGGCUCUGAAAUUGGUGAAGAUACAAGUGUUAAGGCUAGAAAAAGUAAAAGACAAGUGUUAAGGCUCUGAAAUUGGUGAAGAUACAAGUUUAAAAAGAUGAAAAAGGACAUACUUUUGAAGGCUGAGCCCGAGAUGGGGAAGCAUGUGUUGGUCGGGCAGGAAGAGAAUAAGCUUCAGGCUGAAUGGACCUUCAUCUCUAAGGUCCUAUUUAAAAAUACAAGUAAAAAGUCAGUGCAAAUAUUGAGAGAAUGAAGAGGAAUUGAGUACUUAAAAUAAAUCAAACAUUUACCUCUAAUUCUUUGAGAGUAGCAUCAAGAACAGGCUUGUCUUUUUUAUAUACCUUCGCUCCCAACGGCUCCUCCCUUGAGACAAUAGUGGGUUUCUUGGUCUCUUCAUCUUGCCCGACGUCUAUCUCUGCAGGGUUGCCUUGGGCUGCAAGUGUAAAGAAACCAAGGAAAGGAUUAGAAGAGGGCAGAUUCAUGAAAAUUUAAUAAAUUACAAGUUAAAGAAGUAAAAGGUACCUAUCAGAAGGAGUUGGUUCUUCUGAUGAAUCAUUUCCUUCCAAUUCUCGAGCUCGCUCGAUUUAGGAUAGAAUUUGAUGGAUAGUUGCUUGAAGAGACAGUCAUGAGCUUCCCAUAUAUCUCUGCCAUACUUCUUAGUCCAUUUUGAUUCCCACUAAGUAGCAAAGCUUGAAGUACAUUCAAAAUUGAAAGCCAUAGGCUUUUUGGCAAUUUUGCUCAUAACCUUAAGACUUCAUUGGGCAGCUCGGAAUGUAACCUCUUGUGGGGGGUGUAGGUGAUAUGAGGUGCUGCAGUGAAUAAAAUCGAAAAAGGGUACAGGGAUGGUUUGCCUGAAGCCUAAUUGCCUGCUGCAGAAGUUUGGAUGAUAAACUUCUAGCCCGUGCUCGUAACGAUCACUUCUUACUCUCCAUGCAAGGUCAUUUGGUUGAAUGUAGCUAAUAAACUUAUCUCUGCAGAAAGUACUACCGUCAUCCCCAAAGGCAUCUUGGAAAGCUUGGUUGAAGAACCAAAGAUAUCUCCAUAGAACCGAUGUUCCUCACUCUAAAUCUGCCCGAGUCUUGCAGACACUAAAGAAGUACAGACAACAAAAGGUAGAAUGGUUGGUAGGAGAAGCCUCCGCCAGGAUUCGGGCAGAAGCAACACCCUUAGGGAAUUCAAGAUUGGGUGCCCGAAGCUCGGGGAAGUACUAUUGUAGCCAUAGCUGGAUCAUCCAGGUUGCCCCAUUGAGGUUGGUCUAGAAGGGGAUGCCUUGGGUCAUCUCAUACAAAAGAUAGUAAAGAUGAGCGAGGAGGAAGGGACUCGUAGCCACAUCAUCAAAAUUGUGCAGAGCUUCCACUAAAGGGAUUCGUUCGACUUUCACUGCCUUAGACUUGUUGAGGAAGACAUGCUUAUUAAGCCAGUAUAGUAGAAAAUACAUGUGAUCUUGGUCUCUGUUGGCGUUGGAAGAUGAAGGGCCAAAUUCCUUUUUCACAAAUGGAAUAAAACCCGUGAAAGAUGUCUCAUAACUCUUGAAAGUAGAAGAGUUAUAGUCUAGUUGGGCUAGGGGACUAAAGCUGCCUGAGCUCUCAGCCCGAAGACCUGCGCCAUAUCAAGGAUGGUUGAGGACAUAGGACCUAUCUUGAAAUCAAAAGUAUUUGUCCCCGAGUUCCAAAAGAGGAGAUAUGUGGUUAACAGCUCGGGCUUAGCAAUUAUCAUGGUCUUGGAGAGCAUUAUCAGCUUAUAGAUGUCACUGUUCCUCCAUUUUCUCUUGAAAGUAGGGUCGAGUUCAUUUACCCACCGCACCCAAGCUUCAUCAUUCAUCAAGGGGAAGCCACGAUGGUGGUGUGACCAUUUGGAGGAAGAAAUGCCCGACUCGGCCAAGAAUGGGUUAGGAGUGAACCAAUUUGCCUUGGGCAUGUUGUUUUCCACGACUACAGGGACUGGGGAGGUCCAUGCAUGCCCUAAGGAGUGUGCUCCUCCCUCCUCGAAGAAAAGUUCAGUAUGCAGGCCUGCCUAAGGACAAUGAAAGUCGUUAAGCAAGCGACGCAUGGUGGAAAUCCCCUCACCAGUCUCGUAGGAAGAUUAAGUUCGAACAACUUUGGGUGCCAUUGGUAAUUUUGAGAAAAAGAUAGGAAGAAAGUUGGAACUAGGAGCAAGAAUCUAGAAAACAGGAAGUACGGGGGAAUCUGGGAAGUGCUGGAAAUUCGAAGGCUUGAGAAUGCUAAGGUACUUAGCUGAAGGGUUUAAGUGAGCAUUAUAUAGUAAUCGAUUAGUUAAUGUUGGAAAACGUGGUUUAGUGCAAGGGUUUUGUUAAACAACGGCUGUCUUAAAUGGUGCAAGUCUCAAGUGAAGGCAUGCGGCGGUGGUUUAAUCAUUAUUAACGCCUCGAUUUGCAGACUCAACAACGAUUAAAAGGGGCACUAUUUGGGUUAGUAUUUAAACAUUAGGCUUAAGUGAAAGAAAGCCCAAUGAUGCCAAUUGAAAGGGGGAAUUGCCCAAAGCCCAGCAUUAAACCCAUAAGAAAAUUGAGGUUUUCUCAUCCAUGAGUCAUAAACCACGUGUCUAUAAGUAAAGUGACAAGUGAUGGAGAUUAACCUACUAUCAGCCCAAGAACACUUGCCAGUGGCAUUACAAGUAAGAAAGCUGAUGACUCACUACCCUCCAAAUGUUUUUGGGCAAGAGCAAAAAUUACAGCAGUGGGGCUAGUUUGGCCAUAAAAGGAAGAAGAGACCCUAGAGACAAAGACACUCAACCAAUCAAACAAACAAACAUACCAACUCUGCUCUCAAGCCAGAUUUGCGUCAAAAAGCUAAACUCAACCCAGAUUCAGUCUUUUUAAGGAUAGUUCCCUACAAAAGACAUCUUUUGUAUAGUCUAAAAGCUCUGCUACCUCCCUUAGUGGCGUAGUAUCGAUUCCCUUAUAUAAACUUGUUUACCAUCCAUCCUUUUUUAAGCAUAUAACUCUUGUAAACUCAAAGAAAAGUUACUGUAAGAAGUUCAACCUUGCCAGACAAGGUGAAAUCUUGCCUGAAGCUCUUUGUUUAUUUUCUAAAUUAGUAGAUCUAUUGCUUAAUGCAUUUUCCAUUAUGUAUUCAAGUUAUUUCCACCUGUUUUUCUAUUUUAAGAAGUUCAUUUGCAUCUGGAUCUGGUUCGCUUAAAUGAAUAUGCUUUCAUUAGAUAUAAUCUAGAACCAAACAAGUAACUUAAGGAGAUCUGGACUCCCUUCAUUUUGAACAUACAAGACUAUGAACUAAAAGUCCUUGUUUACAAGGUAAGAAAAAGAACUUAAUGUGGACUUAACCCAUCCACGACAAUCCUUUGAUAAUAAGAAGUUUGAAGUAACUUGAGGCGCAAGUAAUCUACUUAAAACACAUGUGCUCUACAUAUGUUAUACUGAGAUAGCAGUGGCACGCCUAGCACUUAGUUUUGAUUGCGAGCCUCAAGGCCUAUACCUAAGGCCCCACAAAGGCACUUUUUAGAACUAACUUUGUUCUCUUCUUGUAGCACAUCAACAAGCAAGAGCUCGACUACACAUCCAAAGAAUCAAUCCCUUGGGGAGCUGUGCUAAGGUUUGAGGAUCCUUCUCCAAAGAAAUCUUUGCCCAAACAAAUAUUAGUUAACUUCAGGAAAUGACAGUCUAAUUUACGGAACUAUCUUUUGCAGGCAAAACAAAAACGUUUGGGGCCACGUGAGUUACGUAGGAUUGGUGUUUAGCUUGGUUUACUCCGGGAUUAUAUUUCCUGAGUAGGUAGAAAGAACUCUUUCCUUGACUGGGAUAAGUUGCAAGAUAUUGCUAUUGGCAUUACCAAAGGAAACAAGGAUGUGAUCAACGAAUCCUUCAUUUUGAUAUCAAACCAUAAUGUUUUGCUCGAAUAAAACUUCACGCCAAAAAUCUCUGAUUUUGGUCUGGCCAAGUUAUGUUGCAAGGAUCAAAUCAGUGUCAAUAGCUACAGUGAGGGAGACCAUAGGGUGCAUUGCACCCAAAAUGUUUUCCAGGAAACUGUGUUUUACAAGGCAUAUGUCUAUAAUUUUGGAAUGCUGCUGCUUGAGAUUAUAGAAGGAAAGAAGAAUAAUGGUUCAACAAUAAAGGACACGACAAAUGAAAUUUACUAUCCAAAAUGGAUUCAUAAUCUUCUAGAAGAAGGAGAUGACCAACAAAUCGAUAUUCAGGAAGAAGGGAGUGUUAAGAUUCCAAAGCAACUUCCAAUUUUAGGGCUCUAGUGCAUCUAGUGACAUUCGGUGAGUUGUCCUUUCAUGAAAACGAUGGUCCAGAUGUUAGGAGGAGAAAACUUGACGAUGCAAGCAUCGCUAAAAGGCUCCUACAGUUAAUAGCAAUUGCUGAAUUAGAGUCACAUGUAUAUGUAUAGGCACCAACACUAGUAGUUCUUAGAUGAAUCCAAGCCUAAACAAUUACAGAUGACAGUUCUUCACUAAAUCACUUUAAAGUAAUAAUUUAAUUAAUAAUACAUUAUUGCACUUUCUCAACAAUUUGAUCAUCACCUAGCUGACAAUGAACAUGUUAGCUCCACGUUAGAACAUAUUGGAUUCGAUUUAUUGUCUUGAAUGUCACCCAUAGUCACAGGUGUUUCUUGUGGGCAUAGAGAAGGCCUGAGAGGCAUUUGCAAACAUUCACCAUCUCCUCCAAGCAUUUUGACAACUUUGGACAUCGAAGGGCGAUCACUUGGUUUCAUUUGAAUACACCACAAGGCGAUUAUAACCAUCUUUCUUAUUACUUUCUUUUCCUCCUCUGUAACAUUGUCCAUUUCCAAGUCAUUUCCCACAAUAUACUGAUCAUAUACCCACAUUGGGAAGUACAUUUGGCUUGGAUGCUCUACCGUUGAAUUCCAAUUCUUCCUUCUGCUUGCCAUUUCCAUCAACAACAUUCCAAAACUAUAGACAUCUGCCUUGUAUGAGACGCCUCCAAUAUUUUUGUAGAACAACUCAGGAGCAAUAUAUCCCAGUGUACCUCGUGCUGCCGUCAAAGAGACAAUGCUAUUAUCUACGGGAUACAAUUUUGCAAGCCCGAAGUCAGAAACCUUUGCUUUAAAGUUCUCAUCAAGAAGAAUGUUAUGAGGCUUGAUGUCAAAAUGUAGAAUUUGCAUGUCACACCCUUGAUGUAGAUAUUCAAUCCCUUGAGCCACUCCAAGAGAAAUCUCAUACAUGUUCUUGAUACUUAAGGAGAUACUUCCUUCUUUGGAAUAAAUGUAUUUAUCAAGAGAGCCAUUGGGCAUAAAAUCAUAUACUAAAGCACGCUUUGAUCCCUCGACACAAUAACCAACAAGUUGCACCACAUUAGCAUGGUGAAUCCUUCCGAUUGUAGUUAUUUCACUAAUGAAAUCUUGGCCAUUUGCUUUGGGCUUGCUCAAAACUUUAAUUGCUACAAAACGGCCACUACGUAACUUUCCUUUAAAUACGGAGCCAAAGCCGCCUUCACCCAACUUAUCAUUAAACUUGCAAGUCAUCUUCUUAAUUUCGGAGUAAGAGUACCUUAUAGGCAUGAAGUUGUUAUUGCAUUGCAGAAAGUCUUCUAUUGUACUAUACAUUGACAAAUGUCUUCUGCGCCAUAUAUAUACUAAAAAUGCAGUCACAACUGGAACCCCAAACAGUAGUCUUGCUGGAAAAAAUGACCCUGCAUAAGAAAUAUAUCACCAAAAGAAUCAUAAGAACAAAAACUUAUUUUUCAAAUCCACACUAUAAACUUUUUUCUUCUUUUGAGGUAAGCUUCAGAUCAAGCCACUCUUUAAUGAAUGAGAUAUAAAUUAACACUUACAAAAAAAUCUUUUGAUAAAUUAAACAAGUUCCGAGUCCCCAAAUCACCUCCACCACCCUUCCCCUCCCGCAUUGGCCGACUCCCUUCUCGGAUAGCUACACCGGCCACCCCACCCCACAACCAACCAUUCAUCCUUCCCUCAAGUCUCUCUUUCCCUUUCUCUUUCUUUCUUAUUGUUUCUUCCUCUUUUUAUUGCCCUCCUGUCUUAUGCCGGAGAAGGACACAAGGGACACCGGCAACCUCACAAGCUCUUAAAUCUGAGGUGGGUGACGGCAAAUUUGAAGGUGUCGCAGACCACCCUCAGGUUCAAUAUCAGAAGAGUAAUGCUAAGGAGAUUAAAAUUUUUAAACCAAAUGAUAUGUCAUAAAUAAGAAACACGCACAUUAAUCGAUACUUAAUUACUAAUCUAAUCAUCUUCAAUCAUAUCAUUUAGUUUGCAAAUUUAAUUUAAAAAUUUGGUUUCCUUAACAUUACUCAUAAUCAGAAUGAGAGUGGUAGAGAGCGAGAGGGAAGAGGAGAAAGAAAAAGAAAAGUUAAAACAUUCAAAGAGUAUCGAGUAGUACUGAUAACCCAUGAAUUUUGUUUGAUUUCAGUCAUGAGGUUGGAAUCUAUGCUAAAAAUGGACACGCACGCCCAUGCAUGCACACGCAUAAAUAUAUACAUUAAUUCUUACCGAUGACCAUGAGUAUAGCCGCUCCACGCGCUGCAAUAAAAAUAGCAAAAAGUAAAAAUCAAAUGGAAACGGCUCAAAGUUUGAAAAGUGAAUAAAAAUCAAAGACUUGACUAUAUUUUCAAGAAAUACAAGCUCUUGGGGGAGAAAGUCCCUACAAAUGGAAUUGAAUGGUAACCAUCGAGGAGCGUUUCCUGAAAUAAAUACCACACAAAAUUCAUCAACGAUAAAAUACUAGACUAUCUUUGAGAUGUGCAUAUAAUGUACCACAGUGACUAUUAAAAUAAAUUAGCAUUGAUUUGAGGGAGAAAGUCCUUACGAAAAUAAUAUACGGGUUCACGCAUAUAAUAACCUAGAGUGACAAAACAAUACACAAUUAGCAAUACCACAACGAAUCUUUAGAGUUUAAAAUCAACAAGUUUUGUAACAUAUCUUUUCAAGCAACAAUCGUAAACAUUGAAUUUGAAAGAGACUAGAAAGAUGCUUUUCUUUUCUUUUUGUUUGUUUGUUUUGUUUUGUUUUGGAGAGGGAUCACUUACGGAAUUGAUUCCACAGGAAUCGAAAUAAACCUACAGUAUAACAAGAAAACAACAUUAGCAUAACAACAGUUAGAAAAUAAAAUUCAAGUUGCUGCCAUUGUUGAUACCUGUAUAGCAUAUGAUAAAGCAACAUUUAAUUCAUUUGUCAUGCAAUUGAUAGCGGAACUAAGAUAUGGUUUUGGGAAAGGUCAUGACCCCCCACCCCCCACAACAACCCCAAACUCUUUAAUUUAGAUAAUAUCAUUUGUUCAAAAAAAUAAUCAUCAAUAUUUUAACAAACUCAAUGCCACAAUGAUGGAGAAGAGUGCUGCCCUUGCACCAUGGUGUGAAUUCGAACCGCAUCGGCUCCUAAUCUAACAAACCUAUUGUUUGACAAAAAAAAAAGAAGGGAAAACUAAAGAAAAGUCAUCAAAAACUUUAGUUUUAAUAAAAAUGAUAAAAUAAAGGCGUAAGUAAAUAGUACCAAAAGUGACUUUUCAAGGUAAAAAUGUCCUUAACUUUAAAAGUGAAUAGUACCGAAAAUGUUUCAUUAAGAUUUCCAAAAAAAAAUUAUUAUUUAAACCAUCCCCAUAUUUCUCGUCCUUCACAUCUUUCUCUCUCAAAUUAAUAAUUUUUUUAUAUGUUUAGCAAUCUCUUAACUUCUCUCCUCUUCUUUAAAACUAGAGUAACUAUUCACAAAACUAAACUAAAAAGUGCGCUAUGGAGUUUCUUGGAGCUUGAUUUUCUUAGUUUGACUCUUUAAACUAGCAUUCCAACAUAUUUAAAGAGUCUCAUGGAGAGCUGCAAAGACAAUAAAGGAUGCAACUAAAACGAUGGGUUUAUAAGCUUUAGUUUUUCAUACACCACACUAAAAAUUUCUAUUGAAGCCAUAUCGCUUUGGAUAAUACUUGCAUUCCUCUUUUGGGGAAUGAGCUCAUUCCUCCACUUACAAAUUAAUAUAUCUUUAUAGUAGAAAUUUCAUAAUUGGAACUAUUCAAUCUCCUAGUCUUCAUAUGAAAAUCAUACCUACAAAAAAUAAUUCGAAUCGGAGAUCGUUUAGUCAUCCAAAUGUAUCAAAUAAAUUAAUGGUGUAGGUACCAAGAAGCAUAAUCAUGAUGAAACGUUGAUUUCUUUGAUAGAUUUAGAUAACUAAGUGAUCUCCAACUUGAAUGAUAUUUUAUAGAGUUGAUCUUCAAUUGAAGACUAAGACAUUGAACGAUUCCAAUUAUAAAAUUUUUACAUUAAAUAUACGUUAUUUGUAAGUGGGGAUAUGAGUUCAACCCCACAAGGGGGAAUGCAAACAUUCUCAUGGCUUGAUUACUAUAGUCUAAAGUUGGAUUUCCAAUGGCAUUGUUCAUCUUUCCCCUGAUUUUGAAAAUUCACGGUUUUGGCACUGAACUCUUUCUUUGGGUGGUUCUGCGCCAAAAAGAAUGGGUUUCGGCUCUGCGUCUGGGCCCGAAGUGGGCUGCCCUGUGUGUUGGGCUGGGUUGCACGGAAAGAGUCGAAAUGACUCUUUUUCCCGCUUCAAUCCAAAUCCAACGGACAGGAUCUGGGGGCACUUUUUAUUUGGUAAAAUAUAUUUUCAUUUCACACUUUAAUAAAGUUACAGUUUAGGUAUACAUAUACAACAAACUAACAUAGUAUCUUAACCACUAAGCUAACAGCUAAGAAGAUACAUUUACAAUAUUGCCCUUUAUAUCCCCCCGCAAACUGAACUUAGGUUGUCGAAGUUGAAGUUUGUCAUGAAGGAAGAGGAAACGAAGCUUGGACAGAGACUUGGUGCAGAUAUCGGCUACUUGGUCUUGAGUGCAGACAAAAUGGACAGAGAUCUGCUUGGCAAAGACCUUUUCCCUAAUGUAAUGAUAGUCGAUUUCUACAUGCUUUGUCCGAGCAUGAAAGACAGGAUUUUUUGCUCGAGAUAUAGCAGAAAUAUUGUCACACCAAAGAUGAGGGGUGGUAGGUAAGCAGUAGCCAAUAUCCGAUAGUAAUUGACAGAGCCAGGUGAUUUCAGAUGCAGUAUUAGCAAGAGAGCGGUACUCUGCUUCGGUGGAAGAGCGAGCAACAGUCGGUUGCUUCUUAGCACUCCAGCUAAUCAAAGAGUUACCAAAAUAGACACAGUAACCUCCAGUGGACCGGCGGUCAAGAGCACAGCCAGCCCAAUCAGCGUCCGAGAAGGCAGUGAGAGUAGGAGGAGUGGAACACUUGGAGAACCAGAUACCAAUAUCAAGAGAUCCCUUGAGGUAUCUUAGAAUACGCUUUACAGCUUGAAGAUGUGAAAGUUUGGGAGUGUGCAUAUAUUGGCAUACAAGAUUAACUGCAAAACUGAGAUCAGGACGAGUCCAGGUGAGAUAUUGUAGAGCACCAACCAGGGAACGAUACUCAGAAGCAUUGUCACAUAAGGGAGAAUCAUGAUCAAGUUUGGAGGUGCUGAGAGGAGUACUGCAAGGUUUGGCACCAGUCAUGUUGGCCUUGGAUAACAAAUCCAAUAUGUAUUUAGUCUGAGAUAGAAAGAUACCAGCAGAAGAUCUUUUGACUUCAAGACCAAGAAAGUAGUGCAGCGGACCCAAAUCCUUGAUGGGAAACAGGGAACUCAGUUGCUGAAUAACUUGGUUACAGGCAUCAGAGUUUGGACCAGUAACUAAAAUGUCGUCGACAUAAACCAGAAUGAAAAUCAUAGCUGAACCCUUUUUGAUAAAUAAGGAAUGGUCGCUGGGAGAGCCAACAAAACCGAGAGAAGUGAGAGCACCAUGAAGCUUGUCAUACCAAGCCCGCGGAGCUUGUUUUAAACCAUACAACGAACGAUGCAAGUGACAGACAUGAGAUGGGUGAGCUGAAUCUUCAAAUCCAGGAGGUUGCUGCAUAAAAACUGAUUCAUUGAGUGUCCUAUGUAAGAAAGCAUUGCUGACAUCUAGUUGAUUCAAGAACCAAUCGAACUGGACCGCAAGAGUGAGGAUGAGGCGAAUGGUGACUGGCUUGGCUACCAGACUGAAGGUUUCGGUAUAAUCUAAACCUUCCUGCUGAUUGAAGCCCUUGGCAACGAGCCGAGCUUUGUACCGGUCUAUAGUACCAUCGGGCUUACGUUUGAUGCGGAAGACCCAUUUACAGCCAACAAUAUUCUGUGAGGGAGACGGGGGAACAAGAGACCAAGUUCCAGUUUUGAUGAGAGCAGUAACCUCUUCUUGCAUAGCUUGGGACCAAUGAGGAUAUUUGGAAGCUUGGAGAUAGGUUUUAGGGAUGUAAUCCACUGAGAGAUGAGAGGGAAAAGGGUGCUUAGUAGCAGUGAGAGCUUUGGGUUUGAAAACACCAGAUUUGGACCGGGUUUGCAUCGGAUGGGUGUUAGAAGGUUGAAGAGAAGUGGAAGGAACGAAAUCUGGAAUAGGCAGUACAUGACUGAAGGGAAUAGGUGUGGAAGGAUUAUGGGAGAAGGGGGAUGGGGAAAUGGAAGGGGAACGAGGGAAAGAGGGGGGAAUACUAGAGGAAGAAGAAAGAGGAAAAGUAAAAGUAAGGGUUGAUGGAAGAGAUGAGGUAGACCUAGGAGGCAGGGAUGAAGGUGGUAUGUUGGAGAUAUGAUGGAAUGGAAAACUGGAUUCAUUGAAGAUGACAUGUCGGGAAAUAUAUACUCGGUGAGUUGCAGGGUCAAGACAUCUAUAGCCAUUGUGAUUUAAACUGUAUCCAAGAAAGACACAGGCUCUGCUUUUAGGAUCCAGCUUCAAGGAAGUAUAAGGCUUAAGCCAGGGGAAGCAAGCACAACCAAAAACCUUGAGAAGGUCAUAAUUCGGAGCUCGAUGAUAUAGAGAUUCCCAAGGAGACUGUCUGGAUGCAGUAGGCAAUCGGUUGAUAAGAUAGAUGGCAGUGUUGAAAGCCUCCACCCAAUAGAUGUGGGGUACUUUGGAAGCUGUCAAAAGAGUGCGAGCAGUUUCAACCAAGUGACGAUGCUUGCGCUCGGCACACCCAUUUUGUUCGGGUGUGUGGGGGCAGGUAAGUUGAUGAUGAAUGCCAUGAGUAGCCAAAAAUUGAGAGAAACUAGUGCUCAAGUACUCUCCUCCGGAAUCAGAUCUCCAAAGUAAUAAUUUUUGUACACAGAGAAUUUUCAACCAGAGAUUUGUAUUCCAUAAAAGUGGACAGUACAUCAGAUUUGCAUUUCAAAGGAUAAAACCAGGAGUACCUAGUAAAGUCAUCCACAAAAAUGAUGUAAUACCGAAAACCUUGAGAAGAAGCUUGAAGAGAGGGUCCCCAAACAUCCAUGUGGACAAGUUCUAGAGGUUUGCGAGUUGUACAAAAAGUGGAUACAAAAGGAAGCUUGGAGCUUUUAGCCAAUGCACAAUAUGAGCAGAAUGACUUAGUUACAUGAGCUAAAACAGGAAUACAAGAUUGAGAAGCAAGUUUAUGAAGAAUCUUGACAGAUGGGUGACCCAAUCUUUGAUGCCAAACAUCCGUAGAAGCUUUAGCAGUGGUGGUGAGAGCCUUAUGAUUGCCAGUUGCAGAUUAGGAAAAAUGGAAAGGAUAGAACCCUUGCUGAACAGGUCCUUUAAAACACAUCCUCCCCGAAGAAAGAUCAUUCACAGUGAAGUGAGAGGGAUAAAGAUGCAAUGAACAGUGAUUAUCAAGUAAAAAUUGAUUUGCAGAGAGAAGGUUAUGUUUCAAAGCAGGCACAUAAAGAACUUUAUUGAGAUUGAAAGCACUAGUAGAAGUAUGCAAAGUAGUAGAACCAGAAUGAGUGAUAGGCAAACCUUUGCCUUCACCAAUAUACACUUGUUCUGGACCUGUGUAUGCUUCAGGAUUUUGCAGAGUGGAAUAGGAGUUGGUCAUGUGGGAUGUUGCUCCAGAAUCGACAAUCCAAGUAGGAUUGGAUGAAGAAGCAGUAGCAACCAUCGCUGCAGGAGAGGAUUUUCCACCAUAAGCCAGAUUGAGGCGAUGAGGACAAUCACAUGCUUCAUGAUCAAGUUGAUGACAAAUCUGACAGGGAUGUUUCUUGGUGUAGGAAGAAAAAUUGUUGCGACCUCCACGAUUAGAACGUGAAUUAUUACCACGAUUAGGAAAAGAUCUCGGAUUGUUAGAGGAUCGGUAAUUGCCACGAUUCAAAGGACCGCGAUUAUGAGAGCGAUCCACUCCACGACUUGGAUGACUGAAGUUAGAAGGAGAAUGAGCCACAAAAGCCUGAGAGUUAAGACUGGAUACAGGAAGAGGAAGAAUGCCAGCAGAGGUGUGAAGAGCCUGAAAAGAGGACAUCUCAGAGAUACUUUUCUUGCGAGUGGCUAAUUGAAUCUCCUUGCUAAGAAGCAAGCCAUGUAAUUCAUCAAUUGUUGUAGAUCCGAGACGAAAUUGAAUAGCAUCAACAAACGAAUCAUACUCAGGGGGAAGACCGUGGAGAGUGACAGAGAUCAGAUCGGAAUCUUCAAUCGGAGAGCCGGCACUGGCAAGAGCAUCAGCAAUGACCUCAAUUUGCUGGAGAUACUGAGCAGCAGAUGAAAUUCCUUUGGAAAGAUUACGAAGUCGAGAGCGUAGCUCAUGAAUAUGAGACUGAGAGGCCGUGGCAAGGCGAGAUUCCAAUUUCGCCCAAAGAUCGCGAGCCGAAUUCACACCAACAGUGUAGGGAAUGAGGGAAUCCGAGAGCGUGGAGUUGAGCCAGAUGAGAAUAUUCUGGUCAUUUUCAUACCAAGAAAUAAGCAGGAUUAAGAAUGCGAUUUCCUGAGGAAUCAAGAAGAAAUUGAACCGGCGCCGCCAUAGAUCCAUCAAUGUGACCAGUCAGAUUGUAUCGGCGAAAAAUUGGAGCAAAGAGAGCGCUCCAAGUCAAGUAAUUGGUGGUGGUGAGCUUGAUUGGCACCAUGGAUCCAAUAUUUUGGAUUGUGAUGGAGGUAGAAUUUGAAGAAUUAGGGUUCGAAGAUCCAGUCGGAAGGGGGUGAAUUGGAGAGGCCGAUUCCGAUGAAGGAGAUGCCAUUGGCAAAUAGAUGAGGAAGAGAGCACGAACAAAGAUCUUCAACCACGAUCUUCAACCACGAGCGAAGAAUCGAGCAAGAACGCAGAAAGAAGAAGCAGGAGAAAGGAGGAUCGAAGAACGAGAGUCGUUAGACAGAGAAGGCGAUUGAUACCAUAUUUGGUAAAAUAUAUUUUCAUUUCACACUUUAAUAAAGUUACAGUUUAGGUGUAUAUAUACAACAAACUAACAUAGUAUCUUAACCACUAAGCUAACAGCUAAGAAGAUACAUUUACAAUAUUGCCCUUUAUACUUUUGUCACUGCGUUUAAAGGGGUGGUUGCUGUCGAUGUCGUUGAGGCAUGGUUUGCCGAGGGGUUGAUGGGUUGCAGGUAGAGAUAGGGUUGACCAUAGGGGUUGCAGGUGGGAUGGGGUAGCAUACUUAGUCUGUGUUAUUUCAUUUCAACCAUCGACUAAAAUACACCAUUUUGGCAUCUAAGAUGAGAUCACACUCACAAUCACUACUAGAAUCUUUUCAAUUAUAGGGAAAUAUGCGUGAAGUGACAAACUUAUAAUAAAAAAAUAGAACUGGAGUGACACUAAAUAGAAGAUAGGUGAACCAACCACUACUUUCUUUCCAUUUAAAUAAAAGUCAAUUGAUUACGUUUGUGUCUUUGUGCUGUUUUUUUUUUUUUUUUUUUUUUUUUUUUUUUUUUUUUUUUUUUUUUUUUUUUUAAGAAAUGAUAGUUGAUUCAUAUUCAUAAAAGGUCAAUACAGAGUAAAGCCAAUCAUGGUUUAGGAAAGUCCUCAAAGAGUAAGUCAAGGAUUAAAUCAGGUGGGGAUUCAACCCAAUUACAAACAUGAUUAGAUGAUAAACCAAAACAUGCUUGUCUAUGGGCCACUCCGUUGGCUUGACAACGUACAUAGGUAAAAUAGGCCUCAAUGAUUGACGAGAGCAUUGCUUUGACAUCCUCAAUGACCAAGAGUGGAAACAUUAGUAGAGGGAUCCCGCAACAAGUCUACAAUCUGAAGCGAGUCCGAUUCAAAUUGGCAUCUUUGAAAAACCCUAUUGGAUGCCCAAGUCAAAGCCAAAUGUGCAAUCAGAACUUUUGCCUCAAGGGGAGAGAAGACGUUAGUGACCUGCCAGCCAUAAGGUUAUCUAUGAAAACCCCUUCAAAGAAGCAGUUUGAUAUUUCGGCUAACACAAACCUCGCUCUUGUUAAGGUUGAUUUUCUGACUGGAGGCGAGUUCAUAUGCAGUGAAGGCAUUUGACAGAAUGAGACAUUCAGGUUCCUUGGCCCAGCAGAAAAAAAGGUUGUCGUCAACUAACAACAAAUGACUGAUAGGUGGGGCCCUGAUAGGAGCAUUUUUAUGCGACUUAAUUGGCUUGUUCUCAUGCAUUUAUGUUGUUUUUCCUUAGUUAGUUUAGUGUUUAAAGUCAUUUUCGUGCAAUUUCAGGUUUUAGUGUCAAAGUAUGCAAAAAGGAGCAUUUUGGAGCUUUUAGGAGCAAAAUUGGGCUUGGAAUGAAGUACAUAUGCAUGGAGCAAGGAGUUUGGACGAAUUUGAAGUCAAAACAUCAAAUAAACAUGCUAAAAAUCUGGUGCAAUAAAUACAAGUUGAAAGAAAGGAUAGGUUUCUAGAUGGAUUGACCAAAAGUCCACUCAAAACCAUGUUCACACCUAAAAUCCACAUCCUUGCCGUGAGUUUUUGGUGUUUUCACACUAGAAAAUUGAGUGAAUGAUUCAAGACCUAACCCACCAUUAUUCUACACAUCCUUGCCGUGAGUUUUGGUUGUUUUCACACUAGGAAAUUGAAUUAAACAAGUCCAUCCUCUCCCUAUAAAUACCUAUGGCAGCAACCUCAUUAAGACAUCCAGAAAUUAACCAUUCUCCAAGCCUUUCCUUGCCUCUCCUACAUAUCUAAACCCCUUCCCAUCCAUUCCUCCAAAUAACCAACCCUUCAACAUCAUUCCAACCUUGUUGUUGCGGCAAGGAGAAGGAGAAAAGUCCUUGGACGCGCUUGCUAUCCAACAUGGAUCGUUGGAACGUUUAGGUGCUUUCUUCCCUUUGUUUUUCAAUGGUUAAAUUUCUUUAUCUUUGUUUUGUAAUAAUGAGGAACUAAACCCCCCUUGGCUAGGGGGAUUCAAAACCAUGUUUAUGCUUGCUAUAUGAUUUGAUUACUUCCAAUUGCGUUUCUUGAAUUGUGAAUUCAAUUUACUUAUCCGUUCGUAUAAAAACUAAUUUGUGUAUGUUGGUUGAGAGUGCACGCUUAAUUUUCAUGCAUGAAUUUUGACGCUAGUAUAUAAGGGAGUUUCACCUAAUCGUUAUGAACUUAUAUUCACAAGUAGUGAAGGUUGCUAGUCACAAUCACGUUAAGUAAAUUCUUGGCAUAAGUUUCAUGCAAAUCAUAGUAACGAGUGCCUCGUCAAUGCUUAUGUUUUUCAUAGAACUUAAUGAUUCUUGCUUGUAUCUCUAUUAUGCAAUUCAUGUAGGGAACUUGUAGGGAAUGUUUUGGGUUGUCGUAUGCAAUCAUCCAAUCUAAUAACUUGUUGAAAAACUGAGAGUUAAUUAGUGCAAUUCACGGUUAAUUUGGGGCGUUGAGUAUUCAUAACUUAUCGAAGAGCAAUUGGAAAUCAUUUUGUAUGCAAGCAAGACAUGUGUGGAGAAGAACCCCUUAGCUAGCCUUCCAUUAUCCAUUCAACCCAAAUUUGUUUAAAAUCUAUUUAAGUUUUUAGUUUAUUCGUUUUUUACUUUCAACUUCACCAAACUCAAAUCCCCCUUUUACUUUCUUGUUUUAAAAUCUUUUGUUUACAUUUUUAACUUUGUUUCUUUUUGUUUUUGAGUCAGUUUAGAGGUUUUAGCAAGCCCUCCUAAUCCCCGGUUUAGAACGAUACCCUACUUACAUCUAUACUACAAUUGUCAAAAAGAGGGUUUAAUUUGUGUGUCAAGUAAAAUUGUCGCAUCAGGCCCUAGAGCACAAAGAAAUUUCGCGAAUCCUUCCCCUCCAAAUUGUUCACCAAAGCCAACAAGCCUUCCGUACACAAAAUGAAGAGAUAUGGAGAGAGGGGGGUCGCCUUAACGGAGGCCUUGAGACAGAUGGAGAUAGCCCCGAGGGCAUCCAUUAAUGAUGAAAGAGUAUGAGACGGAGGAUACACACGUCAUCAUCAAGUCAAUCUGCCAAUUAGAGAACCCCAAGUUUGGCAAGGAUACGUACUCCCACCCAAUACAAUCAUAUGUUUUAUUGAUAUCUAGCUUAAAAGACAGUAACCCAUUAUUGCCCCGCUGAUGCUUAAACAAAUAGUUAGAUAGCUCCGAGGCGAGAAUGGUAUUGUCAGAAAUGUUCUAUCCCAGCACGAAAACACUCUGAGUAGGGGAGAUGAUAUGGAUUAGUAUGGAUUUAAGCUGGUUUCCUAAUGAUUUGGAAGCAAUUUUGAAAAGGACGUUGCAUAGGCUGAUUGGUCGCAAUUGAGACAUAUCAUUAGGGUUCUUUUCUUUUGGGAUUAAUGAAACUCAGGUGAAAUUGACCAGCUUAAGUAAAUUGCCAGUGGAGAAGAAGGAAAGUAUAGUGGAAGUGGCAUCCUUGCCCAUAAUAUGCCAAAAGUGUUGGUGAAAGAAAAGGGUUUUUGUCUGGGGCCCAAAGUUUGAGGGCGCCAUUUGGAAUAAGGCCGCCUUAAUUUCCUCCGCAUUGAACACCAUCCAAGGCCCUAUUCAUAUUCGCAGAGACUUUAGGUUUAACUGGGUCAAGGGUUAAAUCUCUAUUACCUGAGCUUGUAGAAGAGAAUAGGUCACCAAAGUACUUGAGAACCAUGUUUUCGUUGGUCGGGCCCUCAUUUACCCAAUUUCCAGCCUUAUCUGUCAGGCCUUUGAUUAUAUUUUUAACCCUCCUAUUGUUUGCCCUCCUGUGGAAGAAGUUGGUGUUUCUAUCCCUAUUCAUGAAGCCAUAAAACACGAGAUUUUUGCCUCCAAAAGGAUUCCUCUAGGCCAAUCAGAAUAUCAAGUUGUCACAUGAGAAUGGCUUUUUCCUUGAUGACCAUAUCAUCAAGCGAUCAUGAGAGUAAGCUGCCCAAUUUGGCACGAACCUUAGUCAGUUCAUAUUGACGACCCCUAAAAACGAAUUGACACUAUUUUGAAAGGGCCACCCUAGUAACCUUUAUCUUUUGCACUACCUGGAACAUAGGAACACCAGCGAAGGAUUGAGCCCAGGCAGCACGAAUGACGUCCUUGCACCCAUAGUGUUUUGCCCAAAAUUCCUUUUCUCCAUGUUUGCCUCUUCACGGGAAACCCACAGACGUCUAGGAUAAGGAAAACAUGGUUAGAUUUGCUUGGGUAAAGGUGGGUAACUUUGGCAGAAUUAAAGAGAUCCUGGGCAGAAGCAAGAAACCGAUCCAAGUGUUCUUUAAUUCCACAAGCUCUGGUAGUGAUCCAAGUGUAAGGAUGGCUUGUGAACCCAAGAUCAUGCAAGUUGCAAUGUUAACUGCUUCCCAAAAAUUAGGGAUUUGAUUGAUGGGACGGGCAUGUCCAUCUUCCUUUUCAGUGGGUUGAAGUAGUUCGUUAAAGUCUCAUCCAAUAGCCCAAGGUAACAAAUUGACCAAAGCCAACGAUUUGAGGAGGUCUCAUGACAGGGGGCAAUCUUCCAUCGCCGAGUGGCCAUAGAAGCCAAUGAAUCUCCAAUGAAAAUCAUCGCCAAUUGCACCAAUUUUCGAAUCAAUGAAGUGAUCAGAAAAGCCCAGAACUCGCAUAUUGAUUUCAUUAUUCCACAAAAGCACAGGCCCCUAGAUUGCCCCCGCGAGGGUACACCAAAAAACCUGUCGAAUCCCAAUUUUAAUCUCAGAGAAUAGAGGGCCACAAUGUUAACCUUGGUUUCACACAAGAAUACCAAGGUGAGAUCUUGUUGCCGGAUUAAAUCUUGUAGUGCCUGAACUUUCCAGAGGUUCCCAAGCCCUCGACAGUUCUAGACUAAUGUUAUCAUGGCUGGAGGCGGGGAUGAAACCCGUCAGCCUCCACCGAUAGAACAUUAUAUGUCGCCAUUUUCCUUUCAAGUAAUCCAUUCUUCUCAGCCUCCACCAACUCUUUGGAUAGACUUAUAGCCACAUCGUAAAGGUUAAAUUCAUACCUGGGUUCAACAUCAGACAAAUAUUCCAAGCCAUUGAGAGGUUUUGGUGCCACAACCACCGCCCCAACCACCCCUUAUGGAGGUCCACGAGCAUUGCAGUUGGCCUUGGUCGGAGUGUCAUCACUUUAUGUGGUUUGGAUUACCCUUGCCCUUGUCGCAGGUGGAGUAUAUAGAAUGUGGCUUUCAUUCACUACGUCGGAUUGAUUGAUGAGCUGGGAUGCCAUUUAUUGGCAGAAGCAUCGAAAUCCCUGAGAUUCGUUUGGGGUGGGAAGUAGUCCAGUAACUUGAAGUUUGUUGGGUUCACACUAACUUCGUUCGAGGCCUGGAAAAGGCCUGUUGAAUUUUGGAAGGCCUAAGAAGGUAGGCGGUUAUGAUCAAGCUAGUAUUUUUUCAAGCGAAGGGACAUUGACAACGAUAGUAAGGGUCUCAUUGGAGAAUUGGGUCCCAAAGCUGUCUGGAUGCUACAUAUGGCCCAAUUCAGAAGUUAAGCGUGAUCGAGCAGUGGAGGAUUGCCCAGGAAGGAUUGGUGUAGGAUUGACCCUUGAUUCUGUGUUUGUGGGAAACCACGAUGUCAAAAAAAGUAGAGGACACAGAGCCUGCAGAUGGUACCGCAGGGGGUUUGUCCCCUGCAAUUCCAGAACCGUCGGUAAUUUCUUUAUCCUUUCUCAUCACCAGAAAAUGUGUUUGGACUAAAACUUGAUUUUUUGGCCCAAGGAUGGAGUCGGCCCAAAAGGAGGCCUAGAGGAAUAGAAGAUCAAGGCCCGGCCGAAACUUGGGAAAGCAGGAAAGGGCCUUUUCUGACUUGAUACAAUUCAUAAGGGCCACUUGCCUACCUACCCAAGGACCAAGUGGUGUAGACUAAUCAGACUGCACAGCCCAUAAAGUACUUUAUGGUGGCAUUACAUGUAAUAAAGCUGAUGAGUCAUCACCCUCAAGACCGCAUUCGGGCAAAGCUGUCGCUACAGGAGCCAAACCGAGUCGUCUAUAAAAGGAGGAAGAGAAGACAGGAAUAGAGACACUCAAUCAAACAAACAAAAGCACAAACUCUGCUCAAAAAGCCAGAUUUGCCUUUCAAAACGAAGCUGUAAUCAGCCCAAGCCUUCAUCCCCCGCGGGAUAAUCUUUUCUCCCAACCUCUGUAAUAGCUCUGCUACCUUGUUCGAACUUGUUGUAGUAUCGAUUCACCUUUUGUAUUCUCCUUUCCCCUCUCCCCCUCUAAGCUUUCAGACCUUUGACAGAACUACAAAAGGGACCUGCAAGACGAUCAGCCUUAAUUGAUAAGGUUUAAUCUUGCCCGACCUGCUUUGCUCUGUCUUUGUCUUCUCUUUCUUUAAAGUCUAGCAAUAUGUUGUAUAUUUCCAGUUAUAUGCAAGUUGUUUCUAGCAAAAUCACAAUGACAAAGCUUUCUCAGUACUUGGAUCCGAUUUGAAUAUAUCUUCAGUGUUUAAAUCAGAUCCAAGUCCUAAGCCCUCAGGCAUGUAAAUCUGAUUAGUUUAAAAGUCCUUGGCCUCAAGGCAUAAAAAAGAACUUUAUGUGGACUUAACCCAUCCACGACAAUCCUUGAUAAACGAGAAAUCCGAAGUUACUUGGGGCGCAAGUAAUCGACCUACCUCUUGGUUUUAUUUCUAUUAUAUCAUGAUUAUCAUAGAACGCUUAAGUAUGGAAUGGAUUCUGAUAGGAAGCCUCAAUGCCUACACCUAAGGCCCCACAAAGGCACUUAUUUGGAUUCAUUCUAUUCUGCGGUCUAGAUGGUUUGAGUAUAAGAACGGACUUUAAUGGGAAGCCUUAAGGCCUACACCUAAGGCCCCACAAAGCCACCUAUUUGGGUACGCUCUACCUCUCAGACUCGGAUAAUCAGAAAUAUAAUAGUUAUAAGACUCCGACAACCAUAAAGACCAAAUAUAUAUGCUCAAGUACUGGUUUAGUUUGACAGGAAGCCUCAAGGCCUACACCUAAGGCCCCACAAAGGCACCUGUUAUAUCUAACACGGUUUCUCAGGCAUAUGCAUAUUCAUAACUAAAACUUGACAUCCAUUCGACAUCUGCCAUGCUGAAGAUGGCAGUGGCACGCCUGAGCACUAAAAUGUUAACCUUGAUUGUGAGCCUUAAGGCCUACACCUAAGGCCCCACAAAGGCACCUCUCAAAGUUAACGAUGUCCUUCUCUUUUAGCCUUGCCCGAAGAGUCUUGCCCGACGAGACUUGCCCGACAAAGCCCGACAGCAGCCCUCAACCGGCGCCGAACCUCCAGGGGAGCUGUGUGCUCGUCGGCCAGGAAACAUCCCCGACGGGAAUUCCUACCACGAACAAAAUGAUUCAACAGAAUAUGCAUCUCGCCAUCUGACAGCCAUAAAAGUCGCCACUUCCAGUUUUACAGGUGUCGAAGUCCACGUGUAGUCGCAGGAAUCCACAUCUUCCACCUCUAACACCGACCCAAUUUUUUUCCCCCAAGGAUUGAGCAUUGGCCUUAGUGCGAAAAUUCCUCAGGAUGUCGUGGGCUUGGAUCUAGAAGAUAGCACGGUCAAGUUUGAUGUCAUCAAUCGAGUGGUAUAGGGGCCAAAGUUUAACCGAGAAAGUAAUCCUUCACAAACCAUAGGUUUCCUUCCAUAAGCUUUCUGGCUACCACCUCAUCCCCGACAGCAAUGAUAUAUUUGUUAUCCUUAGCUUUUGAGGACACGGACCACCCCCAUUUUGUUCCAGGCUGAUUGGAGGGUUUCCUUAACCACAUUCUGGGAGGGUUCAUGGUCGGCAAUGAGUUGUCCCACGAGAUGGAUGGAGCUGUCAAAGCGUUCCUCCAAGUCGAGGCUAUCUUCCAGAGUUAUAUUCAGAUAGUCAACAAUCUCAUCUUUAGUAGCCAUGGCCACCACAAGAAGAAGCCGUUGAAGGAGACAAGAUCCACAGGGGAUACAAAAAGGAGCUCACGCCAAUGGUGCCAGAGCUAGGGUGCCGGAGUGUCAGAGCUAAGGAGUCGUUGAACCAAGCUACUCUUGUACAUGACAAUGAGCUCUACAUAGUAAGCUAUUUAGAGUUUUGUUCCAGUUUUGAUUAUGCACAAUUUCAAUUUUAAACUUCAAAAAAUUUUGAAAUUGGUUUAGGGUUACUGAAAUUUUAAAAGCAAAAAAAAAAGACAUUCUGCAAUUAAAUGCAGAGACUGUUAGGUCUAAAAGAAUAAGAAAAUGGAGAGAGCAGCAUAACAUUACUACUACUAUACUAAGAACAACACGAAACUGGCUUUGGGUAAGAUUCCACUAUGUGUAUAAUCUCCUUCAAAAGUGAUUUUGGAAGAGAUAAUGUCAAAUUCAUAUCUGAAUAAGGAAAUAAUAUGCAUGUAUAAUGAAGUAGGGUUUGUUUCUAAUUUGGGGUAAUUGAUCGAUAUUUUGCCGAAAUUUUGUAGAAAUCUUGAUCUUGCUUCAAGGGGCCAAAUUAAUUUGUAGUUUAAACUCGAGAUUUUUUUUGGUUCAGAGAGUUUUACUUUUAUUCAUUGAAUUUUCUUUGCAUAAUUUUUUUGUUGUAAAAGUUUAAUGUUGUGUUGUUGUUCAUGAGGAAGAGGACUGAAACCCAGCUGCGUGAAGAAGGUAUGGUUUGUGACAGUUAGUUUUAAUUUUCCAAGCUUCCUAAAAGUUUUGGAGUAUCGUCUUUGGGAUGUUUGUGGAUCAAUUUUUUUUUUACACCUUGAAUUGAAUCGUAGCUUCUGAUGUUUGAAACUCUAGCACUUUUAGUUAGUUAAGGAAUAUUCAAUGUAGUUGACCGUCAAAAUUGGUUUUGUUGUCGUACUAUGAAUCUGCAUCAUUGAUUAAGUUUAUUUGUGUCUCGACCCUAUGUACAUGAUACAUUUUUUGUAGUCAUCUUUUGAUGUGGAUCAUAUAUUGUCGUUGUGAACUAUGCAAAAGAGGAGAGACUAAGGAGAGAAGCAGCAGAAUGGAUGGCAAAAUUAGGCAAGAUUGCUGAAAUACAGAGGCAAAAAGGGAGGAACUAGAAGAAUUAGUUGCGUACAAAAGCUCUUUUGAGGUUGUGCUUAAGAAACCAAAUUGUAAAUAGCCAUCAGGCCCACCGCAAUGUUGAAUAGUACAAACAAAUAUCUAAAGAUAAUGUUGAGUUUUGAUAUCGAAGUUAAACUUCUAAUGCAUUUUGUUUGCGCUGUGUGUAGAUGCAAAGGAAAAGGUGGAGGCUGACAAUUCAUCAGAUUAUAAGAUCGAGAAGAUAAGAAGAUAGUUGGGGAUACUAAUUUCAUACCAGCUGGUCGAAGUGGAGGGAAUUUGAGAUUCUAGAAGAUUCAGGAAGUUGACUAAUACAAUACCAAAUAGUAUUGUUGAUUACUAUUAAUUUUGCUUUAGAUUAGUCUCAGUUGUUGAUUAAUAUUAGUUUGGGGCUAAUUACAACCCACGUACGACUGAAGGCUUACUGAAACUAAGCAUGCUUGAUUGAAACUAUGGAUUGGAUAAUCUACCAUUUCGUUAUGGAACUUAGACCAAACUCUAUCCUUGACUAGAGAGGUGUAUGUGCCUAAUUUCUCCAACUAUGGCCAUAUGUAUAUAAAUCUAGCUUUUGUAGCAUCUCUAUCUUUUGAGCAUUCAGAACUUGAACGCUGUCAAUCUUUUGAUAACUAUGAACUUAUGCACAUAAAUCUACUUUUUUAGCAUCUCUAUCUUUUGAACAAUGCGUAAUUUAACGUGCCAAUCUUUUGAUAACUAUAGAUUUAUGUAUAUAAUUCUAGCUUCUAUAACCUGUAUCUCCUAUCUAUUUUCAAAACAUUUUAAACACCAACAACAUCGUGCGGGCUCUUUUGCUAGUUAUUUCUAUUCCAGCAUAAUUUCGUUUGUUUUUCUUCUUUAAUUGGCAAAUUUCCGUAUAGUUUUUCCCUUUGGGAACUACGUAGUGAAGGCUUCAAUUGGUUAGUUAAAAGCUCAGAUUAUUUGAAUAAAAACGUCUACAAAAAAUCUAAAUGAAAAAUGUUCAAACUAAUUUGAAUAACUUAAAGCAGCUUGUGCAGCCGGAGGUAAAUUCGAAUAAUUAACUAGCAGUUGAUUUUUGCAUGAAUAUUCACUGCUUGGCAACAGACGAAUAUUUUAUAUAACAAUAUAAUAAGUCAGUACUUCAUUAGAGAAUUACGCACCUGGGAUGGUGUUUGGAAAACAUUUAGGAUGAGGAAUGUCAGAACUAUAGCCUUUGCAGGUCAAUUUAUCGGGCAAUUCAUCGGGCCAAUUCACUCCAAGCUCAAAGCCAUACAUGAGUGCACUGUGUAUAUAUUCAUAAGAGGGCUUGUAGUACUUCAAAUGCAUCAAAGCAAUCCUCUCUGCUCUGCAACCCUCAUUCAAUUCCCCUACUUUCAUAUCGUUUGGGCCAACCUUGACAUAACUAUAAGAUUUUGGUUGAAUCAAAGAAGUGGCAGUACUAUUCAAGCAUGGAGCAGUAUCCACGUACAGAGAAGAAUUCACUGGGUUUCUACACCUCAAGUAAAAUAUUGAUGUUGAAAGUCGUAAAUUGGUGGUGGGAUUAUACGAACGAUAUGGAUCUCUUAGUGAAUAAGGGCCGGGAGGCAAAUUUCGAGGCAUGGAAGAGCAAUUGUUGUUGUCAAGGCCAGGAUCUAGAAGUCGGAGUAUUUUGUUAUUGUAGUUGAUUGUCUGUACGUAGUAUUUACCAGAAUAAGGUAUAUCACCAUAAUAAGGUAGAUCUAGUAUUGUAAUGUUGUUCUCACAGGAAAGAGUAUACAGAAUGUGGCCGCAGUGCUUUGGAUCAUGUUUUAGUCGAAAAGGGUAGCUUAUGUUGCGAAUAUUGCCGCAGGAGGAGGUACAGUUUGUACUAUCAUCCUUAGCGUUACAAGUUUCACUGCAAAAGCAAAGAAGAAAGGCUAAAAUAAAGGUCAAGGACCUGCUUCCACUAAUUUCCAUUGGAGAGAGAGGGGGAGAGAGAGAGAGAGGUGUACUGGUAAACACCAAGUAGUUAAAUAAUAUAGGAGAGAGAACCUUCUGGGAAGUUGCAGUAAGCACUUCAAAUAUCCAAGAGAAAAGUCAGUCAAUGGCAGAGACCGACUUGUGUAAUAAUAAUGAUCUCUCUCUAUCUCUCUGUGAGGUGUACUAGUAAACACCAAGUUGUUAUAUAAUAUAGGAGAGAGAGGUGUACAAGUAAACACGAAGGGGAGGGGUUAAAGCACCUUCUGGGAAGGUGCAGUAAGCACUUCAAAUAUCCAAAAGAAAAGUCAGUCAAUGGCAAAGACCGACUUGUGUAAUAAUAAUGAUCUCUCUCUCUCUCUCUUUCUUUAAUGGAGAACAGAGUAUAAUUAGUACAUAUUAUAUCUCUUCUUAAUUACACAAAAGAAAAUUGGGGUUUUUGAACUUAAUCUUUGAAGAAGAUUAAAGUUUAAUAAAAAUCUGAUGUUAAAUUGGAUAUUGAUUUUGAUCCUUUAAUAUUUACUUAAUUCAAAUUCAUAUUAUAUUUUUGUUUUAAUAUUUAAUAGAUGUCUUAUUUUAUUUGAUGAGAUCUUAAAUUCGAUUCUCGCUAAAGGUAAAUUUGAACCAUAUUAUUGUAAGUUUAUUGCCCAUCCCUUCCCCUUAGUGUAGAUAAUAUCAAUUGUUCAAAAAAAAAACAGAGAUGUCUUUUUUUUUUUUUGGAGAAAUUAGGUUCUCAUCCUUCAUUUUGCUACUCCAUUGAUUAAAUUCAUAUUCAUUUUCAAUUUUUGAUCAAGGUCCUUGGGUAUUAAUAACAUCAUUAAUUAUUUCAAUAAUAAAAUAUUUUUUUAUUUCUAAAUAUAUUCAUUUAAUGUUAAAAAUGUUACAAUUAGUAUAUUUAUAUUUAUGACUAAAUUUUUUAUUAUAUAUUUUUAGUUUUAAUUUGUACCCAUUUUUAAGUUGUAAUUCUUUUUUAAUUUGUACCAAUUUUCUUUUCAGUUUUAAUUUGUACCCAUAUAUUAAUUUCUUUUUGUGCCCAUAUUUUUAAGUUUAUUUGUAUUUGUACCCAAAUAUUUUUUUUAUUUGUACUUUUUAUUUUGCUAAAUGUACCCAUGCUAAUUAUAUGUACCCAUUCAUGUAAUUUAAUCUUAAAAUGUACUCAUUCUUAAGUAUACCAAUUUGUUAUAUGUAAAAUGUACCAUUUUUUUUAUAUAAAAUCUAUUCAAUUUUUUUUCUAAUCCAUUUUUAAACUUAUAUGGGUACAUUCUUUUUUUUUUAUGAUUUUAAAAUGUAUCCAUGUCAAGUUUAAUCGAAGAAAUUUACUAAUGUUAUUAAGCCUAAUAUAUAUAUAUAUAUUGUGAUUUUGAAAAAUGUACCCUUGUUUUGAUACAAUAAUUUUUUUGGUUAAUUUUGAUGAAUGUACCCAUGUUUAUAUAUAUACACACACAAUAGUAUAUUUAUAUUUUAAUAUUUUUAAUCCCACAAAUUAUUGUUUUUUAUUUAAAAUCUCAAUUCUAUAAACAACUAAAAUUUCUAAUUUUUAAUUUAAAAAAUAUAGUAACGUACAUAGAAAUAAAUUAUUACAUUAAUUUCAGAGACCUCGAUCAAAAAUUAAAAACCAACAAGGUUUCAAUCAAAGAAUAUUCAUAGCUAAGGACCGCAUCCAAAGUCUCCCUUUUUUUUUUAAAUAAGGUACGAUAUUCAUUAAAUAGAAUGGAGCGUACAAAUAGAAGGAUAGCAGUGUAUACAUGGGUCUGGAUAAAAAUCUCAUCGGGACUUUCAACUCGAUCUAAAGAAAAAAGAGUGUUUCGUACCUAACAAUCAACUAAGAGUUUUCUCUCUUCACGUAGCAAAUCAACAGUACAAUUAAAUAGACAUAUCUUCAAAAAGUGCAUCCAUGAUUAAACCUAGAGGUUCCCCAUGCCAUCUUAACUCUUGGCUCGAAUUAAUCCCCAUGUCAUUACAUUAAAUUUUAAAUUUAUUAUUAUACAUUUUAAUUCAUUAAUUUUAUUUGCUUCCUUUAACUAUUGUAUGUCACAUCCCGGCCCGAGACGAACCACAUCCCGGGUCCGUUCGACCACCGUAGCACGAUAUUGUACUAUUCCCUCACGGUUUUGUUUUUUGAAAACUCACGAGCAACUUCCCAGUUGGUCACCCAUCCUGGGAGUGCUCUGGCCUCCUUCUCGCUUAACUUCGGAGUUCCUACAGAACCCGAAGCCAAUGAACUCCCCAAAGGCCUCGUGCUAGGUAGGGAUGAGAAUAUACAUUUAAAGAUCACUCCCCUGGGUGAUGUGAGAUGUUACAAUCCACCCCCCCUUAGGGGCCCGACGUCCUCGUCGGCACACUUCCGGCCAGGGAUUGGCUCUGAUACCAUUCUGUCACAUCCCAGCCCGGGGCGGACCACAUCCCAGGUCCAUUCCACCACCGUAGCACGAUAUUGUCCGCUUUGGGUUUACCAUUCCCUCACGGUUUUGUUUUUUGGAACUCACGAGCAACUUCCCAGUGGGUCACCCAUCAUGGGAGUGCUCUGGCCUCUUUCUUGCUUAACUUCGGAGUUCCUACGGAACCCGAAGCCAAUGAGCUCCCAAAAAGCCUUGUGCUAGGUAGGGAUGAGAAUAUACAUUUAAGGAUCACUCGCCUGGGCGAUGUGGGAUGUUACAUUGUACCUAAACAUCUGUAUCAUAAUAUAUUUUAUUAAACUAGCGUACCGAAAUGCCUGUACCUAAAUAUAUUGUAAUGAAUCAGUGGCACAUAAGAAAAUAUGCAAAAACAUAAGUGUACUAAAAAUUCUGUACCUAAAUAUAUGAUCCUAACUAGUGUACCGAAAUGUUGGUAUCUAAAUAUAUUAUACUAAACUAGUGUGCCGAAAUGUUCGUACCUAAACAUAUUAUAUUAACCUAGUGUACUGAAACAUUUGUACCUAAAUAUAUUGUAAUGAAUUAGUGGCACAUAAAAAAAUAUGCAAAAAUUGUACAGAAAAAUCUCAACAGAAAUAUUUUUUACAUAAGAUACUUAACAUAAUGAGAAUUAAAAUGUCAUGCCCCGAUCCCGACAUACAUCCAGGAUCGACACGUGACGUUACUAAAUACCCAUAUCUCAACAUACCCCGUCUCUAGAAUAUGGCAAAUCACAACUCGAGAAUCGAAUCGCAUAGUCAUUUUUCUGUAUACUUUAUGGCUGCAUCUAACCUCCCCGAUAGACUGCCUACGUAUCCUUAUUAGGGAUCAAAUCAUUCGUAGUUUGUCCUUUCGCUACACUUGAACAUUCAUCAUAUAAACCACUGUAUCUCAAUAUAAUACCACAAUUCAAUUAUGUAGCACCUCAAGGAGCAUUUAACAAGGCAUAAUAUUAAUCUCUAUUCAUAUCAUCACUUAUCCACACAUAUGCAUUCCAACACCAUCCAAUUAUCACAUUAAUCAAUAAUGCCAAUCACCAUAUCAUCAAUAACACAUACAAUUCAUCGAACUGCAGGGCUAGAGCGACAUGAUUCAGCCAAAGCCUACAUCUCUGAAACUGUCUCAAAUGAAUCAAAUGAUGCGAUUUCGAACCACUCAACGAAAUCCAUCAACAUCGGGUUUCGGACCUCUCAACGGAACCAAGACACCAAAGGGGAUUCCGGACCAUCACUCAACGGAAUCGCAGAGUAGAAGGGAUUCCGGACCAUCACUCAGAAUCGCGAAGUAUAAGGGAUUCCGGACCAUCACUCAACGGAAUCGCGGAGUAGAAGGGAUUCCAGACCAUCACUCAACGGAAUCGUGGAGUGGAAUGUAUAACAUCAGUCGAUGAAAUAAGACAUGGACCGAGUUACCCAAGUUACAAAGACUCAACGAAAUGAGAAAUGAAAUAAUGACACGAGGGUGAAACACAUUUCAAGCAACAAACCCCAUGACAAUGGGUUAGCGGCCCACUACUAGCCCUCACAUUUCAUCACAUCCAUCCAAUCAUACAAUACAACCCAUAUUUCCAAUGCACAAGUCAAAUCAUACUUAAUGAAAAUAGAUUGAUGGCCAGAAACAAAAAUAACAGUUCAAUAGAUUUCACAUUUAAUAAACAUAGAUCUAUGGCAUAAAUAUAUAGAAUUCACAUUUCAAUAGAAAUCACCUUUAUAAGGCCAAGGCAUAAUCACAUAUGAUACUAAUAUAAAAAUCAAGGUAAUAGCUAUAUCACAUAUACACAAGUCAUUCUCUAACCAAUGUAGACUGACUAGACUUCGCUUAAUCUUCCAUAGUACUAAUUUUAGUAAUUAGGAUGUUUCAUGACAUGUUGACCAAAAGUCAACUCUCGAUCAACAAUAGGGUCCACAAACUUACGUAGUUUGAUCUGGAAGAUCCGCACCUUGGAUUUCCGAUCUGUAACUUUCCAAAGUCCACAUUAUGCUCAAAUAACUACAUACUAAAAUCUCAACAAGAUCCGACGGUUGGAUCUCCGCCAAUUUCAAAAUUCAAGUGGCGGUCGACAUUUAAUUUUACAAACUUAGAAAUCCAAAUAUGGAAGAUCCAUAUGUCAGAUUCCCAAUCUGUAAAUUUCUAUGAUCCUCAAAUAUUACGUAUUACAACAUAUCAAAGUUUGGUGACGAUCCAACGGUCGGAUAGUCGAUUCUUAUUUUCACCUAACCACGUAUCAUAAUAAAAUUAGGUUCAAUUGCUCAAUCUACGUCAUUCGAUUAUCAAAACUGAAUUUAAGACAACAAACAUAGCCUAAAAAUAACAUUGAUGGCCCACUAGCUACAUGUCGCCGCACGUGCCGCCGUGGGUGGCGGUCGACCGCCCCGACUUGCUAGAAAAUUCAACUAUUUUUAAAAAUUACCAAAAUUUAUAGAAAUGAAGAUCUCAAUGAGUAGAACAAGUUUUAUACCUGUGUCGAAGUCCAAUUUGGCCAGGAAAAGCUCCAAUUUUACUAAAACCCGCCGGAACCCUAGAAAUUGGGUAUAGUUUAAUUCAACGUCAAACUCAACUCCGCCACCUCCAAUGUUGAUUGGGGUUUGUUCCUGGAAUCAAGAGGAGUUGAAUAAGGGUGGUGGCCGUCGUCGGUGUUUGCAGAAUCAGCGGAAUUGCCGCGGUGGAGUAUGAGGACCAACGUGGUUGUUCUUCGCGAAAUCAUGCCCAAAUCAUCUCGAUUUUGGUGGAAUAGUGUAGAUGGGAGGUCACUGAGUUGAUUUAUGGUGGUGGAUGGCUGCAAUUUGCCGGAAAAAUCAAGAGAAACCGUCGAAAAAUUUGUAGGUAACUGGGUCAGGUCGAAAAUGGGGGACCGGUAAAGGGAUCCGGUGUCCCUCCCCUCUCCUCAUUUUUCCUCCUUUCCCCUUCUCCCAUUCGUCCCUUCUUCCUCUCUCCUCCCUUCCGAUUGGCUAACCCUCUUUCUUCCCUCCUGAAACUCUUCUCCUGCUCUCUCCCCUGCUGCCCUCUAGCAGCUCUAUUUAUUAUUAUUUUUUAUUAUUUUUUUUCUUUUUUUUCCUCUUGUUUUCUUCUUUCCUCCCCCAUUUCUAAUUAGUCCCUUUUCCUACCAUGUGGGAGUUUUACAAAUAAAUUAAAAUCUAUAGUUUAGUAACACAACUUCAAAUAUCCAUAACUAUACCAUUAAAACCUGGACUCGCAAACGGCUUUCGCCUAUGCGUUCGUGAUCUUGAAAUCUAUUCAACAAUAUAAAUUGUGACCUCAAAAGGUCUACGGAUUUUAACUAAUUAAUUUCCAAACUUCAAACUUCGUAACUAAAUUAAUUAAAAUCUAAAUUCAGACAAUUAAAAUAAAUUGUCCAAAAAAAUAAUAUAAAUCUCAAUAAUACAAAUACGUAGAUUAUAAAAGUGAAAUCCAAGAACAGGAUUUCACAUAAAAUUUAAUUUAUGAACACCAUAAAAUUUUAAUAAAAAAGAGAGACAUUGAAUACAUAUGAUGGCAUUAAACAGAGUCUAGGGACUAAAAUCAGUUUUUAAUCUUGUAUAAAACAUUUUUCUAAACUUCAUUUUAUUUAGGGAAAAUUAGAAUCCCCUACAGUUUUUUUUUUUUAUAUCAUUUAGAUUAAACAUCUGUGCCUUUUUAAAAUUUGAUUAAAGUGUUUUGACCAAUAACCAUCUCAAGCUAAAUUACAUGUCAUUAUUAUAUUUUUUAAAAUUAAAAUAAUUUUUUAAUUUAUCCUUUUCGCAUGAUGCACUUUGCCUUAUUUAGUGGAGAUAUUAGUAAUUAAACUAUAUUUUCUCUUAUUCCAAAUAUGUUUUUUCGAUCACAAUUUUUUUUUCUUUUUUUUUGGUUAUGCAAACAUUUAAUAUUUUUUUUUUUCAAAUGGUUUUUUUUUUUUUCAAAUAGUUGGUGAUCAACAUAAAAGCUCCGUGUAAUUUUUUCAAUUUUUUGUGAUUUUUUUUGUGCUGUUUUUUUUAAGUAUAGUUGUUGACGAAUUAUUAUUAGGUACAAUACAUUACGUAUAUAUUAUCUGCGAGUACGUUUGAAUUUACAAAAAUCAUUAAUUGGUACGUUUAUUUGUAAUUUUGGUACAUUUGAUUUGAUACAUAUUGUUAAUAUUGGUACAUUAUUUUUAUUUUGGUACGUUUUAUUUUGUACACAUUGUGUAUUGGUACAUUUAUUGACACACCCUGACCUAAAUCAAGGCAUGCUGACCGUCAAUCGAGAGUGACGUAACUAAUUUAGUACUAAAGAUAUAAAAACGUGAAUAAAUAAAAACCAACCUAGCUAGCUAACUAACUAAUUUACACUAGAUAAGAUAUAAAUGCGAGUGACAAGAUUUAAGCGUAAUUACACAUAAUUAGAGCAUAGCUAACCCAAGUGCAAUCCAGCAUGACAAAUACUAAUUAUACAAUACCAGAGAGAUGGUCCUACAUUAAUUACAGUCUGUCAAAACCGCCGCUAACUCCUCGUAAGCCACCAACAAGCACUCCUACCUAGAACCUGGUGGGGCGCAAAACAAAAAGUGUGAGUGGGCAAAAACAAAGCUUUUCCAAACCAUUUCACUUAUCAAAAGUACUAACCCCUCAUCGUAAAACCCGUAUAAUUUCCCAGAAAAUAAGAUACAUAUCUAUAUCAAACCAUAUUCGGAAUAGCAAAAUCUCCAUGUAUGCCAUGCCAAGUAUCUCAACAUAAAGAAAUAAGUAAACCAGGUGAAGAAAAUUAAUAAAAAGUAAUAGGUCAGCCGGAUCCACCUAUUGUGGCCUAUACGGCUGAACCUAUAACUCAUCAACUAUCCCUGCACACGAGUCGGAACCACCUAUAGUGGUCGGUACGACCAAACUAGGUGUAAAUAAGUACGCUCAAGUGCUACGAUCACGUGAAGACUGUGCGAAUAAUCGCGGGUCACCUACAAGUCGGAACCACCUAUUGUGGUCUGUACGACAAGACUGUGCACCAAACUUGGAUCCAAGGUGAGUGUGCGGUGCGAGAGGUGAACACCACGUGAAUGACUGUGCUCUGGCCACGAGCGGGAGCACUAACACCGGGAUGCAGGUUAAUGAGCUCUAAAUACAUCUAUGUACCACCAUCAUAAUGCAACUCACAAUCAUCAAUACAUAUACUCACCUGAAACUUACCUAAGCAUCCGCAACGUCAAAUACUAGCAUGCCACAUUACUAAUGUAUAUUCUAAAAUAUAAAGCAUUUGACAUGGCAUUAAAAACACAAAAUCAAUUAAAUCAAUUUUUAUGGGAAAAACAUAAUGCAUAUAUAUACAUAUAAUGAAAACCAAAAACCCACUUACUGAUAUGUGGUAAGGUCGUAACCCCCGAGCCUCGCCUGACUGCGCUCGUCCUCUGGAAACGUCUCACCUAUAUGUGAAACAACUAUUUUAACGUUAUUUUAAGCACAUAACCAAAACUAUGAAAUAACUUCUCAUACGUUGCUCAAUUGGGGUGUGUGAAUAUACCAUCAAGGCCUACACAACCCCACGAUCAUCCCCAUAUUUUUAGAAAAAAUUUCCGAUGUCCCACGCGCCCUCACGCGCCGGCCAAGGCACGACCAUGCGCAAGCACGUGCCUGGCACACGGACGGAACCUUUAACGCCGUUAAAGAAUAUUCCGUUAAAUAAUGGAAUAUACCGUUAAAUAUACUUGACGCCGUUAGGUAUAUUCCAUCAAACUUGAUGGAAUAUUCGCCUUCUCUUUCCUUGAUUCGCCGGAGUCCGGCGGCAGUCACUGCUGCACUCGCCGGAAACUGGAAAACUGGAAAACUGAAAAACUUCAAUAUCUCUUCCAUUUCAACACCAAAAUUCAUGAAAUUUGUACCAAAAUGAAGUUCUCAACUAGGAGAACAUGAUCUUACCACUUUUAGAGUCCCUAAACCAACGGAAAUUGGCCAGAAAAAUUUCGUGAAAACCGGCUAAGUCUGCAACUCAAAGAACUCGAGUGUCCCGACGUCCAAAACCUUCCAAAAUUCCUAUAACAACUUCGUAAAGCUGUUUUAAGACUCUCUAGUACCUUAAAACCCCGCGUAACACUCGCGACCAAGCUCGAGCAACAGGACACUUUGUUAGAGCUCACAGGUUCUCGAGUUCCCAAAGUCCUUACGUCCAACUAAGGGUAUAGCUCGACUCCUGAGCUUACAAGGAACUUGGAAAUGGCCUCCACUAUGUCGAUUUGUGCAAGAUGAAACUAGUUGGGUGUGUGUGUGUACAGACUGUACGGACGGAAAGAGGUUUCGAGAAAGAGGGUGACAGAUGCAAGUUGCACGUGUGUGUGUGUGUGUGUGUGUGUGUGUGUGUGUGUGUGUGUGUGUGUGUGUGUGUGUGUGUGUGUGUGUGUGUGUGUGUGUGUGUGUGUGUGUGUCUUGAUCCAGAUUAGGCACCCAUAUACAAUCCUAAAACUCUAAUUGGGCCACCAGUUAUAAGCUAAAAAAAAAAACCAUCCAAAACAACCCCAUAUUUCAAUUGGGUCCAAAGAAGUAGGAAAUGAAAUAAUUGGUCCAUUUUUCUUAGCCCAUAAAUACAUUCACAACCCAACGCUCAAGGGUAAAACCGUCAUUUCCACGCUUUCGAGAAUCAAAUAUAUAUUAAUUCGGGACACGUCGUCACAUUUAUAUUAUUCUCAAUCCUAUUUUCUCUCAACGCAAAAGAAAAACUUAUUUCAGUACGUUUGAUUUUGUGGGAUUUAAAAAUAUUUUAAACUAUUUUGGAAAGAAAAUAUCUUAAAUCGUAGAUAAUUAUUGCUAAAUUGUAGCAUUAUUGUGAAAAUAAAUUGAAUCUAACCAAUUUUUUUUUUUUUUUUUACAAUUAUCUCUAACGGAGGAGAGUGUAAUUAAAAAGCUAGAUUAUAGGAAAUUUGUUACAAUAUAAUAUGCAUAUAGCACCAAAAUUAUGACCAAAAAAAGUUUAAUCAAAUCACUAAAAGACAUGAAUGUUUGAUCUAAAAAAUUCAGAACUGAGACGCCUAUAUCAAAUGAUCUCUAUUUAUUUAAUGAUUAAAAUCUAGUUUUCUAUAAUAUUAACAUUGAACGUAUAAUCCUUCAAACGUAAAUUAAGGGACUUUGUUUCCGGUUCUUGUUUUGACUUUCUAUUUUUUGGGGUUACCGUAGAAGGAUGUAGCAACCCCACCCCAAGUUUUUUUCUUGAAUCUUUUGACACUCCGCCAAACUUCUCUUGGAAUUUUAAUUAGAUGAAACAAUAUGAAUCUUGAACAAAGCAAAAGCAAAACGUAAUACGUAGAGAUUGAAUCAUUGUAGUGGAAGUGGAUGCUGGGUACUCAACACUCAUAGGAAAUCAUAAGUCCAAGAAUGAAAACUCUCUUAUCGGUUUCUAUCUAAAAUUUUGGAAUUAUGUGUGUGUUGCAACGAUUGUCCAGGAUUAAUCUUUAUCUAUUAAAUUUCAAAGGAAAAUAAGCUUGGGGUGUAAAUGUUGAACGAAUGAAUUUUCGACGAGUUGGAAAGGGAUUGUGCCUUUAACACGCUAUUUUUCUUCCUCUUAUGCACUCAUGGUUAUUAAAAGACAAAUAAGUAUGACUUUACAUAAAGAAAGAGAGAGAAUAUUUUCCUUUGAAUAAAUCAACUAUUUGUUUAAGAAGAUGUGGAUGCUGAUUGAAGCGUCAUGCAAAUACGAAGAACGACCUUGGAGGGAGAUGAGACAUUCAUUAAAAGCCAAGAAAAAAGCCGCAUUUUCUAAGUGAUAGUUAUUGACACGAUACUUGAUUAGGAGAAAAGUCAGUAGUAUUUUGUUUUAGUGGGAACGAGAGUGCGAGGUCUCAAUUAGAACAUGAGAUGAAGUUUCUACAUAACCGUAUAUGACAAAGAAAGAAGUCUAUGUUUCUAACUGGUGGGGCUUUUAAUUGAUGUGAGUUUGUUGAGAAAUGAAGAUGAACAUGUAUACUGACAUUGAUGUGAGUUAGUGAACCAGAUGCACAGAACCGUUCAGACCGGUUUCAGUCUCUGUUUUCAUCUUGAUAGAACGGCUCAGAACCAAAUCAAACUGUGAAUAUAAAUAAUUUAUGAAAAACAAAAAAUUAAUAAAAAUAACACAAUUGGCAACCUGAUUCCCACUGCAGCUCUAAAAUCAUCCUCCAUGAUCGCUGUAUGUACUUUUGUAAAUCGAAUGCAUAGUUGUUUGUGGACAGAUGAGUCUGCAAAAUUUGUGAAAACAUGCUUCAGAUAUAAACUACUGAAAUGUGAUUCAUGACAACCCCACACACACACACACACACACACAUAUAUAUAUAUAUAUAUAUGUUAACAUCAAAUUUUAUAAUUAUAAUAACUGUUUGGGUUAAAACUUAAAAUUUGGGCUCAAGUGGAAGUCAGCCCAAAGGGAAGUCUGGAAGGAAGAAAACCCAAGGUCCAGCCGAAGCCCAGAAGAUGGAAGAAGCCCUUUUUCAGCUAGGUGCAGACCACUUGAGCCACUUGCUCACCUACUCAAAGAACAAGUGGUGUAGAUCAACUAGCUAAUCAGCCCAAAAGUACUUUACAAUGGCAGUACAAGUAAAAAGCUGGUGAGUCACUACCCUUCAGUCACAUUCGAGCAAGAGCAAAGCUACAGUCAAUCGAGCCAAAUUGUCUAUAAAAUAAGAAAGAGAAAUUAGAAAUGAAGACACUCAAUCAAUCAAACAAACAAUCUUACAACUUGUUUAUCUCAGUCAAGCCAAGAAACCCACAAAGUUGUGCUUUGUCCAGAGUCUACACUCUUUUCAGCUUUAAGCUCCCUGUAGAACAGACAACCUUUGUCUUUAUAAAAGCUCUGCUACCUUGUCUAAAUCUUGAUGUAGUAUCGAUUCCCUCCUAUAAACUUCUCUACCAAUCUUCCCCUUCCAGCACCCAAACACUUUGUAACCACAAAGAGAGGAAGCUGCAAGACGAUCAACCUUGCCCGACCCUCUUUGUUCUGUCUGUUAAUUCAUAGAUCUAGCAGUAUGAUGUAUAAUUCAAUAUAUAUCCAAGUUAUUUAUAGUCAGUUUGUGAUUAAAAGAUCUCUUGGUUCUCGAAUCUGGUCUGAUUAAUGGUUUUAACCAUUACAAAAGAUAAGUAAAGGUUUGAGCUCAUAGCUUGAUCAAAUCUAAGUUCCAACCUUUCAAGCAUAUAAGAUUGAUCAACCAAAAGUCCUUGGUCUCAAGGCAUAAAAAAGAACUUAAUGUGGACUUAACCCAUCCACGACAAUCUUUGAUAACGAGAAGUCCGAGUUACUUGGGGCACAAGUAAUCGACCCAUUUCUUAGUUUUACAUCUGUUAUACUAUGAUCGCUAUAGAAUGCUUGAGUAUGGAAUUAAUUCUGAUGGUGAGCCUCAAGGCCUACACCUAAGGCCCCAUAAAGGCACCUAUCAGGGUUCGUUCUGCUCUUUGGGCCCGGGUGAUUAAAGUAAAAAUAGUUGUAAUACUUCCACAACAAUGAAACACCAGCUACAUGCCAGAGUACUUGGUCGGUUUUGAUUGUAAGCCUCAAGGCCUACAUCUAAGGCCUCACAAAGGCACCUCUCAGAACUGACUUGGUCCCUCGAGCAUAAGCAAUUAACCUAAACACUUGUUUUACAUUUGUCAUGCUAAAGAUGGCAGUGGCACGCCUGAGUACUUAGUUAGUUUUGAUUGUGAGCCUCAAGGCCUACACCUAAGGCCCCACAAAGGCACCUUUCAGAAUUAACUCUGUCAUUCUCUUACAGCCCGCCAAUAACCAAAAGGCCGACAUACAAUAUCAACCGGCACCAACCUCUCGAAGAGUUGUGUGCUCGUCGGCCAGAGAGCAUCUCCAGCAGAAAUUCCUGCCCGAACAUAGUUUUGGCACUUCUGGUAGGAUCAUCUUUGAUCAAUCUUACUUGCCAAGACAUGGCAAAUAUCCCUACAAAUUUACAAAGGUCAACUGUCCCAAAAAGAACAACUAAUGAAGAUUUGCAGACUACUUUGUUGCAAAUGUUACAAAGAAUGGAGAACGCCUCCAGAGGGUUCAGAGAAGAAGCAGGCCAGCUCCAUGCUUUGACAGAAGAUUCACAAGAAAAGCCCGAUCUUGUGGGUGCUAUUCCAAACAGUUGCACCAAGGUGUUGAAGAGAAAAGCAAACCUAGCUAUGGAACCAACUAUUCUCAUAUCUUUGCCUCUACUUGAGGAGAAAGGUGGUAGGGAAGAAAAGAGAGAUAAGAUCGAGGCCAGCCAGCCGGAGGUGGAGGUAACAUUGGUAAACAAUCCACCUAGCCCAUCGCUAUUCAUACAAGAUAGUCGGGGGCAGGUCAAAGCAAAAGUGGACAAGCAUGUAGAUCCCCUUUCUGAGGUCCCAGUAAUUAUGAUAAAUUUAACAUGGGCCGAGAAGGGAAAAGGGAAGGCUACAGAAGAAAGAAUGCUGGCCGACAGAUCUACAGAAGGGGUUAUCAAAUUGCCCAAAAAACCAAAAGCGGCCAUAAUCAAAGGGAUGGUCAUGUGUGGUAGAUGUCAAUGCAAGUGUGAACUCAAGAUACCACCAACAGGAGUUAUCAUAGAUCAUAAGUUGAUCAGAAGGAAAGAAAAAGAAAGGCAAGAAGCCCGCGAGAAAGUUAUGCGGGCAGCAGAAAGAGAUACUUCCCAGUGUGUUUUCCAAAGGUUGGAAGGAGAUUCCCAACCUAGGGGUUUAUCGGAGGUGUUUCAAAAUCAUGAAGCCUCUGAGGAAGCAGAAGACAAGGAGGCAAAAAUGCCAAAAUGGAAGGAUAUAAGGCCUCCUCAAUAUGGCCACAUGGGAGGAGAGAUCAGAAGAAAUAAUAGGAUAACAAAUCCUGCCAAAAAAGAAAAUCCUGCCCGCCUCGGCCGAAAGUGGUAUGUGGUUGAGAAAAAUGGACAGCCCGUCAAGAAAAUGGGAGCCUCCAUGGUUAGAAGGGUCUGGAGACAACACAAGGCUUACAUGAAUUCUUUACAGACUCCCGCAACGUCUGAAGACUCUAAGAAUGAAAAGUUUGAAAAAACAUCAUCCAGGGGAAAAAGUCAGUUCCAUUGGAGGAGUAAAAAAGAAGUGGAGAUGGCCAAUAGCAAGACGGAAGGCGAAGGAAACCACGUACCACAAAGCCCACACCCUGGGAAGUACAUAAUCUUGAGGAGAGCUCAAGAAGAUAUGAUGAUGAUGCCAACACCCAGAUGGAGGACAUAACUUAUUUGUUUUGGAACUGUCUCUCCCGAAAUGAGAGUCCCCUCACCAUUGUUGGUGGAUCCUUUUGGCGAAGUUCUGAGGCAAAUACUAGACUUUGGCAUAGAUCAGCAUGAGGGGCACCAGAACUAAUGCUCCUAUGAGAUGCACUGGCCUGGUUGGAUGAAUUCAUGGACCGCAUUAGGAGCAAGAAAGAAGACUUACCGGAACCCAGCAAUUUUCAUAUAAACAUGACAUAUGUUUUAUCAGCCAUGUUUGGUGCCGAGCCUAAUCAGCCCGCCAUGAUGGAGGGUGAUUAUUUGGCAGCAGAGCCAAUGAUGGCCCAUGUCAGUGUGGAAGUUGCUGAAGAAGGAGAGUCAGGAAAAGCUGAGUUGUUCGAGGCAUCCAAAAAUAAACCAAUGAGGAUCUAUACGGACAGAAUGGUGUUCAGCCGCCUAAACUUGAUGUUAGCCAAUCAUCUUAAGCCUAUAUACGUCACGGCUCAUUUGGAAUGAGUGUCUUUCAAAAGGGUUUUGAUUGAUGGUGGGGCAGCUGUCAACUUAUUGCCAGCCAAACAGAUGAAGAAGUUGGGAAGAAGGGUAGAAGAUCUCAUUCCCAUGGACCUAACAAUUUCAAGCUUCUCGAAAGCCAUCACCAUAACCCAUGAGAUAUUGCCCUUAGAAAUAGACUUGGGGUCUAAACAAAUUAUGCUGGCAUUCUUUGUGGUGGAUUGCACUUCCACCUAUGGAGCAUUACUUGGAAGAGAUUGGAUCCACCAAAGUCUCGCCAUACUUUCCACCCUACAUCAACAAAUUGUUGUUAACCACGAAGAAGGGACGGGAGAACCAGGUUUUUGGGAGAUGGUGGAGGCCGAAUCACAGACAUUUCUUCCUAUAGCCAAUGUUGCGGAGGCUAGUUUCUACAAUCCCAACGUAGGAAUUCUACAAUGUUCAGGAGUAGAUGAGAACGGUCGCCCUACUAAGGUGACGGCCCAAAAGCUCUUAGAACAGGGAAUGCUCUUCACAAGGGAGGAAUGAGAUAAACCAUGCAUCAUCCCAACACGCCAACACCAUUAAUGACAGAGCAAAAAAGGAAGGAUCAAGUAAUGGCAGUCAGGUCUUUGAUCAAAAGAUUGUUGGUGUAUAGGAGAGGAAGAAAACAAGAAAAGUAGGAAUGGCAGCUAGAAUUUCUAAACAGCCAGAGUAAAAACAAGGAAGAGCUUUGCGGAGAAUAAUUGGAUGCGGCCAUACAAAUGGCCGAAUACAUAUAUGACCUGGAUGGGCCAGACAACUUGCCCGAAAGCCCGGAGUUAGUCAAAUUUUUGUGUGCAGAGCCAGACAAGCCACCACCAGAGGUUCAGGAUCCUUUGGAAGUCAUUGAUCUGGGGACGGAAGAAAAUCCAAGACCCAUACAAAUCAGUGGCUUGUUGGAGACUGGCGAUCGGACAGAGAUCAUUAGCCUUCUGCAAGAAUUUAAAGAUUGUUUUACUUGGCAUUAUACAGAAAUGCCAGGUUUAGAUUCAACCUUGGUGGAACACAGAAUGCCCAUCAAGGAGGGAUAUAAACCUGUCAAGCAAGCGUCACGAAGGAUGUCAAAAGAAAUAGAAGAAAAUGUCAAAGAAGAAAUUGAAAGGCUAGUAAAAACUGGAUUUAUUAGGCCUGCCAAAUAUGUGGAGUGGUUGGCCAACAUUGUACUUGUUUUAAAAGCCGUAACAAAAGUAGUACGAUGUUGUGUUGAUUACAGAAAUAUCUCAUGGCGCUACACCAAAAGAUGAAUAUCUCAUGCCCAUGGCUGGCCUAUCCAUAGAUGCAGUGGCAAAGCACAAAGUCAUAUCUUUUAUGGAUGGGAAUGUCGGGUAUAAUCAGAUAAAAAUGGCUCAGGAUGAUAUACACAAAACAGCUUUUAGGUGCCCCGGGCACGUGGGGGCAUAUGAAUACCUAAUCAUGCCAUUCGGGCUCAAAAAUGCUAGUGCAACCUACCAAAGAGCCAUGAAUGCCAUCUUUCAUGAUUUAAUUGGCCGAAGCAUGGAGGUAUACAUUGAUGAUAUCGUGGUGAAAUCCAAGACAGAAGAACAGCAUUUGACAGACCUCAGGCAAGCCUUGACAAGAGUGAGGAUCCAUAGACUAAAGAUGAAUCCAAAGAAGUGCGCGUUUGGAGUGAGAGCGGGCAACUUUUUAGGAUUCCUUGUUCAUCAAAGAGGUGUAGAGGUGGACAAAAACAAGUCUCGAGCAAUAAUGGAGUCACCUUUGCCCACCAACAAAGUACAACUUCAGAUGCUGCUAGGCAAAAUCAAUUUCUUGAGAAGAUUCAUUGCCAAUUUAGCGGGCAAAAUCCAGCCGCUAACUUCUCUUCUGAGAUUGAAGGAUAAAGAAGAAUUUGAAUGAGGACCACCACAUCAAAAGGCUUUUGACAGCAUAAAAGACUAUUUAACUUCUCCACCAGUGUUCGUACCACCUCAAAGGGGAAAACCCUUAAAGCUAUACAUCUCUGCUUAAGAAAAAUCAAUUGGAAGUUUACUGGCCCAUGACAACAAAGGCGGGAAGGAGCAAGCGGUGUACUACCUUAGUAGAAUUCUGACUGAGGUAGAAACAAGAUACACCCCAGUAGAGAGAUUGUGUUUAGCUCUAUAUUUCACUACCGGCAAGUUGAGGCAUUACAUGUUACCUUGUCACGUCCACAUCAUAGCCAAAACAGACGUGAUUAAGUACAUGUUGUCAAAACCAAUGCUAAUAGGAAGGAUUGGGAAGUGGAUUCUAGCAUUAUCAGAAUUCAGCUUUCAAUAUGUACCCCAAAGAGCAGUCAAAGGCCAAGCAAUUGCCGACUUCUUAACAGAGCAUAAAGAGUCUCAGAAUGAGAUUAUUAGCAUCUCAAGAACCUUAGAGGUAACCAGUGUUUGGAUCCCAUUAAGCAAAGGCAUCUCGGGGCAAGGAGGAAUGGGUCUAACAGGAGAUAAAAAAAGUAAUAGGUUUUUGGGUCACUUCUUGAAAGCUGUAUUUUGAUGGUUUUUACACUCAGAAGGCUUCUGGAGCUGGGAUUGUCAUCAUAAAUCCUUAAGGGGUUCACCAUUAUUAUUCGUUCCUCCUAGAUUAUCAAAUGAGCACCAACAAUCGCGCAGAAUAUGAGGCCUUAAUAAUUGGCCUAGAAAAUACAAGUGCAAGCAAUCACCAUGGCUGGAUAUUACUUAGCAGCCACUCAAUUGUUAAGUUAUUGGGAUACUGAGAUAUCGAUUAAUCAUGUCCCCAGGGAAUCCAAUCUGGUGGCCAACGAGGUGGCGCAAAUGGCCUCCGGGGUACCAAUCCAAGAAAGAAAGUAUGAAGUAGAUAUUGAGAUUCAAAGGAGAAAUCUCCCUUCUAUUUUAGAAAGGGGAUUCAGUCUGGAUAUGAUGGUUGUAGAGCCCGAGAUAGAAGAUUGGAGAUCACCUAUCAUUCAACAUUUAAAGGAUCCUUCUUCACCCACAAGCAAAAAGAAUAGACAGCAAGCAACCAAGUAUGUCUUAUGGGCGAAAAACCUGUUAAGAAAAACUCCAGAUGGGCUACUAUUGAAGUGCCUUGGCCAAGAAGAAUCUAUGAGAGUAAUGGCCGAAGUACAUGAAGGGAUAUGUGGGGCACAUCAAGCUGGAACAAAGAUGAGAUGGUUUCUUAUGAGGUAUGGGUAUUUCUCGCCCGACAUGGAAAAAUAUUGCAAGUCCUAUGCCCGAGGCUGUGAAGAAUGUCAAAGGCACGGACAUCUCCAACAUGUGCCUUCAGUACCUUUAAAUCCAGUGGUCAAGCCUUGGCCCUUCAGAGGAUGGGCAAUGGACUUCAUCGGGUAGAUUUAUCCAGCUUCUAGCAAGGGGCAUACUUUCAUAAUAGUGGCAACGGAUUAUUUCACCAAAUGGGUAGAAGCCUUGGCCGUGAAGUCCAUAACCUCAUCUGUGGUUAAGAAAUUUAUUGAGACCAAGAUUCUGCACAGAUAUGGGGUGCCCGAAACCAUAGUCACGGAUCGUGGGCCAUCUUUUAUUUCAAAGGAGAUUGAAGAAUUUGCAAGUAAAUACAAGAUAAAGAUGAUUCAGUCUAAUCCUUACUACCCUCAGUCAAAUGGUCAGGCCGAAGCUAGCAAUAAGAUUUUGAUAAACAUUAUCAAAAGAAUGGUGACAGAUAGUCCGGAGAAGUGGCAUGAGAAGCUAGGGGAUACUUUGUGGGCAUAUCGAACCUUCAAAAGGGCAGGAACUGGGACGAUUCCUUAUGCUCUGACUUUCGGGCAAGAUGCAAUGCUUCCCAUGGAAAUCAAUGUGAGUUCUGUCAGAAUUCAGAAUCAAUUCGGGUUACACAGUGAAGAAUACAUCGAAGCUAUGUGUCAAGGGAUUGAAGACUUAGAUGUAGCCCGAAUUGAGGCCUAAACCAGAUUCAAGAAGGAAAAAGAGCGGUUGCCCAAGCUUACAAUAAAAAGGUGAAGUUAAAGUCUUUCAGAGAAAAAGACUUAGUAUGGAAGGGAAUCCUCCCUUUAAGAGCUCAGCUUAGGGGCUUUGGGAAAUGGAGCCCGACUUGGGAAGGUUCUUUUAUUGUUAGUCAAGUAUUAGACAAAGGCGGAUAUUACUUGGCGGACAUAGAAGGGAAUUGGCAGAAACAUCCCAUUAAUGUUAAAUUCUUAAAGAAAUAUUAUCCUACAUUAUGGGAUGUCAGGGAUUGUUAUAUAGAAGAAGAAAGAGGAUAACGCAGGGUUCGAGAUGAAGAAGGGCAAUGUUUGUUCAUCAACCAUUCGAAAAAGGCAUAAAGAUAAAAGCAGUUAAAAAGGUAUAUUUUAUUCAUUUCGACAAAUUGGUGAAGUUUACAUUCAGCUCAAAGGCUUUACUUUCUUAAAAAGCUAGAAUAGAUCCUAGAAAAGAAGUUUCUACAUUUCUCCUGACGCGCUUUAUCCAACUCCUUCCAGUUGUGAUGCCGACUCGUGCAGUCUUCCGGUGUCUUCAUUUGCAAAACCCGAUCAGGUGAUCGGGUUGUGCGACCAUAAUAGGCCUGGUAGAGGACCCUCAAAGAAAACUUUCACAAGAUGUGACGGUGAAGUCUGACUUAUGAGGGCAACUACCAAGCUGGCAUUUACUCGACUAAGCCUAUAUAUUCAACAAGCUUAGAACGAGUAGAACGUCUGACCAAAGGUGUUGGGGAUAACGGGACGUUUGACCAAAGGUGUUGGAGAUAUUAGCUAUUUGGUGAGGAUCUUUCUUACGGAAUGAGAGUUUCAAGACUUUCCACAUGAAUCCUGAUGAGCGUUUUUCCCCAGUUUCAGAAAAAGAUUUAGAAGGCAGGGACGCCCGAAGGUGAUGAAGACUCUCCAAGAGGGGAAAGUAUUGAAGAUGGCUUGUCUGCUAAACAUGGGGAGUGAUUGGUUUGAGUUGCUUGCUCAGAAAAUGAAAAUUUGAGCCGGAAUUUAUAAGAGCAUCAGAUGAUAACCAAAAGUCCAUGGGAAGAGCAAGAGACGCAAGAUUGCAUUAAUUCCGUCCAAAGCUACAAGUUCCGAGAAUAGGCGUGCACACACAAACGACUGUUUAAUCAAUAUUGGCGCUUGGAAUUCCAGCCUAAAUAAUGAUUAUAGGGGGCACUGUUUGGAUUAAAACUUAAACUUUGGGCUCAAGUGGAAGUCAGCCAAAGGGAAGUCUGGAAGGAAGAAAACCUAAGGUCCAACCGAAGCCCAGAAGAUGGAAAAAGCCUUUUUUCGGCUAAGCGCAGACCACUUAAGCCACUUGCUCACCUACUCAAAGAACAAGUGGUGUAGAUCAGCCAGCUAAUCAUCCCAAAAGUACUUUACAAUGGCAGUACAAGUAAAAAGUUGGUGAGUCACUACCCUUCAGUCACAUUCGGGCAAGAGCAAAGCUACAGUCAACCGAGCCAAGUUGUCUAUAAAAGAAGAAAGAGAAAUCAAAGAUGAAGACACUUAAUCAAUCAAACAAACAAUCUUACAACUUGUCUAUCGCAGUCAAGCCAAGAAACCCACAAAGCUAUGCUUUGUCCAGAGUCUACACUCUUUUCAGCUUUAAGCUCCUUGUAGAACAGACAACCUUUGUCUUUGUAAAAGCUCUGCUACCUUGUCUAAAUCUUGUUGUAGUAUCGAUUCCCUCCUAUAAACUUCUCUACCAAUCUUCCCCUUUCAGCACCCAAACACUUUGUAACUACAAAGAAAGGAAGCUGCAAGACGAUCAACCUUGCCCGACCCUCUUUGUUCUGUCUGUUAAUUCAUAGAUCUAGCAGUAUGAUGUAUACUUCAAUAUAUAUCCAAGUUAUUUCUAGUCAGUUUGUGAUUAAAAGAUCUAUUGGUUCUCGAAUCUAGUCUGAUUAAUGGUUUUAACCAUUACAAAAGAUAAGUAAAGGUUCGAGCUCAAAUUUACGAAUCUAGUCAGUUGAGGAAGAAGUGGCUUAGACCUAUUAUGAUGGUUCAGAUAUUUCUCAAAUUUACGAAUUGAAGGUUAAAUCUUUCAGACUUCGUCAAGAGGGCCGGCCAGCUGGUGCUCCUCAUCCUAAUAAUCCUUCUAAUCAAUCUUUAAAUUCUCGUCCUUUUAAUCGAGAAAAUAAAGAUGAUUUGAAGUGGACUUUCUAUGGACAAACCCGUCAUACUGAGGAUACGUGCUUUGCUAAGCAUAGGGUGCCUGAUUGGUUUCCGAAGUUGAAGAAAAAUUGCGUGCAAAGGAGCUUGGAAGUGCAAGCAAUAAUGGAGGUCGUGUCUUCCUAGCUACUGCUCCACCGAAGGCUAAGGAGGCCGAGCCUACUUCUUAUGACCCGAGUCAAACCUUGUUGACUCGUUCUACCCAUGGCGACUCAUCCUUCACCACAGGUACUAUAGGGCAUGGUCUUUUGGCCUCCGAUACUGAGCAUCAUACAGGUUAGAUUCUGGACUCUGGUGCAAUAGAUCAUAUGACAUAUGAUAAGAAUAUGUUUUCAAUGUAUGACAACAUCUCACAUGGAAUAUAUUGCCACCACCAAUGGUACCCGUGCCCCUGUUGUUGGUGAUGGCACUGUGUAUCUUACAGCCUCUCUCCCUUUACACCGAUGUUUACUUGUUCCAUCUUUAUCACAUCAUUUACUUUCCAUACCACAGGUUACUGAACAAUUGGAUUGUGUUGUUCUAAUGUAUCCGUCAUUUUAUCUACUUUAGGAUAUUCAAACCAAUGAGACAAUUGGGCGUGGCACUAAGAGAGAGCAGUUGUACUAUGUGGAUGAUGUUGUUCCUAGCAGAGCUCAUGCAAUACGAGUGUUCUGUGAUAGUAAUCUACAAGAAGUAUGGUUAUUGCAUCGUCGAUUAGGGCAUGCAUCCUUUAGAUAUUUAAGGCAUAUGUUGCCUAGUUUAUUUAGUGGAAUAAAUGAAUCAAACUUACAUUGUGAAGUUUGUAUUCUUGCUAAAAGCUACCGUGCUUCAUUUCCUCCUAGUAUGAAUAAAAUACCUUUUCCGUUUGAUCUUGUGCAUUCCGAUGUUUGAGGGCCUUCUCCAGUUACUACUUCUUCAGGAAUUCGGCGGUUUGUUACAUUUGUUGAUGAUUGCACUUGUAUGACAUAGCUUUAUGUGUUGAAAAAUAAAAGUGAUGUUAGUGCCAUAUUUCGAUCUUUUGCUCAGAUAAUUCAGACAUAAUAUUCUUCUGUUAUCAAGGUUCUCCGUUCUGAUAAUGGAGGAGAGUACAUCAAUUUUGAGUUGUCGGAGUUUCUACGUGAUCAAGGGAUUCUCCAUGAAACCACGUGUCCGUAUACUCCACAACAAAAUGGGGUUGCAAAGUGUAAAAAUCACCACAUUUUGGAAACAGCUCGUGCCUUGCUCCUUGGCGCCUCGGUUCCGCAGCGUUUUUGGCCUGAAACGGUUACCUAUGCCGUGUAUGUUAUUAAUCGUAUACCCUCUCGGGUGGUUAGUUUUCAAACACAUCUUCAAGUCCUCACACAACAUGCUCCAGUGGUGUCCAGUAAUACUCUCACCCCUCGAGUCUUUGGUUGUUUGGCUUAUGUUCAUAUUCAGAAAAUACAUCGUAAUAAAUUGAAUCCGUGUGCACUACGAUGUGUCUUUCUGGGUUUCUCUUCUCGCCAAAAGGGGUAUAAGUGUUACCAUCAUGAAACCCGGCAUAUGUAUAUAACCAUGAAUGUGACCUUCUCUCAAACGGGAUAUUUCUACACUUCUGUAUCCUCCACUUCAGAUCACCAGGGGGAGAACACUGUUGGUAAUCUGAAAUUGUUGGAUCUAUGGGAGAUGUGAUUAUUAAACAGCGUGUAGGACCUGGAAUUGUUGGUGCCGAAUGUACAGUGGGUACCGAGUGUAUUGAUAGCUCGGAUGAUGUUUGUGAUUUAAAGUUGAAUCUGACCGAACCCAUAAGAGAGUCUCAGCCAGCUAGUGUCAAGGAAUGUCCAGUUGUUCAGCAAUCCCUUGCUGAGCCCACUACACAUGCCCUUGUCGAGCCCAGUACAUCCUCUCUCUCUAGUUCUGAUGUGCCACCCAAUACAUCUUCUCUGAAUAUGCCAGAGGUAAGUAUCGUAAAUGAUUGUGUAACUAAUCUAAGUAAUAAUGUGAGUACUUAUAAAGUGCCACCAAGACAAAAUCGAGGUGUGCCUCUUGAUAGGUUUUCUCCUGAAGGGAAGGUGAAGUAUCUGAUAGCCAAUUAUGUAUCAUGUAACAAGCUUGCACCAGAACGACAUACAUUGGUGAGUACUAUGGAGUCUAUUCCAGUACCUACUCGAGUGGAGGAAGCUCUAAAAGAUCCAACGUGGGCAAAAGCAAUGGAUGAGGAGAUGUUGGCAUUACAGAAAAAUAAUACUUGGGAGGUGAUGAUGCUACCUACAGGAAAGAAAACAGUAGGAUGCUGAUAGGUAUUUACGGUUAAAUAUAAGGUUGAUGGAACUGUAGACAGAUACAAAGCAAGGUUGGUGGCUAAAGGGUAUACUCAAACAUAUGAGGUGGAUUAUCAAGAGACUUUCUCCCAGGUUUCCAAGAUGAAUAUGGUACGUGUUCUUAUCUCUUUAGCUGUAAAUAUGGAUUGUCCAUUAAAACCGUUCGAUGUGAAGAAUGCGUUUCUCCAUGAGAAUUUGAAGGAAGAAGUAUAUAUGGAUUUUCCUCCUGGAUAUAGCAAUGGUGGGAAUACCGGAGUAUGUCGGUUGCGUAAGUCACUUUAUGCGCUUAAACAAUCGCCUCGUGCAUGGUUUGAUAAAAUUACUCAAGUGAUGAAAAUGAAUGGAUAUCGUCAGAGUCAUUUUGAUCAUACUUUAUUUGUAAAGCGUAAACAAAAUAAAGUAACAACCUUGAUUAUUUAUGUAGAUGACAUGAUUAUAACAGGAGAUGACGUUGAUGAGAUGUCCAAGUUGCAAGGAAACCUUGCGGUUAAAUUCAAAAUGAAGGAUUUAGGAGAUCUGAAGUAUUUUUUGGGAGUUGAAGUUGCUCGCUCAUCUAAAGGUAUCUUCUUGUCUCAAUGUAAGUAUGUACUGGAUAUAUUAAAAGAGACGGGUAUGUUGGAAUGUAAGCCGGUAGAGACUCCUAUUGUUGAGAAACAUCAUUUGUGUUUGAAUCUAAGUCAGAAACCGGUUGACAAAGGUAGAUAUCAGAAGCUUGUAGAGAGACUGAUUUAUUUGGCUCAUACUCGUCCUGAUAUUGCCUAUGUUGUGAGUGUUGUGAGUCAGUUCAUGCAUUCACCAAAUGUGGAUCAUAUGGCUGCUGUUAUGCAUAUCUUGGCAUACUUGAAGUCGGCACCUGGAAAAGAAGUAUUGUAUGGGAAACACGGGCAUUUGAGAAUUGAAGGGUUUACUGAUGCAGAUUGGGCAGGUGAUGUAACUGAUAGACGGUCUACUUCUGGGUAUUUUACCUUUGUUAGAGGGAAUUUGGUGACAUAGCGAAGUAAGAAAUAGAAGGUGGUGUCACGGUCUUCAGCUGAGGCCGAAUAUAGAGGAAUGGCUCAAGGAAUUUGUGAAAUCCUUUGGCUACGAAAACUUCUUUUAGGACUUGGGGGUUUAAACCGAAGGAGAUCAUGAAGUUGUAUUUUGACAACAAGUCAGCAAGAGAUAUAGCUGAUAAUCCAGUGCAGCAUGAUAUAACGAAGCAUGUAGAGGUGGAUCUGCAUUUUAUUAAGAAGAAGCUUGAAAAGAAGAUUGUAUCAAUACCGUUUGUGAAUUCAGAGGAGCAACUUGUAGAUGUUCUUACUCAUGCAGUAUGUGGUCGAAAGUUUGGUGACUCACCUGUCAAGUUAGGCAUGCCACUACUAGAAAUUUGGCUAUAAGCCACCCUUUCAUUUGGUGGCUAUUGUCAAGUGUUGCCACUCACAUUGGUGGCAAACCUCUAUGGCCACCAAGCACCCACUAAACUAGAGAGUGUGGCCUAUGUAGAGGACUCUAUUGUAACAAUGGCUAACAAUAUUGCAUUGGUGGGUAUGUGAAUAGUACAACAUUUUUAUAUUUUAUAAUUAUUUGUAAAAUUCAAAAUAUGUCAUUGUCUCUCUUAUUAGUGGCUAGAUUUGAGACUAACAUUGGUGGUUUUCAGACUCAUACACCCACCAAUCCUAUGUGUCUCUAUUAGGAUCAGUGGCUUUUAAAGUAUGGGCACCAACAAUGGUGUGAAUCUAUAGCAUUCCAAAUGGCCUUUAUGUUCGAAUUGUAUUACAUGGCUGUUAAAUCAUAGCUCUGUACUAUAUUAAAACUCAUCUUCUUAAUAUAAACUUCACAUUGAUUUUAAAUUUGCAAAAGGAUUCACCUUGAUAACCAACCACACUUUAUAUCCCAUACGGAAUCAAUAACAAGGUUUGUCCCUUUUAAAGGAAGCAUAUUACAUUCAUGUUUGUUAUCCAACACAUCCAACUACCCAAGGGUGAUGAGAUUACAUUUUAUAAAACCAACAGUACAUAUGCACAUCCACCAAUAGCAACUGAACUAACAAAAUCCACCCAAUUGGAUCUAUGUCUUCCCUAUGACAUUUGUACUAUAUACAUCAAGCAAAAUUCACAGGAAUGAUCACAGUUAGCUUAUCACGUACUGAACCUAGUGACAUUCACCAUGCAUGGACGAUAGACAAUUAGCUUAUCACUUACUGAACCCAGUGACAUUCACCAUGCAUGGACGAUAGACCAUCUCAUCAUCUGUGCCAUUAUUCUGCAGCACAACAAUGCCAUCAUCUUCAACUUCUCCACUUGCCUAAAUCUCCAAACUAGUCCCUUGUUCAAUUCUAGUCACACAAGCUUGAGUCACAUCAACUCGAUUUGGUUCCACAAUGCCUCCAUCAGCAGCCCUCAUCAGCAUGGACAUAAUUGCAGCCCUCAGUUCACGUUUCAUGUUUCCACAACAAGGUGCCUAAAGAUGAAGUAGUCAAGUAAAAUAUGUAACGUAAACAAAUUAAGUAAAUAUAGUAUGUGAAUAAAGAGGACAAAAUUUACAUACGCAACUGCAAGGGAGUAUAUUAUUUUAGAAUUCAAUUUUUGUAAGAGGAAAAAAAACUCCAAUCGCUUUUAUGAGUGACAUUGUAUAUAUGAGUCUUGCACAGGAUUUUAGGGUGCAGGUGUCACGCCCCGAUCCCAACUCCAGGAUCGACACGUGAUGUUACCAAACACUCGUAUCUCAACAUACCCCGUUUCCAGAAUAUGGCAAAUCACAACUCAAGAAUCAAAUCGCAUAGUCAUUUUUCCGUAUACUUUAUGGCUGCAUCUAACAUCCUCGUUAGACUGCCUACGUACCCUUAUUAGGGAUCAAGCCAUUUGUAGUUCGUCCAUUCGCUACACUCGAACAUUCAUCACAUAAACCACUAUAUCUCAAAAUAAUACCACAAUUCAAUUAUAUAGCACCUCAAGGAGCAUUUAACAAGGCACAAUAUUAGUAUCUAUUCAUAUCAUCACUCAUCCACACAUAUGUAUUCCAACACCAUCCAAUUAUCACAUCAAUCAAUAAUACCAAUCACCAUAUUAUCAAUAACACAUACAAUUCAUCGAAAUACUCAACGAAAUCCAUCAACAUCGGGUUUCAGAACUCUCAACGGAACCAAGACACCAAAGGGGAUUCCGGACCAUCACUCAACGAAAUCCAAACUAGGAUACGAUUCCGGACCAUCACUCAACGGAAUCGCGGAGUAGAAGGGAUUCCAGACCAUUACUCAACGAAAUCCAAACCAAGAUACGAUUCCGAACCAUCACUCAACGAAAUCGCGGAGUAGAAGGGAUUUUGGACCAUCACUCAACGGAAUCACAUGAUAGAAGGGAUUCCGGACCAUCAUUCAACGGAAUCAUAAGAUAGAAAGGAUUCUGACCAUCACUCAAUGGAAUCAUAGGAUAGAAGGGAUUCCAGACCAUCACUCAAUGGAAUCAUAGGAUAGAAGGGAUUCCGGACCAUCACUCAACGGAAUCCAAGCAAAGCAUAUGGUACCUACCAAAUGUACCAGGUAUAUCUAAACCUUAUCAUCUCCAUAAUUACAACGUAGUCACUUACCACAUUCACUUCUCGCGGCCACCAACUAAUAUGUCACACAAGCAUAUAAGUUCUAUAGAAUACUUCUAAUAGGAAUAUACGAUCACAUUGUCACCACAUUUAUCGGACUUACCCUUCACAUUACUAAAAGAUAAUUAAACGCACAUAUAUCACAAUCAUCACUCUUACCCUUCAUAGACUUUCUUUGUGUCAUGUUUGGUGAUACACAAACUCUCACAAAUGGUGUUCCUGACAACCGACCUUGCUACUAACAAACUGCAAUAACAGAAAUUACAUCAUAUGAAAGUAGUUAAAUAAUUUUAUUUAAUCGUAGGUCAUAAAGCUCAAAACUUUCUAUCAAAAUAAUUCAAAACCUCAAAUAGAGAACAAAACAUCUACAUUGACAAUAACAACCCCGAACAAUGAACGAAACAUUGAAAUGAAAUCAAAUCAUGUGAUACCUUUUCAAGUGAUGCCCCUAUGAGGAGAUCAAAUUAUGUACCCUAGAAUGGACUGAAAACUGCUCAAUGAGAAUAAAACCAAGCAAAAAAUAUAAGCAAAAACUGGGUUCCAAAGUACGCCCCAAAAUUGUACUGCUUAGACUACUGUCUCAAUUGAGCGCAGCAAAAUGGAGACCCCAACAUUCAAUGAUAAAGAGAAUGUUUUCGUGCCAAUAAAUGCCUCCUUGAAGUUAGAGAGGGAUAUGAAGGACUACUCUACCACUCUUUGAUUAUUAUUUGUAGCUGUUAGAUAGCAAUGCAAAAGCUCUCAUGAGGGGAAAUCGCAGAGGCUGGUCCUAAUUUACGAGACAACAUAGAUGCAUGUACGUAAACAGCAGGGAGUUGUCCUACAGAGGCCAUGUCGCUUCCUCGUCUACUAAUAAUUACAUUGUUUUGAAGUUGUAGACCACAUAACGAAGCAUGGAAUGUAGCUUAACUAUUAGCAUUCAUGCAGGGGUCGUAGGUAUCAGCUUUAACUCAUACCAAAACUCAAAAACACAUAAAAUAUCAUAUGCAAGUUCUUUCAUAGCCAUGUUAAUGUAAACCAAACUUUCUCUACCAAAGUCCAUUUUUGUGUUUACGCUGUUUACAGAACACAAGCACAAAAUGUGAUAUCCUUAUAGCAUAAGCUUAACCAAGAGUGGAACUUUACAUAGAUAGUUCUACUUAUACCCAUUUUCUUUCAGUUUCUACAGGCUGUAAGGAUAGUGGUUUGUUUAAAAAAAUGUAGUUGCGAUUUGCCUAACUCGUGAUGUUGUGGAAACAGUACAGAGAUUCUUAUAUUUAUACACCAACCAAUAACUCCUAGCUUAUAUCUGCAAUAACAAUAAUAAGCAACCCUGUAUGGUUUCCAGUUUGAUCCAACGUGAACAGAUAGAAGAAGCACUUCAAACUAAACUAACAAAAAACUCCAACAUAAUCGAAGACUUAAUAAACAAAUUGAAAAGUUUGGUCUAAAAAAUGUUGAAUAUUGAAUAUGAGAAACACAAAAUUACCUGUUUUUACUCCCUAAAAUCAAUUCGAUGUGUUGCAAGCCCCAAAUUGAUUGUAAGAAACCCAAUUGAUAAUAAAUAAUGAACCGAGGAGCUUAAUCUGUUGAGAAAUUAAAAGGGCAAGGUAUGCGAAGCAAAUACCCAGCAACGUGGGAGCCGAGUUCCAUUGCCCACGCCAGUCGCCAACAAAACGAAGCCACUAACAAUCUUGUCCAUUAUGCCCUGUCCGCAUCCUGAGACUGAGACUGGUUCGCGGAACCGCCCGACUUCAUCACUGAUUCAAUAAUGACCGAGAUAUGCGAUUAGGGUCCAAGGCUCUAUCCUUCUAUGAGUUUUUGAUGCGAAAAUUAUCUUAACACACAAAUUUAACCCUCUUUUGACAAUUGUAGUAUAAGUAUAAGUAGGGAUCGUUCUAGGCCGGGGAUUAAGAGGGAUUGCUAAUUUACUCUAAACUGACUCAAAGACACAAAAACAAACUUAAAAGCGUUAGGAUAGAUUCAAAAUACUCAAAACUAGUUCACAAGACUCAACAUAAGCUAAGAAGACUCAAAACUGCCUAAAAACAACAACUAGGCAAUUUCUGACACUAAACACAAUUUUGGACGAAAAUAAAGUUUGGACUUGACUCAAAACACUUAAAACGCAAACAAAACAAGUUUAAAAGAAUUUGAAACAAGAAAGUAAUGGGGGGUUUGAUUUGGACGAACUUAGAAUAACAAAACAAAUUGUAACUUAAAAACAGGUUUGAAAAUAAAUUUAGAAAAUUAGAUGGAUGAUGGGAUAGCUAGAGGAUUUUUCUCCACACAUGACAUGUAUGCAAACAACUCGAUUUCCAGUUACUACUUCAUUGAAUUAUGAACGACAAUACUCCAAAUUAACUGUGACAUCACUAGUUAACCCUCAAAUUUUCCUUGUUUUAUUGGAUUGGAUGACAUCAUUCGACAACCCAAAACAUUCUUCAAAAGUUCCCUACAUGACAUCAUAAUAGAGAUACAAUCAAAGAUCAUUACAUUUAAUGAAAAUCAUAAGCAUUGACAAAGCACUUGCAACUAUGACAUCAUGUCACUCAUGCUAGGAAUUAAACUUAACGCGAUCGUUUAUAAGCGACCUCCACUACUUGUGAAUAUAAGUUUUUAACAAUUAUGUGAAACUUUCUUAUACUCUAGCAUCGGAUUUAUGCAUGCCAAUUAAGUGUCGACCCUUAAUCAACAAAUACAAAUAAGUUAUCAAUCAAACAGUUAAGCCAAUUGCAUUCAUGAUUCAAGAAUUCAUAACUGGAAUUUAUCAAAUCAUCUUGUACACAUAAUCAUGGCUUUGAAAUCACCCCUAGCCAAGAGGGGUUUAGCCACUCAUGUUCACAACAAAACGAAAGAAAAUGAAUUUAAACAUUGGAAACAAAAGAAAGAAAACACCUAAACGCUCCAAUGAUCCAAGUUGACAGCAAGCACGUCCAAGCACUUUCCUUUCCUUCCUUUGCUACGGCACAAGGUGUUGGUGAGUGUUUGAAGGUUGUUUGUAUGGAGGAAUGAAUGUAAAGAUGAAUGGAUGUGUUUGGAUGAAGGUUGUGUUGAAAUGGGAGUGAAUGAUCUAACAAAAUAUGCACUAAAUUUAUGUUACACACACUUCCUUUUAUAGAGGAAGUGCAAGGCAAUGGAGGGGGACAUGAAGUGUGUGUGCAAUGAUUCAAGGGUGAAAGUGAAGUAAUGAUGCAAAGCAUGGGUAAAAUAGAGUGGUGUUGAAAUGAUUCAAGGGUGAAAGUGAAGUAAUGAUGCAAAGCAUGGGUAAAAUGGAGUGGUGUUGAAAUGAUUCAAAGGUGAAAGUGAAGUAAUGAUGCAAAGUAUGAGGGGUAAAAUGGAGUGGUGUUGCAACAAUGAAUGCAAGUAGGGAACAUGAAUGAUUGUGCACAUGGUAGAGAAAGGAAAGUGAGGUGGAAUGGUGUAGAAAUGAGUCAAGGGUUAAGGUGGAGUGAUGAUUGAUGCAAGAAAUUUGGAAUGAUGGAGGGAACAAGGGUGGUGCAAGGCAAUGAGUGAAUGAAAUAGACAAGGAAUGUUGUUGGAACUUAGGGACAUUGAGGAUUAGGAAAGAUUAAAUCAAAAUAAGGUAAUCUUGACUCAUGUUUCUUCAUUGGUUGCUGAGCUCUUUGUCCUUUUUAAAUUAAUUCUUCUUUCUCUUUAACACAUUCCUAGCCUCUUUAAUCUUCAAUUUCGCCUAUCUACUUAGCUCCAAGGAUGUGUUAUAUAUUCCAAGCCCAAAACUGCUCCAAAAGGCUUCAAAAUGCACAUUUUUGCGUACGUUGUCCUUAGAACCUGAAAUUGCACGAAAAUGACUUUAAACACUAAAACAACUAAGGAAUAACAACAUAAAUGCAUGAGAACAAGCUAACUCAGUCGCAUAAAUAUGCUCCUAUCAGUUUUGGCUCUAUCUCCCUUUUGUAUUGGACGUGCAUCCGUAGGUCCUGAUAAGCAAAUAUAUAUCCCAGCUUUAAAAACAAAAAAAUUAACCAGUACGUUCCCAACAAAAUAAAUAACAAAAUACAUAAUGAAAUUAAAAAGUAGAAGGAAAGAAAUUUUAAGAAAUAAAGAUAUUUAACAACCACCAAUCAUUGGUGGCUCAAUGUUGAAGGCCACCAACAUCAGCGGCAUCCCAUGGUAAAACCACCAAAAAAUAGUAAGAGUAGCAACUUUACAUCUAUGGCCACCAAUUGCAAAGGGUGUGAAAAAAAUGGUGUCCUAUGAGCCAAAAUUCUAGUAGUGUGUGUGAUAUCUAUGCACCAACUUAAGGGGAGUGUAAACGUGAGUCAUUAAAAAUAAGUAUGUAAAUAUAUUGUAAAUAUUAGGAGUCCUUUAUUAGGAAGUUUUAAUUGUUGUGUCCUUUAUUUAUUAAGGAAAACUAAUGAAAAGAACUUGAAAACUUUGAGUUUUAACGAUAAAGACAAAAUAAAGGGUAAAAUGAAUAGUACCAGGUUUGACUUUUUAGUGUAAAAAUGUGGUUUUUCGUUAAAGUGAACAGUACCGUGGGUUUUUCGUUAAAACUCCCUAUUUAUUAUUGUUUCCAUAUAUAACAAGGAUUGUAUUUGUAUAUAUUUCAAGGAAGUAAUACAAUGAAAAUUAUUCCAUAAAAUUCUAUUAUUAAUGUUGUAUCAUAUCUCGGAGUUCGGGAUGUAACAUUAUUGUGAUUCGAUUUAGGUACAGACCUUACCAGAGUGACAAAGACAAGGCUCCUCCAGGGAGGACUAGUCGGAGGUGUGAAUGGACAUUUAUUUUAGAGAUGUUUCUUUACUUCUUUCACUACUCGAGAUUGCAGCAUAUCGGACGUAUAGCGCUGAUAGAAAGGAAAAAGAGAAUCGAUUAAGAAUUGAAAGAGCCUAUGGAAUUGUCUUCAAAGGAAUGCUCUCUUUUGAAUUCCUUAUUGUUGUCAAAGUCCUCAACUCGUAAUACUGAGAGAUUGAAUCUUUCACGCUCGGCCAAACUUUUCUUGGAAUUUGAAUUAGAUGAAACCAAGUCCUCAACUCGUAAUACUGAGAGAUUGAAUCUUUCACGCUUGGCCAAACUUUUCUUGGAAUUUGAAUUAGAUGAAACCAUAUGAACCUUGAACAGAGCAAAACAAAACUAAUACUGAGAGAUUGAAAUCAUUGAAGUGGACGUGGAUGCUGGGUACUUAACACUCAAGGAAAUCAGUCCAAGAAUGAAAACUCUCUUUUCAUUUGCUAUCCAAUUUUUUGGAAUUAUGUGUGUUGUCCAAUGGAUUAUUCUUUUUUUAUUAAAUUUCUAAGGAAAAUGAGCAUAAGGCGUAAAAGUUGAACUAAUGAAAUUUCAACGAUUUGGAAAGGGAUUAUGAGUUUGCCACGCCACGAAAAACUAUAUUAGAGAGAGAUGAGACAUUUUUUAGAAGAAAACCUCAUUUUCUAAGUGGUACACGCAACUUGAUUAGAAGAAAAGUCAUAGUAUUUUAUUUACUUCCAACUCUUUGGGGAAGAGAGUGCAAGUUUCCAAUGGAAUAUGGGAUGAAAUUUCUACAUAACUAUAUAUGACAAAGAAAGAAGUCUUAAGUUUCUAAGUGGUGAGGCUUCUAAUUGUGUGAGUUUGUUGAGAAAUGAAGAUGAACAUGAAUAUUGAUAUUGAUGUGAGUUAGUGAACAAGUUGCUUCGAUCUCCUUUGGCCCUCUAAUAAGAUAAUAUCGGAAAACAAGUUGUUACUAAUAUUUUUUUAAGUGUCACUAGUCUCGCCCUAUUGUCUUAUUUUUUUCAUCCACAUUAUAAUCUCACCCAUCAUAAAAAAUUAAAAAUAAAAAACUCUAUUUUCCCACCCACCCUUAUUCCUAAUAUAACCUUUUAUAUAUCUCUAAAUUCUUUUAGAUUUUAUCUAUUAGAAUAUAUAUAUAUAUACACACACACACACACACACCUCAACAAAAAAAUGAUAAAAAUUAGUUAACCAUCCCAAUUCCAAAACCGUAGAAGCAACAUAAUUCCAAACCCCAUCUGCACCACGAUCCUCAAUACGGCAGUCGUACCAACACCCAAGCUCCACCCCAUCCAACCUUCGCAACAACUGCAUUCCCUUCUCUGAAUGUAUGAGAACAAGAAAUACAUUUUUUUUUCAUCGUGUCUGGAGUAGCCAAGGAGGAGAAAAAGAAGUAGAAGCAAAACAAUAAAUCACACUAGAAGAGUCACUUUCAAUCCAUAAAUUUUGCCAAGCAUGCGCGUCAGCCAACUCCACAGCACGGAUGACCGCAUGAAGCUCCGCAUAUAAAGAAGUAUGAUGUCCCAAGCUCAAGGAGAAAUCCCUAAGAAAAUAACUCGCAGAAUCUCGAAAAACCCCACCACAAGCUGCAGGACCUGGGUUACCUUUAGCGAGGUUUUCCAUAUUCACUUUGACCCAGGAAAAUGAAGGGGGAUGCCAAGGAACGUGAACUAUGGAAUGAGCUUGACAAGACUCAGCCGAGAUUCGAAGAGAGAUUAAGAGUUGUUUAUCCAAAAUACCACGUACAUGAUCAUGAGUGAAAACUCCAACCUGCCUAAUCCAUGCCAAAGUGGAACGACAAAUGUGUGCAAAGGAAUGAGGCUUACUAAUACAUGUACCGGAUUGGUAGACUAAGACGUACGGUAAGAUUUUUGAUAACCAGAGAAGAUGAACACUGUCAAUGUCGUGACAAAAUUUAUCCAAAUAGAUCCAAACACUCAGGAAGUUUCAUAUGCAGAUCUAGAGCUAAUUUCCUUUUUUUAUCUUAUAGUCAUUACGUAAAAUGUAUAUGCAUAUUUCUAGAUGCAUACACACCAAUGUACAUAAUAUUAACUCCUUUCAAGUAGUCAUUUGCAAAUUUAUUUCAUGUGCCAUUUGUAAUGCUCAUGUGGUACAUUUCUAAUAUCUUAUAUAUAACUUUUUGUGAUCCGUUUCUUCAUCACUAUGCCUAAAUACCUUUAGAAUUUGGUAAUUUCCUCACCCCAAACAAACCCUAACACUCUGUUUAGAUAUGGUAAAAAAACUCGAAAUUUCAUUUAAACUCGAAAUUUCAUUUAAACUCGAAAAUUUAGGGAUGGGAAAGAAAUUUUCCCUUAUUUGGCACUUGUAGCGAGAGAAAAAGGCAAAUUCUAAGGGAAAAAAGUUGAAAUAGGGGAUGAAGAUUUUCCGAUUUUAAUUUCAUCUAAAUAGGUGUAAUUUCACAAUUCCAACUACGACGAGAAUCACAAAUUCAUAUGUAGGAAAAUCUUGCAAGCGCAAAACUUUACAAUUAGGGCACCAAAAUUUCAUGAUAAAACCUGAUAAGGGUUUAGGGCUGCAUCUUUCACUCUACUAACUCUCCAAUCUUCAAAGAGAUUUUCGGCUCAUGCAUCAUCUUCUUGCUUUUGUUAGAGGUCAGCGCCUCUAAUAUCUUCUUUCUUGAAUUAUUUUAGCUUUUCGGGUAUACUCUUUAAGCCAAUUGUGAAUUUUUGCUAAUUAUUUUUAUUUUCUGAUAGUCAUAAGUUUGUUGUGCUUGUUUUCUUUCUUCCGAUUGAAUUGUGUGUUGGUUGGAUCUGUGACACAAUUUUCAGUUUUUUUAUGGAUUUUGCUGCUAGUUCUUUGUUAUAAAUAUUUUGCUUUUGAAGGUUAACAAUAGCCAAGACUGAAUAGGAUGAUUUUGGCGUUAAUUACUAUCUCAUGGUACCAUACCACCACACGCCAAAGCCACCAUCACAUCAUCAUCGCCGCCACCACGAGCCCAUAGGACAACAAAAGCUUGGAGCUUGGGUGGCAGAGGAGAUAGCACCACACGCCAAAGUCACCAUCACAUCAUUAUCGUCGCCACCACGAGCCCAUAGUAAUGGACUUGGAUUGUCUGCCCUCCUAGUUGUGGUGCCCUUCCAUGCCCUCCUAUUUUGUACGGUCACGGUUAAGCCACGUCAAUAUUUUAUAUUAAUUUUUUAAUGAGAUAAUAAGACAAAAAAUAAUUAAAAUAUAAAAUAUUGACGUGGCUUAACCGUGACCGCACAAAAUAAGAGGGCAUGGAAGGGCACCACAACUAGGAGGGCAGACAAUCCAAGUCCCAUAGUAAUCGGCAUAAAAUCAUUAGCCUUAAACGCCGCCAGGGGUUUCCGCCGACUGAGAAAAAGAUAAGAUUUGUGAACACCGAGGUCAUAUCGAUGGCAUCAUAUCAAAACUGAAAUCUUUUAAUCAUCCUCAUCAUUACAGCUAUCCACAAAUUGAAGCAACGAAUUGGGCAAGUGUGCAACAAAUUUCCAAUGUGGGUUUAAUGAGGUUUGUAGUUAAAGAGGGAUGCAAUUUAAGGAUCUGUUCUUGUAAUUUUAUCUGUUCACUUUUGCUUUAUUUGUUUUUUGGUUGCAUUGCCUCAAAAACCUUGUGCUUAUACAUGUAUACAGAACUUUUGGUUAAAACAAAAAGUCACAUAUACCGUAAUUAUUUAAAUUUUGUUGCAUAUCACAAUAUAUCUUUGUUCAUACAUUCAAACAAGCAUGGCAAAUACCGAGGAGGAACAUAGGAAAAAAAUUAAAAUUAUUGUUACAAUUGUAUAUUUUAUUGACAUGGUCAUGCAUUGGUAUAGUAAGAGUUUCCUUGUCAUAGAAUUUUCAAAUGAUUGGGAUCAAGAAAGACAACAUUUUUGAAACUGAUUAUUCUCACCACACAGUAGAAACAAUUUUUUUAAAAGCAUAGCAAUACCAAACUACUACUGUCAUUCUCCUUGGCGCUAUAUUUUUCCUUAGCGCCAUAAGUUUGCUAAGGUGAAGAACCAGCGUCCAUUAAUUUCCAUAUGGAGAGAGAAAGAGAGAGAGAAGACCAAGUAGUCUCAUAAUAUAGGUGGUGUUAAAUCACCUUCCGUGAAGUUGCAAUGGUGUUUGAAACAGUUAGUCAACGGAAAAGACAGAAUUGUGUAUUAUAAUGCUAUCUCGCUAUCCCUCUUUCGUUAAUGGAGGGCACCGUAUAAAUGUAUAAUUACUACAUAUAUAUCUCUGCUCAAUUACAAAAAGAAAAAUCCAUGCGCAUUAUUUUUAUUAUUAUUAGCUUAGAAAUGCAGAAAUUGUUCAUCUCUUCCCUUUAUGUGUGCCCGGACUGGUUUUCUUCAAACUAGUUGGAACAAGCCAAUAUGUGUGCCCGGAAUCCAAGUGUGGCGAUGAUCAAGGCCCGGCUAUCCAAUCCCCAUUGCGCAUCAGCGUCACACAUCAGUGUGGAAAUCCUGGGCUUGAAUGCAAUGGGGGAUAUGAGCAGCAAAUACUAAUAAAAUCAUUUGUCAAACACAUAGAUUACAAGCGUCAGGAAAUCCAAGUAUAUGAUCCAAGCAACUGCCUGCUGCUAAAGCUUGCUGAAAUCACAACCAUGCCACCCUCUCCCUUCUACUUGACAAAUUUUAGAAACCUUAACCUUACCUUAUUCAGUUGUCCUACUUCUGUUGCAAGAGAUAUGGAUUUGUAUCAAGUCCCCUGCCUCGGCGACCCUAGCAGCAGAAUUUAUGCCAUUGAUUCUACAUACGAAUUAGAAGAUUUCUUCCAGAAUCUACAAUCUUGUUCAAAGAUGUAUGAUGUUUUAUCAGUUCCAUUUGGCGAUUGGGCGGGUAAUGGCCGUGUUCUUCAAUUCAAAUGGUCGAAACCAAAUUGUACAGAAUGUGAAGCAGAGGGAAAGAGGUGUAAAUGGAAGAACAAUGGCACCAACAGUGAAAUUGAAUGUCAACACGUGAGCAAACCAAGUAAGGAGAACAUUUUAUAUUCAUUGCUAAUUUUAAACAUCGUUAUAUUUAUGUCUCAGUAAGUAUUAUUUGAAGGAUGUUGUCCGAUCCAUAUUUCUGAGGAUAUUAAUUGUCAUUCUCAAUUUAAUUUGCAAUUCUUUUACAGGCAACACAUGGAAAUUAGUGGUUACAGGUGGAGUCCUGGGUUCUUUGCUUCUUGUUCUACUGAUGAUUGCAGCAUAUCGGGUAUAUAGAGCUGAUAGAAAGGAAAAAGAGAGCCAAUUAAGAAUUGAAAGAUUCUUGGAGGAUUACAAAGCACUCAAACCAAGCAGGUAUUCGUAUGCAGAUAUUAAGAGGAUUACAAAUCAAUUCAAGGACAAGUUGGGCGAAGGAGCCUAUGGAACUGUCUUCAAAGGAAUGCUCUCUUCUGAAUUCUUUAUUGCUGUCAAAGUCCUCAACAGUUCCAAGGGAGAUGGGGAAGAGUUCGUAAAUGAAGUGCGAACGAUGGGUCAUAUCCACCACGUCAACGUGGCUCGCUUGGUUGGAUUUUGUGCUGAUGGAUUUAUACGAGCUCUUGUUUACGAGUUCUUCCCCAACGGUUCCCUGCAGGAUUUCAUUUCAUCAGCAGAUAGUAAGAAUUCAUUUCUUGGUUGGGAUAAGCUGCAAGAUAUUGCCCUAGGCAUAGCCAAAGGAAUUGAAUAUCUUCACCAGGGAUGCGAUCUACGAAUCCUGCAUUUCGACAUCAAACCCCAUAAUGUUUUGCUAGACCAAAACUUCACUCCAAAAAUUUCUGAUUUUGGUUUGGCCAAGUUAUGUUCCAAGGAUCAAAGCUUGGUGUCCAUGACUACAGCUAGGGGGACCAUGGGCUACAUUGCACCUGAAGUGUUCUCCAGGAAUUUUGGAAAUGUGUCUUACAAGGCAGAUGUCUAUAGCUUUGGAAUGCUAUUGCUUGAGAUGGUAGGAGGAAGGAAAAAUAUUGGUUCAACCACGGAGAACACUACAAAUGAAAUUUACUAUCCACAGUGGAUUUAUAAUCUUCUAGAGGAAGGGGAUGACCUACGAAUCCAUACUGGGGAAGAAGAAGAUGGUAAAAUUCCAAGGAAACUUGCAAUUAUAGGGCUAUGGUGUAUCCAAUGGCACCCGUCAGAUCGUCCUUCCAUGGAAACAGCGGUUCAGAUAUUAGAAGGAGGAGGAGAAAGCUUGACAGUGCCGCCUAAUCCCUUCAUGCCUACGGGUCCUACAACUAGAAAUGCAAGACGCCUAGAGCUAGAAGCAAUUGCUGAAUUAGAGUAAAAUGUAAUAUGCAAAUGUAUAGUAACAUUCGCAUUGAAUGUGUAAUGAUUCAAACCUAUGGGAUAUUUUGAUAACUAUUUCGUUUUGGUACCAACCAAAAGAAGUUUGUUUCCACUCCUUGUUUAAGUAUUAGAUGCCAAUUAUUGUUUUUUUUUUUUAAUUUAUUUUUGGAUACAGUAGAAGCCUAGAAGGAAAUCGAGCACUAAACUUACCAAAUUCUAACUCAUUUCUACACACCAAGAGCUUGAUUUCGGUUCUUAUUUAUACUAUUUAAUCUCUAACCCGUGACAAUAAUUAGAGCACUAUCAUUUGUUGUGAGCUUCAACUGGUUAGCAUUUUGUAUGUUUUAAACUUUUGAUUAGAAUAUAUAUUUCAUUUAGACUUAUCUUGCCAUAAAGCAUGCCAUACCCUCUUAAGUUUUUCUCUUCGCGUUGAGUUUAUGAUAAGGAAACUUGUCAAACAAAGUGGAUUGAUUAGUAACUGAAGCUAAUUAUUCCGCUAAAUAUUAUUUAGAAUUUUAAUUAAAAAAACAAUAUGAAUAUUUUUGUUUGAUUUGAAAACUAUAAAAUAAAUAAAAAGAUUAAAUUGUUAAUUGUUAAAAAUGGAGAGGUGAUAAAUAUUGGUAGAGAUCGAAUUUGUACAAGAAUGUAUAAGCAUUAUUGCACUCUCCCACAACGAUAAAUCACAUUAAACAAAAAGUAGUAGUUUGAGGAUGGAAGAAACUUCAUGGAUACCGGGUAAUCAACACAAUAUUGGGUGGGGUGUAGAGGUGACGCGGAAGGAAUUGGCGAGCUGGUAGAAGGAAUGGGAUUUGGGGACGCAAGAGAUUGCGUGGAAGGUAGAGGCGGGCGUGAGGGUGACGUGAGGGCAAGGGAAGUAGCAGACCGUGUGGGCUGCUGCUGUGGUUGAUCCACGAGAUGGAUUGUGUGCCCUUCCAUCCUCAUACCCUUUUAUUUUGUGCGGUUACGAUUAAAUCACGUCAAAAUUUGUUUUUUAUCUUAUUAUUUUUAUAAAAAAAUUAAUAUAAAAUGUUAACGUUGCUUAAACUUGACAGCACAAAAUAAGAAUGCAUGAAGAAGGUAUAAAAAAGAGAGGACAGACAAUCCAUCUCCGUUGAUCAACUAGGCUGGCAGGAUAGCCUUUUUGACCAAAUUAUUAAGCGCAUAGAUUUUUUGACCAAGAAGGUAGCCAACAAAUAUGCAACAUAUUUCACGGGAAUCAAAUUUGUCAGUGGGAUGGACACUCAUAUUCUUCGUCAUUCAUUUUUGGUGUUGAAAAAUAUAAUAAAUUAUAUCAAUGUUCUCUUAAUUUUAAAUAAAUUGAAAAAAUAAUUUUUUAACUAAAUAUUCAUUAUUAUUAAUCCAUUAACUCAUCAAAAUAUGUAGCUAUAGUCAUUUUCAUCAGCUCUCUCAUAAUUAUGUCAAAAUGAGUUAUGUUGGAAUGAUCAUUGCCCCAAUUGGGUUAAAGAUAUGGACCAUUGCUCCCAUUGGGUUAAAGUUGAUUGACAAUUUCUCCAGUUGGAUUAAAAUUGAGGGACCCUUAAUAUAAUUUUUCUUAUUUGAUUUUUCAUAUUUGCCCCUUGAUUUAGCCUCCAAUUUACUUUAAAAAAUAAAAGUCUCCUACUUUAGUUGAAAGAUCAAUGCUACAAUUUACUUCAAAAAAUAAAAGCCUCCUACUUUAGUUGCUUUGGAAAAUCCUUUCAACCAUCCAAAACAUGGAUCUAUGGAGCCAAGAAGCAAGAGUUUAUCCAUAUUCAUGGAUACAAGAAGCUAUGAGCAGAGGAAUGAGCUUUAAGUGAUUAUCCUUGAGGAUCUACAAAAGUAUAAAGUCAACUCUUUUGUUUUGAAUUUGAGUUGAGUCUUUGACUAACAACUACUAGGCUCUAAAUUUUAUGAGUUAAAUUUUAUUUUUGAGUGCAUAUAAGCAUGAUAGAGCCUUUAAUUGUUAAUUACAUGUAUGAGUGUUGCUCAAAUGAACUUAGCUUAUCAAAAAUUUCCUUCAAGACCAACUUCUAUGGCACACGUAGUUUCUCGUGCCAAUCACAUGAACAUUAUGUAAAAAGAAUUUACAUGUUGCGUUGCAUGAUUGACAAUUAACGAUACAUAGUGUUAUAACCGUGUCAAUGUUAUGAAAGUUUUUAUGCAAAGUCACUUGAUAUGCCGCAACAAUUAGUAAACAAUAUUAGAAAGACCUAGAGGAACCCACAAUUAAUUCCAAUUCAUUAAGUAGCUCAUGUGCAAGCAAAGUAUGGGCUUCCCAUGGGCCGGAGCUAGAAUUUACCCAUAUUUGGUAGUUAUGUGGCAUUAUACGAGGAGCCUGCUCAGCGUUCAAUAUGUGCACCCGCAUGAUGUUGAGUGUAAUAACAAAUAUAAAUAAAAAAUAAGUAAAAUGCUAGAGAGAUUACAUGUUUAUAUUACAUUGUUGUACCAUAUUGUGAUAUGGAUGUGUACAUACCACGUUUUGUAAUGAGUUUAUCUCAUUAAAUGUUAGAUUGUUGGUUAUAUGUAUCACUCGUCACAUCAUAUGAUAUAUUAAUAUGGUAUAAAUAUGCAGUCUCUCCAACAUUACUCUACUAAAGAGUAAUAUUGCACUUACCAUAUUUGUACCAUCAAUUUAUAAAAGUAUGGCUCAUCAACACAUGUAUGUCAUAUCUCCGUUAAAAAGGUGAUACAUAUAUGGUAUGAAAAAUAUGAUAAGACUAGCAUUUACAAAAAAUAAAAUUUUAAAAGUUAAAUGAAAUGAACAAAACACAGGAAAUUUGAAAGGUACUGAACAAAAUCAAUCGCAUUCAAAUCAGUCCUGAAAGAAACGAAUUGUACUGGAGUAUACAGAAACCACCACAAAAAAGGAUUAGCAAUUCAAUGCCACGAAAAACAGGGGGAGAUCUUAAUCAACACAUAUGAGACGUACAAGUACAAUUCAUCUGUAAAGUACAAUCAUUUAUCAGAAACCCCAAAGACAGGAAAUAUACAUCUAAACUUGCUAAGUCCUUUAGUUCUUGGAAUCAUCUAAGAACUACUUAUUCGAGCAGAUGCUAUGCUUGCAUUACUAGAAUUUAUGGCUUGCCCUGUCAACUAUUGCUCGACAGAGAAGAUUUCGUCGGUUUCACCUUUUUUAACCGACAGAAUAUAAGUUUAGUAGGGAAAAAUUAGUCAACAAACUGGGUUGACUGAAUAGAUUUACAGGAUGGCUAGAGUUUGUAGAUUAAUACAUCAGUCGUCGGGCAAACAUUUGGAGCAAAGAUGGAAGUGUUUUAACUGACGAAUAAGCUAGUCGUAGUGUAGAUCUUCUUUACCAACGGACAGUUCACCGAAUAGUUCUUUGGAUAACAAUUCAUUCUCAAGGGGAACAUGUUGCUUCUUAGAUAAAUGGUUAGAGGCAAUUGUGAGAUCAUAAUUUUCUAGCGAAGGAAUAAAGCUGAUCCGAAUACAGUAAAGCCCUCAUCGAUUCUCUCUUUGUAACCAUCCACCAAAUGCCCUGAUAGGAUUUUUAGAACCUACACAAAUAAGGUUAAAAUCACACAAAAGACUUGCAAGAGUACAAUAAUGUUGUAGUAUAGAUACUCAUGCAAAGUCGUUCUCUACAAUGACUAUUUUAAUAAUUUAUGUAAAAACAAUUCAUAUUUAAUUACUUAAAAUUAAAAAUUGAGAAAGGAGAUUUUGAAUUUGGGUAAUAUUAAAAACGAAUUUUAAUUAAAAACUAAUAUUAAAUUCCCCAAAAUUAAUACGAUAAAAGAAAAGAGUUGUAAAUACCCAUUUAUAAAAGCACUAGGGUUCCACCAUCAUCUAGCAAUCCUAUGUAUUUUUACCAAUUACUUAUGAUCUACACAUGCCACUUUGAAUGUUAGGUUUUUCUAAUAUAUACUAGCAUUUGCCUACAUACUUUGUGUGUAUGAACACAUUUUUUUAGAAAAUGAGAAGGAGAGAGGGAGAGAGAGAACGUUGGGGGGGGGGGGAGGGAGUGGGAGGUUUUUGUUUUUGGUUUUUUUUUUUAAUUUAUUAUAUUGGAGGUAUUUUAACAUCACAUAUAGGUGAGGCUUCAAUAAAAAAAAGUAAAAUUUGGAUAUGUGAAAUUACAUUAUUGCCCAUCAUAUUUUUUGUGUGAUAGAAAAUUAAAUUGUCUUUUCACCAUCUUUUAGUUGACAAAGAAGGUUUCAUUAAUUAGUAGAGAUUCUACUUGAAACCUCCAACAUAAAAUGUAUAUCUAACAUGCAAUCUAUUCGGAUGUUCGGAUCAAAUAUGAACAUGACAGACUCAUUAUGUUUUAUGAAAAUCAUUUGAAAAACCAUGCAACCCUUAAGAUGUGGUGUUCAUCCUAAUUAAAAUUACAAUUAUUAACCACAAGAAGCCAACGUCAAUUUCAAGGAAUCUUUCGACCAAAAUUGCAUCAAAUUACUUUUCUAAAUAUCUUAAUGUGAUCAAGCAUUAAGACAAUUAGACAGUUUAAAACGGUAAUCAAUAAUUCAAAGCGUGCAUGCAAUCAAUCAUAAGCAAUUAAAUUAAAUAAAAAUUACAUAUUCAUGCUAAGGCUCAAGGCUUUGCCCUAGCAAACGGAUUAGUUACGCAUAUUCAUAAUUAAAAUCCUAGAAAAUAUUAUUAUUAUGAAGAAAAAGAAUGAAAACACUUUAAAAUAAAAAUCUGAAAGUCUUCAAGAACCCUAACCAAUUUCUCUAUGUCUCCAAAGUCACAUACAAGAGAAGAUAAAUAGACUAGGGCCGGCCAAAACCUUAAAUAUCCCCCUAAAACCAUCGCAUAAUCCUUAGAAAACAAAAUCUUUUAUUCCUACUAGGAAACUAAAUAAUAAUAAAAUAUCUUUUAAAAUAAAGUCCUAAUUAAGCUAGGAAAUCUACCAAGUAACUGUCCAGCCAUGUUUUACCCUCCAAUUUCCUCCAAAUUCAGCCCAUAAUAGCUUGUUUUGAAGAUCGGGAUGUUUUGAACACAUCUCCAAAAGGUCACGAACCCAUCAGAUGUCAUCUCGAGACCUACCGCUUAUGGGCGAAGGCACUUGCCAUCGCACCAAGUGCGACCUCUAAGAAGAAGAAGGAAGAAGAAAAAAAAAAAAACCCAACCCAGUUUGUCCCCCCCUCAACAAACCCAGAAACAACAACAACAACAACAACAAAGCCUUUUCCCACUAAGUGGGGUCGGCUAUAUGAAUCCUAGAACGCCAUUGCGCUCGGUUUUGUGUCAUGUCCUCCGUUAGAUCCAAGUACUCUAAGCCUUUUCUUAGAGUCUCUUCCAAAGUUUUCCUAGGUCUUCCUCUACCCCUUCGGCCCUGAACCUCUGUCCCGUAGUCACAUCUUCGAACCGGAGCGUCAGUCGGCCUUCUUUGCACAUGUCCAAAUCACCGGAACCGAUUUUCUCUCAUCUUUCCUUCAAUUUCGGCUACUCCUACUUUACCUCGGAUAUCCUCAUUCUCAAUCUUAUCCUUUCUCGUGUGCCCACACAUCCCACGAAGCAUCCUCAUCUCCGCUACACCCAUUUUGUGUACGUGUUGAUGUUUCACCGCCCAACAUUCUGUGCCAUACAACAUCGCUGGCCUUAUUGCCGUCCUAUAAAAUUUUCCCUUGAGCUUCAGUGGCCUACGACGGUCACACAACACGCCGGAUGCACUAUUACACUUCAUCCAUCCAGCUCGUAUUCUAUAAUUGAGAUCUCCAUCUAGUUCUCCGUUCUCUUGCAAGAUAGAUCCUAGGUAACGAAAACGGUCGCUUUUUGUGAUCUUCGCUAGAUUGCUCCGGUCAUUAGUGUGGAUAAGUAUAUAAAUGGAUAGAGAUAGGAAAGCAAACACAAGAUGUACGUGGUUCACCCAGAUUGGCUACGUCCACGGAAUAGAAGAGUUCUCAUUAAUUGUGAAGGGUUUACACAAGUACAUAGGUUUAAGCUCUCCUUUAGUGAGUACAAGUGAAUGAUUUAGUACAAAUGAUAUUAGAGUACAAAUGACAUUAGGAAAUAUUGUGGGAGAAUGAUCUCGUAAUCACGAAACUUCUAAGUAUCGGAGUGUGGUAUCAUCUUGACUUGCCUUAUCUGUCUCAUAGGUAGAUGUGGCAGCUUCUCUGGAAGUACUCUUCCUCCAUCCAGGGGUGGUAUCUUUAAUUGGUGGAGAUGCACAAGGUAAUGUAUCAAUUUCACUUGAAGCUUACUUGUAGUUUCAAGCUUGGUCAAGCGCGAUACAAACCAUGUAGUAGGACUCCCCCAAGUCGCCGAGCUAGGGGAUCUGCUGAAAGAGGUGACAGACAAGGUAAGCAAUCAGAGCUCCAGCUGAUUGUUCACCUUCUCCCCAUCUUGCAGCAGCAUGAAGGAUACAACAACAACAACAAAGCCUUUUCCCACUAAGUGGGGUCGGCUAUAUGAAUCCUAGAACGCCAUUGCGCUCGGUUUUGUGUCAUGUCCUCCGUUAGAUCCAAGUACUCUAAGUCUUUUCUUAGAGUCUCUUCCAAAGUUUUCCUAGGUCUUUCUCUACCCCUUCGGCCCUGAACCUCUGUCCCGUAGUCACAUCUUCGAACCGGAGCGUCAUUCGGCCUUCUUUGCACAUGUCCAAAUCACCGGAGCCGAUUUUCUCUCAUCUUUCCUACAAUUUCGGCUACUCCUACUUUACCUCGGAUAUCCUCAUUCCCAAUCUUAUCCUUUCUCGUGUGCCCACACAUCCCACGAAGCAUCCUCAUCUCCGCUACACCCAUUUUGUGUACGUGUUGAUGCUUCACCGCCCAACAUUCUGUGCCAUACAACAUCGCUGGCCUUAUUGCCGUCCUAUAAAAUUUUCCCUUGAGCUUCAGUGGCCUACGACGGUCACACAACACGCCGGAUGCAUUCUUACACUUCAUCCAUCCAGCUCGUAUUCUAUGGUUGAGAUCUCCAUCUAAUUCUCCGUUCUCUUGCAAGAUAGAUCCUAGGUAGCGAAAACGGUCGCUUUUUGUGAUCUUCGCUAGAUUGCUCCGGUCAUUAGUGUGGAUAAGUAUAUAAAUGGAUAGAGAUAGGAAAGCAAACACAAGAUGUACGUGGUUCACCCAGAUUGGCUACGUCCACGGAAUAGAAGAGUUCUCAUUAAUUGUGAAGGGUUUACACAAGUACAUAGGUUCAAGCUCUCCUUUAGUGAGUACAAGUGAAUGAUUUAGUACAAAUGACAUUAGGAAAUAUUGUGGGCUUUUUAAGAUGGCCUCCCGUGCUUUUUAAAGAAUGAUCUCGUAAUCACGAAACUUCUAAGUAUCGGAGUGUGGUGUCGUCUUGACUUGCCUUAUCUGUCUCAUAGGUAGAUGUGGCAUCUUCUCUGGAAGUACUCUUCCUCCAUCCAGGGGUGGUAUCUUUAACUGGUGGAGAUGCACAAGGUAAUGUAUCAAUUUCACUUGAAGCUUACUUGUAGUUUCAGGCUUGGUCAAGCGCGAUACAAACCAUGUAGUAGGAGUCCCCCAAGUCGCCGAGCUAGGGGGUCUGCUGAAAGAGGUGACAGACAAGGUAAGCAAUCAGAGCUCCGACUGAUUGUUCACCUUCUCCCCAUCUUGCAGCAGCAUGAAGGAUAAAGAGAAGAAAAAUGAGAAGAGAUGAUAUGAGAUACUUUUGCUUUUGAAGAAGUAACUUUCCACAGGCUUAUUCUUGAACUGAGCUGGAGGGUUUUCUGGUUUCCUCCAGAGUAUAAGGCCGACUGAAGAAUUUGAGGGUCAAAACAAGUCCAUCAAAUCUAGAGUACGUUCCACCCUGCUGAUAUGGGAUACUUUUGCUUUUGACAGAGUAAUGGAUGUAUCGGCACGUGUGCUGUUACGCUUGUCUCCACAUGCUUCCUUGUAUCCUUCGCACUUGCCCUAUCUGUUCCUCAAGCAGAUGCGGAAUCUUCCCUGGAAACAUAAGAUGUUGAAGAUGAGUACUCGAGAGCAAUGCCAGGUAAGUAAUCAGGUAAGGGGUUCCAGGCAGUCAGUUCCUGGCUGGAAGCUUGAUUCCAAGUGCUGACUGAUUGCUCUCUUUCUCCUUGUCUUGCAGGUAAAAACAAGGCCAAAAGGAAAAGACAGGGAAAAAGCAUGAUAUGGGAUACUCUUGCUUUUAACCCUGAUGAUAUGAGAUAUUCUUGCUCUAGUAUAGCUUGUUUGCAGAGGUAUUAUCGGGGGGAAAGAAAGCUGAAUAUUUCGAAAGGCUUCGUUGGGAGUGCCCUCUCAGAUAUGAUGAAGGGUUGAGCAUUUUUGCAGGUCUGCCUGUCCGUUGGGGAUGGAGGUCGACAUAUAUAGGAGUCUCCCUAACAACAAGUAGUAAUGCUAUUCCUUUACCCUGCUUGGUCAUAGCACGGUAGUGGGAGCUGCCAGUUUCACAUGUUUUAACUCUGUCAGAGCACUUUGAAAAAGUGGUCUGUGGUAUCUGGCUCUCGAGAUUCGGAGAACGAUGCCUCUUCGAUUUUUGAGAAAGCAAUCAUGCUGGGGGUCUGGCUCUCGAGAUUCGGAGAGAGCAGUGUCUCUUCGAUUUUUGAGGAAGUAAUCAUGUUGGGAGUCUGGCUCUCGAGAUUCGGAGGGCGGUGCCUCUUCGAUUUUGGAGCAAGCAAUCUUGUUGGGAGUGUUGUCUCGAAUGUGAGUAAAGGUUGGGCAUGUUUGCUAGUCUACCUUGCCACGAAGCACAAAGGUUGACACACAGGGACUUUCCAAUUAUCCAGCAAUGGUACUGUUCCUUUACCCUCUCUUCGAUUUUGAGAAAGUAGUCAUGUUGGGAGUCUGGCUCUCGAGAUUCGGAGGACGGUGCCUCUUCGAUUUUGGAGCAAGCAAUCUUGUUGGGAGUGUUUUCUCGAAUGUGAGUAAAGGUUGGGCAUGUUUGCUAGUCUACCUUGCCACGAAGCACAGAGGUUGACACACAGGGACUUUCCAAUUAUAUCCAGCAGUGGUACUGUUCCUUUACCCUUGUGGGUAAUAAUAUGGUAGCUAGACCUUCAAAAUUUAUGUGUCUAAACUUUGUUAGUGCUGUUUCUUUGCUAUUCUUUUACCUUUCUUGGUCAGAGCGAUGUAGUGGGAGCUGCAAGCUUCACGUGCUCAACUUUGGCAGAGAACUUUGGCAAAGUUAUCUGUGGUACCCAUGAGCUAUUGUUGCGUGUGGGAAGUGGGUGAUUGAACAGUAAGAUUCAUGUGCUUUCUACUUCACCAGAAGUCUUCGACAGAAUGCCCAUAAUUUCUGCAAAGCUGAGUGUGCGUGUGACAGGUGCUGACAAGGCUAGAAAAGUAGGUGCCUCUUCGAUUUCUGAGAUCGGCCCUCGUGGUCUCUGAGCAGCCCAGCUUUUGAGAAAGCGAGCGCCUCUUCGAUUGAUUCGGAGAACGAUGCCUCAUCGAUUUUUGAGAAAGCAAUCAUGCUGGGGGUCUGGCUCUCGAAGAUUCGGGGAGCAGUGUCUCUUCGAUUUUUGAGAAAGUAAUCAUGUUGGGAGUCUGGCUCUCGAGAUUCGGAGGGCGGUGCCUCUUCGAUUUUGGAGCAAGCAAUCUUGUUGGGAGUGUUUUCUCGAAUGUGAGUAAAGGUUGGGCAUGUUUGCUAGUCUACCUUGCCACGAAGCACAGAGGUUGACACACAGGGACUUUCCAAUUAUCCAGCAAUGGUACUGUUCCUUUACCCUCUCUUCGAUUUUUAAGAAAGUAGUCAUGUUGGGAGUCUGGCUCUCGAGAUUCUGGCUUUUGGAGCAAGCAAUCUUAUUGGGAGUGUUUUCUCGAAUGUGAGUAAAGGUUGGGCAUGUUUGCUAGUCUACCUUGCCACGAAGCACAGAGGUUGACACACAGGGACUUUCCAAUUAUCCAGCAGUGGUACUGUUCCUUUACCCUUGUGGGUAAUAAUAUGGUAGCUAGACCUUCAAAAUUUAUGGGUCUAAACUUUGUUAGUGCUGUUUCUUUGCUAUUCUUUUACCCUUCUUGGUCAGAGCGAUGUAGUGGGAGCUGCAAGCUUCACGUGCUCAACUUUGGCAGAGAACUUUGGCAAAGUUAUCUGUGGUACCCAUGAGCUAUUGUUGCGUGUGGGAAGUGGGUGAUUGAACAGUAAGAUUCAUGUGUUUUCUACUUCCCCAGAAGUCUUCGACAGAAUGCCCAUAAUUUCCGCAAAGCUGAGUGUGCGUGUGACAGGUGCUGACAAGGCUGGAAAAGUAGGUGCCUCUUCGAUUUCUGAGAUCGGCCCUCGUGGUCUCUGGGGAGCCCAGCUUUUGAGAAAGCGAGCGCCUCUUCGAUUUCUGAGAUCGGCCUUCGUGGUCUUUGAGCAGCCCAACUUUUGAGAAAGCAAACGCCUCUUCGAUUUCUGAGAUCAACCCUCGUGAUCUCUAAGCAGCCCAGCUUUUGAGAAAGCAAACGCCUCUUCGAUUUCUGAGCAGGCGCCUCUUCGAUUUCUGAAGCUCCGUCGAGUGCAGAUUUUUAUAGGGGCUGGCAUUAAGUUCCAAAGCACACUUGAAUCUCCACCAGUAGAAGCUUCAUUCUUGCACUUCUAAGAUCUUGAUUUGUCCGACCUCUUCUCUCUUCAACACCUUUGAAAAUGUCUGGCCCCUCCGACCGUCGUUUUGACUUGAACCUUGUUGAAGAGGCAGCCCCGCCUUCUCCAGACAACAUAUGGCGCCCAUCCUUCGUCUCCCCUACUGGUCCUCUUACCGUUGGGGAUUCCGUGAUGAAGAAUGAUAUGACCGCUGCGGUGGUGGCCAGGAACCUUCUCACUCCCAAAGAUAACAGACUACUUUCCAAACGGUCUGAUGAGUUAGCUGUUAAGGAUUCGCUGGCUCUCAGUGUUCAGUGUGCAGGUUCUCUGUGUCUAAUAUGGCCCAACGCCUAUUUGCUCGAACCCGCCAAGUUGAAUCAUUGGCGGCUGAAGUGAUGAGUCUCAAACAGGAGAUUAGAGGGCUCAAGCAUGAGAAUAAACAGUUGCACCGGCUCGCACAUGACUAUGCUACAAACAUGAAGAGGAAGCUUGACCAGAUGAAGGAAACUGAUGGUCAGGUUUUACUUGAUCAUCAGAGAUUUGUGGGUUUGUUCCAAAGGCAUUUAUUGCCUUCGUCUUCUGGGGCUGUACCGCGUAAUGAAGCUCCAAAUGAUCAACCUCUGAUGCCUCCUCCUUCUAGGGUUCUGUCCAGUACUGAGGCUCCAAAUGAUCCCCCUCCGGUGCCUUCUCUUUCUGGGGCUCUACCGACUGCUGAGACUUCUCCUAAGCAACCUUUGUGAAGGCUCCCUCUUGUGUGUUUAUUUUGACUCAUGUAUAUGUACAUAUUUGUAGCUUAUCGGGGAUAUCAAUAAAUAAGCUUUCCUUCAUUUCAACGUAUUGUGUUAAAUACACCAAAGCCUUCUUCGCUAAGUUCUUUGAAUUUUCUUUUGUUGAAGCUUGUAUGUUGAAGCUUUCUGAGUGGAGCAUGUAGGUUGGGGUAGUGUUCCCUUAAUUUCCCGAGUGAGGAAAACUUCUCGGUUGGAGACUUGGAAAAUCCAAGUCACUGAGUGGGAUCGGCUAUAUGAAUCUUAGAACGCCAUUGUGCUCGAUCCUGUGUCAUGUCCUUCGUUAGAUCCAAGUACUCUAAGUCUUUUCUUAGAGUCUCUUCCAAAGUUUUCCUAGGUCUUCCUCUACCCCUUCGGCCCUGAACCUCUGUCCCAUAGUCGCAUCUUCUAAUCGGAGCGUCAGUAGGCCUUCUUUGCACAUGUCCAAACCACCGUAACCGAUUUUCUCUCAUCUUUCCUUCAAUUUCGGCUACUCCUACUUUACCCCGGAUAUCCUCAUUCCUAAUCUUAUCCUUUCUCGUGUGCCCACACAUCCAACGAAGCAUCCUCAUCUCCGCUACACCCAUUUUGUGUACGUGUUGAUGUUUCACCGCCCAACAUUCUGUGCCAUACAGCAUCGCCGGCCUUAUUGCCGUCCUAUAAAAUUUUCCCUUGAGCUUCAGUGGCAUACGGCGGUCACACAACACGCCGGAUGCACUCUUCCACUUCAUCCAUCCAGCUUGUAUUCUAUGGUUGAGAUCUCCAUCUAAUUCUCCGUUCUUUUGCAAGAUAGAUCCUAGGUAACGAAAACGGUCGCUCUUUGGUAUUUCUUGAUCUCCGAUCCUCACCCCUAACUCGUUUUGGCCUCCAUUUGCACUGAACUUGCACUCCAUAUAUUCUGUCUUUGAUCGGCUUAGGCGAAGACCUUUAGAUUCCAACACUUCUCUCCAAAGGUUAAGCUUUGCAUUUACCCCUUCCUGAGUUUCAUCUAUCAACACUAUAUCGUCUGCGAAAAGCAUACACCAAGGAAUAUCAUCUUGAAUAUGUCCUGUUAACUCAUCCAUUACCAACGCAAAAAGGUAAGGACUUAAGGAUGAGCCUUGAUGUAAUCCUACAGUUAUGGGAAAGCUUUCGGUUUGUCCUUCAUGAGUUCUUACGGCAGUCUUUGCUCCUUCAUACAUAUCCUUUAUAGCUUGGAUAUAUGCUACUCGUACUCCUUUCUUCUCUAAAAUCCUCCAAAGAAUGUCUCUUGGGACCCUAUCAUACGCUUUUUCCAAAUCUAUAAAGACCAUGUGUAAAUCCUUUUUCCCAUCUCUAUAUCUUUCCAUCAAUCUUCGUAAGAGAUAGAUUGCCUCCAUGGUUGAGCGCCCUGGCAUGAACCCGAAUUGGUUGUCCGAAACCCGUGUCUCUUGCCUCAAUCUAUGCUCAAUGACUCUCUCCCAGAGCUUCAUUGUAUGACUCAUUAGCUUAAUACCCCUAUAGUUCAUGCAAUUUUGUACGUCGCCCUUAUUCUUGUAGAUAGGCACCAAAGUGCUCGUUCGCCACUCAUUUGGCAUCUUCUUCGUUUUCAAAAUCCUAUUGAAAAGGUCAGUGAGCCAUGUUAUACCUGUCUCUCCCAAAAGUUUCCACACUUCGAUUGGUAUAUUCGUCUGGGCCUAUUGCUUUUUUAUGCUUCAUCUUCUUCAAAGCUACAACCACUUCUUCCUUCCGGAUUCGACGAUAAAAAGAGUAGUUUCUACACUCUUCUGAGUUACUCAACUCCCCUAAAGAAGCACUCAUUUCAUGUCCUUCAUUGAAAAGAUUAUGAAAAUAACCUCUCCAUCUGUCUUUAACCGCGUUCUCUCUGUAGCAAGAACCUUUCCAUCCUCAUCCUUGAUGCACCUCACUUGGUUUAGGUCCCUUGUCUUCUUUUCCCUUGCUCUAGAUAGUUUAUAGAUAUCCAACUCUCCUUCUUUGGUAUCUAGUCGUUUAUACAUAUCGUCGUAAGCCGCUAACUUAGCUUCUCUAACAGCUUUCUUCGCCUCUUGCUUCGCUUUUCUAUACCUUUCACCAUUUUCAUCGGUCCUCUCCUUGUAUAAGGCUUUACAACAUUCCUUCUUAGCCUUCACCUUUGUUUGUACCUCCUCAUUCCACCACCAAGAUUCAUUUUGGUGUGGGGCAAAGCCCUUGGACUCUCCUAAUACCUCUUUUGCUACUUUUCGGAUACAACUAGCCAUGGAAUCCCACAUUUGGCUAGCUUCCCCCUCUCUAUCCCACACACAUUGGGUGAUUACCUUCUCUUUGAAAAUGGCUUGUUUUUCUUCUUUUAGAUUCCACCAUCUAGUCCUUGGGCACUUCCAAGUCUUGUUCUUUUGUCUUACUCUUUUGAUAUGUACAUCCAUCACCAACAAGCGAUGUUGAUUAGCCACGCUCUCUCCUGGUAUAACUUUGCAAUCCUUACAAGUUAUACGAUCCCCUUUCCUCAUUAGAAGAAAAUCUAUUUGUGUUUUUGACGACCCACUCUUGUAGGUGAUCACAUGUUCUUCUCUCUUCUUAAAGAAGGUGUUGGCUAAGAAGAGAUCAUAUGCCAUUGCAAAAUCCAAGAUAGCUUCCCCAUCCUCGUUUCUCUCCCCAAAACCAUGGCCACCAUGAAAACCUCCAUAGUUGCCUGUCUCCCUGCCCACAUGUCCAUUUAAAUCUCCUCCUAUAAAUAACUUCUCCGUCUGAGCAAUUCCUUGCACCAAGUCUCCAAGAUCUUCCCAAAAUUUCUCCUUCGAACUCGUAUCCAACCCUACUUGAGGUGCGUACGCACUAAUCACAUUAAUAAGUUCUUGUCCUAUUACAAUCUUGAUUGCCAUGAUUCUAUCUCCUACCCUCUUGACAUCUACAACAUCUUGUACCAAGGUCUUGUCCACGAUGAUGCCAACACCGUUUCUCGUUCUAUUUGUGCCCGAAUACCAAAGUUUAAACCCUGAGUUUUCUAGAUCCUUUGCCUUACUACCAACCCACUUAGUUUCUUGUAGGCACAUAAUAUUUAUCCUUCUCCUCACCAUAACUUCCACUACUUCCAUAGAUUUUCCCGUUAAUGUUGCUGACAUAUUAAACUACACAACAUCUAUUGUAAUUUAUGUCUUAUUAGUAUCAUCACUUUUGUUCUUUAUUUCAAUGUCUAACAUAAUGAUCUGGUUUCAAUUUGCUACAGGCAUUAUUCCCAGACAAUAGCUAUGGUUUUGAUUGUAGCGGUGACUGAAAAAUUAUUCCGAAACUAACAUUUGAGGAAUUCAAGGUUUGUUAGUUAAUUUGUACAUCAGAAUACCAUGACAAACUUUGAAGUUGUAAUUGUUGACCUUACAACGUAUCUUUUGGUUUGGAGCAUUAGACUUAUAUGUGUUGCUUUCACUUGAAGGCUAACUCUUUAUUUUAGGCCUUGGAAUAUAACUAGGAAAUUGUGCCCGCACGUUGUUGCAGGAACGAAAAUAAAACUAUAGAACAUAUCAUGAAAAUCCAAAUGUACAUAAAUGUUGAGUAACACUAUUAACAUAAACAUAAUAAAGACUGCAUAUAAAAUGUAGUCAAUAUUUUUACAGGCCACUGUUUAUAGUUGUACAAUUUAGGCAAAAAACAUUAGGAAACAUUUUGACAUGGAUGUACAAAAGUGAUGAGUCUGAUAUUUCCCCCUGGUAGCUAUGUUAGGUGUUGAUCAGCAUCAGUUGUUCAUGUGCACAAAAAAUAGGGGUAUCAAUGUUAUGGUGGCCUAUUUACACGCAAAAAAUAUGGAGAAGCACUGAUGUUGUUUUAACAAAAGAUGAUCAGUCUCUUUUCUAUAGCAGCAAAAGUUUGUUCCUUCUGGCAAUAACUGCAAAUAAACGAUGUGCAGAUGGUAAAAAAAAUAUGUAAAUGCUAACUGAGCUGUAAUCAAGUGUGUGCAAAUAUGGUUACAUCAUAUAAAAAAUAGGAAUGGAGCAAAGUUACCUAGUUUUUUUUUUUUUUGGUAGAGGGUCUUUUUUCAUGCUUGUUGGAGAAGAUGCUUUUUUUUCAACAAUUUGAUUGGAACCUGACCAAAAUCCUAGACAUCUACUUCAGAGACUUCCUCUGUCUCACCGUACCAAAUAUAUUAAAGAGAUAGGAAAAAUAGAUUUAGAUCAGAUUGAAAAUAAAUUGAGAAUGAGAAAAAAAUGCUGUGAUGCAGAAUAUAACAUGUUUUUAGCCUCUGUAAAAAGGGCUCUCCUGAUGGAAUCUCUUUUCCUCUUGUGCGUUUCUCCGGUUUUUUCAGCUGGUGUAGUGGACGAUGAAACUGUUGUCGAAGACACUGCAAUUUCUUUCAUAAAAGACUGGUGUUGUUGGUUGGAUCAUUGUGUCCUCAGAAACAUUGUAGAUAAGGAGAUCAUUUGAAUUCAACAAAUUUCGUCGGCUUCCAAACCAAAGGUGAAAAUUUUUCCUUUGGCCUAUAAGUCUGAAAAACUCACUUGGUAAUUGCUUGUGAUCUGUUGAUCUUUGAUUGUAAACCAAAUCUUUGCAUGGCAUGCCAAAGACCUUUUCUCCUAAUUUGCCGAUAAUGAGAGCAUUGAUCUCAUUUGUUUCGUCUUCAAGGACCAAGAACACUUUGUACCUUCAUUCAAAUAGAAAAGCCAUUAAUUAUAGAGGAUACACAGUGUAAUAAGUCAAGAACUACAUUCUCAUAGAUUUUUCUAUGGUAUGGUUUAAUGUUAAUACUAAUCAUAUGAAAAAUAAAAGGAUAGGUAUGCAAAGUUUGAUUUCAAAUUUAAUUAAAUUUAUGGCUUGUAAGUUUGUUACGUGAUCAAUGAACUAUUAAUUGAAAAUAUGUAAUUAAAAACAGAAUAAAUGAUAAGUUUCAGUUUAAUAAGGAUAUGAGACAACGAUCAAUUGACAAACGCAAAAUAUAGUGUUUAACUCGUUACCAAGGAGUUGGCAUUUGAUUUAUAUGUUUUUGGCACAUCAGUUGACCAGUUGUUGGGUCCUUGUACAUUUGUUUGGCACAUGUAGGGCAAGCAGCAUACCACCAUUCAUAUGAUGUGUUAAACCGCUUAAUUGAUGCCUUGCACAAAAAUGUAUCAUCCUGUUAAAUAUCCAAAAAGAUGUUUAGAUAGUUAAUAAUCAUGAAAUAGAAAGCUUAUGUAAAAGAAGUAAAAAUAGAAAGCUUAUGUUUAGAUAGUUCAUAUGAUGUGUUAACUCGUCAAGUCCAAAACGCUGGACUCCAACCACAUGACCAAUAACAUCUACAAAUUUGAAAAAAAGAAAGAAAACCAAAACAUAAUUAGGUGAGGAGAAAAUGUUUCAUAAAACAUGUAUCAAUGCAUUGUAACACACAGCUAUAUAUACAUGCGUACAUAUUUAUUACCUGUUAGGAUAUCAGUCUUGUUCAGCCUGGAUACAAUCUAUUAUAAUCUUGCAAAAAAAAAUCUGCGACACAGAAUAGGCAGAAACACACUUGUUAACUUGUUAAAAACUGUUUUGGCAGUUAACACGAGAUGGGUGUCAUGCGGGACUACUUGACACUGGCCUCUUAUUUUGUUGGUACGAAAAUUCAUAAUCUCGUAGCAAGCACCUGCUUCAAUUUUUGGGACUAUUAUAUCAUAGUUCAUUUCGUCAGAAGACGCUUCUAUCGCUUGUUCCUUGAUAACCAAACAUUGAGAAGGGAAGAAAAAGAAAUUGUCAAAGAUAUCAUGAAUAGGUAAAUAACACUAAAUUUGAAACUUAAAAUAAUAUGAAAACAUUUGCAAAUUACCAACAUUAUAGACUAAGAUGAAUACUAAAUACUGAAAGCCAAGUUAUCAUUGUAAUUAACAGUUUAAAGGCAAUGGAUACCCAUAAAAUAAUUACAUGUCACAUAGACUUAACAUGAGAGUUGAUAUAUUUAAUACUUGAAAUAAUAUGAAAAUAAAUGUAAAUCACAAAUAUUAGAGAAUAAGAUGGAUAGUUAACGUCAAGAGUGAAUUUAUUAGUGUAAUUAACAAGUUAAAGACAAUGCAUAUGCACCCAAAAACAAAUUCUUAUCACAUAGAGACAGAAUGAUAACUAACAUGUAAUUUUCCGAUACAAAAUGAAAGAAUACAGAGAUUAGAAAUGAAUUGGAGAUUGUGUUUAUCCCAGAGAGUAAAAAUGUCAUGUGAUAUGUAUUAGAACAAAUACAAAAUUCACAUGUUAAGAGCUUAUCAAACAGUAUUAUUAAAGAUUAAUUACUGACCUUUUCAUCAACUAAUACACAGUGUAGACCUGCAUAUUUAUCAGUCAUGCCUGAAAAUCUUGGUAUCUAUAUUCUGCAGAUACGAACUUUAAUUUUUCCAAUUUUUUCAUAUGGGACCAAUCGAUCAAGAGGAGUUGGACCUCGACCUUCCAUGUUUAACUGCUGAAAUGAGAUUUAAGGUUUGUGAAUUGACAAAUAAUGCAGAAAGAAAUUUCAAAGAGGCUGAACAAUGAUGUAACAACUACACUUUCAAAACUAUAGACCUACAACAGUUUGUUUAAAAGCGUAACUGAUUAAAAGAAUGAGAUUGCCAAAAGAAAACACAGCACGACCACUGCUUAACUGAACCACAUUCUCAACACACAAACAUAAACGUAGUGAUCCUAUACAUCCAUCAUAUUCUUUUUCUCUGUUUCCAUAUCCCUGAUCCCAAUUCUUUAUCCCAUCCUUUCAGUGUUGUUUUUUGCUCACUCUCAAUGUCACGCCCCUAUCUCGACAUACGUCCAGGCUCGACACAUGACGUCACCAACUACUCGUAUCUCUAACAUAUCCCGCCACCAGGAUAUGCAAAACACAACUCGAGAACCAAUUGCGUAAUAAAUUUUUGUAUACUUUAUGGUUGCAUCUAACCUCUUCGUUAGACUGUCUACGUACCCUCAAUAGAGAUCAAGCCAUUCGUAGUUCAACUUCGCUAUAACUCGACAUAUAACACAAUCUAUUCAAGCCAAAAUGCAUAACAUUCCUCAAUCAAACAUUUGGACUUGACGAGCAUGAAUUAUUCGAUUCAAACUACAUAACAACCCGCAUGACAAUCAAGGUUUCUAUUUCAUCCAUCAUAUACAUCAUUAUGUUUCAACAUAAAAUCACUAUUCAUAUCAAGUAAUAUAUCAAAGAAUCAAUAAAGCACAAUAGUAUCCUCUAGUCGCAUUGAUCACUGAUCUAAUCAUUAUAAUAACAAUCAUAUUCAACAUCCUUCCACAAUCAUCUCAAGUAACCCAUUCCAUGAUAUCAAGGAUGCACGAUAUUAACAUUUAAUUAUGUUAAUCAGUCAAUCAGAUCACAUCUCAAUGCACAAAAUUAAUAAAGGACUUCUAUAUAAUUCCCCUGGAUUUCAAGUAAUAACUUGAUAAUUCAAAUUUAUAUUCACAAAAUUUAUUGUGGGUAAUUCUCAUUCACUCGAAUCCAAGGUACAAGUCUAACUUAUAGAAAUGAGCAAGAGUAGGGAUUCCAGACCACUCAACGGAAUCCAAAUCAAGAUACGAUUCCAGACCACUCAACGGAAUCCAACCACAUCGGCUUCCGGAUCACUUAACGGAACCAAAAUUAUCCAUCGGUUUCUUGCAUGUAAAAUUAGUGACAUCGAUGACAAUCUAUAAACAUCAAGUAUAGAAUUAUGCUUUAUGAAAUCAUAAUCAAGUCACUGACAACUUCGAAGGAGUCACCCAGACAUCCAACGACUUUUUUAAUUUAAAGCACAAGAUUCUCAAAAUCCAUCGUUCAUAUGUACAUUAAAAACUAGGGCUAGAUGGACGCAGUUCGGCCGAAGCCUACAUCUUUGAAGCUAUCUCAAUCCAAACUCAAUGAAACCCGAGGUGGAUACGACCCCGGACCAUCACUCAAAAAAAUCACGGAGUAGGAGGGAUUCCGGACCAUCUCUCAACGGAAUCCAAGUGGAUACGAUUUCGGACCAUCACUCAACAGAAUCGCGGAAGGCCAACAACCAUAUAUACAAUGACUCAAAGAAAUGAGACAAGCACAAGUUACUUAAUUUACAAAAGCUUAACCAAGGGAAAUAAGGCACAAAUACUAAAUUUAGAACGAAUCAACGAAGUGGAAGAUGAAACCAUAUCGAAUCAACAAAUCCCCAUCACCACAGUUUAACGGUCUACCACUAGUCCUCACAUUUCAUCACAACAGGCCAAUCAAACCAAUCAAACCAAUCAAACCAUAUUUCAAUAUAUAUACAUGUCAAAUCUCAUUUCAUAAACCUAAAUUAAUAAAGGACUUCUAUAUAAUUCUCUGCCUGGAUUUCAAGUAAUAACUUGAUAAUUCAAAUUUAUAUUCACAAGAUUUAUUGUGGGUAAUUCUCAUUCACUUGAAUCCAAGGUACAAGUCUAACUUAUGGAAAUGAGCAAGAGUAGGGAUUCCAUACCACUCAACGGAAUCCAACCACAUCGGGUUCCGGAUCACUUAACGGAACCAAAAUAAUUUAUCGGUUUCUUGCAUGUAAAAUUAGUGACAUCGAUCACAAUCUAUAAACAUCAAGUAUAGAAUCAUGCUUUAUGAAAUCAUAAUCAAGUUACUGACAACUUGGAAGGAGUCACUCAGAUAUCCAACGACUUUUUUAAUUCAAAGCAUAAGAUUCUCAAAAUCCAUCGUUCAUAUGUACAUUAAAAACUAGGGCUAGAUGGACGCAGUUCGGCCGAAGCCUACAUCUUUGAAGCUAUCUCAAUCCAAACUCAAUGAAACCCGAGGUGGAUACGACCCCGGACCAUCACUCAAAGAAAUCACAGAGGAGGAGGGAUUCCGGAACAUCUCUCAACGGAAUCCAAGUGGAUACGAUUUCGGACCAUCACUCAACAGAAUCGCGGAAGGCCAACAACCAUAUAUACAAUGACUCAAAGAAAUGAGACAAGCACAAGUUACUUAAUUUACAAAAGCUUAACCAAGGGAAAUAAGGCACAAAUACUAAAUUUAGAACGAAUCAACAAAGCAGAAGAUGAAACCAUAUCGAAUCAACAAAUCCCUAUCACCACAGUUUAACGGUCUACCACUAGUCCUCACAUUUCAUCACAACAUGCCAAUCAAACCAUAUUUCAAUAUAUAUACAUGUCAAAUCUCAUUUCAUAAACUUAAAUCAAUGGCUAAGCAUUAAAAAAAAUUAUUCAAUAGAAAACAUAUUUAUAAACCCAAGUCAUAUCCACAUAGGAUAACAAUUACGAAAAUAAGGUAAUCACCAAUAUCACAUAUAUUAAAGUCACUCACCUGAGGUCCACACUAACGCACUCUAGCAUGGAAUUCAAGGCAUCAAGCUCUAUUACCGCCAAAAACAAAGCACAAGUCCACAUUUAGAUUUCUCUCGAUAAAUUCACAUGCCCAAAACUCUCAUAAGUCUCCCACAACGACAUUUAAUGAGAAUCAAACCGUCGAUCAAAGGUAUGGUCCAUGAUCUUACAUCAUUUGCUCCGUAAGAUCCAACCACUAGAUUUUCACUAGUAAGUUCCUAAGGCCCAACAACUGAUAAAUAUGGUGCUCACAAAAUUGUACAACGAUCCAACGAUCAGAUUGUCAUCAAUCACAUAAACAAGUGGUGGUCCAAUUUGAUCGCCAUACCAAACAAUUGAAUUUCGGGAAACCAAGCUAGACAUAGGUUCAUAGGGUCACUAGAAGGUAUUUGGUACUUGACAACACUCGUGGACAAUCUCACGCACCGCCACACGCGAUGGUAGCCAUGGUGAAGGAUUUGAAAACCCAAUUUUUCAACCUUAACCACAAAGGCUCAAAUUUACGUGGUAAUUAGAGUAAAAAUCCAAUUUCAUCAUGGAAAACCGGGUUUCUAGGGUUCUACACACCCAACUCUAAAACGAAUACGAAAGCACCAACUUGAAGAUUAUGAAGAGUAUACUUCACUCGAAGGAAAUGGUUGACGGAAUCACCGGAAAAAUGAUAAAACCGCCGGAAACCCACAGAACUUUGCUGUCUCUAACUGGAAAAAUAGAUAAGAAAAUGGGAAAUCUAACACUACAGAGAUGUAGGGCUCGUCAAGAGCUUUAAUGAACACCAAGAUCACCCAAAACGGAGAUCGGAUGAAGGAGAUAUGAGCGGAUCAAGUUUGCGGGUUAACGGGUCUAAUUCGCCCCAAAACGGGUUUUUCCUUCUUUUCUCUCGCCACCUUCCCGUGGCUUUCUUUUCCUCUCCUCUUUUUAGCCACUCCCGUGGCCUUUUCCUUCUCUUUUCAUUUUUUUUUAAUUUUUAAUUUUUAAUUUUUUUAGCAACAACUUCAAACGUCCGUAACUAUACCGUUAUAAUCUGGACUUGCAAACGGUUUUCGCCUAUGCGUUCGUAAUCUCGAUAUCUAUUCAACAAUAUAAAUUGUGACCUCGAAUGGUCUGCGGAUUUUAAAUAAUUAAUUUUCCAAAAAAUAAUAUAAAAUUUCUAUAAUACCACUAUGUAGAUUAUACUAAUGAAAUCCAGUAUCUAGAUUUCACACUCAAUCCCAUUUUCUUCCAAGUCUGAUAAAACCCACAUGCAUAAACGGGCUACAAAUCUGCCAAACCCAAAACAAAACCUAACUAAAAAUCUGAGAGAUUAAAACUUUCGCUCAAAAAAACAGUCUAUCUCUCCGAUAAAACAGAAAUAUCCCAAAAUAGGAAUGCUUGGUAAUAAAAUAAUGAAGCAACAAAUGGCAUGAAAUAAUCAAAAAACAACCCUACAAAUUCAAAUAACCGAAACAAAUAAUCAUAUGGCCAAUUCAGUUCGAAAAAAAAAAAACAUCGCACAAAAAACUAAUACCUGACAAAGAACCCAAUUGGGGAUACUGGAAAUUGCAACUACACGAUCCUCCAAUUGACGAUCAGACAGCCGUUCAACCACUGCAAAAACAACCAUAAAAAAACACAAAGUCAUAGCCUAUCAAGAGUGUAAGUAAAAAAAAUGAACAAAUCGAUAUUUCCUGUCCCGAAUUAAAAACUGGAAAGCGAAAACAAAGGCGCUGAAAAACAAAAGCUGAAAAUCAAUUGCACAACAGCAGAAACCAACAAGAAAAACGAAAGACAGAAACGAUAACAAAAAGCAUAAGCAAAACGAAAGAAACGGCAAACAAAGCUAACCAAGCAAAUUUGAAACGAAGAAAAAUGCACAACCAGCUUAAACCACGGCAAAAAUAAGAGAGAGAAGAGACAAAGCCACGGCCAAUUCGAUGAUCGACACGUGGCCAUAAGUGGAAAAGGCAAAGCCGAGCAACACGCCGGGGGGGGGGGGGGGAAGAUAACAAACGGUCGCGGUGAUAAGGCAAUCAGAAGGUAACGUAAAAAAAAUUAGGAUUUAAAUUUUUGUGGUAGAUUUCGUUAGCAAAUUUAAUCCAAAAUUAUUUUUUUUUUGUUACUUGUCUGUUAAAUACAGGGAUAAAAAUGUAUUUUAACUAGUACGCAUUCUUCUUCCUCCCUCUGCGUUUCAUCUAUUUAUAUCUUAAAACAACCCCUACCAGAAAACCACAGAAAAUAAACCAUGAUCAUUAAUCUCUCAUCUUCUCCAUCAUCCUCUUCUUUCUCUCUCAUCAAGUUAUCUAAUUCCAAAUCACUCAUCUCUGAUUUUCCAUCAAAACCUAAAACCCACCACCCAAAACCUCUAUCUUCUUCCAUUUGCUGCUCAUUUUCUUCACUAGACCUUGGUUUUCACUGCAAGGAUCGAUUUUUCAUUGAAAAUGGUAGGUGCCCACAUGGGAAAAGGUUCAAGUUUAGGACUUGUGCGAUUCCUGGCUUCGACUCUGGCAACCUCAGUUGGUUUUGGAGGCGGCUGCUGUGUUAACGGCCAUAAUUGUUGUCCAUGAGAGCGGUCACUUCGUUGCAGCUUAUCUCCAAGGCAUCCAUGUAAGCAAAUGGAAGAAGAUGGAGGUUUUGGGUGGUGGGUUUUGGGUUUUGGGUUUUGGGUUUUGAUGGAAAAUCAGAGAUGGGUGAUUUGGAAUUGGAUAACUUGAUGAGAGAGAGAGAAUAGGAGCGUGGAGAAGCUGAGAGAUUAAUGAUCAUGGUUUAUUUUCUGUGGUUUUUUUGGUAGGGGUUGUUUUAAGAUAUAAACAGAUGAAAUGCAAAGGGAGGAAGAAGAAGGAGUACACGUUAAAAUACAUUUUUAUCCUUGUAUUUAACAGACAAGUAACGGAAAAAUCAAUUUUGGAUCAAAUUUGCUAACGGACUCUAUCACAAGGGUUUAAAUCCUAAUUUUUUUUACCACAAGGGCUAUCUUCCGAUUACCUUAUCACCACGAGGACUGUUUAUCCGAUUAGGCCAAAAUAUAAAGGAAAGGGGCAAAAUGACAUUUCAUAUAGCAUCUUCAAAAUGCCAAAAAAGUGAGCGUUAGAUCAGGGGCAAAAUCGGGUGGGCACUGUUAGUGAACAAUGGUUUUCCCACAGGGUUUUAGUAUAGAUAAUAAUUUCUUGGAGAAUCAACAUUGUUGACAAUUUUUUGAGCAAUAUUAUCCCCAAAUUUUCUUUGCAUGUUACCCUCAACGUAGACAUCAUAUAACCAUCCUUGAACUUCUGAACCAAAAAUUUGAGUUUUAUGAUUAUAACUAAACGUCUAUAAACACAUGAUACAGAUUGAGACAAAUGUCAAAUUUAAAAUGGCAUUAAUCAGGACAGCUGCAAACUCUGAUUUGUAGGCUUUGAAAUGGAGAAGUUACUUCUUGCUUCACUUUAGCAUCAUAGUUCAGCUUCUAAGUUCAGUUCUCAACUAUGAGGUUUCUCAGUUACCUCUUUCUUGUAAUAAAACAUUAGGUAAAUUAUACAAAACUACCUCAACUAUUGAGUAAUUAACAGCUUCAUACCUCGUCUUUAAAAAGUUUCAAUGUCAUACCUCAUCUACGAACUUGUUACAAUUUCAUACAUUCCGUAAGUUGUCUGUUAAUUCUUCUGUUAAAAUGCUGACGUGGCAAGUGACGGGAUCCAUUUUCUAUUAAAAAAUAAUAAAUAUUAAAAAAAAAAGACCCAAACCCAGAUCCCCAUCCCCCCUUCCCAUCUGUCCCCCCUCCUCCUUCUCCUCAUCCUCCUCCGCACCCACCUCACACCCACCCUCUUCCCUUCUCUACACACUCCACUCCUUAAAUCCACACCCAUUCCCCCAUUCAAAACCCCCAGUUCGUCUUCUCCCUCACCCGAGCCCAACCUGCAACUAGACUUGGCAGUUUUUGACACGACACGAAAACGACACGAAAAUAACGGGUUUCGGGUCAACACGAUAACUUAUCGGGUCACUAUCGGGUGACCCGUUAAGAACCCGUUAACGGGUUCUUAACAGGUAUACACGCGGGUAACACGUGGGUAACCCGUUUCGACCCGUUAAGAAAAGAAUUAUUUUAAUAAUUUUAAGGUUUAAUUACUAAAAGAUUUAUUAUAAAAUACAAUAGUCAUAUUAAUAUAUACAAUAUAUUCUAUAUUAAAUAUAUAGUUUUGUAUUAUUGUUCUAUAUAAAUUAUAAAAAAAUUAAAAAAAAGUUUUAGUCAUUAUUUAUUUUUAUUAUGAGAGUUCCUUAUUAUCAUUACUAGGAUAAAUUUUACAUAACAUAUUCUUGUCCAAAAUUAAAAUAUACUGGUAUAGUAUUUGUAUAUGCAAGAACUAAGAAGACAUACAUACAAGUAUGAAAAAUGUGAAAAAAUAUAUAAACACUCGUGAUUUAUCAUUAUUCCUCCACGAAUAAAUAAUUGUUACACUUAUAUUAUCGUUUAGAUUUUUUAAAUCCUUCAAACCCUCAUGAAUAAUGUUUUUUAUUUGAGGGAAAAAUUAAUAAAAUUAAUAAUAAUUAUUGUAGAAGUGUAAAAAUGUAAAAAUAUAUAUAUAAAAUCACUCAUAUAUAAAAAAAUGUAAAUGCUUUAAAUAAAAGAUCAAAUUUAUUCAUUACAUUCUUAUAGGGUCGAGGAGUGUAUCUGUAAAAAAAUCAUCAAAAUCAGAGAUAAAAUAACCGUUAAAUUAUGAUUUUUCGUUUAUAACCGCCGAAAACUUUUAUUCCAUUACGUAAUCUCUAAAUGUUUGUUUUUUACGAUUUUUUACAUAUGCGAUCUCGGAAUGUGUACAAAUAAGUUUGACGGUUGGAUCGUUGAAAAAAGUUUCAUAUAAUGCAUAUUGCGUCAAAACGGUAGAUUAAGCAAACACUUAGAGUUAAUAUUAUACUUCUAUUAAGUAUAAAAUAAGUUUUUGUGGUAUCCACUAGUGUAAAUACUUUAAAUUAAAGAUCUAAUUUAUUCAUUACAUUCUUAUAGGGUCGAGGAGUGUAUCUGUAAAAAAUAAUCAAAAUCGGAGCUAAAAUAACCGUUAAAUUGUGAUUUUUCGUUUAUAACCGUCGAAAACUUUUGUUCCGUUACUUAAUCUCUGAAUGUUUGUUUUUUAUGAUUUUUAACGUAUGCGAUCUCGGAAUGUGUACAAAUAAGUUUGACGGUUGGAUCGUUGAAAAAAGUUUUGAAGAAUGCAUAUUGCGUCAAAACAGUACAUUAAACAAACACUUAGAGUUAAUAUUAUACUUCUAUUAAGUAUAAAAUAAGUUUUUGUGGUAUCCACUAGUGUAAAUACUUUAAAUUAAAGAUCAAAUUUAUUCAUUACAUUCUUAUAGGGUCGAGGAGUGUAUUUGUAAAAAAUCAUCAAAAUCAGAGAUAAAAUAACCGUUAAAUUGUGAUUUUUUCGUUUAUAACCGUCGAAAACUUUUGUUCCAUUACGUAAUCUCUGAAUGUUUGUUUUUUACGAUUUUUUACGUAUGCGAUCUUGGAACGUGUACAAAUAAUUUUGACGGUUGGAUCGUUGAGAAAAGCUUCGUAGAAUGCAUAUUGCAUCAAAACGGUAGAUUAAACAAACACUUAGAGUUAAUAUUAUACUUUUAUUCAGUAUAAAAUAAGUUUUUGUGGUAUCCACUAGUGUAAAUACUUUAAAUUAAAGAUCAAAUUUAUUCAUUACAUUCUUAUAGUGUCGAGGAGUGUAUCUGUAAAAAAUCAUCAAAAUCAGAGAUAAAAUAACCGUUAAAUUGUGAUUUUUCGUUUAUAACCGCCGAAAACUUUUGUUCCAUUACGUAAUCUCUGAAUGUUUGUUUUUUACGAUUUUUUACGUAUGCAAUCUCCGAAUGUGUACAAAUAAGUUUGACGGUUGGAUCGUUGAAAAAAGUUUCGUAGAAUGCAUAUUGCGUCAAAAUGGUAGAUUAAACAAACAUUUAGAGUUAAUAUUAUACUUCUAUUAAGCAUAAAAUAAGUUUUUGUGGUAUCCACUAGUGUAAAUACUUUAAAUUAAAGAUUAAAUUUAUUCAUUACAUUCUUAUAGGGUCGAGGAGUGUAUCUGUAAAAAAAUCAUCAAAAUCGGAGCUAAAAUAACCGUUAAAUUGUGAUUUUUCGUUUAUAACCGUCGAAAACUUUUGUUCCGUUACGUAAUCCCUGAAUGUUUGUUUUUUAUGAUUUUUUACGUAUGCGAUCUUGGAAUGUGUACAAAUAAGUUUGACGGUUGGAUCGUUGAAAAAAGUUUUGUAGAAUGCAUAUUGCGUCAAAACAGUACAUUAAACAAACACUCAGAGUUAAUAUUAUACUACUAUUAAGUAUAAAAUAAGUUUUUGUGGUAUCUACUAGUGUAAAUACUUUAAAUUAAAGAUCAAAUUUAUUCAUUACAUUCUUAUAGGGUUGAGGAGUGUAUCUGUAAAAAAUCAUCAAAAUCAGAGAUAAAAUAACCGUUAAAUUGUGAUUUUUCGUUUAUAACCGCCGAAAACUUUUGUUCAGUUACGUAAUCUCUGAAUGUUUGUUUUUUACGAGUUUUUACGUAUGCAAUCUCGGAAUGUGUACAAAUAAGUUUGACGGUUGGAUCGUUGAAAAAAGUUUUGUAGAAUGCAUAUUGCGUCAAAACGGUAAAUUAAACAAACAUUUAGAGUUAAUAUUAUACUUCUAUUAAGUAUAAAAUAAGUUUUUGUGUUAUCCACUAGUGUAAAUACUUUAAAUUAAAGAUCAAAUUUAUUCAUUACAUUCUUAUAGGGUCGAGGAGUGUAUCUGUAAAAAAUCAUCAAAAUCGGAGCUAAAAUAACCGUUAAAUUGUGAUUUUUCGUUUAUAACCGUCGAAAACUUUUGUUCCGUUACAUAAGCUCUGAAUGUUUUUUUUUAUGAUUUUUACGAAUGCGAUCUUGGAAUGUGUACAAAUAAGUUUGACGGUUUGAUCGUUGAAAAAAGUUUUGUAGAAUGCAUAUUGCGUCAAAACGGUAGAUUAAACAAACACUUAGAGUUAAUAUUAUACUUCUAUUAAGUAUAAAAUAAGUUUUUGUGGUAUCCACUAGUGUAAAUACUUUAAAUUAAAGAUCAAAUUUAUUCAUUACAUUCUUAUAGGGUCGAGGAGUAUAUCUGUAAAAAAUCAUCAAAAUCAGAGAUAAAAUAACCGUUAAAUUGUGAUUUUUCGUUUAUAACCACCGAAAACUUUUGUUCAGUUACGUAAUCUCUGAAUGUUUGUUUUUUACGAUUUUUAACGUAUGCAAUCUCGGAAUGUGUACAAAUAAGUUUGACGGUUGGAUCGUUGAAAAAAGUUUCGUAGAAUGCAUAUUGCGUCAAAACGGUAGAUUAAACAAACAUUUAGAGUUAAUAUUAUACUUCUAUUAAGUAUAAAAUAAGUUUUUUGUGGUAUCCACUAGUGUAAAUACUUUAAAUUAAAGAUCAAAUUUAUUCAUUACAUUCUUAUAGGGUCGAGGAGUGUAUCUGUAAAAAAUCAUCAAAAUCGGAGCUAAAAUAACCGUUAAAUUGUGAUUUUUCGUUUAUAACCGUCAAAAACUUUUGUUCCGUUACGUAAUCUCUGAAUGUUUUUUUUUAUGAUUUUUUACGUAUGCGAUCUUGGAAUGUGUACAAAUAAGUUUGACGGUUGGAUCGUUGAAAAAAGUUUUGAAGAAUGCAUAUUGUGUCAAAACAGUACAUUAAACAAACACUUAGAGUUAAUAUUAUACUUCUAUUAAGUAUAAAAUAAGUUUUUGUGGUAUCCAAUAGUGUAAAUACUUUAAAUUAAAGAUCAAAUUCAUUCAUUACAUUCUUAUAGGGUCGAGGAGUGUAUCUGUAAAAAAGCAUCAAAAUCAGAGCUAAAAUAACCGUUAAAUUGUGAUUUUUCGUUUAUAACCGUCGAAAACUUUUGUUCAGUUACGUAAUCUCUGAAUGUUUGUUUUUUAUGAUUUUUUACGUAUGCGAUCUUGGAAUGUGUACAAAUAAGUUUGACGGUUGGAUCGUUGAAAAAAGUUUUGUAGAAUGCAUAUUGCGUCAAAACAGUACAUUAAACAAACACUUAGAGUUAAUAUUAUACUUCUAUUAAGUAUAAAAUAAGUUUUUGUGGUAUCCAUUAGUGUAAAUACUUUAAAUUAAAGAUCAAAUUUAUUCAUUACAUUCUUAUAGGGUCGAGGAGUGUAUCUGUAAAAAAUCAUCAAAAUCAGAGAUAAAAUAACCGUUAAAUUGUGAUUUUUCGUUUAUAACCGUCGAAAACUUUUGUUCCAUUACGUAAUCUCUGAAUGUUUUUUUUUUACGAUUUUUUACGUAUGCGAUCUUGGAACGUGUACAAAUAAUUUUGACGGUUGGAUCGUUGAAAAAAGUUUUUGGACCGCCAGCAAUAGAUAAUUUUGUAGUAGUGAAACCUUAAAUUUAUUUAACCGUUAAUUGUUAUUUACACUUUAUUCUUCUGACUGAAUUUCAUUUUUAAAAUUUUAUUUUUUGAAAACAUGAUCAUCUGGUGGAUGUAAGAAGAUGAUAUCACGUUUCGAUAUUUACGAUUAACUGAAAUAUGAGUCAAUGUCAUAUAAUUUGUAGAAACUUUAUAAACAUCAAGCAAUAUUUUCACUAACCGUAGAACUCUAAAUAUAAUAUCAACGAUUCAACGAUCCAAACCGUUCAUCUACCGGCACCCUCUAAUAGAUCAUGUUUUCAAAAAAGAAAAUCUAAAAAAACGAAAUUUGAUGAGAACAAUGAAGCAUAAAUGUAAACAACAAUCAACGGUUAAAUUUUGAUCUAUGAUUUAUAUGAUUAUAGUGGCGAAUUUCGAAGUUAAGCUCUUCAUGAAAGUUAUAAAGCUUGUCAUUACGAGUGUUUAUAUAUUUUUUUACACUUCUACAUUAAUUAAAAAACUAUUAAAGACUUUAGGUAAGCGAAAAUAUACUUAAAACAAAAUUGCGUUUUUAUGUUUUGGAUGUGAUAAUAUGGAAUGUAUAUACUUAUUUAGUAUUAUGUUUUUCAUUUGAUUAUUUAUUGGUUUAAAAUAUAUUUUCCUUAACGGGUAACGGGUCGGGUCAUAUUACCUGUUAAUAUUAUUGGGUUGAUUUCGGGUCAGGUCAUUUUACCCGUUUAUUUUAACGGGUGUUACAUGACACGACCCGUUAAGAUAUCGGGUAUGACACGAAAACGACACGAACACGGAAAACACGACACGAAUGCCAAGUCUACCUGCAACCCAGAAGAGAAAAUAAAAAAAAAGCUCAGAUCCCUUCUUGCCCGAGUCUCGACCCCCUUCCCUGCACCCACCCUCUCGAGGAAGAUGAAGAUGAUUUUUUUUUCUUUUCUGGGUUGCAAGUUGGGCUCCGGUGAGAAGGGGGAGAGGUUAGUGAAGCAGCAGGAGGAGGAGGAGGAGAAUGAGCACCAUGGGAGGGAGGAGGAGAUGGAGGAAGAGAAGGCGCUAGGGGGGGUUUAGGUUUGGAAAAGGGGGGACGAAUGGGUUUUGCCAGGGGAGUGGGGGUGGGGGGAUGAGGAUCUGGGUUUGGGUUUCUAAUUUUUUUAAAAAUAUUUUUUAAUAGAAAAUGGGUCCCGUCACUUGCCACAUCAGCAUUUUAACGGAGUAAUUGACAAACAACUGACAAAUGGUAUGAAAUUGUAACAAAUUCGUAGAUGAGGUAUGACAUUGAAAUUUUUUAAAGAAGAAGUAUGAAACUGUUAAUGACCUAAUAGUUGAGGUAGUUCUGUGUAAUUUACCCUAAAACAUUUGACCAGUACUUGUCAGGAUAUCCAAUUAAUUAGGUCAAUUUUUGUCAGCGGUAAUAAUUUGUUUUUGCAGUUUUAUAUGUGUCUCUGUCUCCAAAUAUGAUGAUCUCUUAAUUUGCUUCUAUAGUUUUUGUAAUAUGAUGAUCUCUUAAUUUGCUUUUGCAUAUCUUCUUUGCUUCCUCUGCUAGCUCUAUAUCCAAAUAAUUAUUCCUUAUUUCCUAUUUUUACAAGAAGCAAAUCAUUGAAUACACAUGGAAAAUUAAAAGGGUUUUAGUUUUUGGAUUAGUUUAAAAUUUUUGUUGUUAUUGGUUGUAUUGCUUUAAAAUAUUUGAUGGGUAGUUUGAAAUGGAGAACUUAGUUGAUUGAGUAUUAACUUUUAUUAAAUUAAGACUCUAAGGCUCUAAUCUAAUUUUCAUGCUCAACAUCUCCUCUAUCUUUCUACAAUUGGUAAAACUUUUGUAUUAUUAUUCCAAUUUUGGUUACUGGGUUUUGGAAUUUUCCAUUUUUUUUCUGGGUAAUCAAUAUUGUAUAUAUGCAUGACAAGUAUAAACAAUAUUUUAGGGCAAAUUUAGUUGUUUAAUUUUUGAAUUAGAAGUUUUUGGUUUAUCUAUAUUACGUGAAAUAAAAAAAAAUUAUAAAGCUUUCGUUUUCAUGUCUUAAAGCUUUAAGCUUUACUUGAAAAACGAACUUAAUUUUGGGCUCAAAUUAUUGAAUUUCUUUGUUCUAUGCGUUUGAAUUUCAUUAAAUUUUUGUUAACGUUUGGUUAAAAUCUUCAUUACUGUAAUAUGAUCGAAUUUGCGAUUUAAUUUUUAAUUUUUUUUUGUGACAAUGAGAUUAUGGUAGGAUUUCGUUUAGAUUCCUCGGCCCAAGGAGAGUCUCUGCUUUUGAUAAGAUUGGGGUUGAUGCUAUCUCUGUCACAGCCCGUCCCGGAGAUAUGUAUUAUUUUAUUCUCGAUAAUGUGAAAGGACGGUUUUAUCCUUAGACAUUGAAAUUGUAGUGUAUGUGUGUGACAUAUUUUGGUUCUUGGAUGUCAUGUUCUUGGUUGGUUGGUGACCACGUGGGACACACACACACACAAACCUCAUUCUCUCUCUUCUCUCCCGUGCUUUCUCUCUCAGACUCACUAUCUCUCCUCAUUCUUCGUACGGUCGAGCACCAAACUCACCCAUUCACGCACAGAUCGAGAUCGUGCUUGGUUGUAUUGUCUUCAUCUCCUCACCAUGAGCUCAUCCAUACCAGUUUCAGGUAUGAAAACCUUCGAAAACCUCGUGAACCAAGAAUCUCCAAUUUGAACAUUGUUCAUGCUAACGUAAAAACAUGUGUUUUUGGAAAUUCUAAGCUCACAUGGAGCUUUGGAAGGCCCUCUACAGGCUCGGAGAAGUUCGUUUGGUGGUUUUGGACGUCGGAAUCGAGAAGUCGAAGCUUGGCUGGUUUUUCUCGAAUUUUCCCAGCAAGAUCCCGUGGUUUUUGAGGCUUGAAAGAGGUAUAAACUUGUUCUAUUCUCCAUGCACUUCAUUUUGGUAUAAAGAUCGUGAAAAAUGGUGCAAAAAUGGCCGAGAUAUCAUAGUUUAAAAAUUUCUCAGUUUUCCGGCGCCAACGACGGUUGCCAGAGUUCAGAGGUAGGAGACGACGGAAUAUUCCGACGUAGUCAGUUAGUUUGGACGGAUUCCGUUAGGACUUAACGGAAUAUUCCCCAGUAUAUACUUGAUGGUGUUAACUGACGCCGUCAGUAUGCUUGUCACCUGGCCACGCGUGGGGGUGCGUAGGGCCGUGCCCUUGCUUGCGCGUGGUGGCGCGUGGGUGAUCGAAAUUUUUUUCUAAAAAUAUUGGGACGUGACGUUGUUUAGAUCACGUUGGUAUAUUCAAAUACCAAAUUUGAGCAGUGUAUGAGAAGUUAUUAGCUAGUUUUGUGUAUGUGCUUUAAAUAACGUUUUUAUAGUUAAUUCGCAUAUAGAUGAGACUUGUCCCGAUGACGAGCGUGUUCAAGGGCGACUCAGGGGCUACGACCCUUCGACAUACUAGUGAGUGAGAUUUUGGUUUUCAGUAUAUAUUUAUAUACUUGAUAUUUUCCCAUAAAUAUGUGUUUAAAUGAAAGUAUGCCUUAAAUGUCAUGCAUAUGAAUUUAUAUAUCGUAUAUGAAUUGGUAUAUGAUGCACUAUAUAUAAUUGUGGUGUUGUGGACACUCAGGUAAGCUCAGGUGAAUUAUGGUUGGUUAUGUGAAUUAUCGAUGAUGUGAUAUGUGAUUGAAUAACGUUGAGCUCAUAAAACUGCACCUAGGGUGAUUGUGAUUUAGCCAGAGAUAUGGCACAUGCCUGUUUAUAAUGUCACCUCCCGCACCAUAUGCUCAUUUUGGAUCCAAUUUACGUGCACAGUCUUAUCGUACAGAUCUUAUUUAUGGUUUCGACUUGUAGGUGACUAGCGAUUUAUCACCCAACUAUUAUGUGAGAGUAGUAUUGAGCAUAAAUAUAUUACACCCAGUAUUGUCGUAUAGACCUUUUCAUUUGGUUCCAACUCUUGUGCAGUAUAGUGCCGUAUAAGUCAUUGUAGUGAUUCCGGCUAGAUUGACUUUUGAGCUAUGAAUUCAGCCGUACAGACUACCACAGGGUUCCGGCAUAUAUGUUACAUUUCUAUGAAAUUAUUCUUACAUGAAUUGCUUACUAUGUUAUAUCUUGGCAUGGCAUACAUAUGAAUAUGAUUAUGUGAAGCAUGAUUUGAAUUGAUAUAUUUACAUAUAUAUUUAUGUAUAUGCUUAUAUCUUGAUUAUGGGAAAAAUUAUACAUGUUUUACAGCGAGGGGUUAGAUAUGUUGAUAAAUAAAAUGAUUUUGUAAAACAUUUGUUUUUGCCCACUCAUGUUUUCUAUUUUGCGCCUCUCCAUGUUUUAGGUAAGUUUUCAGUUGCUGGGUGCGAGGACUUCGGCGGUUCUAACCUAUCAAAAUAAUUGUAGAACAUCUUAUGGUACUGUAUAAUUAGUACUUGUCCUACUGGACUGCACCUAGACUUUCUAUGCUUUGAUUAGGAGUAUUUACUUUUGUAUUUUACUUCUAACACUUCCUGUUUAAUAAUGCACUCCAGUAGUUUCAGUUUUAAUUAUUCGUAUAUUUCUUAUCUUAAUUGCUUUCGCAUUGUGCACAUGGCUACGUCACCCCCACGUGACGACCAAUAUGCCUUGAUCUCGAUCGGGGUGUGUCAAUAUCAUGAAACAAAACCCAGGUCUAAAUAUUUGAUAAUUUAUAAUUUCAAGAAAGCCAAUAAGCCUACUGUGGACGCCGCAGCGGCCUAGCGCCGUUUUCCAAAAUCCUCUCUUACUUGGGUAAACAAUUAAGACUUUUGGUUCAGUUUUUAUUAUGCCCAAUUUUGUAUUUAAACCUUAAAAAAAUUUAAACUAAUUUGGGGUUACUGAAAUAGGCAUGCUUGAUGAGUGUUGCAGAGCUGCCAUCCCUGAAUCAGAAGAUGUUCAGAAGGAAGAAAAAGAAGAAGAAGAAAGUCGUGGAAUAUCAAAAGCUUUUAGCUUGUGAAUGUAUGCUUUUCCCAACUCACCUUUUGCUUUUGUUGCACUGAAUUGGUAGAUUGGCUUCAAAAACAUAUAUAUGUGAUUUUUCGUGUAACUAUUUUGUUUAUACCAUAUUUAGGGCCUCGUACUUAGACCUCGUAUAAAUACUCGGGGGACUCAAAUGUAAUUAUGCAAUAAGGAAAGGGGCAAAUAUGUAAUAAGUGAGGAAUAUAAUACAAUCAGUGUGUACGUAGCCCAAACCUUGGGAAGAAAAGGUGUCGGCGACACUCUCAAGAAGCCUCGCGAACGCAAGCUUUACUACCCUGCUCUCAAGCUCUCGGAAGCUAUGGAUAGAAGAGGAAUGAACAACACAGUCGGUGAUCAGGCAAUACAUCUUGUUCUUGUUGCUAAAGUCUGGCAUAUUCCUACUGCAGAAAGUUAUUUCAUUGAUCUUCUUGAAUCAGCGAAGACCCAUCUUUGUUACGGGGCCCUGCUCAACUGUGGCCGCCAAAGCAUCAUCUUCCCCACCAUUUCCCAUCUCUAGUACUACCACCUCAUCCAGACGAUUCCCCACUCAUCCACUGCUUUUGUCGGCAAAAGCAGAAAGGGAAACAAAGAACUUGAGUGCCAUCUGCACUCUGCAAAGUAAAAGUAAAAGUUAAAAAAAAAGGGAAGUAAUGAUGGUGCCAGUCAGAUGCACCGAAAGCACUUACAGCUAUGAAUGUCAAUACCAAGAAUGACUGCUGGGUCCGGUCAAUGAUGAAAGUACAAAUACAUCCUCCUAGCGCUAGUCAGGUACUACUUCCAGAUGGGAGACGAUUGGCCUAUCAAGAACAAGGAGUCCCAUCAAAUAACACUCGAUUUUUGUGGUGAUGGCAUUAUGAGCGUGACCCAUUGAGCAGAGGGUCAGAUUUAUUUUUUGAAUGAUGUAAAUUAUUUUUCUUAUCUUUCGGAGACAUCUGUAUACACCCCGUCAGAGGGUAAUAAAAUAAAAAUAAAAAAAGGCAAGCCCAAAAUAAUAGGCUACAAGCCCAAAGUAAUGGGCUGCAAUGUCAUGUGGAGGGCAAACGCCCAUAUGCCCAAAAAUGUCAAACCCUCUAUUAUCACCAACCAGGUGAUCAAAAGUACGCCCAGUACUUCAAAAUUAUUCGGCAACCCACCGCUAUUACCACCAACCCGGUGAUGAAAUGUACAACCCGUACUCUAAUAUCCUUUGGCACCUGGCCACUCAUACUACCAACCAGGUGAAGAAGGAACUUAUCUUCAUGAGCAUGAGCACUACUCAUGUCAAUCAUACAUAAACAUUCAUGAGUAUCACUUAUAUCAAUCAUACAUAAACAUUCAUAAGCAUCACUCAUGUCAACAUUCAUGAGCAUCACUCAUGACAACAUCCAUGAGCAUCACUCAUGUCAAUCAACAUAAACAUUCAUGAGCAUCACUCAUGUCAAUCAGCUUCAAAAGCUUCAUUUACAGAACUCUAGCUUCAAAGCUUCACUUGCAAAGCUUCACCUACAAAGCUUCAGUGCGGGGUAUACAAAUACCGUCUCCGAACAACCGCCACUUCGGCCCAUACAUGGAUUCAAUUUGAAGUCUUCAGCCAACAGACUCUAUUGACCGAAGACUUGGGGGACUACACUAUACACCAUAUAUGGGGCCUCAACUGGGCCUCAUGAAAAAUAUACACCAUAUAUUGGGCCUCAACUGGGCCUCAUGAAAAAUACUCGAGGGACUUAGCCCAUUACUUAUGUAUGAAUGGGCGAGCCCUUAUUCUAUAAAAGGGACUCAUUCACCAUCAUUAGAGAGUAUUGCCGCCAGCUGAGCAACCGCCUCGCCGCGAGCAUCAACUCUAGCACAUUAUUCAUGUAUUGAGGAGCGAGCCCUUAUUCUAUAAAAAGGACUCUCUCACAUUCGUUAGAGAACAUCGCCGUCAGCUGAGCAACCACCUCGCCACGAGUAUCACUCAUAACCCAUUAUUCAUGUACUGAGGAGCGAUCCUUUAUUUUAUAAAAGGGACUCCCUCACCAUCAUUAGAGAGCAUCAACUCUAGCCCAUCAUCUAUGUAUUGAGGAGUGAGCCCUUAUUCUAUAAAAGGGACUCCAUCACCUUCAAACGCCACAAGCCGAGCCAACCAAGGCAACAUAAGCCACAAGCCGAGCAGUCUCGUAGCAUGUGCUACUUCUGGUUGAGCAUCAUUUCAGAUUGAGCACCGCCUUACAUCGAACAUCAGUUCAAGACAACAUCUAAUUACUUCGGCCCACACAUGGACUGAAUUUCAAGUCUCCAGCCAAAAGACUCUCUUGACUGAAGACUUGGGGGACUACUGUUUAUACCAUAUUUAGGGCCUCGUACUUAGACCUCGUAUAAAUACUCGGGGGACUCAAAUGUAAUUAUGCAAUAAGGGAAGGGGCAAAUAUGUAAUAAGUGAAGAGUCAUUAUUCUAUAAAAGGACUCCUCAUCCUCACAAUUAGGGGGAGGCUCAUUCUCACCCUCAGAUGCCAUUUCUGAAGCCUCUCUCACCCUCUCUUAGAGCUCUCUCUCUCUCCCUCACUUCUCAGAGAAAUAUAAUACAAUCAGUGUGGACGUAGCCCAAACCUUGGGGUGAACCACGAUAACCCUUGUGUCAUUUACAUUUUAUGCAGAUUCACGGUCGGAUUUACGUUGUUCCAAGACAUCCAGUUUUGUGCAUCAACAUAUUUCUUUACAUAAUUACCAAUUGAAGCUGAUUUGAGAUCGUGUAACAUUUCCUUGCCCAACCAAAGAUCGCUGUCGCUCAGAGCUGCAUUUCAUGAAACAAGUUUAUCUCCUGCCAAUUUUGUGUACCCACUUUUUAUUCAUGAGGGUUGGUGCUUGCUUGCAAGGCAAGUUGGUGCUAUUAAGUUUUGCGGUUUUACAAUCUGUUCAUGCUUAAACCUCUUUCAAUUUUUCAAUUCUAUGUAAACCUUGCAGGUCAGGACGGCACCCCUAUCUAGGCAAUGUCAGGAUGUCUAGGCUUGGGUGGAGACGUGGACUUAUGGAAGAGGUGAAGUAGCUUAGCUCUAUCUCAUUAGCUCUUAUCUGUUCUAUUAAUGCUAAGAUCAAUGGUAAAAAGUUAUAUUGAUUUUAUAAUCAAAGAUACAUAUAUUAUAAAAACAGAGGGUAUAUCAUUAAUUUCUUGAUGUAAACAACUUCCUAAGUUGGCUCCAUCAUCUUUCUCCUCACUUUCGAUCGGGUACCGCCUCUACUUACCGCGUUUUGUCGUGGAUCUUUGGGAGGGUGUGUAGAGCUUUAGCUCGGGUGUCUGCACCACCACCUUUGUUGGCCCUUGCUGGUCACUCCCGUUGUUGCUCGCCCUUGUUAGCGAUGUUGCCUGUGGGUUCUUUCUACUUGCAUGCUUGUUUGUUCUCUUGGGGGCUAUUCCAGUGCUGGUUUUGGGAUGAUGAUGUGACCUCUGUCCUCACCACUUCUGGGUUUCUUGAUGGUUUAAUCUUAAGUAAUCGUGGCGGGUGGCCGAUUGGGAUGUGGUUCUGUCGGCGAUGGGUUCUGUGUGGUUUGGUUGUUUGUCUUGGGCUCCAAGGUUGGUCUUGGGCCUUUGUUUUCUGUGUGUUGUGGCCCUUUUUCUUUUGUUGUGUUCAUAUGGUUUUGGGCCUUUGUUGUACUUCUCUAGUUGGUAAUGAAUUUUAUCCUUUGUCCCAAAAAAAAAAAAAACAAUGAUAAUUUGAAGAACCAUUUAAAGUAUUUUGGUAAUUAGCAUACUUAAGCUUAAAUGUGAUAUAUCUGUUUAGUAUUUUUUUGGAUAAAUUACACUUUCAUACCUCAGGUUUGGGGUCUAUUUCAAUUCAUUACAAUAUCUUUAAAACAUUUCACUUUCAUACCUUAAGUACUAUUUUAUUUCAAAAUAAUACAUCCGUUACAUUUUCCAUCCAUUAAUCUGUUAAAUGCUGACGUGGCUGCCACAUAUAUGCCACGUGGCUGCCAAAUGUCUGCCACGUGGCAAAUAAAAUAAUUUUUUAAUUUUUUUUUAAAAACCUGAAUUUUCUCAACAAAAAAAAAUUGAAACACACAUCUGCAAGAAGAAGAAGAAGAGGGAGGAAGAAAGAAAAAGAAAAAAAAAACUGUCCCUCAUCCCCCAGCGACCCAGAAGAAGAAGAAGAAAAAGAAGGAGGAAGAAAAAAAAGAAAAAGAAACCCACAUCUGCAAGAAGAAGAAGAAGAAGAAGAAGAAGAGGGAGGAAGAAAGAAAAAGAAAAAAAAUGUCCCUCCUCCCCCCAACGACCCAGAAGAGGAAGGAAAAAAAAAAAUAGAAACGCACAUCUGCAAGAAGAAGAAGAGGGAGGAAGAAAGAAAAAGAAAAAGAAAUGUCCCUCCUCCCCCUAGCGACCCAGAAAAGGAAGAAAAAAAAAUAGAAACCCACAUCUGCAAGAAGAAGAAGAAGAAGAAGAAGAAGAAGAAGAAGAGGGAGGAAGGGAGCUGGGUCGGGGUGGGGGGAGGGUCGCUGGGCUGGGGGGGACGGAGGGAGGGUCGCUGGGCAGGGGGGCCGGAAGGAGGAUCACUGGGCUGGAGGGAGGACGGGAGGAGGGUCACCGGGCGGGGGGAGGGUCGCCGGGGGGGGGUUCUUCUUUUUUCUUCUUCUGGUCACUGGGGGGAAGGACAAAUUUUUUUUUUCUUUUCCUCCUUCUGGUCGCUGGUUGCAGAUGUGGGUUUCAUUUAUUUAUUUAUUAUUUUUUUUGUUGAGAAAAUUCAGGUUUAAAAAAAAAGAAAAUUAAAUUUUUUUUGCCACGUGGCAGACAUUUGGCAGCCAUGUGGCACAAAUGUGGCAGCCACGUCAGCAUUUAACAGAUUAAUGGAUGGAAAAUCUAACAGAUGUAUUAUAUUGAAAUAAAAUAGUACUUAAGGUAUGAAAGUGAAAUGUUUUAAAGUUGUUGUAUGGGAUUGUAAUAAACCUUAAAAUCUGAGGGGCUACUGUGUAAUUUACCCUAUUUUUUUAUACAGUGAUAAUACUCAAGUAUAAUUUACAUCAUAUAUCUUUUGAAGUACAUAAAACUAUGAAGAAAAAUCCCUAAUUAAUCUGAUUAUGGGGAUUUUGUUUUAUAUCAAAAUAUUGCAGCAGAAGUCACACUUUGAAGAGUUCACGCUGCACAUAAAGAUGAUGAAAUGCUACAUGAGGUAUACUUUUGUUCUGCAAUAUGACCCUUUUUAUUUUAUUUUUAAGACAGAUAAGGUUGAAAAGAAAUUAUUUAGUAUUUUUGUAUCAGUUUUGAGUGCCUAUUUUGGCUUCCAUAUUUGGUCUGUACAUGUGAGGUAUAGAGUGUUCAAUAUGUAUUUGGUUUCUAUAUUGUUAAUGGAUCUAUAGCAAGUCCGCUUCCCUCAGUGUCCCUGGUAACAAAAUUUAUGGCGUGUCUUCGUUCUUUCAAUUAUUUGAAAGCUUCCCUGCUCUGCACUCUUGUACAAAGACUUAUGGUGUUUCAUCAGUUCCAUUUGGUGGUUGGGUGGGAAAUGAAAUUAAAACUCUGCAUUUCAAAUGGUCUAAACCAAAUUGUAUCAAAUGUGAAGCAAAGGGCAAGAGGUGUAGAUUGAAGAACAAUGGCACUAAGAGCGAAAUUGAACUUGUUGACAGGAGGAAACCAAGUAAGGAUAACGCGUCUAAAUCUUAUUUCGCAUUUAUUAUGCUCAUGAUGUUUUUAAUGAUGAUGAUCGGUAUAAUGUGCUACAUGCUGUGAUUUGUCUGCUUUCAUGUAAUUAGCGGCUUAUAUUUAUGGUAACGAUAUUGAUUAAUUUCGAGAAAUGACAUUCUAAUUUUCGCAACUGUCUUUUGCAGGCAAAACAAAGACGUUUGCAAGGGUGAGUUGUGUAUGACUGUUGUUUAGCUUUGUUUCAUCUCCAAAGGACAUUGGAGAAUAAAUGUUUACUCAUGGAUAGUAUCUAUCUAUUUGCAGGAGCAACCCUACGUUCAUUUGUUCUGUUACUGCUGGUCAUUGCAACAUAUCACGCCUAUAACGCUGAAAAAGAGAAUCGAAUGAAAAUUGAUAAGUUUUCGGCGGACUACAAAGAUCAUAAGCCAAGCAUAUAUUCCUAUGCAGAUAUUAAGAGGAUUACAAAUCAAUUCAAGUACAAUUGGGCCAAGGAGCAUACGAAGCUGUUUUUUUUUUUUUUUUUCUGAAUGCUUUGUUGCCAUGAAAGUACUUAACAUUUCCAAGGGCAACGGGGAAGAGCUUGUGAAUGAAGUGGGAACAAUGGGUCAUAUUCACAAUGUCAAUGUGGUUCGCUUGGUUGGUUUUUGUGCUGAUGGAUUUAGAUGAGCUCUGGUUUAUGAGUUCUUUCUCAAUGGUUGGCAUAAGUUGCAAGAUAUUGCUAUUAGCAUAGCCAAAGGAAUCAAGGAUGUGAUCUACAAAUCCUCCAUUUCGAUAUCAAACCACAUAAUGUUUUGCUCGACCAAAAAUUCCUGCCAAAAAUCUCUGAUUUUGUUCUGGCCAAGUUAUGUUCCAAGGAUCAAUCAAUGUCAAUGACUUAAGCGAGAGGGACCAUGAGAUACAUUGCACCUGAAGUGUUUUCCAGGAAUUUCAGAAAUUUGUCUUACAAGGCAGAUGUCUUGAAUGUUGCUGCUUGAGAUGGUAGGAGGAAAGAAGAAUGUUGGUUCAACCACAGACGACACGACAAAUGAAAUCUACUAUCCAAAAUGGAUUUAUAAUCUUCUAGAGGAAGGAAAUGAACAACGGAUCCAUAUUGAAGAAGAAUGUUAUGGUAAGAUUCCAAAGCAACUUGUAAUUUUAGGGCUCUGGUACAUCGAGUGACACUCGGUGGAUCAUCCUACCAUGAAAACGGUGGUGCGGAUGUAGGAGGAGGAGAAAACUUAAUGAUGCAAGCAACCCUAAAAGCCUCCUACAGUUAGAAGCAAUUGUUGAAUUAAAGUAACAUGUAUAUAUAUACGCACCAACACAAGUCAAUUCUGAGAUGAAUCCAAGCCAAACAAUUACAAACGGCAGUUAUUCACCAAAUCACUUUAAAGCAAAAAUUUAAUUAAUAAUACAUUACUGCACUUCCUUAACAAUUUGACUAUCACCUAGCUGACAAUGAACACGUUAGUUCCGCGUUAGAACAUAUUGGGUUCAAUUCAUUGUCUUGAAUAUCACCCGCAGUCACAGGCGCUUCUUGUGGGCAUAGAGAAGGCUUGAGAGGCAUCUGCAGACAUUCAACAUCUCCUCCAAGCAUUUCGACAACUUUGGACAUCGAAGGACGAUCACUUGGUUUCAUUUGAAUACACCAUAAGGCUGUUAUAACCAUCUUUCUUAUUACUUUCUUUUCCUCCUCAGUAAUAUUGUUCAUUUCCAAGUCAUUUCCCACAAUAUACUGAUCGUAUACCCACAACGGGAAGUAGAUUUGGCUUGAAUGCUCUACCAUUGCAUUCAAAUUCUUCCUUCUGCUUGCCAUUUCCAUCAACAACAUUCCAAAACUAUAGACAUCGGCCUUGUAUGAGACACCUCCAAUAUUUUUGUAGAACAACUCGGGAGCAAUAUAUCCCAUUGUACCCCGUGCUGCCGUCAAAGAGACAAUGCUAUUAUCUACAGGAUACAGUUUUGCAAGCCCAAAGUCAGAAAUCUUUGCUUUAAAGUUCUCAUCAAGAAGGAUGUUAUGAGGUUUGAUGUCGAAAUGUAGAAUUUGCAUUUCGCAACCUUGAUGUAGAUAUUCGAUCCCUUGAGCCACUCCAAGAGAAAUCUCGUACAUAGUCUUGAUAGUUAAAGGAAGACUUCCUUCUUUAGAAUAAAUGUAUUUAUCAAGAGAACCAUUAGGCAUGAAGUCAUAUACUAGAGCACGCUUUGAUCCCUCAACACAAUAUCCAACAAGUUGCACCACAUUGGCAUGGUGAAUCCUUCCGAUUGUAGCUAUUUCGCUAAUGAAAUCUUGGUCAUCAGCUUUGGGCUUGCCCAAAACUUUAACUGCUACAAAUCGGCCACUACGUAGCUUUCCUUUAAAUACAGAGCCAAAGCCACCUUUGCCCAACCUGUCCUUAAACUUGCGAGUCAUUUUCUUGAUGUCCGAGUAAGAGUACCUUAUAAGCAUGAAGUUGUUAUUGCAUUGCAGAAAAUCUUCUAUUGUGCCAUGCAUUGAUAAAUGUCUUCUGCGCCAUGUGUAGAUUAAAAAUGCAGUCACAACUAGAACUCCAAAAACAAAUCUGGCUAGGAAAAAUAACCCUGCAUGCAUUGACAAUAAUAUGUUAGAUCCACUGCGUAUUACUUUUUCUUCCCUUUCUUUCCAAAUUACUUUGUCCUUGAUAUAAUUAAAGAGAGAGAAUGGGAAAUCUACAUAUGCGGAUAAUACAAUCUCGUAUUAGUUCUUACCGAUGCAUAUGAGUAUAAACCAUCCACGUACUGCAACAAAAUUAAUUGACAAUGAGUUUGAAAAGUGCAUAAAGUGAAAAAUAAAAAAAUAAAAAAAAUCAAAGGGUGCCUUUAUUGACACCCAAAUUUUAGUUAGUUUCACUCAACUAAAAAAUUUUUGUCAUCAAACUUUUUAAUUUGCCGUCGAAAUUGAGUUCACCCAACCCACCAAGCAGCAAGCACCACUCACCAAAAAACACGAACAACACACACCCACAACUCACCAAUAGAAAGAGAAUGAACACACAGACCCACAAAGAGCUGGCAUCGACGCUGUUGAUGAGGGAGGGACCAGAGGAUGGUGUAGUUUCGUCGGGUGCGCGGUAGUGGUUUUGUCUGUUCAUUUUCUCUUUCUUUUGGUAUGUGGAGGCUGGUGUGGAUUUGGGCGAACUUGAAAAUGAGGGGAAACUAUGAAGUUUGACAAAAUGUUUUAGUUAGGUGAACUUAACUAAAAUUUGGGUGCUAAUGAAGGUACCCAAAAUCAAAAGACUUGAGCGUAUGGACUAAUUAAAUGAAGCUCUUACUGAUUUCUAUUUCUUCCAACUUGCCAGCUGCAAUAGAUACAUACCACGGAAAAGUGAGCAAAGACAUACAGUUACUAUGUUUAAGAAGUACAGAUAGAUCACACAAAAAUAAAAGAAUCUUUUGGAGAGAAACUUCUUACACAAUGAGAUGCGUCCAUGACCUACAGUGAAAAAUGUGACGAAGAAUACACAACAUUAGCAAUAGCUCAUCUAAUCUUCAGAAUUUAAAAAAUCAAGUUUGUCGAUCGAAAACUUGUAAAUAAAACAAAAGGAGAACCCCUUACGGAUUUGGUCCCAUUUAUAUUCGAUUAGGUCCCAAAGAUAUUCGAUUAGGUUCCAUAUAUAUUGAAAGAAACCUACAAGAACAAAGAAAGAACAAGACCACAUGCAUUAGCAUAACCAGUGUGAGGUGUAUAAGUCGUUAGAAAAUAAAUUUAAAAUUCUAGUUUUGUCAAUACAUUGAUUAAUAUAUAUAUGUAUUAUUUUUUCUAAAAAUUUAAUCGUCCCCCUCCAAACUCAUUUUUCUAGCCUCUAGCCCAUCAUAUAUAUAUUUAUCUGAAUAAAAUUCAAUGAUUAGGAUCCAACUGAGAAACUUACCAAAUUAAGUUUGUGUGUCCAUUUUUAUUUGUUUUAAUGGAUCAUGUGCAUUGAAUUUGGCAAGGUUUUGUAGCCAUGAAAUAUGGUUCUAGAUGGAGGAAUUAAUUUGGAUUUUUUUUUUAAUUUCGACAACAAAUUUCAAUUUGAAACAAUAUCUAUUGUUUAAUUUUAUGAAAAUAAUUUACCUACUAUGAAAAUUAAUUUUAUGAAAACAAUAUCUAUUGUUUAAUUUUAUACCUACAUGAUAAUUACAUGAAAAUAGUUAACCUAAUAUGAAAAUUAAUUUUUUGAAAACAAUAUAUAUUGUUUAAUUUUAUGAAGAUAAUUUACCUACUGUAUAAUUACGUGAAAAAAUUUACCUACUAAGAAAAUUAAUUUUUUGAAAACAAUAUAUAUUGUUUAAUUUUAUGAAGAUAAUUUACCUACUGUAUAAUUAUAUGAAAACUAAUGUGCCUACUUUUUUAAUUUGUAACAAAACCAAUUUACCUACUUUUUAUGGUAUUUAGUAUACAUAAAUGUAGAAUAUAUGUUCAUAUAUGGGGUUUAGGUGCCUUCCUAUAUAUGACCCUUGAUUUUACUUUAUUUACAGCACUGCAAUCAAAUGUGUGGCUGAGUUGGAGGGUAUUAUUAAAAGUUAGGAGGAUAAUUUUGUCCAAGGGCUGGGGGCGAAUUAGCAUACAGAGGGCGAUGGGAGCCAUGCCCAUUGCACAGAGAGAGAGAGGGACAGAAAAGGAGGGGAUGGGGGAUUUGAUGGAUGGUCACAGAGAGAGAUUGGGUGUGGGAUGUGAGGGGAGAUUACAGAGAGAUAAAUAAAAGGGAGGGAUCGGGGGAUUUGAGGGAUGGUCAGAGAGAAAUAGUGAGGGAGAGGAUGGGGGGCUGAUUUUCGGUUCCUCCUUCCAGAUUUGUUCCGUAAAACCUGUUGGGUACAAUUCAAUUUCCUCCCCCUUUCCCCUGAACGAAAAAUUCGAAACCUACAACUCAAAACUCACUCAUUUGACCCCCCUCCUUGGCUUUCCACCUUACUCAUCUCCUGGUGGUUCUUUCUCUCCAUACGAUUCGAUUUCGUUGAGUUCUUCGUUGCCCUCAUGAUUUCCCAAUUUGAUUUUUUGGGCGUCCUUAGUCGUCGUUUUUAUCUGGGUUUACUGCAUUGUUGCUUUUAGUUUCUGGAUUUUUAUUUUUUUUGGCGGUUUGAUGAAUCGUGGUUAAUAAUUUCACACCAUGGGAUUUUCGCACUUCUGAUGGAAUUGAGCGAGGGGAUUCGAGGUGGGGUUUUACUGAUAAUUUGUCUUCAUUCAAAUGAAUGGUUAAAAUUUAUGAGUAUUAACAAAUUUUGUAAAUUAUUCUUAUGCAUUUUAUUGAGGGAUAUGGGGAUCUAAUCGAUUUCUCUCUGUAGUGGGAUUGAAAUUGGGACUUUGUGGUACUCUCUCUCGCUCUUCCUCUCUCAUAUGUGUAUGAAGUGAGUUCUGAAUUGAGUUCUUUCAAGGGAACCCAUCAACGGUUUGCUUGCUGGGGGAAUUCGGAGACUACCAGUGUAUGAUUUAGUUAUCAUUUAUUUUUUUACUUAAAUUUAUCCAUAAAUAAUAUGUGGGUAAAUUUAUACUAAACAAUUGUGAUAAGCCAGCCAAUAUGCCAUACGACUUUGAAAGCAUUGAUUUUAUGUAUAGUUUGCAUUUUUGCAUUGUGAAUGUUGAAUUUUGUGUUUAAUUUGGAUUUUUGUGUUUGAAUUUGUAGCAUGAUCUUCCACUGCAGCAUCCAAAUUUUGCAUUUGUAAAUUGUCAAAGAAAAACGAAGUAUGAGGAAAUUAUAGGAGAUUGUGUCGGCUUUGGCCAUGAAGGGUAUCAGCAGUUUACCGCCCCCCCCCCAACACAGGUGAUUAAUCGUUUUUUAGUCUGUGUUCUAUAUGGAUGAGAAAGUGAUUGAAAAAUAUGAUUUUUUUUAUUUGUUGGUUGAUUUUGUAAGGACGAUGUAUUAAUUUUUUUUUUUGGGAGCAGCUUCUCCAUAAAUGGGGGUAAGGCUAGCCGACAUUCACCUCUCCCAGACCCUGCGUAAAGCGUGAGCCUUGUGCACUGGGUACGACCUUGUGUAUUGGGUAUUGUGUAGAACCAGCAAUGCAAGAGCAGGAUCUGAUCAGUCACGCCCGAAAAGGGGUUUGUUUCUCAAAUCACAUUCAUUAGUUAGAUUAUUAAUGUGCGUUGGAAGGCUCUUCAAUAUGAUUUUGUAAUUUCUCAUUUCCGGCAUUCUCUUUUUGGUUUUUGGAGUAUGUAUGUGAUUUGUACUUGAUUAUAGAAUAAAAAUUAAUAAAACACGAGAUGCAGCAAUUAAUUUGCAUCCUUAUGACAACACAUAUAUGAAAGUGCAUUCAAAUUCAAUAUGCGAAUGUGUGACAGGAUUUGCCUGCCUGCUGCUGCUGGUAUGCUUGCUGUUGUUUCUCGCGUUGUUAAUUUUUUGUGUGUGUUGAUUUGAUUAACAAUUCAAGCGUAUCUCUUUUCUUUUUUUUUUUUUUUUUUUUUUUGUGUUGGUUAGCAGCCAGUUUUAUUUAUUGGAUUUUUUAUUUGGAUUUAUGGCACUGAGGGUAUAGGUGAACAGUGAAGCGGUUUGUAUGGGCUCAUGUAACUUAAACAUGUAGUGAGAAGCGAGGAUUUUGUUUUAGUGUUUAUGAUAAUCUGAAGGAAUAUGUAGAUACUAUGAUUUGAGGUUGCUUUCUUAAACCAUGAUAAAGCAGUCCAAGUAAUUUUAACAACAACAACAACAACAACAACAACAACAAAGCCUUUUCCCACUAAGUGGGGUCGGCUAUAUGAAUCCUAGAACGCCAUUGCGCUCGGUUUUGUGCCAUGUCCUCCGUUAGAUCCAAGUACUCUAAGUCUUUUCUUAGAGUCUCUUCCAAAGUUUUCCUAGGUCUUCCUCUACCCCUUCGGCCCUGAACCUCUGUCCAGUAGUGACAUCUUCAAACCGGAGCGUCAGUAGGCCUUCUUUGCACAUGUCCAAAUCACCGGAACCGAUUUUCUCUCAUCUCUCCUUCAAUUUUGGCUACUCCUACUUUACCUCGGAUAUCCUCAUUCCCAAUCUUAUCCUUUCUCGUGUGCCCACACAUCCCACGAAGCAUCCUCAUCUCCGCCACACCCAUUUUUUGUACGUGUUGAUGGUUCACCGCCCAACAUUCUGUGCCAUACAACAUCGCUGGCCUUAUUGCCGUCCUAUAAAAUUUUCCCUUGAACUUCAGUGACCUAUGACGGUCACACAACACGCCGGAUGCACUCUUACACUUCAUCCAUCCAGCUUGUAUUCUAUGGUUGAGAUCUCCAUCUAAUUCUCCGUUCUCUUGCACGAUAGAUCUUAGGUAGCGAAAACGGUCGCUUUUUGUGAUCUUCGCUAGAUUGCUCUGGUCAUUAGUAUGGAUAAGUAUAUAAAUGGAUAGAGAUAGGAAAGCGAACACAAGAUGUACGUGGUUCACCCAGAUUGGCUACGUCCACGGAAUAGAGGAGUUCUCAUUAAUUGUGAAGGGUUUACACAAGUACAUAGGUUCAAGCUCUCCUUUAGUGAGUACAAGUGAAUGAUUUAGUACAAAAGACAUUAGGAAAUAUUGUGGGAGAAUGAUCUCGUAAUCACAAAACUUCUAAGUAUCGGAGUGUGGUAUCGUCUUGACGUGCCUUAUCUGUCUCAUAGGUAGAUGGGGCAUCUUCUCUAGAAGUACUCUUCCUCCAUCCAGGGGUGGUAUCUUUAACUGGUGGAGAUGCACAAGGUAAUGUAUCAAUUUCACUUGAAGCUUACUUGUAGUUUCAGGCUUGGUCAAGCGCGAUACAAACCAUGUAGUAGGAGUCCCCCAAGUCGCUGAGCUAGGGGAUCUGCUGAAAGAGGUGACAGGCAAGGUAAGCAAUCAUAGCUCCGGCUGAUUGUUCACAGUCUCCCUAUCUUGCAGGCAGCAUGAAGGAUAAAGAGAAGAAAAUGAGAAGAGAUGAUAUGGGAUACUUUUGCUUUUGAAGAAGUAACUUUCCACAGGCUUAUUCUUGAACUGAGCUGGAGGGUUUUCUGGUUUCCUCCAGAGUAUAAGGCCGACUGAAGAAUUUGAGGAUCAAAACAAGUCCAUCAAAUCUAGAGUACGUUCAACCCUGCUGAUAUGGGAUACUUUUGCUUUGACAGAGUAAUGGAUGUAUCGGCACGUGUGCUGUUACGCUUGUCUCCACAUGCUUCCUUGUAUCCUUUUCCCUUGCCCUAUCUGUUCCUCAGGUAGAUGCAGUAUCUUCCCUGGAAGCAUAAGAUGUUGAAGAUGACUACUCGAGAGCAAUAUCAGGUAAGUAAUCAGGUAAGGGGUUCCAGGCAGUCAGUUCCUGGCUGGAAGCUUGAUUCCAAGUACUGACUGAUUGCUCUCUUUCUCCUUGCCUUGCAGGUAAGAAUAAGGUCAAAGGAAAAGACAGGGAAGAAGCAUGAUAUGGGAUACUCUUGCUUUUAACCCUGAUGAUAUGAGAUAUUCUUGCUCUAGUAUAGCUUGUUUGCAGAGGGAUUAUCGGGGGGAAAGAAAGCUGAAUAUUUCGAAAGGCUUCGUUGGGAGUGCCCUCUUAGAUAUGAGGAAGGGUUGAGCAUUUUUGCAGGUCUGCCUGUCCGUUGAGGAUGGAGGUCGACAUAUAUAGGAGUCUCCUUAACAACAAGUAGUCAUGCUAUUCCUUUACCCUACUUGGUCAUAGCACGGUAGUGGGAGCUGUCAGCUUCACAUGUUUUAACGCUGUCAAAGCACUUUGAAAAAGUGGUUUGUGGUAUCUGGAAAGCUGAUGUUGCGUGUGAAGAUUACAAACAGCUUUAUCCAAGGGGAUCCGGCUCUUGUAGUUGGGAAAGUGUUGCCUCUUCGGUUUUCGAACAAGCAAUCCUAUCGGGUAUCUGGCUCUCGAGAUUCGGAGAACGAUGCCGCUUCGAUUUUUGAGAAAGCAAUCAUGCUGGGGGUCUGGCUCUUGAGAUUCGGAGAGCGAUGUCUCUUCGAUUUUUGAGAAAGUAAUCAAGUUGGGAGUCUGGCUCUCGAGAUUCGGAGGGCGGUGCCUCUUCGAUUUUGGAGCAAGCAAUUUUGUUGGGAGUGUUUUCUCGAAUGUGAGUAAAGGUUGGGCAUGUUUGCUAGUCUACCUUGCCACGAAGCACAGAGGUUGACACACAUGGACUUUCCAAUUAUCCAGCAAUGGUACUGUUCCUUUACCCUCUUCGAUUUUUGAGAAAGUAGUCAUGUUGGGAGUCUGGCUCUCGAGAUUCGGAGGACAGUGCCUCUUCGAUUUUGGAGCAAGCAAUCUUGUUGGGAGUGUUUUCUCGAAUGUGAUUAAAGGUUGGGCAUGUUUGCUAGUCUACCUUGCCACGAAGCACAGAGGUUGACACACAGGGACUUUCCAAUUAUCCAGCAGUGGUACUGUUCCUUUACCCUUGUGGGUAAUAAUAUGGUAGCUAGACCUUCAAAAUUUAUGUGUCUAAACUUUGUUAGUGUUGUUUCUUUGCUAUUCUUUUACUCUUCUUGGUCAAAGCGAUGUAGUGGGAGCUGCAAGCUUCACGUGUUCAACUUUGGCAGAGAACUUUGGCAAAGUUAUCUGUGGUACCCAUGAGCUACUGUUGCGUGUGGGAAGUGGGUGAUUGAACAGUAAGACUCAUGUGCUUUCUACUUCACCAGAAGUCUUCGACCGAAUGCCCAUAAUUUCCGCAAAGCUGAGUGUGCGUGUGACAGGUGCUGACAAGGCUGGAAAAGUAGGUGCCUCUUCGAUUUCUGAGAUCGGCCCUCGUGGUCUCUGAGCAGCCCAGUUUUUUGAGAAAGCAAGCGCCUCUUCGAUUUCUGAGAUCGGCUUUCGUGGUCUUUGCGCAGCCCAGCUUUUGAGAAAGCAAACGCCUCUUCGAUUUCUGAGAUCGACCCUCGUGGUAUCUGAGCAGCCUUGCUUUUGAGAAAGCAAACGCCUCUUCGAUUUCUGAGCAGGCGCCUCUUCGAUUUCUGAAGCUCCGUCGAGUGCAGAUUUUUAUAGGGGCUGGCAUUAAGUUCCAAAGCACACUUGAAUCUCCACCAGUAGAAGCUCCAUUCUUGAACUUCUAAGAUCUUGAUUUGUCCGACCUCUUUUCUCUUCAACACCUUUGAAAAUGUCUGGCCCCUCCGACCGUCGUUUUGACUUGAACCUUGUUGAAGAGGCAGCCCCGCCUUCUCCUGACAACAUAUGGCGUCCAUCAUUCGUCUCCCCUACUGGUCCUCUUACCGUUGGGGAUUCCGUGAUGAAGAAUGAUAUGACCGCUGCGGUGGUGGCCAGGAACCUUCUCACUCCCAAAGAUAACAGACUACUUUCCAAACGGUAUGAUGAGUUAGCUGUUAAGGAUUCUCUGGCUCUCAGUGUUCAGUGUGCAGGUUCUGUGUCUAAUAUGGCCCAACGCCUAUUUGCUCGAACCCGCCAAGUUGAAUCAUUGGCGGCUGAAGUGAUGAGUCUCAAACAGGAGAUUAGAGGGCUCAAGCAUGAGAAUAAACAGUUGCACCGGCUCGCACAUGACUAUGCUACAAACAUGAAGAGGAAACUUGACCAGAUGAAGGAAUCUGAUGGUCAGGUUUUACUUGAUCAUCAAAGAUUUGUGGGUUUAUUCCAAAGGCAUUUAUUGCCUUCGUCUUCUGGGGCUGUACCGCGUAAUGAAGCUCCAAAUGAUCAACCUCUGAUGCCUCCUCCUUCUAGGGUUCUGUCCAGUACUGAGGCUUCGAAUGAUCCCCCUCCGGUGCCUUCUCUUUCUGGGGCUCUACCGACUGCUGAGACUUCUCCUAAGCAACCUUUGUGAAGGCUCCGUCUUGUUUGUUUAUUUUGAGUUAUGUAUAUGUACAUAUAUGUAGCUUAUCGGGGAUAUCAAUAAAUAAGCUUUCCUUCAUUUCAACGUAUUGUGUUAAAUACACCAAAGCCUUCUUCGCUAAGUUCUUUGAAUUUUCUUUUGUUGAAGCUUUGUGAGUGGAGCAUGUAGGUUGAGGUAGUGUUCCCUUAAUUUCCUGAGUGAGGAAAACUUCUCGGUUGGAGACUUGGAAAAUCCAAGUCACUGAGUGGGAUCGGCUAUAUGAAUCUUAGAACGCCAUUGUGCUCGGUCCUGUGUCAUGUCCUUCGUUAGAUCCAAGUACUCUAAGUCUUUUCUUAGAGUCUCUUCCAAAGUUUUCCUAGGUCUUCCUCUACCCCUUCGGCCCUGAACCUCUGUCCCAUAGUCGCAUCUUCUAAUCGGAGCGUCAGUAGGCCUUCUUUGCACAUUCCAAACCACCGUAACCGAUUUUCUCUCAUCUUUCCUUCAAUUUCGGCUACUCCUACUUUACCCCGGAUAUCCUCAUUCCUAAUCUUAUCCUUUCUCGUGUGCCCACACAUCCAACGAAGCAUCCUCAUCUCCGCUACACCCAUUUUGUGUACGUGUUGAUGCUUCACCGCCCAACAUUAUGUGCCAUACAGCAUCGCCGACCUUAUUGCCGUCCUAUAAAAUUUUCCCUUGAGCUUCAGUGGCAUACGGCGGUCACACAACACGCCGGAUGCACUCUUCCACUUCAUCCAUCCAGCUUGUAUUCUAUGGUUGAGAUCUCCAUCUAAUUCUCCGUUCUUUUGCAAGAUAGAUCCUAGGUAACGAAAACGGUCGCUCUUUUGCAAGAUAGUCCAAGUAAUUUUAACAUAGAUAUAAUUUUUUAUGCAAUGCAUGAGUAUAUGAAAUGUUAAGACGAUAAUAUAUCAUGUGAUUUAAAAUUCAAAGAGAGACAAUGAACCAUGUUUGAUAUUUUGUUUGUCUUGUUUCGUUUAAAUUUGGGCGUUUUUCAGUUGGAUUCAUGGGUUUUGUUUAAGAUAUCAUUUUUGGUUUAGCCAACGCAAAAGUUUACAUCUUUUCUAUGUUGGAUUCAUGGGGUUUUCUUAAGCUUUCAAGUUUUCAGUUUUUGUCAAGAAAUUUAAUCUAGGUUUCAUUUAUUUUUCAAACUAGACACUUUUGUGAAGAUUUUCUUUAUAAUUCAGUAAAUGAUUGCUCCUUUACCUGUAAAUUUGACUUAUGUAAAUUUCCAGGUUGUUCAAAACCCGCAGGGAAGCGCGGGCAAUUUUUCUAGUUAAAUGUCUAAAAGAAACGUAUAAGAGAUUUGGUGGCAUGAUUUUGUAAAUGAACACAAAUUCAGGGACAUCUUUUAUCCAACAUGACAUCAUAUUUAAAAUUUGGGUUUUAUUUAGAAGUUAUAAUAUUUAUGUGGCCUUUUGUCUAGAGUUUAAGAGUUGCCAGGAUUGGAUGAAAAUUUGCUGAGUGUUGGACAAAUGAUGCAGCAUGGAUAUUUCCUUCUAUUUGGAUUGAUGAGGUUGCUCUAUUUGAAGAUAAGAUGCUGGAAAAUCAUGUGGUUACAGUACAAAUGACUGGGAAUAGAUGUUUCCCUCUCAUAAUGGAAGAUAAGAAAUUCAAUGUGUUGAAAGCUGCUUUGGAAGACGGUGCUUAAGAUUGGCACAUAAGACUUGGACAAUUGAAUUUUCAAAGCCUGUAGUUACCUGUUAGUCGGGAAAUGGUACUAUGAAUGCCAAAGUUGAAGCAAACACAAACAGUAUGUGAAGGUUGUGCGGUGGGAACGCAUCACAGAGAAGCCUGUAGCAGGGAGAUAAUGUGGAGAGCAAGUCAUCCACUAGAGUUGAUACACUCUGAUAUUUGUGCAGGUUACAACAUCGGGUGGAAACAAGUAUUGCUUGACUUUCAUAGAUGAUUGUACAAGAAGGUAUUGGUUGUAUCUUCUGAAGCACAAGUCUAAAGUGUUCACUGUGUUUAAACAUUUCAAAGCCAUGGUUAAGCUACAAUGUGGAUACCAGAUCAAAAGAUUGAGGAGUGACAACGGUGCAAUAUCUAUUUACUAGACAUCCUUUGGGAUUCUUCCAUAUUAGAACAAGGAUUCUAUUCUAAAAAGGCCCCCUCUCCCACGGUAUAAAUACACCCAUCUAGGGUUCAUCUACGGUAGCACAAUCUAAACACUUUGAAUUCUCUUGCCCACUGCUUGAGUCUAAAAUCAUUCAUUAACUUAACUAACCUCCCCCCCCCACCCCCCCCAACCAAAGGUUUGCUUACGAUUGUUUCACUAUUUUGCAGGUUGUUCCAGACUACAUGAAUUCGUGCUCGACCGCCUCUUACGGCUCCAAACUAAUUAAUAAGUUUAAGGGGGAUAUGAUGAAGAAGUAUGAGAUGACUGAUCUUGGCUUGCUUUAUCAUUUUCUUGGUAUGUGAAUAGUUCAAACAGAGCAAAAGUAUCUUUAUCAAUCAAAAGAAGUACACUCUUGCACUUUUAGACAAAUUUAGUUUUGAAGAUUGCAAGCCUCUCACUAUAACACUUGCAGUGAAUACGAAGUUGAAAGGAGAAGAUGGUGGUGCUCUUGUAGAUAAAGCUCUUUAUAGGUAGAUUGUUGGUAGUCUGUUAUAGUUGAUAGCUACAAGGCCUAACAUUGUGUUUGAUGCGAUCUUACUCUCAAAAUUCAUGCACAGUCCUUCAAAGAAACACUUUGGUAUUGCAAAAUGGGUGCUAAGAUACAUACAAGGAACCUUGGAUUAUGCCAUUGAAUAUUUGAAAUCCAAGGAAGCAAUAUUAUGCUAAUAGGCUAUUGUGGCUGUGAUUGGAGUAGGGAUGAAAAUGAUUUGAAAAGUACUCCUGGAUAUGCAUUUUCAUUUGGCAGUGGAAUCUGCUCAUGGGCUUCAUCGAAACAACACAGUGUAGUAUUGUCUACUGCAGGUGCUGAGUAUGUUAGUGCCUCUGAAGCUAUUACUCAAGAGAUUUGGCUUUGAUUUAUAAUGGAAGACUUUGCUGAAUUACAAACUUAGGCUACUUGAUUGCAUUGUGACAACACAUCUGCCAUUGUCAUGACAAAAACCAUGUGUUUCAUGAAAGAUCCAAGCACAUAAAUAGCAGGUAUCACUUCUUUAGAGAAUCACUACAAAACAAUAUCAUCAAUCUAUUGUAUUGCAGAUCAGAGGAACAAUUGGCAGACAUCUUCAUCACAGCAUUGUCAAAUAAUCUAUUCUUCUAUCUCAGAAACAUGCUAGGGAUCAAAUCAGCAACAAUCUUAGAAGUGAGUGUUAAUGAUUAAGCAUUGGUGUUGAUUCCUUAGACUGCAAGCUUAGAAGGUAUGGACUGCACAGAGAGAAGGAGGGGGAGAGAGCGCGGAGAGAGGAAGAUGACGGAAGGGUGGGUCUUUUGAACAGAGACCUUGCAGACAAAGGGUGAGGGAGGGAUGGGACUGAUCUUAACGAAAUUACAGGUUUGUUUUCAAUUUCUUAUUUACAUGUUUUCAUAUUCAAUGGCAAUUUGGUUUCUUUUAUUUCAAAUUUAACUUCGAAAAUGUCUUUUAAAUUUAGGUAUUUUGUCUUCAACUCUAUCGCUUCCAUGCUAAUUAAGGUAGAUUAAAAAGUAGGUUUUUUAUUCAAAAUGGUCCUUGAGAUUUGCAUCAUUCAUAAGUUUGGUUUUUAAGAUUUAAAAUCAAUAGAAGUAGUCCUUGAGAUUGUCCACCAUCCAUGAUUUUGGUUCUUCCGCUGAAGCUUUUGGCCGGAAGUUUGAGCAAUUUUCAAAGUUUCGUAACUCAAUCGUUUUUUAACCAAAUUCGACUCAUAAUAUAUCAAAAUAAAGAUAGGAAAGUGUAGAAUAAGAUUAUAUCUAUUUGGAAGCCCAAUUAUUGCCGAAGAUGGUCAGAAAAUAGCCUCAAAGUUGACUGGUCCGAGGGAAAACUGGAACCGGAAAUUCGCUGAAAACUGGGUAAACUUUAAACGUUCAUAACUUCUUCAAUACUCAACAAAAUCAAGUGAUUCAAAAACGAAAAUCAUACUUCUCAACGAGAAGAAGAGAAUGGUACCUUUUUCAACAGCUAACUUGCCGUGGUUUGGUCGGAAAACGGCUCGAAAGUGGCUGUUGAAAAACAAGUCAACAACUUUCAAGCCGUUUUCUGGCCAAACCACGGUGAUUUAGCUAUUGAAAAAGGGUACCAUUCUCUUCUUCUCGUCGUGAAAUAUGAUUUUUGUUUUUGAAUCGCUUAAUUUCGUUGAGUAUUGAAGAAGUUAUGAACGUUUAAAGUUUACCCAGUUUUCCCUCAGACCAGUCAAUAUUGAGGCUAUUUUCCGACCAUCUUCAGCAACCAUUGAGCUUCCAAAUAGAUAUAAUCUUAUUCUAUAUUUUCCUAUCUUCAUUUUGAUUUAUUACGGGUCGAAUUUGGUUAAGAAAUGAUUGAGUUACGAAGCUUUGAAAAUUAUCCAAACUUCCGGCCAAAAGCUUCAGCGGAAGGACCAAAAUCAUGGAUGGUGGACAAUCUCAAGGACUACUUCUAUUGAUUUUAAAUCUCAGGGACCAAACUUAUGAUGAUGCAAAUCUUAGGGAUCAUUUUAAAUAAAAAGCCUAAAAAGAAUUGCAACAGAAACAACUAAAAACCAAGUUGGCCUGCAGGGUUAUCUGUAUGUGUAUUAUAUUGAUAAUUCUAGGACUUAUCAUAUCAUGUUCCUAACUUGAUGCUGUGGGCAUCUUCUCCUAUUAAUAACAGUGGCACCUUAAUUUGAUCAACCAAAUUUGGUGAAGCACCAGACAAACAGAAACCCAUGCAUACAGAGCCAACUGCACUGAAGCAUGAAUUUAAAAAAAAUAAUGUACAUGAUUAUUAUUCCACUACUUAAUUUGUUCCAACUCACCACAAAUUUCUCUUCAUUAUGGUUGUUAGGACAAUAGAUUAGGUUGCAAGAUAAAUUUCCAAAGUUCUACUAGCUUAGGUUUUCAGAAAUCAAACAUGCAAAGUUUCUAUGCAUGUUUUGAAAUUGGUUUUAGGAAGUGGGCUUCCAAGUCUUAACAAUAAUGGACACUAUGAAAUCAGGGUAACCAAUUGGGGAUAACUAUAUACUUCAAAAACGCAUAUUUUACACACACACACACACAUUCUGUCAAGAAUCAGAUUUGAUUGGCACAGAUGAAGAUGAACAAUAAGAAUGAACAAUAAGAGGCUAGCUAGGAGCUGAGUAAAUUGAAUCGAUUACCAUGUUGUAAUUGGCCUAGCUACUCUCUAGUUAUUCUUCAAGGUUGUAUAUAAUAUAUCUACCUAUAUAAUCUCACCCUGUUUCCCCCUUUUGUCUCUCUGUGCACUCAGAAAACAAGCCACCCUAAUUCAAGUUCUCUAUCUUCAGAUCACCAGCAAUAACCUCAUCAAGGUCCUAGGAGGAAUCACGAGGAUUCACAGCCGAAUUGGUAUGUACUUAUGCUUUUGCAAAAAGCCCUUUUCUUGCCAUUUUUCUGUUUUAGAAUUGGGACCAAAAUGAUUAUGAGUGAUUUUGAAAAACACCGAGAAAAAAUGGCUAUCAAGCAAGCAGGCUGUGAGUAUUCAAAAUAUAAUUUUCAGUCAAAUAAAAUAUUGGCACCACAAGCUUUUAAGUAGGGAGGGAUGUUUGAUUAUAUAUUUAAAUUAAGCAAAGAAUCUUGCAUAAGAAAACGAUCCAAGUUGAAGUAAACCAAAUAUAUGGUGCAACAACUGUUAGUUUGGUCAGUCUUCAUCACACUAAUCAAAUGGGCCCGAGGGGUUGAUUUUCACAGUAACCACUUACUUUUUAGUAUGUUCCGGAGUAUUUUAGUGUUUAACUAUUUUUUACAUUUUUGAGGUUCGGAGUGAUUUUUAAAACGAGUCAUGAAUUUUAGUUUUCUAAUAUUACACUCUCUAUGCUUCAGAUUUUCCACAUUUUGACUUGGACUUCUUUUUUUCUUUGUUCUGUUUGAAGAACUUAGUACUUUUGAUUUCAGUAGCAAAAUAAUUUGAACAGGAUGAGAGAGAGAGAGAGAGAGAGAGAGAGAGAAAUAAAGCAUCUACUUGAUCUCUGUACUUUCUCUUAUUCUUAUGUGUGGUUAAGGUUGCAUAUCUGAAUUUUAACCUAUCAUCAUGUAAGUAUUAUAGUGUGUUUUAGAAGCGGGAGUGUGUGAAAUGUGUUGAUGCUGAUGAUGGUGUCGAAUUUGGGGACACUUCCCAGCUAGCAGAGCAAGUAACAGAGAGCUUUUUCCAACUCAAAUUUAAUGAUUCAAGCUGCUUAAGACUUGCAUAACAUUUCCAAGUUGUAGUCGAUGUGCCUGAGUUCUUGAGUACUUCAGUCUUCACUAAUGAAUGUAACACCAUUAAGACUUGGAAUGUCUUUGGGGGGUACGAAAUAACAUUGCUCAUUUCGUAUUUUAUGGGUUCGAAUUUUUUGUCGAGUACGUGAUUCUUGCAAAAGAGUUGUAAAUAUCGUUGUAAAUAUGUGUAAGUAGAGUUGUAAACCCUACCAUUGAACACUUAAUAUAGUUGUACAUAUAUAUAGAAAUUUUUACAUGCUUUGUACAGUUUUAAACACCCACAACAUCGUGCGGGCACACUUUCGCUAGUAUUUUAUUGUACUAGUGCACUCAAAUGUCUGUAGCUAAAUAUGUUAUUAUGAAUUAGUGGAACAUAAGAAAAUAUGGAAAAACAUAAGUGUACCAAAAAGUUCGUACUUAAACAUAGUAUACUAAAUUAGUGUACCGGUAUGUUCGUGCCUACCCUAAACUAGUAUACCGAAAUGUCCAUACCUAAACAUGUUAUUCUAAACUAGUGUACUAAGAUGUUUGUACCUAAAUACAUUGUAAUAAAUUAAUGGCACAUAAGAAAAUAUGCAAAAACAUAGGUGUGCCGAAAAGCCUCUACCAAAAUAUUUUCUUAUAUAAGAUAAUUACAAUAAAUUGGUGAUGCAAAAUGUCAACAAAUAAAAGCUAAUUCAUUUGAAUUCAAAUGAGUAUUAAAAUUUAAUUCAUAUCAGCAUAAAAUUAUAAAUAGAAAAAAAGAAAGACAUUGAAUGCAUAUGCUGCCAUUAAAUAGAGUUUAGGAACUAAAAUCAAUUUUUUAAUCUUGUGUGAGACAUUUUUCUAAAUUUUAUUUUAUUUAAGGAUUAAAAAUAUAGUUUUCUAUUACUUAUAUUUCUGACUACAUAUGGUUAUUACUUUAGUCGAGAGUUGACGCACCUGGAAUGGUGUCUGGAAAACAUGAUGACCCAUAAUUCCAGCCUUGGCAGCGUAUUCCAGGCCAGAAAUGAAGCUCAAAGCCAUACACGAGAGCAUUGUGUAUGUCUUUAUAAGAGACGUUGCUGUAGUCCUUAACGGAGUAGUCAAAGUGACCCAAAUUCAUCCAAGCCCUCCCCUCUGCACUGCAACCCUCAUCCAAUUCCCAUACUUCCAUGUACUCCCCGACCAUGACGUAGCUAUACGUUUUUGGUUGGCUCGAAGAAGUAGAACUUGUAUUAUUCAAGCAUGGAGCAGUGUCCACGUACAGAGAAGAAUUCAAUGGAUUCGAACAUUUCAAGUAAUAUAUAGAUGUUAAAUUCCCUCGUGAAUAAUGUUCAUAAUAAUUUAAAGUAUUGUGCGGAAAAUUUCGAGGCAUGGAAGAGCAAUUGGUGUUCACAAGGCCAGGAUCUAGAAGUCGGAUUGUUUUGUCGUUGUAGUUGAUUGCCUGGACGUAGUAUUUUCCGGACGAAGGUAGGUAUAGUACUGUAAUGUUGCUCUCACAGGACAGAGUAUACCUUACGUCGCCACAAUAUUUUGGAUCAUCGUUCAGUCGAAAAGGAUAGCUUAUGUUGUGGACAUGGCCGCAGGAUGAAGUACAGGACUUGGCACUGGUGUCGUCCUUAGCGUUACAAGUUCCACUGCAGAAGCUAAGAAGAAGAAAGGCUAAACUUAAGGUGAAGGACCUGCUUCCACUAAUUUCCAUUGGAGAGAGAGAGAGAGAGAGAGAGAGGUGUACUAGUUCACACCAAGUAGUCAUAUAAUAUAGGAGGGGUUAAGGCACCUUCCGUGAAAUUGCAGUUGAAAUAUCCUAGAGAAAAAUCGGUCGUCAAUGGUAUCCUAGAGAAAAGUCGGUCGAUGGUGUUUGAUACGGUCAGUCAACGGUGAAGACAGUUGUGAAACAAUAAUGCUCUCCCCCGCUCUCUUUAUUAUAUAUGUCUUUCAUUAAUGGAGGAUACUGCGUAAUUACUACGCAUAUAUCUCUGCUUAAUCACACAAAACAAAAAAUACCAUGCGCCUAUAGAAAAUUUGACUUUUUCCCUAAAAAUUAAUUUUCUUUCACCUCCAACCCAUCAUAUAUAUUCUAUAAGAUAAGAAUAACCCAUUGACUAGCUCCAAUUAAGCAAGUUUCUUAACUUGCUUGAUGACUCUGAUCAUGUGUAAUUUUGGGGAAUUGGAUGCUAUUUUGUCUCUACUUUAUUAGGCUUUUUCAAAUGGUUCUUUCACAUUUUUCAAAUGGUUUACAAUCUCUCUUCAUUUUUAUUUUUUGCAAGAAUGUAUUUAGUUUUGGUUUACAAUUUCACCUAGCCAACCAAAUGUCGUAAAUACACUUGUGACUCGUUCAUCACUGAUUCAUGAAAAUGUGUCCUACUAUAUAAGCAACAAAUUCAAAACCAGGUUGAAAACUUAUGUAUGUAACUAAGGACUCAUGAGAAUUGUAACCAUUGUACCUAAGUACCAUAUGUGCUCGAUAGCUUGAGGUGUUUGUCUGACUACGUAAGUACAUUGGAGGUUUGUUGGAUUGCUUGGGUUUUCACUUGAAACCAGUGGCUGGCCAAUAUGCAUCACUUUUCCACAUAACUUUUAUGCAAAAAUCUUUCCUUAAGUUUUUACAUCACAGUUCUUGACUAGCUUCAAUAGACAUAUUGUUGUCAUGCUUGCUUAGUUAUGAUCCUUCAAAGUUUCUAUGUUCUCAGUUUCCCCUUCAAAUCGAUAUGUUUUGUAACUUCUUCUUUUUUUCUUUCUUCAGUACUUUUAUAUACUGAGAGCGAUAAUUCCGCGACUUGGUGAGAUUGGAAUGAUAAAUUAUUAGUGAGCCUUCACUUUUUCUUGAACAAUAAUCACUUUAGGAUGAGUUACAUUACCAACUAGAGAGAUUGGUCUAGUCACAUCUCUUCAGAAUGUUGAAAUAAGUUUCAAGUUUAAUCCAUAGCUCAACCAAAAUAAAUAAGAUAUUGUUGAUUGCACAUUGAUUUAUAUGAGAAAAUAAAUAAACUACUAGUAAGGAAACUGUUGGCAAGUGUUGAAUUGUUCUGGUAUUUAAGGUCUUCUUUUUCAACCUGCUGUACUUCUAGUGUAAACUUUCCUUCUUUUUUAAUGUAGAUUAGCAUAGAAUAUCGCUUAUGAUUAGAAGAAGAAAAAAGAAAAAUAAAAAGGAAACUAUUGAAUUUUGUUCAAAGUCUAGGUCGUAGUUCUUCUCUAGAUUAGAAGAAGCAGUUUUUUUUUUUUUAAGCAUAGCAAUACCAAACUGGCCCCUAAACCAACAUAAGACAAGUGAAUAAAAAACUACCACAUUGAAUUCCUAAGUAGGUAGCAUUUUACACAUCGGAGAUGCUCUUAUACUAUCCUUUUUAUAAUUUUAUAUUAUUCUUGAGUGGCAUCACUCAUCUUUGGUGCAUCCAAUGGAACCCAGUGGAUCUAGAUCGUCCAUCCAUUAAAGUGGAGGUUCAGAUGUUGGAAGGAGAGAACUUAACCAUGCCUCCAAAUUCUUGUGCCUAUACAGGUCUUGCACGAACUAAUACAAGUCCGCCUGCAGUGCCGGUAUAUUAGACUUCCAUGACUAUCGUGGUCUUUGGGGUUAACUGAAGAAUUUCCGAGCGAAUGGAACCACAUGUAACACAGCUAAGCCUAAUUGAUAGCGAUUUUACCACUUUUAAAACAAAGGGUUAAACCAUAGAAAAUUCUUGCAAGAGACAAGUGUUUGUAGUAUAGAAUGGCUCAAGCAAGGUCGAUCUCCUCAGGGACUGAUAUAAACAAUUUACGAGUUUUUGUGUAUUUAACUUAUUUAACUCUAAAAAUUACACUAAUUUGACGAAACUAAAUAUUACUGGAUGUGACUUAAACAAUUAUCUAAAAUGGGAAUUGGUUUAUAGGAAUAAUGAUUCAACUAAACAAAACAAGUAAAUGAGAAAAUUCAAGAUAAAAUAAAUGAUUGAAGAAAAAUAGAUUGACAAUAUGCUAGAGUUCAACCUUUACCAACAACACUCAUACGUAGCUUUUCCAAUUGCUUAAAUAAUUGAAAACACACAUGCUUUGAAAGUUGGAUUUUCCUUGUGUAUGUUUUACUUGUGACAUUCAAGCUAAAACGCAUACCACUACAUGCAACUUAUCCAUGACAUUUGGAUUAAAUAUAAACAUGAGUGAUUCAUUAAUCUUGGUGAAAAUCCUUUUGUUAAACCAUGUAAUCCCUAAGAGCAUGAUAUUUACCUUAGGAGAGUACAAUCCUCAAUCACAAGAAGCACAACCAAUUUUAACGUGACAUUCGUUCAAAAUUGCAUCCGAUAACUUUUCUAAGCAUCCUAAUGGUGAUCAAGCAUCAAGGUACAUAGAUAGUUUAAUUCAGUGAUUGAAAAUAUCAAAGCAAGCAUGUAACAACACUUAAGCAAUUGAAAAAUAAAUCUACGUAUUCAUGUUGCCGCUCAUGGCCUCACUCUAGCAUAAUAAUUUAGUUACACAUAAUUAAUUUGAUACAUAAGAAAUUAUUCAUAAAAGAAAAUAAAUAACUAAGAAAGAAGACACCCGUUUCUUUUCUCCCGUCGCAAGUCUAUGUGAAAUUUUCCGUGUGCACUGCCUUCUCCUGCUCCUCCCUCUGUUUCCGUGCUCUGCCUGCACUCCUGCUUUGCUCCCUCUGUUUCCGCACCUCUCCUCUAUUCCCUGUGCUUCUGCUUCUGUCCUUCUGCUGCUCGCCAGUCCGAGUCAACUGCUUCUUAUUCUUUUAUUUUCUUUUCAGUCCUGCGCACUCCACUUCCUUCCCACUCUUCUCUGUUUUUUAUUUGUUUAUUUUUUUCUUUUCUUUCCACACCUCUUUGUCUGCCAGUCUGUCUUUUUUAUUUGUUUCUUUUUCUUUUCGUCACUGCCUCAAUGCUCUCUCCACUCUGUCAGAAUUCUUCCAUGCUGUUUUUCCACUUUGUUUCCUGCCAUCCUCUCUGCUCCUUUGUCCGUGUCUUCACUUUUCUUCCUUUUAAUUGAAAUUAAUCCUAAAACACAUUUAACUGCACAAUAACACAAGGUAAGGUAAAAUGUCAUAAUUAUAACACAAAAACAUCACAAAGACUUUAAAAAUAGAUGGUAUAAAUGUAUGAAAUAUAUGAAUGAUCACUAAUCGACAAUGAUUCAUACAGCGACAGAUGAGACGCGCAAAGCAGCUUCAAAGAAAGCACUAUACUGCUUUAGUUAUGUGCUAAGUUGCAUGCAUGGACGCUUCAAUACACUAGCGUGUGACGUAUCAGACACAAAAACAAACACAAAACUUCACAGACACUCUUGGACACUUGUCCAACACUCCACAUGGCAUAUCGUUGACUUUGACUGACUGACACUUUAGGGAUACACGUAGGACAUUGUUAAAAAAACACGCCAGUGGUAAUUGUAAAAUUAAAUUAAAAUUUUAGGGUAAAAUUGAAAUAUGAAAAAAUUGUCUUAGGGUAAUAUGAAAAACGGAUUUAGAGGUAAAUGUAAUGUUGUAUUUUGUUUGGAUGAAGAAAUUUAAUAAUACUAAGGAAUUUUAAAAUGAAAUUUUAUUUUCUAGAAUUUCUGAAUUUUCUUAUUUGGUUAACUUAAAAUGAACAAGAGAAUUUGAAUACGGAAUUUAUUUAUUUAUUUUUAAACUCUCACUCAUAGAAAUUUAAAAAUGACACAUAUUUACAUGAAAUUUAAAUUUGGGGAUUCGAGGUCUCAAAUUCCAAGUUUUUUUUUCUUGCAAAGAUUCUAAAUUUCUAUUUUUAUGAAUCGAAAAAAAAGAAAUUGGUUUGUGCCAAUUUAUAAAUUCUAACGUUUGUCAACUUAUAUUGUUGCCAUACUUGCUUAGUUAUGAUCUUUCAAAGUUUUGAGCUCUCAGUUUCCCAUUCAAAUCGAUAUGUUUUGUAACAUUCUUUUUUUUCUUUAGUACCUUUGCAUUUUAAGAGCUUUAAUUGCGCUACGUGAUGAGAUUGUAAUGGAAUUAUUAGUGAGAAUUUCUUGAACAAUAGUCACUUUAGGAUGACUAGUACAAAGAUGUCAAAGUGAAGUGGGCCCUUACCAUUGACCUGCUAGGGGCACAGCCAUCAUUAUUGACCCCGAAAAGUAUGCAUGCCAAUAAAAAAUAAUUUAGUCAAAUUCUUUCUUUUUUUCAAAUAAGUAACUCAAUUUCUAAUAAACUCGAAUUUGCUGACUAGUGGGUUCUUACCUAAAUUAUAUCUUGUUUUGUCUAUGACAUUUUGAACUCCAUAAGCAAAUUUAUUGUUUCAUCUAGUUAUAUAUCUUUACACAUUAGUCACUUAAAAGAGUGUUAUAACAUUAAUUACGUAAAUGAGUGUUGUACAAACAAAAACAAAAGAAUAUCUCUUAGAUUAUUGGUGCAAAUAUCAUAUAUCAUCACAUGAUUCACCCCAAAUGUUUCGUUUUCAAUGCCAAGAGUAAUGAUGAUUACAUGUGUGUCAUUGUUAGAGGCUACCAACAGAGAGCAUUUGUGUAGUGAUUUUGUAUGUUUGCACGAGAUUUGACUUCUCAACCAAACUUUGAGCACCGAAUAGGAUGCUGGUUCGAUUAUGUACUUUUUUAUGCCCUGAGAACUGAGAACUAUGAGUUUCUCUGUGUUCUGCUUGCCUAAAAGCAUACAUUAACAACCUUGGGAUCACCUAAAUUCUAUUAAUAUAGCAUGAUAUCAAUUUAUCAAUAAAAUUAUUAAUUUACAAAGAUUAUUUCUUUUCUUGUGCAUCCAAUGGAACCUAGUGAUCUAGAUCGUCCAUCCAGUAAAGUGGUGGUUCAGAUGUUGAAAGGAGAGAACUUAACCAUGCCUCCCAAUUCUUGUGCCUCCACAUGUCUUGCACGAAAGAAUAAAAGUCCUCCUGCAGUCCCGGUACAUUAGGCUUCCAUGACUUCCGUGGCCUUUGGGGUUAACUCAAGAAUUUCCAAGCGAAUGGAACCACAUAUGAGUAUGACACAGCUAAUCCUAAUCGAUAAUGAUUACUACAGCGACAGAUGAGCGCAAAACAACUUUAAAGAAAGCACUGUUACUAGUACUUUGUUAUGUGCUAAGUUGCACGUGUGAACACUUCAAUACACUAGCGUUUUACGUAUCAAACUCAAAAACAAACACAACACUUAGUCGACACUCUUGGACACGUGUCCAACACUCCACGUGCCGUGUCGUGGACUUUGACUGAAGGACACUUCUUGGGCACUUUUAAAAUUGAAUUAAAAUUUUAGGGUAAAAUUGAAAUAAGGAAAAAAUUAUUUUAGGUAUAAUAUGAAAAAUAGAUUUAGAGAUAAUGCUAGAGAUCGCAAAUUUCUCUCUUGACGUAGGAGGCAGAUUGUCUGCCCUCCUGUUUGGAUGCCCUUCCCAUCCUCUUCUAUUUGUGCAGUCACGGUUAAGCCACGUCAACAUUUUAUAUUCUUAUUGCUUUUUGUCUUAUUAUCUCUAUAAAAAAAUUAAUAUAAAAUGUUGACGUGGCUUAACCGUGACCGUACAAAAUGGGAGGGGAUGAGGAUGACACCCAAACAGAGGGCAGACAAUCUGCCUCCCUUGACGUAAUAACAUGAAAAUUAUUGAUGACUUAAGUGUACGUGAAGCAGCUCUAGUCAAUACUCAAUUGCAAUUUGGCCCAUUUUUCUAAAGCGUGUUUGAAGCCGAGUCAUUGUUGGAAAUCUGCAAGUUCAGUUUCAUAAUUUCAUGCACUUCUACAUGAUAAGUUUCAAAAUUUCUUGCACAUCUACAAGAUUAAUUUCAUAAUUUUUUGCACUUCUGCAAUAGCAGUGUCAAAAGUUUUAGAAUUCUGCAAGGUUAGUUUCAAAAUUCCUACAUUUCUACACAAAUUUCAAAAUUUAUGCAUCAAAAUAAAACUCAAAACCUCAAAUCGAGUACUUUCAAAAUACUAAAAUCAAAACCAAAGAUCAAAAGUUUCAAUCAUUGUCAAGAAAAAAUAAAAAAUAAAAGGUUAUAGAGGACGGUGUCAUUCCACACUACAAGUUUAUACAAGUAUUGUCCUUUACUAAAAGGCUAUUUGAGGACUGAGGAUUUAGGGUUUAAGGUUUCGAAUGUAGGAGGGCAGUAAUCACGGACAACUUCUUCGAAAGAAAGGAGCAAAGAUCUAACUUCAUCCAGCAAGUGCCUUUCCAUACUCAAAUCCUCCUCAUGACAGGAGUCAGUACGAAUUUCACCUAGCCAACCAAAUGUCGUAAAUAAACUUGUGACUCGUUCAUUCACUGAUUCAUGAGAAUGUUUCCUACUAUAUAAGCAGCAAAUUCAAAACCAGGUUGAAAACUAAAUUAUGAAACAAGGGGCAACUUUUAUCUUGAGAAACCAUUUGAAAACUUAUGUUCUGUCGUAUGCAAGAAGGUAUUUCCUUUUGUGUUUUAAUUCUGCACUUAUUUUUAUUUUUUCCACAUAAAUAUAAUGUGCCUACAUUAUUUUUCUAUGGAUUAAUUUACCUACUUUAAUUAUUUUAUAUACCUACGUUAUUUUUUCUUGAAUCUUUUCACACUCGACCAAACUUCUCUUGGAAUUUUAAUUAGAUGAAACAAUAUGAAUCUUGAACAAAGCAACGCAAAACGUAAUACUGAGAGAUUGAAUCAUUGAAGUGACGUGGAGCUGGGUACUCAACACUCAUAGGAAAUCAAUCCAAGAAUGAAAACUCUCUUAUCACUUUCUAUCCAAAAUUUUGGAAUUAUGUGUGUGUUCCAACGAUUAUCCGAAGGAUUAUUCUUCUUUUAUUAAAUUUAUAAGGAAAAUUAGCAUGGGGCAUAAAUGUUGAACUGUGAAAUCCCGUCUCCGGAAUUUCACCAUUCAUUAUGUAUCUCGCAAUUUAAAUUCGUAUUUCACGUUUAUGUUAUUUUUAUUACUUAAUUUUAAUUCCGCAAAUUUUGAGCUUAAAUCGAAUAGUUAUCGGGUUUGAAUUUUCGUAAUUAAUCUUUAAGACUCGUUGACCUUUCGAGGUCACAAGUAACGUUUUCGAAUAGAUCUCGAAACCACGAGCACAUAGGCGAAAGCCGUUUGGGAGUCCGGGUUUUAACGAUAUAGUUACAGACAUUUGAAGUUGUUACUAAAUUAUAGAUUUUAAAUUUAUUUUGAAACUCCCACCUUGUGGGAAAAGGACUAAUGAGAUAAGAGAGUGAGGGACCAAUUAGAAAUGGGAGAGAAAAGGAGAACGAAUCAGGAAGGAAGGGAAAAAGAAAAAAGAAAAAAAAAGGAGGGACUGGAUGCUGCCAGGUGGCAGCGGGAGAGAGAAGAAGAUGAGGUUGCGGGAGAGAAAAGGAAGGGAAGAGUGACCAAUGGAAGGAGAGAGUAAGGAGGGGAAGGAGAGACCCAAAAAUGGGUCAUUUUUCACCCGCGAACUACCAUUUUUGACCUGGCCAUAUCUUCUUCAUCCGACUUCCGUUUUGGGUAAUCUUGGUGUCCAUAGAAAGCUCUUGACGAGUCCUACAUCCCUGUAGUGUUAGAUGUCUAUUUUUCCUUUCCAUUUUUCUAGGUCGAAGCCACAAAGUGCCUAGGGUUUUCCUGCGAGUUUUCUCAUUUUACAGUGAUUCCGACAAUGAUUACCGUCGAUCAUCACUACCAAUAGACUCCUCUCAACCCCUGGACCAAGGCCCAAGCAUUGGAUGAGGCGUCGAAGUUCGUUUUGGCGAUGAAUCGAGGAACACCCAUUUCUAGGGUCUCCAACGUGUUUGGAUGAAAUUGAGACACUUCUCGGCCGAAUUGGACUUGGCCACAGGUAUGAAAAUUGAUCCCCACACUGAGAUAUACUUGCCUGUAAAUUUGGUAAUUUUUUGAAAUUGUUGAAUUUUUCGGCGAGUCGGGGCGGCCGACCGCCACCGGCAGCAGUGCGGGCGGCGGUGCUUCGGCCAGUGGGCCGACGAUGCCUUUCUAAGUUCAAUUAGAUGUGCUGGAUUUGUAUUUGAUAUUCGUAUGACGUGGUUUGAUCGUUUGAACCUAAUUUCAUUAUGAUACAUUACUUGAUCAAAAUAUGAAUUGACGAUCCGACCGUCGGAUCGUGAUGAAAUUUUAGUAUGUUGUUCUAGAGGAAUAAUGUGGAUUUUAGAAGAUUACGGAUCCAAAAUCCAUGUGUAGAUCUUCUGGAUCAAAUUACGUAGAGAUGUGGACCCCACCGUUGAUCUGAAGUUGACUUUUGGUCAAUAGGUAUUGAAUCAUUUAUUUUACUAAAAUUAGUAUUGCUAGAGACUCAAUGAGGCUUUGCGGACUUGUCUUGGUGAGUGACUUUAAUAUAUGUGAUAUGGUUUUUACCCUGUUUUCUUAUAAGUAUCCUUUGUGGAUAUGACUUGGUUUUGUAAAUGUGUUUUCUGUUAAAAUGUGAUUUUAUAAUUGGUCAUCGAUCUAUUUUUAUUAAAUGUGAUUUGAUUUAUGGAUUGGAAAUAUUUGUGAAAAGGUGAAUUGAAGUGCAUAUUGAAAUAUUUAUGAAUUGUGUUAUAAAUAUACAUUUGAAAUGUUGAGAAAUGCGAGGGCUAGUAGGGGACCGUUACCCUAGUGUCACGGGGUUAGGUGACACCGAGUCUGCACCAUGUAGCAGUGGUACAUGGAUGGUCUUACUUGGUUAAUCCGCAAUGGGGGACCAUAUUAUUUAUGGAUCGCACUUGGUUAAUCCGCGAUGGGCGAUCCUUAUGGCCAUGUAUACUUAGGAGUGAUAAUGCUUAGUUAAUUCACGAUGGGUGAUCACUGCCUAACAGUUUUAUAGGUGUGACUUUGCUUGGUUAAUCUGCGAUGGGCGAUCCUUAUGGCCAUACAUACUUAGGGGUGAUCAUGCUUGGUUAAUCCGCAAUGGGUGAUCACUACCUAGCAGAUUCAUGGGAGUGACUCUGCUUGGUUAAUCUGCGAUUGGGGGUGGGGGGGGGGGCGCGGGGAGGGUCACUACCUACAUGGUUACUCAGGGGGUGGCUCUGCUUGGUUAAUUUGCCAUGGGGGGCCACUUCUUGUUUGGUUACUUAUGUAGGCUUCGGCCGAACUGCGUCCCUCUAGCCCUAGUUUUUAAUGUACAUAUGAACAAUGGUUUUUGAGAAUCUUGGGGGUUUGAAUGGGAAAAGCCGUUGGAUGUCUGGGUGAGUCCUUCGGAGUUGUUGAGACUUAACUAUAUUUUCAUAUUUACAAACUUAUAUUUGAGGUUUAUAAACUGUGAUCGAUGGUCUUUUCUUUUAUUGAUUAUCACAUACUUGUAUUAUUGUCACUCACCUGAGCUCCGCAACUUAUCCAAGUUCCGUUUGGCCGGUGCACCAUUCUCAUGAUGGAGGCACUGAUUUUACAUAUGAUAGGUUUGGGUAGAUUAUGAGACACCACUUGAUAUUUUGGUUCCAUUGAGUGGUCUGGAAUCCUUGCUCUUGCUCAUUCCCAUAAGGUUAGUCUAGAACCCUAGAUUCGAGUGAAUGAGAAUUACCCACAAUAGAUGAUAGGAUUUUUACCACCUGCACAAAAGGGUUAAAAACACCUAAAAUACUUGCAAGAGAAACAAGGUUAUCGUAGUAUAAUUGGCUCAAGUAAGGUCGUUCUCAACAAGGACUAAUUUAAAUAGAUUGACGUGAAAUCAAUUCCCAACUAAUUAAUUAAAACAAAGUCUUUGAAAAAGGUGAUUUAACGGCCUAAAUUAAGAAAAACGAAUUUAAUUAAAAAGAUUACUUAAAAACCCCAACUGGAAGGAGGAAGAAACAAUUUUUACAAUUCAAAGUGAGAAAGUACUAGGGUUCUGCCGUCACCCUAACAAUCCUAUGUAACUCUUCUAAAUUACUUAUGAACCAUACAUGCAUAUCUUGAAGGUUAGGUUUUCCUAGAGUAUAUCCUACCUGAAACCUCCAACAUAGAACAUAUAUCUAACAUGCAACUCGUCUGUUGUGUUCAGAUCGAAUGUGAACAUGCAAGACUAAUUAAGUUUUAUGAAAACCCUUUUGAAAAAACCAUAUAACCCUUAAAACGUGUCGUCCAUCCUAAGAGGUUGCACAUAUUAACCACAAGAAGCCUUAGUCAAUUUUAGGGACAGCCCUCUACCAAAAUUGCAUCAAAUUACUUUUCUAAUUAUCCUAAUGGUCGCGAAUCACUAAGAAAAAUAGAUAGUUUAAAGCACAGUGAUUAACAAUCCAAAACUUGCAUGCAUGAAUUCAUAAGCAAAUUAAAAGAGACUACAUAUUCUUGCUAAGGAUCAUGGCCUCACCCUAGCAAAAUAAAAUUAGUUACGCAUAUUCAUAAUUAAAAUCAACAUAAUUGUAUUAAACUAGAAAAAGAAUGAAAACACCUUGUAGAAUAAAAUUUGAAAAUCUCUAAACUUUGUCCCAAAUCUUCUCUCCAAAAAAUUGCAUGCGUUCUCUCUCUAAAAAAAACCCCUAGGUCUGCCAAAAGGCUUAUUUAUACUACUCUAAAUAAAAUCCUCCUAAUAAAAGGUCUUAGAAUAAGACUAGGAAACUAAAUAAAUUGAAAUAAAUUAGGAAACCUAAUCCUAAAUUGGCUUGGUAAAUUUGCCCAAAAUUCUGCACAGCCACGUUCUGGACCCAAAUCAGCUCCAAAACUAGCCCAAAAUUUAUGAACUUAAACUUUGACUAUUCUGAACACUUCUCCAGAAGGUCACGAACCCAUCUGAAGUCAUCUUAGGCUCCAAAAACACAGUUUAAGCCUAGAAACGUCAAUUUCCAACAACGCGCACUGCUCCUUCAUUUAAUCUCCAAAAAAUAACCGCUUGGUAGAAAUUGCUGAGAUUUUGACACGAACAAGCUAAGGAACAUACGAAAUCACUCCAAAAUUCGUCUGUUUGGUCAUGUUUUGCUCCAGAGGAAGUCAAAUUUCCUAUGUUGAAAAUAUAAAGCACAAUAUCAAAAUUCUAUCAAAAUAAUUAUCAAAUUAUACUAAGAAUAGGGUGAAACAUAUAAUAUAAUUUUGACUCAUCAAUAGACCUUGUGAAUAUAAAAUAGAUUUACCAUGUUAUUUCUCAUAAUCCAAGUAGGAAAUUAUUUAGAGUUCCUUGUUUAAAUUUGUGAAAUGAUAUGUUACUACAUUCAUUGAUUAACAUAAUUAAAUGCUAAGAUCAUGUAUCUUUGAUUCAUGAAUUGAUUGAUUGAUGGGAUUGCGGAAUGACCUUGGUUAUGGUUGUUAUUAUUAUGAUUAUUUUAGUUGAUCAAUGUGGCUUGAGAAUAAUAUGUGCUUCGUUGGUUAUUAGAUAUGUUACAUGCUGUGGAUGGAACUAUCAUGCUGAAAACAUGGAAUUUAUAUGAUGGAUGGAAUGAGAAUCUUGAAUGGCAUGUUGGUUUGUUUUGUAGCCUAAACUUGGUAAUGUCAUGCAUGUCAAGUUCUAAUAAUUGAUUACAGAAUGUUAUGUAUUCCUGUUAGAACGCACUAGAAUAAAUGUCUAAAUUAGUGAACGACGAACUAUGAAUGACUUGAUCCCUAAUGAGGGUAUGUAGGCAGUCUAAUGAGGAGGUUAGAUGCAGCCAUAAAGUAUACGAAAAAUUACUAUGCGAUUCGAUUCUCGAGUUGUGAUUUGCCAUAUCCCGGAGGUGGGGUAUGUUGAGAUACGGGUAUUUGGUGAAGUCAUGUGUUGAUUCUGAAUGUAUGUCGGGAUCGAAGCAUGACAUGAACGAAUAAAUUUUCCUCGACUUGGAAAGGGAUUGUGACUUUAACACGCUAUUUUUCUUCAUCUUAUGCAUCAUGUUUAUCAAAAGACAAAUAAUAUGACUUCACAUAAGGAGAGAAUAAGAGUAUUUUCCUUUGUAAAAAUCAACUUUUGUUUAAGAAGAUGUGGAUGCUGAUUGAUGCACCAUGUGAAUACGAAGAACGACCUUGGAGGGAGAUGAGAUAUUCAUUAGAAGCUAGCGAAAAAAAAAAAGUUAAUAAUGAUUUAGUCAAAAAGCAAGAAAGCCUCAUUUUCUAAGUGGUAGUCAUUAACACGAUACUUGAUAAGGAGAAAAGUCAUAGUAUUUUAUUUUACUGGGAACGAGGGUGCAAGGUCUCAAUUGGAAUAUGAGAUGAAGUUUCUACAUAACUAUAUAUGACAAAGAAAGAAGUCUAAGUUUGUAGGUGGUAGGGCUUUUAAUUGAUGUGAGUUUGUUGAGAAAUGAAGAUGAGCAUGAAUACUGACAUCGAUGCGAGUUAGUGAACACGAUGCUUCUCCUUUGGCCUUUUAAUAUGAUAAUACCGGAAAACAAGUUGUUACUAAUAUAUGUAUAUCUGAUUGGUGGACUAAGAUGUACAGUACGAUUUUUGAUAGAGUAAUGUUAUGGAAACUAAAUUUGUAGACUAGAUUUUGAAAACUAAAUGACAUGGAAUCCUUACUUAUGUGCUCAUUUCCGAUUAGUGACACAUCAUUUAGUUUGUAAAUUUAGUCUACAAAUUUAGUCUCCUUAACAUUACUUUUUUUGAUAACUAGCGAAGAUGAACACUCUCAUGACAAAAUUUAUCUAAAUAGACCUAAAGGCAAGACUUACGAACUUCAUAUGCAGUGGGAUAAAAUCUUAAACUAAUUUCCAUUUUUAUUUUGUAGUUGAUAGGGAUUUUACCACCUCCAAAGGUAGAGAUAAAAACACUUAAAAAUACUUGCAAGAGUACAAGGUUAUCGUAGUAUAGCAGCUCAAGCAAGGUCGUUCUCCACAGAGAUUGAAUGAAUAAUUUAUGUAAAUAUCAAAUCUUAAUUAAUUAUUUGAAAACAAAGUUUGGAAAAAGGUGAUUUUAUGACCUAAAAUAGUAAAAAUGAAUUUAAUUAAAAAUAAUUAAAUAAAUUGGCAAAGUAAAGAGAAUAAAAGAAAAUAGUUUUGAAAAUAAAUUUGAGCACUAUAGGCCGUUCUGCCAUCACCUUAACAAUUUUACGUAGUUCUUCCAAUUACUUAUGAAUUACGUAGUUCUUCAAGGUUGUAUAUAAUAUAACUACCUAUAUAAUCUUAGCCCGAGACAUGUAUAUAUAUAUAUAUAUAUAUAUAUAUAUAUAUAUAUAUAUAUAUAUAUAUAUAUAUAUAUAUACAUGUCCUGAGAAAUAUGAACAAUUAAAGGGUUUUCUAUUCAAAUUUACAUGGGUUUUGUUUGCAGCCUCGGAUCAUACAUGUGCAUUUAAUUUGGUUUUGUUUUCAGUUUCAAGAGACCCUGACAUUUUUCCUUUUAUGGGCCUUUUCUUUGCAGACUCGGACGCCCUUUGUGCUCAAGGUAGGGGCGGAGCCACCAAGGGACUAGGAUAGUCCCUGGCCCAUCCUGACUUCAUCUGAGGCAUGAACCUCAUGGAAGAAGAUGAAGCAAAUGACGUCGUUAAACUGUUUUGAUUUUAAAUCUUUUCGGCUGUCUAAUGCAACGAUAAGUUUGGCAGGGGAGUUUUAAAAGAGAUGUGCAAUUUUAAAUGGAAAAAGCAACCCCACUUCUGGUUCGAUUCUCUCACCUAACAGUAAUAUACACCCUAUAAUUUUCUAAAGCAACCCACCUUCUUUAUUUGCAGACCUCUCCCCCUUUUCCUUCUUUUUCUACUUCUUUGUAUUUUCUUUAGCCUUCCACAACCUACCUCUUACUUGGUUGUUUGGGUUUUUACAUUUUUUUCUUCUUAGUAUUGAAUUUAAGAGAAUUUUUUCAAUUUUAUGAGGAUUACACAAAUUGCAUAUGUCAACAUGUUAUGAAUUCAACUUUUUACACACACUUAUAUAUAUAUAUAUAUAUAUAUAUAUAUAUAUAUAUACACACACAUAUUUGUGAAAUACCCCUCCUCAUUCAGAAUUUUGGCUCCGCCACUGGCUCAAGGAAAACAAUUUCAACUUUUUACUUCUAAAGUGUUGCUCUUAUUUAGCAGCAGGUAUUCCGUUGUAUACAAUAAUAUGUUUUGUGUUAUGCUAGGAACCCUGUUUCCUUCUUUUGUCUCUCUGUGCACUCAAAAAACAAGCCACCCUAAUUCAAGCUUUCUACCUUCAGAUUUCCACAUUUUGACUUGCUUUUUUUUUUCUUUGUUUUGUUUAAAGAACUUAGUACUUUUGAUUUCAGUAGCAAAAUAAUUUGAACAGGAUGAGACAGAGAGAAAUAAAGCAUCUAUUUGAUCUCUGUACUUUCUCUUAUUCUUAUGUGUCGUUAAGGUCGCAUAUCUGAAUUUUAACCUAUCAUCAUGUAAGUAUUAUAGUGUGUUUGGGAAGCGGGAGUGUGUGAAAUGUGUUGGUGCUGAUGAUAGUGUCGAAUUUUAUGUGUCGUUAAGGUCGCAUAUCUGAAUUUUAACCUAUCAUCAUGUAAGUAUUAUAAUGUGUUUGGGAAGCGGGAGUGUGUGAAAUGUGUUGGUACUGAUGAUAGUGUCGAAUUUGGGGACACUUCCAGCUAGCAGAGUAGGUAACAGAGAGCUUUUUCCAACUCAAAUUUAAUGAUUCAAGCUGCUUAAGACUUGCCUAACAUUUCCAAGUUGGGGGGGGGUAGGAAUUUAUGGGUUUGAAUUUUUGUCAAGUAUGUGAUUCUUGCAAAAGAGUUGUAAAUUUGUGUAAGUAGAGUUGUAAACCCUACCAUUGAACACUUAAUAUAGUUGUACACUUAUAUACAAUUUUUUACAUGCUUGGUACGGUUUUAAACACCCACAACAUCACGCAGGCACACUUUUGCUAGUAUUUUACUAAACUAGUGCACUCAAAUGUCCGUAGCUAAAUAUAUUAUAAUGAAUUAGUGGAAUAUAAGAAAAUAUGGAAAAACAUAAGUGUACCAAAAAGUCCAUACCUAAACAUGGUAUACUAAAUUAGUGUACCAUUAUAUCUGUACCUAAAUAUAUUAUACUAAACUAGUAUACCGAAAUAUUCAUACCUAAACAUAUUAUAUUAAACUAGUGUACUGAGAUGUCUGUACCUAAAUACAUUUUAAUAAAUUAAUGGCACAUAAGAAAAUAUGCAAAAACAUAGGUGUGCCGAAAAGCCUCUACCAGAAUAUUUUCUUAUAUAAGAUACUUACAAUAAAUUGGUGAUGCAAAAUGUCAACUGUUUGUACCAUACUUGACCAAUCCCGAAACUACUGAGCACCGGUCAACGUUAUACCGUCAAGGACCCAGAAGAGCUUCCCUUCAACCAGGAGGCCAAUCACAAUGCGACACGUGUCGACAUCAGAAGCCAAUCACAGCUCGACACGUGUCAACAUCAGAAGCCAAUUACAACACGACACGUGUCAAUGUUAGAACAAAACUAGAAACUCUCUUCUAUAAAUAGGGAUCAUUCUCCCACAAUAAUCUCUAAUGUCAUUUUGUACUAAACUAUUCACUAGAACUCACAAAAUGAGAGCUUGAACCUAUGUAUUUGUGUAAACCCUUCACAAUUAAUGAGAACUCCUCUACUCCGUGGACAUAGCCGAUCUGGGUGAACCACGUACAUCUUGUGUUUGCUUCCCUGUCCCUAUUCAUUUACGUACUUAUCUUCACUAGUGAUCGAAGCAACCAAGCGAAGGUCACAAACCUGACACUUUCUGUUGUACCAAAGUCCUCGCUGAUUUUGUGCAUCAACAUUUGGCGCCGUCUGUGGGAAACGACACUUAUUCCCACUCUCUUCAGCUUUGUCAAGCUGGUUUCCACUGCUCGUACACUCUCUUUUGGCCAAGCAUCUCUCUCCGACAUGGGGAGCGAAAGAAGCCAUAGCACACAGAAUGACACCCCCAUUGGACCUAGUAUGAAGCAACGAAAGCAGGAAGGAAAUAGAGUUACUCUUCAAGCUAAAGUUGAUGAGUUAGAAGCUCAGAACAACAAGAUAGUGAUGAGGAACGAGGUUCUCCAGGAGCAGUAUGAAAAACGUUUUGAGAUGCUUCACGAGGCUAGGCAUGCUCAAGCACACAAGCUUGUCGCCCCUGCUGAGGUCAACAAUCAUCUGAAUGCCCCCCAACACGAAGGGUCACCGAUAUCCAACACGGACAUCCCUGAUAAGGAUCGAGCUACACAUCAAUGUGAUAAUCAACAUGAGACUUCUCUCAACCCAGCUGCUUCAACCCGAAGCAGAAGGAGUAGAGGAAAGCACCUCCUCACAAAAGGAGUGGAAGGAUCAAAAGCCGUCUAUCGCGAUUGUCGAGACUUCCUAAAGCAACGUCGAGAGAAUCCCAUCCACAUAAGCUCGAAGAUCAAUGACCCAAGAGUUUCUGAAAGACUCGGUCCUCUCCCACGACCCAGGCCAGCAGUUAAUCUAGGGAAUGGGCAACAAGUCCCAGAAGAACAUGAAGGUACAGGGGACUCGGAAAUGUUCCGACAUACUCACUCUAGGAGUCAGUGUGAUGAGUCCAAGGAAAAAUCACGUUAUCUUGAUCAAACUUUCCUACUUACAAGAGGCGAUGGGGACUUACGGAAGAAACCUUCAGUGGUGCACGACUCCACUCAGGACCCCCUUGUCCUACAGCUCCUGGAGGAAGUAAACAAGUUGAAGGCUGAACGUCAAGCCGAGAUACCUGACUGGAACCAACCCAGGCCUGGGCCCCUCACAAGAAGGAUCCUCAACACCCCCCUCCAAGCAAAGACAAAGCAGAAGCUUGGCUUACAACUCUAUACUGGAAAGGAAGACCCGAUUGAACACCUUAACCUCUUUGAGUCCACCAUGGUAUACCGGAGACACACCGACGAAGAACGGUGCCUUCUCUUCCCCUCCACCCUCUCUGGCUGAGCUUUAAAUUGGUAUUGCCGUCUUCCGCCUGAGACAGUAGACUCAUUUGAAGAGUUGAGGAAGCUGUUUGUCUCUCAACACAUCUUCCAGACCGAUCGCUUGCAUUCCGCAGAUGACUUGUACACUAUUCGCCAGAAGCCAGAUGAGUCAUUACGAAAGUAUGCUGGCCGCUUCAGCCAUGAGUAUUCUCGUUGCGCUGAGGCAGAUGACAAGACUGCCCUCAAGGCCUUCACGACAGGCUUACGUGACUGUUUCUUCAAGUACAUGAUCAAUGCCAACACUUGGAAGACUUACUCUGAGGUGAUGACACAAGCUUACAACCAUGCCUCAGCCGAGGCAAGGACAUAUCAAGGGAAACCCCUUACAGUAACCCCUUAUCAGCAAGUAGGGAGUGGAGGCCAGAUCCAACCAAAUGAGAAGACCUCAACCUUCCAAACGGUAGCAGCACACCCCCUGCCUCAUUUAAUGCUUCGCCAAGUCAGCAGACAUAUCAAUCCCAGGGCAAAAGGAAAGAUUUCCAUCCUCACCAAUCUCAUUUUAAUAAAAAGAAUAAGGGGCACUAUCGCGAUAACUCAGGAUAUCGUCACAAUAACGCCCGUCCCCAAGCAGUCAAUGCAGUGGGCCAAUCACGUGUCAAGACAGGCCCUACCCUCGGUAUGAGACAUACACACCUUUGAACGCUACAUGCGCGGCCAUCUACCCCAGUAUAGCUCAUUUGAUACCAAAGCCAAAGCCAAGACAGCCAGAUUACAAGUCCACGAAAAACACGGGCAUGUUUUGCUGCUACCACGAGUAUAAUGGCCAUGAUGGCGAGAAGUGCGUCAUCCUCCGUGAUCAUAUUGAAGCUUUGGCACGUGAAGGAAAAAUUGAUCAGUUCCUCCUUCACCCUCCAAAGGAUAACCGUAACCAACGCCAGGUGAAUGUGAUAUAUUCUAUAAGCGGCGGCAUACCUAUGUCUGAAUCUUCCAAUAGGGCCAUGAAAAACAGUGAACAAACUUUGAGACCUGGCCAUCAAGUGUUUCACGUGGAAGACAUCAGGGGAGGCAAGUAUCAAAAGCCUAACUGGGAUCCAAUAUGUUUCUACCCUGAGGAAGAAAGAGGUAUCAUCUACCCUCACAACGACCCGCUGAUCGUGGAGGCUCACAUAGCAAAUUUUGAUGUGAAACGAAUCCUGAUAGACACAGGUGCUUCAGUCAAUAUCAUGUUUGCUGAAGCUUUCAAGGCACUUAAUGUAGCUGAACACUUGCUCGAUCGCUCGAUUUCUCCUCUGAUAAGCUUCUCUGGCGAUAUCGUGCAACCUUUAGGGAGUAUACACUUACCCUUCACCAUUGGUACAGGCCCCUACACAGCUAUUAUUACCACUAACUUCCUAGUGGUCAAUUGCCCGACGGCAUACAAUGUCAUCUUUGGGCGCACAGGCAUCAAUGAUCUCAAGGCCAUGGUAUCCAUACAUAUGUUGUUGAUGAAGUUUCCAACCCCUUUCGGCAAUGGAUACAUCAGGGGAGAUCAACUUAGUGCUCGAUCAUGUUACAACACUUCAGUUAAGCAACAACACCUGCCUGUCCCCAAGGAGACCCUCUCUAUACAUAACCAGGUAGUAAAGACCAGUCCAGAUGAAGCCAACUUGAAUCUUCAUGAUGGCAACAGUCAACCCGACGACCCUCGAGAUGACUCAUUCACCCAGCAAGCACAACCCGCUGAAGAGUUAGAGAAUGUCUCUAUCUCCAAAGACCAUCCAAAUCGCAUGGUGAAGAUUGGCACCACUUUGUCACCACCCCUUCGGUUGUCGCUGAUCUCUUUUUUGUAAGAGAACACCGAGGUCUUCGCUUGGUCAUAUAAAGAUAUGCCGGGCAUCUCUCCCGAUAUCAUCUGUCACCACUUGAGUAUUGAUCUCAAGACCAAACCAGUAAAACAGAAGCGAAGAUCUUAUGAUGUUGAACGAUACGAGGCGAUGAAAGCAGAAGUGAAAAACUCAAGGACAUAGGCUUCGUCCGUGAAGUCAAUUACCCAACAUGGGUAGCAAAUGUUGUCCUUAUUAAGAAAAAUCCGACCAAGGAAAGUCUCUUGCUUCAGAAGGUCUUGUGGAGAAUGUGUGUCGACUACACCGACCUAAACAAAGGAUGCCCGAAGGAUAGUUUCCCCCUUCCUCUCAUUGAUAGACUUAUAGACUCUACGGCAGGGUGUGAGCUCUUGAGCUUCAUGGACGCUUAUUCAGGAUACAACCAAAUCCUCAUGAACCCCUCAGACCAAGAACACACAGCCUUCACUACUGACAGGGGACUAUAUUGCUACAAAGUCAUGCCUUUCGGCCUAAAGAAUGCAGGAGCAACUUAUCAGAGACUGGUCAAUUCAAUGUUCGCCGAACAGAUUGGGAAGAGCAUGGAAGUUUACGUUGAUGAUAUGUUAGUCAAGAGCAAACAUGCUGACCAACACAUCACCAACCUAUCUGAAACUUUCACCAUUCUAAAGAGGUAUCGAAUGAGGUUGAACCCCAACAAAUGUGCCUUCGGCGUGGGCUCUGGCAAAUUCUUAAGCUUCAUGAUUAGCCAACGAGGCAUUGAAGCUAACCCCGAAAAGAUCAAAGCAAUCCUCGACAUGAAAGAGCCAGUAACUUCAAAAGACAUCCAAAGCCUUACUGGCAAGGUGGCAGCCUUAACCAGAUUCAUCUCUAAGGCCACAGACAGAUGUGCUCCUUUCUUCAAAACAUUCAAGGGAAAUAAGAAAUACAUUACAUGGACGGAGGAAUGUGCCAAGGCAUUCAGGAACCUCAAAGAGUACAUGAGUAAAGCCCAUCUGCUCUCCAAACCAGAAGUUGGUGAUACUCUCAUUAUCUAUCUAUCAGUUUCGGCUUCAGCAGUCAGUUCUGUUCUUAUUCGAAAGGACAGUGGUGUCGAACGGCCCGUCUACUAUGCUAGCAAGGCCCUACAAGAUGCGGAGACACGAUACUCCAACAUUGAGAAAUUAGCUCUAGCAUUGGUCAUGUCUGCUCGAAAACUUUGCCCUUAUUUCCAAGCACACGCCAUCAUCGUGCUUACCAAUCACCCUCUUCGACAGAUACUCCAGAGUCCUGACACGUCUGGGUGAAUGAUUAAAUGGGCGAUAGCAUUGGGUGAGUUUGACAUCUCCUACCAACCAAAACCAGCCGAAAAAGGGCAAGCAGUAGCAGAUUUCAUCGCCGACUUCACAUAUCCUGUUGACAUUGCUUCUACACCUGAAGCAGUAGCUUCAUUACCAUCGGAAACUCAGAAGAUAGAAUCAACAACCCCAUCAUGGAGUCUGUAUGUUGAUGGCUCAUCCAACCAACAGGGCUGCGGAGCAGGAUUAGUCCUCACUACCCCGGACAAAGUGGCGAUAGAAUACGCUUUUCGUUUCAAAUUCAAGGCAUCGAACAAUGAGGCCGAAUACGAAGCCCUUCUAGCAGGCUUACGUUUGGCCAAGCACCUUGGGGUUAAACAAAUUGAUAUCUUCAGUGACUCCCAAUUAGUGGUCAACCAAGUCACGAACAACUUUGAUGCUAAGGAUAGCUCCAUGGCAGCAUAUCUUGCGCAAACACGACUUUUGCUCAAGCACUUCCACUACCAGAUCACCCAAGUUCCUCGAGCGGCAAACAGUCAUGCAGACGCUUUAGCUCGCCUCGCCUCGGCAGUGGAAGACAAGAUUGGGAGAAAAAUUCAUGUCGAAUUGUUGGCAGCACCAAGCACCAUGGUCGCGGAGGUGUGCAAUUUACAACAAUGAGAUAGUUGGAUCACCCCAAUUUAUAAAUUCCUUGCCCAUGGCACCCUUCCAAAUGACAAAGUCCAAGCUAAGCAGAUUCGAUACAAGUCUGCCCGCUACCUGAUCAUUAAUGACUAACUCUACAAGCGCGGUUUUACCCUGCCAUACCUAAGAUGCCUUACACCUGCGGAGGCGGAAAUUGUCCUUCGGGAAAUACAUGAAGGAGUCUGCGGAGAUCAUGCUGGGUCUCGGUCCCUAGCACACAAGACUUUUCGCCAAGGAUACUAUUGGCCAACACUCCACCAAGAUGCCAUCAGAAUAUCUCGCUCAUGUGAUAAGUGUCAACGCUACACAACUAUCCCUCACUCCCCUCCCGAGCCGCUUACUCCUAUGAUCAACCCUUGGCCCUUCGCCCAAUGGGGACUUGAUUUGAUCGGCCCAAUGCCUGUAGGGAAGGGCAAAGUCCGCUAUGCAAUCGUUGCAGUUGACUACUUCACAAAGUGGGCUGAAGUAGAACCCUUGGCAACCAUUACUGAGGGAAAAAUAGAAGACUUCGUAUGGAAGAACAUCCUCUGCAGAUUCGGCAUUCCCAAUGCGAUAGUCACGGACAAUGGGCGGCAGUUCGACAACAAGAAGUUCAAGAUGUUUUGCUCUAAGUUCAACAUCAACUUAUGUUUUGCCUCUCCAGCCCAUCCCCAGUCUAAUGGACAAGUCGAGGCCGUUAACAAAAUAAUCAAGCGCAUUCUGAAAACUAGCUUGGACAAAGCUAAAGGUUGUUGGCCAGAAUUCGUACCCCAAGUUCUUUGGUCAUACCGCACUUCAUAUCGGACUUCCACAGGAGAAACUCCAUUCUCACUUGCUUUUGGUACAGAAGCAGUUGUCCUGGUUGAGCUUGAGCAAGCAACAUACCGAAUCCAGAAUUACAUGCAGAGUGAGAACGACAAACAACUCACCCUCAACCUGGAUCUAGUCGAGGAACACAGAAAUCAGGCUCACCUGAGGAAUGUCGCCUACAAGCAGCGCAUUUCCAACUACUACGACUCAAGGGUCAAACCUCGCUCUUUCAAAGUGGGAGACUGGGUACUGAAGAAAAGAUUACUAUGUGAUAGGGUCCCGAGUGAAGGAACACUCAGUCCUAACUGGGACGGACCGUUCGAGGUCGUCGGCAUCAGCCGCCCUGGCUCCUACAAGCUCAGAAACUCCGACUGCAAGACCCUUGGCCAUCCAUGGAAUGCUGACCACUUGAAGUAUUAUUACAAAUAGACUCACAUUGUACAAGUGUUAAGCUACAUCCGUUCGGCAUCCUAUGUAACAAAGACCAUUUGGUAUGAAUUCAAUAAAGAGGUGAUUUAGCCAACUCGGCCCUAAACUCUUUUACAUUCUGAGCAAUGAAACACUCAAGUGUUGAAGCUUCAACGCAAAUGUUUCCAAUACAAAAUCAAAUCUAAGUAUGUGUCAACAAGACUAUACAAAGGAUCUAUGCAAACAUAGUCAAACAUUCAUCAAUGAUAGGGCAAACACUUGAAGCUUGAUAAUGCAAACACUUGAAGCUUGACAAUACAAACACUUGCUUGAUAAUGCAAACACUCAUAAACAUACAAAACAAAAAAAACUCUCAGGCUUAUAACAUGGCACAUGCCAUACAAACAACAAACUAGUGUAGGUAGAGUACAUGCAGAAAGUGAAAGCACUUCUAGUCAUCCUCAUCUGAGGUUGAACCCCUGAUCAUAUCACUAUGAGUCCUACCGCCAUUUUCUGCAUUUCCAAACUCAUCAUCACCCUGAUGACUCUGCUCAUCAGCACUAGCCUCAUCACCAGACUCAUCUGCACUGCUAGAAUAAACGGCAAGGUUGAAGGUUUCACCUUUUCGAUGAUGCUCAUCUAUUUCUUCACGAUAUUUUCGAAGAACGCUUCCAUCAUCAUAACGAUCAAGGACAGCCAUCCAUUUCCUUUUUUCAAAGUGAACUUCCCGGGUACAGCGAGGUCUAAGGACAUGGAGAAAGGCCGGGGAACCCAAGAACUCCUUCACAGCAGCUUCCUUCUCAGUCGGGAUACUACUCUUCAGCUCAGAAACCUCAACCAAGGCACUAUCCAACUCCCCUUUAACCUUGGAAACCUCGAGCAAAGUUGUCUCCAACUGUUUCUUAGUCGCCUCCAACUGUACUUUGAGUCUCAAGUUCUCACCAUUCCGCCUCUUCAAACUCUCAAAAUGUUGAUCCCUGACUUCAAUGGCCUUAGCCAAAGCUUUGCUCGUCUUCCUGGCAUCAUUCACAAGCUGCUUAUUCUCUUUCAGUUUCACCUUGCACCGCUCAGCCUCUCGCAGUCUGUCGUGAUACUCAGUCAUGACCUGCAUGACAAGACGAUCAUCGCUACCAAAAUAAUGCUAAUAAAGAGGAGAAAACAAGGAAAUGACAAAGUAACACUCACAUAUGAAGACAGCUUCAACAUCCGGUCACAAUCCGAUUCAUCUUUAGCUAAAGGCUCUCCGAGCUCAUCGAAAGUGAAUCGACGCCCUGCCAGGCAAUUGUUGAUAUACCCAAAGUCCUUUGGUCGCAUGGCAACCUUCAAAUCCUUCCAAGGGACACUGCCAACCUCUUCUUUAUCUUUACCCUUGCUGCUAGAACUAGGAUCACCUUUCUGCCCAAUGUGCUCCCUAACUGGAGGAAAGAUAGGAUUGAUAGUAGGAAGAUGAGGCAACAAUCGCCUAUCUUCCCCGGCAACUAUGGCAGCAGCACAUCCAAUGGCCUCAGCUUCAGCUUUCUUCGAGGCAGCAACCUUGAGGACUUCUUCUCGAGACUUAGUUUUAAUGAUUGGUCUCACUCGGUGCUUGCGAGCUUCCUUGUGAAACAGGAUGUCUUCUGAAGGAACUAACAUGGGCAUUCUCCUUUUCUUGGUGCUAGUCUCCACUUUCUUGCCCACCUUCUCCACUGAACAAGGAAAAUCAAAGUAAGGAAUACCACAUUAUAUAUCUAUAUAAAAAAAAAAAGGGAAGAACAAGGAUCAAGUGAGGAUACAACUUACUCGCUCGUCUCUGGCACUCGGAAACUAAGGGCUGGAAACCGUACUUUCGAAACAAGGGUCGUAGCUUACCCAAGUGUCUAUCUUCUUUAGGCACCCUCAGCACUUUCUCUACAUCAGCUAGCUCCUGUCCGGAGAGUUUGAUGGUGCCUCGUGUCACUGCAUGAAGAAAAAUCUUAGAAGCAAGAGAAAAUCACAACAAUAGCAAAUAAUGAGAAAAUGGAUACAUUACAACCUACAGUCUGGAAGUGAGUAGGAACACGUCGCUCAGGCGUGACACCCUUAGCAUGCUCCCAAUCAUUAUAAAGAAAGCACCAACGUUUCUUCCAUGUGCAGUACGCCUUUCUCUUAUCAAAGACAACACGCUCUCUCUCACUCCGACAUGCACAUUCAGCAUAACCAGUACAUGCUUUCACCGGGCGCAUCUUAUAACAGUAGCGCCACUGAUGGAAGGAAGGUUCACCUAAUCCACACUCCAUCCAUAUAAUAUAAAACCCGAUCAAGGUAUCCCAGAAACCGGGGUUGAGUUGCCCCGGUGCAUAACCAAUAAAAGACAGCAUCCGUUGCAACCACGGAUGCAAAGGUAAAUUUACCCCCAAGGUCACUAAUGUCUGGGUAUAGAACAUAACAUGACCCGUGGGCGGCUCAGAAGGCAAUUCUUCACAACGCACCAAACGUAUUCCUACACUACGGGGGAUACUACAUGAUCGCCUUAGGGCCUCAAGCUGCUUUUCGAUAUCUAACAAGUUAUUUUCUAAAUGGUCCGCUGUGAACUCAGAGCGAAAUAUGGGUAUGGCGUCACAAACAACCCCCUCACCCACUAGCAUGGAGGAAGAACCAAUAUUGGCUAAGGUUUGACAAUUGUGAGGAUCAGAACGAAAUAUGGGUAUGGCGUCACAAACAAACCCCCUCACCCACUAGCAUGGAGGAAGAACCAAUAUUGGCUAAGGCUUGACAAUUAUGAGGAUCAUCCAACGUUUCUUUCAUACCAGACUCUAACAAAGGCCAUGAAGACCCUGACAUGGCAGGCUCAAACCUAGAGCUAGAGCUAGGGGAGCCCUCAUCACUAAGACUUCCAGACUCCGACAUCUACAAACAAACAGAAACAAACUCUAUCACUACAUGAAGGAUCAAAACAUAAGGAAGCUCAUAGGGCAUGCAGAAAAGCUCAACCAGUUCCUUAUGUUCUUAACAGAAUACAUGAACACUCAAACAAUNNNNNNNNNNNNNNNNNNNNNNNNNNNNNNNNNNNNNNNNNNNNNNNNNNNNNNNNNNNNNNNNNNNNNNNNNNNNNNNNNNNNNNNNNNNNNNNNNNNNNNNNNNNNNNNNNNNNNNNNNNNNNNNNNNNNNNNNNNNNNNNNNNNNNNNNNNNNNNNNNNNNNNNNNNNNNNNNNNNNNNNNNNNNNNNNNNNNNNNNNNNNNNNNNNNNNNNNNNNNNNNNNNNNNNNNNNNNNNNNNNNNNNNNNNNNNNNNNNNNNNNNNNNNNNNNNNNNNNNNNNNNNNNNNNNNNNNNNNNNNNNNNNNNNNNNNNNNNNNNNNNNNNNNNNNNNNNNNNNNNNNNNNNNNNNNNNNNNNNNNNNNNNNNNNNNNNNNNNNNNNNNNNNNNNNNNNNNNNNNNNNNNNNNNNNNNNNNNNNNNNNNNNNNNNNNNNNNNNNNNNNNNNNNNNNNNNNNNNNNNNNNNNNNNNNNNNNNNNNNNNNNNNNNNNNNNNNNNNNNNNNNNNNNNNNNNNNNNNNNNNNNNNNNNNNNNNNNNNNNNNNNNNNNNNNNNNNNNNNNNNNNNNNNNNNNNNNNNNNNNNNNNNNNNNNNNNNNNNNNNNNNNNNNNNNNNNNNNNNNNNNNNNNNNNNNNNNNNNNNNNNNNNNNNNNNNNNNNNNNNNNNNNNNNNNNNNNNNNNNNNNNNNNNNNNNNNNNNNNNNNNNNNNNNNNNNNNNNNNNNNNNNNNNNNNNNNNNNNNNNNNNNNNNNNNNNNNNNNNNNNNNNNNNNNNNNNNNNNNNNNNNNNNNNNNNNNNNNNNNNNNNNNNNNNNNNNNNNNNNNNNNNNNNNNNNNNNNNNNNNNNNNNNNNNNNNNNNNNNNNNNNNNNNNNNNNNNNNNNNNNNNNNNNNNNNNNNNNNNNNNNNNNNNNNNNNNNNNNNNNNNNNNNNNNNNNNNNNNNNNNNNNNNNNNNNNNNNNNNNNNNNNNNNNNNNNNNNNNNNNNNNNNNNNNNNNNNNNNNNNNNNNNNNNNNNNNNNNNNNNNNNNNNNNNNNNNNNNNNNNNNNNNNNNNNNNNNNNNNNNNNNNNNNNNNNNNNNNNNNNNNNNNNNNNNNNNNNNNNNNNNNNNNNNNNNNNNNNNNNNNNNNNNNNNNNNNNNNNNNNNNNNNNNNNNNNNNNNNNNNNNNNNNNNNNNNNNNNNNNNNNNNNNNNNNNNNNNNNNNNNNNNNNNNNNNNNNNNNNNNNNNNNNNNNNNNNNNNNNNNNNNNNNNNNNNNNNNNNNNNNNNNNNNNNNNNNNNNNNNNNNNNNNNNNNNNNNNNNNNNNNNNNNNNNNNNNNNNNNNNNNNNNNNNNNNNNNNNNNNNNNNNNNNNNNNNNNNNNNNNNNNNNNNNNNNNNNNNNNNNNNNNNNNNNNNNNNNNNNNNNNNNNNNNNNNNNNNNNNNNNNNNNNNNNNNNNNNNNNNNNNNNNNNNNNNNNNNNNNNNNNNNNNNNNNNNNNNNNNNNNNNNNNNNNNNNNNNNNNNNNNNNNNNNNNNNNNNNNNNNNNNNNNNNNNNNNNNNNNNNNNNNNNNNNNNNNNNNNNNNNNNNNNNNNNNNNNNNNNNNNNNNNNNNNNNNNNNNNNNNNNNNNNNNNNNNNNNNNNNNNNNNNNNNNNNNNNNNNNNNNNNNNNNNNNNNNNNNNNNNNNNNNNNNNNNNNNNNNNNNNNNNNNNNNNNNNNNNNNNNNNNNNNNNNNNNNNNNNNNNNNNNNNNNNNNNNNNNNNNNNNNNNNNNNNNNNNNNNNNNNNNNNNNNNNNNNNNNNNNNNNNNNNNNNNNNNNNNNNNNNNNNNNNNNNNNNNNNNNNNNNNNNNNNNNNNNNNNNNNNNNNNNNNNNNNNNNNNNNNNNNNNNNNNNNNNNNNNNNNNNNNNNNNNNNNNNNNNNNNNNNNNNNNNNNNNNNNNNNNNNNNNNNNNNNNNNNNNNNNNNNNNNNNNNNNNNNNNNNNNNNNNNNNNNNNNNNNNNNNNNNNNNNNNNNNNNNNNNNNNNNNNNNNNNNNNNNNNNNNNNNNNNNNNNNNNNNNNNNNNNNNNNNNNNNNNNNNNNNNNNNNNNNNNNNNNNNNNNNNNNNNNNNNNNNNNNNNNNNNNNNNNNNNNNNNNNNNNNNNNNNNNNNNNNNNNNNNNNNNNNNNNNNNNNNNNNNNNNNNNNNNNNNNNNNNNNNNNNNNNNNNNNNNNNNNNNNNNNNNNNNNNNNNNNNNNNNNNNNNNNNNNNNNNNNNNNNNNNNNNNNNNNNNNNNNNNNNNNNNNNNNNNNNNNNNNNNNNNNNNNNNNNNNNNNNNNNNNNNNNNNNNNNNNNNNNNNNNNNNNNNNNNNNNNNNNNNNNNNNNNNNNNNNNNNNNNNNNNNNNNNNNNNNNNNNNNNNNNNNNNNNNNNNNNNNNNNNNNNNNNNNNNNNNNNNNNNNNNNNNNNNNNNNNNNNNNNNNNNNNNNNNNNNNNNNNNNNNNNNNNNNNNNNNNNNNNNNNNNNNNNNNNNNNNNNNNNNNNNNNNNNNNNNNNNNNNNNNNNNNNNNNNNNNNNNNNNNNNNNNNNNNNNNNNNNNNNNNNNNNNNNNNNNNNNNNNNNNNNNNNNNNNNNNNNNNNNNNNNNNNNNNNNNNNNNNNNNNNNNNNNNNNNNNNNNNNNNNNNNNNNNNNNNNNNNNNNNNNNNNNNNNNNNNNNNNNNNNNNNNNNNNNNNNNNNNNNNNNNNNNNNNNNNNNNNNNNNNNNNNNNNNNNNNNNNNNNNNNNNNNNNNNNNNNNNNNNNNNNNNNNNNNNNNNNNNNNNNNNNNNNNNNNNNNNNNNNNNNNNNNNNNNNNNNNNNNNNNNNNNNNNNNNNNNNNNNNNNNNNNNNNNNNNNNNNNNNNNNNNNNNNNNNNNNNNNNNNNNNNNNNNNNNNNNNNNNNNNNNNNNNNNNNNNNNNNNNNNNNNNNNNNNNNNNNNNNNNNNNNNNNNNNNNNNNNNNNNNNNNNNNNNNNNNNNNNNNNNNNNNNNNNNNNNNNNNNNNNNNNNNNNNNNNNNNNNNNNNNNNNNNNNNNNNNNNNNNNNNNNNNNNNNNNNNNNNNNNNNNNNNNNNNNNNNNNNNNNNNNNNNNNNNNNNNNNNNNNNNNNNNNNNNNNNNNNNNNNNNNNNNNNNNNNNNNNNNNNNNNNNNNNNNNNNNNNNNNNNNNNNNNNNNNNNNNNNNNNNNNNNNNNNNNNNNNNNNNNNNNNNNNNNNNNNNNNNNNNNNNNNNNNNNNNNNNNNNNNNNNNNNNNNNNNNNNNNNNNNNNNNNNNNNNNNNNNNNNNNNNNNNNNNNNNNNNNNNNNNNNNNNNNNNNNNNNNNNNNNNNNNNNNNNNNNNNNNNNNNNNNNNNNNNNNNNNNNNNNNNNNNNNNNNNNNNNNNNNNNNNNNNNNNNNNNNNNNNNNNNNNNNNNNNNNNNNNNNNNNNNNNNNNNNNNNNNNNNNNNNNNNNNNNNNNNNNNNNNNNNNNNNNNNNNNNNNNNNNNNNNNNNNNNNNNNNNNNNNNNNNNNNNNNNNNNNNNNNNNNNNNNNNNNNNNNNNNNNNNNNNNNNNNNNNNNNNNNNNNNNNNNNNNNNNNNNNNNNNNNNNNNNNNNNNNNNNNNNNNNNNNNNNNNNNNNNNNNNNNNNNNNNNNNNNNNNNNNNNNNNNNNNNNNNNNNNNNNNNNNNNNNNNNNNNNNNNNNNNNNNNNNNNNNNNNNNNNNNNNNNNNNNNNNNNNNNNNNNNNNNNNNNNNNNNNNNNNNNNNNNNNNNNNNNNNNNNNNNNNNNNNNNNNNNNNNNNNNNNNNNNNNNNNNNNNNNNNNNNNNNNNNNNNNNNNNNNNNNNNNNNNNNNNNNNNNNNNNNNNNNNNNNNNNNNNNNNNNNNNNNNNNNNNNNNNNNNNNNNNNNNNNNNNNNNNNNNNNNNNNNNNNNNNNNNNNNNNNNNNNNNNNNNNNNNNNNNNNNNNNNNNNNNNNNNNNNNNNNNNNNNNNNNNNNNNNNNNNNNNNNNNNNNNNNNNNNNNNNNNNNNNNNNNNNNNNNNNNNNNNNNNNNNNNNNNNNNNNNNNNNNNNNNNNNNNNNNNNNNNNNNNNNNNNNNNNNNNNNNNNNNNNNNNNNNNNNNNNNNNNNNNNNNNNNNNNNNNNNNNNNNNNNNNNNNNNNNNNNNNNNNNNNNNNNNNNNNNNNNNNNNNNNNNNNNNNNNNNNNNNNNNNNNNNNNNNNNNNNNNNNNNNNNNNNNNNNNNNNNNNNNNNNNNNNNNNNNNNNNNNNNNNNNNNNNNNNNNNNNNNNNNNNNNNNNNNNNNNNNNNNNNNNNNNNNNNNNNNNNNNNNNNNNNNNNNNNNNNNNNNNNNNNNNNNNNNNNNNNNNNNNNNNNNNNNNNNNNNNNNNNNNNNNNNNNNNNNNNNNNNNNNNNNNNNNNNNNNNNNNNNNNNNNNNNNNNNNNNNNNNNNNNNNNNNNNNNNNNNNNNNNNNNNNNNNNNNNNNNNNNNNNNNNNNNNNNNNNNNNNNNNNNNNNNNNNNNNNNNNNNNNNNNNNNNNNNNNNNNNNNNNNNNNNNNNNNNNNNNNNNNNNNNNNNNNNNNNNNNNNNNNNNNNNNNNNNNNNNNNNNNNNNNNNNNNNNNNNNNNNNNNNNNNNNNNNNNNNNNNNNNNNNNNNNNNNNNNNNNNNNNNNNNNNNNNNNNNNNNNNNNNNNNNNNNNNNNNNNNNNNNNNNNNNNNNNNNNNNNNNNNNNNNNNNNNNNNNNNNNNNNNNNNNNNNNNNNNNNNNNNNNNNNNNNNNNNNNNNNNNNNNNNNNNNNNNNNNNNNNNNNNNNNNNNNNNNNNNNNNNNNNNNNNNNNNNNNNNNNNNNNNNNNNNNNNNNNNNNNNNNNNNNNNNNNNNNNNNNNNNNNNNNNNNNNNNNNNNNNNNNNNNNNNNNNNNNNNNNNNNNNNNNNNNNNNNNNNNNNNNNNNNNNNNNNNNNNNNNNNNNNNNNNNNNNNNNNNNNNNNNNNNNNNNNNNNNNNNNNNNNNNNNNNNNNNNNNNNNNNNNNNNNNNNNNNNNNNNNNNNNNNNNNNNNNNNNNNNNNNNNNNNNNNNNNNNNNNNNNNNNNNNNNNNNNNNNNNNNNNNNNNNNNNNNNNNNNNNNNNNNNNNNNNNNNNNNNNNNNNNNNNNNNNNNNNNNNNNNNNNNNNNNNNNNNNNNNNNNNNNNNNNNNNNNNNNNNNNNNNNNNNNNNNNNNNNNNNNNNNNNNNNNNNNNNNNNNNNNNNNNNNNNNNNNNNNNNNNNNNNNNNNNNNNNNNNNNNNNNNNNNNNNNNNNNNNNNNNNNNNNNNNNNNNNNNNNNNNNNNNNNNNNNNNNNNNNNNNNNNNNNNNNNNNNNNNNNNNNNNNNNNNNNNNNNNNNNNNNNNNNNNNNNNNNNNNNNNNNNNNNNNNNNNNNNNNNNNNNNNNNNNNNNNNNNNNNNNNNNNNNNNNNNNNNNNNNNNNNNNNNNNNNNNNNNNNNNNNNNNNNNNNNNNNNNNNNNNNNNNNNNNNNNNNNNNNNNNNNNNNNNNNNNNNNNNNNNNNNNNNNNNNNNNNNNNNNNNNNNNNNNNNNNNNNNNNNNNNNNNNNNNNNNNNNNNNNNNNNNNNNNNNNNNNNNNNNNNNNNNNNNNNNNNNNNNNNNNNNNNNNNNNNNNNNNNNNNNNNNNNNNNNNNNNNNNNNNNNNNNNNNNNNNNNNNNNNNNNNNNNNNNNNNNNNNNNNNNNNNNNNNNNNNNNNNNNNNNNNNNNNNNNNNNNNNNNNNNNNNNNNNNNNNNNNNNNNNNNNNNNNNNNNNNNNNNNNNNNNNNNNNNNNNNNNNNNNNNNNNNNNNNNNNNNNNNNNNNNNNNNNNNNNNNNNNNNNNNNNNNNNNNNNNNNNNNNNNNNNNNNNNNNNNNNNNNNNNNNNNNNNNNNNNNNNNNNNNNNNNNNNNNNNNNNNNNNNNNNNNNNNNNNNNNNNNNNNNNNNNNNNNNNNNNNNNNNNNNNNNNNNNNNNNNNNNNNNNNNNNNNNNNNNNNNNNNNNNNNNNNNNNNNNNNNNNNNNNNNNNNNNNNNNNNNNNNNNNNNNNNNNNNNNNNNNNNNNNNNNNNNNNNNNNNNNNNNNNNNNNNNNNNNNNNNNNNNNNNNNNNNNNNNNNNNNNNNNNNNNNNNNNNNNNNNNNNNNNNNNNNNNNNNNNNNNNNNNNNNNNNNNNNNNNNNNNNNNNNNNNNNNNNNNNNNNNNNNNNNNNNNNNNNNNNNNNNNNNNNNNNNNNNNNNNNNNNNNNNNNNNNNNNNNNNNNNNNNNNNNNNNNNNNNNNNNNNNNNNNNNNNNNNNNNNNNNNNNNNNNNNNNNNNNNNNNNNNNNNNNNNNNNNNNNNNNNNNNNNNNNNNNNNNNNNNNNNNNNNNNNNNNNNNNNNNNNNNNNNNNNNNNNNNNNNNNNNNNNNNNNNNNNNNNNNNNNNNNNNNNNNNNNNNNNNNNNNNNNNNNNNNNNNNNNNNNNNNNNNNNNNNNNNNNNNNNNNNNNNNNNNNNNNNNNNNNNNNNNNNNNNNNNNNNNNNNNNNNNNNNNNNNNNNNNNNNNNNNNNNNNNNNNNNNNNNNNNNNNNNNNNNNNNNNNNNNNNNNNNNNNNNNNNNNNNNNNNNNNNNNNNNNNNNNNNNNNNNNNNNNNNNNNNNNNNNNNNNNNNNNNNNNNNNNNNNNNNNNNNNNNNNNNNNNNNNNNNNNNNNNNNNNNNNNNNNNNNNNNNNNNNNNNNNNNNNNNNNNNNNNNNNNNNNNNNNNNNNNNNNNNNNNNNNNNNNNNNNNNNNNNNNNNNNNNNNNNNNNNNNNNNNNNNNNNNNNNNNNNNNNNNNNNNNNNNNNNNNNNNNNNNNNNNNNNNNNNNNNNNNNNNNNNNNNNNNNNNNNNNNNNNNNNNNNNNNNNNNNNNNNNNNNNNNNNNNNNNNNNNNNNNNNNNNNNNNNNNNNNNNNNNNNNNNNNNNNNNNNNNNNNNNNNNNNNNNNNNNNNNNNNNNNNNNNNNNNNNNNNNNNNNNNNNNNNNNNNNNNNNNNNNNNNNNNNNNNNNNNNNNNNNNNNNNNNNNNNNNNNNNNNNNNNNNNNNNNNNNNNNNNNNNNNNNNNNNNNNNNNNNNNNNNNNNNNNNNNNNNNNNNNNNNNNNNNNNNNNNNNNNNNNNNNNNNNNNNNNNNNNNNNNNNNNNNNNNNNNNNNNNNNNNNNNNNNNNNNNNNNNNNNNNNNNNNNNNNNNNNNNNNNNNNNNNNNNNNNNNNNNNNNNNNNNNNNNNNNNNNNNNNNNNNNNNNNNNNNNNNNNNNNNNNNNNNNNNNNNNNNNNNNNNNNNNNNNNNNNNNNNNNNNNNNNNNNNNNNNNNNNNNNNNNNNNNNNNNNNNNNNNNNNNNNNNNNNNNNNNNNNNNNNNNNNNNNGCUCUUCNNNNNNNNNNNNNNNNNNNNNNNNNNNNNNNNNNNNNNNNNNNNNNNNNNNNNNNNNNNNNNNNNNNNNNNNNNNNNNNNNNNNNNNNNNNNNNNNNNNNNNNNNNNNNNNNNNNNNNNNNNNNNNNNNNNNNNNNNNNNNNNNNNNNNNNNNNNNNNNNNNNNNNNNNNNNNNNNNNNNNNNNNNNNNNNNNNNNNNNNNNNNNNNNNNNNNNNNNNNNNNNNNNNNNNNNNNNNNNNNNNNNNNNNNNNNNNNNNNNNNNNNNNNNNNNNNNNNNNNNNNNNNNNNNNNNNNNNNNNNNNNNNNNNNNNNNNNNNNNNNNNNNNNNNNNNNNNNNNNNNNNNNNNNNNNNNNNNNNNNNNNNNNNNNNNNNNNNNNNNNNNNNNNNNNNNNNNNNNNNNNNNNNNNNNNNNNNNNNNNNNNNNNNNNNNNNNNNNNNNNNNNNNNNNNNNNNNNNNNNNNNNNNNNNNNNNNNNNNNNNNNNNNNNNNNNNNNNNNNNNNNNNNNNNNNNNNNNNNNNNNNNNNNNNNNNNNNNNNNNNNNNNNNNNNNNNNNNNNNNNNNNNNNNNNNNNNNNNNNNNNNNNNNNNNNNNNNNNNNNNNNNNNNNNNNNNNNNNNNNNNNNNNNNNNNNNNNNNNNNNNNNNNNNNNNNNNNNNNNNNNNNNNNNNNNNNNNNNNNNNNNNNNNNNNNNNNNNNNNNNNNNNNNNNNNNNNNNNNNNNNNNNNNNNNNNNNNNNNNNNNNNNNNNNNNNNNNNNNNNNNNNNNNNNNNNNNNNNNNNNNNNNNNNNNNNNNNNNNNNNNNNNNNNNNNNNNNNNNNNNNNNNNNNNNNNNNNNNNNNNNNNNNNNNNNNNNNNNNNNNNNNNNNNNNNNNNNNNNNNNNNNNNNNNNNNNNNNNNNNNNNNNNNNNNNNNNNNNNNNNNNNNNNNNNNNNNNNNNNNNNNNNNNNNNNNNNNNNNNNNNNNNNNNNNNNNNNNNNNNNNNNNNNNNNNNNNNNNNNNNNNNNNNNNNNNNNNNNNNNNNNNNNNNNNNNNNNNNNNNNNNNNNNNNNNNNNNNNNNNNNNNNNNNNNNNNNNNNNNNNNNNNNNNNNNNNNNNNNNNNNNNNNNNNNNNNNNNNNNNNNNNNNNNNNNNNNNNNNNNNNNNNNNNNNNNNNNNNNNNNNNNNNNNNNNNNNNNNNNNNNNNNNNNNNNNNNNNNNNNNNNNNNNNNNNNNNNNNNNNNNNNNNNNNNNNNNNNNNNNNNNNNNNNNNNNNNNNNNNNNNNNNNNNNNNNNNNNNNNNNNNNNNNNNNNNNNNNNNNNNNNNNNNNNNNNNNNNNNNNNNNNNNNNNNNNNNNNNNNNNNNNNNNNNNNNNNNNNNNNNNNNNNNNNNNNNNNNNNNNNNNNNNNNNNNNNNNNNNNNNNNNNNNNNNNNNNNNNNNNNNNNNNNNNNNNNNNNNNNNNNNNNNNNNNNNNNNNNNNNNNNNNNNNNNNNNNNNNNNNNNNNNNNNNNNNNNNNNNNNNNNNNNNNNNNNNNNNNNNNNNNNNNNNNNNNNNNNNNNNNNNNNNNNNNNNNNNNNNNNNNNNNNNNNNNNNNNNNNNNNNNNNNNNNNNNNNNNNNNNNNNNNNNNNNNNNNNNNNNNNNNNNNNNNNNNNNNNNNNNNNNNNNNNNNNNNNNNNNNNNNNNNNNNNNNNNNNNNNNNNNNNNNNNNNNNNNNNNNNNNNNNNNNNNNNNNNNNNNNNNNNNNNNNNNNNNNNNNNNNNNNNNNNNNNNNNNNNNNNNNNNNNNNNNNNNNNNNNNNNNNNNNNNNNNNNNNNNNNNNNNNNNNNNNNNNNNNNNNNNNNNNNNNNNNNNNNNNNNNNNNNNNNNNNNNNNNNNNNNNNNNNNNNNNNNNNNNNNNNNNNNNNNNNNNNNNNNNNNNNNNNNNNNNNNNNNNNNNNNNNNNNNNNNNNNNNNNNNNNNNNNNNNNNNNNNNNNNNNNNNNNNNNNNNNNNNNNNNNNNNNNNNNNNNNNNNNNNNNNNNNNNNNNNNNNNNNNNNNNNNNNNNNNNNNNNNNNNNNNNNNNNNNNNNNNNNNNNNNNNNNNNNNNNNNNNNNNNNNNNNNNNNNNNNNNNNNNNNNNNNNNNNNNNNNNNNNNNNNNNNNNNNNNNNNNNNNNNNNNNNNNNNNNNNNNNNNNNNNNNNNNNNNNNNNNNNNNNNNNNNNNNNNNNNNNNNNNNNNNNNNNNNNNNNNNNNNNNNNNNNNNNNNNNNNNNNNNNNNNNNNNNNNNNNNNNNNNNNNNNNNNNNNNNNNNNNNNNNNNNNNNNNNNNNNNNNNNNNNNNNNNNNNNNNNNNNNNNNNNNNNNNNNNNNNNNNNNNNNNNNNNNNNNNNNNNNNNNNNNNNNNNNNNNNNNNNNNNNNNNNNNNNNNNNNNNNNNNNNNNNNNNNNNNNNNNNNNNNNNNNNNNNNNNNNNNNNNNNNNNNNNNNNNNNNNNNNNNNNNNNNNNNNNNNNNNNNNNNNNNNNNNNNNNNNNNNNNNNNNNNNNNNNNNNNNNNNNNNNNNNNNNNNNNNNNNNNNNNNNNNNNNNNNNNNNNNNNNNNNNNNNNNNNNNNNNNNNNNNNNNNNNNNNNNNNNNNNNNNNNNNNNNNNNNNNNNNNNNNNNNNNNNNNNNNNNNNNNNNNNNNNNNNNNNNNNNNNNNNNNNNNNNNNNNNNNNNNNNNNNNNNNNNNNNNNNNNNNNNNNNNNNNNNNNNNNNNNNNNNNNNNNNNNNNNNNNNNNNNNNNNNNNNNNNNNNNNNNNNNNNNNNNNNNNNNNNNNNNNNNNNNNNNNNNNNNNNNNNNNNNNNNNNNNNNNNNNNNNNNNNNNNNNNNNNNNNNNNNNNNNNNNNNNNNNNNNNNNNNNNNNNNNNNNNNNNNNNNNNNNNNNNNNNNNNNNNNNNNNNNNNNNNNNNNNNNNNNNNNNNNNNNNNNNNNNNNNNNNNNNNNNNNNNNNNNNNNNNNNNNNNNNNNNNNNNNNNNNNNNNNNNNNNNNNNNNNNNNNNNNNNNNNNNNNNNNNNNNNNNNNNNNNNNNNNNNNNNNNNNNNNNNNNNNNNNNNNNNNNNNNNNNNNNNNNNNNNNNNNNNNNNNNNNNNNNNNNNNNNNNNNNNNNNNNNNNNNNNNNNNNNNNNNNNNNNNNNNNNNNNNNNNNNNNNNNNNNNNNNNNNNNNNNNNNNNNNNNNNNNNNNNNNNNNNNNNNNNNNNNNNNNNNNNNNNNNNNNNNNNNNNNNNNNNNNNNNNNNNNNNNNNNNNNNNNNNNNNNNNNNNNNNNNNNNNNNNNNNNNNNNNNNNNNNNNNNNNNNNNNNNNNNNNNNNNNNNNNNNNNNNNNNNNNNNNNNNNNNNNNNNNNNNNNNNNNNNNNNNNNNNNNNNNNNNNNNNNNNNNNNNNNNNNNNNNNNNNNNNNNNNNNNNNNNNNNNNNNNNNNNNNNNNNNNNNNNNNNNNNNNNNNNNNNNNNNNNNNNNNNNNNNNNNNNNNNNNNNNNNNNNNNNNNNNNNNNNNNNNNNNNNNNNNNNNNNNNNNNNNNNNNNNNNNNNNNNNNNNNNNNNNNNNNNNNNNNNNNNNNNNNNNNNNNNNNNNNNNNNNNNNNNNNNNNNNNNNNNNNNNNNNNNNNNNNNNNNNNNNNNNNNNNNNNNNNNNNNNNNNNNNNNNNNNNNNNNNNNNNNNNNNNNNNNNNNNNNNNNNNNNNNNNNNNNNNNNNNNNNNNNNNNNNNNNNNNNNNNNNNNNNNNNNNNNNNNNNNNNNNNNNNNNNNNNNNNNNNNNNNNNNNNNNNNNNNNNNNNNNNNNNNNNNNNNNNNNNNNNNNNNNNNNNNNNNNNNNNNNNNNNNNNNNNNNNNNNNNNNNNNNNNNNNNNNNNNNNNNNNNNNNNNNNNNNNNNNNNNNNNNNNNNNNNNNNNNNNNNNNNNNNNNNNNNNNNNNNNNNNNNNNNNNNNNNNNNNNNNNNNNNNNNNNNNNNNNNNNNNNNNNNNNNNNNNNNNNNNNNNNNNNNNNNNNNNNNNNNNNNNNNNNNNNNNNNNNNNNNNNNNNNNNNNNNNNNNNNNNNNNNNNNNNNNNNNNNNNNNNNNNNNNNNNNNNNNNNNNNNNNNNNNNNNNNNNNNNNNCAACUUGGCGGGUUCUAGCAAAUAGGCGUUGGGCCAUAUUAGACACAGAAGCUGCACACUGAACACUAAGAGCCAGAGAAUCCUUAACAGCCAACUCAUCAGACCGUUUGGAAAGUAGUCUGUUAUCUCUGGGAGUGAGAAGGUUCCUGGCCACCACCGCAGCAGUCAUAUCAUUCUUCAUCACAGAAUCCCCAACGGUAAGAGGACCAGUAGAAGAUAUGAAGGAUGGACGCCAUAUGUUGUCUGGAGAAGGCGUGGCUGCCUCUUCUCCAAGGUUCAAGUCAAAACGACGGUCGGAGGGGCCAGACAUUUUCAAAGGUGUUGAAGAGAGAAGAGGUCAGACAAAUCAAGAUCUUAGAAGUGCAAGAAGGGAGCUUCUACUGGUGGAGAUUCAGGUGUGCUGUGGAACUUAAUGCCAGCCUCUAUAAAAAUCUGCCCUCGACGGAGCUUCAGAAAUCGAAGAGGCGUUUGCUUUCUCAAAAGCUGGGCUGCUCAGAGACCACGAGGGCUGAUCUCAAAAAUCGAAGAGGCGCUUCCUUUCUCAAAAGCUGGGCUGCUCAGAGACCACGAUGGCCGAUCUCAGAAAUCGAAGAAGCACCUGCUUUUUCAGCCUCAUCAGCACCUGUCACAUGCACACUCAGCUUUGCGGAAAUUACGGGCAAUCUGUCGAAGAUUUCUGGUGAAAUAGAAAGCACGUGAAUCUUACUGUUCAAUCACCACUCUCCACACGCACCAUCACUCCUCGGGGUACCACAUAUAACUUUGCCAAAGAUCUCUGACAAAGUUUAGGCACGAGAAUUUCGAAGUUCCAGCUACCCUACUAUUACCCACAAGGGUAAAGGAACAGCACCACUGCUUGACAACUGGAAAGUCCCUAUGUGUGUCGACCUCCGUGUUCUGCGGCAAGACAGGCUGGCAAGAACGUCCAACCUUUACUCACAUUCGAGAAAAGACUCCCAACAUAAUUACUUUCUCAAAAACCGAAACAGCACCGCUUUCUGAAUCUCGAGAGCCAGAUCCUCGACGGGAUUGCUUGUUCGAAAACCGAAGAGGCACAGCUCUCAGAACUUCGAGAGCCAGAUUUCCUUAGAUAAAGCUUGUCUGUAAUCUUCACACGUAACAUCAGCUUUCCAGAUACCACAUACCACUUUUUUCAAAGUGCUCUGACAAAGUUAAAACACGUGAAGCUGGCAGCUCCCACUACAUUGUUGUGACCAAGAAAGGUAAAAGAAUAGCAUUACUACUUGUUAUUGGGAAAUCCCUAUAUACAUCGACCUCCCUCCUCAACGGACAGGCAAACCUGCAAAAAUGCUCAACCCUUUCUCGCAUUCGAGAAUGCACCCUCAACAUAACCUCUCGAAAUACUCAGCUUUAUUUCCCCCGAUAAUACCUCAAGCAAAUAAGCCACACCAAGAACAAGAGUAUCUCAUAUCAUCAGGGUCGAAAGCAAGAGUAUCCCAUAUCAUGCUUUCUCCCUGUCCUUGUCUUCGUCCUUGUCCACACCUGCAGGACAAAGAGAAAGAGAGCAGUCAGUCGGAACCUGAAAUCAAACCUCUAAUCUGGAACUGACUGCCUGAGACCUUUGCAUGGUUGCUUACUUAGCAUUGCUCUCGAGAACUCAUCCUCAACUGCUGUCAAGGUCAUGAAUUCCACCGGCACAUACCUCAUGACAGGUUGAUCAGAUAUUGGCUCUUUACACUGAAGCUGCCAAGCGUGGAUGAGUCACUAUGAAGGAAUGUUCUGAAGGACCAUUUAAAUGCAAAGGUUGCACACCACUUCUUCCAUGCAAAAGAUUGAAGCAGAAGGUUCAACGGUGAGCUGAAACAGAUCACUACAGCACGACACCUUUCCAUACCACAUUCAUUAUUCCGUCAACAGCAAAAAGUAUCCCAUAUCAUCAAGGUCGAACGUACUCUAGAUUUGAUGGACUUGUUUUGACCCUCAAAUUCUUGAGUCGGCCUUAUACUCUGAAGGGAACCAGAAAAACCCUCCAGCACAGUUCAAGAAUAAGCCUGUGGAAAGUUACUUCUUCAAAAGCAAAAGUAUCUCAUAUCAUCUCUUCUCCAUUUGCUUCUCCUUAUCCUGGCAGCUGAAUGAGAGACAGGAGGAAAGGAGAACAAUCAACCGGAAGCCAAAGUCGAACCUCCGAUCCUGGGUUGCUUGCUUGGAAGUUUGACUGCUUACCUUGUCUGUCACCUCUUUCGGCAGAUCUCCUAGCUCGGCGACUUGGGGGACUCCUACUAUAGGGUUUGUAUCGCACUUGACCAAGCCCGAAACUACAAGUAAGCUUCAAGUGAAAUUGAUACAUUACCUUGUGCAUCUUCAUCGGUUAAAGAUACCACCCAUGGAUGGAGGAAAAGUACUUCCAGAGAAGAUGCCACAUCUACAUAUGAGACAGAUAAGGCACGUGAAAAUGAUACCUCACUUCAGUACUUAGAAGUUUCGUGAUUACUCAAUGGCUUGGAUCUUGCAAGUCCCCAACCGAGGAGCUUCCCUCACUCGGGAACUUAGGGGAGCACUAUUUGUACCAUACUUAACCAAUCCCGAAACUACUGAGCACCGGUCAACGUUAUACCGUCAAGGACCCAGAAGAGCUUCCCUUCAACCAGGAGGCCAAUCACAAUGCGACACGUGUCGACAUCAGAAGCCAAUCACAGCUCGACACGUGUCAACAUCAGAAGCCAAUUACAACACGACACGUGUCAAUGUUAGAACAAAACUAGAAACUCUCUUCUAUAAAUAGGGAUCAUUCUCCCACAAUAAUCUCUAAUGUCAUUUGUACUAAACUAUUCACUAGAACUCACAAAAUGAGAGCUUGAACCUAUGUAUUUGUGUAAACCCUUCACAAUUAAUGAGAACUCCUCUACUCCGUGGACGUAGCCGAUCUGGGUGAACCACGUACAAUUAAUGAGAACUCCUCUACUUAUCUUCACUAGUGAUCGAAGCAACCAAACGAAGGUCACAAACCUGACACUUUCUGUUGUACCAAAGUCCUCACUGAUUUUGUGCAUCAACAUCAACAAAUAAAAGCUAAUUCAUUUGACAGCAGGAUUCAACGUUUAUGUGUGCAUUAUAUCUUAAAAGUAAUUCAGCAUUAUAAGGAACAACAAAACCAUUAUCAAUUUUGAUCCAUUUUUUAUGACAUAUUUUGUAUCAUCAGUGUCUAUAAAUAGGAAACCAUUGUCUUAAAAAAUUGUCUCAUUUUUAUAUGGCUUAGGAAAGUUUUUGGAACACUUAUUUUCCCACAUGCAAGGAGAAUUUUGAUUAAUAUGUCCACAUGGACCAUGAAUCAUAAAUUGGUUAACAAUUUCGUAAAGCUGAGGAUUGACAAAUUUGUUUGGCAACUCAGCAGAAAUAAUUGAAUCUAUAUCUGAUGCCAUAUAACAUUUGAAAUUUGAUUUCAAUCAUAUUAACAUAUGAGAAUGAGGCAAACAUAUUUUUUGAAAUUCAAUUGUACAAACAUCUGUUUCCAAAAAUAAUUGAAACAGACAAAAACCCAAAAAAAAAAAAAAGUUAGCAUGAUAAAGCAAAAAAAGGGAAACAAAUUUCAGAUAAGGGAAAAAAUAAGUUUUUAGAAACUUACCUGCCUCAACUUGUCCAAAGGGUUUUCUAGAUUUAAUGAAACCGAGCAUAUCAUCAAGUUUCAUUUUAAAUAUUCUAGAAAUUAUAUCAGGCCUGUCCUCAGGUUUGUAUCCCAUUUUUUUUUUUCAAUUUCUCUUAUAAUUUCUGGCCAUUUUACUUUGCAUGUAAAGGUUAUGAACAAAUCAGGAUGACCAUAUUCUCUACAAAUAGCCAUAGCAUCUUGAUAAUUAUUAAUCAUAUAUCUAGGACUUCCUGUGUAUGAAGCAGGCAACACAAUUUUUUGGCCUAACUUGUUUGCAUCAUUGUCACCUCUUGACAUUGCAUCGUAAAUUCCCUUGUAAAUUUCACUUCUUAAAUUUUUCAGAUUUUGUCUAAUAUAAUCCAACCUAUCUUCUUCAAGUGUUGCAUAGGAAUCUACCAAAUAUUGUUGAAAAAGUCUACCACAUUUUAACAGUGUAGUUAAGUAUGGAUCUCUUUCUUGAAUUUGGUAAGCUAUAUAAGUUCUCAUAGGUAUUCUUUGUCUCUUCGUUUUUGGACCGUUAUAAUUUUCAUUCCAUUGUAAAUCUGGUCUAUACUCAACUUCACCAUAUGGAAAAAGAAUAGGAUACUGAAGGGCCAUAAAUUUUGGAUUCAAUUUUGUAACACACUUUAAUCCUUUUCUUUUACAAUCUACAAUAAUAUCUCUAUUAGAGUCAGAUAAACCUAUAUCACCAAUUAUUAAACCACCUAUUUCAUCACUUGUUGGUUGAUCAUAUUGCUUGCUAUCAUUUGGUUGUCUCCCUAACAACGUAAGUUUUAAAUUGGUCAAACCAUCAGUUUCAUAUUUGUCUCUUGUUGUUUGAAAAAGUUUGACCAACUCAUUUGAUUCAUCAAACAUUUUAAUCAAGUUUUCCACAAUUUUUGAAUCAAGUUUUUUAUUUGUUCCAUCACAAUCAAAAGCUCUAAGUUGAUUCUGUAUUUCAUUAUAUAUAUCAUAAACAUAUAACUGAGCAAAUUUUGGAGACUCAUUAUCAACAGGUAAAAGAGAACCCAUCAAAUGACAAAUUUGACCACUAAUCUUAAAAAUGUAAGGACUUGAUCCGUUAUUCAUUGAGUGAUCAACUUUUGCUCCCAUUGAAGUAAAUGAAAACAUAGAAUUGUAAGCUCUAAUAUUUUCUCGAAAUGAUAAACUCUUUUACUUCCUUUUGGAUCAAGCAAGGAAUCUAAAAAAGAUGGUGUUGGCUUUGGACUUGAAAAUUUAAUUUUUCCUUGUUGACAACAAAGAGUAAAAAUGGGUUGAUUUUUUUUUUUCUAGCUUUGUUUAAGAGGCUCUUUUAACCAAAAAUAUGCACCACAAUACACGCAUUUAUAACUUUUAUCACCCAAAUCCAUAUCUUUCACAACCCCUACAAAAAAAACAUAUAUAAAAAGAAAUGUAAUCAAUACAUGGAAGUAACUUAAUCCUAAAACCAAGCCUAAAGAAAACAAUUAUUGCAAAAAAUUAAAAACAUACCGUUUCUAUUUUUUUUUUUUGGAAAAAGGCCUGACCCUUCUUCAUGAGACAACAAUUGUCAGCAUCUACGGUAUUGAACAAACUCACAACGUUUUUCCCUUUUUUAUCAAAGGUGUACAUGGUUUUUUCAAACGGGAUGAUGUCCAACAUUUCAUUAUCGUUAACAGAGUCAAUCACACAGUGGUUAGUAGAAGAUCUACCGGAGGAACAUUGAUAUUCAACUGAUGAAUAUUCGCAAAUAAAUAUGUCAAUCGCAUACAUAAUAACAUCUUCAGAAUUAUGCCUAUAACUCGCUCUACACAUUCUUUUUCGCUGGUGACCAUCGUCAACCAAUGUAUUACAUUCACUAUCAGUAACGCUUUUGUUUCGUUUUAUAGCAUCUUUUGUUUGAUCAUUUGUACAUUUUUAGACAUGAUGGAAACCAACCGUUACAACUUUUUCAUAAACAAACAACUGGACAACAGAUUAAAAAAAAUGAAAAAAAUCAAUAAAAAGAUAAGAUAUAUAUGAAAACAAUAAAGAUCACACAAAAACUAAUGACAUGUCUGAAUCAAAAGUUUCAUUUCAAUUUAACAAAAUGCAAAAGAAAACUGCAUUGUUAAAGUUUUAAUAAAUAAUUUCAGAACUUUAAAAAAGUUACCUUGAGGACAAAGCGCCUUGGAAGUUGAGGACAAAUAGCUUUAAAUCCAAAAUACUCAAGAUUUUUCAAAUUCUGUUAAAAAAAAAAAAACACAUCACCAGAAAACUCAUUACAACAAAUAAACACUUAUUUGUUCACAGGAACUAUCUAUUGUAAUAUAUGAUGAUGGUGCACGGUUGAGUGUUUAAGUUUAUUAAAUAACUGAAAGUUGGGGGUGGCUGGGUACAUGUUUUCCUUUCCUUUCGUUUUUUUUUUUUUUUUUUUUGGUGUUUAUUUAAUAUCUCCAAGUCAACGGUAGUAGUUCCUAGGAAAACAAAAGUUGAGUUAAUUAUUAAAACAAGGAAUACCAUAGUUCACCAAUGUGACAGAGAUGCACUGUGUGUGCAAGAUUAGGGAUGAGUGCGGAUGUACUUACGCUACCAAAAAAUCUAAGCAGAAUUGAUUACUGAUUUUAAUAAUUAAAAUCAGAUACAAUUUUUCAAAAAUAAAUGCAAGGUGAUGGGUAAGUUUGUCAAUGAAACGAUUUGAAGUCAUAUCUUUACAGGUAGGAGAUAGCAGAUAUUUGCAUUGCAUAUCUUAGCAGAAUGAGCAGAUAUGAAGGAAAAUUAGAUUUAUUCAAUUUCGAUAUAAAGAGAAUUAAUUAAUGCAGGAACAACGUUUGUGCACAUUGAGAAUCAAAUUAACUAAUUAACUUACUAACCCGUAUUGUAAAUUUCACACCUAUACUCAAAACAAAUUUUGUAACCAAUGUCCCAAAAAAGAGGCAAAAGGAAAGAAAAAAAGCCUUUGUAUGGUAUACUACGGCGUUAUCUGUGUAACCGAACUCAACCCAGCAACCUUCUUGUAUACUUGGAAAUUUGUUACAGAUGUUAUGGCUGCAGAAGAAAAUAUAUCUUUCAGCAUUAAUAUCAUUAAGACUUAAGUAUAAUACCAUAGUUCACCAAUGUGACAGAGACACUGUGUGUGGAAGAUUAAUGAUGAGUAUGGAAGUAAUAAUGCUAUCAAGAAAUUUAUGCAGAAUUGAUUACUAACUUUAACAAUUAAAAUCAGAUACAACUUUUCAAAAAUAAACCAAGGCCAUGGGUACACUUUGUCAAUGAAACAAUUUUAAGUCAUAUGUUUACAGCUAGGAGAUCGCGGAUAUUUGCAUUGCAUAACUUAACACAAUGAGUGAAUAUGAAGGAGAAUUAGAUUUAUUCAAUUUCGAUACAAAGAUAAUUAAUUAAUGCUCCUUAGACAUCAAUUUGAUUAAGAUGUGUGCCUGUCUUCUCAGUUUUUGGCAUUAUAGAUGUGGGUGGUAUAAAUUUUUACUUAAAAAAUUGAACUCGAAAUGAAAACCUAGGUGAGAAAGCAUGGAAACAACUCUUGUGUACAAAUGACUUGUACGAAUGAAUUUUCUUGAGAUUUGAUCCCAGCUUUUUGAUAAUUGUCAGCUUUUAUAACUCAAACCAUUUCCAAUAACUAUUUGGUUAUAGGAUGAAUAAUUAAGCAUAAAAAAGUGAGUUCAUGCUUAUGAAAUUGAGAAGGCAGGCACACAUCUUAAACAAAUUGAAAAAUGAUGUCUAAGGAUUACAUAUAGCAUAUUUCAGCUAAUGAUACAACGGCCAUUGAAUUCUGUAUUGCAAAUUUGGCUAUUCAAAAGCCUCUGAAUUUAUAGACUAAAUCAGGAUCGCAUUAUUAAAUCAUAUUAUCAAAUUGGAAUACAAACAUUGAAAAAUACAUGAACUCAUGCGCAACUUUGAUUAAUCCAACAUUAAUAUCGGAUCUAUCUUGAGAGAGUACCUUCUCACAGAUCAAAAUAGUCACAUCUUACUUUCUAACUCUUUCGUAUAGGACCUCAUCCUUCUCACAGAUCUAUAUCUACUUCUAGAUAGCCUUUAGGAUUUCCCUGGCUUAGCACAAGAAUUCUAUCCUUAAAAGAACUCUCUACUGACUGGUAUAAAUACACCAUUCUAGAGUUCGUCUCUGGUUGCGCAAUCAUCGCACUCUAACUCUUUUGCCCACUGGUUAAGUCUUAUACUUGCUUAUUAACUUGACCGUCGGAGAGUCUUUGGCUAACACACACCCCUUAGGUCUUAGGCUUGCUCACGUUGUUUGCUGUUUUACAGGUUACUCAAAUUUGUGCCUCCACCAUCUGCGAUAGUGACGAAUUUGGUUCCAACAAUUGGUUUUUUCAUUGAGAUAGAACUCAUAUUCCUCUCGACUAGAUCACUCUACCCAUUGAGGCCCCUCUUAAAUGAUUGAGAUGUGACUGUGCCAUCUUCCCACAUGAAAAAGAUAUUUCCUUCAUGGAAAAUGUAUGGGAAAACAUGUUAUAGAUACAUGCGUCUAUAAAAGGGCUUCGAAGAAGUUCACGAGCCAAGGAAUAGGCAAAACUCAUUAACCUUGAGAUGCGAGUAAAGGCUAUUGAAGUUAAGGAAUGGGUAAAUGACGGAUCAGAAGUCAACAUCCUCUUUAAGGGUGUAGCUAAGAGGAUCGGCAUUCUUGGCAACAUUAACGAGGGUAAGACCAUCUUCCAAACCCUUAACGAAGCCACUGUCCAGUCGUUGGGAACGGUAAAACUAACAGUUCAAGCAGAAUCACAGUCACCUGGUGACCUUUCAUAUUAUGGUCUGCCUAAUCUUUACAAUGCCAUUCUCAGCCGAAACUGGUUGCACGAGAUGAAAGUUGCUCCAUCAACCUACCACCAGCUGCUUCGCUACCCCAUAGUGGAUGGAGUUUAUAGAGGGCGGAAUGUUUGAGAAGGCAAGGAAGCUGACAGAUACCAAAACCUUUUAACUCUGAAAUGGGGGCAGGAAGAACAUACAAAAACAAGAUAAGAGCUGGAGCCCAUCCCAGACACAAUACGACAGUUUUCCAUCCUUUAUCCGAUCAAUACACUAAGACAAGUGGAAAGCAAAAGAUUUUCCAUGGGUUUAAUACCUAGUACCAAAAUAAGGUGGUACUUCGGCUAUUGUGAUGGGAAUCUUUAUGAACGCAAAGUUUGGAAGGUAAUGUUUGUCCGAAUCAACAUUACCAGGGGGCUUCGAGCUUUGUGUUCUGCUUUAUUACUCAUUACUUCGAAGUUAACGUACUUCGGAAAAAUUGUCGGAUUAAAUCAUAUUCUACAAUUUUAAAGCAAAGGAUGGAAAGUCUCCCAAGCACUUAGUAACUUGGGUAAGAGCUAUUUAGACACAGGCAUAAAUGUCAUCCAAAACACCAUGCAUUCACAAGUAAAUUGCAACAAAAUAAGAUAUCCCAGAGUACCAUCACUAGGGAAAGGAUGUUCAAGUUAUAGAAAGGACAUGCCCUCAUCCUAGCAAAUAACAAAUUAACGCAAAACAUUGCCAACAACCUUUUUUGGCAACAACUUCCCUUUUGGCAGUAGUUAAAGGAUAUGCAAAAGUAUUGGCUGAUGGAUCACCACUGGAAGCAUAUCCUCUUAUUCGAAUGCCUCAAAGUCAGAAAUUUCACUCAGUAAAUCUUUAAGAGCAGCAAAAUCAGCAUCCCGGAUUUCUUUCAGAAUCUGGUAGUUGUCCCAACCUCCCAAAUGAUCUUGCUACGUGUAGCCAAAGAUAUACCCAAAGUUGUACCCCUCCGCAUAUUCUUUUGCGAGCACUUUCUUGUGAGAUGCACGCAGGCCCAUUAUUUCUGACUCAUGCUCAUCCUUGAGUUGUUGAAGAUCUGCAAGGUGAAUCAUCUCACGGAAAAGUCUUUCCACCUCUGAUUGGAGACUAGUCCACUCCCCUUCUUAAGCAUUCCGUUUCGAAGACAACGUUCGCAUUGAUUAGGCUUCAAGGCGCACCAAAGUUUGCUCCGCCUCAACUUUGGCUCCAACUUUUCCUGCAGUUCAGCAAGAGUUGCCUUGUAUUCAUUCGCUUUAACAUAUUCAAGAGUGGCUUCAUUUAAGAAUUUCUCUACCUCUACCUUAUGGGCUACUCUCAUAGUUUAUUGCUCUACUUGUACCCUCCUGAGCUCCGCCAAUUGAGCUUGCAAUUGUUGCUCGAGCUGCAUUUGGCCUCUAAUUCGUGCAAGAAAGACCGCUCAAGAAGAAAAAUUCACUUCGCUUGGUCGAAAAGAGUCGCCUUUGUUCAGACAUCAGCCUGACCAACACAAGUAAGGGAAAGGAAAAACAAAAUUACUAAAGUUAUUUUGUAAGAAAAGAAUGAAUGAUUACCUCAUAUCGACUUUCGUGACAUUGCAUCAUGGCAUCUUCAAAGGACGUGCGAGCUUCCUUGUAGUUUGCAGAAAAAAACUGCAGAGCCAAGAAGAGCUCAGGUAAAGUCUGCGUUUUGAAGUCUAUUAGUGUCCAUUAAGAAGGCAACGUGAUUUAUUGAAGGCUUAAUGACAAUCGAGGGCAGCACGCCCCCUUCAAUUCUGGUUAAAGUCGCCAGCAAGGGAAUGUUAGCUUCGAAAGGCACCUUGACAGGUUCGGGUAAACUCCUUGUCGCUGGAGGUGUCAGAACUGGGAUAUAAAAAGGUUUAAGGACUCGAACAUCAUUCAAAAGUGGAGGCAAGCUUGGAUUCAGGUGGUUGUUGUUGCGUUAGUUCUUGAGAUGGAAGGAAGAAAGGUUGAGAUUCUCUUAUGAGAGGAUGCGGAGCAGAAGUAUCUGGAGUUAUAUUUAUUGAAACAGUAUGACUUCUCUUUCUCCUCACAGUGGAAUUUCUUCCUUUUCUUUGGGAUUCUCUGGUACCACCUCUAUUUUUGGUAGUUCCCCUUCUUUGGGAUUCUCGGGUACCACCUCUAUUUUUGGUAGACGUAUUUGAAAAGGUGUAGCUAAUGACAUUGAGGAAGUUUUGCUGGACCAUUUUCACUUUUUUUUUGCUGGAGUGGGAGAAAUUUUGGGUUUAGGAUGAUGGGCCCCCUUAUAAACCUGUUUCACUUCGAUCCAAUUAGGAUUCAGAAUAGGGAAAAUAGAGCAAUGAUUGAUGACUAUAUUAUUCCCCUAAUCUCAAAAUCGAACUGGGGAAGUCAUCCAAUUCCAAUUAUGGUGCUUAAUAAGGAUUUGCAUUGCCUGAUUGAUCAACUCUGGUCAACACGCGCCAAUAUUCUUUAGGUCAUUGUUCAGACAAGGGUUGCGAGAAGUGAUGUUUUUAACUCUAACCCCUAAGAUGUCACCCUCUCAAUCACCAUCGACUACCCAGACAUCCUUGAACCAAUCUUUAUCUUGCCAAGGAAAAUCUAGGAUAUAUGGCGUUCAUAAUAGGCUGGGUUUUGGCAUGAAAUAGUAAAGGUCGUCAGAGGUUCUUCGCACGUUGUACAUCAUCCUGAAUUCUUGGAGCCCGAGAUCAGACCUUUACCAAUGAUUAGACAAAGCACGUGAUAAGUUUGAAGGCAGCUAGGGCCAAGUCACAUAUAGCAACGUCAUAACUGAUCAGAAUACCUUUUACAAGAUUAGACAAAGGGAAUCUUAGGCCUAGGGAUUAGACGAAGCAGGAAGAUCGACUUGAACAUUUUGCUCAGGUUCCCACCAAACCCUACAUUGGUUUAAUAGGUCUUGAUGGCUUUGAAUGAGGGCCUUGCCUUCUUCUUGACUACAUAAACUCAUCAAUGGAAGAUUGUACGGAAAGUUCUUUGAUGAUUUUGAAGUUUUGCUCGAAGAAACAGCCAUUAGAGAAGACUGAAAGGAUUUAAAAAUUUGAAUGUGUGGGUGAAAAAGUUGAAACCUUUUUCCUUGACUGAUUUGAGGAUUUUUUGAAAGAUGAAAGGAAAGAGCUUGAGGUUAUAUAGGUGGAAUGUUGCGAAGUAGUCCAGCCGUUAAAUGAAGUCCCACCUCUCUAGGGAUUAAUAAAUUCGACAAGUAUUUUUGACAUAAAUUUCUCCUUUUUCAUGCAUAUGCAACAAAGAUAAACUUCAUCAUUGGGACCUUUGGUGCGUUUGGUACGUGGGACGGGACGGGACGGAACGGGACGAGGCGUUCCGUCCCGCGUUUGGUGCGCCAAAAAUGGGUGGAACGGGUUGUUCCACAGGACAGAUUUUGGGUGUUUUUGCGUCCCACCUCCCCCCCUGGAACGGGUUUGUUCCACGUAUGUGGAACGCAAUGUUUUACCAUUUUAAGACAAAUAUACCCCAUGUCUUUUUCAAAAAUUACACCUUCAUUCCGUCCCGUUCCGUUUCGUCCCGUCCCGUUCCGUCCCGUCCCGUCCCGUCCCGUCCCGUUCCGUUCCGUCUGCGUACCAAACGCACCCUUAUGGCACAAUACUCGAGACAACACAUCUCAAUUUGGAAUGUCUCGUCGACUCUAUAAAAAGGGAUCACCUAAUGAAGAUUGAAGGCUAAACAAUCCGUAUUCCAGCUUACUUUGAAAGGCAUGGUCUUGGUCUUUGAAUAACUAUCCAUCCUCAAGGGGAACAAGUUCCUUUUAGAUACAUAUAGUUAGGGGCAAUUGGGGGACCAUGAUUUGCCAGAGCCGAAGUCGGGCUAAUCAAAAUAAAGUUACCUCAAAAGUUCGGUUAUGGUCUUAACAUGUCAAAGCGGAGCUAGAUUAACCGAGCUGUGGUGCCACCAACAUCCUGUUCCGGAGCAGUGUCCAAAGUCCAAACGAUUUCACUGAGAAUGACCAUACUUGUUCCGCAAGACACUGGGAUAUGAUCUGGUAUGGAAUCAACCAAAUCUUCUAUAUGUCUUGGAGUUCAUACAAUCUAGGAAUUGGUAUGCACCACAAGUAAUCACACUCCUAAAGAGGAUGCAAUAUCUACUUCUAGAUAUCCUCUAGGAUUCUCCCAGCUUGACACAAGGAUUCUAUCCUAAAAAUGUCUCUCUCAUGACUGGUAUAAAUAUACCCUUCUAGAGUUCGUUUCUAGCAACACAGUCGUCGCACUCUAAUUCUCUUGGCCACUGAUUGAGUCUUAUACUUGCUUACUAACUUGAUCGCCGAAAAGCCUUUGGCCGGCACACAUUCCCCCUGGGCAGUUUUAGGCUUGCUCACGAUUGUUUGUUAUUUUACAGGUUGCUCGGAUUUGUGCUUCACCAUAUGCGAUGGUGUGCGAAUUUGGUUCAAGCAACCGUGUUGACAAAAAAAGUCAACAUAGGUUCAAGAACUGGACCGAACCAUUCAGACCGUCCUGACAUAAUCGCUCCAAACUAAACCGAACUAAACCGUGACUAUAAAAAAUUUGUAAAAAUAAAAAUAACACAAUUGGCAACCUGAUUCUGACUACAACUCUAAAAUCAUCCUCCAGUGAUCGGUGUAUGUACUUUUGGAAAUUGAAUGCAUUGUUGUUAAGGCAGAUGAGUCUACAAAAUUUGUGAAAACAUAUUUUAGAUAUAAACUACUGAAAUGUGAGAAAUAAGAACCAAAUAACAGUGAAAUGAAUGAUAUAAGACUUAUAUUUCCGAACAACAAUGCAUUCGAUUUCCAAAAGUACAUUCAACGACCACUGGAUGAUGAUUUUAGAGUUGUAGUCGGAAUCAUCCUCCAUUGAUUUGAUAUAAAAACAUAUUUGAUGGGAUUUAGUAGCAAAUGUUGGAUUGUAGAAUCUAAAAACGGAUUGAGAGGCUAAAGUGUAAUUCGGAUAUUAGUACUACAGCCUAGUAGCGUACUUGUAAGUGAGAGAUCUUAGGUUUGUAUUUCAGGAAUAAGGAGUUCAUAGCGAAUUUAUUCCAUAUAUAAUUGUGCAUAUAAAAUAAUGUAAUUCGAAAAUUAAUUUAGUGACCAUGCUACAAUUAAUUAUAUCAUCAAUUUUGGAAUCCCUUUCUUGGCUUAUGUCAAAAUUCAAACAAAUUUAAACCUGUUGUAGGCCUAUUUAACUAAACUACACUAAGGUGUAGAGAGAGAGGGGGCUGGCAGUAGCAAGAGAGAGAGGAGAGAUUUAAUUGUGAGAUGUGUAUUGUAUCACCCCAUUGUGCCUUUAUUUAUAGUAGUAGGAUAGGUAAAAACUUUACCUUACUAGGAUUACAAUUUUUAUUAAGUAAUCAACUCCUAAUAGGAAUACAAGAGAUAUUCCUAGAUUCACUAGGAUUUACAAAAUCACAUUCUUAUUCUAAAUAUGACUGCAACACUCCCCCUUGAGUGUGUAAAUACUCAACAAGCCGUCGCAUCAGAUCUUCAGCAGAUAAGGUAGAAUAGUUGAUGAAGUCAGUGGCACAAUGGGUGAACGCAACUCUCAAAUUUAAGAAAGUAUCCAUUGGUAGUAAAACUCAUAAAACCUCGCUAUAGUAAAACUCAACAUGGGAGAAAAACUCAUAGACUAAGGAGAAAAGUGAGAAGUAUGCAUAAUGUCUAAAACAAACGUCACACAAGAUGAAAUUAGUGAACUCAACGGAGUAUGAUCAUCCCAGGAUAGGUGCCUCAUCAAAAUCUUGUUAGGUAGCAAUAACCCAGUAGGAAAAUGCUCUUAAUCAUAGGAAAAAGAGUUCAUUAAGGUCAAGUGAGUAUGCUUCUGGAUACUCCCCCUGAGUUAGACAUAACUUCUAAAUAAGAAAACUACAAGUGAUUCAACUCAGAUAAUUUAAGCAUAUCGAUUCCUUGGACGAGCUUCUGAAAAGUAGACUUAGGUAAUGACUUGGUGAAGAGAUCAGCCAGGUUGUCCUGGGAACGGAUUUGCUUGACUUUAAUGUUCUGAUGUUGCUGCUGCUAAUAAGAGUAGAAGAAUUUCGACACUAUGUGCUUGGUGUUGUCUCCCUUGAUGUAUCAAUUUUUAACUGCUCGAUACAUGUUGCAUUGUCUUCAAAGAUCAUCGUAGGAAGGUCAACGACGGAAGUAAAACCUCUAGAGCUUCGAAUAUGUUGCAUGGCUGCUCUCAACCAAAAGCACUCACACGAUGCUUCAUGCAGGGCGAGGAUCUCAGCAUGGUUCGAAGAAGUCGCAACUAGCGUUUGCUUGGUAGACCUCCAAGAUAUAGCGGUGUCUCCAACGGUAAAGACAUAAUUGGGAACGUGUCCUAUAUAGGUCAGACAGAUAUCCAGCAUCUGCAUAACCAACAAAGCAAGAAUCAAUCCAAGAACUGAUAGGGGCUGCAACACUCGAAGAUUCGGGGGUAUAAAACAAGCCCAAAUCCAUCGUACCCUUGAGGUAGCAAAAAAUGUCUUUAACAAUAUUCCAGUGCUUGCAUGUGUACGCAUUACCGUAUCUUGCCAAACGAUUAACAACAAAGGAAAUGUCAGGUCUAGUGCAUUAAGCCAAGUACAAUAUAGCCCCAAUUGCACUUAGGUAUUGAACUUCGAGUUCCAAAAUCUCUUCCUCAUCCUCCUUUGUAUGGAAGGGAUCUGGUUUAACAUCUAGAGUCCGAACGACCAUAGGUGUACUCGAAGGCUUUAUCCUAACAUCGCAACACCUUCUGGGUAUAGUUUGGUUGAUGUAUUAGGAUUCCAUCUGAACAAUGCUCGAUCUCCAGGCCGAGGCGAUAUCGAGUUUUCCAAAGAUCUUUCAUCUCAAAUUCCGAUUUCAAGUGUGUAGCAAUUUCUUCAAGCUCUGUGAGAGUUCCAAUGAGGUUCAUGUCAUCGAUAUAAACUGCAACGAUUGCAAAUCUAGAAUGUGGUUUCUUUAUGAACAUGCAUGGGCAUAAUUCGUUGUUCACAUAACCCUGACUUAUCAAAUAUUCACUCAGACAGUUAUACCACAUCCGCCCGGAUUGUUUUUGAAUCCUUAGAGUGACAUCCUCAUUCUAAUAGAGAAAGUGUUCCGUGGUUUAGAACUAUUUGAACCAGUCAAUGGAAGUCCUUCUAGAACUUUCAUGUAUAUUUCUGUAUCUAAAUCCCCAUAGGAUACGCGGUUACCACGUUCAUAAGCUGCAUAUUCAGCUUUUCAGAAACUACCAAACUGAUAAGGUAGCGGAACAUUAUGACGUCUAUUACGGGGGAAUACGCCUCCUUGUAAUCAAUCCUAGGGCAUUGAGAGAAGCUUUGCUCUACGAGGCAUGCUUUGUAUCGCACUAUUUCAUUCUGCUCAUUACGCUUCCUCACGAAAACCCACUUGUAGCCAACGAGCUUCACAUGUGGAGGAGUAGGAGCUACGAGCCCAAACACCUUAUGUUUUGCAAGUGAAUCAAGUUUGACCUAGAUUGCUUGUUUCCAGUUUGACAAAUUUGUUCUACAUCGGCAUUCAUCAACAGAACGUGGUUGCAUGUCAUCACUAAGCAUGAUGUCAGUAGCUACUAAGUACGCGAAUGCAUCGUCGAUGAUCAUCUCAUUCUUAUUCCAAACCUCAUCCAAUACUGCGUGGUGGACCAAAAUCUCACGAUUCUCAAGAAACCAGUUUAUCUCAUCUAAGACAUCACCGUAAUCUAGAAUAACCUUCAUGCGUUGGAACGGAUGAGUGAGUGAUGGUCAGAUUCAAACUGGGGUCACUAGUUGGUGCUGAUUUCCUCUUUCGGGUUUGUGAAUCCUUUGAACCAAGGGGUCUACCACGCUUCAGGAUUGGAGCAUAUGAUUGGCUAGCUGCCAAUGUACUAGGCCACGUGGAAGGUACAGCCUCCCCACCAUCGGGGACGGUCCGGCCUUCCCAGGCAGGAUAGUGACGUAUAUGGGAUACGUAUAUCCUUGCAGGUGCGUUUGCAGCGGGUAUAUGUGAUAUUGUCACCUUUGCUAGAUUGGUAAAAGCAUCUAGUAUGCUCUAAGCAAUGCUCUGAAGAUCUAUAAUUUGGCGCACCUCAGUUUCAAACUGAGCAGUGCGGGGUUCUAAAUAAGACAUAGUGGGAGCAUACCAUGACAAUUCGUGGCAUUCUCCAGGAACAUUAGCAUGUUUAUCUCCUCCUAACGACAGGAAAACUGUCUCAUCAAAGUGACAAUUUGCAAAAUGUGCAGUAAAGAGUUCUUCUGUUAAGGGUUCUAAAUAGUGAACAAUUGAUGGCGAAUCAUAAUCGACAUAGAUUCUCAUUUUUCUCUGAGGACCCAUUUUGGUACGUAGUGGCGGCGUUAUUGGCACAUAAAUAGCGCACCCAAACACCCGUAAAUGAGAGACGUCAGGCUCGUAUCCAAUGACCAACUGUAAUGGUGAAUGUGGUUGGGUAGCGGUGGGCCUCAGGCGGACCAACAUAGCUGCGUGCAAUAUUGCAUAGCCCUUGGCAGAUACCGAUAGUUUGAUUCACAUAACCAAAGUCUGAACUAUUAACUGAAGGUGCUUUAUGAAAGCAUUUGCCAGGUCGUUUUGGGUGUGAACAUAGGGUACAUGAUGUUCCACAUCAAUCCCUACUAACAUGCAAUAAUCGUCAAAAGUUUGUGAUGUAAACUUUCCAGCAUUAUCCAGUCGAAUCGACUUAAUCAGAUAAUUAGGAUGGUAAGUGUGAAAUCCCGUUCCUGGAUUUCACUGUUAUCACCUACAUAUUUGUAUUAUUGAGAUUUUAUAUUAUUUCUCGAUAAUUUAUUUUAAUUUGUUGAAUUUAAAUUUUAAUUAAAUUAGUUAUUAACGUUUGAAGUUUGGGGCAUUUUAAAAAUAAAUAGAAAAAUCUAGAAUUCUCUUAUCAAAUAUGGUGUGCCACAUGGGUGGCCCAGAUUUAAUGAAAAGGAAAAUGGAUGGUGGAGAUGCAAAGGAAAGGACUUGAGAGAGGAGUGGAGAGCAUGGGCACUGCCCAAUUAGAAAUUAAGAAAAGAGGGAAAUGAGAGAAGAAAAAAAUGAGGGAAGAAAAGGAAGAAACGGGUUUGUACGACCCGUGGGUAUUGCCGGCCACCCAUCUCCAUUUUCCGACGAAUUUCUUCAAACAACCACUUGGAAACACUCUCUUGACCUUCCCUCUACAUGUUUCACCCUAAAAAUCAAAGGUUUUGGACUUGAAUUAGGGAGAAACCGCAUUAAGGGUGCGGCGGGUGUGUGUGUCAAAUCUCCCAAAUCCCAAAUGUUUACACACAAUGACCAAUCAAAAGACUUCCCUUAAGCCCCUGAACAAAGCCCAGGCAGUGGUGGAGGCGUCGGAGCAAGUUUGGAGGUCGAAUUGGAGCACACCCAAUUCUAGGGUUCUUACGGGUUUUAGAGAAAUUGGAGCACUUCUUGAUAAAAUUGGCCUUGGUCACAGGUAUAAAUUUUACUCUACUCAUUGAGAUCUUCAUUUCUGUAAUUUUUGGUAAUUUUUAAAAAUAGUUGAAUUUUCCGGCAAAUCGGGGCGGCCGACCGCCACCCGCGGCGGCGACCCGGCCAGCAGGCCGACGAUGUCCUUUUAAGUUCAAUUAGAUGCCUUGAUUUCAUAACUGACAUCCUUAUGAUAUAGUUUGAUUGUUUGAACCUAAUUUCAUUACGAUAUGUGGUUAGGUCAAAAUGUGAUUCGACGAUCCGACCGUUGGAUCGUCAGCAAACUUUAAUGCGUCAUAGAAUGUAAUAUUUGAGGAUGGUUUGAAUUGAUGGAUUGGGAAUCCGAUGUACUGAUCUUCCUAAUUUGGAUUUCUAAGUUUGUAAAAUCAAACGUUGGUCGCCACUUGAAAUUGUAAUUAGCGGGGAUCCGACCGUCGGAUCAUGAUAAAAUUUUGGUAGGUUGUUUUAGAAGUAUAAUGUGGACUUUAGAAGGUUACGGAUCUGAAAUCCAAUGUGCGGAUCUUCCAUAUUGAAUUGUGUAGAAUUGUGGAUCCUACCUUUGACCGAGAGUUGACUUUUUGUCAACAUGUCUCCAAACGUUCUUAAUGCUAAAUUUAGUACUACGAGAGACUUAAGUGAAGUCUAGUGGACCUCCAUUGGUCGGAGAGUGACUUGAAUAUUUGUGAUACGGUUAUUACUUUAAUCAUUUAUGUUAAAAUCAUUUAUGAAUAUGAAUUCGUCUUAUAAAUAUGAUUUCUAUUGAAAUGUGAUUUUCAUAUAUUUAGCCAUAGACUUAUGUUUAUUAAACAUGAUGUGGCUUGUGUACUGAUGAUAAUGGUGAAUAUGUGUGUUUAAUUAUUUCUAGUAAUGCAAAGGAUAAGUAUGAUAGAUUUUAUGGCAAUGUGAUCUUAGAAUCCUAUUAGAAGUAUUUUGUAGAACUUAUAUGCUUGUGAGACCUAUUAGGUGGUGGUCAUGAGAAGUGGAUAUGGUAGGUGACUACGUUGUAAGUAUAGAGGGGAUGAGGGUUAGAUAUACUUGGUACAUUCAGUGGGUACCAUAUCCACAUGGAUUCCGUUGAGUGAUGUUCCGGAAUCAUAUCGUUGUUUGGAUUCUGUUGAUGAUGUUCCGGAAUCGUAUCGUUGUUUGGAUUCCGUUGAGUGAUGUUUCAAAAUCGCAUCGUUGGUUGGAUUUCGUUGAGUGAUGUUCCGGAAUCGUAUAGUUGUUUGGAUUUCGUUGAGUGAUGUUCCGGAAUCUUUGGAUUCCGUUGAGUGAUGUUCCGAAAUCGCAUCGUUGGUUGGAUUCCGUUGAGUGAUGUUCCGGAAUCGUAUCGUUGGUUGGAUUCCUUUGAGUGAUGUUCCGGAAUCGUAACUUUAAUAUGUGUGAUAUUGGUGAUUACCUAUGUUUCAUAAUUAUGACCCUCUGCAGAUAUAAAUUGGUUUUAUGAAUAUGUUUUCUAUUGAAUUGUCAUUUCCAAUACUUAGACAUCGAUUCAUGUUAUGAAAUGGGGUUUGGCGUGUAUAUUUGAAUUAUGGUUUGAUUUGUAUGAUUGGCAUGUUGUGACGAAAUGUGAGGACUAGUAAUGGACUGUUAACCAUUGUGAUGGAGAUUGGUUGCUUCGAUAUUGUUUGAUUUUCCGCUUUGUUGAUCAGUUCUAAAUUUGGUACUUGUGCUUAAUUUCCCUUUGUUGAGCUUUUGUAAAUUAAGUAACUUGUGUUUGUCUCAGUUAUUUGAGACGUCGUACAUUAUGGUUGUUAGCCUUUCGUGAUUCCGUUGAGUGAUGAUCCGGGAUCGUAUUCACCUUGGGUUUUAUUGAGUUUAGAUUGUCAUAACUUCAUAGAUGUAGGCUUCAGUCGAACUGUGUCGCUCUAGCUCAGCAUUCCGAUGAAUUGUAUGUGUUAUUGAUGAUAUGGUUAUUGGCAUUAUUGAUUGAUGUGAUAAUUGGAUGGUGUUGGAAUGCAUAUGUGAGGGUGAAUGACAUUAUGACUAGAGAUUAUUAUUGUGCUUAUUUAAAUGUUCCUUGAGGUGCCACAUAAUUGAAUUGUGGUAUUAUGUUGAGACCUAGUAGUCUAUGUGAUAAAUGUUCGAGAGUAAUGAAAUGGUGAACUACGAAUGGCUUGAUCCCUAUUGAGGGUACGUAGGCAGUCUAAUGAGAAUGUUAGAUGCAGCCAUAAAGCUAGAAAAGAAAAAAAAUUAUUGUGAAAUUUGGACCUUGAGUGGCCUUCUUUCAUAUCCUGGAGGCAGGGUAUGUUAGAAGUUCGAGUUUUCAGUAACAUCACGUGUCGAUCCUGGGCGUAGGUCAGGAUCGGGGCGUGACAGUAAGCCCUUACCUUAAUAAUUUGUGCUAGGUGUUUAGCAAAUGCAGCAUUGCGUGUGGACAAUAGGCAAACAUGUGACCAUCGUGUCGAUGCAUCAACCAACACCAUAAAAUAUCGAAAUGGUCCGCAUGUUGGUUGGAUAGGUCCACAAAUAUCCCCUUGAAUCAUCUGAAGAAACUUAGGAGGGGGUCAUGAAGAAACAUAAGGAGGUAACUGAUGCCCAUGUGAUGAUUUGAGGAUACAACGCAUCAUGUCAUGUCCAGGAUGUACUAAACUAUCAUGCCAAAGUAGCAAAAUGUUCUGGAACUCAGGCAUAGGGUCGGCCAUAUGAUGAGCUUCUAUGCCACGAAUGGUUGUGAUGUACAACCCAUUCGGGAGACGUUCCAACUUCUCAUGAAUACGUUUUUGGGCCAUAUUCGUAAGAAGUGAUACAAAGAAAUUCAGAAUCAUUAUCUUCAGUGGUUUCAAUAUGAUAUUGAUUAUCUCAAAUAUCUCUAAAGCUUAGCAACGUUCUUCCGAAACAUGGAGAAUAAAGUGCCUCCUUAAUGGUUAAGAUUGUACCAUUGGACAACAUGAUACAGGCUUUUCUGUAUCCUUCAAUCAGGUUGGAUGGGCCUGAUAGAGUUGUCAUCAGAGCAUUCUUGGGUAUUAAGUUAGUAAAUAAUGUCACUCACGCAAGAUGGUGUGCAUGUUAGCAUUAUCAGCCAGACAAUUAACUUCCCCACUAGACAUACCUAGAAAGAAUUUAAUUGAAUUGGUCACAUGUAUAAAUGUAAGUCCAUUCAUUAAAAUAAGCAAUUCGAGAAAAUAAUAUCCAUCAAAUAACAAUCCAUAAUUCAAAACAAACCAAAACCAAACAAAUUAUUCCAAAUACUUAGAAAAAUUGUUCAAAAUUAAACCAUGAACCUAGAAAAAUAGGGGGGAGGGUUCGGCCACUCCUAGUGAGUUUGGCCACUAGGGGUAAAACACCCUAAAACAUGUCUAAAAUUCAUUCUUCCAUCGGAGCUGAUGCCUCCUGAAAAUCCAAUAUCUCCAUUGAUGUAAUAGUAUCUUCCGAAUGUUCCACAUAUGCAAAGUUAGACUCACGACGGGAAUGAUACUUGGCAAUAGCCUUGGGGGUAGCUCGGCAUACGCAUGACCAAUGAUCCUUUGGUCCACAGCGGUAGCACAUGUCCAUUUCAGUGGAAGCAGACUGAACGGGAGCUUUGCCCUUGUUCUUGAAGUUUGGGGCCUUAGGGGCAACAGGUGGAUGCUGCUAGGUCGGAUUUCCUCCCUUAGGGCCGACACUCUAUUGACUUUAGGCCCGUUGUUGGGCUUACCGCCUAUUAUCAUAGCCACGACAAUUCUUUCGUCGUUUGUGGCUGCUAGAAUUUCUCGUAUGUACUUCAAGCGAGGUGUUUAAGCUAGUCGGUCAGGCUUGAUGAUUCUUCAUCAAAAGUUGGUUCUACUUUCAACAAGAAGUAGUACAGAGAUCAAAUCCAAAAAUUUGGUGAAUUUAUGUGCCCUAUAUUGUUACUGCAGGACAAUAUUGGUUGCAUGGAAGGUCGAAUAGGUCUUCUCUAUAAGAGAUCUGAUUCGAUUAGUUCCACUUUACAGAACUUUAGAAGUGAUCGGAUUCUACAAACUUCAUAGUUGUUUCAUUCAUGGACUUAAAGUCUUGGAAGCAAAGAUGUCGCCAAACGUGUCUUGCUUCAGGCAAGUAGAGGUCUUUCUAGUGAUCAAAACGGUUGGCCAGAACAAGCUAGAAGGUGUGUGGGUCCUCCUUAAUGAGGUACUCGGUCUACAGUGCAUCAUGGAUGUGUCUUCGAAUGAAGAUCAUUGCAGUAGCUUUUUCAUCUUUGUCGAUGGGUUCAUCAUCAAUUGGUUCCUCGAUAGCGGCUCGAAAACUCUUUGCAGUUAGAUGGAGCUUCACAUCUUGAACCCACCUCAGGUAGUUUCUUCCAGAUACUUCCAGAGCGGUGAAAUCAAGCUUUUUUAAGUUCGACAUGUCCCUAAAACAAAGGGUACAGAAAAAACGUGAUUAGUCAUAUGGUGAUCCAUAGACAUAUAUCGUAGAACAUUCAGGUUCUAUAGACAUGUAUUGGUUUAAUUUAUGCAUGAAAGUUAUAGGUUUCAUGUGGUAAGUUUUGAAUGAAAACUUCAGGUUUCAAAGGCACUAAAUAUGAAACUACAGGUUCAAUUUAGUUUUAUGAACGAUUAGUUCAUGAGUGAAAGGUUUCUGCAAGAAACACAGAAUGCAAUAUGUUGAUUUAAGUAUAGUGGAUUUGAGUUUCUUCGGGAACUCAAGUGUGAGAGCUUCGUUACUACGAAAGUAUGCCAACGGUUCAAAGUAUAAAAAUAAAUUAUUAAAUUGUUAAUGUCCAAAAGUGAUCUUUAGGUCAAUAAUUUUGGAUUCAUUAUCAUAUUAAUGGACUGCAUGUCACUUUUAAUUAAUGCAAUAGAUCGGGACUAAACGGGGUCGAUCGUGGACGCAAAAUUAUUUGGGAAAAUGCCUUGCAGGUUCGGCUGCAAGCAUGUUGGGCCUCGAUGAGGCCAACAAGCCUCAGGCUGAAAGGCUUUGGGGAGCCCAAUAGCCAAGGCUGUUGGCUUUAGGUCGAAAAACAUAGCCCAAAAAUUUGGGCUUGGGUUGGCUGCAGAAGGGCAACCCACUGGUGGCUGUAGGCCACGAGCCGAGAGGGGACACAGGUGCAGGCCUAGCGGAUUGCUGGCCUUGGGUUCAAGUAGGGAACCCAGUCGAGGCUGGGUCCGGGUAGGGGCAAGCUUCAACCCAGUGCACAAGGCUGCGGGAAGCGGGGCAGGGCUCAGGACAAAGCCUAGCAGCCUUUUGCUGCUUGCAGUUUUGGGCUGAGAAUAGAGGGAAAAAUCCAGGGAAGGCUACAAGCUUCCGUUUGGAGGUAGGUUAGGCAUAAGGCCCGAGUUAAGCUAGCCAGGCUGAGGCCUGGUGUGUCCAUGUGCUCGCAACAAAGCCUAGAGGGCUGCUGCCAAGGUCCAAACGUCAAAACGACGUCAUCCUGGUGGCGUGCUCCACACGGCUGAGCUUCAGGUCAAUGGUGGUAGUGUGGCGGAGCCACGGUGGUAGUGUGGCGGCUGUGCCGCAUGUUCCCAAUAUAUAUUUUUUUACAUCCAUAAGGUUUGAAAAACCCUAUAUUGCUUCUAAUUUAUUUAUAUAUUUUGACUCACAAUUCCACAUUGCAAUUUAAUUGGUUAAUGCAUGAAACAUAUAUAUAUGUAUAUUGAAAAAAAUAUGAAACAUAUACAAUAUAUAUAUAUAUAUAUAUAUAUAUAUCGGAAGGAAAAUAUAACCAUAGAGGGGUUCAUACAUCAUGGGGAGUGUUUUCAUGCAUCGUGGACGUUUCAAAUAUCUUCCUUUAUUUUAAGCAUACCUGAUUUGCAGAAAACUAAUAAGAGCCUUUGAAUUUUGUGGAAGAUAGCCUUCUCCUACAAUCCGUCAGUUCCUCAGCUUCUGGCAAGAGCUUGUUGAUAACGUGUUGUAGGUCUAUUUAACUGAACUAUACUAAGGGGUAGAGAGAGAGGGGCUGGCGGUAGCGAGAGAAAGAUGAGAGAUUUAAUUGUGAGGUGUGUGUUGUAUCACCUCAUUGUGGCUUUAUUUAUAGUAGUAGGAUAGGUAAAAACCUUACCCUAUUAAGAUUACAACUCUUAAUAAGUAAUCAACUCCUAAUAAGAAUACAAGAAAUAUUCCUAGAUUCACUAGGAUUUACACAAUCACAUUCCUAGCUAUUCUAAAUAUGACUAUAAACACGGAAAUUCCUGAGAUGAAUGAGACAAGAACACGUGUAUAAAAUAAUAUUUUUGUAUUAAUGAUUUUGGGGUUACAAUCUCUCAGAUUUAAUCCUCUGAUUCGAUCUCUAUAAGGUGUUGAUUUGUGGAUGGGCUGCUGAUCCAAAGGGUCAUCGGGGCUUGAUCUUUAGGAUGAGCAGUGGUGUAUGGAUCUUCAAGGGCUUUUGUGCUUGAUCUUGAAGAACAGUGGUUGAAUUUAUUAAUGUUGUUGAUCCAAAGGGCCGUCAAGGGCUUGAUCUUAGGAUGAACGGUGAUGAACGAUGAACACUUUCUUCAAGGGCAGUCGGGGUUGGAUCUUAAAUUGGUGGAAGUUCUUCAAGGGUCAUUGGGGCUUGAUCUUGAAGGAGGAUUUGACGAAGAAUGGAGAGAGCUUUCUUGAUCCUUCGGGAUUUGCUUGGAAGAUUUGGAGUUUCAAAGCUUCAAGGUUUUGGUGUGAUGUGAAUUGGUUAUGAAUUGGUCUCUAAAAUGAAUGCCUUGGCUUCCUAUUUAUAGAAUUCCAAAACUUUAAUUUUUGGAUUUAAAUGAUCAUUUGAAAUAAAUCAUUUCUGCCAAAUGUUGACACAUGUCAUGUUUGAUGACUUUUCUGAUGAUUCUUGAUUUUUCGUUAAGUCACAUGCUAUGUGUAAAAUUUAUGUGACACGUGAACGUUGAAAUUUUAAUUAUUGAUCAACAUUUAUUUCACCGAAAUUUCGAUGUUUACGAUGACUACAGCAAAACCCUCAUUUUUUCAGAUUUUGGAAAGAAUGGCGUCAUUGAAUUCAAUAUCGUGAUAUGGGAGAUUGAGUAAGCUAAAUUUGGAGUAUUUUAAUGUCACACUAAAUAUGGCACCGACAAUAGACGUAAGCCAAAGUCAUAGGUUUAAUGCAGACAAAAGUGAAUACUAAAUACUAUAUACUGGAUACUGAAUGGAGGGUGGCUUUAAAGCUUUCGGCGUACCAAAUUAUGAUACUAAUUGACUUGAUUCCUUCACAUGGUAUAUAGGCAAUCUAGCUCGAAUGUUGGAUGUAACCAUAAGAUUGAAUAAAUUAAUAUUUUAUCAUGUUCCGAAGUUCAGCACAUGACAUUAUUGUGAGGUCUAGGUAUAGUCCUUAGAGUGAUAAAAACAAGGCUCCUCCAAGGAGGGCUAGUUGGAGGUGUGAAUUGACAUUUACUUCACACUCAUAGGAAAUCAGUCCAAGAACGAAAGCUUUCUUUCCAGUUGCUAUCCAAAAUUUUGGAAUUAUAUGUGUUGUCCAAAGGAUUAUUCUUCUUUUAUUAAAUUUCUAAGGAAAAUGAGCAAGAGGCGUAAAAGUUGAACGAAUGAAAUUUCAACAAUCUGGAAAGGGAUUGUGAGUUUGCCACACCAUUUUUCUUUCUUUUAUGCCUUCAUGUUUAUUAGAAGACAAAAAUAAAUGACUUUACAUUGGAGAAAAAAAAAAGUAUUUUCCUUUGAAAAAAAAAUCAACUAUUUAUUUAAGAGGAUGUGAAUGAUUGAUGCAUAAUGUGAAUACAAAGAACGACCUUAGAGGGAGACGAGACAUUUAUUAGAAGCCAAAAAAAAAAAAGUUACAAUGAUAUAGUAAAAAGGCAAGAAAACCUCGUUUUCUAAGUGGCAGUCAUUGACACACUACUUGAUUAGAAGAAAAGUCAUAGUAUUUUAUUUACUUUUGUUGGAAUGUAUAUUAAUAAUUAUAAUAUUUAAUUCAAAAUAUUGAAUGAAAAACACAUAACCGUUUGAAAGGGAUCAAGGCAUUCCUUGGUAAAACGGUAUCAUCUAAUAGAUGAAUGUUUGUAUCUCUUAAUCAACCAAUAUCUUAGGUUUUAUAUAAACUCAUGUUAGUAUAGCCGUGAAAGAUAUAGAAAAUUAGAGUUAAUUUUUAUUCUUGAGAAAUAGGGUUUCCCCGCUUUGUUUCUCUCAUGCUUCGUAUGUCAAAUUCCAAGUCGUGUCUUGAGAGUACGGAAUAUAUAAAGUUCGCCAGAGUCCGAAGAUUGAAGUGUUUUGACUUCGAAUUAUAAAUUGUUGAAUCCUGGGAGAUGGACGCCUACCAAACUACAAGCACAAGAGUAAGGGCGAAAUUCUAUCUUUAGGACAUUGCAUUUAUGCAAGCCUCAAUCUCCAAAUUUAUCAGUUUUUCUAACUUUAUCUUUAGUUGUUUAUAUUAAUCUUGUAAACUAUUGAUGUUGUUAUUUACUUUAUGAUUAUUAUCAUUGGAAUUCUUGUGUUGUUAUCAUAUUUUCUAAUAUUGCCUCAACAAUCUAAAGAUAGAAGUUUUAUCCCUAUGGAACAAUCAGAAAAAUAUGAAUGUUCGCAGUUCUCAUAUUGAGAGUUUAAAGCUGUGGCUUUAAAAGUGUUGGACAACAUAAGGUGUCGUAUUUGAUGUGAAGCCAAGAAUUGAAUGUUUCUUGACAUUAUACUGUGAGUUUACUCUCGUUAGUUUCUGAUUUAGGUGAGAAAUAAAUAUAUGUUUAUGUGGACUGUAUGCAAUAGGGUAAAUCUAGGUUUGUAUCUCAUAAUUGAAAAGGAUUCGAUACAGAUAUGUCUCAGAAAAUGCAUUCAAUUUGUAUGGGCAUUGCCACAUUCAAUAAAAAGUCAUAUUGGUUGACUGCAAGGGUCAGAUGGUUUGUGGUCAGACCAAUGGAUAUUUGGGCAUCCCCGAUGACUUUUCUCAACAGAUGCCUUGCUUGAUCAGUUUGGUUGGCGAUUGCCGAGCAAAAUGUCUGCAUCAUAAACUUUCAAUUCAUUCCCACAAGGACUAGAUAUGCAUGAUACAAAUGAUCGAAGAUUUUGAUUUUCGCAUGGGUUUCAUUAAUGUCAGAUUUGAAGAUAAUUUGAUGAAACCAAAAUUUUCCUUCAAGACUGAUCAAAAGGAUUUGGAAUGUUUCGAAUGCAUAUACACAUGGCUAUUAGAAGAUAUGUAUAUAAUGAAUGAUAUGAUGCCAAUCCAAUUCUAGGUUGGAACUUGAGCAUGAUGGGAAUAUUUAGAAGAUUAUACUUCUAAAAUCUUUUUAAAGGGAAAAAUUAUGACGGAUCUUGGGUGAAUGACCAAACUGCCUAUUUCAGAUAGGUGCAUACCAAAUGUUUAUUGGUUAAUAAAGAAAUACAAUAGUAAUAUGCAUAUAUUUAUCAGAUUUAUGUGUGUAUUCAUAAAAUCCAUGCCUGCAUUACCAGGUAUAUAGAAAUGCAUUUAUUAUCGUUUGUCAUAUCAUUAUUGCAGAUUUGUAUUUCUCCAUUGUAUAUCAAGUGUUGUACUAUGGAGAAUUAUGAGUACUUUCUCGAAAGAGGAGUAAUGUAAUGGGAACCAUGUUCUUCAUGGUAAGACGAUGAAAUUUGACUUUGAGUAGUGACAAUCAGUCGUGAUGUUGAGACGAUCAGUCGUGAUGUUGUCCUUAGUUAAAUUGUAAAGCAUGAAGUCAUUUUGUUUGAGUUAUUCGUCUUGAAGAUGACGCUUCAGUUGUGGGGGCCAAAGUCUGCUUUGAAAGGUUUAAGCACUCUAAGGUGAGGCUUACUGUGGAAACUGUGUACAUGCUACAGACAAACCCCUAACAAUUGAAGAUAGACUUAAAAAUGACUUGUGUGUUCUUCAUGCCACAAUGCGAUUGUUCUUUCUUCGGGAUAGAGAAGAUAGCCCUCCUUAUGUCCGUAUGUGGCUAUGAACUUUGGUUUGUGACAAAGAGAACCAUUGAUUUCAAGGUCAUUGAAAUGAAAUGGGCAUGACAAUAUCCAUAGGUGAGAUCAAAGGCCAAAGAUAUAAUUGGAAAGCCUAACCAUAUUGUCUAUAAAGCAGAUUUAUGCCGUGUUUACAAACCACAUGUACAUGGUUUUUGUUUGCUCCCUAAGUCCGCCAUGGUGCCUUGCGGGCAAGCCAGGGAUUUACUUCACAUACGAGAUUGGUGGGUGCGGGCGUGCCACUACUAGAUGCCGCUAGUAGACGGGAUUUGAAUGAUUGAGGUUGCGCCUUUGGACUUCAAAUCAAGAGAUUGUGCCAUUUGAGUGGGAAUUGCUCAAAUUAAGGUUCUUUGUUUGCCUUGAAAAUAAGGACUUUACUUAUAUGGAGAGAUAGAACAAUAUGUAAAUGAUAAGGUUGCUUGGAAAUAUAAAUGACAGAGGAAAAUGACUAAUAUUGCAGAUUGCUUGUGACUGGAAAUGAGUACAUAAAAGCUACAAAUGAGAUCGAUACCGCAAAUGAGCAGCAGAGCUAAUAAACUUAAAUAAAAGAAGGCUUUUGGCAAAUCUGGUUUGAGCAGAGUUUGUGCUUUUGUUUGUUUGUUUGAGUGUCCAUAAUCCUUCUCCAUCUACUUCUUUAUAUAAGGAUCUGGAAGAGCCCCCUUAUUGAGAUCUUUGUACUUGCCCGAAAGAAGCUUGGGCAGCUUGCAUUUCCUUACUUGGGUAGCUUGCAUUGCUUUUGCCAACUUGCAUGUAGAAACAAUAUUAAAAGGGGAACUUGCAUCUCCACCAUAUGUUUUAGCACAUGUUUUCCUACUUGUAAUAAACUAACAUUUAAAAGAAGCAAGUUGGCUUCUUUCACAUAUUUUUUGCAUCCACAUCCGUAAGUUGCCUUCCAACCCUUUUGCAAGGAUGCAUGCAUCUUGAUUAAACAAAGCUUGACAAAUCUCCACCACCAAAACAAAUUGGAAGAACAAUAUUAUAGUGUCAAACCCCUCCACUUGCCUCUAAAUAUCUUUCCAAAUUAGCUUUCUUGCAUAUUAAUCCUCUAAAUGCCAUAUUUUACCCAAAUUACCCAAAUAAGUAAAAAUGGGUAUAUUUUGAGUGCAAACAGUUUUAUUACAUUCGGGCAAAAGAUUUGGUGAAAGAAAAUAACCAACCAAGUCAUUUGGGAUAAUGGGAUUUCACGAGGAUGAUGGAGGAAGAUUUAGUCUUCUUUAUAUCUUGUUCAACUAUUAAUAAUUAAAUGUGACAAAAAAAAAAGAGUUUUGCUCAUAAGCCAAGUUAGUCAUGGAUAAAACCAAAGGACAUUCCUUUGAGAGAAAUUAUACACUGAAAAUGUGGGGGUCUUUUGGAAAGAAAAGAUGAUACAUUGAAAAUGUGUGGAGCAUCUUGCAAAAUUAAAUUAGACAUGAUGAUGCUUAUUAAGUAAGCAUAUGAAUAGUCAUGCAUGGUAGUCAUAAUAUGGAAAGGAUGAAAGUCAAGAAGUGCUUUUCCCAUAAUAGCUAGUGAGGCAUGAAGGCCUAGGAAGAUAAAUACAUAAGGUCUUAUCUUUAGUUGUUUCCUACUUUUUAAAGAACAAAACAUGAUCGAUUUAACAAUAACGUUAGAAAUUAACCACAAUUAUCGAAGAAUUGUGGGGGUAGCUUAACUAUUUUUGAGAUAUGAGAUUUACUUACAAAGAAUGGAAACAUAAUUUGCUAAUCAAAUGAGACAAUCAAGAUGUCAUCUCUUGUAAUGAGUAAUUGUUUAAGGUAUGGCAAGGUUAUAGACCUUCUAUAGAUACCUUAAAUGUGGGGGAAGUCUACUUCGGUAUGGCAAGGUUAUAGACCUUCUAUAGACACCUUAAAUGUGGGGGAAGUCUACUUCCUAGUGUUAGCAAAUUAUUACAUAAGUCCUAACAUAUGUUUCGAGGACUUAACAUUGGAAAACAACUAUUCUCGUAUGAAAAAUAAUUUCAUAAUAUGGAAGUGCACACCAUAAGAGUAGUCAACCUUAGUGGUACCAAUUAGUAAAUGUUUGACUAGGGAGUAAGUUAAUCAUCGAGGGGAAUGAGGCUGAAGCCAACAUAACUAAUGAAUCAGUCGGGCGAAAACCUAACUUAGUUGAUUGGGGAUCCCAUGGUCUAAGUUCAAUAGGCAAACUAGUUGGGCAUGAUUCAAAGAAGUUAACAUACUAUAUACCUCAUUCCUAUGAUGGAAGAAGUGUGUUGUCUGCAGAAGUUUUAGGGUGUAUAUUUAUACUUAAUGACAGUGAUAUCUUAUAAAUAAGAGGAAUAGAGCAGACUAUUUUUUAUCAGUGGUUACCUAUGUGAGAAUAGAAGUGGGUCGCUUCUGUGAGAAUGAGAUGGCUAAAUUCUCUAAAGCUCUCAUGAAUCCGAGAUUUGUUCAUGACCAAAAUAAACACAACCGUAUGAACCAGAAUAUAUUAGGAUUAGGGAUGUAUGUUGCUUAUUGUCUCGGUUUACUGCUGCGGUGAACAGUUCAAGAUUCCAUAUCCACUGCGUCACCAAGUAAAUCCGAUAAGUAUUCACUAGGGUAGGUUCAAGUCCAAAAGACACCUCUCCUGAUGCAUAUCUUGUCCGCCUGUACUCUCAAAUUCUUCCUAAUUUUUCAUUCAUGUAGGGGAUUGUUGGAAUUUAUAUAUUAUAAUAUUAAUAAUUAUAAUAUUUAAUUCAAAAUAUUGAAUGAAAACCCCAUAACCGUUUAAAAGGGAUCAAGGCAUUCCUUGGUAAAACGGUAUCAUCUAAUAGAUGAAUGUUUGUAUCUCUUAAUCAACCAGUAUCUUAGGUUUUAUAUAAACUCACGUUAGUAUAGCCGUGAAAGAUAGAAAAUUAGAGUUAAUUUUUACUCUUGAGAAAUAGUGUUUCCCCACUUUGUUUAUCUCAUGCUUCGUGUGUCAAAUUCCGAGUCGUGUUUUGAGAGUACGGAAAAGACAAUUUCUAUGGGGAAAAAGUUGAAAUAGGGGAUGAAGAUUCCCGAUUUUAAUUUCGUUAAAUAGGUGUAAUUUCACAAUUCCAACUACAACAAGAAUCACAAAUUCAUAUGCGGAAAAAUCUUGCGAGCACCAAACUUUACUAUUAGGGCGCCAAAUUUCAUGAUAAAACCUGAUAAGGGGUUUAGGGCUGCAUCUUUCACUCUAUUAACUCUCCAAUCUUCGAAGGGAUUUUCGGCUCUUGCAUCAUCUCUUGCUUUUGUUCUAGGUCAGCGUCUCUACUCUCUUCUUUCUUGAAUUAUUUUAGCUUUUCGGGUAUACUCUUUAUGCCAAUUGUGAAUUUUGCUAGUUAUUUUUAUUUUAUGAUAGUCAUAUGUUUGCUGUGCUUUUUUUCUUCCGAUUGAAUUGUGUAUUGGUUGGAUCUGUAACACAAUUUUUCAGUUUUUUUUAUGGACUUUGGUGUUAGUUCCUUGUUAUAGAUAUUGUGCUUUUGAAGGUUUAACAAUAGGCAAGGCUGAAUAUGAUGAUUUCGGUGUUAAUUACUUUCUCAUGGUACUAUACCAGAUUGUUCUCUCUUUGCAUUUACAUGUAACUAACUGUUCAUUGUAGAAAUGUAGUAUUUGGAAGACCUUUUUUUUCUGAUUUAGUGUAUGUUUGUUGGACAAAAGAAACAUGUAGAAGAGAAAACAUGAUUAAUAACAUUGUGCGUCUAUUUUUUUUUUUUUUUGACAGAAGCGAUAGAGUAUUCUAUUACUAAAAACAACCAAAUACAAGAGGUGUCAUGGCUACAAUUUCUCCAUGGCAAAUUUUUUGCAAACAUUUUGUAAACGCUCUACGGCUACCACAAUAGACCAUUAUAAACAGAGAUUCCGGAUAAAACUGUCACAAGGACGGCAGACACGACAAUCCUCACACCCGUACCCUAACAUAAGAGCAACUCCAUCCAUGGAGCCCUACCCCCUGGCAAUCCACUAUUCAAUCCACCAUAUUGAACAGUAACUGCCUUAAAUGAAUAGUAAUUACCAUUAAUGAACAGUAAUUGCCAUUUACAUCUUCAUCCUUGGAACCCUCCCCCUAGCAAUAAGCAAUUAAAAUAAUAGUUUUUUUUGUUUGUUUAAAUAAUAAAAAAUUGCAAAAGCUCUGGUCCCUCUCUCUCUCUCUGACACAAAAAAAAUAAAAAAUUGCAAAGCCCUCGGGCCACAUGCCCAUCGACUCCCCACCCCCCCCCCUUCGCUCGGGCUCUCACUGUCGCUCAACCUCCACACGGCUGGACCUCUCUCCACCGGCCCUCGGGCCCUUUGUCCUCGCCUGUCGCCCGAGCAACCAGCCUCCGCUGGAGUUGCUCUAAAGCCAUCGACAAUGAGGCUAAAUAAAUCGCUUAAGAGAUACAAACAAAUCACCGCAAUAACACAAUCUACUUAACCCGCCCAAGGCGCUACAAACAAAAUCUUAAACCUAAAGUCGAUGACAUGUCCACAUGCAUGUCCAAGGGGAAGAGACGUUGCAGGAGGCAUGGGUUGCCCGACCAUGUGGGUCUGUCGGUGGCAAGGACAACAAAGCAAUACCAAACUACUUCUAUCAUUCUCCUUAGCGCUAUAUUUUUCCUUAGCGCCAUAAAUUUCGCUUAAAAAGCAUAGGAAGGAAGGCUAAAAUUAAGGCGAAGAACCUGCCUCCACUAAUUUCCAUAGGGGAGAGAGAGAGAGAGAGAACACCAAGCAGUAUUAUAAUAUAGGUGGUCUUAAAUAACCUUCCGUGGAGUCGCAGUAAGGACUUCAAAUAUCCCAGAGAAAAGUCAGUCAAUAGUUUUUGACAGAGUCAGUCAACGGCGAAGACAGAAUUGUGUAUCAUAAUGCUCUCUCCCUCUCUCUCUCUCUCUCUCUCUCUGUCGUCAAUGGAUAACACCAUAUAAUUACUACGUGUAUAUCACUGCUCAAUUACACAAUAGAAAAAUCCUUGCGCAUUAUUUUUGUUCUUAUUAGCUCAGAAAUGCAGAAAUUGAUCAUCUCUUACUUUUGCAUAUUGUUACUGGUUUUCUUCAAACUAGUUGGAGCAAGCCAUGCGUGCCUGGAAUCCAAGUGUAGCGAUGAUCAAGGCGCAGCUAUCCAUUUCCCAUUGCGCAUCAGCCGCAAACAUCAUUGUGGAAAUCCUGGGCUUGAAUGCAAUGUAAGAUAUGAGCAGCAAAUACUAGUAAAAUUAUUUGUCAAACACAUAGAUUACAAGCGUCAGGAAAUCCAAGUGUAUCCCCCAAGUGAUUGCCUGCUGCUGAAGCCUGUCGAAGUCACAAACAUAGAUUACAAGCGUCAGGAAAUCCUAGUGUCUCCCCCAAGUAACAACUUGUCAUAUUCUUUCAUCAGAAACUUAACCUUAUUCAGUUGUCCUACUUCUGUUGCAAGAGAUACAUAUGCGUAUCAAGUCCACUGCCUCGGUGACCCUGGCAGCAGAAUUUAUGCCCUUGAUUCUACAUAUCAAUUAGAAAAUCUCUUCGAGAAUCUACAAUCUUGUUCAAAGAUGUAUGAUGUUUUAUCUGGCAAUUGGGAGGGUAAUGGUUCUGUUCUUCAAUUCAAAUGGUCAAAACCAAAUUGUACAGAAUGUGAAGCGGAGGGAAAGAUGUGUAGAUGGAAGAACAAUGGCACCAACAGUGAAAUUGAAUGUCAACGCGUGAGGAAACCAAGUAAGGAGAACAUUAUAUUCAUUGCUAGUUUUAAACAUCGUUACAUUUAUGUCUGAGUAAUUAUUAUUUGAAGGAUGUUGUCCGAUCCAUUUUUCUGAGGAUAUUAAUUGUCAGUCUCGAUUUAAUUUGCAAUUCUUUUACAGGCAACACAUGGAAAUUAGUGGUUACAGGUGGAAUUCUGGGUGCUUUGCUUCUUGUUCUACUGAUGAUUGCAGCAUAUCGGGUAUAUAGCACUGAUAGGAAGGAAAAAGAGAGUCGAUUAAGAAUUGAAAGAUUCUUGGAGGAUUAUAAAGCACUCAAACCAAGCAGGUAUUCGUACGCAGAUAUUAAGAGGAUUACAAAUCAAUUCAAGGACAAGUUGGGCGAAGGAGCCUAUGGAACUGUCUUUAAAGGAAUGCUCUCUUCUGAAUUCUUUAUUGCUGUCAAAGUCCUCAACAGUUCAAAGGGAGAUGGGGAAGAGUUCGUAAAUGAAGUGCGAACGAUGGGUCAUAUCCACCAUGUCAACGUGGCUCGCUUGGUUGGAUUUUGUGCUGAUGGAUUUGUACGAGCUCUUGUUUCCCUGCAGGAUUUUAUUUCAUCUGCAGAUAGUAAGAAUUCACUUCUUGGUUGGGAUAAGCUGCAAGAUAUUGCCCUAGGCAUAGCCAAAGGAAUUGAAUAUCUUCACCAAGGAUGCGAUCUACGAAUCCUGCAUUUCGAUAUCAAGCCCCAUAAUGUGUUGCUAGACCAAAACUUCACUCCAAAAAUUUCUGAUUUUGGUUUGGCCAAGUUAUGUUCCAAGGAUCAAAGCUUGGUGUCCAUAACUACAGCUAGGGGGACCAUGGGCUAUAUUGCACCUGAAGUGUUCUCCAGGAAUUUCGGAAAUGUGUCUUACAAGGCAGAUGUCUACAGCUUUGGAAUGCUGCUGCUUGAGAUGGUAGGAGGAAGGAAGAAUAUUGGUUCAACCACGGAGAACACUACAAAUGAAAUCUACUAUCCACAGUGGAUUUACAAUCUUCUAGAGGAAGGGGAUGACCUACGAAUCCGUAUUGGGCAAGAAGAAGAUGGUAAAAUUCCAAAGAAACUUGCUAUUAUAGGGUUAUGGUGUAUCCAAUGGCACCCGUCGGAUCGUCUUUCCAUGAAAACAGCCGUUCAGAUGUUAGAAGGAGGAGGAGGAGAAAGCUUGACCAUGCCGCCUAAUCCCUUCAUGCCUACAGGUCCUACAACUAGAAAUGCAAGACGCCUAGAGCGAGAAGCAAUUGCUGAAUUAGAGUAAAACGUAUAUGACAGAUAUGUAGAUUCGUAUUGAAUGUGUAAUGAUUCAAACCUAAAGGGAUAUUUUGAUAACCAUUUCAUUUUGGCACCAAACAAAAGAAAUUUGUUUCCACUCCAUGUUUAAGCAAUAGAUGCCGAUUAUUGUUUAUCAUUUAUUAAAUUUUAUUUUUGGUUACGGUAGAAGCCUAGAAGGCAAUCGAGCACCGGACUUACCAAAUUCUAACUCAUUUCUACACACCAAGAGCUUGAUUUCGGUUCUUAUUUUUACUAUUUAAGCUAUAAGCCGUGAUAAUAAUUAGAGCACUAUCAUUUGUUGUGAGCUUCAACUGGUUAUUUUGUAUGUUUUAAACUUUUAAUUAGAAUUUAUUUUUCACUUAGACUUAUCUUUCCGUAUGGCAUGCCAUCCCAACCCUAGUUUUUCUCCUCGCUUGGAGUUUGGGAUACGAAAACUUGCCAAACAAAGUAGAUUGAUUAGUAACCGAAGCUAAUUAUUCGACUGAAUAUUGUUUAGAAUUUUAAUUAACAGAAACAAUAUGAAUCUUUUUUGUUUGUUUUGAAAACUAGAGAUUAAAUUGUUACUUGUUAGAAGUAGAGUGAUUGGUAGACAUCGAAUCCUUACAUAAGUGCAUAGGCAUUAUUGCGUGAGGAUGACGUGAGGGCAAGGGAAGUAGCAGCAGACCGUGUGGGCUGCUGUGGUUCAUCUGCUCGGGUGACAGGAUAGCCUUUUUGACGAAAUUAUAAAGCGCAUAAACUUUUUGACCAAGAGAGUGGUCAACUAGGGGUGGGCACUUGAAAUCGAAAACCGAAACCGAAACAUGAACCAAAUCGGACCGCACCGAACGAUUUGGUUUUGCGGUUUUGAAACCGAACCGCAUUGUAGGAAACGGUUUGGUUUUGGUUUUGGCUUUUGAAAACCGCACCGAAACCGAAACCGUAUCUCAAAUUAUAUGCCAUGUUUUAAUUAGUUGUUUGUUAGAGUCCAUACAUUUAGUAUGUACAUGUCAUAAUAAUGAUUAUUUUUUCCAAGUUAUAUCCCUCAUCAAGCUUGGCAUCUCAAUGUUUCUUUACAGGAAAAGAAGAAAACUUUGUCACAGUUAUAUCCUUAGAACCCUAAUUUUCAAGUUUAGAAUGAUAGCCUAUAUAAUAUAUUAAUCAGAAAUGCAAAUGAAAACUCAAAAGGAACAAUGAGCAUCAAAUAAGAGUAGUCACAGAAGGAGAGAUACAAGACCGAAUCUCUAAUCAAGUAAUAAGUUGCAGCACUUCAUUUGGGUACUUUUUCCUGCUCACAGAGUUUAUCACUUGUGCAAGAGUUUAUCAUCUGUGCAAUUAGCUAGCUAGAGUAAAGAAAAGAAUUCUCAUGUGGGUGGUUAAUUAAUGUAUGUGUGGAAAAUGAGACUGUGGUAUGUGUAAAUAAGUAUAAAUUUUAAAUUGUAGAUUUUUUUUUCUAAAAAGCCAAACUUAAACCGUUUGAAACCGCACCGAACCGAUCGGUUUUGACUUUAAAACCGCACCGAACCGCACCACAAAAAGUUGUGAUUUCGGUUUUGGUUUCACUCAAAACCACACCGAACCAAACCGUGCCCACCCCUAUGGUCAACAAAUGGGACAUGGAUUCGUCGAAUCCAAAUCCUAAGAAUUCAUUAAUCUAUAUUAUUGAAAUUUGAUCAAAAGAUUAAAAUUAUUAUAAUUUUAAAAUAAGCUCGUAUUUGUAACUGUUGAAUCAACCUUUAAUGAUCCAGAUUGAUAAAUCCUUAAGAUUAGGAUGUAUGAAUCCGAAAAGGAUCAAUGUCCCAAAAAAUAUGCAACGUUUUGCAAGGGUAUUAAAUUUAUGAGUGGGAUAGACACAAAUAGCAGACCGUGUGGGGUGCUGUGGUUGAUCCACUAGGGUGGCAGGAUAGCCUUUUUGACCAAAUUAUAAAGCAGACUUUUUGACCAAGAGGGUGGCCAACAAAUAUGCAACGUUUUACACGGUAUUAAAUUUAUGACUGAGGAUUUGGAUCCUCUCCUGAGCUAAUGGAGAUGAUCUUCCUGACCAACCAUUAUGGGUUGUUGGAUUUUUAUCCAACGGUUAUAAUUAUUAUAACUUUAAAGGAACUCCCUUUUUAUAACCGUUGGAUAAAAAUCUAACAGUCCAUAAUGGUUGGUCAGGAUGAUCCUCUCCAUUGGCUCAGGAGAGGAUCCAAAUCAGAUGGACACAAGUAGCAGACCGUGUGGGGUGCUGUGGUUCCUCCACUAGGGUGGCAGGGUAACCUUUUUGACCAAAUUAUAAAGCAGACCUUUUUGACCAAGAGCGUGGCCAAUAAAUAUGCAACGUCUUGCACGGGUAUUAAAUUUAUGACUGGGAUGCACACUCAUCUUCUUCCUCAUUCGUUGUUUAUGUAAAAAAAUGUAAUAAAUUGUAAUAAUGAUCUUUCAACUUUAAUUAAAUUGAAACAAUAGUUUUUUAAUUAAAAUUCAUUAUUAUUAGUCUAUUAACUCAUUAAAACGUGUAGCUAUAGUCAUUUUCGUCAACUCCUUCAGAAUUCUGUCAAAAUAAGUUAUGUUGAAAGGACCAUUGCUAUAAUUGGGUUAAAGUUAGGGACCAUUGCUAUAAUUGGGUUAAAGUUAGGGACCAUUGCUCUAAUUGAGUUAAAUUUGAGGAAUCAUUUCUCUAGUUGGAUUACAGUUGAUGGAUCAUUGAUACAAUUUUUCUUAUUUGAUUUUUCAUUGUGCCCCUUGAUUUAGCCUCAAGUGCAUGACAUGUGACUAUUUUGACGGAAGUUCUAAUGGAGUUGACGAAAAUAAUCAUAGUUGCACGUUUUGAUGAGUUAAGAGACCAAUGAUAAUGAAUUUUUAGUUGAGGGAUCAUUGCUCCACUUAGAUUAAAAUUAAGAGAUCAUUACUAUAAUUUACUCUGAAAACUAAAGGCCUCCUAUUUUAGUUAUGUUUGUACCAUACUUGACCAAUCCCAAAACUACUGAGCACCGGUCAACGUUAUACCAUCAAGGAUCCAGAAGAGUUUCUCUCAAACCAGGAGGCCAAUCACAACACGACACAUGUCGAUAUCAAAAGCCAAUCAUAGCGCGACACGUGUCAACAUCAGAAGCCAAUCACAACACGACACGUGUCAAUGUCAGAACAAAACUAAAAACUCUCUUCUAUAAAAGGAGAUCAUUCUCCCUCAAUAUUUCCUAAUGUUCUUUGUACUAAAUCAUUCACUAGUACUGACUAAAUGAGAGUUUGAACCUAUGUACUUGUGUAAACCCUUCACAAUUAAUGAGAACUCCUCUACUCCGUGGACGUAGCCAAUCUAGGUAAACCACGUAUAUCUUGUGUUUGCUUCCCUGUCUCUAUCCAUUUACAUACUUAUCCACACUAGUGACCGAAGCAAUCUAACGAAGGUCACAAACUUAACACUUUCUGUUAUACCAAAGUCCUCACUGAUUUUGUGCAUCAACAAGUUGCAUUGGAGAAUCCUUUCAACCAUCCAAAUCCAAAACAUGGAUCUAAGGAGCCAAGAAACAAAGAGGAGUUCGUCCAUAUUCAUGGAUACAAGAAGCUAUGAGCAAGGGAAUGAGGACCUCACUUUGGGUGACUAUCAUUUACUUCUGCAAAGAGGACCUACAAAAAUAUAAAGUCAACUCACUUUGCUUUGAAUUUGAGUUGAGUCUUUGACUAACUACUAGACUCUGAAUUUCAUGAGUUAAGUUUUGUUUUUGAAUGCAUAUAAGCAUGCUAGAGCCUUUAAUUGUUAAUUACAUGUAUAUGUGUUGCUCAAAUGAACUUAGUUUAUCAAAUUUUUCUCUCAAGACCAAGGUAUUAAAUAUCGAUGAUAUCGGAAAUAUCGGUAGUCCAAAAACACGGAAAUAUCGAUGGAAAUAUCGAUGGAAAUAUCGGGAUAUUAUCGAUAUCGAUAAAAAUAAUAUGGAAACCACGGAAAUUGUAAGAAAAACUUGGAAAUUUUUAUUGAAACUUUGCAGAAUGUUUAUUUAGUCAAUUAUCUAUUAGUUUAUCACAAAAAUUUGGAAGGAAAUGCAUUGCAUGAUGGAUUUAACUGAUUUAAGUUGAUUAUAUAGCGAGCUGGCAAACAUUGUGAGUGUAGAAAAUAUGUAGUAAUUAAUGAAAGAAGUUUAAACACACCAUAAUCAUUUAUAUAUAAUGAAUUAGUACAAUAUUUUACACUUUAUACAUUGCAUGGUAAGAUACAUGAGUGACUAAGUACCACAUAGAGUUCCUAUGAGGUUCAAAAUUUUCACUAUCUUCAUCAUCUCUAUGUGUAGAGUAAGUGUAUUGUGAAGAGUAGUCAGCAACCAUGGCAAUGGCUUUCAAGAACCGAAAUCCAAAAGUCAAUAGGAAACCGAAUACUUCGGUAUUUUUCGGGAUUUCGGGAUUACCAAACAAAUGGGAUUUGGAAACCAAUCCCAUAUCGAAAAUUUCGGUAUUUUUCGGGAUGGGAUUCCCGAACUUCGGGAUGGUUUUGGUUUGGGAUUUUUCGGUUUGGGUUUGGGACUUUUUCGGUUUGGUUUGGGAUUUUCGGGAAUUUUUUCCAACCCUACAUGUAAGUGACCAAAUAAAAAAUAGAAAAAUUAAAAACCACAUGCCAUUGACUAAGUAAUUAAUUGACACAAUUUAAAAUAUAAUACCACAAAAAAUUUGGAAUAUGUGCAAAUUUGUUUCUUGCAAAAAGAAUUCAAAACAAAACCAUAUAUAUAAAUAUUUUAGCAUGUUUUCACAAAAACAUAAGUGGUAUAGUGGUCAAGGCGCUGAAGGAGUUAGAUGGGAGGGGUUUGAAUCCCUCUAUGUGCAUGUUUGAGACUUUUCAGAAAUUUUCAAAUAUUUUUAGGUUCAUCUCGCGAUAAUAUCGAUAUUAUCGCGAUAUAUUAGCGAUAAUUAAAGGAAUACUCGUGAAAUAUCGUUAUAUGAAAAAAACGAUAAUAUCGGCGAUGUUUCGCUGAUAUUAUCGAUAUUUUCUUCUAUGUUCAAGACCAACUUCUAUGGCAUGCGUGGUGUGUUUGAGACUUUUCAGAAAUUUUCAAAUAUUUUUAGGUUCAUCUCGCGAUAAUAUCGAUAUUAUCGCGAUAUAUUAGCGAUGAUUAAAGGAAUACUCGUGAAAUAUCGUUAUAUGAAAAAAAACGAUAAUAUCGGCGAUAUUUCGCUGAUAUUAUCGAUAUUUUCUUCUAUGUUCAAGACCAACUUCUAUGGCAUGCGUGGUGUCUCAUGCCAAUCACACAAAUGUUAUGUAAAAAGAAUUUACACGUUGUGUUGCAUGAUUGACAAUUAACGACACAAUAGUGUUAUAACCGUGUCAAUGUUAUGAAAGUUUUUAUGCAAAGUCACUUGAUAUGCCGCAACAAUUAGUAAACAAUAUUAGAAAGACCUAGAGGAACCCACAAUUAAUUCCAAUUCAUUAAGUAGCUCAUGUGCAAGCAAAGUAUGGGCUUCCCAUGGGCAGGAGCUGGAAUUUACCCAUAUUUGGUAGUUAUGUAGCAUUAUACGAGGAGCCUGCUCAGCAUUCAAUAUGUUCACCCACAUGAUGUUGAGUGUAAUCCUUCUUAAGGUUCAACGAUAUUGUUUCUAUUAACAAAUAUAAAUAAAAAAAUAAGCGAAAUACUAGAGAGAUUACACGUUUAUAUUACAUUGUUGUACCAUAUUGUGAUAUGGCUGUGUACAUACCACGUCUUGUAAUGAGUUUAUCUCAUUAGAUGUUAGACUGUUGGUUAUUUGUAUUACUUAUUACAUCAUAUGGUACAUCAAUGUGGUAUAAAUAUGCAAUCUCUCCAACAUUACCCUUAGGAAAAUUUUAUUUGAACCCAUCUAACCUCUUUCUACACCCAACUUAAAUUCUAAAUGUGAAUUGUCUAUUUUAUCCUAAUGCAUAAUUACCAUCAAGUACAAGAUGAAAUUAAGAAUAAAACUAAAAUUUAUCAAUAAACCCAUACUCAAUAAUUAAGUUCUACCAUCACACAAUUUUUAUCCUACAUUCAUUUUGAAUAAAUUCCUAAGGGCUGCAAUAAAACCCUACGAUCACCUAAUAAUCAAAUCCGGUUGCUUUUUGUUUCCUCUCUAGCUUCAUGUUAACUCGAUCAGUAAAAACAAAGUAUUCAAAGUAUUCAUGUAUAAAAUAAGCCAACUUGGACUGGACUUGCUAUAAACCUAAAAACAUAAGCAGAAUCCCAGUUGCUAAUUCCACAAGAACUCGACUUGCGACCAUUCAAAACCCAAUAAAAAUUCAAGAAAACCAGAACUUACCAAGUGAACGUUGACGGCUGAGCCAGAGCAGCAACGACGAAAGGAAGCAUUGCAGAUAAGACCUGAGACGACGAGCCGUCGGAAGCCCCUUUGGAUAUUUCAGCUGAUGGGUUUAUCCCAAACGACAGCAUCAACGCGUUGCCUUCCUUCCUCUGCGACCCGACUCUGCUGAUGUGCAAUGUGCUUACUCUUGUAAUCACUCCAUGUGCCAUGUGCAAACAAUCGAAGCACAUCGAGGUAGACAUAAUUUUCAGUUCCUUCAAGCUGCACAUAUUCCACAGUAAAAAAACAAAUGCAUAUGAAACAAGACCCUAUAACAAUCAACAAUUUUAUUUUGACUUUGGCUGCAACAAAAUUCUGAUUAUACAUCCUUUGCUCAAAUCCAGAAACUACACCACCAAAAUAUACACAGAAAAAUGAAACUUCCACAAUAAAUAAAUAGAAACAUGGGAACCUGAAGAACAUUAGGGACAUCGAUAAUUUCCGAAAAGGCAAAAAGGGCAGGGUGGGAGGUGACUUCUGCGACGAGGGGGCCGAGGGCGGAGCCAUCGAGUGAUGAGGCUUGCUUCACGAAGUGAUCAAAGGCCUCCUCUUGCUUUUGCUUUCUAAAAGGGUGUAAAGAUGAAUUUUUAUAUAUUGAAUUGAGUUUGUGAGGGUAGUUUAGAUAGUAAUUUGGGUUUAGAGAGAAAUUGAUUCUUUAAUUAAAAAUAAUAUGGGUGUAAAGAAUAAGUUAGGUGUAGCAAGAAGUUGUAUGGGUUCAAAUAAAAUUUCCCUUACCCUUAUCAGAAACCCUAAAAGACAAGAAAUGCUCUAUACUAAGACGUGUUUAUCAAACCGGAAUGAAAGUGUAGGAAAUGGAAUUGCACGAACUCCAAGUCAUUUUAGUGUUUACUAAACCAGAGGGAAUCAACAUUCAGGUGGGACCCACCCAAAAUCCGGAAUACAAUUCCUUAAAUACCCGGAAAUGGAUUCUUGACUUGGGAGGUGGGAAUUGAGUUCCUGAAAAUAGAUUCAUCAGGGAUCCAAGUUUUCUACCCAUACUAUCCUCAUGCUUUUUUGGUAAACCCAAAUAUCCCUCACAAUUUCACCUCCCCAGUUCCAUGACCAGUGUAUAGACCCAUCUCUCUUCUCCCCAAUCCCACCAUUUCCUAACAGAGGAGCUUCGACUCCAGUGAAAUCCCGACCCCUUUCUCCUUGCCCCGUCGCCGCAGACUAUCCAAAAUACAUGCAUGAACGCACAAAGAGAGGGGAAAAUGUAUGGCGUGGCCGCAUGGUCAUCUAAAAACAGGGGGUGGGGACGGUUGUGAUAGGUGGUGAGGAGCUGGGUUUGGGGAUGUAGGGGGGAGAAGAUGGCAUCGCAGCUUUUUGUGUUUUGGGUUUUUUUAUGUUAUUUUAUAUUUUUAAUAAAUUUGUUAAUUAUUUAUUUUGCUGAAUAGUUAUGUUUUCAUGUAGCUAAUUGGAUUUUAUGAGCAUAUGUGGUUAUCAAAAUUAACCAUUAACUAGCAUAUAAAAAUAUAAUUUAUAACAAGGGCAAUUUAGUAAUCAAAUAGGUUUCAAUUCCGAUUCAUGUGAGUGAGUAAAUAAUUUUUAUGUAAUCAAUAUCAUUUUUAUUCCGAUUCCAGAUAGUUUAGUAAACAGAUUCAACAUGAAUCCAAUUCUAAUUCCACUUCAUUCCAUCUUCUUCUCAAUUCAAUUCAAUUCCUCAUACUCUGAUUACGGAUUAGUAAACGGGUCAUAAAACGGAAAGAGAAAAACAUUGUUCAUAACCAACAGUGUUUUUACUUUUUUGCCCUCAUUUUUAAUGUUUCUGUGUUCCCACUUUUAUGCCUCUAUACAGUGAAAUCCCCAAUUGCCCUAUGGGCAUAGGUGUGUAAAAAAAUUGUUUUGCACACGUGGCAUGCUAGGGAGAUUUCUCUGCUGCACCGUUUCCUUCCAGCUCCACUCCGAAUCGAUACUGAAUACUGCUCAACCAAAUUUUUUCAUCAUUUCAUUCCGUCCUUGUCAACCUCUUCAUUCUUGCUCCACCAUGAAUCGAAACAAAAAAUUGCUCAUCCAAAUCAAUUUCAGUUAACUCAAAUCCCUAAAACCCAAAUUUCUCCAGAUCUUUGGAUUUAGUUUACUUUUUGUUGUUGCGUAAAGCUUAAAUUUACGUACAAUUUUUUUAUUUUCUUGAUUGGAAUUUGGAAAGAAUCAAUUGUUCUUUGAAGGAAUUACAGAAAAUUGGAAAGGGGAAAUGGGAAAUGGGAAAGCGAGGAAAUGCGGGCAAAUGGGUUUUGGGAAAAUGACUUUUUUUUUUGGCAUUCGCUUUUGGCUUUCAUCCUUUCUGCGUUUGCUUUUCCUCAUUUUUUUUCUCAAGAACCAAACAUAAAAUAAAAAGAACCUAGAAAAAAGAAAAGGAAAAUCACAAGAUUAAGAAUCUGGGAUUGCAACAAUGGAGCUUCUGUGCCGAAAUAUCAAUUGGGUUCCGUUUGAUCUUCGGUGCUUCUUCUGCAUUCAAAAAGUUGGGGUUUUUUUGCGUGAUGGGAACACAUUUCCAAAUUCGACCUCAAUCCCAAAGGAACCAUCCACCAAAUAACCCUUCCUCCCUUUCUAUUUCUCUCUCUGUAAUUUCCCCUGACCGAAUCACACAAUCCAACCAACUCUCUGUGUAAGGCUGCCUCACAAAUUCCAUGGAUUUCAUGGACUUACCCUCUCUAUGAGCCUCCCUCGCCGAAUCCAACUAAUUUCCUUAGGCCCGUUUGGGAUUGAGGUGAUUUUAAAAAAAGCAAUUGUGAAAAAAAGCUGAGGGUCAUUUUUGUGUUUGGUAAACUGAAAAAAAAUGGCUUAUUUUGAAAGCUGCUGUGAGAAUAAGCUGAAAAUCAAAGGAAAAGCUGAAGCUGCUAUUUGCUGCUUUGAAAAAAAGCCAGUUUUUUCAAAGCACACGGAGCUACAAUGCUCCUUUAAUGAAAAGACACACUAUCAUCCUGCUUUUUUUUCCAAAAGCACUUUCACAAAAAAGUUUACCAAACACUCUACUGGCUUUAUUUCACAGCCGCUUAUUCUCACAGCAGCUUUUUUUCAAAGCACAGCAAUACCAAACCAGCCCUAAUUCCAUCGAUAGCCACACCCACCCCUCCCAACUGAAAAUGACAAUAAUGCCCACCCAACUUUUAUUCUCUGCCUUUAGAUCUCAAAUUAAAAUGGGUAAUAAAGUCCUUUUCACACCAAUACCCGCUAUUUAACAGCUCAAAUGUACACAACCCAAACAAACACAUGGCCUAAAGGGCCUACCCCAGACCCCCGGCCCAAAAAUAUAAAGGAAAACUAAUGAAAAUUGCUUGAAAACUUUGAGUUUUAAUGAUAAGGACAAAAUAAAGGGUAAAGUGAAUAGUACCAGGAUUGACUUUUUAGUGUAAAAAUGUGGUUUUUCGUUAAAGUGAACAGUACCGGGUGCUUUUCGUUAAAGUUCCCAAAAAAUAAUUGGAAAAAGAAGUGGCAAUUUGGUAAAUAAAAUGUUACCUUUUCCAUUGCCCAUUCCUUUUGGAAAAAGAAAUGAAAUUAAAACUCUUCAUUUAAAAUGGUCUUAAGCCAAAUUGUAUUGAAUGUGAAGCAGAGGGUAAGAGGUGUAGAUUGUAGAACAAUUACACCUAGAGCGAAAUUGAAUUUGUUGACAGGAGGAAACCAAGUAAGGAUAACGCGUCUAAAUCUUAUUUCGCAUCUAUUCUGCUCAUGAUUUUUCUGCUUUCAUGUAAUUAGCGGCUUAUAUUUGUGGUAACGAUAUUGAUUAAUUUCGAGAAAUGACAGUCUAAUUUUCGCAACUGUCUUUUGCAGGUAAAACAAAGACGGUCUAAUUUUCGCAACUGUCUUUUGCAGGCAAAACAAUGACAGUCUAAUAUUCGCAACUGCCUCCUACAGUUAGAAGCAAUUGUUGAAUUAGAGUAACACUAGAAAAUGCACCCGCGCUUUGCUGCAAGCAUUGAAUAAUUAGUCACAACAUUCAUGAAUAGCAUUCCAAUAAAGCAACUAAAAAGACGUCGUAAUACGUAAGAACCAUCGAAGUCAAAUUUUGCUUGCUAUAUAUGGAUAUGCAUGCUAUAAGAAACAUCUAUUUAUAGAUUGUAUUGUGUCAUCAAUAUCAUAGUUGCAAGUAAUCAGCCUACUACAUGGAAGAAAAACACAGAAAAGGGAAAGUAGAAAAGUAGAAACAUAAUACUUGAGUACCUGGCAAGAAUAGUAAGUUCUUGAAAAAAUUGCUAAACCGUCUAACAAAUUCAAUCGUUAAACGUUAUACUGUAACCCAAGACAAAAAUAAAGUAUAUUGUUUGUUUACAAAUCAAAACGAAGUGCUGCUACAAUCCUCAACAGCUAUGAAUCAUUUUCAAAUAAAGAUACUCAGAUUUGACGGCACAUCAAAUAACCACCAAGCGAAGCAAAUUACGCCAUGUGCUAAUAAGAAACUAAAACAAAAGCAAGAUUAAAUAUCGAAAUUUUUUUAUAAGGCAUCAAUUGACAAAAUGCUUCUUAAUGUGGUCUUCCAAGAAAUGAAUGCAGCUCACAAACAACUUAGAAAUCAUUGUCACCUCAAUCUUACUAAAUAGAAGCAUAAAUGGACAUGAUAGCUCCCUAAUUUUGUAAUAGAAACUCUAACAAAGAAUAUCAGGCUCCAAAGGCCCUAACUUUUCCUAGGCAUAAAUCUAUACAUUGCAAGUUUAAUUCCAACGAAGCAAAUAUGCGUGCAAAGUAAAAGGCAUCAACACUACAUGUACUGCUUACAAUCGUCUCAAGUUGCUGACAACAACAACAACAACAACAACAACAAAGCUUUUUCCCACUAAGUGGGGUCAGCUAUAUGAAUCCUAGAACGCCAUUGCGCUCGGUUUUGUGUCAUGUCCUCCGUUAGAACGCCAUUGCGCUCGUCUCAAGUUGCUGACACAAUGUUUAAAAUAUUCCAAGACUCAAAGAUUUUCACACAAAUAGAGCACCUUACCAAAACAAUAACCGAGGUUGUCGUAUUUGAAUCAAGCAGAUGCUUUGCAAGGCCUUCUUCAAUAUCGUCUCAUAUUCCCUUUUCAUUUUUCGUAUAUGAUACAAUAAACUAUUCAAAUCUAGACAUAAAUAAGAGAAUCUGCUACACCCUACUAUCACAAUUGUCAGUCCUGAACAAUAAUGCAAGUCUAGUGGCAAAAACCACCUCAAUGAACAACUCACACACACUGAUCAUACAUCUCUAACUCUCUUUUUCAAAUAACACACACUCUGAUCCAAAACAGGGUAAAUAAAAUGCACAUCCUUAUACAUUUCUAACUUUCUUUUUCGAAAUCCAAAAUAGGGUAUUCUAACUCUCUUUUUCAUUCAUUUCUUACAAACCAAUCAUACAUUUAAAAUAGGCUUUGAAUAAAAAUAGGGUAUAUAAUUAUAUACCUCAAAAUGCCUAGGAACCAACUUCCCCCUCCAACGAUUCAAAUUCUUGAAAUUGCCAACACAGUAAAUCCAUUAGUACUAUAUAAAUGAAAACACAAUUGAAACCCAUCAAACAAAACAAUCCCACAAUUUAAAUGAUUCAAUCCUACUACAAUUGAAAUUCACAGAAAGAAUGAAAAACCAGAACAAAACUGCAGCACCUAAAAAGUUGUCAUACAAAAAAACAUGGAAUGUAAAAAUAUGUUAAGAAAUCUAGUUCGUUAAUUUCCAGCUGCUAAGUGGCAUUAUGUAACUUUAGUAGUAUAACUAAUUAACUACUUAUCUGGUGGGUUGCACUUCUAUCCAAUUGGUAAGGAAAGGAAAAUAAAAAUCAACCCCUUGGUCUUAGUUGUGGCUGCAAAGUGCAGGCCACCACCAAGUCUCAGUGUUUGUGUUUUAGCAAAACACUUAAAUAAAUUAAAUUCUGAAAUGUAAAUUAUAUUCCUAUAACUUUAAGAUGCACAUAUAGUAUUGUUGAAGUCGAACUGAAAGCACUGACAAUUCCAAGCAACAGAGCAGCAAUUAUUAAGAGCCAAAACUCAUUCCUAGUCUCCUCAUCCUGGUACUCAACUCUAAUCUUCGGUCAGCAUCAUUGACUGAAAUUAGGAGAGAAAAAGAAAAGGAAUUUCAGAAAUUGUCUAUGAAGCAAAGGAUACUGCAGUUACUUCAAGACAUGUAAAUUGCAUAUGUAUAAAGUAAUUUUCUACAUAAAGGAAUGAGGCAUAACUUUCUCUCUCCUCUUCAAACCCUAAACAGUGCAAAGCCACAAACUUUACAGAGAUUAGAAUGAGAACUGGAAUUAAUAGAACAAUGACUGAAAAGUAACAUACUUGAGGAGUGAAUGAUUUAGUGUUUCCAUCAUCGGAACGCCGGAGUAAGUCGCUAAGAGAGGUCGCAAACAGCCCAAAGGGACAAACCCAGACCCCCGGCCCCGAUCCAUACCCUUCCCCCUCAAAUCCCGACGGCCCCCAUACUUUUCUCUGACUGUACACCCUCUCCCACUCAUGAAAUCGAGGAUCUGCAGCAAUGGUACUGAGAUCCCCACUCCUCCCUCUCCCUUUCUCUCUGUCGCUCUGUCUCCCUCUCCCACUGUCUGUCUAUCUUUAUCCCAGAGCGGCAUGGUCUCCCAUCCCUGAAACCCUCACCGAAAGGUGGCAAUUUUGUAAAUAACUUGAAAUCCACCAACAGCAGGAGCAGAGAAUUGAAACAAACAUUUAGGCUCGUUCGAUAACCAUUUAGGCCAAAACUGAGCACACCUAAACCAUUCCUACUCGUGCCAAAUGUUAGUGGGGAAGCAAGAUGAUGACUUUAUUGUUCAAAACCAAAAGAAAAAAAGAGAGAAAACAAAAUAACAAAUCUAAUGGUUGUAGUGUAAAAGCUGAGAACGUAAAUAAACAUGCAGAGAAAAAAAUUGAAGAUACAAAGUAGCUGCAUCAUGAAACACUUACUCCAAUUAGACGCAAAAAGUGAUGGUGAUGAGAAGAGAGAGAAAAUGCAAUCGUUUUGAUUUUUCUGGCUUUUAAAGGGAGCAGCUUUCUUCGACCACCCAAAAAAGGAAGCUGCUUCGUAUGGUUGUGAUUUCCUGAGUGUAUGUGAGCGGGUCUAUGGCACUUGCACUUUUUGUGUCGGUUACGGUAACCGGGCGAGCUGAACACGGCGGCAUGGGACUGAAUUCGGAGAGGUGAGAAAAAUUAAAAACACAAAAAGAAGGUGUUCAUUUUGUCACAUUUUUAUUACUAAAAAUUCAAUAAAGUACAUUCAUUAGUAUGGUAACUUAACUAUUUAAUUCCAUCUCAUUAAACUAAAAAAAACAAUUACAAAAAAAUAAGGGAAACCUUGUCCAAAGAGACCUGAGAGAAAGUGACGACUUCUCCUCUCAUUCCACUCCAUACUUGAUCUCUAAAGUCCAUUUGGCAUGUAAUUGAUGUUCAAUUUCAAAUUUAGUGGUAGCAAUUAGCAAAGCUAAUGAAAGAAUCAAAUAAAAUGAAAGAAAAAGCAUCAUGAAAUAAAUCAAGAUGAAGAAUGAAAUUUUGGCAACUCCCCAUUCUCUUCUUUUAUAUAAAAGAUACAUCCUAUUUGUAGUGAAAACAGGUCCCGACAAGCCCAUUUAUCCUCAAGAAGUAUUUUCUAUGACUUUAAAAACAUAAUCUGUGAAAUUAUCUCUUGGCAGAGAACAACAACAAAUCUUCAUGCAUAGCUUGUAGAGAAAGACAUCAGGCAUACAAAAGAACACGCAAGCAUAAAAUAAACGACGCAGGGAAAACAAAAAAUACAAUUAAAUACGCUGUCAAAAGAACAUGAAUAAAUGAAAAUUACAAAACAAAGAAGUGAUGAGAAACCAAAGUACCCAUUUCAUAAUCUAAUUGUUUUUUAGUUUGCUGCCAGCCAUCCCUGAGUAAUGCAUUCACUUCUGAACCCCAAACACACUGAAACAAAAAUUCACACACAUGAACUACAACUCCGCUAUGUAACAAGAAUUAAAAGCAUCUCAAAACAAAAUGGCAAACUAUAAGAGCACUGUAAAAGUAAAAUUGCAAGAAAUCUAAUACUUGGAGGGCAAGUACUAAUCAGACGAAAAUGAAAGAUUGAACUACUUCGCGUGGAACUGUGCCUUGGUUUUUUCCCAUGCUUACAGGAAGCUUUGCACUGAGCCCUUAUAGCCCAAAUUUUCUCUGAAGGAAAAAAAAACACAAUUUUGAAAUAAGAUUUUCAUAUUAUACCUUAAAGAGAAGAAUUAGACAACAAAAAAGAGAAGAAUUAGACAACAAAAAAGAGAAGAAUGAGUACUAUUCAUCAUAUAUUGUUAGAGUAUGUGGUCCUCUGGUCCAAUGGUCCUGCAGCCAUAUUUACUUUAUAACUCUUUCUUUUAGUCUUAAAAACAUCUUGGAUCUCAAAUUAACAUGUUAGCUAUGCGUUAGAACAUAUUGGGUUCAAUCCAUUGUCUUGAAUAUCACCCCCAGUCACAGCUGUCUCUUCGGGGCAUACAGAAGGCCUGAGAGGCAUUUGCAGACAUUCAAUAUCUGCUCCAAGCAUUUCGACAACUUUGGACAACGAAGGGCAAUCACUUGGUUUCAUUUGAAUACACACAAGGCGGUUAUAACCAUCUUUCUUAUCACUUUCUUUUCAUCCUCUGUAACAUUGUCUAUUUCCAAGUCAUUUCCCACAAUAUAUUGAUCAUAUACCCAUAACGGGAAAUAGAUUUGGCUUGGAUGCUCUACCGUUGCAUUCAAAUUCUUCCUUCUGCUUGCCAUUUCCAUCAACAACAUUCCAAAACUAUAGACAUCGGCCUUGUAUGAGACACCUCUAAUAUUUUUGUAGAACAACUCAGGAGCAAUAUAUCUCAUUGUACCCCGUGCUGCCGUCAAAGAGACAAUGCUAUUAUCUACUGGAUACAAUUUUGCAAGCCCAAAGUCAGAAACCUUUGUGUUUGCACUCAAAAUAUACCCAUUUUUACUUAUUUGGGCAAUUUGGGUAAAAUAUGGUAUUUGAAGGAUUAAUAUGCAAGAAAACUAACUUGGAAAGAUAUUUGGCUGCAAGUGGGGGGGGUUUGGCACUAUAAUAUUGUUUUUCCCAUUUGUUUAGGUGGUGGAGGUUUGUCAAGCCUUUGUUUAAUCAAGAUACAUGCAUGUAUUGCAAGUGGAUGGGAGAGCUUUCGGGCAAGAACGUGUAGUGAAAGAAGCUAGUUUGCUUCUUUUAAUUAUUUUAUUGCAAGUGGGAAAAUACAUGUGGUGGAGAUGCAACUUGCUUCUUUUUUAAUUGUUAGUUUAUUACAAGUGGGGAAACAUGUGCUAAAAACAUGUGGUGGAGAUGCAAGUUUCCCUUUUAAUAUUGUUUCUACAUGCAAGUUGGCAAAUGCAAAUGCAAGCUGCCCAAGCUUCUUUCGGGCAGGUACAAAGAUCUUAGCAAGGGGGCUCUUCCAGACCUCUAUAUAAAGAAGCAGAUGGAGAAGGAUUAUGGACACUCAAAACAACCAAUCAAAACUCUACUCAAAUUAGCUCAUCAGCUUCCUUGUAGACAUUUAUUUUUAGCCAAGCAUCCUUUGCUUUUCUUGUUUAUUAGCUCUGCUACUCACUUGUAGUAUCGAUCUUAUUUGUAGCUUUUAUGUACAACCCUCUUUCAGUCAUUUAAUCUACAAGCAAUCUGCAAUAUUAGUCACUUUCCUCUGUCAUUUAUAUUUCCAAGCAACCUUGUCAUUUACAUAUUGUUCUAUCUCUCCAUAUAAGUAAAGUCCUUAUUUUUAAGGCAAACAAAGAACCUUAAUUUGAGUAACUCUCACUCAAUGGCACAAUCUCUUGGUUCGAAGUCAAUCUCAGGCGCAACCUCAAUCAUUCAGAAUCUGUCUACUAACGGUAUCUAGUAGUGGCAUGCCCGCACCCCACCAAUCUCGUAUGUGAAGUAAAUCCCCGGCUUGCCCGCAAGGCGCCAUGGCGAAUUUAGGGAGCAAACAUAUUUUGGCACACCCGGUGGGAUACCUUAAAUAGAGUUAUAUUAUGAGCAAUCCUUAUGUUCAUGAUUUUUCUCAAUAUGCUUUUUCGGAGUAUGAGGAGGAUGACGGUGUUGAAGAGCGCCCAAGCUAUGGCUAUCACAUAGAGCCAACCUAUGAGUUGUCAACUUAUGGGUACAUGGCUGAAAAGUACUCAAGUCCCAUGGAACAUGAUUGUCGGCCAACUAAUGGCCAUCAAAUAAAUAAUAAUCUUGAAGAUUGGCCAACUUAUGGCUAUGAUGAAGGUUAUUAUUCUUUUGAAGACAAUCAUAUUCAUGAAUACUAUGAUAGGCCAACAAAUGGCUUUGAGUAUCAAAAUGCUUCCAAUGAGUACAUAGAGCCAAUAUAUGAGAUACCAACUCAUGAUCAUCCAGAUGAAAAGCUCUACAAAGAGGAUGUGGGCAAAUUAGAGAAGGUGUCCAAACUCCAUGUGGCAAGCAUCGAUAUGGUGAAGAGGUGACCAAGUGUUUUAGAAAGGUGGAGGAAAGCUAUACCACUUUUGGAGAAACUUUGAGAAAGUUGAUAGAUCAAAUGUGUCAAAUCCCCUCUACAAAGCACACUCACCCUACUACAACCAAGGAAGAACAAAUCAUACACGUUGAUGAAGGCCAAACAAUGGCCCCACCCAAUGAAAAAUCCAUGAAAAUGGAUAUGGUUGUAGAAGGCCAAGCCGACAUAUUGAAACCGAUAACGGCUAAGAUGGAGCUUAUGGCUAUUGUAGGCCAAACACCAACGCUCGGGGGGCUCGAACUCACACCUCAUGUGGAGCCCGAAGAAGAAGAAAAUAUUUCCCACUCUCUUCUCCGCCAACACAAGCAUGUCAUCCAUACCAAGAUCUCAAGAAGGGCAAAGCUUGGGAUCAAACAUAAAUGGCCACCUCCUAUUGUUUCCAAGCUAUAUGGUAUGGCUAAUUUAAAUGGUGGAUCUAAUCUCUCUACACUCAAUUUUAAAAAGAGAAAAAGAUUUGAGUGUUAAGAGAUAUCUGGGCAAUCAAGGGGCUUAACCAAUAUGCCCAAGUGGGGCUUAUUUUGUUGUUUCCUCUUUUGCCUGAAGUUGAACUCCCAGUCUUCCUUUUCUUCUUUCCUUCUCUCUUUCCUUUUCUUUCUCUCCUGUUUCCUUUUGCCCGAAAGUAGGUGCCAAAUCCCUCCUCUAUUCCUUUUUCUUUAUUUCUUUCUCUUUGUCUUAUCUUGUCUUUCACUUUUCCCAAAAGGGCUAUAUAUAUACAGAGAGCUUAAGGGGAGGGAUCCCCAUUUUUUGAAAAAAAUGGGGAUUAGGUGUGGGGCCCACUUCACAUUGAACUUCAACAAUCCGAACCGUCUAUUUUGUUAGUCUCGAUUCAUAGAUCAUCCUUGCAAAAAUUCAAUUCAAUCCGAAACCAUUUGCCUAUUUAAUUAUCAAGAUCAAAUUUCAUUUUUUCUUAUAUAACAAAGUAUUCGUUUAUUUCAUUGAACCCAAUUAGAUGUCUUAAACAUUUCCAAUUUAGCUAAUAUUUUGCAAGGAUGAUCUAUGAAUCGAGACUAACAAAAUAGAUAGUUCGGAUCGUUGAAAUUCGAUGUGAAGUGGGCCCCACACCUAAUCCCUAUUUUUUUCAAAAAAUGGGGAUCCCUCCCCUUAAGCUCUAUAUAUAUAUAUAUAUAUAUAUAUAUAUAUAUUAUAUGUGAAAAGAGGGGAAUGGAAGUACUUUGCCCGAGUGGGCUUGUUAUAUAUAUUAUUUUAUAUAUUAUAUUAUAUUAUAGUUUUGAAAGUCAUUCAAAAAAAAAAAAAAAAAAAAAUCUGAGCAGUUUGCCCGAUUCCCUUUUCUUCAAAAUUUGCCCAAAUUGGUUCUUUCUUUUACUUUGGUCUGUGUUACCCGAGAGGGCUUUGUCCCUUUUUGUUUCUCUUGCUUUGGUUGCCUGACAGUCUUCCCUUUUAUUUGUUCUUUCACUUUUUCCAGCCAACCCAACAGGGCCUUUAAUUUCCUUUUUCUGUUUGCCCGAAAGGGCUCUGUUUUUUUGUGUGUUUCUUGUGCUGUUACAAAGAAAAAGAUAUAAAAAUUAAAAAUUCCAAAAAUCACAAAAACAUUUUGCUUUCUUGCUUUUGUUUUUUCUUGCUUUCUUUCCUUUUUUGUUUUCUUGCUGGGGAACUUUACAGAAAAUAUCAAAAAGUUGGGCAGCUUGUGAGUAGCCAUUUUUACCUUUCUUUCCACUUUUCUCUUAUCCAAUGAGUGUAUUUAGCCCGAACCCAAAAGUUGAAAUUAGAAAACCAUCUAGUGGCUGUACCCAAAUUCAUGGAAUGAGGAGUUUCAUAAAAAGCCGAAUCUAUGGCUUUCUUGCUGAAAAGCAUGUCAUCUGUGUCUCAAUGGCUAUUGCAAGAAAGCAUGGGGCUAUCUUGCCCAACUGGUGGUGCCCGAUGGAACCAUAACCAUGCCUGACGGUAAUGACGUCUUCCCUACUCACCACCAACAGACUCUGCAUGUCUCCCUAACGCUCACCAGUUCCUACAACCAAGGGUCGGGCUACUUUGACGACUACCAUUAGAGGCUACAGUAAGAGCUUUUGAUGUGGCUACUAUUAAUCACUGGAGACUAGUUUUCAUGGGUAAGAAAAUAGAAAAAUGGAGCUGCAUCUAAAUGUGAAAUCCGAAAGCUGGAGGAAGAUGACAGAAAAUUAUGUUGCUGUUGCCCGAGGAUGCUACAAUCUUGCCCGAUGAGCAUGACAUCUUCUCUGUUGCAAUUUGUUUAGAUGUUGUCAAUCAUAUAUGGGGCCCCAUGCUUGAUCUGGCAAACGUAUUUGAAGUGUUCAUGCCACUACAACCAGCAAUAAAUCAAGACCAGAUCUCUGAAGGAUUCUGCAGAUCGGUCGGUUCACUCAGACAUAACCACCUCCCUCCGAGCGGAACAAAAGCAACAGUGCAAAGUAGACAGCAUUACCUUGAUUUGGGAAGCAGAAUUCUGAACCUCAAGCAGGAUCUCUUGAUACGCAGGAGUUGGAGUAAGGAAACAAUGGCAGCCAACAUAAUAGCCGCAGCUUCGAAGCCAGACCUACCCGGCCUUCGGUCGUCAUCUUUAACCCCUUGGAGCUUCACCACUGGUUGAAGGAAGUAUGCAGAAAUUUACCUUUGCAGACGGAGCUUGGUUUACAUUUGCCCAGUUAAAAAGGAGGAGGAAGGGAUUGGAUCUCCAACAAACACUAAUAGCUUUCCGUUCUUUCUGCAACAAUCAAUUUUCAUGAUCCGUGGACUUGGGUUAUUUUCUUCACGCACGCACAAGGCAUACCCUUUCAUAGCUCCAGGAAAAAUCACCACUCUCUUCUCAUUUGACCAGCAGCUCUCUCUCUCUCUCUCAGACUUGGAUUAUGGUUGCCGCACCUUGAUCUUUAAGUGAUACCUCGAACAGAGAAACAACUUCUCUUUUGGAGAAGAGGAAAGGCUAGAGAACGACCCACGUUCAUCUUUUUCUCUCUAUCUCUCUCUCUCUCUAUCUAUCUCUUUCUUUUUCCUUUUCUUUUUCUUUUCUCUUGCUUUCUGUUCCUUUUCUUUUUCUUUUCUCUUGCUUUCUGUUCCUUGUCCCUUUCUCAAGGUAUGUCCUUCACUUGGCCCGAAAGGGCAGCAUACUAUAUAUAUUAUAGUAUGUGGCCUAAGAAAGAAAGUCUAGUCCUUUUUAUUAUUUCUUUUCCUCUUAUCUUUUUGUCUCUCUCUCUUUCUUUUCCUUCCUUUCUCUUUCUUCCUGUCUAUUUUUUCUUUUUGUUUUGAGUUGCCCGAAAGGGCUUUAUAUAUAUAUAUAUAUAUAUAUUAUAUUUGAAAAAGGCAAAAAGAAAAAGAUAAAAAAUAAUAGUUGCCAAAGUUUAUUUAUGUUUUAUCCUUCUUUUCCAGUUGUCCGACUUCGGGCAUUUUCAGUUUAUUAUCUAUGUAACCAGUGAAGAUGCUCUUAUGUUUUUUGGUAUCAACAAGAAGGAUGCACAAGUCAGACAACAUUUUUUUCCAAUGCUAGUUGCACUACCAAUUGCCUUGCUCCUCUUGCCAAAGUUUAUCAACGACGGCAGGACCGAAGAGGUAGACGUGCCUCUUCCUUCGACAUCAUUCUUGGCAGCAUUAGAGUUGUAAGUUUCACAAACUUUGCUCAAAUUUGUAAAACUUGGGGGGCACUGUUUGCACUCAAAAUAUGCCAAUUUUUACUUAUUUGGGCAAUUUGGGUAAAAUAUGGUAUUUGAAGGAUUAAUAUGCAAGAAAACUAACUUGGAAAAAUAUUUGGCUGCAAGUGGGGGGGGGGUUGGCACUAUAAUAUUGUUUUUCCCAUUUGUUUGGGUGGUGGAGGUUUGUCAAGCUUUUGUUUAAUCAAGAUACAUGCAUGUAUUGCAAGUGGAUGGAAGAGCUUUCGGGCAAGAAUGUGUAGUGAAAGAAGCUAGUUUGCUUCUUUUAAUUAUUUUAUUGCAAGUGGGAAAAUACAUGUGGUGGAGAUGCAACUUGCUUCUUUUUUAAUUGUUAGUUUAUUACAAGUGGGGAAACAUGUGCUAAAAACAUGUGGUGGAGAUGCAAAUUUCCCUUUUAAUAUUGUUUCUACAUGCAAGUUGGCAAAUGCAAAUGCAAGCUGCCCAAGCUUCUUUCGGGCAGGUACAAAGAUCUUAGCAAGGGGGCUCUUCCAGACCUCUAUAUAAAGAAGCAGAUGGAGAAGGAUUAUGGACACUCAAAACAACCAAUCAAAACUCUACUCAAAUUAGCUCAUCAGCUUCCUUGUAGACAUUUAUUUUUAGCCAAGCAUCCUUUGCUUUUCUUGUUUAUUAGCUCUGCUACUCACUUGUAGCAUCGAUCUUAUUUGUAGCUUUUAUGUACAACCCUCUUUCAGUCAUUUAAUCUACAAGCAAUCUGCAAUAUUAGUCACUUUCCUCUGUCAUUUAUAUUUCCAAGCAACCUUGUCAUUUACAUAUUGUUCUAUCUCUCCAUAUAAGUAAAGUCCUUAUUUUUAAGGCAAACAAAGAACCUUAAUUUGAGUAACUCCCACUCAAUGACACAAUCUCUUGGUUCGAAGUCAAUCUCAGGCGCAACCUCAAUCAUUUAGAAUCCGUUUACUUGCGGCAUCUAGUAGUGGCACGCCCGCACCCCACCAAUCUCGUAUGUGAAGUAAAUCCCCGGCUUGCCCACAAGGCGCCAUGGCGGAUUUAGGGAGCAAACACUUUGCUUUAAAGUUCUCAUCAAGAAGGAUGUUAUGAGGCUUGAUGUCGAAAUGUAGAAUUUGCAUUUUGCAACCUUGAUGUAGAUAUUGUUGACUUUUGUAUUUUAGGUAGGAUCCCUAAUUGAUAUGUAAUCCCAUGUAAUCACUUGUAAUUAGUUUUUCUUUCCUUUUAUGUUAGGGUUGUACACCUAUAAGUUCCUCUUAUUGAGAAGAAUAUAUCAUCAUUCAAAGCAUUCUCUUCUUGGCACCAGAGCCUAGGUUUUGAAAAGAAAAAAAAAAGAAAAGAAAGAGGAGACGAGAUCGUGCUCUGUACGGAAAACCAUAACUACCAGCCGCACAGCCAGUUGUGCAGCGCCGUCCGACCAGCAAGCGACGCCGUCGUUUCUGACCCGAGAACCCGAACUACCCGCCAUGCACCCAGGUGUGCAGUGUGCCGAUCAACCAGCGAGCGACGCCGUCGUUGCUGAUCCGAGUUCACCGAGCCACUCCCUGCAUCUACCACCACGAACCGAGAUUCAACCCACUGCCUGAAAUUUGUCCCAGAUUUCGGCCUGUGUAUCUGUUUUGCGUGCCCAGAUUCGAUUGAACCGAGUGCACCCACUUCACAAUGGCUCCCUGUGCUUGUCCUUUUUCAAAUGGAUUUGACCGAACCGGACAUGAGAGUAGGACCGAUCGAGACCAGUUCAAGACUUGUGAUCCCCACUGUAACAAGUCGUGUACCUCGAUUGUCGAAUCGAAAAUAGAUUCUAAUAUAGGUAACAAAGGUAAGGCUUUAAAAGUUUCUGCAUCUGUUACGAAUAAUACAUGGAUAAUUGAUUCCGGUGCUACUGAACAUAUGACUUGUGAAUCUAGGCAGGUACAAAUCCUAAAACCACCCACCAAAACUGUUGUGAGUGUUGCCAACGGUAAUGUUGUUCUCAUUAUUGGAGAAGGCACUGUCUCCCUGUCAAAUACCCUUAGUCUUGAUACCGUGCUUGUUGUUCCUUCUCUUGACCAUAAUUUAUUAUCUGUUGCUCAAAUAACUGUCGCCCUGCAUUGUCUUGUGAUUUUUUGGCCUUCCUUUUGUGUUUUUAAGGACAUUCGGACUCACAAGACGAUUGGUUAUGGUAUUAGGAAGGGGAAGCUCUAUUACUUGGAGCUGACAUCAAACAGUUUUCGAAUGUUGACUCACGCUCUUGCAGUGGACGGAAAUUCGGGGGAUAGGAAUAAAGCUUCGGAGGUUUGGUUGUGGCAUCGUCGACUUGGACAUGCUUCUUUCGGCUAUCUACGGAGGUUGUUUCCUAGCCUAUUUGUUAAGCAUGAUGUUUCUAGCUUUAAAUGUGGUGUUUGUGAACUAGCUAAAAGUCAUCGUGCUUCGUUUCCAUCCAGUUUGAAUAAAAGUUCUGUUCCAUUUAUGAUAAUUCAUUCUGAUGUUUGGGGUCCAUCUAAAACUGCUACAUUUGGUGGUGCUCAUUGGUUCGUUACUUUUAUUGAUGAUUGCACACGUAUGACUUGGGUUUGUUUGAUGAAAUCCAAAGGUGAAGUUACUUCUUUGUUUCAACAGUUUUACAAAAUGGUACAAGUACAAUAUAAGUCACAAAUACAGGUUCUCAGGAGUGAUAAUGGUGGCGAAUAUGUUAACUCUGAACUUCGUGCCUUUCUUGAUCAUCAUGGGAUUGUUCAUCAAACUACAUGUCCAUAUACUCCACAACAAAAUGGGGCUGCCGAAUGCAAGAACCGUCAGCUUCUGGAGGUUGUUCGUGCUUCUUUACUCGAGGCUCGUCUCCCGUUAUCCUAUUGGGGAGAAGCUCUCACCUCAGCUGCGUAUCUCAUUAAUCGUGUUCCAUCCCGAUCGGUUGAUUUUCAGACACCCCUUCAGGCAUUUUCUUUACAUGUUGAUGCUCCUGCAUUCCCUAAUCUUCCACCUCAUGUGUUUGGAUGUGUGGCCUUCGUUCAUCUUCAUAAACAACAGCGAAGUAAGCUUGAACCUCGAGCCUUACGAUGUGUGUUUGUGGGGUAUGCAUCAAGGCAGAAAGGAUACCGUUGUUAUCACCCACCGACGAAUAAGUUGUUUGUCACUAUGGAUGUUGCGUUUCAUGAGAAUGAUAUGUACUUUGCCAAUCUCGAGUCUUCACUUCAGGGGGAGAAUCAGAAAGAAGUUCAAACUCUUGAUUAUACUAUUCCAGAUAUAGAUAGAGUGAAUGAUUUGGAUUUAAGUGGUGAUGUCUUGGAAAUAAGUGGUGAUCAUUCACACGAAAAUAAUGAUGUGAAUGAAUUGGAAUUAAGUGGUAAUGUCUUGGAGACAAGUGGUGAUCAUUCACAUGGAAACAAUGUUGAAAACCUUGAAAGGGAUGAGUCGACAUCGCCAGAUAACUCACUGCCUGAUAGCUCACUGCCAGUUUCCUCACCACCGGACAACCCUGUGUCGCCAGCUACCUCACAGUCGAUCUUGAGUCCCAAUAACCAUAAUCAAUCGUCUUCGAUCCCGGAUGCACCACCACCACGUCGUCUCCCUGAUCGCAUCAACCGAGGUAUUCUUAAACUUACUUAUGAAGCCGACCCUAAAUGCAAAACUAGGUAUCCGGUGAGUAAGCCCAACCCUGAGUCUAAUGUGUUAUACCCGUUAAGUAAUUAUGUGUCUACCAGUCACCUGUCAGAAUCAAAUAAGUCAUUUGUGCAUCAAUUAUCUACUGUAUCUAUUCCUAACAGUGUGUAAGAGGCUUUAACUGAUCCACGUUGGCAAGUAGCAAUGAAUGAAGAGUUGAAGUCUUUGAAGAAGAAUGCUACCUGGGAGAUCACAGAUUUGCCAGCUGGCAAGAAACCUGUGGGAUGCAAAUAGGUCUAUACUGUGAAAUACAAAGCAGAUGGGACGGUGGAUCGUUUCAAGGCAAGACUGGUAGCAAAAGGAUAUACUCAAAAAUAUGGAAUCGACUACACAGAUACAUUUGCAGGAGUAGCCAAGAUCAACACAGUUCGUGUUUUGUUGUCCUUGGCUGCAAAUCUUAAUUGGCCUUUACAACAGUUCGAUGUGAAGAACGCCUUCUUGCAUGGAGACUUGACAGAAUAAAUUUAUAUGGAUCUUCCACCGGGAUGUAAUGCUCCAGAUAAAUACAAAAGAAAAGUGUGCAGAUUGAAGAAAUCUUUGUAUGUCUUGAAGCAGUCCCCUCGAGCAUGGUUUGGAAGAUUCACAAAAUCUAUGAAAGCAUUUGGUUACAGACAAAGUAACUCUGAUCAUACUUUGUUCCUGAAAAGACAGAAUGGGAAGCUUACUGCACUUAUUGUGUAUGUAGACGAUAUGGUGGUAACAGGUAAUGAUCCGGAAGAACGUGCGGCCUUGCAAAGAUACCUGUCUACAGAAUUUGAAAUGAAUGACCUUGGAUCCCUGAAAUAUUUUUUAGGGAUUGAGGUGUCGAGAAGCAGUUCUGGAAUUUUCUUGUCUCAGAGGAAGUAUAUUAUUGAUUUGUUGCACGAAACUGACAUGUCAGCUUGUCAGCCAGUAGCUACACCAUUAGAAGAAGGAUUGAAGCUUAGUGUUGAUCCUAAUCAAGUACCAAUUGACAAAGGAAGAUACCAAAGGUUAGUAGGCCGUUUGAUGUAUUUGGCACACACAAGACUGGACCUUGCUUAUGCCUUGAGUGUAGUGAGUAAAUACAUGCAUGAUCCUGGAGAACAACAUAUGAAUGCCGUGACGAGAAUAUUGCGAUAUUUGAAGGGAAGUCCGGGCAAAGGAAUUUUGUUUAAGAGGAAUAAUCACUUUAGUGUUGAAGGUUAUACUGAUGCAGACUGGGCAGGUUCCAUUGAUGAUAGACGCUCAACAUCAGGUUACUUUACGUUUGUUGGGGGUAACUUGGUUACAUGGAGAAGUAAGAAACAGAAUGUGGUUGCCCGUUCCAGUGCAGAAGCAGAAUACAGAGGUAUGGCUUUGGGGAUUUGUGAAAUUUUGUGGCUUAAGCUUCUGUUAAGCGAUUUGGGUAUACAACAUGAUCAGCCCAUGAAAUUAUUUUGUGAUAAUAAAGAUGCUCGUGACAUUGCACAUAAUCCGGUACAACAUGAUAGAACAAAGCAUGUUGAAGUUGAUUGGUUCUUCAUCAAAGAAAAAUUGGAAGGGAAAAUAAUUGAAGUACCAGCGAUAAGAACAGAAGAUCAGUUGGCAGAUAUCCUCACAAAAGCUGUUUCGAGUCACAAGUUUUCAAGUUUCUUACACAAGUUAGGCAUGAUCGACAUAUAUUCACCAACUUGAGGGAGAGUGUUGACUUUUGUAUUUUAGGUAGGAUCCCUAAUUGAUAUGUAAUCCCAUGUAAUCACUUGUAAUUAGUUUUUCUUUCCUUUUAUGUUAGGGUUGUACACCUAUAAGUUCCUCUUAUUGAGAAGAAUAUAUCAUCAUUCAAAGCAUUCUCUUCUUAUAUUCGAUCCCUUGACUCCAAGAGAAAUCUUGUACAUAGUCUUGAUAGUUAAGGGAGACUUCCUUAUUUGGAAUAAAUGUAUUUAUCAAGAGAGUCAUUAGGUAUGAAGUCAUAUAUUAGAGCGCUCUUUGAUCCCUCGACACAAUAUCCAAAAAGUUGCACCACAUUGGCACGGUGAAUCCUUCCGAUUGUAGCUAUUUCGCUAAUGAAAUCUUGGCCAUCAGCUUUGGGCUUGCCCAAAACUUUAACUGCUACAAAUCGGCCACUGCGUAGCUUUCCUUUAAAUACAAAGCCAAAGGCACCUUCGCUCAACUUGUCCUUAAACCUGCAAGUCAUUUUCUUGAUGUUCGAGUAAGAGUACCUUAUAGGCAUGAAGUUAUUGCAUUGCAAAAAAUCUUCUAUUGUGCUAUACAUUGAUAAAUGUCUUUUGCGCCAUGUAGAUUAAAAAUGCAGUCACAACUACAACUCCAAAAACAAAUCUGGCUAGGAAAAAUAACCCUGCAUGCAUUGACAUUAGUAUGUUAGAUCCACUGUACUACUUUUUCUUCCCUUUCUUUCCAAAUUACUUUGUCUUUGAUGUAAUUAAAGAGAGAAUGGGAAAUCUACAUAUGCUGAUAAUACAAUCUCGUAUUAGUUCUUACCGAUGCAUAUGAGUAUAAACCAUCCACGUACUGCAACAUAAUUAAUCGACAAUGAGUUUCAAAAGUGCAUAAAGUGAAGAAAAAAAAAUUUGAAAAAAAUCAAAGGGUGCCUCUAUUGACACCCAAAUUUUAGUUAGUUUCACUCAACUAAAAAAAAAAUUCAUCGAACUUUUUAAUUUGCCUUCGAAAUUGAGUUCACCCAACCCACCAACCAGCAAGCACCACUCAACCAAAAAAUGAACAACACAAAGAGCUGGCAUCGACGCUGUCGAUGAAGGAGGGACAUGAGGAUGGUGUAGUUUCGUCUGGCGCGCGGUAGUGGUUUUGUCUGUUCAUUUUCUCUUUCUUUUGGUAGGUGGAGGCUGGUGUGGAUUUGGGCGAACUUAAAAAUGAGGGGAAACUAUGAAGUUUGACAAAAUGUUUUAGUUAGGUGAACUUAACUAAAAUUUGGGUGCUAAAAAAGGUACCCAAAAUCAAAAGGCUUUUGUUUACCCAAUGCUAUGUACAGGUUUGACUUUUGUUUAUAUUCUUGGAUCUGUUGCUUGGUUGUAUAAUUUGGAUGUGGUUUUGUUUCAAGAUAAUUUGUUCUUCGUUUCUUGAGGCUUUUGUGUGUAGAUUUGAAACCGUUUAGCUUUCAAGCCGUUUAUACUCAAGGUAAAUAAUUUCGUUUUUUUCUUUUUAACCUUUUUUGUAAGAAUUUUUUAUUUAAUUUUGUGAGAGUUGUGUUUUCUAUAGUAUGAAAAUUGAAUCUUUGUGAUCUUAUAUCCUUAGAUAUGUUGCUUGGUUAUAUGAUUUGGCUGUGUGCAUUGUUUCAGGACAAUUUGUUCUUCGUUUUUGGGGCUUCUGUGCGUAGUUUUGAAGCCUUUUGUAGUCAACAUAAAUAAUUUUAUUUUUCUUUGUUUCUAGUCUUCUUUGUAAGAAUUUCUUAGUUAAUAUUUUGAGAAUUAUGUUUACUAUAGUAUGAAAACUGAAUCUUUGUGAUCUUCUAAGUGAUGUAACGUCAUUGCACCAUGUAUGACUGCCAUUAUCGAACAUGAAAAGCUUUUUUAUUUCUGUACUCCGUCCUUUCAUACGAUCUGCCUCAAAAAUGGUUUCAUUACAAGUUCUAACAUGAUUUUUGCGAUGUCUUAUGAAAAAACAAUGUCCACCAAAACAAUAGGAAAACGUCGCCGUCUGCUCUUCUUGGCUGAGCUUCAUGACUGGCCGAAUUCCCCUAUUCCCUUCCUCUUAUACUUUUUUGUAUUCGUUCACCAAAACAAUAGGAAAACGUCGCCGUCCGUUUGAUUGACGGCGAAAGAAAAAGACAGAGAAUAAAAGCCUGACGGAAUAUUGCGAUUUGAGAAAAAAAAGAAAGAACCACGUUGACAUAAUAUACUCACAAUAGGUGUACAAGGUUAAUAAAGCUUUACUGUGGUUCCAUUUUUUUGCAUACUUCAAAGGCUCUGAAUUGCUAAUGGAAUUAGCCUUUAGUUUUAGGAAGAAACUUGGAACCCCCUCCGUCCGUUCUAUCCCCAAUGGAAUUAACACUUGGAUAGUACUAUGACAAUGUGUCAUUAUUUGAUGCAUACCUGUAUAAAUUUAGGCUAAGUGUUUUAUACACAAAUUGGUACAGAUUAAGCUUCUGGGAGCAAAAUCAUAUACGGGAGAGCUAACUAUACAAUGAUACAUUCUUAUCUGUUAAUUAUCUUUGGUUACCAGCUAUCCAUGUUGCUGACAUAUUAAAUUACACAACAUCUAUUGUAAUUUAUGUCUUAUUAGUAACAUAAUGAUCUGGUUUCAAUUUGCUACAGGCAUUAUUUCCUGACAAUAGCUAUGGUUUUGAUUAUAGCUGUGACUGAAAAAUUAUUCCGAAACUAACAUUUGAGGAAUUCAAGGUUUGUUAGUUAAUUUGUACAUCAGAAUACCAUGACAAACUGUGAAGUUGUAAUUGUUGACCUUACAAUGUAUCUUUUUUGGUUUGGAGCAUUAGACUUAUAUGUGCUACUUUCACUUCAUGAAGGCUAACUCUUUAUUUUAGGCCUUAGAAUAUAAUUUCUUGGAGAAUCUACAUUGUUGUUGAUAAUUUUUUGAACAAUAUUAUCCCCAAAAUUUCUCCGCAUGUUACCCUCAACGUAGACAUCAUAUAACCAUCAUUGAACUUCUGAACCAAAAAUUUGAGUUUUGUGAUUAUAACUAAACAUCUAUAAACACAUGAUACAGAUUGAGACGAACGUCAAAUUUAAAAUGGCAUUAAUCAGGACAGCUGCAAACUCUGAUUUGCGGCCUUUGAAAUGGAGAAGUUACUUCUUGCUUCACUUCAGCAGCAUAGUCCAGCUUCUAAAUUCAGUUCUCAGGUAUGAGGUUUCUCAGUUACCUCUUUUUUGUAAUAAAACAUUUGACCAGUACUUGCCAGGAUAUCCAAUUAAUUAGGUCAGUUUUUGUCAGCCGUAAUAAUUUGUUUUUGCAACUUUAUAUGUGUCUCUGUCUCCAAAUGAUGAUCUCUUAAUUUGCUUCUAUAGCUUUUGUAAUAUGAUGAUCUCUUAAUUUGCUUUUGCAUAUCUUCUUUGCUUCCUCUGCUAGCUCUAUAUGAGAUUCCAUCUCCAAAUAAUUAUUAUUAUUUCCUAUUUUUACAGGAAGCAAAUCAUUGAAUACACAUGGAAAAUUAAAAGGGUUUUAGUUUUUGGAUUAGUUUAAAUUUUUUGUUUGUUAUUGCUUGUAUUGCUGUUAAAUAUUUGAUGGGUAGUUUGAAAUGGGGAACUUGGUUGAUCGAGUAUUAACUUUUAUUAAAUUAAUAUUCUUAUUCAAUAUUGAAUUAAGACUCCUCUUAUUAAAUUAAGACUCUUAAGGCUCUAAUCUAAUUUUCAUGCUCAACAUCUCCUCUAUCUUUCUACAAUUGGUAAAACUUUUGUAUUAUUAUUCCAAUUUUGGUUACUGGGUUGUGGAAUUUUCCAUUUUUUUCUGGGUAAUCAAUACUAUAUAUAUGCAUGAAAAGUAUAAACAAUAUUUUGGGUCAAAUUUAGUUGUUUAAUUUUUUAUUUUUUUUGUGACAGUGAGAUUAUGGUAGGAUUUCGUUUAGAUUCCGUGGCCCAAUGGGAGUCUCUGCUUUGAUAAGAUUGGGGUUGAUGCCAAGAAAGCCUUUCUACUGUGGACGCCGCAGCCGCCUAGCGCUGUUUUCCAAAAUCCUCUCUCACUUGGGUAAGCAAUUACGACUUUUUGGUUCAGUUUUUAUUAUGCCCAAUUUUGUAUUUAAACUGAUUUGGGGUUACUGAAAUAGGCAUGCUUGAUGAGUGCUGCAGAGCUGCCAUCCCUGAAUCAGAAGAUGUUCAGAAGGAAGAAGGAAGAACAAGAAGAAAAAGAAGAAGAAAGUCGUGGAAUAUCAAAAGCUUUUAGCUUUGUGAAGGUAUGCUUUUUCCCAACUCAUCUCUUGCUUUUGUUGCACUGAAUUGGUAGAUUGGGUUCAAAAUAUAUAUAUAUGUGAUUUUUUGUGUAACUAUUCUUUACAUAAUUACCAAUUGGAGGUGAUUUGAGAUCAUGUAACAUUUCCUCGCCAGAACCGAAGAUUGCCGUCGCUCAAAGCUGCGUUUCAUGAAACAAGUUCAUCUCCUGCCAAUUUUGUGUACCCACUUUUUAUUCAUGAGGGUUGGUGCUUGCUUGCAACAUAAUUUGGUGCUAUUAAGUUUUGCGGUUUUACAAUCUGUUCAUGCUUAAACCUCUUUCAAAUUUUCAUUUCUGUGUAAAUCUAGCAGGUAGGUCGACACACCUAUCUGGGCAAUGUCGGGAUGUCUAGGCUUGGGUGGAGACAUGGACUUAUGAAAGAGGUGAAGUAGCUUAGUUCGAUCUCAUUAGCUCUUAUCUAAAAAGUUCUAUUGAUUUUAUAAUCAAAGAUACAUAUAUUAUAGAAACAUAGGGUAUAUCAUUAAUUUCUUGAUGUAAACAAUUAUAACUUGAGCAACCAUUUAAAGUAUUUUGGUAAUCAGCAUACUUAAACUUAAAUGUGAUAUAUCCGUUUAGUUUUUUUUUUUAUACAGUGAUAAUACUCAAGUAUAAUUUACAUCAUAUAUCUUUUGAAGUACAUGAAACUAUGAAGAAAAUGAUAAACCAAAUCCCAUUCCAUCUCCGUUUGCUACUGCACAAUCACAAUCCAAUUCCAACAUGGAAUCCUCAGACGACAUGCCUACUGCAGAACAAGUUUCAUCUUGACUUAACUUCUAUUUAGUCCACUUCUUGUUUAGAUUGUAAUCCUAGUUCUACGUGUGUUUGUAUAGUACUCCUAUAAAUAUCAAUGAACAUCGCUCACUCUAAUUAAGAGUUGAGAUUCUGCAAAUCAUAUUUACUAUCUUUCAUGGUAUCACGAGCCAGGGUCUAACGACAACAGUUCAUGUUAUAAUUUUUUUCUCUUCUGCAGAUCCUAAACUAUGGCAUCUUCUUCCUCCUCCGCUGCUCCCUCCGUCUCAAAUUUUCUUACGAUUAAGCUCGACCGCAACAACUACCCUCUUUGGCGUGCUCAAUUUCUUCCCUUGCUGCGCAGCCGCAACUUACUCUCUUAUGUUACUGGCGAAACUCAAUGCCCCUCUGCCUUUCUUCUUGAUGACAAUGGUAAAUUCACAGACAAAGUCAAUCCAUUAUAUAAUGAAUGGAUCCAGACUGACGAGAUGAUCCUAUCUUGGAUUACGAGUUCUCUUACUCCCAAGGUUCUUGCUACGAUCGUCAACAAAAUUGAUAAAGCCUCUGCUUGGUCGUCAAACCCGAAUUAAUCUGAUUAUGGGGGUUUUGUUUUAUAUCAAUAUAUUGCAGCAGAAGUCGCACUUUGAAGAGUUCGUGCUGCACAGAAAGAUGAUGAAAUGCUACCUGUUGAGUCUAUCAUUGCUCCAUUGGAGACAGAGCUGAAGCUUGCUGCAGGAGUUAUACAUUUGUUAUGCAAUAUGACCCCUUUAAUUUUAUUUUAAAACUGAUACAAAAAUACUACAAAAAUUUAUGUAGUAUUUUUGUAUCAGUUUUGAGUGUCUAUUUUGGCUUCCAUAUUUCGUCUGUACAUGUGAGAGGUAUAGUGUUCAAUAUGUAUUUGGUUUCUAUAUUGUUAAUGGAUCUUCUUUUUUUUCUUUUUUUUUCUUUUUUUUUAAAGAUAACCAAGUUGCAGGAUGACAGCAGAACACUUGAUCUGCAGGUAAACCUUCAAUUUCCAUAUGAAGUUUGCAUGUUCGUUGUUUCUGGAAUUUGAGUUUUUAUUAUUUAUCAAUUCUAUCACAUAGAUUACGAUUUCACAUAUGGGAUUAUUAAUGGCAAUUAGAUGAUAGAAGAAUUGGGAUUGGAAGAAGAUAUUGAGUUGUUUAUUUAUGGGGAUUAGAAAAUGAUUAUCAUACGAGUGAUAUUUAUUUUUGUGUGGAUUGUUAAUAUAUAAAACUAUAAGCUUUUGAGAUUGGGAGACAAAACCCACACAUUCAAAUCAGACAAAAUAAAUAAAAAAUUUAACUGACUUAAAGAUCAAACUCCAAAAGGGUAUUAAAAACAAGGCUUAUUUGAUCCAUUGAGUGUGAAAGUUUUGAGCUUUGAAGAAGCAGAGGAGGAGAGUUGUUAACCAAGCUGCAUUAUCCAUGUAUUAGGAUGUUGAAGGUAGGCAGGAAAAUUACUUUUUGACGCCAUAUCCAGAGGAGCAUAACGACAGGCCUGCAUUUUUGCAGCAAUGACCAAAACAAGUAGAAGUGAAGGCUUGACUGUUUGGGUAUUCAUCCUAAACCUAAUUAUUCUUAUUUAGGUUUAGGAUAAAUGAUUGAGUGUGUCUCGAUGAUUGUAUUACUAUGUUUGAUGAAUGAUUUGAGGAGUUGGAAAUGGUUUAUUGCUUAUCUUUUUUUUAGGUGUGUACUUUGGUUAUUUCCGAGCUUUUCAUGACUUUUGAUACCUAAUAGAGAAUAUGGAAACCCCAACUUUAAUUUUAUGAAUUGGUUUUGGUGCCUAAAAUGAAAUCUAGCAUAGUGAAAUCUUGCAUAAUGAAAUUAUGACAAAUUUCCCUUCAUCUUUAGAUUUUCAUUUAAUUCAAUUCGUAUGCAAUUUAGGGUUAUUCAAUUCAUGAGUGAUCAAAUUAUGUUUUUAAUUCCUUCUUUUGAUUUACAGUUCAACAUUGUCGUACAAAAUGAAAAAGGCGCCAGUAACAGAGUUAUGGAUUUGGAUGCCUUUAGUGGAAUAAAACUGAAUUUUUUAACUUUGUAUAGUUGUAAACAUAAAAUACUCCAUGAGAUAGACUCAUAGCUUUUGAAAACAAUCCUUGAGGAUGGCAUAACAACAUCUCCAACUUUUGUCAUGUAAUGUAUGAAUGUCAAUAGCACUUCGUAAACAUAUGGAUGUAAUAUAUGUAUAUAAACACUCUUUAGCAUGUAUAUUUUUCAAAACUUUCUACAUCUUCAACAAUGUUUCAAUGAUUUCUUGAUGUAAACAAUGAUAAUUUGAAGAACCAUUUAAAGUAUUUUGGUAAUCAGCAUACUUAAGCUUAAAUGUGAUAUAUCCGUUUAUUAUUUUUUAUACAGUAAUAAUACUCAAGUAUAAUUUACAUCAUAUAUCUUUUGAAGUACAUGAAACUAUGAAGAAAAAACCCUAAUUAAUCUAAUUAUGGGGGUUUUGUUUUAUAUCAAAAUAUUGCAGCAAAAGUCACACUUUGAAGAGUUCACGCUGCAUAGAAAGACGAUGAAAUGCUAUCUGUUGAGUCCAUCAUUGCUCCAUUGGAGACAGAGCUGAAGCUUGAUGCAGGUGGUAUACUUUUGUUCUGCAAUAUGAUCCCUUUAAUUUUAUUUUAAGAUAGAUAGGGUUGAAAAAAAUUUAUGUAGUAUUUUUUUUUUUCAGUUUUGAGUGUCUAUUUUGGCUUCCAUAUUUGGUCUGUACAUGUGAGGUAUAGAAUGUUCAAUAUGUAUUUGGUUUCUAUAUUGUUAAUGGAUCUAUUUUUUUUUUUAGGUAACCAAGUUGCAGGAUGAAAACAGAACACUUGAUCUGCAGGUAAACCUCCAAUUUCCAUAUGAAGUUUGCAUUUUCGUUAUUUCUGAAAUUUGAGUUUUUACAGGAUGAAAACAGAACACUUGAUUUGCAGGUAAACACUUGAUUGGUUAUUUCCGAGCUUUUCACGACUUUUGAUACCCAAUAGAGAAUAUGGAAACCCCAACUUUAAUUUUAUGAAUUGGUUUUGGUGCCUAAAAUGAAAUCUAGCAUAGUGAAAUCUUGCAUAAUGAAAUUAUGACAAAUUUCCCUUCAUCUUUAGAUUUUCAUUUAAUUCAAUUCGUAUGCAAUUUAGGGUUAUUCAAUUCAUGAGUGAUCAAAUUAUGUUUUUAAUUCCUUCUUCUUUUGAUUUACAGUUCAACAUUGUUGUACAAAAUGAAAAAGGCGCUAGUAACAGAGUUAUGGAUUUGUAUGCCUUUAGUGGAAUAAAACUGAAUUUUUUAACUUUGUAUAGUUGUAAACAUAAAAUACUCCAUGAGAUAGACUCAUAGCUUUUGAAAACAAUCCUUGAGGAUGGCAUAACAACAUCUCCAACUUUUGUCAUGUAAUGUAUGAAUGUAAAUAGCACUUCGUAAACAUAUGGAUGUAAUACAUGUAUAUAAACACUCUUUAGCAUGUAUAUUUUUCAAAACUUUCUACAUCUUCAACAAUGUUUCAAUGAUUUCUUGAUGUAAACAAUGAUAAUUUGAAGAACCAUUUAAAGUAUUUUGGUAAUCAGCAUACUUAAGCUUAAAUGUGAUAUAUCCGUUUAUUAUUUUUUAUACAGUGAUAAUACUCAAGUAUAAUUUACAUCAUAUAUCUUUUGAAGUACAUGAAACUAUGAAGAAAAAACCCUAAUUAAUCUGAUUAUGGGGGUUUUGUUUUAUAUCAAAAUAUUGCAGCAAAAGUCACACUUUGAAGAGUUCACGCUGCAUAGAAAGACGAUGAAAUGCUAUCUGUUGAGUCCAUCAUUGCUCAAUUGGAGACAGAGCUGAAGCUUGAUGCAGGUGGUAUACUUUUGUUCUGCAAUAUGAUCCCUUUAAUUUUAUUUUAAGAUAGAUAGGGUCGAAAAAACUUUAUGUAGUAUUUUUUUUUUUCAGUUUUGAGUGUCUAUUUUGGCUUCCAUAUUUGGUCUGUACAUGUGAGGUAUAGAAUGUUCAAUAUGUAUUUGGUUUCUAUAUUGUUAAUGGAUCUAUUUUUUUUUUUAGGUAACCAAGUUGCAAGAUGAAAACAGAACACUUGAUCUGCAGGUAAACCUCCAAUUUCCAUAUGAAGUUUGCAUUUUCGUUAUUUCUGGAAUUUGAGUUUUUGCAGGAUGAAAACAGAACACUUGAUUUGCAGGUAAACACUUGAUUGGUUAUUUCCGAGCUUUUCACGACUUUUGAUACCCAAUAGAGAAUAUGGAAACCCCAACUUUAAUUUUAUGAAUUGGUUUUGGUGCCUAAAAUGAAAUCUAGCAUAGUGAAAUCUUGCAUAAUGAAAUUAUGACAAAUUUCCCUUCAUCUUUAGAUUUUCAUUUAAUUCAAUUCGUAUGCAAUUUAGGGUUAUUCAAUUCAUGAGUGAUCAAAUUAUGUUUUUAAUUCCUUCUUCUUUUGAUUUACAGUUCAACAUUGUUGUACAAAAUGAAAAAGGCGCUAGUAAUAGAGUUAUGGAUUUGGAUGCCUUUAGUGGAAUAAAACUGAAUUUUUUAACUUUGUAUAGUUGUAAACAUAAAAUACUCCAUGAGAUAGACUCAUAGCUUUUGAAAACAAUCCUUGAGGAUGGCAUAACAACAUCUCCAACUUUUGUCAUGUAAUGUAUGUAAAUAGCACUUCGUAAACAUAUGGAUGUAAUAUAUGUAUAUAAACACUCUUUAGCAUGUAUAAUUUUCAAAACUUUCUACAUCUUCAACAAUGUUUCAAUGAUUUCUUGAUGUAAACAAUGAUAAUUUGAAGAACCAUUUAAAUUAUUUUGGUAAUCAACAUACUUAAGCUUAAAUGUGAUAUAUCCGUUUAGUAUUUUUUAUACAGUGAUAAUACUCGAGUAUAAUUUACACCAUAUAUCUUUUGAAGUACAUGAAACUAUGAAGAAAAAACCCUAAUUAAUCUGGUUAUGGGGGUUUUGUUUUAUAUCAAAAUAUUGUAGUAGAAGUCACACUUUGAAGAGUUCACGUUGCAUAGAAAGACGAUGAAAUGCUAUAUGUUGAGUCCAUCAUUGCUCCAUUGGAGACAGAGCUGAAGCUUGCUGCAGGUGGUAUACUUUUGUUCUGCAAUAUGACCCCUUUAAUUUUAUUUUAAGACAGAUAGGGUUGAAAAAAAUUUAUGUAGUAUUUUUGUAUCAGUUUUGAGUGUCUAUUUUGGCUUCCAUAUUUGGUCUGUACAUGUGAGGUAUAGAGUGUUCAAUAUGUAUUUGGUUUCUAUAUUGUUAAUGGAUCUAUUUUUUUUUUAGGUAACCAAGUUGCAGGAUGAAAACAGAACACUUGAUCUACAUGUAAACCUUCAAUUUCCAUAUGAAGUUUGCAUUUUCGUUGUUUCUGGAAUUUGAGUUUUUGCAGGAUGAAAACAGAACACUUGAUCUGCAGGUAAACACUUGAUUGAUUAUUUCCGAGCUUUUCACGACUUUCGAUACCCAAUAGAGAAUAUGGAAACCCCAACCUUAAUUUUAUGAAUUGGUUUUGGUGCCUAAAAUGAAAUCUAGCAUAGUAAAAUCUUGCAUAAUGAAAUUAUGACAAAUUUCCCUUCAUCUUUACAUUUUCAUUUAGUUCAAUUUGUACGCAGUUUAGGGUUAUUCAAUUCAUGAGUGAUCAAAUUAUGUUUUUAAUUCCUUCUUUUGAUUUUCAGUUCAGCAUUAUCGUAUUUUGGAUGCCUUUAGUGGAAUAAAACUUAAUUUUUUUAACUAUGUAUAGUUGUAAACAUAAAAUACUCCAUGAGAUAGACUCAUAGCUUUUAAAAACAAUCUUUGAGGAUGGCAUAACAACAUCUCCAACUUUUGUCAUGUAAUGUAUGAAUGUAAAUAGCACUUUGCAAACAUAUGGAUGUAAUAUAUGUAUUUAAACACCACUCUUUAGCAUAUAUAUUUUUCAAAACUUUCUACAUCUUCAACAAUGUUUGAAGCCCCGCAACAAUGGGCGGGUACACUUGCUAGUAUACAUCUAAAAUUAUAAGACUAAAUCCUUUAGUUCUUGGAUUCAUCUAAGAACUACUUAUUCCAGCAGAUGUUAUGCUUGCACUACUAGAAUUUAUGGCUUGCCCUGUCAACUAUUGCGCGACAGAAGACUUCGUCGGUUUCACCUUUUUUAACCGACAUAAUAUAAGUUUAGUAGGGCAAAAUCAGUCAACAAACUGGGUUGACUGAAUAGAUUUACAGGAUGUCUAGAGUUCGUAGGUUAAGACAUCAGUCGUUGGGCAAACAUUUGGAGCGAAGAUGUGAGUGUUUUAACUGACGAAUAAGCUGGUCGUCAUGUAGAUCUUCUUUCCCGACUGAUGGUUCAACGAGUAGCUCUUUGGAUAACAAUUCAUCUUCAAGGGGAACAGGUUGCCCCUCAAAUGAAUGGUUAGAGGCAAUUGUGAGACUAUAAUUUUCUAGGGCCGGAAUAUCUAUAACCAUCCACCAAAUACCCCUUCUUCCCUUUCUAUUUCUCUCUCAGUAAUUUCCCCUGACCGAAUCACACAAUCCAACCAACUCUCUUUAAGCCUCACUCAUCGAUUCCAUGGAUUUCAUGGACUUAUCCCACCCUCUCUCCUUCCCCCUAUAUAUAGCAAGUCCCCUUGCCUCAGUGUCCCUGGCAACAAAAUUUAUGGCGUGUAUUCGGUCUUUCAAUUAUUUGAAAGCUUCCCUGCCUUGCAGUCUUGUACAAAGGCGUAUGGUGUUUCAUUAGUUCCAUUUGGUGGUUGGGUGGGAAAUGAAAUUAAAACACUGCAUUUCCAAUGGUCUAAACCAAAUUGAAUCAAAUGUGAAGCAAAGGGCAAGAAGUGUAGAUUGAAGAACAAUGGCACCAAGAGCGAAAUUGAACUUGUUGACAGGAGGAAACCAAGUAAGGAUAACGCGUCUAAAUCUUAUUUCGAAUCCAUUCAGCUCAUGAUGUUUUUAAUGAUGAUGAUCGGUAUACUUUGCUACAUGCUGUGAUUUUUCCGCUUUCAUGUAAUUAACGGCUUAUAUUUGUGGUAACGAUAUUGAUUAAUUUUGAGAAAUGACAGUCUAAUUUUUGCAACUGUCUUUUGCAGGCAAAACAAAGACGUUUGCAAGGGUGAGUUAUGUAGGACCAAUGUUUAGCUUUGUUUCAUGUCCAAAUGACACUUGAGAAUAAAUGUUUACUCAUGGAUAAUAUCUAUCUAUUUGCAGGAGCAACCCUGGGUUUAUUUGUUCUUUUACUACUGGUCAUUGCCGCAUAUCACGCCUAUAGCACUGACAAAAGUAAAAAGAAAAUCGAAUGAAAUUUGGUAAGUUUUCAGCGGACUACAAAGAUCUUAAGCCAAGCAUAUAUUCCCAUUCAGAUAUUAAGAGGUUUACAAAUCAAUUCAAGUACAAGUUGGGCCAAGGAGCAUACAUAAUUGUUUUUAAAGGAUAGUUUUUUUCUGAAUGCUUUGUUGCCAUGAAAGUACUUAACAUUUCCAAGGGUGACGGGGAAGAGCUUGUAAAUGAAGUGGGGAACAAUGGGCCAUAUUCACCAUGUCAAUGUGGUUCACUUGGUUGGUUUUUGUGCUGAUGGAUUUAGAUGAGCUCUGGUUUAUGAGUUCUUUUCCUUUGGUUCACUCCAGGAUUAUAUUUCAUCAGUAGAUAGAUUUCUUUCCUUGGUUGGCAUAAGUUGCAAGAUAUUGCUAUCAGCAUAGCCAAAGGAACCAGGGAUGUGAUCUACAAAUCCUCCAUUUCGAUAUCAAACCCCAUAAUGUUUUGCUCGACCAAAAAAUCACGCCAAAAAUCUCUGAUUUUGGUCUGGCCAAGUUAUGUUCCAAGGAUCAAUCAAUGUGACUAAAGCAAGGGGGACCAUGUGACUAAAGUACCCGAAGUGUUUUCCAGGAAUUUCGGAAAUGUGUCUUACAAGGCAGAUGUCUUGAAUGCUGCUGCUUGAGAUGGUAGGAGAAAAGAAGAAUAUUGGUUCAACUAGAGGACACAACAAAUGAAAUCUACUAUCCAAAAUGGAUUUAUAAUCUUCUAGAGGAAGGAAAUGACCAACAGAUCCCUAUUGAGGAAGAAUGUUAUGGUAAGAUUCCAAAGCAACUUGCAAGUUUAGGGCUCUGGUGCAGCCAGUGACACUCGGUGGAUCGGCAGUCCAUGAAAACGGUGGUUCGGAUGUUAGGAGGAGGAGAAAACUUGAUGAUGCAAGCAAUCCUAAAAGCCUCAUACAGUUAGAAGUAAUUGCUGAAUUAGAGUAACAUAUGUAUAUGUAUACGCACCAACACUAGUCGUUCUUAGAUGAAUCCAAGCCAAACAAUUACAGACAACAGUUAUUCACUAAAUCACUUUAAGGCAAGAAUUUAAUUAAUAAUACAUUACUGCACUUUCUUAACCAUUUGACCAUCACCUAGCAGACAAUGAACACGUUAGCUCCGCGUUAGAACAUCUUGGGUUCAAUUCAUUGUCUUGAAUAUCACCCUCUGUCACAGGCGUCUCUAGGGGGCAUAGAGAAGGCCUGAGAGGCAUUUGCAGACAUUCAACAUCACCUCCAAGCAUUUUGACAACUUUGGACAUCGAAGGGCGAUCACUUGGUUUCAUUUGAAUACACCAUAAGGCGGUUAUAACCAUCCUUCUUAUUACUUUCUUUUCCUCCUCUGUAACAUUGUCCGUUUCCAAGUUAUUUCCCACAAUAUACUGAUCGUAUACCCACAUUGGGAAGUAGAUUUGGCUUGAAUGCUCUACCGUUGGAUUCAAAUUCUUCCUUCUGCUUGCCAUCUCCAUCAACAACAUUCCAAAACUAUAGACAUCUGACUUGUAUGAGACACCUCCAAUAUUUUUGUAGAACAACUCAGGAGCAAUAUAUCCCAGUGUACCUCGUGCUGCCGUCAAAGAGACAAUGCUAUUAUCUACAGGAUACAAUUUUGCAAGCCCAAAGUCAGAAACCUUUGCUUUAAAGUUCUCAUCAAGAAGGAUGUUAUGAGGCUUGAUGUCGAAAUGUAGAAUUUGCAUUUCGCAACCUUGGUGUAGAUAUUCGAUCCCUUGAGCCACUCCAAGAGAAAUCUUGUACAUGUUCUUGAUAGUUAAGGGGACACUUCCUUCUUUGGAAUAAAUGUAUUUAUCAAGAGAACCAUUAGGCAUGAAGUCAUAUACUAGAGCGCGUUUUGAUCCCUCAACACAGUAUCCAACAAGUUGCACCACAUUGGCAUGGUGAAUCCUUCCGAUUGUAGCUAUUUCGCUAAUGAAAUCUUGGCCAUCAGCUUUGGGCUUGCCCAAAACUUUGAUUGCUACAAAUCGACCACUGCGUAGCUUUCCCUUAAAUACAGAGCCAAAGCCACCUUCGCCCAACUUGUCCUUAAAUCUGCGAGUCAUUUUCUUGACGUCCGAGUAGGAGUACCUUAUAGGCAUGAAGUUGUUAUUGCAUUGCAGAAAAUCUUCUAUUGUGCUAUACAUUGAUAAAUGUCUUCUGCGCCAUGUGUAGAUUAGAAAUGCAGUCACAACUGGAACUCCAAAAACAAAUCUGGCUGGGAAAAAUAACCCUGCAUGCAUUGACAUUAAUACGUUAGAUCCACUGUGUACUACUUUUUCUUCCCUUUCUUUCCAAAUUACUUUGUCUUUGAUGUAAUUAAAGAGAAAGAAUGGGAAAUCUACAUAUGUUGAUAAUACAAUCUCGUCUUAGUCCUUACCGAUGCAUAUGAGUAUAAACCAUCUACGUGCUGUAACAAAAUCAAUCGACUAUGAGUUUGAAAAGUGCAUAAAGUGAAAAAUAAAUAAAUAAAUAAAAUCAAAGGGUGCCUUUAUUGACACCCAAAUUUUAGUUAGCUUUACUCAACUAAAAAAAUUUUGUCAAACUUUUUAAUUUGCCGUCGAAAUUGAGUUCACCCAACCCACAAAGCAACAACUACCACUCACCAAAAAAACCAACAACACACAUCCACCAGUACCACUCACCAAUAGAAAGAGAAGGAACACACAGACCCACCAAGGAGCCGGCAUCGACGCAUCUACGAGGGAGGGACCGGAGGGUGGUGUAGUUUUGUUGGGCGCGCGGUAGUUGUUUUGUCUGUUCAUUUUCUCUUUCUUUUGGUAGGUGGAGGCUGCUGUGGAUUUGGGCGAACUUAAAAAUGAGGGGAAACUAUGAAGUUUGACAAAAUGUUUUAGUUAGGGGAACUUAACUAAAAUUUGGGUGCCGAUAAAGAUACCCAAUAUAAAAAAUACUUGAGCGUAUAGACUAAUUAAAUGAAGUUGAUCUUACCGAUCGGGUGGCUGUAUGAUGAAUACAACUUGCCAGCUGCAAUAGAUACCACAGAAAAGUGAGCAAAGACAUACAGUUACUAGGUUUAAGAAGUACAGAUAGAGCACACAAAAAUAAAAGAAGCUUUUGGAGAGAAACUUCUUACGCAAAUAUAUGUAUUCAUGACCUACAGUGAAAAUUGUGAAGAAGAAUACACAACAUUAGCAAUAGCUCACCCAGUCUUCAGAAUUUAAAAAAAUCAAGUUUGUCGAUCGAAAACUUGUAAAUAAAACAAAAAGAGGACCCCUUACUGAUUUGUUGCCAUAGAUAUUGAAAGAAACCUACAAGAACAAAGAAAGAACAAGACCACAUGCAUUAGCAUAACAAGUGUGAGGUGUAUAAGUCGUUAGAAAAUAAAUUUAGAAUUCUAGUGCUGUCAAUACAUUGAUAAUAUAAUAUAUAUGUGUUAUUUUUUCUGAAAAUUUAACUUUCCCCCUCCAAACUCAUUUUUCUAGCCUCUAGCCCAUCAUAUAAUAUUUAUCCGAAUAAAACCCAAUGAUUAGGAUCCAACUAAGAAACUUACCAAAUUAAGUUUGUGUGUCCAUUUUUAUAUUUUUUGGAUCGCUAAUAUACCCCAUCUAAGCCAGUAUGGAAAGUUCUUGUAAUUUUGUUUUAAUUGAUCACGUGCAUUGAAUUUGGCAAGGUCUUGUAGCCAUGAAAAAUGGUUCUAGAUGGAGGAAUUAAUUGGGAUUUUUUUUUUAAUUUUGACAACAAAUUUCAAUUUGAAUAUACCUAAUUUAGUGUUUAUUUUCAACAAUAUCUAUUGUUUAAUUUUAUGAAAAUAAUUUACCUACUAUGAAAAUUAAUUUUAUGAAAACAAUAUCUAUUGUUUAAUUUUAUACCUAUAGGAUAAUUACAUGAAAAUAGUUUACCUACUAUGAAAAUUAAUUUUUUCAAAACAAUAUCUAUUGUUUAAUUUUAUGAAAAUAAUUUACCUACUGUAUAAUUACAUGAAAACUAAUGUGCCUAUUUUUUAAAUUUGUUACAAAAUUAAUUUACCUACUCUUUAUGGUAUUAGUAAUAUAUGUCCGUACGUAUUUGAUCUAAUUAGGUUUUGGAUUGGAGGAGUUGACACAAAAUUAUAAAUAUAUUAAACAAAUUUAUCUAUCCUUAAGUUGGAGGGGAAUUGGCCUGCACAUUGCUACGGUAAACAAAUGCCACUCGAUUUCACGUUAUUUACAACAAAGCUAUCAGAUUUGGGUUGGGUUGGAGGGUAAUUUUGUGCAUAGGGUUUAGGUGCCCUCCUAUAUAUGACCCUUGAUUUUACUUUAUUUACACCACUGCCAUCAAAUAUGUGGCUGAAUUGGAGGGUAUUAUUAAAAGUUAGGAGGAUAGUUUUGUCCAAGGGGUGGGGGCGACAUUCGCAGACAGGGGGCGAUGGGAGCCAUGCCCAUUGCACAGAAACAAAGGGAGUGAUGGGGGAAAUUACAGACAGAAAAGGAAGGGAUGGGGGGAUUUGAUGGGUGGUCACAGAGAGAUUGGGUGAGGGAUGUGAGGGGACAUUACAGAGAGAUAAAUAAAAGGGAGGGAUCGGGUGAUUUGAGGGAUGGUCAGAGAGAGAAAUAGUGAGGGGGAUGUGGGGCUGAUUUUCGGUUCCUCCUUCCAGAUUUGUUCCGUAAAACCUGUUGGGUACAAUUCAAUCCCUCCCCCUUUCCCCUGAACGAAAAAUUCGAAACCUACAACUCAAAACUCACUCAUUUGUCGCCCCUCCUUGGCUUUCCGCUUUAUUCAUCUCCCGGUGUUUCUUUCUCUCCAUACGAUUCGAUUUCGGUGAGUUCUUCGUUGCCCUCAUGAUUUCCCAGUUUGAUUUUUUGAGCGUCCUUAGUCGUUGUUUUUAUCUGGGUUUACUGCGUUGUUGCUUUUAGUUUCUGGAUUUUUAUUUUUUCCGCGGUUGGAUGAAUCGUGGUUAAUAAUUUCACACCAUGGGAUUUUCGCACUUCUGAUGGAAUUGAGCGCGGGGAUUCGGGGUGGGGUUUUACUGAUAAUUUGUCUUCAUUCAAAUGAAUGGUUAAAAUUUCUGAAGUGAGUGUGCAGGUGGGCCCGUUCACUAACUAAGCUUUCAAGGGAACCCAUCAACGGUUUGUUUGCUGGGGGAAUUCGGAGACUACCAGUGUAUGAUUUAGUUAUCAUUUAUUUUUUUACUUAAUUUUAUCCAUAUAUAAUAUGUGGGUAAAUUUAUACUAAACAAUUGUGAUAAGCCAAUAUGCCAUACGACUUUGAAAGCAUUGAUUUUGUGUUUAGUUUGCAUUUUUGCAUUGUGAAUGUUGAAUUUUGUAUUUAAUUUGGAUUUUGUGUUUGAAUUUGUAGCAUGAUCUUCCGCUGCAGCAUCCAAAUUUUGCAUUUGUAAAUUGUCAAAGAAAAACGAAGUAUGAGGAAAUUAUAGGAGAUUGUGUCGGCUUUGGCCAUGAAGGGUAUCAGCAGCUUGUUCCCCCAUACAGGUGAUUAAUCGUUUUUCAGUCUCUGUUCUAUUUGGAUGAGAAAGUGAUUGAAAAAUAUGAUUUUUUAUUUGUUGGUUGAUUUUGUAUGGACGAUGUAUUAAUUUUAUUUUUUUUGGGAUUUUGUGUAUUGGGUAUUGUGUAGAACCAGCAAUGCAAGAGCAGGAUCUGAUCAGUCACGCCCGAAAAGGGGUUUGUUUCUCAAAUCACAUUAAUUAAUUAGAUUAUUAACGUGCGUUGGAAGGCUCUUCAAUAUGAUUUCUAAUUUCUCCUUUCCAGCAUUCUCUUUUUGGUUUUUGGAGUAUGUAUGUGAUUUGUAUUUUUUUAUAGAAUAAAAAUUAAUAAAACACGAGAUGCAGCAAUUAAUUUGCAUCCUUAUGACAACACAUAUGAAAGUGCAUUCAAUUUCAAUGUGCGAAUGUGUGACAGGAUGUGCCUGCCUCCUUGAAAACACUUUAUGUGAACAAGUGUGAGGUUCUACAUAAAAACAGGGCCAGUAAUACCCUGAACGUGGAAUCCUUACGAGGAUCUCUUGAAAAACUGACAAUAAAUGGAUGCCCGGGUCUCUCAUUGUUACUAGAGUCGACGGAGACGCUGCCGUCGCUUCAGAAGCUUGAUAUUGAUAGUGUUGGUGGGAAAGAGUUGUUGGCGCAAAUGGUGCACAACAGCAAUCGUCUUCAAAGUUUGACUUUAUAUAAAUGUUACUCACCCUUGUCGUUCCCUACAAAUGGUCUGCCCACCACGCUGACGUCACUGAGCAUAACAGAUUGCAAGAAAUUAGAAUUCCUAUCACGUGAGAUGAUGGCCAAAUUGACUUCCCUUCGGUCUUUGCGUCUAUCCAACAGCUGUGAACGCAAAGGCUUGAGUAUUUGCAGUUUAGUUUUUUUUUUCUUCAUUUUAGAGAUUUUUCUACUGUUUGGUUUUUGGGUUUUGUCUAAUUUUUGUGGUCUGCUUUAUAGAUUGUUCUCUUUGGAAGCUUCUUUCCAGCCUUGACCUUCUUCUUGCCUGGUGCCUUCUCAUUGAGUAUUGGAGGAGCAUUAAAACACAGGUGUGUGUGUGUUUUGUCGACGUAAGAGAUGAACGACAUAAAAACAUCCAUCUCUGUAUUUUUUUGUGCUUUUUCUAACCCAUCAAUUUCUUUUGAGUCAACCAAAUAGUCCCAAAUUGCAACUUAUGUUGUGAGGUAUUAUUGUCUAAAAUUAAGUAUGCAUGUAUAUUUUAUGUUUAUGCCCGCGCACACCUCCGCAUGGUGUUAAUCUCUGUGGGUCAUCUAUGUAUAUGUAGAUAUAUCUAUAUGUGUAUGUGUGGAAUGCAACAUAUCGGAUUUAGGUUAUACUGUGCAUAGUUUUAUUGCCUGUUAUUAUCUACGAUAUCACUAUGCCAUUUCUAUACUGGCUCUGAAAGUUAUUCAUGAGCUUAUAAGCACUUACCAUAAUUUAAGCAGUCUGUUUUGGGUUCUUUUUCAUUAGGUCAUUAGCUACAGAUUAAUGGAGAAACGAGGACCAUGCCACUGAUUUGGGUUCUUUUUCUAAUUUUCUGAUUUUGGGGUUUUGCAGGGAGUACUGAUGUACUGAUUUUCUGGGAUUUUUUUUUGUCCUUGCAGGAUUUUUGGUCUUUGAAAUGGGUAUGUGUUGUUUUUAAUGUUUCAGUUCUAGCGUGUUCCGUUCUUCGUUGCUUCGUGAUUCUCAUUUUUCAGUGUUGGGUGAUGGAAAUUUGUUAAAGUAGUUGGUAGUUUUUUGAGAAAGUUGGCAUUUUUAGUUAUAUUUUCUGUUUAAUCCUAAAUGUAAGACUGGAAAAUCAUUGAAAUGAUGGUUUUUUAAAAACUCAUAAUUUUUUUGUUCUGGGAUUUAAAAGCAUCUUUUCCAGAUUGGUUACAAGGGUUAUGUUCUCUUCAAUUGGUUCACCUAAUUUUGAUUAGUUUUAAGUUUUGUCCUUUUAAGUUUGUCUUUUAAGUUUUGUUCUUUAAGUUUUGUCUUUUAAGUUUUGUUCUCUAAGUUUUGUCUUUUAAGUUUUGUCUUCUGUGCUGUAAUGAGAGAUUUCUGUUGGCUUUUCGGAUUUUGGCAUGGGAAAGUUCACUUAUUUGUCUAAUUAGAUUGUGUAUGCCUUCGAUUCUUUAUUUAAUUGUUCUGUUUGCGUUCGGGUGUGAUGAUCUAAAUUUCAUAUGUUUGGAAUUAUUUACUUAACACCAAUUUGUUACAUUCAGAUCUCCACCCCACAUUUCACUAGUUGAAAUUCCAUAGAAGUCGGUUACUGCAGAUUGCGUCUACAAUUAGAUCAGAGAUCAACUGCUCUUUUGUUAUCCUGCAGAAGAUUGCUUUUGGGAAGGAUCUGAAGUAGUUUCUCUCUGUAUGUUUAUUCCCAUGUAGCUCUGUCUUUUCUAAUUGUGUUGAUAUUACACUGUAAUUCAUGAUGAUGAUUUAAUUGUUUAUUGAUUUGUAAUUGAUUGUGAAUAAUGUGGCAUAUAUGAAUUGCAAUCUGUGUUUGUAUGAAAGGGAUGGCAUAUUAUGUUGCUGACUUAAUUGUUUAUGUUUUUCAUAUUUGCAAAUGGUGUUAUGAUCAAUUAGGUGAUUGCUGACCUGUGACUUUGUUUGGAGCUCAAAUUUUGUGAGCAUUACAUUGGAUUGUUUUGAUGUUGUUUUGGUUAACAAUGCAGCGAUAGGAGAAACAAAGAGGAUGACACUUAUAACUGCCCUUCCCCAUCGGCCGUCUUCAAAUUUGGAUCACAAGAAGGGAGCAACAUAGGUGUUUUCCUUCUUCAUUUAGAUAUGGUUAGUGUAAAUAAUUGGACAAAAGAGCCAAACAAACCCUGUUCUCUCAAAUGGAGUCGAUGAUGUGGUCGACGGCCACCAGCCCCAACUCAAGAGUUUGGCCUUCAUAUAAUUGGAUUGUAGUAUAAUUUUAUUUUGGUUCAUUUCUUUUUUCCUUUAUAUAAGUGCAGGUGUUGUGAUGUUUUGAAUAAAGGGUGAUGAAAGGUGGUUCACACACUUCCUCCUUACUUAAAGCAAGUGGAGAUGACGGUUUGUAUAAAAAGAAAAACUUGCCACGUACUUCAAUUUUCUAUUUUAUUAAUUAUUGUUUGGUUUUCCAAAUGUUGUAUUCACUAAGAGACCAAUUAUGUCUUUGAGAAACAAGUUUCUUUGUCUACAUUGCGAGAAUUUGCAGUUUGCAACUUUCAUUGGUUAUUAUAUUUGAUUGAGUUAAACUUGGAUUUCUGGAUUUUGACUUUUUCGUUUGUUUCUUUGUUGCAGAGUUGGCUUCAUUUCAUUCCAGGAACUGUCUAAAUAGGGCCAAGAACUCACUAAUAGGUAGUCAAGAAGAAUUCAGUGUUGCCUUCAAUUUUUGCCUUCUGUUUACAUUCUUCCUGGAUGCACUCUCACCGCUUCUCUCGCUUACCACUUUUGUCUCACUCACCGCUUCAUCUCUUCUGUUGCUUACAAGGUCGUGUCAUAUAUUUUUUUAAUUUUGUGUGGUUUAAUUUAUUGAAUAUUUGAAAAAAGAGAUAAAAUUUUCAAUUUACAAUUACUGAUAUGAUGUUUGUUUUGAAAAUCAUUAAGGUGAAUGGAGAGAUUUACAACCAUGAAGAGCUGAGGAGCCGUUUGCCAAAUCAGAUUUAUAGGGCUUCAUCAAUUAUAAAUAAACGACUUUUCAUUCCCAAUGACCUUUAUCGUUUUUCUUAAUGGGUUAGCUGAACAUGAGGUAGAUGCUGACUUUAUCAAAUAUGAGAAUGUUUUAGGAUUUCAUUCUAAUUUUUUGGCUGUUUGAUUACUUUGCUUUUCGUAAUUUGAUUUGCUUAUCGUCAAUUGGAUGGGAUAAAACAUAUUUUUGUAACCAGUUUGUACUUUUUUUUUCUUUUUUUUGUGGAAACUAACCAGUUUGUACUUUUACCAAUUACCAUAUCGGUUUUGAUGGAAUUGGAGCUUUCAGUAAUGGGUUCUGAGGGAAUUGGAGUUCUGAGUAAUGGGUUUUUUUUAACAACUAUAGUAUCAUUUGUGAUUCAUUUAUUUAUAAGAUAUUAUAUAGGAAACUGUUUUUAGCACUCUAAAAAUCUUAUUCUACACUCUCGACAAAUGUAUUUUUCUUUCUAAUUAUGAAAAGUUUGGAGGGCAAAAUGAGAAUUGUGGAGUGCCAAUAACAAUUCCCUAUUAUAUAUAGCUCUACUAGGAAGGCGACUGUAUGUCUUCAUCCUGUUAAAUUGUAUAUGGCUCUUGAUGUCGGCUGAAUUAAAUCAAAAUGAAAACCAAGCUGCUGAUCUUACCAGCCCAUAUCACUUAUCACUUGCUUAUUUAAAUUAUUUGAAGAUGCGUAUGUGGAUUGGUGAUUUUGUUGGAUUCACUUGGCUCAAAUAUAUGUUAUCUGAGUCGCUACAUUUGAGAAUGUGAUUUUGUUCCUACCACCAUUUUGCCCACUUUUUGUGGAAAUUAUUUCUGCUUGUUGUGAAUGAUACAUUCAUCCCCGGCAGCAAAGUGCGAAGUGCGGGCGCAUUUUCUAGUUUAAGUAAAUCACACAAUGGGUCAUCAAUAAUAACAAACUUGUCAUUUAUGAGAGUCAAACAUGAGGCCACCUACCUACUAGUUUAGUGGAAUACCACAAGUGACAUGUUGAUACCUUUAAAUCUCAUAUAAUGGAUUGCAGAAUUAGGAUAUUCCUAGACUAAUUUAGUUAGUGCGUGAACCCGAACAAUUAACAAGGGUUUUAUUCUUGCUUGAAUGUUUGUUAUAUGUUCCUAGUUUGACAAGGCAAUUAUAUUUCCGACUACAAGUUAUUAAUUUAGUCGAGAAUUGACGCACCUGAAAUGGUGUGAGGAAAACAUGUAUCCACAUGAGCCGCAGUCCACUGUCCUUGGCAUCUAUCUUUAAAAGGCUCGAAAUGAAGCUCAAAGCCAUACAUGAGGGCAUUGUGUAUGUCUUUAUAAGAGAAGUUGCGGUAGUCCUCAACGUAGCCGGCAGCCAAACUCAUCCACUCUACACUGCAACCAUCAUCCAAUUCCCAUACCUCCCUGAACCUGUCCCCAACAUAUUCCCCGACCAUGACAUAGCUAUUCGUUUUUGGUUGACUCGAAGAAGAAGAAGAAGAAGAAGUAUUAUUCAAGCAUGGAGCAGUGUCCACGUACAGAGAAGAAUUCGAUGGAUUCGAACACUUCAAGUAAUAUAUAGAUAGAGAAUUAAUGUCAUAGGCGGGCCAAUAUAGAGAAUUGAUGUCCUCGGUGGUGGGCGGAAUAUUUUGAGACAUGGAAGAGCAAUUGUUGUUGUCAAGCCCAGGAUCUCGAAGUCGGAUUGUUUUGUUAUUAUAGUUGAUUGCCUGGACAUGGUACUUUCCGAAAGAAGGUAGGUCUAGUACUGUAAUGUUGCUCUCACAGGACAGAGUAUACGAUAUGUUGCCACAGUACUUUGGAUCAUCGUUAAGUCGAAAAGGAUGGCUUAUGUUGUGGAUAUGGCCGCAGGAUGAAGUGCAGGACUUGGCACUACUGUUGUCAGCGUUACAAGUUUCACUGCAAAAGCAAAGAAGAAGAAAGGCUAAACUUAAGGUGAAGGACCUGGUUCCACUAAUUUCCAUUGCUCUGAGAGAGAGAGAGAGAGAGAGAGAGAGAGAGAGGGUACCAUAGCUUAAACACCAAGGAGUUAUAUAAUAUGGGAGGGGUUAAAGCACCUCGCUUACAGUUGCAGUAAGCCCGUCAAAUAUCCUAGGGAAAAGUCGGUCAAUGGUGUCCUAUAGAGAAAAGUCGGCCUUGGUGUUUGACACGGUCACUCAACUCUCUCUCUCUCUCACAUUGACGAGGGACACUGUAAUUGAAAAAAAAAAAUGUUCUUCAGAGAUAGAUCUUGAAAUUCUUAUUUUAUAUAAAAAAAACACCUAAUAUUAAAUUAUUAAUCAUUCAAAUGAAAUUCUUAAAAUUAAGUAUAAAUAAUACAUAACGAAAACUGAGCACAUACAAUCAACGGUCACGAUCGUGAAAUCCUCCGGAUCCUCAGAAAAAAAUCCGACGAUGAUCUUUUUCUGUGUAAAAUAAUUUGAGGGUAUAAUACUGGAUGUGGAGCCAAAAAUAUUCGCUAGGCGACACGUGGACUUUUGGACAAAAGAGGACAAAAAUACCCUCGAAGCAUACAAGGAUUCCUACGCGCGAGCAGUGGGCAAUCAUCUUUCAAUCAAGUCAAAAGUGCCCAAAAAAGGUAACAAUUAAAAACCUCUCUCAUCAAAUCCUUUCUAUAAGGUAUUUCCCAAAACCUAGUAUUUUCUAUUUCAUUAUUUAGCUAAUCAAUUAGCUAAAUAAUAUAAACCUACCAUAUCUCCUAAAAUCACCCAAUUAAUAGCCCAAAACCGGCCCCCACUAUUCACAUCCUCAUCUUUCCCAUUUUCCUUAUUAAAAUAAUCAUUCAUUUUUAUAAACCACCCAUUUUAUUAUUUUCAUAUUUAAUUAGCCAAUAAAUUGGCAAAUUAAACAUGAAAUUAACCCCCACAAAAACCCUAUGGCUGGCUACUAUUAUUCAAAAUAGGGCAAACCCUAACUCUAUAAAUAAACACAUAUUCUCACCAAAAAUUCAUUCCAACUCUCUCACAAAAAAUCACAAAUACUCUAAACACUAUUUCUCUCUAAAAUUCUAACUUUGGCAUCAGAGGUUCUUCGGCCAAAGCCCCCCCCAUUCAUCGUGGGCGCGUGAGGCUCUUGGCCUUAACCUAAGGUGCUAGUUGUUUUGUAGGUGCAAAAUCGUCCAAGAUCGAAGAGGAGAAAAUUUGCAUCCACAAAUUGGUGCUUUCAUUGAGAGUUGAAAUCCAUACUCGUAGAAGACUCUCGCACAAAAAGGUUUUUUCUUUUAUUUUCUAGUCCAUUUGAAUAUUUUUCAUACGUUCUUAUUAUUAGAAUUUUUUUACUUGCAAAGGUUCUUUGAUAAAACGUAUAAGCAAAAUAUAAUGGCUAGAAAUUUAGAAAAUUCCACAAGUGAAAAUUCUAAUGUUCAAGAAAUGGGAUUGCGGAGAUCCGUGAGGCUAAAUGCGACAAUAAGGGGAGCGGCAUCAUCAUCACGAGCUUCCACCAUGGGAACCACCAUGGUGGCUACCUCGGUAGCCACCCGCGGCGAGGUCCAUGGUGCCUUCACCACGGCCACCAUGGGAACCACCGCGGUGGCUACUUUGGUAGCCACUCGUGGCGAGGUCCAUGGAGCCUUCACCACGGCCCGGAGAUCCGUGAGGCAAAAUGCGACAAUAAGGGGAGCGGCAUCAUCACCACAAGCUUCUACCAUGGGAACCACCGUGGUGGCUACCUCGGUAGCCACCCGCGGCGAGGUCCAUGGUGCUUUCACCACGGACACCAUGGGAACCACCGCGGUGGCUACUUCGGUAGCCACUCGUGGCGAGGUCCAUGGAGCCUUCACCACGGCCCGAGCCGUGCCAUCCAAGGCUCACGGUACCAAGACCACGAUCCAAGCCGUGCCAUCCAAGUUUACGUGGACCCAAGCCCAAGCCUCGCAUUCACAUGCACCGCGCAUUGAGCAGCCUGUUCCCGUGAUCCAGCCUGUUCCCGUCAAGCAACCCACUCUCACGGCCCAACCUGCUCAUGCCGAGCAGCCUGCUCUCGUGACACAGCCUGCUCCCGACGAGCAGCCCACUCCCGUGGCCCAGCCUACUUUCGUCGAGCAGCCCACUCCGGUGGCCCAGCCUGCUCCUGCUAAACAGCCCACUCCUGUGGCCCAGCCUCCUCUUGCUAAGCAGCCUGCUUUCGUCGAGCAGCCCACUCCGGUGGCCCAGCCUGCUCCUGCCAAGCAGCCCACUCCGGUGGCCCAGCCUGCUCCUGCCAAGCAGCCUACUCUCGUGACCCAGCCUGCUUCCGACGAGCAACCCACUCCCGUGGUCCAGCCUGCUUCUUUCGAGCAGCCCACUCUCACGGCCCAGCCUACUCCUGUGGCUUUCCAAGCAGCCCAAGUCGGCCCAAGACUAUCUCCCGGACCUACCAUCGAGCCGAGGGCAUUCUCACCACAUUUUUUCACGGAUUUGACAUUUCCCAACUCAAAUCUCGCGCCCGGAGUCUACCACAUUUCCACUGCCCAAGGAGGCGCAUUCCUUCCAAGCUCUUCCAAUCCAAAUGGCGAACAACACUUGUCUCGACAAGUCAUAGAGUUGACGAGCGCCCUUGCACAACAGAAAACCUUGGUGAAUCAACUUUUGCAACGUAUCGGGAUCCAACGUGCCCCGGACGAGGUAUCCCGAAGUAGGACAAGGGCAAACGAACAUUUCCAGCAGCCACUCGACCAGCCACGAGCCGAACGUUUGGGCAGUGUACAUUCCCGUCUUAGAGCGCGAGGGAGCAUGCACUCUCGACUAGGCCCACGGAUGAGCAUACAUUCACGGUUGGGGUCAUACUCCGAUAGUCAACAUGAGCAACCUUCCGGGCAAAGUGUCUAUUCGCAGCUAAGCCCACAAGGAGCGUCAUCCACCUCACAUCAGAGUAGGCAGCACGACGGACGGAGAGAAGCAGUCACUCAAUCCAGCUCAAGUUCAACCAGCAGCCUGCGAAGAACUCGCUCGCCUACUAGGAACGCACCACAUGCACUGCAUUCGCGGCAUAGACGAGCCAAACACAUGGAAGAGCAGCUUAGACCAGCAAGUCAUGACUGGAGGCAGCCAAGAGCUCCGCUACCCCAACAAAGGCAAAUUCAGGAAGAAGUAGAGAGACUCUUGACCAAGCGAUUGCAUGAUUUCCAACGCAACGAGGUCACCGACGAGGCACUACGACGGAACAUGACCAACAUAAGCAAGCAGGUCACCCUUCACGGACGAGAUCGAGCAGGCAGAGCCUCCACGAGAGUUCAGCAUGCCACAUUUCACAUCUUUCAAAGGGGAUGAAGACCCGGAGAGACACUUAAAGCGCUACCGAAGCGCAAUGAUCCUUUAUCGAAACAACGAUGAGCUUAUGUGCAAGAUAUUCGCCACCACUCUACAAGGCGAGGCGCAAGAUUGGUUCUACACCCUGCCGUCACAAUCCAUCCGGAAUUUCUACGAACUUUCUUUGGUUUUCACCAAAGAAUAUUCAUCCUAUCGCUCGAUCAAAAAGAAAUCUGAUCAUUUGUUCAACGUCAAGAAGAACCCAAAGGAGUCAAUUCGCGACUAUGUGAGGAGGUUCAAAGUAGAGAAGGCAAAAAAUAGUCGGAUGCAACGACUCGAUAGCUAGAGCAGCCUUCCAAAAAGGACUUCCAGCAGACCACCCGCUAUUUGGAAAAUUGAUCAUGAAAGAAGAUCUAACUCUGGCAGACUCUUUUGCUUUGGCAGAGAAGUAUGCACUUUGGGAUGAGGCUCGCCAAUGCACAUUCAAGGACUUGAAGAAGUACCCGACAUCACCUCCCUAGAAGCAGCGGAGGACUUAUUCACAUGUUUGACGAUAUCUAAAGUAGCAAUAAGCUCUACCAUCAUGCGAGAAGAGAUGGGGGCCCGACUACCUGUAUUCCACAGUUACCUGUAUUCUACAGUUCAAAAGCUCUCCUCGAUGUUAUUAAAAAUUCAAAAGCUAACUUUGGUGAUAGUUGUUGCAACCCAGAAGCACAAGUUUUACUUUCAAACGCAUGCAAUCAUCCUAAUGACGUACUAUUCUGCCCAAUCCAGACGCGCGACGAUAAAGGUGUAGACCAUGGCGGAUGUAAAGUUUUCUGACGAACGCAACACUAGAAGGACACACUCGAAAGCAAGUUUUGUCCUCGUCACCCUAAAAGAUUCUACAUAGGAGCAACAUGUACCGGCAGUUGAGUACCAUUUCUUGCUGCGCAUCACACGGCCCUAGCCGACCCUUGCUCAAUGAUUCAACUCUAGAGUGGCCCAAUACCGGCAGUUGAGCAUCUCCUGUUGCGUAUGACAUGGCCCCAUCUCCACAGCUCCCUACUGCGUCUUCACGCCGAGCCUAAGUGACGUAACAGAGCAGCCCAACGAUGCCUCAGAAGUAGCCGAGCACACUCUAGCUGCGCCUACUCCACCCGAUGGAGACUUUUGGCAUUUGCAUGUCGACGACGCAGAAAAGCCUUCAUCACUGCCGGCAGAGAAGGCUCCAAAAAGAUGGAUCCCAUCUGGGAAGGUCCGUACAAGAUCAGCAGAGUAGGGGGCAAGAGUAAUUACACCCUCACCACCAUGAAGCAGCAAAAAUAUUGAAAAGAAAUGGAUGGCCUACAAUCUGAAGAAGUACCAUGUGUGACCUCCCGCUACAUCAAAACCCGAAGACUCAAUAAGCUCGACGGGCACCACCUCACAAGCUGGGGACUAUCCAGUUGUUAUGCAGUUCCUACCUUACAGCUAAAGUUCUCGUUCGUUUCACUCGUUUUUCAAUGAGGAAUUUAGAAGUAAUCACAACUUGGCUUGGUUGCAUGCUUACAACAACUAAUCACUCCUGCACUUCAAAAGAAGAUUGCGCCCUUCUUAGGGACUCAUCGCAGGAAUUGCGCCCCCCGAGGGACCAACCAUGCUCUCCAGUGCGAGAGGGUAAACCAAUUCUCCGACACCCAUAUGGGUCAGCUCUCCAAGACGGGAGGAUAAACUUUACACUCCGAAUAUCCAGACGUGGAUGAGCCUGGCUGCCCUAGUAUAACUAGAUGCACGAUGGCUUGCGCCGGGAUUCCUAGAAGUAGCCGCAAUGGUCUUUUUCAAGGCUUAGCUAACUGAAGGAUUUUGGGUCUCUUGGCCUAAUCCGUGGGGAACCGGGCCCUAGAGACGGAGAGGGCACAUUACGCAGUACAUCCGAUGGACGGCUGCCCUGGAAUCCUAAAGCUGCUACCGAGUGCACUAAGGUAGCCUACGGAUUCCGGAAGACUGCCUACGGCUUGCCCUUCGAGCAGUGAAGCCGCACUAGACUUAUACAACCGCACAUUCUUGUGAAAGGUUAAACAAGCUAGCGCGCAUAUACGAAGUUUUAUCCACUGCCGACAUGCUAUGUAGUUGAUAAGCUUCACCUCUGCCAAGCGCGGAACAACCUACACCAAGUCCUAAAGUGUUGUGAUACUUGCUACGCAACCUACGGAAUUGAAAAAAGUCAAGGUUAACAGCCGAGUGGUUACGCGGACUUGUCUACUUCUGUAAGUAAGGCAUCCGGCUGCCAACCCUAUGGCUAACAACUUUGCAAAGUUCUACACCAACACCUACGGCUGCAUAGGCUACGCGAGUUUGUCUGCUUAUAAAAAAGUAGCAUGCCUGCCACUGGUCUAUCAAGUCUAAAGGUUAGGGCAUGAACAAAAGAAGUGAAGAUGAAGAAAAACGAAGGAAAACAUGUUUAUAAACAACUAGCAAAGGCCGAAUGAGUUCAAGCAAAACAAGAGCUACAAGGAAAAACAAAGAAAAUCCUAAAGGCUACCUAAAAUACUACACUACAGCAGCUUGGACAUCCCACGACUACUCGAUCGCCACACCUUCAACAGCCGUAACGCUCUUAGCAGCGGCAUCAUCCGGCGCUUCACCCCCCGGCUGCCCUAGUCUGGGCACUAACUUCUCCAACUACUUCACCAAUGGAAGCCUUAAAAGUAAAAGCAAACAAGUCUUCCGGAGAAAUAGAGAAGGUCUUAAAACCUCAAGCCCAUCCUUCUCACCCUUCAGCUGCUCAUUCUUCUUAAGCAGACUAACACGGACGCGCUACAGCUCAUCCACUCUCUUCUUAGCAUAAGUAGCGAAACGAAGCUCAGAAAUUGCAAGCUUAAGAUCUUGAAUCUGAGGCGAAUCAAUCUCAGCAGCAAAGGGAGCAGGCUUUGGCGCCACUUUAGCAGCAGAGUCCACCUUACCACUCUUCAUAAUAGCAAGUCUCUAAAAAGGUGAACCGGACUUGGCUCCCAAAGAACGUCCUGGUACAAACUUCGGCACUGGGGGCAUGAUAAAACCUUUACGCUGAGUAAUCUUAUCCACAAUUGUACUAGCCAUUCUCAACAUGGAAGACGCCACAUGCUCAGAUCUAGCAGCCUUACAUUUCUUCCCAUUGGAAGAAGUCAUGUCAAUCACAUACCUCUCGGUAGCAAGUGGACCAUCAUGAGCAGCAGAAGAAGUCUUCAAUUUUUUCUUAACUGGCAUCUCAUGAGCAGGUGGGGAAGAUCUCUUCUUUCCAUCUUCAUUCAUAGUAAGCUCCACGAUAGCGAUCAGAUGAGCCAAUGCAUCCGCCUUGAUCCUCUUUACCUCCUCUUUCCGGAGCAGCCCACAUUUCUUUCAGCAAAUAGGACUAAGCAGCCAACGACAUUCAUGGUACUCAGCAGGGGAGCUCAACCCAGUAUUCCAGCAGGCAGGAGGCCUGCAUGCCCAACAUUCCAGCAGCCCGUGAGACCCGCAAUCUCCUUAUUUCUCUCAAUCGCAAGCCUGGCCUGAGUCAAGUCCAAUAGCCCAAAGGACAUGAGUCAUGCGAUUCGCCUAACACUGCGCCUCAGCGCCACAAUCCUCGACCCCAGCUGCACAAGCUGCCCUUGGUUCUAGCCAAGUCAAGCAGCUUAAAACAGUGGUCCCUACCACAAUACCUCAUCGGCCCAUGUCGAGCCGACUCCUGGCCUAUGCCAGCCGACGUGCCGCACCACCCCGAUGGCUGCCCUGCAAUAGCACUAUCCAAGAAGAAGGCAAGAAAAAUUAAAUUUUUCUUACAUCGGUGCGGCACGAAAAAGACGAAGAAAUCAACGAAAGACGGUCUUUUGCACAGGCAAGACGUAGAAGAUUGCUAGAGGAGAGGGAACAAAUAUCCUCUAACUUUCUCUCUCUUGUUGGGUAGAAUAAAUCGCUCUCCAAAGUUGAUUUAAUAACCCACUUAAGGUGGACUUAAAUAGGCUUUGAGAGAAAUUUAUUUCCCUUUCCUAGAAGGAUCUAAUUUCCAUUUAAAGAGAGAAUCAACAACAAAAUAGGAAUCAAUUUAGAGUUGCCUAAAGCGAGAAAAUCUCUACACCUGUUGCCCUUUUCUGCAAGCAGCCCAACAGGUGUGGGGGCAUUUGUGGAGCCAAAAAUAUUCGCUAGGCGACACGUGGACUUUUGGACAAAAGAGGACAAAAAUACCCUCGAAGCAUACAAGGAUUCCUACGCGCGAGCAGUGGGCAAUCAUCUUUCAAUCAAGUCAAAAGUGCCCAAAAAAGGUAACAAUUAAAAACCUCUCUCAUCAAAUCCUUUCUAUAAGGUAUUUCCCAAAACCUAGUAUUUUCUAUUUCAUUAUUUAGCUAAUCAAUUAGCUAAAUAAUAUAAACCUACCAUAUCUCCUAAAAUCACCCAAUUAAUAGCCCAAAACCGGCCCCCACUAUUCACAUCCUCAUCUUUCCCAUUUUCCUUAUUAAAAUAAUCAUUCAUUUUUAUAACCACCCAUUUAUUAUUUUCAUAUUUAAUUAGCCAAUAAAUUGGCAAAUUAAACAUGAAAUUAACCCCCACAAAAACCCUAUGGCUGGCUACUAUUAUUCAAAAUAGGGCAAACCCUAACUCUAUAACUAAACACAUAUUCUCACCAAAAAUUCAUUCCAACUCUCUCACAAAAAAUCACAAAUACUCUAAACACUAUUUCUCUCUAAAAUUCUAACUUUGGCAUCGGAGGUUCUUCAGCCAAAGCCCCCCAUUCAUCGUGGACGCGUGAGGCUCUUGGCCUUAACCUAGGUGCUAGUUGUUUUGUAGGUGCAAAAUCGUCCAAGAUCGAAGAGGAGAAAAUUUGCAUCCACAAUGGAUGUGCGAUUAAACCGAAGAACCCACCACCUCCAUCUUCUCCGACCAACUUGAACCCAGCCACUACUACAUGUCAUCCCGACAACCCACUCUCAGCUUCCCAAACCGCCAUUUUUCACCCACUCACUUACCUCUCUCUCUCUCUCUCUCUCUCUCUCUCUCUCUCUCUCUCUCUCUUACCCAAGCCACUGCCAUUAUUCAUUCAAUCAACCCAAAACACGAGAGCCACCCCAUCUCACCACUCGAACAGAUGCAGCCACCCACCCAUUUAAUCCCAGUCCAAAAUCAAACCCUCUCCUAAACCCACCCCAGAAUCCAAUAAUUUCAAAAAAUGGCUGAUUAUAUCAUUUCAAGAACCUCACAAUUCCAAAAACUAAAAACCCACUUCAAAGAUGUAAUAUUUUUCUCUCUUCCUCUUUUUGGGUUUUUUUUUUUUAUCAAUUCUCUUCUGGGUUUUUGUUUACAGUGUAAAAUCAACACUAAUUUACUAAUUUUGCUUUGAUUUUUCAAACACUAUUGAGGCGUGAUAACCUGUUGCAAGCUCAGCCAUGGCGGCUACUGCAAAAUCUAACGGAAAAACCAUCACAGACUCUGCCAUUUCAUCCAAGGUUCCGACAAUAGCAAACCCUUUAACGAAUAGCUGUCGCAGAUUUCUUCCAACAUCAAUCACCACGCGAAAUUAAUUGUCAAUGAAGACGAUCCCAUUCCCCUUCGAAAUCUGCUGGGGGAAAGAGGCCUUCUUUCAUAUCUGCUCUGAGACCUGUUUAUGCGAGAGAGUGGUGAGCCUGACGACAGAGAGAAAGAAGGGCAGGAUUGGAAAAUUGGAAAGUUCAUUUAUUGGUUACUGUUUAUCCGUGUUUCUUCGAAAUAAGCUGCUUUUUCCAGCUUUGGGUUUUCAGUAUUUUUUUAACCCAUAAUUUUGAAAGAAAAAAAACUGAUUUGAAAUGUUAUCAAACACUUAAAAUGUUCCAAUCUUUUUUCAUACCUAUUUUUUUUAUUAAAAGUUAAGCUAAACAAAAACCAGGAUUAAGUUUACUACUUUGAAGUUUCUUGCUUUUCAACAUUUCAUACAUUGAAUUUUUCUCAUCCAGUGUCAUACCUAAGGUGAGAAUUGUGGGACACUUUUAUACAUCCGUUAGAUUUUCUGUGAAUUAUGGGACACUUUUAUACAUCCGUUAGAUUUUUUGUGAUAACCUUCGCUGACCCACGAUGCGGCAUGCAUGUGGACAUUAAAAAAAAUUCAAAAAUUCAAAAAUUCAAAAAUUUUAAAAUUUAAAAUUCAAAAAUACUAAAAACCUAAACUUUUCAUAAUAUUGAGUUGAGAGACUGAAUCUUUUCACACUCGGCCAAAUUUUCUUUGAAUUUUAAUUAAAUGAAACAAUGAAUCUUGAACAAAGCAAAACAAAACGUAAUAUUGAGAGAUUCAGUCAUUGAAGUGGACGUGGAUGUUGGGUACUCAAUAGUCCAAGAAUGAAAAUUCUCAUAUCAGUUUCUAUCCAAAAUUUUGGAAUUAUGUGUGUUGCAACGAUUGUCCAAAGGAUUAUUCUUCUUUUAUUAAAUUUCCAUGAAAAAUGAGCAUGGGGGCAUAAAAAUUGAACGAAUGAAAUUUCAACGAUUUGAAAAGGGUUGUGAGUUUGACACGUCAUUUUUCUUCCUUUAAUGCAAUCAUGUUUAUUAAAAGACAAAAAUAAAUAUGACUUUACAUAAGGAGAGAGAAAGAAUAGUUUUCUUUGAAAAAAUCAACCAUUUAUUGAAGAGGGAUGUUGAUAAGGAGAUGAGACAUUCAUUAGAAGCUAGAAAAAAGAAGUUAAAAGUGAUUUAGAAAAAAGCAAGAAAGCCACAUUUUCAAAGUGGUGGUCAUUGCACAAUACUUAAUUAGAAGAAAACUCAUAGUAUUGUAUUUACAAUUUCAAGUCUUUAUGGGGAACGAGAGUGCAAAUUUUCCAAUUGGAAUAUGAUAUGAAAUUUCUAGAUAACUAUAUAUGACAAAGAAAGAAGUCUAAGUUUCUAAGUGGUAGGGCUUCCAAUUGAUGUGAGUUUGUUGAGAAAUGUAGAUGAAGAUGAAUAUUGUUGUUGAUGUUAGUGAACAACAGAACAAGUUGCUUCUCCUUUGGCCUUCUAACAUGAUAUCACGGAAAACAAGUUGUUGCUAAUAAAUGUAUCUGAUUGGUGGACUUAGACGUGCGCGGUACGAUUUUUGAUAACGAGAAAAGAUGGACAGUGUCAUGACAAAAUUUAUCCAAGUAGACCCAAAGGAAAGACUUAGGAACUUCAUAUGCAGUGGGAUAAAAUCUUAAGCUAAUUUCCUUACCUAUUUUAUAGUCAUUAAGUAAAAUGUAUAUGUAUAUUUCUAGAUGCUGACACACCAAUGUACUUACUAUUAACUCCUUUCAAAUACCCAUUCGCAGAAACGCAAAUCUCUCUUGCAUGCUUGUUGUAAUGCUCAUGUAGUGCGUAUCUAAUAUCUUAUGUGUAUAAUUUUUUGUGAUCCAUUUUUUCAUCACUAUGCCAAAAUCCCUUUAGAAUUUGCAAUUUAUCCAUUUGGUUAUGGUAAAAAAAAAAACUCGGAAUUUCAUUUAAACUCAAAAAUCUAGAAUUGGGAAAGCAAUUUUCCCUUGUUCGGCAACUUGUAGCGAUAGCAAAGGCAAAUUGUACAGGAAAAAAGUGGAAAUUGGGGAUGAAGAUCCAAUUUUAAUUUCGUCAAAAUAAGUGUAAUUUCACAAUUCCAACAACGUUGAGAACAAAUGCAUUGCGGGGAAAUCUUGCGACCACCAAACUUUACGAUUAGAGGGCCAAAUUUCAUGAUAAAACGUAAUAAGGGUUUAGGACUGCAUCGUUCACUUUGUUAACUCUCCAAUCUUCGACGGGAUUUUCAACUCGUGCAUCAUCUUUUGCUUUGUUCUAGGUCAAAGCCUACUCUUUUCUUUCUUGAAUUAUUUUAGCUUUGAGGGUAUACUCUUUAGGCCAAUUGUGAAUUUUGCUAGUUAUUUUUAUUUUCUGAUGGUCAUAUGUUUGUUUUGUUUUUUUUUUCUUCCAAUUGAGAUGUGUAUUGGUUGGAUCAGUAACUUUUUUUUUGGAUUUUUAUUUUUAUUUUUAUGGAUUUUGGUGUUAGUUCCUUGUUAUAGAUGUUGUGGAGCAAAAAAUAAUCUCAAAAAUCGUGGAGGUGACACACGGAUUUUUGGACAAGAAUGACAAAAUUAUCCUCGAAGCACAUCAGGAUUCCCACGUGCAUGCAACGGACAAUAACGGCUCAAUCAUGGAAGAGUCAAAGGUGAUCAAUAUGGUAUUUAUUCAAAUCCCUCUCAUCACUCCUCAUCAAUCCCUUUUUUAUUUUAUUCAAAAGGUAACUCCCAAAACUUCCUAUUUAAUUUAGGGAUCAUUGUCAUGUUAAUUGCAAGAUAUUAUUUCACAAAAUAUCUUGUAAUUAUUCUUCAAUUACCACCAUGUAUGGCCGGCCACUCCUCACAUUAUGGGCCGGUCACUCCUCACCCUAUGGGUCGGCCACUCCCUAUAAAUAGCCCUAUUAUUCCACUAAUAAGGAAGCCAUUUGCUACCCACAAACUCCUAAACACAUUCUUUCAGAAUUCUAACUUUGGCAUUGGAGAUUCUUAGGCCAAAUCCCCCCUCCCAUUCAUCAUGGGCGCAUAAGGCUUUUGGCCUUAGUCUUAGGUAUUAUUAUUUUGCAGGUGCAUUUUUGUCAAAGACGAAGAUGGUGAAAAUUUGCAUCCACAAAUUGGUGUUUUCAUUGAGAGUUUGAUUCAUAAGCUCGAAGAAGACUCACAUUCAAAGUUUCACAUUUCUCAUUCAUAAGUAAAUUUUUCAUACGUUCUUAUUCCUAAAAUUUUUUAAAUCUUUGAAUAGACGUAUGAGAGAAAUACAAUGGCUAGAAAUUUAGAAACCACGACGAACGAAACUUCCUACGUUCAAAGAUCCAGAUAAAAUGAUGGAAAUUGCGAUGUAGCCCCACCACGACGAUCCACGAAGCUCAACGUGGUGGCAAAAUGAGUAACUUGGCCACCACGGAGUACCACCACCACCAUAGCCAAGGCAACCCAUGUUGCAGUGGGGAGUGGGACAGCUUCAUGGCAGCAAAGCCACGAAGCAACAAUAAAUGCCAUCUUGCAGUAAUGAGCCCAGGCCCGUGUCACAAGGCAGUCAACCCAGCGCUAGGUAACCUAGAUCUAGUAGGCCCACGACGUUGCCAUAGCAGCUGAGGCCUAAAGCAAGGCCCAAACAGUUGCGGUUGCGGCAAAUGGAGCAGCACAACACUGGCGGGGCCAAUGCACCCUUGGCCUAAUGCUAAGCAGGCUAAAUCGCACCACACCCACUAUUCAAACUAACCCUAAGUUGAGUAAGUAGCAUUGAAGGUUGUCAACCGCAAGGCGUUGAAGUACGAAUAAAGUUACACACCCCGCACAUGACUUGGCCCACUUCCGCGGCCCAACUUGCUCGCAAGGUCCACCUAGUGAUCCCGACUAGUCGAAGGCCAGUUUAAUCAUCCCAUCUUCAGAUUUCUGGACUGACGAUUGAAUCGGGGGUAUUUUCACCCCGAUUUUCUACAGAUUUGACAUAUCUCAACUCAAAUCUCGCACUUGGAGUCCAUUGCACUUCCAUUACUCAAGGAGACGCAUACCAUUUAAGAUCUUCCAUCCCAAAUGGCGAACAACACUUGUCUCGACAAGUCAUAGAGUUGACAUGCGCUUUUGCGCAGUAGACGACCUUAGUGAAUCAGCUCUUGCAACGCACAUAGAUGCAGUGUGCCCCAGACGAUGUGUCCCGAAGUAAGACAAGUACAGAUGACGAUUCUCUCCAGCAGCGUCCCAACAAGCAGCCGCUCGACUAGCCACGAACCGAGCGUUCUGGCAGUGUACACUCCCGUCUAGGUCCUCAAGAAAGCGUAUACUCUCGUCUUAGCGCGCGAAUGAGCGUGCACUCAUGGUUAGGCCUAUGGACGAGCAUACAUUCACGGUUGGGACCAUACUCUUAUAAUUAACAUGGACAACCUGCUAGACGAAGUGUUCAUUCGCGGCUAGGCCCGCAAAAAGCAUUUUCCACCUCAUAUUGGAGUAAGCAGCACAGAAGACGAAGAUAAGCAGUCAAUUAAUCUGGCUCAAAUUCAAUCGGCCACCUGUAAGUAACCAGUUCGCCUGCCAAGAACGUAUCAUAUGCAAUGUAGCCACGACAUAGACUAGAUGAGCACAACGAUAAGCAACCUAGACUAACAGGUUACGACUGGGGGCAGCCAGAAGCUCUGCUGCCCCAAUAGAGGUAAAUUUAGAAAGAAGUUGAGAGGCUCAUGACCGAACAAUUGUGCGAUUUCCAACGCAACGAAGCUACUGACAAGGCGCUUAAACGAUACACGACCAACAUAAAUGGGUCACCUUUUAUUGACAAGAUUGAGCAGACAGAACCAUCCUACAUACACUGGCGGAUACAAAGAUUACAUCUAUUUUAACAUAUGCAUCAACUCAGCCUAAUGGCGUGUCGAGGGCAAAUGGGUACCAGAAUGGCACACCAGCCCAACCACCAAGAACCAGGGCCAAAUCUUAUUUUCAUCACUCCACACGAUUCAAUACUUGAGCAGCACAUCACCAGUAAUCGAGCACCGCAGACCUAAUGGUCCAAUUCCUCCUGAUGCACACAAGCUCACCCCAGCUCCACGCUCAAAGCCUUGCCUACCUGCUCCACAACACUCAGCCACCCUUGAUUUGUCACCAUGGCUCACAAUUAUGCCAAUUUUGCACCACAGCUCAUAGCCGUGCUAAUCUUGCCAUGCGGCUCUUAACUACGUUAACCAAGCCCACGAUACUUUAUACUUCAAAGCAUCCAACGACGGAGUAGAACACGAGGCUCUACUAGCAGCCCCUGCUAGUGAAAGACUUUGCGGUGAAGAGGCUUCCAAUCCAUUCAAAUUCUCAGUUGACCACCUGUUGGGUUUUACGACUCAAAAUUAGGAUGAUGCAAAAAAAAUUGUGUUACCUAUUUGGUUUUGGUGUCGUAUUUGGGUUUGGAUUUUGACCUCUUAGUUGGUUUCCGUGGUGGAGAGAUUUUGUUAAUUACCUAUUUGAUUAGGAUUUGGAUUUACUUCCUAUUAAGAUUCUUAUUGUAACCUAAGUCUUAUGCACUAUAAAUAGGACCUCAGGGUUAGUGUAUUUUGUGUGGCUCAUUCGUGUGGCAAUUUGGUGAGAGUCAAUUUGUGAGUUUGUGAGUUAGAGAGCAAUUUGGGAGAAUCUUCUCCGUUAGUUUUGGGUUCUCUACUCGUUUGGUUUAGGGUUUGUAAUUUGUGGGAUUUGGAUUGUGAGAGUCUGAACACUAUUUUGUAAUCUCCGUUUGUUUAGUGAAAUUUCUUGUCAUGCUUCGCUCGUGGACUUAGAUUUUACACCGAACCACAUAAAUCUCUUGUGUUAGUUUGAGAUUGUUUGUUUUAGUUUUCACCUACGACGUUGAUAUCGGUACUUUGUUAGAAUUCGCUUUCCUUUGCUCAUAAAAGUACAACAAGUGGUAUCAGAGCCCGGCUUUCGGCUUGGGCUUUGCUUGGCAAUCACUAUGAAGCCUUCUGUGUCGUCGGUGAAAGUUGAUAUUGAAAAGUUCGAUGGCAAUGACUUUGGUAUUUGGCAAUUGAAGAUGCGUACUUUGUUAAUUCAACAAGAGCUUUUAAAAACGCUAAAGGGUGUGAAGGCUUUCCUGAAUUCGUGGACUGAUGAAGAAAAAAAAAGAUGUUAUGGAGCGGGCACUUGGAACAAUCCUGCUAACUUUAUCGAAUGAAGUCUUGCGUCAAGUUGGUAGCAUCAAAUCUGCACCGAAGUUGUGGCUAAAAUUGGAGAGUUUGUAUAUGACCAAAUCCCUUGCUAAAUGGUUGUAUUUGAAGAAAAGUUUGCGUACUCUUCGUAUGGAUGAAGGUACGUCAAUUCAUAAGACCAAAUCCUUAUUGCUGCCAAAAGUCCUCAACAGUUCCAAGGGAGAUGGGUAAGAGUUCGUAAUAGUGAGAGAUUGAAUCUUUUCACACUCGGCCAAAUUUUAAUUUUAAUUAGAUGAAACAAUGAAUCUUGAACAAAGCAAAACAAAAUUUAAUACUGAGAGAUUGAAUCAUUGAAGUGGACGUGGAUGUUGGGUACUCAACAGUCCAAGAAUGAAAACUCUCAUAUAAGUUUUUAUCCAAAAUUUUGGAAUUAUGUGAGUAUUGCAACGAUUGUCCGAAUGAUUAUUCUUCUUUUAUUAAAUUUCCAUGGAAAAUGAGCAUGGGGCACAAAAGUUGAACGAAUGAAAUUUCAAUGAUCUGCAAAGGGAUUGUGAGUUUGACAUGCCAUUUUUCUUCCUUUUAUGCAGUCAUGUUUAUUAAAAGACAAAAAUAAAUAUGACUUUACAUAAGGAGAGAGAAAGAGUAUUUUUCCUUGAAAAAAUCAACUAUUUAUUGAAGAGGAUGUGGAUGUUGAUUGAUGCGCAUUGUGAAUAGGAAAAAAAUAACCUUGAAGGGAGACGAGACAUUCAUUAGAAGCUAAAAAAAAGUUAUAGUGAUUUAGAAAAAAAAAGUUUUAACGAAACAUUUCCGGUACUGUUUACUCUUUACGAAAAACCACAUUUUUACCUUUCCUAACUACUAUUCACUACAUCUUUAUUUAUCAUUUUUCAUUAAAACUAAAGUUUUUGUUUUAACUUUUCGUUAGUUUCCUUUAGAAAAAAGCAAGAAAGCCUCAUUUUCAAAGUGGUAGUCCUUGAAACAAUACUUGAUUAGAAGAAAAGUCAUAGUAUUGUAUUUACAAUCUCAAGUCUUGAGGGGUAACGAGAAUGCAAGUUUCUAAUUGGAAUAUGAUAUGAAAUUUCUACAUAACUAUAUAUGACAAAGAAAGAAGUCUAAGUUUCUAAGUGGAAGGGCUUCCAAUUGAUGUGAGUUUGUUGAGAAAUGAAGAUGAAGAUGAAUAUUGUUGUUGAUGUGAGUUAGUGAACAACAGAACAAGUUGCUUCUCCUUUGGCCUUCUAACAUGAUAUUACCGGAAAACAAGUUGUUACUAGUAAAUGUAACUGACUGGUGAACUAAGACAUGCGGUACGAUUUUUGAUAACUAGAGAAGAUGAACAGUGUCGUGACAAAAUUUAUCCAAGUAGACCCAAGGGAAAGACUUAGGAACUUCAUAUGCAGUGGGAUAAAAUCUUAAGCUAAUUUCCUUUUUAAUCUUAUAGUCAUUAUGUAAAAUGUAUAUGCAUAUUUCUAGAUACAUACACACCAAUGUACAUAAUAUUAACUCCUUUUAAGUAGUCAUUUGCAAAUCCCUCUCGAGUGCUCUUUGGAAUGCUCAUGUGGUGCCGUUCUAAUCUCUUAUAUAUAACUUUUUGUGAUCCAUUUUUUCAUCAAUAUGCCAAAAUCCCUUUAGAAUUUGCAACUUAUCUUUUUGGUUACGGUAAAAAAAAAACUCGGAAUUUCAUUUAAACUCGAAAAUCUAGGGAUGUGAAAGCAAUUUUCUCUUGUUCGGCAACAUGUAGCGAGAGCAAAGGCAAAUUGUACAGGAAAAAGUUAGAAAUUUGGGAUGAAGAUUCCCAAUUUUAAUUUCGUCUAAAUAAGUGUAAUUUCACAAUUCUAACUACGAUGAGAAUCACAAAUAUAUUGCAGGGAAAUCUUGCGACAACCAAACUUUACGAUUAGGGUGCCAAAUUUCGUGAUAAAACCUAAUAAGGGUUUAGGGCUACAUUGUUCACUCUGUUAACUCUCCAAAUCUUCGACGGGAUUUUCGGCUCGUGCAUCAUCUUCUUGCUUUGUUCUAGGUCAACGCCUCUACUCUCUUCUUUCUUGUAUUAUUUUAGCUUUUCAGGUAGACUCUUUAUGGCUGUUGUGAAUUUUGCUAGUUAUUUUUAUUUUCUGAUAGUCAUUUGUUUGUUGUGCGUUUUUCCUUCCAAUUGAAUUGUGUAUUGGUUGGAUUUGUAACAUUUAUUUUUUUUAUUUUAUUUUAUGGAUUUUGGUGUUAGUUCUUUGUCAUGGAUGUUGUCCUUUUGAAGGUUAACAAUAGCCAAGACUAAACAUGAUGAUUUUGGUGUUAAUUACUUUCUCAUGAUACUAAUGCCAUAUUGUUCUCUAUUUUGCACUCACAAGUAAAGAGAAAUAUCCUAGACCCUAACUGGAUAUGUUAUUGUCAUGGUCAUGCAUUGGUAUGGUAACAAUAUGUUUGGAUAAGGAAAAUAAACUUAGAAUUUGACAAAAGAUAAAAUUUAUAAAUUGAUACAAUCAAUUCCUUUGUUUAGAUUCAUAAACAUAGAAAUUUAAACUUUCCGCGUGAGAAAAAACUUGGAAUUUGGGACCUUCAAUUCUCAUGUUUAAAUUUUAUGUAAAUAGGUGUCAUUUCUAAAUUUCAGUAAGUGAGAAUUUAAAAAUAACAAACAUGUAUUCAAAUUUCAUUCAUCUUUUAGGUUAACCAAACAAGAAAUUUUAUAAAUUCUAGAAAAUAAAAUUUCGUUAUUUCAAUUUCUGUUAUUUUAAAAUUAGUAAUCUUAAAUUUUCUCAUCCAAACAAAAAGUUUCCUUGUCAUAGAACUUUCAAUUGGGAUCAAGGAAGACAAUCUUUUCACAACUGAUUAUUCUCACCAAAUUUUAUUAUUAUUUUAAAGCAGAUCAAUACCAAACUUCAAAAGCAAAGUAGGAAGGCUAAAAUUAAGGUGAAGAACCUACUUCCACUAAUUACCAUGGGAGGGAGAGAGAGAGAACCAAGCGAGAGAGAAGAGAGAGAAAACACCAAGUAGUAUUAUAAUAUAGGUGGGGUUAAAUCACCUUUCGUGAAGUUGUAGUAAGAGCAGCUCCAGCGGGAGCUCCAACUUGAUGUACCGGUGAGAUUUCCUACCCAAUAGCCCCAGCUCCUUGCUCCAGUCCAUGCGGGUGAUUGGGCUGAGGGGGGCCGAGUGAGAGGCCUGACUCGAAUCGGUGGCCUGAGAGCCUGAGACCAAAAAUUAUCUUUUUGGAUAAUGACACGUGGUGCAACGAGAACGAUUAAAAAUCUUAUCCGAAAUUACAAAUAGAAUUAUUUUGUAUUAUUUUAUAAAAUAAAAAAUACUAAUAUUUUAUUGCUUAUUGACAUGACUAUUCAAUUACGGGUGGAGAUGCAGAAGACAAUUAUUAUUCAUUAAAGGUAAUUAUUGUUCAUUGGAGGGGAUUGAAUAUGAAGUUGCACUAGAAGGCCUUUGUCACGGCAAUAGGCAAUUACUGUUCUAAGGACUUCUAUCCUAGAAGAGAGACAAAAACACCAAGUAGUAUUAUAAUAUAGGUGGGGUUAAAUCACCUUCCGUGAAGUUGCAGAUAGAGUAAGGACUUCUAUCCUAGAAGAGAGACAAAAACACCAAGUAGUAUUAUAAUAUAGGUGGGGUUAAAUCACCUUCCGUGAAGUUGCAGAUAGAGUAAGGACUUCUAUCCUAGAAGAGAGACAAAAACACCAAGUAGUAUUAUAAUAUAGGUGGGGUUAAAUCACCUUCCGCGAAGCUGCAUUAAGGACUUCUAUCCUAGAAGAGAGACAAGAACACCAAGUAGUAUUAUAAUAUAGGUGGGGUUAAAUCACCUUACGUGAAGUUGCAGUAAGGACUUCUAUCCUAGAAGAGAGACAAAAACACCAAGUAGGAUUAUAAUAUAGGUGGGGUUAAAUCACCUUACGUGAAGUUGCAGAUAGAGUAAGGACUUCUAUCCUAGAAGAGAGACAAAAACACCAAGUAGUAUUAUAAUAUAGGUGGGGUUAAAUCACCUUCCGUGAAGUUGCAGUAAGGACUUCUAUCCUAGAGAAAAGUCGGUCAAUGGUGUUUGACACAGUCAGUCAACGAUAAAGACAGAAUUGUGUAACCAUAAUUCUCUCUCUAUCUCUUUUUCAUUAACGGAGGACAGUGUAUAAUUACUACGUAUACAUCUCUGCUCAAUUAUUGAAAAGAAAAAUCCAUGUGCAUUAUUUUUAUUAUUAUUAUCUCAGAAAUGCAGAAAUUGAUCAUCUCUUCCUUCUGCAUAUUGAUACUGGUUUUCUUCAAACUAGUUGAAGCAAGCCAAUAUGUGUGCGCGAAAUCCAACUGUAGCAAUGAUCAACGCCCGGCUAUCCAUUUCCCAUUGAACAUCAGGCGCACACAUCAUUGUGGAAAUUCUGGGCUUGAAUGCAAUGGGAGAUAUGGGCAGCAAAUACUAAUAAAAUUAUUUGUCAAACACAUUGAUUACAAGCGUCAGGAAAUCCAAGUCUAUUCCCCAAGUAACUGCCUGCUGCUAAAGCAUGUUGAAAUCCCAAACAUGCCACCCUCUCCCUUCAACGUGUCAGUCGAUGACUACAUGAGUACCCUUACCUUAUUCAGUUGUCCUACUUCUGUUGCAAGACGAGAUACGUAUCAAGUCCCCUGCCUCGGCGACCCUGGCAAGAAAACUUAUGCCAUUCGUUCUUACUAUGAUUUUGGAACUCUCUUCCAGAAUCUACAAUCCUGUACAAAAAUGUAUGAUGUUUUAUCAGUUCCAAUAGCCUAUGAAUAUUAUGUUUUUCGUUUCAAAUGGUCUAUACCAAAUUGCAGAAAAUGUGGAGAGGGAAAGAAGUGUGGAUGGCAGAACAAUGAAAUUAAAUGUCUUCCCUGGAGGAAACCAAGUAAGGAUAACAUAUGUAUUCAUUGCUAGUUUUAAACAUCUUUACAUUUAUGUCUUAGUAAUUAUUAUUUGAAGGAUGUUGUCCAAUCCAUUUUUACUAGGAAUAUUACCUGACAGUCUCGUUUAAAUUCGCAAUGAUCUUCUACAGGCAACACAUGGAAAAAAGUGGUUACAGGUGGAAUCCUGUGUGCUUUGCUUCUUGUUCUACUGACGAUUGCAGCAUAUCGGGUAUAUAGCGCUGAUAGAAAGGAGAAAGAGAGUCGAUUAAGAAUUGAAAGAUUCUUGGAGGACUACAAAGCACUCAAACCAAGCAGGUAUUCGUACGCAGAUAUUAAGAGGAUUACAAAUCAAUUCAAGGACAAGUUGGGCCAAGGAGCCUAUGGAACUGUCUUCAAAGGAAUGCUCUCUUCUGAAUUUUUUAUUGCUGUCAAAGUCCUCAACAGUUCCAAGGGAGAUGGGGAAGAGUUCGUAAAUGAAGUGCGAACGAUGGGUCAUAUCCACCAUUUAAACGUGGCUCGCUUGGUUGGAUUUUGUGCUGAUGGAUUUGUACGAGCUCUUGUUUACGAGUUCUUCCCCAAUGGUUCCCUGCAGGAUUUCAUUUCAUCUGCAGAUAGUAAGAAUUCAUUUCUUGGUUGGGAUAAACUGCAAGAUAUUGCCCUAGGCAUAGCCAAAGGAAUUGAAUAUCUUCACCAGGGAUGCGAUCUACGAAUCCUGCAUUUCGACAUCAAACCCCAUAAUGUUUUGCUAGACCAAAACUUCACUCCAAAAAUUUCUGAUUUUGGUAUGGCCAAGUUAUGUUCCAAGGAUCAAAGCUUGGUGUCCAUGACUACAGCUAGGGGGACCAUGGGCUACAUUGCACCUGAAGUGUUCUCCAGGAAUUUCGGAAAUGUGUCUUACAAGGCAGAUGUCUAUAGCUUUGGAAUGCUGCUGCUUGAGAUGGUAGGAGGAAGGAAGAAUAUUGGUUCAAUCACGGAUAACACUACAAAUGAAAUUUACUAUCCACAGUGGAUUUAUAAUCUUCUAGAGGAAGGGGAUGACCUACGAAUCCACAUUGGGGAAGAAGGAGAUGGUAAAAUUCCAAAGAAACUUGCAAUUAUAGGGCUAUGGUGUAUCCAAUGGCACCCGUCGGAUCGUCCUUCCAUGAAAAUAGCGGUUCAGAUGUUAGAAGGAGGAGGAGAAAGCUUGAGUAUGCCGCCUAAUCCCUUUGUGCCUACUGGUUCUACAACUAGGAAUGCAAGACGCCUAGAGCUAGAAGCUAUUGCUGAAUUAGAGUAAAAUGUAUAUGCAGAUAUGUAGACGUAUAGAUAUAGUAAUAUUUAUAUUGAAUAAGAGGCCGUUUGAUAACCAUUUCGUUUUCAGCUUUUAAUUUUUAUUUUUCACUUUUUUGAAAACUAAAAACUAAAAUCUUGUUUGGUAAAUACUUUUAGUUUAAAAAAAUUAUGAAGACUGAGAACUAAAAUGUGAAAGCUCAAAGGAAGUAGAUUAAAAGUAGUUACCAAACAAACUGGAAUCUCAAUAAUAAAAAAAGAUUGAAUUGCACAAUGCAAUCCAAACCAAUCAAAACAUUAAAAUAGCAAAAAAAAAUUAAAAUUCUAGUUGAUUAGAUUCUAAACGUAGUAAAAAUGAACAGAUCCAAUGAAAAAACAAAAAAUUCUCAAAUAAAAAUAGGGAUAAAGUAAAAUAUUUAUAAAUAGCUCUUUGUCUCUUAUGUCAUCAAUUAUUUCUAUAGUAUAUACAGGUUUUUGGAAAAAUUAGGUUCUCAUCCCUUAUUUUCAUAUUACAUUGAUUGAAAUCUUAUUAUUUUUCUAUUUUAGAUCAAGGUCCCUUGACUUAUUCCAUGUCAUCAUUUUAGUAUUUAAAAUAUUACACGUCAUCAUAAACGAAAUCUCAUCCCUUUCUGCAUUUAAGGCAAAAUAAACUAUAUGAGUAAGUUUAAAACAAGGAAAAUCCAUUUGAACUCCUCCAUUCUUCUUCUUCCCUUAUGCACAUCUGGAAUCUACAACACCCCAAACCCAAUUUUCUCCAUUUUUUCUCCAUUCCUGAAUUGAUCCAAUGCAUAUAUGUUGAAUAAACCUAUUGUGAUUAAAAUACAAAUUAGCAUCAAUGGUUUUAUCGGCUUGUGAGAUUUGUGUGGCAUAGGCAAGGCAAUGCAGGCAUUGCUUUCUCAAGGAAUCUGGUUGAUUCAAACAUGCAGAGACUGUAGAGUGAGCGGGCUAUGUGAAAAUUGUACCAUUCUGAAGUCAUUUUCUUUUGUUCUUUAUAUUUUUUUUCUUUUUCUUUUAUUAUUAUAUAUUAGUCUUGGUUAUUCAAUGUCUGGUUGGCUACACUUAUAUCCAUGGGUACAUUUUUAAUCUACAUGUUUCGUUCUAAUAUAUCUAUUGCUAUAAUAUGUUUUGGUUGGUUCAAAUUUGUUUUACAUAAAUAUAUGGGUACAAAGUUUUUGGAGAAUAUUAUGUAAAAUGGUUUUUAAGGUUGCUGCAUUUUACGUUCCCACAUAUGCAUGUCUAUAAAACAAUGUGGUAUGAUGUACAUUCUUUUCUUUGAGUUUUUAAAUGUACCCAUGAGUUUUCUUGUAAAUUCGUAUGUACCCAUAUGCUAUUUAUGUUAUGGGUACAUACAUUAUUUUUGGUCUAAGUUCAGGAUACAUUGCUUUUGUAUGUAUGAAUUCAUGGGGUACAUUAUUUCCCUUAAUACUACUCAAUAAAAUUCACAAAAAUAUGUGUAGUGUGCAUGAUUUUUUAUUGUAGAAAUUGUUUGUUUUUUUUAAGUCUCAUAAUUCAUGAAAUUUGUACAUAUAUGAUCCCAUAAAUUUUUUAAUUUUAUUAAAUUUCUGUUAGACUUGAUCGAUUGAUUGAAUCUCAUAAUACUAGGAUUUUGAAUUACAUAAAUUCUUGGAUUUGAAUCCCUUAAAUGUUGGACUGCAAUCAAUAUUUUAAAUUACAGUUUUUUGUUUAAGAUAUCAAAAAGAUGACAUGGGAAUAUAGUAAUACUAAAAUGCUGAGGUGUACAAAGUCAAGGGACUUUGAUCAAAACAUAAAAAACAAUAAGAUUUCAAUCUAACAAUUGAAUUGACUAGGGACCGGAACCAAAAUGACCCUAGAUUUUUAUUGAGUUUAAUCUUAAUCAAAAAAAGACUUCUUGUAUCACAGAAAAUACAAGAACCAUUAUUUGAAUGAAAUAAAAGCUAUGGGAUGGAGAUAUAAAUGGAUCCUUUUAUUCACAAUCGGAUUAUAUUUAUUUGAUACACUGUUGUCAAUAUGAAUGUUGAGAAAAGACUACAAAAGAAAAAACAAUUUAUAAAUAUAACUAAAAAUUCCAAUUUCAAUCAAUUAGAUAAUUAGAAUUAUAAGAAGAAAAAAAACAGAAAUCUCAGUUUUCAGUUUAAAAAAAAAUGAAAACAAAAACUGAAAACUGAAAACAAAAUGGUUAUCAAAGCCGUCCAAAUAAUAGAAGUUUGUUUCCACUCUUUGUUUAAGCAUAGAUGCCAAUUUUUGUUUAUCAUUUUUUUAACCUCUAUUUUUUGUUACAGUAGAAGCCCUAGAAGGAAAUCGAGCACUGGACUUACCAAACUCUUAACUUAUUUCUACACACCAAGAGCUUGAUUUCGGUUCUUAUUUAUACUAUUUAAGCUAUAAGCCGUGAUAAGAAUUAGAGAACUAUCAUUUGUUGUGAGCUUCAAUUGGUUAGCACUUUGUAUGUUUUCAUUAGAAUUUAUAUUUCACUUAGACUUUCUUAUUAAAAAAGGGAUCAUUUGGUGACUUCACCAUGACAGUCCAAUUUUAUGGGGGCCAUGAGUACUCACAAAGGUAUUUCAGCCUCCCCCUAUAUCUACCGUCGCGUGAUUCACCAUUGCCGGGAAUCGAACUCAAGACGUGUUGUAUAGAAUACAAGCCUAAAAUUCGUUUCUAACCACUGAGUCACCCCGCGUUUGAUUAUAUUUCACUUAGACUUAUCUUGCGGUAUAGCAUGUCAUCCCCGCCCAAGUUUUUCUGUUCGCAUUGAGUUUGGGAUACCAAAACUUGCCAAACAAAGUAGAUUGAUUAGUAAGCGAAGCUAAUUAUUCGACUAAACAUUGUUUAGAAUUUUAAUUAAAAGAAACAAUAUGAAUCUGUUUUUUUUUUUUUUUUUUGACAAACUAUAACGUUAAGGAGUUAAAUUGUUAGUUGUUAAGAGUACAGGGAUAGGUGAGGAUCGAACCUCCACCAGAGUGCAUAGACAUUAUUGGUUCUACAACUGCGGUAAAUCACAUAAAACAAAACGUAAUACUUUGAGGAUGGAAGACACUUCGUGGAUAGCGGGCAAUCAACACUAUCAGUCGCUAUCCAAAACUUGGAAUUAUGUUUAUUGUCCGAAGGAUUUUUCUUCCAUUAAAUUGCUAAGGAAGAUGAGGAUGGGUGGAGUGUCUAAAUGUCAAGGUUGAUAAGAAAGUGUAUGGUGUUCAGCAUGCGAUUGAGAUUUGUUGAGUGGCACAACAAACCACAUAAAAUUUUCUAAAUGAUAAGCAAUGAUAAGCUUGAGUAUAAUUUUUUACCACGUAUUUAUCUUUAAAAUCAUUAUAAUUAGAUUUUCUCUUAAUUAAUAUAGACCGUUAGAUUGACCCAAGUUUUUUUCCUCUUUUCUUUCCCCUCGUUUUUUUCUUCUCUGAUUUUCCAUUCACCGUGUAGCAGUCGUUCUUCCCCAACUAAGUUUCUUAUUUUUCUUCACAAAAAAAUUGUAGAAAAUAUUAAGAAAAGAAAAGUCAUCAAUAUCAGACUCGAUCAGGUAAUCGUUCCAACCUUCCCAGCAACUCUCAGUCUUAACAAGGCACCAAAUUUUCUCCGCCACCUAACUCGUCAUUCAUUCAUGGGUGUUUCAAGCUUGGUGAAAAUUGAUAGAGUUCCAUGUGUGUACAGGGAUGUGAACAUAUUGGCCACUCUCUAAGAAUGAGUCAUUGGAAAAGUUGAAGGAAAGAUGUAACCGAUGAAAUUAAUGGAUUGGAAUUACAAUGAAGUCUGUGUUGGUUUAUCACAAAGAACCCAGAAACAAAAUUUUAAAAGCAAACAAUUACAACUUCUCAAAUAUUAUGUAACAAACUUUCAAUGAAAUGUUGCUCAUAAUUGAAAAAAGGUUGACGAAGGACGGAGUUGGGAUUAUUUUAGAUGGGGAAGAGUUAAAAGAAGGAAGCACCAUUUAAUUACUAAAAGUAAUUGGAGAAAUGGUAAUUCAAUGGUGGGCGUUUUUAAGGUGUGGACCUUGUGUCACACCCCGAUCCCAACAUACAUUGAGGAUCGACACCUGACAUGGGGACCUAGGGGACAUAAAUCUUACGUAAGAUACAGAAUGAAAUACUAUAAAUAAUAUCCCAAAAUGAAUAUGAUAGUGGGUUCACCCCCUAUAAAAUAUAUACAAGUUUGUACAUUCACAAAAAAAAAAAAAAAAAAAACACACACACACACACACAAAACUCUUGCUAGGCCAAGACUUGCCCAUGGUUCUCAAAGGAAAGUCCUAAAAGAAAUAGUACAAUGAAGGAUAAAGGGGUAACCUAAACACUCCAAGUCUCUGAUCUCUGCACUGCUACCCCCACCGGCUCCUCGUAAUCUACCUCAGACCUGUCACUUGUACAAACAGUGCCUACAUUGUGGGAAUGGUGCACCGGGCAAACAAAAACCCAGAUAAGCUGCAAAACUCGUGUGGUAGCCGGCCUGGGACAUGGGAGGGGGCCGAGUCUUUCAGAAACCCUUGGGUCAUUGAUCUUCAAGCUUACAUGGAUGGGAUUGUCUCGACGUUGCUUUAGGAAGUCUCGACAGUCGUGAAAGACGGCUUUCGAUCCUUCCACUCCUUCUGUAAGAAGGUGUCUUCCUCCACUCCUUCUGCUUCGGGUUGAAGCAGCUGGGUUGAGAGAAGUCUCAUGUUGGUCGCGAUUUCGAUGAGUAGCUCGCUCCUCAACAGGAAUACCCAUGUCGAGGGAAAAUGAGCCUCUGUGUUGGAGGCACCCAGUUGAUGGUUGACUUCCACAGGGGUGAUGAGCUCGUGUGUUUUAGUAUAUCUAGCCUCGUGGAGCAUCUCGAAGACCUUUUCAUACUGCUCUUGGAGGAUCUCAUUCUUCAUCGCUAUCUUGUUGUUCUGAGCCUCCAGCUCAUCGACUUUAGCCUGAAGAGCAAACUUCUUUUGUUCCUUCUUUCGUUGUUUCGCACCAGGUGUAAGAGGGGUGUCAUUCUGUGUGCCGUGGCUUCCUUCGCUCCCCAUGUUAGAGAGGGAUGCCUGGUCAAAAGAGAGAGUACGAAUGGUGGAAACCAGCUUGGCAAAGCUAAAGAGAGUGGGAAUAAGUGUCGUUCCCACAGACGGCGCCAAAUGUUGAUGCACAAAAUCAGUGAGGACUUUGGUACAACAGAAAGUGUUAAGUUUGUGUCCUUCGCUAGAUUGGUCCGGUCAUUAGUGUGGAUAAGUAUGUAAAUGGAUAGGGACAGGGAAGCAAACACAAGAUGUAUGUGGUUCACCCAGAUUGGCUAUGUCCAUGGAGUGGAAGAGUUCUCAUUAAUUGUGAAGGGUUUACACAAGUACAUAGGUUCAAGCUCUCCUUUAGUGAGUACAAGUGAAUGAUUUAGUACAAAUGACAUUAGGAAAUAUUGUGGGAGAAUGAUCUCCUUUUAUAGAAUAGUUUCUAGCUUUGUUCUGACAUUGACACGUGUCAUGCUGUGAUUGGCUUUUGAUGUUGACAUGUGUCGCAUUGUGAUUGGCCUCCUGGUUUGAGGGAAACUCUUCUGGGUCCUUGACAGUAUAACGUUGACAGGUGCUCAGUAGUUUCGGGAUUGGUCAAGUAUGGUACAAACAAAGUCACUGAAAACUUCGAAGGAGUCACCCAGACAUCCAACGACUUUUCUAAAUCAAAUCUCAGAGAUUCCCAAAACUAUCGUUCACAAAUACACUAAAAACUAAGGCUAGAGUGACACAGUUUGGCCAAAGCCUACAUAAGUAACCAAAUAAGAAGUGGCCCCCCCAUAGCGGAUUAAUCAAGUAGAGCCACUCCUGAGAAAGUAACCAAGUAGGUAGUGACCCCAUCACGAAUUAACCAAGCAGAGUCACUCCUACGAAACUGUUAGGUAGUGAUCACCCAUCGCGGAUUAACUAAGCAUGAUCACCCCUAAGUACGUAUGGCCAUACCUAAGAAAUAAGGAUCGCCCAUCGCGGAUUAACUAAGCAUGAUCACCCCUAAGUACGUAUGGCCAUACCUAAGAAAUAAGGAUCGCCCAUCGCGGAUUAACCAAGCACAAUCCAAAAAUAUUAUGGGUCCCCUAUCGCGGAUUAACCAAGCAGGACCAUCCAUGUACCACUGCUACAUGGUGCAGAUUCGGUGUCACCUAACCCCGUGACACUAGGGUAACGGUCCUCUACUAGCCCUCACGUUUUUCAAACAUUUCAAAUAUAUAAUUUAAAACACAAUUCAUAAACAUUUCGAAUAGGGAAGUCACAUAGUGUUUAAUAAUGUAGGUCAAUGGAAAACUUUAAAAACAAUUAUUUAGCAUAAAACAUAUUUUAGAAAUCCAUGCUGUAUCCACAAAGUAUACUAGCACGGGAGAUUUUCAGGGUAAUAACUCUAUCACAUAUAUUAAAGUCACUCACCUGGAGUCCGCACUAACGCACCCUAGCACGAAUAUCAAGAUGUCACGUACUAUCAUUUGUAACAUCCCACAUCAACCAACAGAGAGGGGGUGAUGUGUCUUAUAUGUACAUGCCCACCUCUAUAGCACGAGGCUUUUUGGGAGCUCAUUGGCUUCAUAUUCCAUCGGAACUCCAAAGUUAAGCGAGUUUGGGCGAUAGUAGUCCAAGGAUGGGUGACCCACUGGAAAGUUCUCGUGUGAGUUCCUAGAAACAAAACCGUGAAGGCGUGGCCAGGGGGGCCAAAGUGGACAAUAUUGUGUUACGACGGAAUUAAGACUGAGAUGUGACAGAAUGGUAUCAGAGCCGCUCUGCCGCGUGGUGCAAGUGUGCCGAAGAGGACAUCGAGCCCCUAAGGGGGGUGGAUUGUAACAUCCCACAUCGACCAACGAAGAGGGGGUGAUGUGCCUUAUAUGUACAUGCCCACCUUCAUUUAGCACGAGGUCUUUUGGGAGCUCACUGGUUCCGGGUUCCAUCGGAACUCCGAAGUUAAGCGAGUUCGAGCGAGAGCAUUCCCAUGAUGGGUGACCCACUGGGAAGUUCUUGUGUGAGUUCCCAGAAACAAAACUGUGAGAGCAUGGCCGGGGCCCAAAGCGGACAAUAUCGUGUUAUGGCGGAGCCGAGAUUGGGAUGUGACAUCGUCACCUAAGACAAAGUACAAGUCCACAUUUAGAGUUCUUCGAGUAUUCACAUAAUCAAAAAUUUACAUACGCACCCUACAACUAAUGAAGAGAAAUCGAGACACGUUGACAAAAAGUCAACCGUCGAUCAACGGUAGGGUCCACAACCCUACGUAACUUAAUCCGUAAGAUCCAGCCACUGUAUUUGUGAUUCAUAAGUUCCUAAGGUCCUCAAAUCUUACGUACAAUAACAUACUAAACUUUAGUGACGAUCUAAUGGUCGAAUCAUCAUUUACUAUAAUGUUCAAAUGACGCAAAUUCGUCAAUCGGAUGUCAAAUAUGGAAUCGGUCAUCGAAUUUAGCCUAGGAAGAUCAAGUGGUGUCUCAAGCCACGCACCACCAUGCGCAGCAGUUGGCAACCCAGAUUCGUCGAAAAAAUCACCUGAUUCCAAAAUGAAUGUCGUGAGACGUGGAGUAAAUUGUAUACCUGUGAGAAGCCCAAUUUGGCCAGGAAGUGGCCUGAAAUCACUUUAGACCGUCGGAAACCCUAAAAUAGGUGAAUCUCGAUUAGUCAUCUCUGGUAUUCCACCGUCCUCAAACUUGUUUAGGGUUCUCAAAAAAAUGCUAAUGAUGAUGGUGAUUGAAGGAGAACGUUUCAGAAAUAGUGAAUCGCCGGCGAGGGUUUCACGGAAUCGACAUGGGUGUUCCUCGUGGAACCAAGACCAAAUCUCAACGGUUUUGGCUAGAAAUGGAUGCUGGGAUGUCGUGGUGAGGUUUGGUAUUGAUGGGAGGUCGAAGAAAGUCAAAAAAAUCGACGAAAAAACUGUCGUCGGAGUCACAGGAAACGUGUUAGAAAAAUGAGUCGCCGAGUUUGAAACGGGUCGAAGGCUUUUGGGACAGCUACUUAAUCUCUCUUCUCUGAUUAGUCACUCCACUCACUCUCUCAUUUGAUUGGUCCAGCCUUCCCACAUGGUGGGAGUUCCCUCAUAUAGUAACCCAAAAUUUACUAUUUAAAUUUGGUAUCAAACGUCCGUAACUUUUUUGUUAUAGUUCCGAUUCACAAACGGCUUUCGCCUACGCGCUCGUAUGAUCGAAUUAUACUUGAAAACAUUAAUUGUGACCUUAAAAAGGUCUACAAGUUUUAAAAGAUUAAUUACAAAAAUUCACACCUUGUAACUAUACGAUUCAAAUUCUAAAAUUAACGGAAUUAAAAUAAACUAAAAAUAAUGUAAACACGAAAUACAGACUUUAAUAAUGAAAUACGUAAUUAAUAGUGGAAUUCUGGGGAUGGGAUUUCACACCUUGCGUCCGGACCUUGAGUGCGGAUCAGAAUCCAAAGGUCGUGAUCUGACGAGCUCAUGUAUAGAACAGAGUUGUUGUGACCCAAUGCAAUUCAAAACUUUUAUGUUUUUUUAUUUACUGGGUACGUUUUUGUAGGAGGAAAAGGGGAAGUCGAGGGAUUCUUUGCGCAAUAAAGAGGGAAAGAGAGAAAAGGGGAGCUAAGAGGUUCUUCGCGCGUUAAAUUUUUGCUUCUGAUUUUGCAACCUAGAAAUAAAGUAUUUUCUUUAUGGUUUAUGGUUCAAGAAUAUAAUGGAUGCAACCUAAAAAUGUUUAUUUUUUUAUUUUUUACUUUUUUUCUUCUUAUGUUGGCUUUUGGUUUAUUCUUAUAAUGCACUAUAUAUUAACUAAAUUUAUAAACAUUUUGUAUCUUUGUUGCAGUCAAAUUAAUCAUAUGGGUUGGCAUGACGAAGUUCGACUGAGACAUACAGAUGUUUUGCAAUCUUAAGUCUAACCUGACACACCCCGACCUCAAUAUCCAGUGGACACCAAAAUUGAGGUGUGAUGGCCAUCAUCCGGAUGGGUGACGAAACCAUUAUAUGCAUGAAAACAUAAUUACCCAAACACGUCUUAUUAAAAUAUUGAGUAAAUACCAUACAAGAUAGAAUACGUCAGAGCUGUUGCAAAAUACCUCAACGUCCGAUGUAAUCACUGAUAGAAUUACUGAAUCAUGUAUAAAUGGAAAGCUGAUAAAUACAUGUAAUUUGAGUGGAUACUUACCAGCAGCAUGGAUACAAUAUCAUCCACCAGUCGUAACUAGUGAAAGUUGGAUAAUAUAAUCAUGUCAUUGCCGAGUAAUCUCAAGGCAAUGACAAGAUGAGAAUGUAACUGAGUAAUCAUAUCAUUACUAAAUAAUCUCAAAGUAAUGACAAGCUAAGAGUAUAACCGUAUAAUCAUGUCAUUACCUCGUAAUCUCAAAAUAAUGAUAAGCUGAGAGUAUAACUGUAGUACCUCUUAUUAGUGCAAUGCAUGAUAUGAAUUCCAUCUCACAUAUAUAUGCAAGCCAUAAUCAAACCAAUAAACAUCCAACAAAAGCCACAAUCCUUUUAACAUUCGACCACAAGAUCAAUUUUCAUAUUUCCCAAACCUAGGUUCCAAAGCAUUGUUUCGAAUUAUUAAUACAAGAAACCACCACCACCUCAAUCAACUCCUAUUCACAAGUGUAAGCAAUUACUAAAUGCAUCACUUUCGACUCUAGUCUUAAUUAGAUUACUUGGGAUACUCACACCAUCAGAUCCAAGUACUAUUUUGAUAAACUUUAAAUAGCAUGGUUAAAAUAAAUGAAACACUUUUAGAAAAUAAGUGAAGAUGUUGUUUACAAAUAUAGAUGCAUCUGUAUAUAAAAGCUUUGGCGGUUGAUCCGUAUACACACUUCCAGAGAUAUAAGCAAGUUCAUUGGAAUAUACAUACAUAGUUAAUGUAUUACAAUAUAAUUAAUAAGAAAACAAUUGCAUCCCUUUCAGAUUAUAUAUAUAUAUAUAUAUAUAUAUAUAUAUAUAGACACACACAUACAUACACACAGGCCCUUUAUGCAAAGGAAUUUCCAUUUUUUUUCAAAAAUGGGGAUUAGUUGUGGGGCCCACGCUGCAUUGAACUUUAACGAUCCGAACAGUCUAUUUUGUAAGUCUCGAUUCAUAGAUCAUCCUUGUAAAAAUUCAAUUCAAUCCGAACCCAUUUGCCUAUUUAAUUAUCAAGAUAAAAUUUUAUUGUUUCUUAUAUAACAAAGUAUUCGUUAAUUUCUUUGAACUCAAUUAGAUAUCUUAAACAUUUCCGAUUUGGUUAAUAUUGUGUAAGGAUGAUCUAUGUGGUGCAACUUGAAAAAUAGACGAUUACGAUCGUUAAAGUUCGAUGUGGUGAGAACCCUACAAUUAAUCUUCAUUUUUAUAAAAGAAUGGGAACCCCUUCCCUUAAAGGUUUCCUAUGUAUAUAUUUGUUCUCCAGACAUAUGCAAAAGGUAAUGUAAAACCAAUGAGAACUUAAAUAGAUAUUCCAUACAUAGGACAAUUCCAUAUAUGCUUUUUCAACAUUUAUAUCGAAAAGCCAAAUUGUUUUGAGGAAAUUAAUUGUAGCAAUGAUCCCUUAACUUUUAUCUUAUUGGAGCAAUGGUCUCUCAACUAAAAAUUCAUAACCAUUGGUUCCUUAACUCCACACAACGUGUAGUUAUGGUCAUUUUCAUUAACUCCGUCAGAACUUUUGUUAAAACAAGUAAUGUUAGAAGAAUCAUUGCUACAAUUAAGUUAAAGUUGGGGACCAUUGCUCUAAUUAAAUUAAAAUUGAGGGAUCAUUUCUCCAAAUUGCUUAAAGUUCAAGGACCAUUUCUACAAUUUUCUCAUCUAGUUUCCCAUAUUUACCCCAUGAUUCAGCUUCACAUGCAUUGCACAUGACUCAUUUUGAAAUUUUUUUUAACGAAAUUGAUGAAAAUGACCAUAAAUGCACGUUUUGAAGAGUUAAGAGACCAAUGGUCGUGGAUUUUAGUUGAGGGAUCAUUGCUCCAAUUUAGUUAAAGUUAAGGGACCCUUGCUACAAUUUUCUCAAAUGUUUUGUAUGCGAAAAUAGGCAUUUGUAAAGUUUGGCUUGUUCAUGGCAUUAUUACUUUAGUCUAAAGUAAGGCUGGAAAUGGCACUGUAGAAAUGAAUAGUGUUCCAAUCCGAAUUUCAGUUUAAUUACAACAAUGCCAUUGCUCUUUGUGUUGCCUUUAGGUGAGCAGCCCGGCUUGCAGCCAGGCCCAAAUGUAUUGGUUUUAGCUGAGAAGCCCGGCCCUUAGUCAAGCCCAAAAUUUUAAAUUACAGUUUUGCCCAUACAAAAUAACAAUCCGAUUGUAUCGAGAAGGACAAUUUUGUCCUUUCAGUUUUGGGUGAGAUAGGGGGUAACAGGGUAAGUUUCAUUUGCUGUCGUUGAAUGAGGGUUUCGAGGAUGAGGGCUCUGUGUGUGUGGGUGUGUGAGAGAGAGAGAGAGAUAGAGAGAGAUAGAGAGGGAUAUGGCGAUGGAAGGAGAGCGAGGGGGAAGGGAAGGGUUCUCGGCACUGUUGCUGCAUGUGAAUUUCACAAGUGGGAGAGUGGGUAUGGUCAGAGAAGACCAUAUAGGUCGUUGGGAUUUCAGGGAAACGGGGUAGGGGUCAUGAAUGAACCCUGCUGAGAGUGGGUACUGGAUCUUGCGCUGCAUGCCUCAAAUCAAAGAUAAGUUCGUUUUUUUUAUUGUAUUUUUUAUGGUAGCUUAGCUUUUGGAAUUGUUUAGUAUGUUAGGUCCGAUUUUGGGGGAUUUAUCUUUUUAGAGAGAGAGAUGGACAGGGAGAUAGAGAUAGAGAGAGAGAGAGAGAGAGAGAGAGAGAGAGAGAUGAGGAAGCAUGACUGUGUGCAAUUUUUUAUGUUAAUUAAUGGGUUGGUGCGCAGGGUGAGUGACAGAGUGACAGAGUGAAGGAGGGACGUGUGGGAGGGUAUGAGUUUUCAGUUCUUUCUUUUGAUUCAACAGGUUAUACACUGUUUGAAAAACCUUUUUUUUAUUAUUUUGUUCUCGUUUGCUUUGUUAAAACCAUCAUUUGAAUUUUUGGGUUUCAUUGUGCUUAUUUCUCUGCUUCUUCAUAAUUUGCUGGUGUUUGCUUCUCAUCCCUCUGUUGGUAGAUCUUUUUCUCAUUUCUUGGUUCCUUAUGUAUUCUUUGGUACAAAUCUGUUUACUUUUUGGCUGUGUGAUAAUCUUAGCAGGUGAACUAUAUGAACGUUUUUUUGAAACGAGUUAAGAAGAUCCAGCUGAAAAGAGCAUACAAGAUAGAGAACUGGUAUGCUGCUCGCCAGGGAAAGGCUGCUGGAAAGGUUGAGACGGAUGCCUCUUUCAGAAACCAGGUCAGUUUCCUGCUGCUCGGCGUCUUAAUGUAUCCAAAUUGUUUAUCUUUUGAUGAAAUUAGCUGGCUAUAUUUUCUAUUUUAUUUAUCUGCAUAUUAUUUUGGUUUGUUGAAAUUUUGACUAUAGUCAUUGUCACAUGGGCGCCUAGCCCAACCCAAAUUAGUUGAGGAUAUUUAAAUCUUCACCAUGGUAUUAUAGUACUCACUCACAGUUGUGAAUACUAAGGUGCAUGCAUGGCAUGAAGAAGUGGACCGUGCACGCCAAGGUCAGAGGGAUGCAGAAGGCAAGCUUUUUUCUUUGGAGGUAAGUAUCCUUUGUUUAUUGCCCAACAGUGUUGUUAUUAUCAAUUUGUAGCUUUGCGUUCUGAAUUUUUUGCUUUGUCAAACAACCUUCUUGAAAUGCUCGAUUUCAAGCCGAAGUCCAAAAAAUGAAAGUUGAGAUGGCUUCCAUGAAGAGGGAUGUAGAGCAUUACUCGCGCUAGGUGAAAUCUGCUUCCUCUCUUUUCGUAUAUCUUCAUAUGAAGAGUUUUACUAAGUUAUAUUGAGAACUAUGUUAUUUAUAGGUUAUAUUUUCCAUUUUGCAGGAACACAUGGAGCUAAGGAAGAGCUAUCGUGAACUCACUGAUCUACUGGUAAUGUCACUCAAACUGCUUUAUUUGUGCAUGCUGCUACUAUGCGCUUGAAUGCAUUUUAUUACUGGCGGGAUGCGAAGAAAGCUAGAUAUAUGUGCUGGAUCGCUUGAUUAAUGUUAGGGUUUUAACAACUAAUUGUUAGCAGCUAGAAGCCCUGGUUAGAUUAAUGCUAAUUUGAUUUUCCUUACAGUACUUGAGUGCCAGUUUCAUAUUGUUUGUUCCCUGUUGGAUACCUGCUGUACAGUUUCAUUUCUGUUUCUUCAUAACUUUCUUGGCCCUGGGAUAUAUGCAUAUUGAGUACAAUGAAUAUCCAUUGUUCUCUAACUGUUGGGCUUUACUAUCUUUGUAGCAGCCUGCCUAACAUUUUUUAGGCUCUACACUCUACCAUCCAAUUUAUGAAAAAUUCAAAGAUUGGACGAUAUUGAUUGCAGAAAUGAAAAAAAUACUAUGAUAUUAGAAAGGUGAAUGUAAUUGUGUUAGAAUAAGCGUCUAGCAUGAUGGGUAAUAUUUUAAGUUUGUAUUUCUAAAAUUUUUUCGUUCUGGAGUAUGAUUUACCUCAAUUGUUUUGUACUUUAAUCUUUACUAAUUUUCAUUGUGGAGUAUGAUUUGCCUCAACUAACAACUUUUCAUUGUUUAACUUUUUCCUCCCUUAGAUAGUUGCAUAUGUUUGAUUUGUUAAUCUGCUUCUUACACAUGUUGUUUCCUAAUGGUGUAGGUGGGUUGUCGGAUGCAUGUGCAGAUUACUUGAAUAGACGAAGCUAAGAAUGACUUAGUAUUAAGUGAGACAGAAGCUUGGGUCAGUUGGAUUUUGACAUUUGAUUUAUUCAUGUUUUUUGUUGCUUGCAAUGUUCUCGCAUUGUUUGUUCUGAGAUUCUGUGAUCUUAUUUUUCAUAGGAACUGACAUUGGUUUGCCAUAUAAUGUUUCAGGAACUAAUACAACAACUAAUCACCUUGCUUAGCUCUCAAGACACAUACUUAACAGGUUAACAAACACUAACCUAUAAACUGAUCUGCUAAGCUGGACCAUUAACCUCUGUUUAUAUCCCUGCCACUCAUCUUUUGGCACUUAUCAAUAGCAAAAUCUAGAGUUGUUGAAACCCCAAUUUUAAUGAAUAUUAUUUUUAGUUGAUAAUUAAAAUUAAUUGAUGAUUAAUCUAUUCCAUUGUGCAUUAUUUUAUCGCCAAAUACUUUGAAUAUUCAUUAGCAAAAGAUAUAGGGUUCACUAUUUAAUGAAUAGAAUUUUGAUGGUGGAUUGCAUUUCCUGAGUUAUAAAUGUGGUGAAUCCAUUAUUUACUAGCUGAAUAAUCAUAAUGUUUUGGCCACUUACCUUGAAUUUUGUUCAAAUUGAAGAAGUCACAUGUUUCUUUCUGUUGUUGAGGUAAUCUCUCUGUUGAAAGCUUCUAUUUCUUUUUUUUUUUUCUUUUUUUCAUUUGGGUAGAUUUUUUUUUUUAUGGAUUUAUGUAUUUUUUUUCCAGAGAAUUCGAAAUGAAAUAAGAAUAGCGGAUUGAGCAUAAACAAAUUGAUGAAAUUUUUAUUUGAGUGUUUGUGUUAGUCCUUUUUUGAUUUGUUGAGGUUUGGAAUUAUUUGAGUUUUUUUGCUGUUAGUACUAUGAAGGAUGCUUGGCAAUCGCGAAAUGGGGGCUACCUCUUUGGAAAGAGAAGUCUCGCUAUCCAACCUCUCAUGAAUUACAAACAGGGUGAUUUCUUGCUGAAAAACCACUGAACCAGUAGAACUUUCCUCGGUUCUUCAAUUCGAUUCGAAUAAUUUUUUUACCCAGAAAAGCCAGCGUUUCCUGGUGGGUUUUACAGCUUUCUCAAUGUUUUUGUGAUUUUGGAUUUGCAAAUUUGUUUUCUGUUCAAAUUUCCUUUUGUGAUUUUGGAGGUUUUGUUUAUCGAUUCUCUCACUCAUCUCUCAGCUCUCUCUCACUUUUGAGGUACAUGCCGUUGGAUUCCGUUUGCUGCUGCUGAUCUGUAGGUAAAGCUUCAAUUACCAUAUAAAGUUUACAUUUUUCAUGAUUUCUUGAAUUUGGGUUUUAAACAAAGGAAAUAUUGCUAGAUUCUUAUCUUAUGUGCAAAUUACUGGCUAUUUGGAUUGGUGCCUGAGAUUUAGAGAAUGCCUCGCAGCUUUAAUUUCUUUUUCCUUCAUUAUUACUGUUUUCAAAAUUUUUAUUGCUGGGUAUUGAUAAUUUGUAGUAUGUGAGGGCUUCAAUAUGUUGGAAUUUUGAAUGGUUAUUGCUUCAUCGGAAUUUGGGUGGUCCAAAUUUUGAAUUAGAAGAAACCCAUUUGAUUAAUAUUUUUGGUGGAUUGGUUCUCUGUGUUUUCCUUGCUAUUUCUCCCCCAGUUGGAAAUUGGAAGCCCCAACUUUGAGCUCAGAGCUUGAAUUUCUCAAUCGUUCGUUUCUCUGCACUCUCAUCAAUCACUCUUGAUCCUCUAUCUAAAGAACUGGGUAAUUUUCCAGCUCUAUCAAGUAAUACUCCAUUUAAUUGCUUAAUUGAGGUUUUUUGUUUCUCUUUUUCGCUCUUUCAUCAGUUCAUUGACUUUGAUGUUGAGCUUAAGUAAAUGGGAGAUCAUUAAUUGGCAUUGUUCAAGAUAUAAUUCUGUGUUUUUGGAUUUGUGAAACGAUUUGCCUAAUGAUGAUAGUGGUUAAAAUAAAUUUUUCGUUAUGAAGAGAACAUUGUUCUUCAUUUGCCUACGGUUUUAACUACAAAGUUAAACUACUAUGCUUUUGUUCAAUUGACUGCAACUCAUGCCGCAGUUUGCUUCACAAACCUCUACGGUUAGCUUCCAUACAGUAUGUUGCAAGUUUGAGGAUAUCUUUACAUCUUAAUUUUUGCUCUCUCUGGUUGCUUCAAGUUUGUAAUUUUACGUGUUACAUUGCUACUUGAUUUGAUUAUAAAAAUGCAAAACAAAAUCCGUUUUGCUUUUAUUCAACUUAAAUGUAUCCUUUUGUUUGUUCAUAAUUGUGUUGAAUUUAUUCAACUUAAAUGUGUUUUAUUCAUCUAUUUACGCUUAAAACAACUGGUUCCCCUAGCAAUGCGCGGGCCUAAUUUCUAGUACAUAUACUAAAAGCCAGCAGAAAAUUACUGUUCAUCAUGGGAGAUAGAGCACUGUUCAUUAACAGUGAAAGGGCGAAAAUGCCCUCGGUUUCUUCUUUACUUCACGUACUGUUUACGAAUUGCUACAGUAUAAAGUCCGUUUUGUCCUUCCUGUCCACACAUCUUUCAUCGUCCGUUUCUCUUGCUUCGACCGUAUCUUUUUUGCUUUACCUUUCCUCUUCAUUUUUCGCAUUCGUUAGGCUGCGAUUUUCGGAGGUGGAUUGUUUGCCCUCCCAUUUCCAUGCUCUCCCCAUGCCUAUGUGGUCACAGUUAAACCACGUCAAUAUUUUAUAUUAAUUUUUUAUAAAAAUAAUAAAACAAAAAGUAAUAAGAAUAUAAAAUAUUGACGUGGCUUAACGUGGUCCGUGAUCACAGUAGGCAUGGAAAUGGUCCGCGACUUUCUCCCUUUUCGCCAGCCCCUCUUUUGCUCUCAAAUCCUUGCUCUUUCUUUUGCAAAAUAGUCUCAGAAGAGAUCCUGGGUUUAUCGAAUCCUUUGUUGUUCGGCGUUUUGUUCUCAUCUUGUGAUCGUCGGGUCAGCAGCUUUAAGGUAAGUUUGUUUUUAAUGAUUUAUCCUCAUUUUACGAUGUCUGGGCUAACAAAUUUAAGAUCUUUAUUUUUCUUUUUGCUGCGGAUCUGCAGGUUUUGACAAGUUUUUUGUGAAAUUGGUGCUGUCAGUGGGUGUUAACAUCAGGUACCCAUGUUCAGUUUUUCGUUUUGAUUUGAAGGAAUUUCUUGCGCAGAAGUGCUAGGGUUUCUUGGUGAGUUCUUCGGGUUGUGCAUAUGGGUAAUUUUCUUUUCGGUUUAACCCGCUGCUUCUGCUGCUCUCUCUCUUUCUCUCAUCCCUGCCUGCUCCUCUCCAAUUGUUUGCUGUUCUUAAAUAUUGUGUUCAUUGCCUGAUACAAGGAGCUGCAGCAAUCUGUUUUAUCCUACACGGGACAACGAGGCAAUGGCGUGACAACAGGUGAGCUUGGAUAUCCAAAGAAAGAGAACAGUUGGUUCAUCUGCUGGAGUCUGAAGCUCAGAGAAGUGGAGGAAAAUUGCAGGUGUGCGAGAAAUUUUAUUUUGCUGAUAGGACUCCUUAUUUACGGAUGCAUUUUGAAAUAAUUGAAAAGUUGGAUUUGAGUUAACAGCUAUAAAAAUGUAGACAUGAUUGCUGAGAUUAUGCUAUGAAAGUGGAAUAAAAAAAUGGUAGUUUAUAAUAUUGCGUACCAAUUUUUUUCUCUCUUUUUUACCAAAUGAUAAGGGUGGUGGCUCAGGCCGCCCCCCCUACGCGUCCCCACUCUUCGACAAGUUGAAAUCAUGGUGAUAGUUUAUGGGCUGUGGUCUUGGGAUUCUGCAAAUAGAUUAAAAAACAGACACUUAACUAUCUUGUUAUUAAACAUUUCUGCAUCAUUCAGUUGCUCUUGAUUUUCGUCUUUUAAGCGAUCUUAUUUCUGCGAUCUGACUUGAGGAGGGUUUUUAGACCUAUGGUUGUGGGUGUUUUGUCUGACCCCAUUAAAUUGGUUUCCGAGAUUUGUAGACUUGCGAUCGGCAGUCAAACAUUUUGUGAUUCUUGCUUUUUUUCCGACUGGGAUUGACGAAUUUUGGCCGAAUCUGUUUCCUGUUUUCUUCUCUGUUUGAGCGGCCGCUGCCUUUCGGUCGUUGAGCGCCGGCAGUCUUUAGAUCUUUGGCAAAUCAAUUUAAUACAACCGAGGUAUGUUUUAUAACUGCUGUCUUUCAAUUUUUGUUCUGUAUUUUUGUUAAUUUGGAUGAAGCUCUAAUAAUUUUGUUUUGGAUCAGUUGUGGUCCUCUGUUAGGAUUUUCCUGGCUAAGAGGGUAUUUGCGUUUUUGUUGCUUGGUUGGUCGAUCACAGAUUUACGAACAGCUGUGGUGGUCCUGUUAUUUUUUUGGUAUGUUUUUUCUCCUUUUUGGUUUUUUCCCGGUUUGAGCACCCAUUCAUGAAGAAUUAAAAUGUGUUUAUAGUUUUUCAGGAGAGAUUAGAAAAGUGAUUUCAAUUUGGGAAAAUUUAAUGUUGGUUAAAAUUUGUCUAUAAUUUUUGGGAAGGAAUGAGAGGACCCAUUGAAGUAUGUGUUGUGAUUAUUUUUUAUUCAUAUUUUUAACAAAUUGGGCAUGAAUUGGUAGGUUAACUGUGUGUGUUUAUUAUUUGAAUCGGCCAUGUUUGUCUUUCUAUGGUUCUAAAAAAUUUGUAAAGGCUGUUAACUUGGAAGAAAAUGGGAUCGAGGGUGAGGGGAAAACGGCAGAGAAAGCAUGGAAGAGAGAUUUGGGAUUAGGGGUAGGAAAACAGAUGAAAAGAAUAUGAUAGAGGAAUGAGUUCAGUUCAUUUUCACUAUUUUUUUUAACUGAUUUGGAUUUUGUUUGGGUUUGAGGCCAUCAUUGGCGUUAAGACGUUUAUUAUCAGAUCGUGUGUGUUUUUUGCUAACUUUUAUUGGUCAUUUUUAUGUUGUUCUUAUGAUUUUGUGUGGUAGGGUUUCUGAAUUUUAUCGUUAUUCAUUUGGUUUUUUGUGUGUGUUGGUUUGUUUAUUUUGCAGGUUGUGUUUGUGCUGGGACAACAUUUUCCACCUUCUGUUUGCACUGGGAUGAUUGCGUUUUAAAACUGUUGGGGUGAGAUUUACAUAUGGAAUCAUUCCAUUUUUUUUCUUCCAAAUAUGUGCAUUUAGUUCUUUUUAUUUUAAAUUUUAAAAAUUAAAUCGUUAUUUGAGUAAAAUGUUUUAUUAAUUUAUGUUAUGUGUUGUGAUCAGGAAUUCUGUUGGAUUUGCAAAUUUUGGUUUGAUGAGAGAGAUGAGGAGUUUUUUUUGUUUGAAUUUUUUAUUGGACCGAUUUUCAAUUGGAUUGCAUUCUGCCUUUUUGCACCAUUCUUAUGCAAGCAAUUCAUUGUUUUAAAUACAAUUUGAAGAGAGCUGGGUUGCGGGUUGGAUAUAAAAUGUUAAGGUGAGAUAAAAUCGAGAUACCAAGGGUGGAAGAAUGAUUCAGAAUUGGGGGAGGAAAACAGAGGGAAGAUGGAAGAGUAUAAGAGAAGGAUAGGGUUGACCUCAUUUAGAGUUUUUAUUUACUUUUUUUUUUAUUAUUUAUAAAUUGAUUCAGGACUAGCAUAUCAUUUCUAAAUUUCUAACAUUUUUGUUUAAUUUGACUCCAGUUGAUGGAAAACAGAGCUCUUACUCCUAUCAAUCAGUUGGUCCCGUACAUAAAUGCAGAAAAAUCAAGGUUCGAGUUUGCAGAGUAUGCAGACCAAGGUUUCCUGAAACUACUGGUGCUGUCACGCCCCAAUCCCGACCUAUGUCCAGGAUCGACACGUGACGUUAACAAAUACCCAUAUCUCUAACAUACCCCGCCUCCGGAAUAUGGGCAAAGCACAACUGCGUAAUAAUUUUUCGUAUACUUUAUGGCUGCAUCUAACAUCCUCGUUAGAUUAUCAUACCUUAUGGCUACAUCUAACAUCCUUGUUAGACUGCCUACGUACUCUCAAAAGGGAUCAAACCAUUCGUAGUUCACCACACUCCAAUCCACAAAAAUUUGCACAUGCACUGAUUAUAAAAUGGAACUGCACCUAUAGAAACCUAAUCAUAACCCGUGGGCGAUUUGCUCCCACAUAAGAAAGACGUCCACAGUACCAUGAAAUACUUCCACAUCUUUCCUUCCCAUUUACACAAUAUUUUAUUUCACCUCCCUGAUAAAUAUAGCAUUUACAUUACAUGUGGCAGACAAAUUUGCAUAUUCAACUAUAAUAAAAUACAAUCUUAGUAGGAAAAACCUACAAGACCACCACUCGUUUGAGCCAAACUUUAGCUUAGCACUCAACUGGUGCUCACACCAUGUGAGUGCACGAUCCUUUAAGAUGGAUGCGAUGGUUCUCUUUUGAGAUUAAUUUUGUUACAGGUAUAACAUAGUUGGCAACCGUUUAGAAAUAGAUGCCUCAUGUUCAAAACUCUCAUUACCAAAUGUUCUAACAAGUUAGUAGAGAAGGUAAAAGAACCCAAAUGGCGAGAAAUAGUGUCCUGAUGAAACAAAAGAUGUAACCCUCAUUCAAGCACGAACAUCAUUUCCUUGAGAAUCUGCGAUUUCUUCCCUCAUUUGGUCAAUAUAGCUUGUAUUCCAACUGCAACUUACUAAUAGCAUUUGUUCUCUCCUCGAAUGAAACCAUAACCAGCCAUUUUAAAUAAAGCUGAACAGUUUCACGUUGGGAAAAUAAAGAUUAUAACAUACAGGUUUUGGAUUAGAUUCCCAAACCAACAGAAAAUUAAGAUAGGAAUCUAUUUUGGGUUAACUGAGGUAUGAGUGGUAUACAAAUGAGAAAUUCCCUACAAAAGUCAAUAAAACCAGUUACAUAACAUGUUGAAUAUAAUACAACAUGAAAUAAGAAGCACCACUUGUUUAUCUGACUUUUUAUACAUGUAUUUUCCUAAGGGAUAAAAACGUGCGGGUUUUGGGAUCAAUCUGAAGAGGGCUUCACCACGAAUACAUAGCCUUUGACCGUGCAUGAUUUCGUUGCCGUAUGAGAAAGUUAUCAUUUUUUUUUUUUGUGAAGAAGAAUUAAGGGGGAGAAGAACAGCUGCCCCCUCUGUUUCUGCAUCUGCCCAGCGGGGAAAGAAAAAGAAGAGAAGCCCUUGGCUUCUAGAAUACUCCCUCCCCAAAAUUACAAUUUUGCUCUCUAACUUUGAUUGUUUAUAUCUUAUUCGUUAUAACUCUGUUUCACGAACAGCUUUUGCUUACAUGCUCACAUAGUCGUCAUCUAUUUAAAUAUAUCAAGAAAUACAAUAAAAUACAUCCUCGUAUAAGUAUGUUAACCAAUUAGGGCACUUUCGUCAUUUCCACUUAUCGAUAGAUUUUAACACGUUAAUUAUAAUAAUGUCCGGAAACAGCUUUAAAAUUUCCAAAUUCUAUUUCCAUAACCAUAAAUCGAUUUAUUAAUUUUUCAGGGUAUCACAGGUGCAUAUUCAGGCUUGCAUUGUAUAUUACUUUCCUAUUAAAAAUUUGUUUGGAAUUUGCUUUUCCCACAAAGGAGAAGAGCUGACAGUUACGCUGUGGGCAGAUGUUGCUCGAAGUAUUGCUUCUUUAUCCAUUGAAUCAUUGUCUCUGCCGAUCUUUGCGGUUUUCACAAGUUUAAAGGUCAAGCUGUACCUAGGUGUUUGACUUAAUUAAAAACUAAUCUAUUUAUUUCGGAGGCGGAGCAAAAUGCUAUCUGUCUUACCCCUCUUGGUGAUCUUAGUCGGAAAGAUCGGCUAGUUUGGGAUGUGAGUAAGAAUGGGCAGUACUCGGUUCGAUCGGGCUAUCAUUGGCUGCAAUCUAGGUCUGUUGGGUUCAGGGAUCAACGCCAGCUUGGUGCUUGCUUAGUUCCGAGGCAUUUGUGGCGCAUGGUUUGGUAGUUGAGUGGGCCUCAUAAGCUCCGUCAUUUCUUUUGGUUAUCUUUGCAUAAUGCAUUACCGUCAUUUCUUUUGGUCCGUGACCAGGCAUGAGGAGAGCAUGGAAAUGAGAGGGCAGACAAUCCACCUCCGCGACUUUCUCCCUUUUCGCCAGCCCCUCUUUUGCUCUCAAAUCCUUGCUCUUUCUUUUGCAAAAUAGUCUCAGAAGAGAUCCUGGGUUUAUCGAAUCCUUUGUUGUUCGGCGUUUUGUUCUCAUCUUGCGAUCGUCGGGGUAGCAGCUUUAAGGUAAGUUUGUUUUUAAUGAUUUAUCCUCAUUUUACUAAACUAUUUAUGGUAACUUAGUAUGGUAACUUAACUAAGUAAGUUUGCUUUUAGCCCAAGGGUUGGAGAUGGUCUUAGUAUGGUAACUUAACUAUUUAAUUCCAUCUCAUUAAACUAAAAAAAACAAUUACAUAAAAAUAAGGGAAACCUUGUCCAGAGAGACCUGAGAAAGUCCACCCCUAAGGACUUUGCGCCAGCACCCAGCGUAUUUAUCUACUCAAGUGAACAGUAAUAGACUGGAGUGAACAGUAAUAGGCCAAGGCAUCUCCACCCCUAAAAAAAUGCGCUGGCACCCAGUGCAUUUAUUUGGUGUGUUUUUUUUUUAAAGUUUAUUUCAGAUAAGAUUUUUAACCAAUUUCGGAUAAAAUUUCAAAUAAACUUAAAAAAAAACACUCUAAAAUAAAAUUACAUACUCAUCAAAUAAACUUAAAAAAACACACUAAAAUAAAAUUACAUAAACUCAUCAAAUAAAUUAAGGAUGAGCUUUUUGGUAUUUUUUUUUCACACAAAAAGUAUAUGAAAGCUUUGGUAGAAGGUCUAGAAAAUAUUGAAAUGUGGUGUAAGGUGGAAGAUGAGGGUUAGGUAUUUAUAGAAAAAAAAUAAUAACUUUUUUAAAAUUUUACUGUAUUUUAAAAAAAAAUCUGUAUUUUUUUAUAUUUUUAAUUAAUUUUAAUGUAGUUAAUUAAUUUGGACCGUUGGAUUUGAAAAAUAUUCAAAUCCAAUAGCCCAGGAUCGGCCACGUGGCCAACGCCAGCAAAUGGCCCAGCUUCUUGGUCAGCCUGUUUUGUGCUGGCCCAGAGACCAGUUUGGGCUGGGUGCCAGUCUGUUUUGUGGGCUGGAGUGAAUGGACAGGGUCCCAGCCUGUUUUUUGUGCUGAGUGCUGGCCUAAUCCACCACCGGUGGACUUGCUCUGAGAGAAAGUGACGACUUCUCCUCUCAUUCCACUCCAUACUUGAUCUCUAAAGUCCAUUUGGCAUGUAAUUGAUGUUCAAUUUCAAAUUUAGUGGUAGCAAUUAGCAAAGCUAAUGAAAGAAUCAAAUAAAAUGAAAGAAAAAGCAUCAUGAAAUAAAUCAAGAUGAAGAAUGAAAUUUUGGCAACUCGCCAUUCUCUUCUUUUAUAUAAAAGAUACAUCCUAUUUGUAGUGAAAACAGGUCCCGACAAACCCAGUUAUCCUCAAGAAGUAUUUUGUAUGACUUUAAAAACAUAAUCCGUGAAAUUAUCUCUUGGCUGAGAACAACAACAAAUCUUCAUGCAUAGCUUGUACAGAAAGACAUCAGGCAUACAAAAGAACACGCAAGCAUAAAAUAAACGACGCAGGGAAAACCAAAAAUACUAUAGAACACGUCGCUGUCAAAAGAACAUGAAUAAAUGAAAAUUACAAAACAAAGAAGUGAUGAGAAACCAAAGUACCCAUUUCAUAAUCUAGUUGCUUUUUAGUUUGCUUGCCAUUUUUAGUUCUUCAAUUUAGAGAGAAACGAUAAUUCAGCACAUGAAUAAAGUGAAAACGUAAAAGAUAUGUGGGAUAAGCUGACAGCCAUCCCUGAGUAAUGCAUUCACUUAUGAACCCCAAACACAACGAAACAAAAAUUCACACAUGAACUACAGCUCCGCUAUGUAACAAGAAUUAAAAGCAUCUCAAGACAAAAUGGCAAACUAUAAGAGCACUGUAAAAGUAAAAUUGCAAGAAAUCUAAUACUUGGAGGGCAAGUACUACUCAGACGAAAAUGAAAGAUUGAACUACCUCGCGUGGAACUGUGCCUUGGUUUUUUCCCAUGCUUACAGGAAGCUUUGCACUGAGCUCUUAUAGCCCAAAUUUUCUCUGAAAGAAAAAAACACAAUUUUGAAAUAAGAUUUUCAUAUUAUACCUUAAAGAGAAGAAUUAGAAAACAAAAAAGAGAACAAUGAGUACUAUUCAUCAUAUAUUGUUAGAGUGUGUGGUCCUUUGGUCCAAUGGUCCUGCAGCCAUAUUUACUUUAUAACUCUUUCUUUUAGUCUAAAAAACAUCUUGGAUCUCAAAUUAAUAUGAAUACGGAUUCAUACGCAUGCAUUGCAUUACAACCACAAUGCAAUAUCUCAUUAGAAAUCCCCACACAAAAUUUUUUUAUUUCUACUUUGAUUUUAGUUUAUAUUUUUUCUAAAGCACGAGGGAGCUAAUUUUUUUUUAAAUUUUUUUUAUUCCAAUAAUGUUAUAGGGUUGAAAGGAUAUUAUCAAUUUAAUUGAUUGUAUUUGAUUGGUGGAACUUCUAUAUCUAUAUUUCAGUUUUUCAAAUUCAGCACUGGGAGAGUCAUUCAUAAAAUGUUUGACAGUGAGAUUACCUCCAUGGAUUAUGCUCACAAUGGACAGCUCAUUUUCCGCAGUGAUGGGACAAUAUAUUUCAGUCAUUCGCCAUUCAAUCAAUUCAAACCGAGGAACAAGCAACAUCAAGAAGAGGAUCUGCCAUGUCAGGAUCACUGUCGUCCAAUUAAUACAAAAAAUCUAGAUAAAAACGAUCAAUUUACAUAAAAGCCUUUCAUUUUCUCAGCAACCAAGCAAAAGAAAAUACCUAUCCGUUAACACUCGAUUUGGGAGUAAAUGUUGCUGAAACUGGACUUCAAUCCCCUCAACCGCAACAACCGAAUCGAGGUGUGCAAGUCAUUGAAAAACUCACCCAAGAUUUCAAAAUCUGCAUAAAUAAAUAAAUAAGCACAUAAAUUAGCCAACCCUGUUAUGAUCCCACAUCGGGUACACAAGAAAUUGUGUAGUGGUACUUAAGUGCAAGGGGUCCUCCCACCUAUUGGACUAGUUUUUUGGAUUGGGCUCUUCCCUUGGGCUUGAGUACCUAACAUUGGUAUCAGAGCCUAGGUUCCCGACGCUGCGGGACUUGGCGAGUGGUGCAGCCUCGUGGUGCCGCCUUGAGAGUAUGGGCUCCUAAGGGUCUUGGCGACGGGCAAGGUAUGAAAUGCCGAUAUUAUCGCGAUAUUUCGCCGAUAAUAUCGGUUUUUUGAGUUACCGAUAUUUUAAUACUUAUCCACUGAGUUUUCGUCAAAAUAUCGCGAUAAUAUCAACAAUAUCGCGAUAUUACCGAUAAUAUCGCGAUAUUUUGGAGAUGUGCGAAUCGGAGAAGAACGCCGGAGCUUUUACAGCUCCGGCCGACUGUAAAAGAGCACCCUAGACUCCGAUCUAGGUAUCAAAAUGAAAUACAAGAUGAGAGGAAUGUUUUUAUAACUUCCGUUUGCCGUGAAACGGUCGAAGGUGUUCGGAAAGUUCGUCGACACCCACGGCCUCGCCAGAGAUGGGUGUGCCUAUUCCCGAGCCGAUUUCGUCCCAAAAACCUUGCAAAAACACGAGAUAGAACUUAAAUUUCACGUCUAAGCUUCAAUCUAGAAUAGAAUGAGGUAAACCCGAAGCUUACCUAACCGGAGAAAUUCAAGAAACUCGUCGGAGGGUUCCUGCGUCGCCGAGUUGCAGAGACGAGAAGGAGAGGGAGAAAGACGAGGUUGCUGAUGACGAUGGGUGUCUUCCUCAAGCAAGUGCGAUGGUGUGCGUGUGUGUAUGUGGGUCUCGGUGCAGAGAGAAAGGAGAGAGAUGAGAGUUUCGAGAGAGAGACGGCACCGACGAGAGCUAUUUGUUUUUUUUUAUCUUAAAAAGAGAGAGGUCUAAGAGAAAUGGGAAGAGAGGGCCGAGUGAAAUGAAAGGAGGUCCUUGAAUUAUUGAGAGAUAUCUCUGAGAGAGGCCUAGGAUUUCUAAAAGGUAAUCAUAAAUGGGAAAAAUGGGGCACAUCUUAGCCUUUAUUUUGGAAUCCUAAGAAGUUCACCACAUGGAUGCAUGACAUGUGUGCAUGCCAUGUUUGUUGAAUGGGAAAAGUCUGACACGGAAAGACAAAGAGUCGUUUGGGGCUCUGGGCUCGAGGCAAGACAGAAAGUGCUAGGGUUUUUUUCUGAAAUGAACAUAAGCUGCUAAAUUCGCAUAUAUUAUAGUUGUUGCUAAAGAUUGUCACUAGUGUGGACUUGGACGUGUUGGUCAACAUGUCCUCACAAUCCCCAAGUUCUCUGGUUCGAACCCUUGCGCCCAUCAAAUUUUCUUUCUUUUUGAUGCGCUUUUCCCAUGGCUCUAGGUCUUGAUUUCGAAUCCAAGUGAGCCCUUUCCUUUUUCUUUUUUGUUCUUUUUGUUUUAUUAUUUGUUUAUUUUAAUUUAUUUGUUUCUUUUAUGUUUUUCUUUUCUUUUAGUUUCUUUGUCUUAGGCGUUCGUUUUUAUUAAAGUAGGAUGUAAAAUCAAUUAUCUUAAAAUUAUGUGUUUUUAAAUUUUGGACUUGUUUGUUGGAUACUUUUUUUUCAUUUUAUCAUUCUUUUAUUAUGAAAAUAUGCUAAAAUAUGCUAAAAUAUCACUUAUGUUUUUGUGAAAAUAUGCUAAAAUAUUUAUAUAUAUGAUUUUGUUUUGAAUUCUUUUUGUACUAAUUCAUUAUAUAUAAAUGAUUAUGGUGUGUUUAAACUUCUUUAAUUAAUUACUACAUAUUUUCUAUACUCACAAUGUUUGCCAGCUCGCUAUAUAAUCAACUUAAAUCAGUUAAAUCCAUCAUGCAAUGCAUUUCCUUCCAAUUUUUUGUGAUAAACUUGUGAACACGGAAAAUUCCUGAAACGAAAGAGACAAGAACGAACGUGCACAAACAAAUAUUAUGUAUUUGAUGAUUUUGGGUUACAAUCUCUCUCUAUUUGAUCCUCUGAUUCAAUCUCCGUAAGGUGUGUAUUUGUGGAUGUGUGAUUGAUCCAAAGGGCCGUUGGGCUUGAUCUAAUGAUGAACGUUCUUCAAGGGCCGUGGACUUGAUCUUGAAGGUGGAUUUGAGCGGAUCUUCAAAGGGGCUUUUGGGCUUGAUCUUGAAGAACGGUUGGAUGUGUGGAUUUGUCGAAGUUGUUGAUCCAAAGGGCCGUUGGGGCUUGAUCUUGGAUGAACGGAUGAUGAACGAUGGUGCUUUCUUCAAGGGUCGUCGGGGCUUGAUCUUGAAUUGGUGGAUGGUUGAUCCAAGGGCCGUCGGGGCUUGAUCUUGGAAGAACGAUGAACGAAGAACGAAGAACACUUUCUUCAAGGGCCGUCGGGGCUUGAUCUUGAAUUGGUGGAUGAUUGUUGAUCCAAAGGGCCGUUGGGGCUUGAUCUUGGAAGAACGAUGAACGAAGAACAAAGAACGCUUUCUUCAAGGGCCGUCGGGGCUUGAUCUUGAAGGUGGAUGAUUGUUGAUCCAAAGGCUGUCGAGGCUUGAUCUUGGAAGAACGAUGAACGAAGAACACUUUCUUGAUUCUUCGGGAACCUGGACGCUUGAGAGCUUCGGAGUUUCAGAGCUUCAGAGCUUCAAGGUGUAAUAUGAAUUGGUCCCCCCUAAAUGAAUGAAAUGGGCUUGUAUUUAUAGAAUUUUCCAAGGCCUAAUUUUGAAUAUAAUAUCUCAGAUGAAAUAAGUCGUUUCUGCCAGGUGUUAACACGUGUCCUAUUUGAUGACUUUUCCAACUCAUUUCAAUUUUCGUUUAGUCACACGCUACGUGUAAAAUUUAUGUAAUACAUGAGCGUUGACACUUUGAUUUAUCGGUCAACAUUUAUUUACCGAAAUUUCGAUGUCUACAAAUGCCCCCACUUCAAGGCACGUCGUAUACCUGUGCUUGUCACGUGUAGGAGAUGCGUUUUGAAGUCCCUUACCGUAGAUGCCGAUUCAAGGGCCGUUGAAGCUUGAUCUUGAAUUGGGCUUGAGAUUUCUUCAAGGGCCGUUGAGGCUUGAUCUUGAAUUUUUGUUUGAAAUUUCUUCAGGGGCCGUCGAGGCUUGAUCUUGAAGGUUGAAAUUGGGCCACAAGGAGCUUCAUGUGGUAGAUGAUCUUUGGCUUUGGUAGUGGAUGAAUCGGCACGUAUUUUAUUGCGCUUGUUGACUUUCCACAGCUUUGAUCUUGAACUGGGUUGGAGGAUUUUCUGGAUUCCUCCAAUUGUUGAUUUUCCACAGCUUAUUCUUGAACUAGGUUUUGAUUCAAGGGUGGUAGACACUUGAUCUUGAAUCGGACUUGUGAUUUCCUCGAUGGCCGUCGAGGCUUGAUCUUGAAUUUGGUUGGAAACUUCUUCAAGGGCCGUCGAGGCUUGAUUCUUGAAGGUUGACUCGAACAUAUGGCAAGCAGGCACGAGGUGAAGGUGACGACUUGUUGCUUUGUUCAAUCUUUCUAAUUCACACCUGAGCAGUUUGGUCAACGGUAUGAUCCUCAAGAUUGAUGGGCUCUUCUUCCAGUUGGUGACUUGAUCUUUAAGGAUUUGAUUCAAGGGUGGUGAAUCGGCACGUGCAGCCCACAACGCCUAGUAAGCCGACCCAAGAAUUUGAGGGUCAAAACGGAUUCACCGUCAGAGUGAUUGCAACUUUGAUGAUAUGAGAUACUCUUGCUUUUGAAGAAGUAGUGGAUGAAUCAGCACGUGCUUUGUUGCGCUUGUCUCCACAUGCUUCAAGGUAUCAUCUUUAUUUCCUUUAUCUAUUCCUCAGGCAGAUGUGGCAUCUUCUCGAGUUCUUCAUCUCAGACUCUUUCUGCUGAGUUGACUGUUCAUGCUGCAUUCUUCUCUGCUUGUUCAUUCUGCACGUUGUCUCCACAUGCUGCAAGGUAUCAUUUUCACUUGCCUUAUCUGUUCUCCGGGCAAAUGUGGCAGCUUCUUUGAAAGUACAGUAGCAGCGGGAGGCGAGUACUCGAGAGCAGUGCUAGGUAGGCAAUCAGGGAAGGGUUCCAAGCAGUCGGUUCCUUACCCGAGUUUGAGUGGAAGUUCCGGCAUAUUGUUUUUUUUAUCCUUGUCUUUGUAGGUAAGAACAAGGACAAAGGAAAGGACAGGGAGAACGCAUGAUAUGAGAUACUCUUGCUUUCUACCCUGGUGAUAUGAGAUACUUUUGCUUUGGAGUCAUUGGCUUGCAGAGGUACCCCAAGGAAUAAGGAACACUGAAUGACUCGAGAGGCUUCGUUGGGAAAACAUCUUUGGAGAUGAAGAAAGACUUUGUGUGUCUGCCUUGCUAUGGAAGGCGAAGGUAGACAAUUAUAGGAAGUUCUUUGAUACCUGUAGAUGUACUAUUCUUUCACUCGUGUCGGCAACCAAUGCGUGAUUGAUCUAUAUGGCUUCACGUGCUUCCUUCUUUAUCAGAAAUCUUCGACAAACUGUCCGUAAUUUCCGCCAAGCUGAGUGUGCAUGUGAUAGGUGUUGACGCGGCUGAAAAAGACUGGCGCUUAUUCGAUAACUGGGAUCUGCGCUUCGACAAAUUACCCGUGAUUUCCGCAAAGCUGAGUUUGCGUGUGAUGGGUGCUGACGUGUCUGGAAAAGACUGGCGUCUCUUCGAUGUCUGGGAUCGGCACUUCGACAAAUUGCCCGUGAUUUUCGCAAAGCUGAGCUUGCGUGUGACGGGUGCUGACGCGUCUGGAAAAGCAAGAUGCUUCUUCGAUUUCUGAGCUUGCCUCUUCGAUUUUUGAAUGGCCUCUUCGAAUUCUGAGCUCGCCUCUUCGAUCUCUGAAAUCCCGUCGAGUGUUGAUUUUUUAUAGAGGCAUGCUGUUCGUUUCAAAGCACACUUGAAUUUUACUUGUGAAAACUCCCUUCUUGCACUUCUAAGAUCUUGAUUCGUCUGACCUCUUCUUCCUUCAACACUUUGAAAAUGUCUGGACCCUCCGACCGUCGUUUUGAUUUGAACUUUGGUGAAGAUGUAGUCCCGUCUUCUCCAGAUAACAUAUGGCGCCCAUCCUUCAUAUCCCCUACUGGUCCUCUUACUGUUGGGGAUUCGGUGGUGAAGAAUGAUAUGACCGCUGCGGUGGUGGCCCGAAACCUUGUCACUCCCAGAGAUAACAGACUACUUUCCAAACGGUCUGAUGAGUUGGCUGUUAAGGAUUCUCUGGCUCUCAGUGUGCAGUGUGCGGGUUCUGUGUCCAACAUGGCCCAACGCCUAUUUGCUCGAACCCGUCAAGUUGAAUCGUUGGCGGCUGAAGUGAUGAGUCUUAAACAGGAGAUUAGAGGGCUCAAGCAUGAGAAUAAACAGUUGCACAAGCUUGCACACAACUAUGCCACAAACAUGAAGAUGAAGAUUGACCAGAUGCAGGAAUCUGAUGGUCAGAUUUUACUUGAUCAUCAGCGGUUUGUGGGUUCGUUCCAACAGCAUUUGCCUUUGUCUUCUGGGGCUGUACCGCGUAGUGAAGCUCCUCAUGAUCAACCUCCAGCCCCUCUUCUUUCUGGAGUUCCACCGAGUGGUGUGACUUCAAACAGUCAACCUCCGACGUCUCUUUUCCCUAGAGCUCCACCGAGCACUGAGACACCACCUGAGCAAUAAAGACUCCCUCCCGUUUGUUUGCACAUUUGUAAAUUUUUUUUUUUUUUUUUUUUUUUUUUUUUUUUGGUAUGUAGAAUGCAAUUUUAUGUAAAAUUUCCAGAAAAAAUAAAUAAAAUGGAUUUUUAUUUCUCUUAAUGCUUUUUUUUUUUUUUUUUUUUUUGCUGUAUAUAUUAUACACACACAUUUAUACAUACAUAUAUACAUACAUAUAUAUAUAUUUUCACGUGGAGUGAUCCACCAUCCCAAAACCCAUUUUCCCUUUGUUUUUUUUUGCAUGGUGCUAGCCACCAAGAAUUCACCUUUUUUUUUUUUUUAAUUAAUUAAUUAAUUUAUUUAUUUAUUAAUUUAUUAUUAUUAUUUCUUUUUCGUCUGCUUUCACAUGGUGCUUGAUCCACCACUCUCUUUUCUUUUUUCACGUGGUGCCAGAUGCACGCCCCUUUUUUUUUCACGUGGUGACAGCACCACUCUGCUUUGCUCUACCACAUUUUUUUUUUUUUUGUAUAAAUUAGGAUGCUUGGCUGAGGGAUUUUGUAGGGAAGGACGAAGACGGACGGAGAGCCGGAGUUUGAGGAAGAGCUUCUCGGCCGGCUAGUCGUUUGACAGCGGUCUUUGAAGUUGGUGGCAGCUGCGAGGCAAGAGACGGAGGAGGACAGGGCAGCUGUGACGGACAGAGACGCCAUGGCAGGACCUCGAGGAGUUUUAAGAUACUGGUGCAGGUACUGGCGAGGUGAUUUUGACGAGAAAAGCAUGAAGAGGGCGUCGAGCACCAUGGGCCUGCAAUCCUUAAGGUUGAUCUCGUAGUCCUUGAGCUCUUGUUCAGGCAUGACGGGAUCCGCUGCGGUCUUUUUUAUCGGCAAUAAAGUUCUUUGCCUCAUAAAACAGCCCAGAACGCGAUAGAAGAGUUACGAACAAAGCACAAUGUGCAACUGUAGGUGUCUUGAUGCAGUUGAAGUAAAACUUCCCUUCCUCGACCAUGCGUGCUGCAACGCAAGCAUGAAGGACAGCAGCAUAGGUGAUUUCAUCGAUCUGUGUACUCGUUUCCUUCUCCAUUUGGCAGAAUAAAUCUACUCCGAUCUUUCCUUGUCCGUGUAAGCUGUACCCAGUUAUCAUCACUGUCCACGAAACAAGAUCUCUUGUACUUCGACCCUGGCAAAAACUUUUGCAGCUGAUUUGAUAAAUCCCGACUUGACAUACAUGUCCAUAAGAGCAUUCAGAACGGUGAGAUUCAUUCGAAUACCAUGUCGCAGCAAGAAUCCAUGAGUCUCUUUUGCCAUGUUUACCUGCAGACAUUCUUGCGCAUGCUGGGAGAACACUAGAGACCGAGAGCGGAUCAGGUUUCACCCCGUCUCCAACCAUCUGCCUAAACAGCUUAAGACCCUCAUUGAAGCAUCCCCUCUUCACAUUGGCAUGAAUCAUUUCUGUCCAAGAAAUGACAUCUUUCUCCGGUAUUUGGUUGAAAACUGCCCAAGCUUCGUCGACACAGCCACAGUCCAUGUAUAUUUUCAAGAUGGUAUUGCUCACCAACACAUCAUACUCCAAUCCACGUUCCUUGGCAACCCUGUGGACUUUUGUUCCAUCAAUCAACGAUCUCAACAUGCCACAGGCACCAGCCGCCGUCGCCACAGCCACAGAAUCUAUCUGUGCUCCGGACUCCACCAUUCUCUCAAACACAUGAACCGCCUUGCCGGGUUUACCUUCCGCAAUGUACAGCCUGGCCAGCAUUGUCCAUGAAACAGAGUCCGUAACCAGGGACUUGUCAAACAGCCCUUUCGCGGAGUCCGCGCUGUCGAGGCGACCGUACAACUCAAUGAGAGCAGCAACCACGUACCGGUCACCAGAGCAGCCGAGCUUGUGAGCGUGGGCAUGGAGUUGCUUGCCGAGGGAGAGAUCAACCGAAAGGCGAGAGGCAGACAAGACGCGAGGAAGAGUGUGUCUGUCGGGCGACGAACGCGCGGAUGAGCAUUUGGUGGUAAGUGGCGAGGGCGUGGUGGAAGUCGGCAUUGGCGAUAUGGGUCUGGAUAAGUCUGUUCCAUGCAAAGGUAUCUGAGUGGGGCAUUUUGUCGAACACCUUGUGGGUGACGGCCACCUUCGUGGUGGGUUUAGCAUUUCGGGAGUGCUUGUAGUGGGCUGUGUUGAUUGGGUUCUCGGUGACGAUCAAGCGCUGGAUUUGGGCGGAUGGAAGGGCUUCCAUUUCAGUUCAGUCGCACCCAAUUCAGCAUUGCCCGUACGGAUUCGAGCGCAGUUAUCGAGGAGGAGUUUCCUUAAGAAUAGAACCAAUCACCGACUCCUCAAACCCAUCCGGAUAUGCGAUUUUCAUGAGGUGCAAACAAGAACCCUCUGCCAUAAGUGGCAUGAUCACCCAAAGGUUUCUUUCAACGACAAAUGAACAAAACGCCCUCACGACAUUGGGAUGAUCUAUUAAUCUCAUCGUCUGCGCCUCCCUCCGGAUAUCCUCGAAAUUGCUAUUGCACCGAUCGAGAUCCAAGCACUUGACGGCGACGACUUCAUUGAAAGGGAGAUAGAUCGCUCUGUAAACCGUUGCGCUGGCGCCAUAUCCGACCUCUUCCAGAAGCUUGUAGUCGUUCGGAUUCGCCGAGUGAAGCCUCGAAUUGCUACCCAUCCUCCCCAUCUGUUCGAGGACUUGUGCUUCAGAUAUGUCGUUUUGAGGCUACGGGCUCUGCGUUUGGGCUGUGUGCCAGUUUGGGCUUAGUGUUGCUUUGGAGAGAUCUAGGUUUGGUUGAAGAGGUACGGUGAAGCCAUGGGCAAGGGAGAUGACGAAUUGGGCUUGGAGGCUGACACUUGGGCCUGGAUGGCCUCCUUUUGAGAGGCUUGCUGCUGAUGGAUAUACAUAUAUAUAUUUGUAUGUAUAUGUAUGUAAAAGAAAUCUUUUUUUUUUUUUUUAAUUUUUUAAUUUUUUUUUUUAUGUGACUGAACUCGAAAAAAUUGAACAUUCGAGCUGCCUACGUACCCCUCCAAAGAAGAGAUCAAGUCGCAACGUAGUUCAAAUACAUUUUUGGUAUUUUCUUUUUGUGUCGUUUGCAGUUUUAACUCAUGCAGGCAAGGAGUGUUGGUGUCGUUUGCAGUUCCAACUCUUGCAUACAAGGAGCGUUGGUGUUGCCUUUUAUGCUCGUGUAGGCCAGGAGCGUUGGUUCGUGCAGUUUAGGCUCGUGCAGGCGAGGAGCCUUUGGUGUCGUUCGCAGUUUCAACUCGUGCAAACAAGGAGCAUUUGGUGUCGUUCGCAGUUUCAACUCGUGCAGACAAGGAGCAUUUGAUGCCGUGUUGCAGUUUAGGCUCAUGCAGGCGAGGAGCGUUGGUGUCUUGUAGUUUAGGCUCUUACAGACAAGGAGCUUUGGUUCGUGCAGUUUAGGCUCGUGCGAACAAGGAGCAUUGUUGGUUCGUCAAGCGAUCCGAGAGAGUUGUUCCUCACAAUCUUCAUAGCAAGGAGCCUUGACCGCGUGAUUGAAGAAGUCUUCGGGUAAAAAGUCGCGCAUCGUGAUGGCAACAGACAAUCUUUGUGUCGUAGUUUCAUCAUCUUCAACACGUUCACGUUGCUUUGAAGGUUGACAAUAGCUGCUUUGCCCCCUUUUCAAUUGGCGGACUUGUGGAGGAGACGUAUGCUUCUUGUGCAAUUUCUUAGGAGUGACUUGAGUCCAUCCUUCAAUUUUGCUUGUCUUGGACGAUGCCCCCAGCGGUUGAGGUGAAAACUUUGAGUCGGAAGAGCCAGAAGUGAAGGUGGUAUAGUUUGACUUUGCCACUUCGUCAAGAUCUAGCUCGAUGAUUCCUUUCUGAGCCAGCUUCAUGAUGAGAUCUUUCAGCACGAAACAUUUUUCUGUCGGAUGACUGAUGAAGCGGUGGAAUUUACAGUACUUUGGACUGUCGGUGCGAUUCAUCUCUUCUGGCCGUUUGCACUCAGGCAAACCAAUCACCUUCUUUUCCAACAGGUCAUCCAGUAUGGCAACCACAUCAGAGUCGGGGAAUGGAUAAGUCUUCUCCUCAAGCUCCUUUAAAGUGCGUCUACGCAUUUCUUGAUCACGAAAAGCUUCGGUUUGAAUCGCCUUGCCUCGUGUGGAUAUUUUGACGGGAGAUGUGUUGACCGUCAUCGCUUCCUUGGUGGGUUUCCAUGCAGCCUUUUCCACCUUUGUCCCAAGAACUUUGUCGUUCUUGUAGUCGGCGAUUGGUUCUUUCUUCCCAUGAUGGGCGAUGCUCAACUCCAUGUCAUGGGCGCGAGUGGCCAAUUCCUCGAAGGUCCGCGGUUUAAUGCCUUGAAGGAUGUAUUGCAAACCCCAUUGCAUGCCUUGGAUGCACAUCUCGAUUGAAGAGGUUUCCGAGAGCCUGUCUUUACAGUCGAGGCUUAGAGUGCGCCAUCUGUUGAUGUAGUCAAUGACUGGCUCGUCCUUCCACUGCUUUGUGCUUGUUAGCUCUAGCAUGCUCACAGUGCGGCGAGUGCUGUAGAAGCGGUUGAGGAAUUCCCGCUCCAAUUGCUCCCAGUUGUUGAUGGACUCAGGCUCUAGGUCAGUGUACCACUCAAAGGCGUUUCCUUUUAGUGAGCGCACAAACUGCUUGGCGAGGUAGUCCCCUUCGGUCCCUGCGUUGUUGCAAGUUUCAACAAAGUGGGCAAUGUGUUGUUUCGGGUUUCCCUUUCCAUCAAAUUGCAUGAACUUUGGCGGUUGAUAACCCUUCGGCAUCCUUAAGGCGUCGAUUUUCUUUGAAUACGGCUUCGAGUACAACCCGGAGGUAUUUGAGCUCCCUUCGUACUGUGCCUUGAUGGUGUUGGUGAUCAUCUAUUGCAGCUGCUGGAUAGAAAGAGAUCCCAUGAGUGCCGCUGCUUGGUCUGGCUCCGGCUUUGCAUCGUUUUUCUCCACCUGAGGCUCAUCUUCUUCGUCAUCUCUUCUCUUUAGUGGAUCAUUCUCUGGGUCGGGUUUAUCGCCGUCCUGCGCCUUUAGUCGAUUGACGAGUGCUGCAAUUUGCAAGUCUUUUUUCUUCCACCGUUCGGGUCAGCCUUGCGAUUGCUUCAUUCAUCUGAGCCAGUUGUUCUUCAACGGAGGUAACGCCGAUAGUCAUGACUUGUGCGACCAAUAUACGUGACUUUCCUUUAGACAUCCAGGAUGCUGAUGAAGAACGUCGUUGGCUGCUUUGGGAUGUCAUCUUAUGUGCCUCAGCAUCAUGCUUCGGUGCCCCCAGCGAGGUCAGGUUGAUGACAGACUCGCACCUUGGAUGCUCCCCUUGCUCUUUUAGCGGCACCAAUUUUGAAGUAGCAUGUUGGGGAGCGGUUGUGGCGCCAAUGGAUUGUCUGUUUGCGGCAGAAGUGCUUAGGAUCCUUCCCUCAGUGGUUGCGAGAAUGGCUUGUCCUUUGCUUGAUGCCAUUGACUUUGAGGUGUGCUUGGAUUCCUUGAACGAAGAAAGAGAUGAGAGGUAGAGAUUGUCCCACCGGGCGUGCCAAUUUGUGAACACGGAAAAUUCCUGAAACGAAAGAGACAAGAACGAACGUGCACAAACAAAUAUUAUGUAUUUGAUGAUUUUGGGUUACAAUCUCUCUCUAUUUGAUCCUCUGAUUCAAUCUCCGUAAGGUGUGUAUUUGUGGAUGUGUGAUUGAUCCAAAGGGCCGUUGGGCUUGAUCUAAGGAUGAACGUUCUUCAAGGGCCGUGGACUUGAUCUUGAAGGUGGAUUUGAGCGGAUCUUUAAAGGGGCUUUUGGGCUUGAUCUUGAAGAACGGUUGGAUGUGUGGAUUUGUCGAAGUUGUUGAUCCAAAGGGCCGUUGGGGCUUGAUCUUGGAUGAACGGAUGAUGAACGAUGGUGCUUUCUUCAAGGGCCGUCGGGGCUUGAUCUUGAAUUGGUGGAUGGUUGAUCCAAGGGCCGUCGGGGCUUGAUCUUGGAAGAACGAUGAACGAAGAACGAAGAACACUUUCUUCAAGGGCCGUCGGGGCUUGAUCUUGAAUUGGUGGAUGAUUGUUGAUCCAAAGGGCCGUUGGGGCUUGAUCUUGGAAGAACGAUGAACGAAGAACAAAGAACGCUUUCUUCAAGGGCCGUCGGGGCUUGAUCUUGAAGGUGGAUGAUUGUUGAUCCAAGGGCUGUCGAGGCUUGAUCUUGGAAGAACGAUGAACGAAGAACACUUUCUUGAUUCUUCGGGAACCUGGACGCUUGAGAGCUUCGGAGUUUCAGAGCUUCAGAGCUUCAAGGUGUAAUAUGAAUUGGUCCCCCCUAAAUGAAUGAAAUGGGCUUGUAUUUAUAGAAUUUUCCAAGGCCUAAUUUUGAAUAUAAUAUCCCAGAUGAAAUAAGUCGUUUCUGCCAGGUGUUGACACGUGUCCUAUUUGAUGACUUUUCCAACUCAUUUCAAUUUUCGUUUAGUCACACGCUACGUGUAAAAUUUAUGUAAUACAUGAGCGUUGACACUUUGAUUUAUCGGUCAACAUUUAUUUACCGAAAUUUCGAUGUCUACAAAACUAAUAGAUAAUUGACUAAAUAAACAUCCUGCAAAGUUUCAAUAAAAAUUUCCAAGUUUUUCUUACAAUUUCUGUGGUUUCCAUAUUAUUUUUAUCGAUAUCGAUAAUAUCCCGAUAUUUCAAUCGAUAUUUCCGUGUUUUUGGACUACCGAUAUUUCCGAUAUCAUCGAUAUUUUAUACCUUGGCGACGGGGGACUUGCCGACUGGUGCCACCGUGGACGUUGGGUCUUUCGAAAUGUGGUGUAAUGUUAUGAUCCCACAUCGGCUACACAAGAAAUUGUGUAGUGGUACUUAAGUGCAAGGGGUCCUCCCACCUAUUGGACUAGUCUUUUGAGUUGGGCUCUUCCCUUAGGCUUGAGUACCUAACAAACCCAUAAAUCAAAGAAAUCAAAAUCCACCCAGAAUCAAAGAAAUCAAAAUCCAUCCAGAACCAAAGAAAUCAAAAUCACACACAGAUAUACAAGGUGUACAGUACUGACAUGCCUUAAAUGAUAUUAUUCACAAGAUUUAUAAAGCUCAUGUCGUAAUACUUGUGCAGAAUCUAUCAUUCACGGCGUCACUUUUGUGCAAGUUGUAAAUAAAAUUAUUCACAAUUUAAACAUUGUGUGUCGUAUUUGACAAUUUAUACUACGCACUUUCUUUUUCUUUUAAAGCUUUGCGUUAUGUCGUGAAGUUGACUUUCUAUAUAUUUGGGUUGUACCUUUUAUGGCGCAAAUAACACGUCGUAAAUAAUGGCUUUUAGCACAGAAGUUUUGUGGUAAAGAAGCCCGCGCACUAAUUCAUUCUCGCGCCUUCUCUUUUUUAUUUAGCCGCUUCUUUUUUUAUUUUUUAUUUUUUUUGUUAAAUUCCCCUCAAAUGUUAAAAGAAAAAUUAAUGAAAUAUUUGAAAACUUUGAGUUUUAACGAUAAGGAUAAAAUAAAAGGUAAAAUGAAUAGUACCAAAAUUGACUUUUUAGUGUUAAAAUAUGAUUUUUCGUUAAAGUGAACAGUGCCGAAAGUUUUUCGUUAAAGUUCAAUGUUAAAAGGUUUGUAUUUUCUUGGUAAACUUGAAAGACAAACAUUGCAAUUGCAUUUUCAUUUACCCAAUAUUAAUUGUCGAGAGCCCACCCCCUUCCCUUCUCACUGACAUCGUAACUCUCUCCUCUCCAUCGAUCUCGCUCCAUCUGCUCGCCGUCGCUCUAUAUGCUCGUCAUCACCGUCGAUUCGUCUGCUCGUCGUCACCGUCGCCCAUCUGCUUUCCGUCACCGUCGAAGUGCCCCGCCAUUCAAGAUCUGAAAUCCCCAAUACAGGGUGCUUUGCGGCAUUUCGUUCUCCAAAACUUUAGGUAUGCUCUCAAUCUGUAUCAACCCUAUCCUGUCCCCUCUAGAUUUUUGUUUAGUCUCAACUUUAUGGUGCUUUUCUUAGAUUUGUUCUAUCACUGUAAUUUUAAGGGAUUUUAGGUAAUAAAUUUGGUUGAGAAUCUCAGUUAGGUUUGUAAUUGUUUUCUUGGUUGCCUGGGUUUGAGGAUGAUUAAUCCACUUUCUGAAGUUUAAUUACUUUGAACUUUGAUUUGUGGGAAACUGCAAUCAAAAUGUUGCUAUGGCUUUAUAGUUAGAAUCGAUUGUGAGUCUUUGCACCACAUCAAGCAAUACCCCGGUGUUGUAAUUCCGAGGUUUGUAAUUGCCGCUGUUAAUGAUGGUUUGGUCCAUCCUUUUUAGGGAGAUGACUUCAAUGAUUGAAACUAGUUUAUCAUUAUUUCAGAACUCUGUAAUACGAGACAUGAUAUUCCAAAAAAUAUUUGCAUGAAUAUAUGUGCAUUGACUGACUAUUUUUCAGUCUUUGAUAGUGGAGAUAACUCUUUCAGGUCAUAUGUAGUUCUUACAGAAAUUGUAUGGUAUUUUGGUUGGUUUUGUGUUCUGGUUGUAGCAAACUGGUGGAUGCCCUGAGAUGAGUAGUUAUCUACAAAGUGGAUGGAUCCUGAAGAGUACAAAGUCUAAGGCAUUUUAUGUAAAGGUAAAUCCUGUUACUUUUAAUUACUUAUAUGUGAAUGCCUGCCAUUUGAAGUAAAAAUUCUUUUAGCCAUUACAUUCUUCAUAAAGAUCUUUAUAUGCUCAAAAGAAGGAUUUUUUUUAGAUGCCAUGUAACUGGUGGUGGCUAGCCUCUUCUUUUUAAGACUCUAGUGUGUUUCAAUUACACUAGUCAAUCGUUCUUAUGUGUAUUAUGUUUUGUUGAUAAGAUGGCCAAGACAAAGUUGUAGAGCCCUAGUAGCAGGGUGCUGUUGGCAUUUAUAUUUUUCUUUUGAAGGGGUGUUUAUUGCUUUUAUACUUUCAUUGUUUACUCUCAUACAUACAAUACUGAAAAAUAAGCAUGUAUUGACGCGUAAUUUUAGAUCCAUAUUUAUACAUAAUUUUGAUUACAUGUCCAAAUUACCCAAGAUUCUUUUUCCUUUACAAAUUUGUGGAGUGCAUUACAUGGAUAUGAUUCAUGUAUGAAAUACACAUGACUCUCACUAAUUUAAGGGCAGCAUCAUUGACUGUACAGUUUUCAAUUCUUUAUAAUCAUGAGUAUAGACAUUUUUUAAUUCUUUAUAAUCAUGAGUACAACAAUAGUUUCUAUAACAAAAUUCUGUUAAAUAUGUAAUAUCAGUAUUUGUUUUCCAGGUUCAUUAGUUGAGGAUGAUUUUUCCAAGAAAGAAAAGAUCGCGGCUUUCAGGCCGAUCUAAAGAACAUUAUGUUGAUAUUGCACCUGAGAUCUUACAAGAAGAGGACGAAGAAGUACCAGAUGACCUAUUUACAGAGGAGUCGAAUCAAACUAAAAGAAAGAGGGGUCCUACUAGAAUGAAGACAAUUUCCACAAAUGAUGGUCAACGAAUUGAGAUUGAAUGGAAUGAAAACGGCCAGUUUAUUGGUGACGGAUCUAUUGACUUAUCUUCUUACAUGGGUUCUUUGGUCCGAGAGGUUGUCCCUAUAACAUUUGAUACUUGGAAGGAUGUUCCUAAGAAAACAAAGGACAUCCUAAUCAAGGUAAUAUGCAGAUAAGUCAAUUCUGAUCCCUCUACUUCAAGGUGAACAAUUUAUAGUUUAUAAAUUUUACUUGUGUUAAUAUAUAUUUUUUGGUAAAUGUUAUGGAUAUUUUAUCAAAUCAGAGAGUAAAUUCGUAUUAAGUGAAGAUUGGCAAAGAACAUAUUGUUUUGAAAGGAUGAAUAAUGUUUGCAGAUCACAUAUAUCAGUAGUUGUGAAGUCCAUAAGAGAAGCAAGAAAUUGGAAAGCAAGGCUUCGUCUAAAACCAAAUAAUGUCAAAUUAAUUCAAGAUUGGAAGACUUCCCUUGCAAAGUGUAAGCUCAUUUUCCUUUUCUUUUAUUUCUAAGAUUAGUUAUCUUCUUUUGAGUUCAAAAUUGGGUCAGAGAAAUCAAACUGAUAGUAGUUAAAAGUCUAUUUCAACACCAAGCCUUGUCUACACAAGAAUUUGGUGUUAGUUAAACAUGUGUAUGAUUCUAUCUUGAUUGCAUGUUAAUUUAGUUUGAAGAUAGAUUUGGUACAUGCUAGCUAAUUGAUACGUGAUAUGAAUCUUUGGUUUCCUUUUGAUAGGACAAAAGCGAAACAUUCAGAGAGAUGAAGUCUAAGCAACUCCGCACACAUGUAGUCGCAAGGGAUAUGGUAGGUUGGCGGAGGAUUUGGUAAUUACAUUUCAUUCUAGUGCCUUCUUUUCUACAGGACAAGAACAAUUUACUAAUUUUAUUCUGUGUUCUACUGUGUGUUUACUACAUUUAUGUUUCUAUUUUGUAGAAAAGAAAAAGUGUAGACCCUUCUCUAGUUUCUAGAGGUGAUGUUUGGAUUGCAGCACAUACUAAAAAGGGUGGUGGACCAUCCAAUUUGCUUGCUGCAGAGACUAUUGUAAGUAAUUUUUAACCAUUUAUUUCUUCUUGUUUGUUGAUAUGCAAUGAUGAAUGAGGUCUUAACUUUGAUGUGCAACGUUAGGAAAAAAAUUAAGCAAUAUGGAAAUGGAUCAUCAUCUGGUUUUCGAGGUGACGUUCUUUCCAAAGUUUUUGGUGCUGAGCGACAUGGUCGUGCAAGAGGAGUUGGAGGUGGUGUUCCUCCUACAAAGCUUGGAAUAUUUUCACAACAAAAAUUGCGUAAUCACCAAAUGGAUGAAAAGGUGCACAAUUUAACUAAUCAGGUCAGAGCACUGACAGAAUUGGUGUAUCUUUUUAUGAAAAAUCAGGUUAGUGAUUUAAUAACAUUGGUAUCAUAUUGAAUAUUUGUGAAAUCAGUUUUAGUGACACAUCAAAUCACAGGGUAAUGAUCUACCAAGUGAGGCAUCUCCUGACACACAGGUUGCAGCUCCUGAGGCACAUGUUGAUACUGUCGCAAGAACUGAAACUUGUCUUUCCCAUUGCGCAACAAAUGAAUCGUGGUGGCGAGGUUGAUACACUUUUUCAAUGAGCCUUCUAACUAUUAAUGCUCAUUGACUCUGUUAAAAGCUCUGCCAUUUUCAAUCUAACUAGACACUAGAAAUGAUCAUUGACUCUGUUAAAAGUUAUGAUGUUUUGGUCCUUCUCCAUAGUUGCGCAUCUACUGAUGUCUAUUUUUUUUCAAAUACUGCAGGUUAUUUCUGAAAACAUUGAAACAUCGUGGUGUACCAGAUGGUUUGAUUAUAAGACACCUUCCUUUUGGUCCACCAACUUAUUUAUAACUGCUAAAUGGUACGUAGUGUGAUAAUUUUCAAAUAUUUUGAUAUUAAGACAGGUGUAGGACAACAUAGAAAUUCUUAGGGCCUUCAGCAACAAAAUUAUGAAAAAGUGAGUGAGAUACAAUUAAAAAAAUGAAAGAGAAGGAUCAUGAUUCAUGAUCUAAAGGUUUGAAUAGGGUAGAAAGGAUUUAGUUUCGUUGUUAAAAUCGAUUGUGAGUCUAUUGUUAUUGUAUUGUCAAUUUGUUUAUUUACUUGAACUUCCUAGUAUCAAUUUGGUUCGAUAUAUCUAGCACCACCAUAGAUAUAUCUAGUAUCAAUUUGGUUAGAUAUUGUCAAUUUGUUAUUGUAUUGUCAACUAUAGAAUGUGCAUCAGUUGUAAAAGGAACAAAACAAUUCAGAUUUUUUGUUUAUGUCCAAACUUAGAAUUGUAUUGUAAUUGACAAUUUCUACUAAUUAAUUUAAAGUAUUUGGAGUUUAAUAUGUUUAUGAUCAAUAUUGUUAUCCUUCUAUUGUAUCAGUUUAGAUGUUAUGAAGUGAGGUCUGUCUAAAAAUGAUAUGCUAAAUAUAGAUGUAAAUUACGGCAUCUAAAAUCAGCAAUAAUUGUUGAUGGUAGUCUUUUUUUACGAUGCACGAUGUAUGCCGUAAUCACCUUCACAAUAUUACGACACUCAACAAAUGCUGUAUCAAAUAUAAAUUACUGCACACAAGUAUGUCGUAAUUGUUUUUCAGUAUUACGACACCCUAUUAACGCUGUAACUAAUACCAAUUAAGGCGCGUAGGACAUGCCUUAAGAACAUUUAUGGCGUGUUUUACUUAAAUUAUUCACUACUAUUAGAGUACGUCGUAUUUGUCAAAACAUCUUUUACAACAGGGGCUUUUACUGCUUGGAGGCUCACGUCGUGAAUUUCCAUUUACGGCACCCUUUGUGCGCCGUAAAAGGCCAAUUCUAUUGUAGUGAUCCAUGGGUACAUUUUUAAUCUACAUGUUUCGUUUUAAUAUAUCUAUUGCUAUAAUAUGUUUUGGUUGGUUCAAAUUCGUUUUACAUAAAUAUAUGGGUACAAAGUUUUUGGAGAAUAUUAUGUAAAAUGGUUUUUAAGGUUGUUGCAUUUUAUGUACCCACAUAUGCAUGUCUAUAAAACAAUGUGGUAUGAUGUACAUUCUUUUCCUUGAGUUUUUAAAUGUACCCAUGAGUUUUCUUGUAAAUUCAGUAUGUAUCCAUAUGCUAUUUAUGUUAUGGGUACAUAAAUUAUUUUUGGUCUAAGUUGGUGGGUACAUUGCUUUUGUAUGUAUGAAUUCAUUGGGUACAUUAUUUCCCUUAAUACUACUCAAUAAAAUUCACAAAAAUAUGUGCAGUGUGCAUGAAUUUUUAUUGUAGAAAUUGUUUUUUUUUAAUUUUUAAUUUUUAAGUCUCAUAAUUCGUGAAUUUUGUACAUAUUGAUCCCAUAAAUUUUUGAAUUUUAUUAAAUUUCUUUUAGACUUGAUCGAUUGAUUGAAUCUCAUAAUAAUCCCUUAAAUGUUCCAAUCAAUAUUUUAAAUUACAGCUUUUUAUUUAAGAUUUCAAAAAGAUGACAUGAAAAUAUAGUAAUACUAAAAUUUUAUUUUAAAUUACAUUUGUGUAACAAUCAAUGGUAUGUUAAAACUGGGCAAAAAAAAAAGGUAUAUUAAAAAAUUAUAAUUUAUUCUUUUUUUCAUAACUGUCUUCUGCUUAGAUUAAAUUUUUACCAAUUUGGGGGAAUUAGUUCUUACCAAUAUAUAUGCACAGUAUUUGCUUUUUACCUGGGCUUAACACAUGAUUAAUUACUUUCCUACCUGCUAACGCGUUGAUUUGCGCAUCCAAAGUAUUAUCAAAGUCACUGCCACCAAAAAGGUGCCCACUCCACAACCUUUGGUUGAACCAAAGAACAUCACAACAAUAAGGAAAUCGUUAAAUCUAUCUCCGCAACAUUUUUAUUAAUCAUUAGAUAGAUUAAACGAUUCCCCUGUUCAUAUUGUGUUCUUUUGUUGAACCAAACCAUGUCAACAAAAUAUAUCUAUGGUUAAGCAUCUAGAUUCAUGCUUUUGGAUGUGCAUCUUAAACCCCUCAAUGAAUAGCCAAGCAAUUUAUCAUGUGUUUACAGUAGGUCAAAAGAAGAAAGUGUUUGUCUAUAUAUUGGUAGGAACCAAUUCCUCUGAAGAGGAGAGAUGGAAGUGAUGAUAAUACUUUAAAUAAUCAAAGCCCAAACAUUUUAUCAAAUUUCAUCUCUGUACUCCACGGAGACACUAAAUGAGACAUAUCUGGUCCAUCUCUGAACAUCUUUUCUUACCGUUCUUACAAUAGAAAGGGCACAAAAUUGACUUACACAGUCUUGCACAAUACUCACUUUGCUUCAACCCAUAUUUCACUUUGUCAAAUCAUACACGUUCCUGCAAUAGGUGAACUCAUAUGUAUCUACCACUUCUUGCUAAUUUUAAUUUUUCCAUUCCCAUUUUUGCUACAAGUUUCACAUAAAUUUUUUAUUGCACUUGUCAAUUCUUUAUACUUUUUUAUUGUAUUUUUUUUUUGUCUUUUUUUUGUAUUAAACAAUUACAUGUCCUCCAAAAGUUUUGCUUAUUGCCCUAUUUCAUCAAGCUCGGUAUAAAUAGAUCUUAAUUUUUUACUACAGUUAAAUACAUGGACAUGCCUCCACAAAUACAAAUUAGUUCUUGCUUAAAUACUUUGUGUGUUUACAUAGAAAAUGUUCCCAUCGUCUACCAAAAUCCUCCACACAUGAAAACAAAAAUUCUUACUCAAAAAUACAUAUUACAAUACCACCAUAUCUGUUGUUUUUUAUUAAAUUAACACACUGUUUUCAAUUUUAUCUUUAACACAAAAGAAAAUGCUCUUACACAAUAUGCUUGUUUACAUUUUAUAACUUAUCUACCACAUGUUAAUCGCAAUUAUAUAAAUAGGAAAACACGUGUCAAUAGAAGUGUGAUGCAUGCUACUUCGUUAACAAUAGUGGCAACUAAACAAUUAAAUAAUUUGUUUCAAUUAGUUAGUACAUUUUAUAAAUUUCUUAAUUAGAACUGUUUCAGUAUAUUCAAUACAUUUUUAAACAACUUUCCAGUUAGUUGCCCAAACUAAUUAUUCCAGCUUAUUCAUAGUAUAAUACCAACAAUUUAACAACCAAUGAUACUUCGUUUAACAUAAACUUCAUUUGGAAAAAACAAAAAAAUAUCUUUUUCUCUGCUGAAAAAUCCAACAGAGUUAUUGAUGCAGAUCAGUUAUACCAACAAAUUACCAUAGUUUACCCAAUGCUAUACAGGUUUGACUUUUGUUUAUAUUCUUGGAUCUGUUGCUUGGUUGUAUAAUUUGGUUGUGUGUUUUGUUUCAGGACAAUUUGUUCUUCGUUUCUUGAGGCUUUUGUGUGUAGAUUUGAAACCGUUUAGCUUUCAAGCCGUGUAUACUCAAGGUAAAUAAUUUCGUUUUUUUCUUUGUAACCUUUUUUGUAAGAAAUUUUUAUUUAAUGUUGUGAGAGUUGUGUUUUCUAGAGUAUGAAAAUUGAAUCUUUGUGAUCUUAUAUCCUUAGAUAUGUUUCUUGGUUAUAUGAUUUGGCUGUGUGCAUUGUUUCAGGACAAUUUGUUCUUCGUUUUUUGGGGCUUCGGUGUGUAGCUUUGAAGCCUUUUGUAGUCAACAUAAAUAAUUUUAUUUUUCUUUGUUUCUAGUCUUCUUUGAAAGAAUUUCUUAGUUAAUAUUCUGAGAAUUAUGUUUACUAUAGUAUGAAAAUUGAAUCUUUGUGAUCUUGUAAGUGAUGUAACGUCAUUGCAACAUGUAUGACUGCCAUUAUCGAACAUGAAGAGCUUUUUGAUUUUUGUACUCCGUCCUUUCAUACGAUCUGACUCAAAAAUUGUUUCAUCACAGGUUCUAACAUGAUUUUUGCGACGUCUUAUGAAAAUACAAUGUCACUUCUGGUAUUCCAACUUAAACAAAUUACAAGGGAUGUCUAGUUUUAAACCUGCAGUUAGUAUAUACUAAAACGACGGUUUUGGCCCUGCUCUCGACUUCUUCAGAAACCUCGAGAAACUUCAAACUGAGAAAGCUUCUCCCUUCCAUCUCUGCUACGCGAUCUCUGCUUUGCGAUCUCUGCUUCCUCCGUGAUUUCUUCCCUCCUGAUCGACAUCUAUUCGAAUUGAAAACCUUCUGGAGCUCUCUUCCCCAAAUUUCAGCAGCAACUUUGCUCCAGAUCUUUCCAAUUGAAAUUCCUCUCCUUCACAUUUUGCAUAUUGAAUUUCGCAUCAUUAUCAUCUCCCUAGAACCUAGGAGUUUGGUUCGGUUUCGAGUUUUCCGACGGAAAUCCGGCGACAGCGGCCAUCGAGGUUGGUCUGAAACUAUUCCUCAUCACCACAAGUACUUUCUACACCUAUUACACUUUAGAAAAAAUUUCAUGAUUUGGUGGAAUCCAAUUUAAUGAUUAGAAAAAUUUUCAUUAAUUUUCUGGGUUCGUGGGUUGGAGGUGGAUUAGAAAUUUUUUCAUUAUUUUUCUGGGUUUGUGGUUUUUUUCCAAAACGUUUUUCCUUUCUACUAAUCCAAGUUCCUUCACAUCAAUCUCUCUGUUUCGUUCUUGAUCUUCCGCGAGUAGAAUACCUCUCCUUGCUCUCGAGCGCGUGGGCAGUCGCUCCAAGGCAGCCCAUGACGUCAUUUUCCGAUUCGACUCGGAGGAGGUUGGCUGCUCUUCUUGGCUGAGCUUCAUGGCUGGCCGAAUUCCCCUAUUCCCUUCCUCUUAUACUCUUUUGUAUUCGUUCACCAAAACAAUAGGAAAACGUCUCCGUCUGUUUGAUUGACGGCGAAGAAAAAAAGACGGAGAUAAAAGCCUGACGGAAGCUGAAAGCUUGGACUCUGUUUGUAUUUUUAAUGGAUUUUCAGAACACAGGUCAAGAAUACUGCGAUUUGAGAAAGAAAGAAAGAACCACGUUGACAUAAUAUAUUCACAAUAGGCGUACAUAAAGCUUUACUGUGGUUCCAUUUUUUUGCAUAUUUCAAAGGCUCUGAAUUGUUAAGGGAAUUAGCCUUUUGUUUUAGGAAGAACUUGGAACCCCCUCCGUCCAUUCUAUUCCCGAUGGAAUUAACACUUAGAUAGUACUAUGACAAUGUGUCAUUAAUUGAUGCAUACCUGUAUAAAUUUAGGCCAAGUGUUUUAUACACAAAUUGAUACAGAUUAAGCUUCUGGGUCGAAAUCAUAUACCGGUGAGCUAACUACACAAUGAUACAUUCUUAUCUGUUAAUUAUCUUUGGUUACCAGCUAUCCAUGUUGCUGACAUAUUAAACUACACAACAUCUAUUGUAAUUUAUGUCUUAUUAGUAUCAUCACUUUUGUUCUUUAUUUCAAUGUCUAACAUAAUGAUCUGGUUUCAAUUUGCUACAGGCAUUAUUUCCAGACAAUAGCUAUGGUUUUGAUUGUAGCGGUGACUGAAAAAUUAUUCCGAAACUAACAUUUGAGGAAUUCAAGGUUUGUUAGUUAAUUUGUACAUCAGAAUACCAUGACAAACUAUGAAGUUGUAAUUGUUGACCUUACAAUGUAUCUUUUUUGGUUUGGAGCAUUAGACUUAUAUGUGUUGCUUUCACUUCAUGAAGGCUAACUCUUUAUUUUAGGCCUUAGAAUAUAAUUUUUUGGAGAAUCUACAUUGUUGAUAAUUUUUUGAACAAUAUUAUCCCCAAAAUUUCUCCGCAUGUUACCCUCAACGUAGACAUCAUAUAACCAUCAUUGAACUUCUGAACCAAAAAUUUGAGUUUUAUGAUUAUAACUAAACGUCUAUAAACACAUGAUACAGAUUGAGACGAAUGUCAAAUUUAAAAUGGCAUUAAUCAGGACAGCUGCAAACUCUGAUUUGCGGCCUUUGAAAUGGAGCAGUUACUUCUUGCUUCACUUCAACAGCAUAGUCCAGCUUCUAAAUUCAGUUCUCAGGUAUGAGGUUUCUCAGUUACCUCUUUUUUGUAAUAAAACAUUUGAUCAGUACUUGCCAGGAUAUCCAAUUAAUUAGGUCAGUUUUUGUUAGCGGUAAUAAUUUGUUUUUGUAGCUUUAUAUGUGUCUCUGUCUCCAAAUAUGAUGAUCUCUUAAUUUGCUUCUAUAGCUUUUGUAAUAUAAUGAUCUCUUAAUUUGCUUUUGCAUAUCUUCUUUGCUUCCUCUGCUAGCUCUAUAUGAGAUUCCAUCUCCAAAUAAUUAUUCCUUAUUUCCUAUUUUUACAGGAAGCAAAUCAUUGAAUACACAUGGAAAAUUAAAAGGGUUUUAGUUUUUGGAGUAGUUUAAAUUUUUUGUUUGUUAUUGCUUGUAUUGCUGUUAAAUAUUUGAUGGGUAGUUUGAAAUGGGGAACUUGGUUGAUUGAGUAUUAACUUUUAUUAAAUUAAUAUUCUUAUUCAAUAUUGAAUUAAGACUCCUCUUAUUAAAUUAAGACUCUUAGAGUGCGUUUGUUGCGCCAGACUGUCUCGGACUGGACUAGCUGCCGGGACUAAGCUGGACUGGCUUAGACUGGACUAAGCUAGACUAACUUAGUGAAGCGUUUGGUGUAAUGUCGGACUAAGAAGCAGGAUAAGAAAAACAGUACUGUUCACCAGAUUUGUGUUUGCUUAGACUAGGAUUACAAAUUUUUGCCAUUGUGUAAUAGAGUAAUGCUACAAAUCUCAUGAUAUGGGUUAAUUGGAGCAUAUUUUUGCCAUGUAUAUUAUGAAUCUUAAAAAAAAUUGACAAUUGUUUUGUUUCUAUUACCUGCUAAUAGAAUUGGGUUUAAUUUGCAAAUGUAGCUUAGUUUAAACUCUAUCACCCAACAGAAGAAAAAUAAUAGUGCCCAAUACAUGCAACUUCAACAAAUACAAGUACAUAAGAAGAUCUCCAUAAUUUAGAAAAUCCUAGUUAACAUUAGUUAACAUUAGCCAAAAUAGAUCUCCAUAAUUUACAAAAUGGCUAGUUAACAUAAGCCAAAAUACUAGUGCAAAGCUAAGUUAUAAGCCAUAACAUAAGAUUGUAUGAUUAAUAAAAUACAUCCAUGUUAACAUUAAUAAAAUACAUCCAUGUUAACAUUAGCCAAAAUCCUCAUCCGCUUGCGUUGUCGCUUAAAAGCCUUUGGACGAACACUUUCUUGAGUUCCGGUUUGAUUGCCCUGAACACUCCCACAUUUUUUGGUUUAUCCAAAAUAAGAGACAAUGCAUCAAUUUGAUCCAUAGGAGAGAGACCCAUUACUUCAAGUUCAUUAGCUAUGUCAGUAUGAUCUGCAAUACCUUGAACUAAAGCUUCAGUUACCAUUUGCAUCCUCUUCCCACUUUCAACAUAAAAAUCUUUCAGUCCACUGAUAAUUGCCUCGGUUCCAUCACUUGAAUUUCCCACAGCUCUUUUCCUCUUUCUUUGGCUAUUUUCAGAUGGGGUGCUUUGUUGGCUUUGUUGGUUCAUUGAAGAAACAAAAUUUUCACCUCCAAUAUCACUUUCACCAACAUGAUCAUGACUUUGUUCCUCCACCAUUUGAGCAGGGGUUUCGGCUACAUUACCCGUAGCCCGAUCUUUUCCAAAUAUAUAUGCAAAUCUAUCAAACAGUGGAAAAGGUUUGCUUCUCCAUCCAUCGGCUUCUUUAUUUCUCUAAGAUUAUAUCAACAUAGCAAAACUAAAAUUUAGCAUGCGUAACAAAUAUAGCAGCAAGAAUAUAACUAAUGUAUAAAUAAAAUAGGAUAUGAACCUGCACAUAAGUUUGCCAUGAGUCAUCACUGUCAACUUCAACGCACUUUUUGACAUCAUUUCAUGCAAAUCCACUUGUGUUUAUCAUGUCAACGACCAUACUAUAUGUUUUUUUCCAUUUCUUCAACUUGGACUCAAUAUGUGGAUUUGCCUUUAUAUUUGAAUGAGGACAUAAAACAUUGACAACUUUUGCUAUUUCAACCAAAGUACCUUGUUUGAAAGCACCGGUGUCACACCGUUGCUUCCGAGCAACAAAAUCCUCAAGAACUCCUAGUAAUACUUCUUCCUCAAAUGCUUCCCAUUUACGCCUUCUUCCUUUUGGCUCUUGAGUAGCAUUCAAAAUAUUUUCGUUAUCCAUACCUAAACAAAAAAUAUUUUAAUGAAGGAAAAUACCAUACAAAUAAUCAAUUUGCAUAAUAUCCAAUCAACUUGCAUAAUAUCCAAUUAAUUUGCAUACCAUCCAAUCUUUGUGCUAAUAUCUAACAAAUGCAUGAUAAAAAGGAAUACUAAAAUAAAAUGUUAUCAUUAACACAUAUAGCUAGUUCGGUUGCUGGUUCCUAAUUGCUCUCCAUUCAUUAUACAUUUCCUGAGCCAUGUCAUUCCUCUUUGCAGUCCACUGGUCAGAUGUUUGAACACUACCAACAUAUUCACCUUCUUCUGUAUUUUGUCCAUCUUCUAUUAUUGGAAAAUUCUCCAUUGGAUCUACAGACAUCUCUUGCCUAAUAAGAUUGUGUAGUAGGCAACAAGCGGUAAUUAUUCGACCUUGUGUCCUUAUCGGAUAGAAAGAUGGACUCCUUAGUAUCGACCACCUUCCUUUUAGCAAGCCAAAACAGCGUUCAAUUACAUUCCUUGCCUUAGAAUGCUUCAUGUUAAAAUAUUCUUCCUUAUUAGAAGGUGUUCGUCCCUCCCAUUCAGAUAAAUGAUAAGGUAUUCCUCUAUAGGGUGCAAGGAAUCCUUCACCAUUUGUAUAACCACCAUCUACAAGGUAAUAAUAACCUAAUGAAAAAAAAAACAGACCUUAUUAGUGUUUUGUAGUUGACAAACAGAACUAGACCUAACUUACAAAGUUGAGACUAAGUAAUAGUCUUACCCGCUGGUACCUUAAAACCAUUAGGCCUAGUAAUUGCAUCAUGUAGCACUCUAGAGUCUGAUGCAGAACCCUCCCACCCCGUAAACACAUAUAUGAACUGCAUAUCUCCUGAACACACACCUAACACAUUAGUUGCGACUCGACCCUUUCUUGUUCGGUAUCUUGGUUUGUCAAUUUCAGGUACAUGCACAUCAAUGUGUGUUCCAUCCAAUGCUCCCAAGCAAUUCUUAAAAAAAAAAAAAAAAGUUUUUGUUAAUUUAUACAAAGGGAAUGAAGAGUUAAAGCUUAGGGAAAAUGAAAAAAAAUUCUCAUCAUACCUUAAAACAUCGCCACCUAGGAUCUGUAGAAUCAAUAGGCACAGGCUGAGGGACUUUUAGUAGGAUACCUUGUAAUCGCAAAAUUCCUUGCAAUACGAUAUUGAAAUACCUACUUAUAGUCUCUCCCGACCUAUAAAAUCUACCGCCAACACUACGAUUCUUAGUAUGAUGUGCUAAUAUUUGUAAAGUCAUACACACAUGCUCCUCUACAGACACCAAACCAUCAGUUUUUACCCUCCCAUCUUGACGAAGUAAGUCACAUAAUAUGCCAAAAGUCCUUCUAUCCAUUCUCAAUUCGUUGACACAUUCAGUAUCAGUAUUCCCUAUUAUACCAUUCAGAUAACACAAACUAAUCUCUCGUCUAAUAAGUGAACGGUUAGUCAAUGUGGGUCGUUCAACAUGUCUCUGUUUGCCACGUAGCAUCAUCAACACAAGAAUCGUACAAAUGCAAAUUGUCUCCAAAUAAGACAUCUCUAACAAUAAGAUCAAUAAAAGCUUCCUUCGAUCCAUAUCUAUCCAAACAAAAAAAAACAAAAAACAAAUUAAGGACAUUAUAUAUGUAAUAUUUACUGUUAUUAAGGGUUAUGGAAAUGAAGUGAUUAUGAUACGAAAUGAACUAGAUCAAAGUAACUAGCGAAGUCACAAUCCGAGGCAUCAAAUAUACGGGUGGUGUUGGAAAAAAAAAAGUUAUCAUUAACCCGAGGCAACAAAUAUACAGGUCAGAUGCACACACUGCAUACACACUCACACACAUACUCACACGGACAUACACACUAUCACACACGGACAUACACUCACACACACCCUACAUACAUACAUACAUACACACACACACUGCAUACAUACACACACACACACACUGCAUAUAUACACACACACACACACUGCAUACAUACACACACACACACACACUGCAUACAUACACACACACACACACACACACACACUGCAUACAUACACACACACACACGACAUACAUACACACACACACACACACACUGGUCAGAUGCACUGCACUCACACGGACAUACACACUCUCACACACUGACAUACAUACACACACACCCUGCAUACAUACACACACACACACUACAUACACACACACACACACACACACACACACUGCAUACAUACAUACACACGCACACACACUGCAUACACACACACACACACAUUGCUUUAUGAAAACCCCAAAUUCCAAAUUUGAAACCCCAAAUUCCAAAUUUCUAAUCUCAAUUUCAAACCCCAAAUUCCAAAUUUCUACUACAUACUUACAUACACACACACUGCUUUAUGAAAACCCCAAAUUCCAAAUUUCAAACCCCAAAUUCCAAAUUUCUAAUCUCAAUUUCAAACCCCAAAUUCCAAGCUUUAUGAAAACCCCAAUUUCUAAUCUCAAUUUCACCCAAAUAUCAAAACCCUAAAAUUUGUUCAACUGCAGAAUCAAAUAAAGCUCAAACCCAAAACAAAUCCGCCCAAAUCGACGAAAAAAAUCCACCCAAAUCGACGAAAAAAAUCGAACAAUCGAAGCUUACCAGACAACUGGAGGCAGAUGAGGGCGAGCAGAUCUGUUACGUGAAGACGAGGGAGUGGACGACGAGAGGAACAGAUGAGGAGCAUGAUGCAGAUGAGGGCGACCAGGAUGCAGCUGACGGCAAGCAGGAUGCAAAGAUAAGGAUGAGGAGGACGACGUGAGGGAGGAGGACGUCGACGACACUCUCUCCUAGGAUGAUCGAGGUUCUUUCUCGCAAGAGCGCAAUCGGAUGAGGAGGACGACGUGAGGGAGGAGGUUUUAUGAAUCUGGACGUUUUUGGGGUGGUUCGCUAAGAACUCCUAGCGAGGGUUUAAUCCGUGCGAGUCAGAUCUAAUCCCAUUAAACCUAAUCCUUGCCCCUACCAAACAUCAGACUACAAUACCAAUUAGUGGAGUCCAGAACAGUCCCCCCUAAGAAGGUCAAACAAACACGCCCUUAAGGCUCUAAUCUAAUGUUCAUGCUCAACAUCUCCUCUAUCUUUCUACGAUUGGUAAAACUUUUGUAUUAUUAUUCCAAUUUUGGUUACUGGGUUGUGGAAUUUUCCAUUUUUUUUCUCGGUAAUCAAUACUAUAUAUAUGCAUGACAAGUAUAAACAAUAUUUUGGGGCAAAUUUAGUUGUUUAAUUUUUAAUUUUUAUGUGACAGUGAGAUUAUGGUAGGAUUUCGUUUAGAUUCUGCGGCCCAAUGGGAGUCUCUGCUUUGAUAAGAUUGGGGUUGAUGCCAAGAAAGCCAAUAAGCCUACUGUGGACGCCGUAGCCGCCUGGCGCUGUUUUCCAAAAUCCUCUCUCACUUGGUUAAGCAAUUAAGACUUUUUGGUUCAGUUUUUAUUAUGCCCAAUUUUGUAUUUAAACCUUAAAAAAAUUUAAACUGAUUUGGGGAUACUGAAAUAGGCUGCAGAGCUGCCAUCCCUGAAUCAGAAGAUGUUCAGAAGGAAGAAGAAGAAGAAGAAGAAGAAAGUCGUGGAAUAUCAAAAGCUUUUAGCUUUGUGAAAGUAUGCUUUUUCCCAACUCACCUCUUGCUUUUGUUGCACUGAAUUGGUAGAUUGGGUUCAAAAAUAUAUAUAUGUGAUUUUUCGUGUAACUAUUUCUUUACAUAAUUACCAAUUGGAGGUGAUUUUAGAUCAUGUAACAUUUCCUCGCUAGAACCAAAGAUUGUCGUCGCUCAGAGCUGCGUUUCAUGAAACAAGUUCAUCUCCUGCCAAAUUUGUGUACCCACCUUUUAUUCAUGAGGGUUGGUGCUUGCUUGCAACACAAUUUGGUGUUAUUAAGUUUUGCGGUUUUACAAUUUGUUCAUGCUUAAACCUCUUUCAAAUUUUCAUUUCUGUGUAAAUCUUGCAGGUAGGACGACACACCUAUCUUGGCAAUGUCGGGAUGUCUAGGCUUGGUGGAGACGUGGUCUUAUGGAAGAGGUGAAGUAGCUUAGCUCGAUCUCAUUAGCUCUUAUCUGUUCUAUUAUGUUAAGAUCAAUAGUAAAAAGUUCUAUUGAUUUUAUAAUCAAAGAUACAUAUAUUAUAGAAAUAGAGGGUAUAUCAUUAAUUUCUUGAUGUAAACAAUCAUAACUUGAGGAACCAUUUAAAGUAUUUUGGUAAUCAACAUACUUAAACUUAAAUGUGAUAUAUCCAUUUAGUAUUUUUUUUAUACAAUGAUAAUACUUAAGUAUAAUUUACAUCAUAUAUCUUUUGAAGUACAUGAAACUAUGAAGAAAAUGAUAAACCAAAUCCCAUUCCAUCUCUGUUUGCUACUGCACAAUCACAAUCCAAUUCCAACAUGGAAUCCUCAGACGACAUGCCUACUGCAGAACAAGUUUCAUACUGACUUAACUUAUAUUUAGUCCACGUCCUGUUUAGAUUGUAAUCCUAGUUCUACGUGUGUUUGUAUAGUACUCCUAUAAAUAUCAAUGAACAUCGCUCACUCUAAUUAAGAGUUGAGAUUUUGCAAAUCAUAUUUACUAUCUUUCAUGGUAUCACGAGCCAGCGUCUAACGACAACGGUUCCUAUUAUAAUUUUUUUCUCUUUUGCAGAUCCUAAACUAUGGCAUCUUCUUCCUCCUCCGCUGCUCCCUCCAUCACAAAUUUUCUUACGAUCAAGCUCGACCGCAACAACUACCCUCUCUGGCAUGCUCAGUUUCUUCCCUUGCUGCGCAGCCGCAACUUACUCUCUUAUGUUACUGGCGAAACUCAAUGCCCCUCUGCCUUUCUUCUUGAUGACAAUGGUAAAUUCACCGACAAAGUCAUUCCAUUAUAUAAUGAAUGGAUCCAGACUGACCAGAUGAUCCUAUCUUGGAUUACGAGUUCUCUUACUCCCAAGGUUCUUGCUACGAUCGUCAACAAAAUUGAUUCGGCCUCUGCUUGGUCGUCAAACCCGAAUUAAUCUAAUUGUGGGGGUUUUGUUUUAUAUCAAUAUAUUGCAACAGAAGUCACACUUUGAAGAGUUCAUGCUGCACAGAAAGAUGAUGAAAUGUUACCCGUUGAGUCUAUCAUUGCUCCAUUGGAGACAGAGCUGAAGCUUACUGCAGGAGUUAUACAGUUGUUAUGCAAUAUGACCCCUUUAAUUUUAUUUUAAAACUGAUACAAAAUACUACAAAAAUUUAUGUAGUAUUUUUGUAUUAGUUUUGAGUGUCUAUUUUGGCUUCCAUAUAUCGUCUGUACAUGUGAGAGGUAUAGUGUUCAAUAUGUAUUUGGUUUCUAUAUUGUUAAUGGAUCCUUUUUUUUUUAAUUUAAUUUAAUUUUAUUAAGGUAACCAAGUUGCAGGAUGACAUCAGAACACUUGAUCUGCAGGUAAACCUUCAAUUUCCAUAUGAAGUUUGCAUGUUCGUUGUUUCUGGAAUUUGAGUUUUUAUUAUUUCUCAAUUCUAUCACAUAGAUUAUGAUUUCACAUAUGGGAUUAUUAAUGGCAAUUAUAUGAUAGAAGAAUUGGGAUUAGAAGAAGAUAUUGAGUUGUUUUAUUUAUGGGGAUUAGAAAAUGAUUAUCAUACGAGUGAUAUUUAUUUUUGUGUGGAUUGUUAAUAUAUAAAACUAUAAGCUUUUGAGAUUGGGAGAUAAAACCCACAAAUUCAAAUCAGACAAAAUAAAUAAAAAAUUUAACUGACUUAAAGAUCAAACUCCAAAAGGGUAUUAAAAACAAGGCUUAUUUGAUCCAUUGAGUGUGAAAGUUUUGAGCUUUGAAGAAGCAUAGGAGGAGAGUUGUUAACCAAGCUGCAUUAUCCAUGUAUUAGGAUGUUGAGGGUAGGCAGGAAAAAUACUUUUUGACGCCAUAUCCAGAGGAGCAUAACGACAGGCCUGCAUUUUUGCAGCAAGGACCAAAACAAGUAGAAGUGAAGGCUUGACUAUUUGGGUAUUAAUCCUAAACCUAAUUAUUCUUAUUUAGGUUUAGGAUAAAUGAUUGAGUGUGUCUCGAUGAUUGUAUUACCAUGUUUGAUGAAUGACUUGAGGAGUUGGAAAUGCUUUAUUGCUUAUGUUUUUCUUAGGUGUGUACUUUGGUUAUUUCCGAGCUUUUCACGACUCUUGAUACCUAAUAGAGAAUAUGGAAACCCCAACUUUAAUUUUAUGAAUUGGUUUUGGUGCCUAAAAUGAAAUCUAGCAUAGUGAAAUCUUGCAUAAUGAAAUUAUGACAAAUUUCCCUUCAUCUUUAGAUUUUCAUUUAGUUCAAUUUGUAUGCAAUUUAGGGUUAUUCAAUUCAUGAGUGAUCAAAUUAUGUUUUUAAUUCCUUCUUCUUUUGAUUUACAGUUCAGCAUUGUCGUACAAAAUGAAAAAGGUGCCAGUAACAGAGUUAUGGAUUUGGAUGCCUUUAGUGGAAUAAAACUGAAUUUUUUAACUUUGUAUAGUUGUAAACAUAAAAUACUCCAUCAGAUAGACUCAUAGCAUUUGAAAACAAUCCUUGAGGAUGGCAUAACAACAUCUCCAACUUUUGUCAUGUAAUGUAUGAAUGUAAAUAGCACUUUGUAAACAUAUGGAUGUAAUAUAUGUAUAUAAACAGUCUUUAGCAUGUAUAUUUUUCAAAACUUUCUACAUCUUCAACAAUGUUUCAAUGAUUUCUUGAUGUAAACAAUGAUAAUUUGAAGAACCAUUUAAAGUAUUUCGGUAAUCAGCAUACUUAAGCUUAAAUGUGAUAUAUCCGUUUAGUAUUUUUUAUACAGUGAUAAUACUCAAGUAUAAUUUACAUCAUAUAUCUUGUGAAGUACAUGAAACUAUGAAGAAAAAACCCUAAUUAAUCUGAUUAUGGGGGUUUUGUUUUAUAUCAAAAUAUUGCAGCAGAAGUCACACUUUGAAGAGUUCACGCUGCACAGAAAGACGAUGAAAUGCUAUCUGUUGAGUCCAUCAUUGCUCCAUUGGAGACAAAGCUGAAGCACACUCCAGGUGGUAUACUUUUGUUCUGCAAUAUGACCACUUUAAUUUUAUUUUAAGACAGAUAGGGUUGAAAAGAAUUUAUGUAGUAUUUUUGUAUCAGUUUUGAGUGUCUAUUUGGACUUCCAUAUUUGGUCCGUACAUGUGAGGUAUAGAGUGUUCAAUAUGUAUUUGGUUUCUAUAUUGUUAAUGGAUCUUUUUUUUUGUUUUAUAGGUAACCAAGUUGCAAGAUGAAAACAGAACACUUGAUCAGCAGGUAAACCUUCAAUUUCCGUAUGAAGUUUGCAUUUUUGUUGUUUCUGGAAUUUGAGUUUUUUGCAGGAUGAAAACAGAACACUUAAUCUGCAGGUAAACACUUGAUUGGUUAUUUCCAAGCUUUUCACGACUUUCGAUACCCAAUAGAGAAUAUGGAAACCCCAACUUUAAUUUUAUGAAUUUGUUUUGGUGCCUAAAAUGAAAUCUAGCAUAGUGAAAUCUUGCAUAAUGAAAUUAUGACAAAUUUCCCUUCAUCUUUACAUUUUCAUUUAGUUCAAAUCGUAUGGUUUAGGGUUAUUCAAUUCAUGAGUGAUCAAAUUAGGUUUUUAAUUCCUUCUUCUUUUGAUUUUCAGUUCAGCAUUGUCGUAUUUUGGAUGCCUUUAGUGGAAUAAAACUGAUUUUUUUUUAACUUUGUAUAGUUGUAAACAUAAAAUACUCCAUGAGAUAGACUCAUAACUUUUGAAAACAAUCUUUGAGGAUGGCAUAACAACAUCUCCAACUUUUGUCAUGUAAUGUAUGAAUGUAAAUAGCACUUUGUAAACAUAUGUAUGUAAUAUAUGUAUAUAAACACCACUCUUUAGCAUAUAUAUUUUUCAAAACUUUCUACAUCUUCAACAAUGUUUCAAGCCCCGCAGCAACGGGCGGGUACACUUGAUAGUAUACAUCUAAAAUUAUAAGACUAAAUCCUUUAGUUCUUGGAUUCAUCUAAGAACUACUUAUUCCAGCAGAUGCUAUGCUUGCACUACUAGAAUUUAUGGCUUGCCCUGUCAACUAUUGCGCGACAGAAGAUUUCGUCGGUUUCACUUUUUUUAACCGACAUAAUAUAAGUUUAGUAGGGCAAAAUCAGUCAACAAACUGGGUUGACUGAAUAAAUUUACAGGAUGGCUAGAGUUCGUAGGUUAAGACAUCAGUCGUUGGGCAAACAUUUGGAGCGAAGAUGUGAGUGUUUUAACUGACGAAUAAGCUGGUCGUCAUGUAGAUCUUCUUUCCCGACUGACGGUUCAACAUGUAGCUCUUUGGAUAAUAAUUCAUCUUCAAGGGGAACAGGUUGCCCCUCAGAUGAAUGGUUAGAGGCAAUUGUGAGACUAUAAUUUUCUAGGGCCGAAAUAAAAAAUACAUAAACCCUCACUCAUUCUGUCUCUGUAACCAUCCACCAAAUACCCUUUCUUCCCUUUCUAUUUCUCUCCUAGUAAUAUCCCCUGACCGAAUCACACAAUCCAACCAACUCUCUUUAAGCCUCCCUCACUGAUUCCAUGGAUUUCAUGGACUUAUCCCACCCUCUCUCCUUCCCUCUAUAUAUAGCAAGUCCCCUUGCCUCAGUGUCCCUGGCAACAGAAUUUAUGGCAUUUCUUCGUUCUUUCAAUUAUUUGAAAGCUUCCUAGCCCUGCAAUCUUGUACAAAGGCGUAUGGUGUUUCAUCAGUUCCAUUUGGUGGUUGGGUGGGAAAUGAAAUUAAAACACUGCAUUUCAAAUGCAUUUCAAAUGGUCUAAACCAAAUUGAAUCAAAUGUGAAGCAAAGGGCAAGAGGUGUAGAUUGAAGAACAAUGGCACCAAGAGCGAAAUUGAACUUGUUGACAGGAGGAAACCAAGUAAGGAUAACACGUCUAAAUCUUAUUUUGAAUCCAUUCAGCUCAUGAUGUUUUGAAUGAUGAUGAUCGGUAUACUCUGCUACAUGCUGUGAUUUUUCCGCUUUCAUGUAAUUAACGGCUUAUAUGUGGUAACGAUAUUGAUUAAAAAAGGUCGUACCCAGUGCAUAAGGCUCCCGCUUUACGCAGGGUCUGGGAGAGGUGAAUGUCGGCUAGCCUUACCCCCAUUUUAUGGAGAGGAUGCUCCAAAGUCUCAAACCCGAGACCUACCGCUCAUGGGCGAAGGCAUUUGCCAUCGCACCAAAUGCGAUAUUAAUUAAUUUCGAGAAAUGACAGUCUGAUUUUUGCAACUGUCUUUUGCAGGCAAAACAAAGACGUUUGCAAGGGUGAGUUGUGUAGGAGCUUUGUUUCAUGUCCAAAUGACACUUGAGAAUAAAUGUUUACACUCAUGGAUAAUAUCUAUCUAUUUGCAGGAGCAACCCUGGGUUCAUUUGUUCUGUAACUGCUGGUCAUUGCGGCAUAUCACGCCUAUAGCACUGACAAAAGUAAAAAGAGAAUCGAAUGAAAUUUGAUAAGUUUUCAGCGGACUACAAAGAUCUUAAGCCAAGCAUAUAUUCCCAUGCAGAUAUUAAGAGGUUUACAAAUCAAUUCAAGUACAAGUUGGGCCAAGGAGCAUACGGAACUGUUUUUAAACGAAAGUUUUUUUCUGAAUGCUUUGUUGCCAUGAAAGUACUUAACAUUUCCAAGGGUGACGGGGAAGAGCUUGUAAAUGAAGUGGGAACAAUGGGCCAUAUUCACCAUGUCAAUGUGGUUCACUUGGUUGGUUUUUGUGCUGAUGGAUUUAGAUGAGCUCUGGUUUAUGAGUUCUUUCCCUUUGGUUCACUCCAGGAUUAUAUUUCAUCAGCAGAUAGAUUUCUUUCCUUGGUUGGCAUAAGUUGCAAGAUCUUGCUAUCAGCAUAGCCAAAGGAACUAGGAAUGUGAUCUACAAAUCCUCCAUUUCGAUAUCAAACCCCAUAAUGUUUUGCUCGACCAAAAAAUCACGCCAAAAAUCUCUGAUUUUGGUCUGGCCAAGUUAUGCCAAACAAUUACAGACAACAGUUAUUCACUAAAUCACUUUAAGGCAAGAAUUUAAUUAAUAAUACAUUACUGCACUUUCUUAACCAUUUGACUAUCACCUAGCUGACAAUGAACACGUUAGCUCCGCGUUAGAACAUCUUGGGUUCAAUUCAUUGUCUUGAAUAUCACCCAUUGUCACAGGCGUCUGUUGGGGGCAUAGAGAAGGCCUGAGAGGCAUUUGCAGACAUUCAACAUCUCCUCCAAGCAUUUUGACAACUUUGGACAUCGAAGGGCGAUCAUUUGGUUUCAUUUGAAUACACCACAAGGCGGUUAUAACCAUCUUUCUUAUUACUUUCUUUUCCUCCUCUGUAACAUUGUCCAUUUCCAGGUCAUUUCCCACAAUAUAUUGAUCGUAUACCCACAUUGGGAAGUAGAUUUGGCUUGAAUGCUCUACCGUUGGAUUCAAAUUCUUCCUUCUGCUUGCCAUUUCCAUCAACAACAUUCCAAAACUAUAGACAUCUGACUUGUAUGAGACGCAUCCAAUAUUUUUGUAGAACAACUCAGGAGCAAUAUAUCCCAGUGUACCCCGUGCUGCCGUCAAAGAGACAAUGCUAUUAUCUACAGGAUACAAUUUUGCAAGCCCAAAGUCAGAAACCUUUGCUUUAAAGUUCUCAUCAAGAAGGAUGUUAUGAGGCUUGAUGUCGAAAUGUAGAAUUUGCAUUUCACAACCUUGGUGUAGAUAUUCGAUCCCUUGAGCCACUCCAAGAGAAAUCUCGUACAUGUUCUUGAUAGUUAAGGGGACACUUCCUUCUUUGGAAUAAAUGUAUUUAUCAAGAGAACCAUUAGGCAUGAAGUCAUAUACUAGAGCGCGUUUUGAUCCCUCAACACAGUAUCCAACAAGUUGUACCACAUUGGCAUGGUGAAUCCUUCCGAUUGUAGCUAUUUCGCUAAUGAAAUCUUGGCCAUCAGCUUUGGGCUUGCCCAAAACUUUAACUGCUACAAAUCGACCACUGCGUAGCUUUCCCUUAAAUACAGAGCCAAAGCCACCUUCGCCCAACUUGUCCUUAAACCUGCGAGUCAUUUUCUUGACGUCCGAGUAAGAGUACCUUAUAAGCAUGAUGUUGUUAUUGCAUUGCAGAAAAUCUUCUAUUGUGCUAUACAUUGAUAAAUGUCUUCUGCGCCAUGUGUAGAUUAGAAAUGCAGUCACAACUGGAACUCCAAAAACAAAUCUGGCUAGGAAAAAUAACCCUGCAUGCAUGGACAAUAAUAUGUUAGAUCCACUGUGUACUACUUUUUCUUCCCUUUCUUUCCAAAUUACUUUAUCUUUGAUGUAAUUAAAGAGAGAGAAUGGGAAAUCUACAUAUGUUGAUAAUAUAAUCUCGUCUUAGUCCUUACCGAUCCAUAUGAGUAUAAACCAUCCAAGUGCUGCAAAAAAAUCAAUCGACUAUGAGUUUGAAAAGUGCAUAAAGUGAAAAAAAAAAAAAAAAAAAAAAAAAUCAAAGGGUGCCUUUAUUGACACCCAAAUUUUAGUUAGUUUUACUCAACUAAAAAAUUUUUGUCAUCAAACUUUUUAAUUUGCCGUCGAAAUUGAGUUCACCCAACCACAAAGCAGCAACUACCACUCACAAAAAAACCAACAACACACAGCCACCAGUACCAUUCACCAAUAGAAAGAGAAGGAACACACAGACCCACCAAGGAGCCGGCAUCGACGCAUCUACGAGGGAGGGACCGGAGGGUGGUGUAGUUUUGUUGGGCGCGCGGUGGUUGUUUUGUUUGUUCAUUUUCUCUUUCUUUUGGUAGGUGGAGGCUGGUGUGGAUUUGGGCGAACUUAAAAAUGAGGGGAAACUAUGAAGUUUGACAAAAUGUUUUAGUUAGGGGAACUUAACUAAAAUUUGGGUGCCGAUAAAGAUACCCAAUUUCAAAAAUACUUGAGCUUAUAGACUAAUUAAAUGAAGUUGAUCUUACAGAUCUCGUGGCUGUAUGAUGAAUGCCACUUGCCAGCUGCAAUAGAUACCACGGAAAAGUGAAUAAAGACAUACAGUUACUAGGUUUAAGAAGUACAGAUAGAGCACACAAAAAAUAAAAGAAGCUUUUGGGAAGAAACUUCUUACGCCAAUAGUUGUGUUCUUGACCUACAGUAAAAAAUGUGAAGAAGAAUACACAACAUUAGCAAUAGCUCACCCAGUCUUCGGAAUUUAAAAAAUCAAGUUUGUCUCGAUCGAAAACUUGUAAAUAAAACAAAAAGAGGACCCCUUACGGAUUUGGUGCCAUAGAUAUUGAAAGAAACCUACAAAAACAAAGAAAGAACAAGACCACAUGCAUUAGCAUAACAAGUGUGAGGUGUAUAAGCCGUUAGAAAAUAAAUUUAAAAUUCUAGUGCUGUCAAUACAUUGAUAAUAUAUAUAUAUAUAUAUAUAUAUAUAUAUAUAUAUAUAUGUAUUAUUUUUCUGAAAAUUUAACUUUCUCCCUCCAAACUCAUUUUUCUAGUCUCUAGCCCAUCAUAUAAUAUUUAUCAGAAUAAAACCAAAUGAUUAGGAUCCAACUAAGAAACUUACCAAAUUAAGUUUGUGUGUCCAUUUUUAUAUUUUUUGGAUCCCUAAUAUACCCCAUCUAAGCCAGUAUGGAAAGUUCUUGUAAUUUUGCUUUAAGUGAUCACGUGCAUUGAAUUUGGCAAGGUCUUGUAGCCAUGAAAUAUGGUUCCAGAUGGAGGAAUGAAUUUGGAUUUUUUUUUAAUUUCGGCAACAAAUUUCAAUUUGAAUAUACCUAAUUUAGUGUUUAUUUUCAACAAUAUCUAUUGUUUAAUUUUAUGAAAAUAAUUAACCUAAUAUGAAAAUUAAUUUUAUGAAAACAAUAUCUAUUGUUUAAUUUUAUACCUACAGGAUAAUUACAUGAAAAUAGUUUACCUACUAUGAAAAUUAAUUUUUUGAAAGCAAUAUCUAUUGUUUAAUUUUAUGAAGAUAAUUUACCUACUAUAAUUACAUGAAAAAAUUUACCUACUAUGAAAAUUAAUUUUUUGAAAACAAUAUUAUUGUUUAAUUUUAUGAAAAUAAUUUACCUACUGUAUAAUUACAUAAAAAUUAGGGAAAAUUAGAAUCCCCUACAGUUUUUAUAUAUCAUUUAGAUUAAACAUUUGUACUUUUUUAAAAUUUGAUUAAAGUGCUUUGACCAAUAGUUACCUCUAUUUUUUUAAAUUAAAAUAAUUUUUGAAUUUAUCCUUUUAUCUGCACAAUGCACUUUUCCUUAUUUAGUGGAGAUAUUAGUAAUGAAACUAUAUUUUCCCUUCUUCCAAAUAUGUUUUUUCGAUCACAGUUUUUUUUUUUUUGGGUAUGCAAACAUUUGAUAUUAUUUUUUUUCCAAAUGGUUUUUUCUUUUUCAAAUAGUUGGUGAUCAACAUAUAAGCUCUGUGUAUUUUUUUCAAUGUUUUUGUGAAAUUAUAUUUUUUUUGCUGUUUUUUAAGUAUAGUUGUUGACGAAUUAUUAUUAGGUACAAUACAUUACGUAUAUAUUAUCUGCGGGUACGUUUGAAUUUACUAAAAUCAUUAAUUGGUACGUUUGAUUUGAUACAUAUUGUUAAUAUUGGUACAUUAUUUUUAUUUUGGUACGUUUUAUUUUGAACACAUUUUGUAUUGGUACGUUUAUAGUAUUCUCAAUCCUAUUUUCUCUUAACGUACUAAAAGAAAAACUCAUUUUGGUACGUUUGAUUUUGGGGGAUUUAAAAAUAUUUUAAACUAUUUUGGAAAAAAAAAAAUCUUAAAUCGUAGAUAAUUAUUGCUAAAUUGUAGCAUUAUUGUGAAAAUAAAUUGAAUCUAACCAACUUUUUUUUUUACAAUUAUCUCUAAUGGAGGAGAGUGUAAUCAAAAGGCUAGAUUAUAGGAAAUUUGUUACAAUAUAAUGGGCAUAUAGCACCAAAAUUAUGAUAAAAAAAAGUUUAAUCAAAUCAUUAAAAGGCAUGGAUGUUUGAUCUAGAAAAUUCAAAACUGAGGCGUCUAUAUCAAAAGAUCCCUAAAAAUUAAUGUGCCUACUUUUUAAAUUUGUAACAAAAUUAAUUUACCUACUUUUUAUGGUAUUAGUAUACAUAAAUGUAGAAUAUAUGUCCGUAUAUAUUUGAUCUAAUUAGGUUUUGGAUUGGAGGAGUUGACACAAAAUUAUAAAUAUAUUAAACAAAUUUAUCUAUUCUAAAGUUGGAGGGGAAUUGGUCUGUACAUUGCUACAGUAAACAAAUGCUACUCAAUUUCACGUUAUUUACAACAAAGCUAUCAGAUUUGGGUUGGGUUGGAGGGUAAUUUGUUAAAAGUUAGGAGGGUAAUUUUGUGCAUAGGGUUUAGGUGCCCUCCUAUACAUGACCCUUGAGUUUACUUUAUUUACACCACUGCCAUCAAAUAUGUGGCUGAAUUGGAGGGUAUUAUUAAAAGUUAAGAGGGUAGUUUUGUUCAAGGGGUGGGGGCGACAUUCGCAGACGGAGGCCGAUGGGAGCCAUGCCCAUUGCACAGAGAGAAAGGGAGUGAUGGGGGAAAUUACAGACAGAAAAGGAAGGGAUGGGAGGAUUUGAUGGAUGGUCACAGAGAGAGAUUCGGUGAGGGAUGUGAGGGGAGAUUACAGAGAGAUAAAUAAAAGGGAGGGAUCGGGGGAUUUGAGGGAUGGUCAGAGAGAGAAAUAGUGAGGGAGGGAGGGAUGGGGGGGCUGAUUUUCGGUUCCUCCUUCAGAUUUGUUCCGUAAAACCUGUUGGGUACAAUUCAAUUUCCUCCCCCUUUCCCCUGAACGAAAAAUUCGAAACCUACAAUUCAAUUUCCUCCCUCCUUGGCUUUCCGCUUUACUCAUCUCCCGGUGGUUCUUUCUCUCCAUACGAUUCGAUUUCGGUGAGUUCUUCGUUGCCCUCAUGAUUUCCCAGUUUGAUUUUUUGAGCGUCCUUAGUCGUUGUUUUUAUCUGGGUUUACUGCAUUGUUGCUUUUAGUUUCUGGAUUUUUAUUUGUUCCGCGGUUCGAUGAAUCGGUUAAUAAUUUCACACCAUGGGAUUUUCGCAUGGAAUUGAGCGCGGGGAUUCGGGGUGGGGUUUUACUGAUAAUUUGUCUUCAUUCAAAUGAAUGGUUAAAAUUUCUGAAGUGAGUGUGCAGGUGGGCCCGUUCACUAACUAAGCUUUCAAGGGAACCCAUCAGCGGUUUGCUUGCUGGGGGAAUUCGGAGACUACCAGUGUAUGAUUUAGUUAUCAUUUAUUUUUUUACUUAAAUUUAUCCAUAUAUAAUAUGUGGGUAAAUUUACACUAAACAAUUGUGAUAAGCCAAUAUGCCAUACGACUUUGAAAGCAUUGAUUUUGUGUUUAGUUUGCAUUUUUGCAUUGUGAAUGUUGAAUUUUGUGUUUGAAUUUGUAGCAUGAUCUUCCGCUGCAGCAUCCAAAUUUUGCAUUUGUAAAUUGUCAAAGAAAAACGAAGUAUGAGGAAAUUAUAGGAGAUUGUGUCGGCUUUGGCCAUGAAGGGUAUCAGCAGCUUGUUCCCCCAUACAGGUGAUUAAUCGUUUUUCAGUCUGUGUUCUAUUUGGAUGAGAAAGUGAUUGAAAAUAUGAUUUUUUUAUUUGUUGGUUGAUUUUGUAUGGACGAUGUAUUAAUUUUAUUUUUUUUGGGAUUUUGUGUAUUGGGCAUUGUGUAGAACCAGCAAUGCAAGAGCAGGAUCUGAUCAGUCAUGCCUGAAAAGGGGUUUGUUUCUCAAAUCACAUUAAUUAAUUAGAUUAUUAACGUGCGUUGGAAGGCUCUUCAAUAUGAUUUCUAAUUUCUCCUUUCCAGCAUUCUCUUUUUGGUUUUUGGAGUAUGUAUGUGAUUUGUAUUUUUUUAUAGAAUAAAAAUUAAUAAAACACGAGAUGCAGCAAUUAAUUUGCAUCCUUAUGACAACACAUAUGAAAGUGCAUUCAAUUUCAAUGUGCGAAUGUGUGACAGGAUGUGCCUGCCCGCUGCUGCUGGUAUGCUUGCUGUUGUUUCUCGCGUUGUUAAUUUUUUGUGUGUGUUGAUUUGAUUAACAACUCAAGCGUAUCUUUUUUUUUUGUGUUGGUUAGCAGCCAGUUUUAUGGCCCCGAUCUAGUGAUGCUUCUCAGUGACUGUGGUAAUUGCAGUUCAUUGCCACCAGUUGGUCAGCUACCUGCUCUGAAAGAGCUAUACGUAGAAGGGAUGAAAGUUGUUAAGAGUGUUGGUGUUGAGUUGUACGGGGGAAAUCAACCAUUUCAAUGUUUAGAGAAGCUAAAGUUUCGGGAGCUAUAGCAGCCUAGUCCAAGUGGAUGUGAAAGUCCAGACUUUCCUCAUCUUAAGGAGCUGGGGUUAUACGAAUGUCCGAAGCUGAGAGGAAACUUGCCCACUCAUCUUCCCUCCUUGAAAACACUUCAUGUGAACAAGUGUGAGGUUCUACAUAAAAACAGGGCCAGUAAUACCCUGAACGUGGAAUCCUUACGAGGAUCUCUUGAAAAACUGACAAUAAAUGGAUGCCCGGGUCUCUCAUUGUUACUAGAGUCGACGGAGACGCUGCCGUCGCUUCAGAAGCUUGAUAUUGAUAAUGUGGUGGGAAAGAGUUGUUGGCGCAAAUGGUGCACAACAGCAAUCGUCUUCAAAGUUUGACUUUAUAUAAAUGUUCCUCACCCUUGUCGUUCCUUACAAAUGGUCUGCCCACCACGCUGACAUCACUGAGCAUAACAGAUUGCAAGAAAUUAGAAUUCCCAUCACGUGAGAUGAUGGCCAAAUUGACUUCCCUUCAGUCUUUGCGUCUAUCCAACAGCUGUGAACGCAAAGGCUUGAGUAUUUGCAGUUUAGUUUUUUUUUUCUUCAUUUUAGAGAUUUUUCUACUGUUUGGUUUUUGGGUUUUGUCUAAUUUUUGUGGUCUGCUUUAUAGAUUGUUCUCUUUGGAAGCUUCUUUCCAGCCUUGACCUUCUUCUUGCCUGGUGCCUUCUCAUUGAGUAUUGGAGGAGCAUUAAAACACAGGUGUGUGUGUUUUGUCGACAUAAGAGAUGAAUGACAUAAAAACAUCCGUCUCUGUAUUUUUUUGUGCUUUUUCUAACCCAUCAAUUUCUUUUGAGUCAACCAAAUAGUCCCAAAUUGCAACUUAUGUUGUGAGGUAUUAUUGUCUAAAAUUAAGUAUGCAUGUAUAUUUUAUGUUUGUGCCCGCGCACACAUCCGCAUGGUGUUAAUCUCUGUGGGUCAUCUAUGUAUAUGUAGAUAUAUCUAUAUGUGUGUGUGGAAUGCAACAUAUCGGAUUUAGGUUAUACUGUGCAUAGUUUUAUUGCCUGUUAUUAUCUACGAUAUCACUAUGCCAUUUCUAUGCAGGCUCUGAAAGUUAUUCAUGAGCUUUAUAAGCACUUACCAUAAUUUAAGCAGUCUGUUUUGGGUUCUUUUUCAUUAGGUCAUUAGCUACAGAUUAAUGGAGAAACGAGGACCAUGCCACUGAUUUGGGUUCUUUUUCUAAUUUUCUGAUUUUGGGGUUUUGCAGGGAGAACUCCGCCUAUGUACUUACAUUGCCGAUCCCAAGCUCGGAUAAAGGAGGAGGGGGAGGGCGUCAGGUAGUCGACAGUCGGCACUCCAUGAUCACGUCGAAUCCUUAUGAAAAUGAAUUCAGAAUAAAAUUGCGCUAAAGCUAGGGCGUCACCCGUAAGUGGCGCGCUGUGUGGCCCGAGCACAGUGAUAAGUGAGCAAGGGUCGCUGUAUCUCCAUCGGCACCCGGAUGCAGUGUUAAAUGAGCAAGGGGGGCAUAGGAACUUCUUUUCGAACGACUCCACUCAAAGUUGUUUGGGAGCAUAUGCUCCUAUCAACUUUACACGGGACACACAAAAGAAGUACUUUGAUCCUAUUAGACGGGGGAGGGUGAAGAAGCUAGGACAGAAGGGUAGAGUUCAAGAAAGCAAAAUGCGUUUAGGAACGUGGAAUAUAGGAACCUUAACGGGAAAAUCUAUGGAAGUAGUGGAAGUUAUGGUGAGGAGAAGGAUAAAUAUUAUGUGCCUACAAGAAACUAAGUGGGUUGGUAGUAAGGCAAUUGAUCUAGAAAACUCAGGGUUUAAACUUUGGUAUUCGGGCACAAAUAGAACGAGAAACGGUGUUGGCAUCAUCGUGGACAAGACCUUGACACAAGAUGUUGUAGAUGUCAAGAGGGUAGGAGAUAGAAUCAUGGCAAUCAAGAUUGUAAUAGGACAAGAACUUAUCAAUGUGGUUAGUGCGUACGCACCUCAAGUAGGGUUGGAUACGAGUUCGAAGGAGAAAUUUUGGGAAGACCUUGGAGACUUGGUGUAAGGAAUUGCUCAGACGGAGAAGUUAUUUAUAGGAGGAGAUUUAAAUGGACACGUGGGCAGAGAGACAGGCAACUAUGGAGGUUUUCAUGGUGGCCAUGGUUUUGGGGAGAGAAAUGAGGAUGGGGAAGCUAUCUUGGAUUUUGCAAUGGCAUAUGAUCUCUUUUUAGCCAACACCUUCUUUAAGAAGAAAGAAGAACAUGUGAUCACCUACAAGAGUGGGUUGUCAAAAACACAAAUAGAUUUUCUUCUAAUGAGAAACGAGGAUGGGGAAGCUAUCUUGGAUUUUGCAAUGGCAUAUGAUCUCUUCUUAGCCAACACAUUCUUUAAGAAGAGAGAAGAACAUGUGAUCACCUACAAGAGUGGGUCGUCAAAAACACAAAUAGAUUUUCUUCUAAUGAGGAAAGGGGAUCGUAUAACUUGUAAGGAUUGCAAAGUUAUACCAGGAGAGAGCGUGGCUAAUCAACAUCGCUUGUUGGUGAUUGAUGUACAUAUCAAAAGAGUGAGACAAAAGAACAAGACUUGGAAGUGCCCAAGGACUAGAUGGUGGAAUCUAAAAGAAGAAAAACAAGCCAUUUUCAAAGAGAAAGUAAUCAUCCAGUGUGUGGGAUAGAGAUGGGGAAGCUAGCCAAAUGUGGGAUUCAAUGGCUAGUUGUAUCCGAAAAGUAGCAAAAGAGGUAUUAGGAGAGUCAAAAGGCUUUGCCCCACACCAAAAAGAAUCUUAGUGGUGGAAUGAGGAGGUACAAACAAAGGUGAAGGCUAAGAAGGAAUGUUGUAAAGCCUUAUACAAGGAUAGAACUGAUGAAAAUGGUGAAAGGUAUAGAAAAGCGAAGCAAGCUGUGAGAGAAGCUAAGUUAGCGGCUUACGACGAUAUGUAUAAACGACUAGAUACCAAAGAAGGAGAGUUGGAUAUCUAUAAACUAGCUAGAGCAAGGGAAAAGAAGACAAGGGACCUAAACCAAGUGAGGUGCAUCAAGGAUGAGGAUGGAAAUGUUCUUGCUACAGAGAACGCGGUUAAAGACAGAUGGAGAGGUUAUUUUCAUAAUCUUUUCAAUGAAGGACAUGGAAGGAGUGCUUCUUUAGGGGAGUUGAGUAACUCAGAAGAGUGUAGAAACUACUCUUUUUAUCGUCGAAUCCGGAAGGAAGAAGUGAUUGUAGCUUUGAAGAAGAUGAAACAUAGAAAAGCAAUAGGCCCAGACGAUGUACCAAUCGAAGUGUGGAAAGUUUUGGGAGAGACAUGUAUAACAUGGCUCACUGACCUUUUCAAUAGGAUUUUGAAAACGAAGAAGAUGCCAAAUGAGUGGCGAACGAGCACUUUGGUGCCUAUCUACAAGAAUAAGGGCGACGUACAAAAUUGCAUGAACUAUAGGGGUAUUAAGCUAAUGAGUCAUACAAUGAAGCUCUGGGAGAGAGUCAUUGAGCAUAGAUUGAGGCAAGAGACACGGGUUUCGGACAACCAAUUUGGGUUCAUGCCAAGGCGCUUAACCAUGGAGGCAAUCUAUCUCUUACGAAGAUUGGUGGAAAGAUAUAGAGAUGGGAAAAAGGAUUUACACAUGGUUUUUAUAGAUUUGGAGAAAUUCGUAUGAUAGGGUCCCAAUAGACAUUCUUUGGAGGAUUUUAGAGAAGAAAGGAGUACGAGUAGCAUAUAUCCAAGCUAUAAAUGAUAUGUAUGAAUGAGCAAAGACUGCUGUAAGAACUCAUGAAGGACAAACUGAAAGUUUUCCCAUAACUGUAGGAUUACACCAAGGCUCAUCCUUAAGUCCCUACCUUUUUGCGUUGGUAAUGGAUGAGUUAACAAGACAUAUUCAAGAUGAUAUUCCUUGGUGUAUGCUUUUCGCAGACGAUAUAGUGUUGAUAGAUGAAACACAGGAAUGGGUAAAUGCAAAGCUUAACCUUUGGAGAGAAGUGUUGGAAUCUAAAGGUCUUCGCCUAAGCCGAUCAAAGACAAAAUAUAUGGAGUGCAAGUUCAGUGCAAAUGGAGGCCAAAACGAGUUAGGGGUGAGGAUCGGAGAUCAAGAAAUACCAAAGAGCGACCGUUUUCGUUACCUAGGAUCUAUCUUGCAAAAGAACGGAGAAUUAGAUGGAGAUCUCAACCAUAGAAUACAAGCUGGAUGGAUGAAGUGGAAGAGUGCAUCCGGCGUGUUGUGUGACCGCCGUAUGCCACUGAAGCUCAAGGGAAAAUUUUAUAGGACGGCAAUAAGGCCGGCGAUGCUGUAUGGCACAUAAUGUUGGGCGGUGAAGCAUCAACACGUACACAAAAUGGGUGUAGCGGAGAUGAAGAUGCUUCGUUGGAUGUGUGGGCACACGAGAAAGGAUAAGAUUAGGAAUGAGGAUAUCCGGGGUAAAGUAGGAGUAGCCGAAAUUGUAGGAAAGAUGAGAGAAAAUCGGUGACGGUGGUUUGGACAUGUGCCAAGAAGGCCUACUGACGCUCCGAUUAGAAGAUGUGACUACUGGACAGAGGUUCAGGGCCGAAGGGGUAGAGGAAGACCUAGAAAAACUUUGGAAGAGACUCUAAGAAAGACUUAGAGUACCUGGAUCUAACGAAGGACAUGACACAGGACCGAGCAUAAUGGCGUUCUAAGAUUCAUAUAGCCGAUCCCACUCAGUGACUUGGAUUUUCCAAGUCUCCAGCCGAGAAGUUUUCCUCACUCAGGAAAUUAAGGGAACACUACCCCAACCUACAUGCUCCACUCACAAAGCUUCAACAAAAGAAAAUUCAAAGAACUUAGCGAAGAAGGCUUUGAUGUAUUUAACACAAUACGUUGAAAUGAAGGAAAGCUUAUUUAUUGAUAUCAUCGAUAAGCUACAAAUAUGUACAUAUACAUAAGUCAAAAUAAACAAACAAGAGGGAGCCUUCACAAAGGUUGCUUAGGAGAAGUCUCAGCAGUCGGUAGAGCCCCAGAAAGAGAAGGCACCGGAGGGGGAUCAUUCGGAGCCUCAGUACUGGACAGAACCCUAGAAGGAGGAGGCAUAAGAGGUUGAUCAUUUGGUGCUUCAUUACGCGGUACAGCCCCAGAAGACGAAGGCAAUAAAUGCCUUUGGAACAAACCCACAAAUCUCUGAUGAUCAAGUAAAACCUGACCAUCAGAUUCCUUCAUCUGGUCAAGCUUCCUCUUCAUGUUUGUAGCAUAGUCAUGUGCGAGCCGGUGCAACUGUUUAUUCUCAUGCUUGAGCCCUCUAAUCUCCUGUUUGAGACUCAUCACUUCAGCCGCCAAUGAUUCAACUUGGCGGGUUCGAGCAAAUAGGUGUUGGGCCAUAUUAGACACAGAACCUGCACACUGAACACUGAGAGCCAGAGAAUCCUUAACAGCUAACUCAUCAGACCGUUUGGAAAGUAGUCUGUUAUCUUUGGGAGUGAGAAGGUUCCUGGCCACCACCGCAGCGGUCAUAUCAUUCUUCAUCACGGAAUCCCCAACGGUAAGAGGACCAGUAGGGGAGACGAAGGAUGGGCGCCAUAUGUUGUCUGGAGAAGGCGGGGCUUCCUCUUCAACAAGGUUCAAGUCAAAACGACGGUCGGAGGGGCCAGACAUUUUCAAAUGUGUUGAAGAGAGAAGAGGUCGGACAAAUCAAGAUCUUAGAAGUGUAAGAAUGGAGCUUCUACUGGUGGAGAUUCAAGUGUGCUUUGGAACUUAAUGUCAGCCCCUAUAAAAAUCUGCACUCAACGGAGCUUCAGAAAUCGAAGAGGCGCCUGCUCAGAAAUCGAAGAGGCGUUUGCUUUCUCAAAAGCAAGGCUGCUCAGAUACCACGAGGGUCGAUCUCAGAAAUCGAAGAGGCGUUUGCUUUCUCAAAAGCUGGGCAGCGCAAAGACCACGAAGGCCGAUCUCAGAAAUCGAAGAGGCGCUCAAAAGUUGGGCUGCUCAGAGACCACGAGGGCCGAUCUCAGAAAUCGAAGAGGCACCUACUUUUCCAGCCUUGUCAGUACCUGUCACACACACACUCAGCUUUGCGAAAAUUAUGGGGAUUCGGUCGAAGACUUCUGGUGAAGUAGAAAGCACAUGAGUCUUACUGUUCAAUCACCCACUUCCCACACGCAACAGUAGCUCAUGGGUACCACAUAUAACUUUUCCAAAGUUCUCUGCCAAAGUUGAACACGUGAAGUUUGCAGCUCCCACUACAUCGCUCUGAUCAAGAAGGGUAAAAGAAUAGCAAAGAAACAACACUAACAAAGUUUAGACACAUAAAUUUUGAUGGUCGAGCUACCAUAUUAUUACCCACAAGGGUAAAGGAACAGUACCACUGCUGGAUAAUUGGAAAGUCCCUGUGUGUCAACCUCUGUGCUUCGUGGCAAGGUAGACUAUCAAACAUGCCCAACCUUUACUCACAUUCGAGAAAACACUCCCAACAAGAUUGCUUGCUCCAAAAUCGAAGAGGCACCGUCCUUCGAAUCUCGAGAGCCAGACUCCCAACAUGACUACUUUCUCAAAAAUCGAAGAGGGUAAAGGAACAGUACCAUUGCUGGAUAAUUUGAAAGUCCCUGUGUGUCAACCUCUGUGCUUCGUGGCAAGGUAGACUAGCAAACAUGCCCAACCUUUACUCACAUUCGAGAAAACACUCCCAACAAGAUUGCUUGCUCCAAAAUCGAAGAAGCAUCGCCCUCCGAAUCUCGAGAGCCACUCCCAACAUGACUACUUUCUCAAAAAUCGAAGAGACAUCGCUCUCCGAAUCUCGAGAGCCAGACCCCCAGCAUGAUUGCUUUCUCAAAAAUCGAAGAGGCACCGUUCUCCGAAUCUCGAGAGCCAGAUCCCCGAUAGGAUUGCUUGUUCGAAAACCGAAGAGGCAACACUUUCCCAAUUUCAAGAGCCGGAUCUCCUUGGAUAAAGCUAUCUGUAAUCUUCACUCGCAACAUUAGCUUUCCAGCUACCACAGACCACUUUUUCAAAGUGAUCUGACAACGUUAAAACAUGUGAAGCUGGCAGCUUCCACUACCGUGCUAUGACCAAGUAGGGUAAAGGAAUAGCAUUACUACUUGUUGUUAAGGAGACUCCUAUAUAUGUCGACCUCCAUCCCCAACGGAUAGGCAGACCUGCAAAAAUGCUCAACUCUUCCUCAUAUCUGAGAGGGCACUCCCAACGAAGCCUUUCGAAAUAUUCAGCUUUCUUUCCCCCCGAUAAUACCUCUGCAAACAAGCUAUACUAGAGCAAGAAUAUCUCAUAUCAUCAGGGUUAAAAGCAAGAGUAUCCCAUAUCAUGCUUUUUCCUUGUCUUUUUCUUUGGCCUUGUUCUUACCUGCAAGACAAGAAGAAAGAGAGCAAUCAGUCAGUACUUGGAAUCAAGCUUCCAGCCAGGAACUGACUGCCUGGAACCCCUUACCUGAUUACUUACCUGACAUUGUUCUCGAGUACUCAUCUUCAACAUCUUAUGCUUCCAGGGAAGAUACCGCAUCUGCCUGAGGAACAGAUAGGGCAAGGGAGAAGGAUAUAAGGAAGCAUGUGGAGACAAGCGUAACAGCACACGUGCCGAUACAUCCAUUACUCUGUCAAAGCAAAAGUAUCCCAUAUCAGUAGGGUCGAACGUACUCUAGAUUUGAUGGACUUGUUUUGACCCUCAAAUUCUUCAGUCGGCCUUAUACUCUGGAGGAAACCAGAAAUUUCUCCAGCUCAGUGCAAGAAUAAGCUUGUGGAAAGUUACUUCUUCAAAAGCAAAAGUAUCACAUAUCAUCUCUUCUCAUUUUCUUCUCUUUAUCCUUCAUGCUGCCUGCAAGAUAGGGAGAUUGUGAACAAUCAGCUGGAGCUAUGAUUGCUUACCUUGUCUGUCACCUCUUUCAGCAGAUCCCCUAGCUCGGCGAUUUGGGGGACUCCUACUACAUGGUUUGUAUCGCGCUUGACCAAGCCUGAAACUACAAGUAAGCUUCAAGUGAAAUUGAUACAUUACCUUGUGCAUCUCCACCAGUUAAAGAUACUACCCCUGGAUGGAGGAAGAGUACUUCCAGAGAAGAUGCCCCAUCUACCUAUGAGACAGAUAAGGCACGUCAAGACGAUACCACACUCUGAUACUUAGAAGUUUCGUGAUUACGAGAUCAUUCUCCCACAAUAUUUCCUAAUGUCAUUUGUACUAAAUCAUUCACUUGUACUCACUAAAGGAGAGCUUGAACCUAUGUACUUGUGUAAACCCUUCACAAUUAAUGAGAACUCCUCUAUUCCGUGGACGUAGCCAAUCUGGGUGAACCACGUACAUCUUGUGUUUGCUUUCCUAUCUCUAUCCAUUUAUAUACUUAUCCAUACUAAUGACCGGAGCAAUCUAGCGAAGAUCACAAAAAGCGACCGUUUUCGCUACCUAAGAUCUAUCGUGCAAGAGAACGGAGAAUUAGAUGGAGAUCUCAACCAUAGAAUACAAGCUGGAUAGAUGAAGUGUAAGAGUGCAUCCGACGUGUUGUGUGACCGUCAUAGGUCACUGAAGCUCAAGGGAAAAUUUUAUAGGACGACAAUAAGGCCAGCGAUGUUGUAUGGCACAGAAUGUUGGGCGGUGAAGCAUCAAUACGUACACAAAAAUGGGUGUGGCGGAGAUGAGGAUGCUUCGUGGGAUGUGUGGGCACACGAGAAAGGAUAAGAUUGGGAAUGAGUAUAUCCGAGGUAAAGUAGGAGUAGCCGAAAUUGAAGGAAAGAUGAGAGAAAAUCGGUUCCGGUGAUUUGGACAUGUGCAAAGAAGGCCUACUGACGCUCCGGUUCGAAGAUGUGACUACUGGACAGAGGUUCAGGGCCGAAGGGGUAGAGGAAGACUUAGAAAACCUUUGGAAGAGACUCUAAGAAAAGACUUAGAGUACUUGGAUCUAAUGGAGGACAUGACACAAAACCGAGCGCAAUGACGUUCUAGGAUUCAUAUAGCCGACCCCACUUAGUGGGAAAAGGCUUUGUUGUUGUUGUUGUUGUUGUUGGGGUUUUGCAGGGAGUACUAAUGUACUGAUUUUCUGGGAUUUUUUUUGUCCUUGCAGGAUUUUUGGUCUUUGAAAUGGGUAUGUGUUGUUUUUAAUGUUUCAGUUCUAGCGUUUUCCGUUCUUCGUUGCUUCGUGAUUCUCAUUUUUCAGUGUUGGGUGAUGGAAAUUUGUUAAAGUAGUUGGUAGUUUUUUGAGAAAGUUGGCAUUUUUAGUUAUAUUUUCUGUUUAAUCCUAAAUGUUUUGAAAACUCAUAAUUUUUUUGUUCUGGGAUUUAAAAGCAUCUUUUCCAGAUUGGUUACAAGGGUUAUGUUCUCUUCAAUUGGUUCACCUAAUUUUGAUUAGUUUUAAGUUUUGUCCUUUAAGUUUGUCUUUUAAGUUUUGUUCUUUAAGUUUUGUCUUUUAAGUUUUGUUCUCUAAGUUUUGUCUUUUAAGUUUUGUCUUCUGUGCUGUAAUGAGAGAUUUCCGUUGGCCUUUCGGAUUUUGGCAUGGGAAAGUUCACUUAUUUGCAAGGUUCUAAAAAACGCUAGGCGUUAGUUGGGCGGUGGGCUAGCGCCUAGCGGCUAGGCGGCUAGGCGGGAUCUAGGCGGGAUCUAGGCGGGCGCCUAGGCGGCCUAGGCGGAUUUAGGUAAAUUUCUUAUAUAUUUUAUGAAUUAAUUAAAUUUACUAUAUCAAAUGUAAAUAAUUAUUAACUAAUAUGUUAUUUCUUAUAGAAGAACAUACAUAGUGAAUGUUUUAUGUACAUAUAUAAUAUAUUUGUCUAGGAAAAAAAAAUAUUAUCUAAAUAAUUUUUAUAACAUAUAUAUAUAUAUAUAUAUAUAUAUAUAUAUAUCCCAAACUUUUAAAAAUAUAAAUAGCAUUGGGAGAGGGGCGUAGGGUUUCUAAAAGCACACUCAGAAAUAGAGCAUAUUUUAGUCUUUAUUUUAGAAUCCUAAGGAGCACCCUACUCGGAUGCACGACAUGUGUGCAAAUCUGGAGAUUCUUGCUGUAUCGGAUACACCAAUGCUUAGUCAAAAUUUCCUGCUAGGGUUUAUGGUGGACAUGUGUGUGUGGUCUUCAUUAUUAAACCCAUUAGCACCUCACCUUUUCACAUCACCCGUCCAUCACCUUGGGUGGUUUUGAUAAUUAAAACCAUCAACAUCCAUGGUUUUGAUAAUUAGAACUACCAACUUUUCCUUGGAUUUGAGAAUCUGAGAUCCCAUUCAUCGCCAUCAAAUAUUGAAAUGUUUCAUUGUUCAUCUCUUUCUCCCUCUUCUCACUCUCUAUUCCCUCAUCUUCACAGAGAUGAGUUACAGAAAUUCUCCGGUAAUCUCUCUCUCUCUCUCUUCGUAAUCGACGAGCUCCUCGACUUGAAGUCGCAGCCAAGUUAUGAAGAAUCGAGAUGCGAGAGCAAGUGGAGAGUGGAGACUCUGGAAAUUGGGAGUGACGAUCGACGACGAUGAGUCGAUGACCCAGGAAACCUCUUGAAGUUGCAGCAGGUGAGUGCACUGCAGUUGAGGAAGAAGAGACGAAGAGACUUAGUUUCUGAAAUUAGGGUAGCUGCAAGGCACGGGAACUUAAAAACAAAAAAACAAAAAGAAAACCGCCUAGCUCCGCCAGCCGCCUAGCCUGCCUAGGCGCCUCCUAGCCCGCCUAGGUGCCGCUUAGCCACCGCCUAGAGCCCAGCCGUUUUUUCCCACCGUUUUGCACAAAAACGCCUUGGCCACCCUCCGCCUAGCGCCUAGGCGGCCGCCUAGGCCGUUUUUUAGAACACUGCUUAUUUGUCUAAUUAGAUUGUGGAUGCCUUCGAUUCUUUAUUUAAUUGUUCUGUUUGCGUUCGGGUGUGAUGAUCUAAAUUUCAUAUGUUUGGAAUUAUUUACUUAACACCAAUUUGUUACAUUCAGAUCUCCACCCCACAUUUCACUAGUUCAAAUUCCAUAGAAGUUGGUUAUUGCAGAUUGCGUCUACAAUUAGAUCAGAGAUCAACUACUCUUUUGUUAUCCUGCAGAAGAUUGCUUUUGGGAAGGAUCUGAAGUAGUUUCUCUCUGUAUGUUUAUUCCCAUGUAGCUCUGUCUUUUCUAAUUGAUGGUGUUGAUAUUACACUGUAAUUCAUGAUGAUGAUUUAAUUGUUUAUUGAUUUGUAAUUGUUUGUGAAUAAUGUGGCAUAUAUGAAUUGCAAUCUGUGUUUGUAUGAAAGGGAUGGCAUAUUAUGUUGCUGACUUAAUUGUUUAUGUUUUUCAUAUUUGCGAAUGGUGUUAUGAUCAAUUAGGUGAUUGCUGACCUGUGACUUUGUUUGGAGCUCAAAUUUUGUGAGCAUUACAUUGGAUUGUUUUGAUGUUGUUUUGGUUGACAAUGCAGGGAUAGGAGAAACAAAGAGGAUGACACUUAUAACUGCCAUUCCCCAUCGGCCGUCUUCAAAUUUGGAUCACAAGAAGGGAGCAACAUAGGUGUUUUCCUUCUUUAUUUAGAUAUGGUUAGUGUAAAUAAUUGGACAAAAGAGCCAAACAAACCCUGUUCUCUCAAAUGGAGUUGAUGAUGUGGUCGACGGCCACCAGCCCCAACUCAAGAGUUUGGCCUUCAUAUAAUUGGAUUGUAGUAUAAUUUUAUUUUUGUUCAUUUCUUUUUUCCUUUAUAUAAGUGCAGGUGUUGUGAUGUUUUGAAUAAAGGGUGAUGAAAGGUGGUUCACACUUCCUCCUUACUUAAAGCAAGUGGAGAUGACGGUUUGUAUAAAAAGAAAAACUUGCCACGUACUUCAAUUUUCUAUUUUAUUAAUUAUUGUUUGGUUUUCCAAAUGUUGUAUUCACAAAGAGAGACCAAUUAUGUCUUUGAGAAACAAGUUUCUUUGUCUACAUUGCGAGAAUUUGCAGUUUGCAACUUUCAUUGGUUAUUAUAUUUGAUUGAGUUAAACUUGGAUUUCUGGAUUCUGACUUUUUCGUUUGUUUCUUUGUUGCAGAGUUGGCUUCAUUUCAUUCCAGGAACUCUCUAAAUAGGGCCAAGAACUCACUAAAUAGGUAGUCAAGAGGAAUUCAGUUUUGCCUUCAAUUUUUGCCUUCUGUUUACAUUCUUCCUGGAUGCACUCUCACCGCUUCUCUCGCUUACCACUUUUUUCUCACUCACCGCUUCAUCUCUUCUGUUGCUUACAAGGUCGUGUCAUAUAUUUUUUAAUUUUGUGGUUUAAUUUAUUGAAUAUUUGAAAAAAGAGAUAAAAUUAUAAGAUACUAUAUAAGAUACUAUAUAGUAUCUUAUAAAUAAAUGAAUCACAAAUGAUACUAUAGUUGUUAAAAAAUCCCAUUACUCAAAACUCCAAUUCCCUCCCAUUACUGAAAGCUCCAAUUCCAUCAAAACCGAGAUGGUAAAAGUACAAACUGGCUAGUUUCCACCAAAAAAAAAAGUACAAACUGGUUACAAAAAUAUGUUUUGUCCCAUCCAAUUGACGAAAAGAGAUAAAAUUUUCAAUUUACAAUUACUGAUAUGAUGUUUGUUUUGAAAAUCAUUAAGGUGAAUGGAGAGAUUUACAACCAUGAAGAGCUGAGGAGCCGUUUGCCAAAUCAGAUUUAUAAGGUCUCAUCAAUUAUGAAUAAACGACUUUUCAUUCCCAAUGACCUUUAUCGUUUUUCUUAAUGGGUUAGCUGAACAUGAGGUAGAUGCUGACUUUAUCAAAUAUGAGAAUGUUUUAGGAUUUCAUUCUAAUUUUUUGGCUGUUUGAUUACUUUGCUUUUCGUAAUUUGUUUUGCUUAUCGUCAAUUGGAUGGGACAAAACAUAUUUUUGUAACCAGUUUGUACUUUUUUUUUUGGUGGAAACUAGCCAGUUUGUACUUUUACCAUCUCGGUUUUGAUGGAAUUGGAGCUUUCAGUAAUGGGAGGGAAUUGGAGUUUUGAGUAAUGGGAUUUUUUAACAACUAUAGUAUCAUUUGUGAUUCAUUUAUUUAUAAGAUACUAUAUAAGAAACUGUUAUUAGCACUCUAAAAAACUCAUUCUACACUCGCGACAAGUGUAUUUUUCUUUUUAAUUAUGGAAAGUUUGAAGGGCAAAAUGAGAAUUUUGGAGUGCCAAUAACAAUUCCCUAUUAUAUAUAGCUCUACUGGGAAGGCUACUGUAUAUGUCUUCAUCCUGUUAAAUUGUAUAUGGCUCUUGAUGUCGGCUGAAUUAAAUCAAAAUGAAAACCAAGCUGAUCUUACCAGCCGAUAUCACUUAUCACUUGCUUAUUUAAAUUAUUUGAAGAUGCGUAUGUGGAUUGGUGAUUUUGUUGGAUUCACUUAGCUCAAAUAUAUGUUAUCUGAGUCGCUACAUUUGAGAAUGUGAUUCUGUUCCUACCACCAUUUUGCCCACUUUUUGUGGAAAUUAUUCAUUCCUGUUGUGAAUAAUACAUUCAUCCCCGGCAACGAAGUGCGGGCACAUUUUAUAGUUUAAAUUAAAUCACACAAUGGGUCAUCAAUAAUGACAAACUCGUCAUUUAUGCGAGUCAAACAUGAGGCCACCUACCUACUAGUUUAGUGGAAUACCACAAAGUGACAUGUUGAUACCUUUAAGUCUCAUAUAAUGGAUUGCAGAAUUAGGAUAUACCUAGACUAAUUUAGUCAGUGCGUGAACCCGAACAAUUAACAAGGGUUUUAUUCUUGCUUGAAUGUUUGUUAUAUGUUCCUAGUUUGACAAGGCAAUUAUAUUUCCGAUUACAAAAGUUAUUAAUUUAGUCGAGAAUUGACGCACCUGAAAUGGUGUGAGGAAAACAUGUAGACACAUCAACCGCAGUCCACUGUCCUGGGCAUCUAUCUUCCCCGAAACGAAGCUCAAAGCCAUACAUGAGGGCAUUGUGUAUGUCUUUAUAAGAGAAGUUGCUGUAGUCUUCAACGUAGCCGGCAGCCAAACUCAUCCACUCUACACUGCAACCCUCAUCCAAAUCCCAUGCUUCCAACCUGCCCCCGACAUAGUCAGCGACCAUGACAUAGCUAUACGUUUUUGGUUGACUCGAAGAAGAAGAAGAAGUAUUAUUCAAGCAUGGAGCAGUGUCCACGUACAGAGAAGAAUUCGAUGGAUUCGAACACUUCAAGUAAUAUAUAGAUAGAGAAUUGAUGUCAUAGGUGGGCCAAUAUGGAGAAUUGAUGUCCUCGGUGGUGGGCGGAAUAUUUUGAGACAUGGAAGAGCAAUUGUUGUUGUCAAGCCCAGGAUCUAGAACUCGGAUUGUAUUGUUAAUGUAGUUGAUUGCCUGGACAUAGUAUUUUCCGGAAGAAGGUACGUCUAGUACAGUAAUGUUGCUCUCACAGUACAGAGUAUACAUUAUGUUGCCACAGUACUUUGGAUCAUCGUUCAGUCGAAAAGGAUGGCUUAUGUAGUGGAUAUGGCCGCAGGAUGAAGUGCAGGACUUGGCACUACUGUUGUCAGCGUUACAAGUUUCACUGCAAAAGCAAAGAAGAAGAAAGGCUAAACUUAAGGUGAAGGACCUGCUUCCACUAAUUUCCAUUGAUCUGAGAGAGAGAGAGAGAGAGAGAGAGAGAGAGAGAGAGGGUACUAUAGCUUGAACACCAAGGAGUUAUAUAAUAUGGGAGGGGUUAAAGCGCUUCGCUUAAAGUUGCAGUAAGCCCGGCAAAUAUCCUAGGGAAAAGUCGGUCAAUGGUGUCCUAUAGAGAAAAGUCGGCCUUGGUGUUUGACACGGUCACUCACUCUCUCUCUCUCUCUCUCUCUCUCUCUCACAUUGACGAGGGACACUGUAAUUAACAAAAAAAUUGUUCUUCAGAGAUAGAUUUUGAAAUUCUUAUUUUAUAUAAAAAAACACCUAAUAUUAAUCAUUCAAAUGAAAUUCCUAAAAUUAAGUAUAAAUAAUACAUAAUAAAAACUGAACACAUACAAUCAACGGUCACGAUCAUGAAAUCCUUCGGAUCCUCAGAAAAAAAUCCGACGAUGAUCUUUUUCUGUGUAAAAUAAUUUGAGGGUAUAAUACUGGAUGUGCGAUUAAACCGAAGAACCCACCCACCUCCAUCUUCUCCGACCAACUUGAACCCAGCCACUACUACAUGUCAUCCCGACAACCCACUCUCAGCUUCCCAAACCGCCAUUUUUCACCCAUUCACCUACCACUGCCAUUAUUCAUUCAAUCAACCCAAAACACGAGAGCCACCCCCAUCUCACCAGUCGAACAGAUGCAGCCACCCACCCAUUUAAUCCCAGUCCAAAAUCAAACCCUCUCCUAAACCCACCCCAGAAUCCAAUAAUUUCAAAAAAUGGCUGAUUAUAUCAUUUCAAGAACCUCACAAUUCCAAAAACUAAAAACCCACUUCAAAGAUGUAAUAUUUUUCUCUCUUCCUCUUUUUGGGUUUUUUUUUCUUUUUUUUUAUCAAUUCUCUUCUGGGUUUUUGUUUACAGUGUAAAAUCAACACUAAUUUACUAAUUUUGCUUUGAUUUCAAACACUAUUGAGGCGUGAUAACCUGUUGCAAGCUCAGCCAUGGCGGCUACUGCGAAAUCUAACGGAAAAACCAUCACAGACUCUGCCAUUUCAUCCAAGGUUCCGACAAUAGCAAAACGAAUAGCUGUCGCAGAUUUCUUCCAACAUCAAUCACUACGCGAAAUUAAUUGUCAAUGAAGACGAUCCCAUUCCCCUUCGAAAUCUGCUGGGGAAAGAGACCUUCUUUCAGAUCUGCUCUGAGACCGGUUUAUGCGAGAGAGUGGUGAGCCUGACGACAGAGAGAAAUAAGGGCAGGAUUGGAAAAUUGGAAAGUUCAUUUAUUGGUUACUGUUUAUCCGUGUUUCUUCGAAAUAAGCUGCUUUUUCCAGCUUUGGGUUUCAGUGUUUUUUAACCCAUAAUUUUGAAAGAAAAAAAACUGAUUUUAAAUGUUUAUCAAACACUUAAAAUGUUCCAAUCUUUUUUCAUACCUACUUUUUAUUAAAAGUUAAGCUAAACAAAAAUCAAGAUUAAGUUUACUACUCUGAAGUUUCUUGCUUUUCAACAUUUCAUACAUUGAAUUUUUCUCAUCCAGUGUCAUAUCUAAGGUGGGAAUUGUGGGACACUUUUAUACAUCCGUUAGAUUUUAUGUGAAUUGCGUGGCACUUUUAUACAUCCGUUAAAUUUUUUGUGAGAACCUUCGCUGACCCACGAUGCGGCAUGCAUGUGGACAUUAAAAAAAUUCAAAAAAUUCAAAAAAUUUUAAAAUUUUAAAAUUUAAAAUUCAAAAAUACUAAAAACCUAAACUUUUCAUAAUAUUGAAAGACUGAAUCUUUUCACAGUCAGCCAAAUUUUCUUCAAAUUUUAAUUAGAUGAAAUAAUGAAUCUUGAACAAAGCAAAACAAAACGUAAUAUUGAGAGAUUCAGUCAUUGAAGUGGACGUGGAUGUUGGGUACUCAAUAGUCCAAGAAUGAAAACUCUCAUAUCAGUUUCUAUCCAAAAUUUUGGAAUUAUGUGUGUUGCAACGAUUGUCCAAAGGAUUAUUCUUCUUUUAUUAAAUUUCCAUGAAAAAUGAGCAUGGAGCACAAAAGUUGAACGAAUGAUUAUUCUUCUUUUAUUAAAUUUCCAUGGAAAAUGAGCAUGGGGCACAAAAGUUGAACGAAUGAAAUUUCAACGAUUUGAAAAGGGAUUGUGAGUUUGACAUGUCAUUUUUCUUCCUCUAAUGCAAUCAUGUUUAUUAAAAGACAAAAAUAAAUAUGACUUUACAUAAGGAGAGAGAAGGAGUAGUUUUCUUUGAAAAAAUCAACCAUUUAUUGAAGAGGAUGUGGAUGUUGAUUGAUGCGUCGUGAAUACGAAAAAAAGGACCUUGAAAGGAGUUGAGACAUUCAUUAAAAGCUAGAAGAAAAAAAAGUUAAAAGUGUUUUAGAAAAAAAGCAAGAAAGCCUCAUUUUCAAAGUUGUGGUCAUUGCACAAUACUUGAUUAGAAGAAAACUCAUAGUAUUGUAUUUACAAUUUCAAGUCUUUAUGGGGAACGAGAGAGCAAGUUUUCCAAUUGGAAUAUGAUAUGAAAUUUCUACAUAACUAUAUAUGACAAUGAAAGAAGUCUAAGUUUCUAAAUGGAAGGGCUUCCAAUUGAUGUGAGUUUGUUGAGAAAUUAGUGAACAACAGAACAAGUUGCUUCUCCUUUGGCCUUCUAACAUGAUAUCACAGAAAACAAGUUGUUACUAAUAAAUGUAUCUGAUUGGUGGACUUAGACGUGCGCGGUACGAUUUUUGAUAACUAGAGAAGAUGGGCAGUGUCAUGACAAAAUUUAUCCAAGUAGACCCAAAGGAAUGACUUAGGAACUUCAUAUGCAGUGGGAUAAAAUCUUAAGCUAAUUUCCUUACCUAUCUUAUAGGCAUUAAGUAAAAUGUAUAUGCAUAUUUCUAGACACACCAAUUUACUUAAUAUUAACUUCUUUCAAAUACCCAUUUGCAGAAACGCAAAGCUCUCUUGCAUGCUUGUUGUAAUGCUUAUGUAGUGCGUAUCCUAUAUCUUAUAUAUAUAUCUUACUUUUUGUGAUCCAUUUUUUCAUCACUAUGCCAAACGAAUAGCAAAACGAAUAGCUGUCGCAGAUUUCUUCCAACAUCAAUCACCACGCGAAAUUAAUUGUCAAUGAAGACGAUCCCAUUCCCCUUCGAAAUCUGCUGGGGGAAAGAGGCCUUCUUUCCGAUCUGCUCUGAGACCGGUUUAUGCGAGAGUGGUGAGCCUGACGACAAAGAGAAAGAAGGGCAGGAUUGGAAAAUUGGAAAGUUUAUUGGUUACUGUUUAUCCGUGUUUCUUCGAAAUAAGCUGCUUUUUCCAGCUUUGGGUUUUCAGUUUUUUUUACCCAUAAUUUUGAAAGAAAAAAAACUGAUUUGAAAUGUUUAUCAAACACUUAAAAUGUUCCAAUCUUUUUUCAUACCUACUUUUUAUUAAAAGUUAAGCUAAACAAAAACCAGGAUUAAGUUUACUACUCUGAAGUUUUUUGCUUUUCAACAUUUCAUACAUUGAAUUUUUCUCAUCCAGUGUCAUAUCUAAGGUGGGAAUUGUGAGACACUUUUAUACAUCUGUUAGAUUUUAUGUGAAUUGUGGGGCACUUUUAUACAUCCGUUAGAUUUUUUGUGAGAACCUUCGCUGACCCACGAUGCGGCAUGCAUGUGGACAUUGAAAAAAUUCAAAAAAAAUCGAAAAUUUUAAAAUUUUAAAAUUUAAAAUUCAAAAAUACUAAAAACCUAAACUUUUCAUAAUAUUGAGAGACUGAAUCUUUUCACAGUCGGCCAAAUUUUCUUCGAAUUUUAAUUAGAUGAAAAUAAUGAAUCUUGAACAAAGCAAAACAAAACGUAAUAUUGAGAGAUUCAGUCAUUGAAGUGGACGUGGAUGUUGGGUACUCAAUAGUCCAAGAAUGAAAACUCUCAUAUCAGUUUCUAUCCAAAAUUUUGGAAUUAUGUGUGUUGUAACGAUUGUCCAAAGGAUUAUUCUUCUUUUAUUAAAUUUCCAUGAAAAAUGAGCAUGGAACACAAAAGUUGAACGAAUGAUUAUUCUUCUUUUAUUAAAUUUCCAUGGAAAAUGAGCAUGGGGCACAAAAGUUGAACGAAUGAAAUUUCAACGAUUUGAAAAGGGAUUGUGAGUUUGACACGUCAUUUUUCUUCCUCUAAUGCAAUCAUGUUUAUUAAAAGACAAAAAUAAAUAUGACUUUACAUAAGGAGAGAGAAAUAGUAGUUUUCUUUGAAAAAAUCAACCAUUUAUUGAAGAGGAUGUGGAUGUUGAUUGAUGCGUCGUGAAUACGAAAAAAAAAGACCUUGAAAAGAGAUGAGACAUUCAUUAAAAGCUAGAAAAAAAAAAGUUAAAAGUGUUUUAGAAAAAAGCAAGAAAGCCUCAUUUUCAAAGUAGUGGUCAUUGCACAAUACUUGAUUAGAAGAAAACUCAUAGUAUUGUAUUUACAAUUUCAAGUCUUUAUGGGGAACGAGAGUGCAAGUUUUCCAAUUGGAAUAUGAUAUGAAAUUUCUACAUAACUAUAUAUGACAAUGAAAGAAGUCUAAGUUUCUAAGUGGUAGGGCUUCCAAUUGAUGUGAGUUUGUUGAGAAAUGAAGAUGAAGAUGAAUAUUGAUGUUGAUGUUAGUGAACAACAGAACAAGUUGCUUCUCCUUUGGCCUUCUAACAUGAUAUCACGGAAAACAAGUUGUUGCUAAUAAAUGUAUCUGAUUGGUGGACUUAGACGUGCACGGUACGAUUUUUGAUAACUAGAAAAGAUGGACAGUGUCAUGACAAAAUUUAUCCAAGUAGACCCAAAGGAAAGACUUAGGAACUUCAUAUGCAGUGGGAUAAAAUCUUAAGCUAAUUUCCUUACCUAUUUUAUAGUAUUAAGUAAAAUGUAUAUGUAUAUUUCUAGAUGCUGACACACCAAUGUACUUACUAUUAACUCCUUUCAAAUACCCAUUCGCAGAAACGCAAAUCUCUCUUGCAUGCUUGUUGUAAUGCUCAUGUAGUGCGUAUCUAAUAUCUUAUGUGUAUAAUUUUUUGUGAUCCAUUUUUUCAUCACUAUGCCAAAAUCCCUUUAGAAUUUGCAAUUUAUCCAUUUGGUUAUGGUAAAAAAAAAAACUCGGAAUUUCAUUUAAACUCGAAAAUCUAGAAUUGGGAAAGCAAUUUUCCCUUGUUCGGCAACUUGUAGCGAUAGCAAAGGCAAAUUGUACCGGAAAAAAGUGGAAAUUGGGGAUGAAGAUCCAAUUUUAAUUUCGUCAAAAUAAGUGUAAUUUCACAAUUCCAACAACGUUGAGAAUCACAAAUGCAUUGUGGGGAAAUCUUGCGACCACCAAACUUUACGAUUAGAGCGCCAAAUUUCAUGAUAAAACGUAAUAAGGGUUUAGGACUGCAUCGUUCGCUCUGUUAACUCUCCAAUCUUCGACGGGAUUUUCAACUCGUGCAUCAUUUUUUGCUUUGUUCUAGGUCAAAGCCUACUCUUUUCUUUCUUGAAUUAUUUUAGCUUUGCGGGUAUACUCUUUAGGCCAAUUGUGAAUUUUGCUAGUUAUUUUUAUUUUCUGAUGGUCAUAUGUUUGUUUUUUUUUUCUUCCAAUUGAGCUGUGUAUUGGUUGGAUCAGUAACUUUUUUUUUGGAUUUUUAUUUUUAUUUUUAUGGAUUUUGGUGUUAGUUCCUUGUUAUAGAUGUAUAGAUGUUGUGGAGCAAAAAAUAAUCUCAAAAAUCGUGGAGGUGACACACGGAUUUUUGGACAAGAAUGACAAAAUUAUCCUCGAAGCACAUCAUGAUUCCCACGUGCAUGCAACGGACAAUAACGGCUCAAUCAUGGAAGAGUCAAAGGUGAUCAAUAUGGUAUUUAUUCAAAUCCCUCUCAUCACUCCUCAUCAAUCCCUUUUUGAUUUUAUUCAAAAGGUAACUCCCAAAACUUCCUAUUUAAUUUAGGGAUCAUUGUCAUGUUAAUUGCAAGAUAUUAUUUCACAAAAUAUCUUGUAAUUAUUCUUCAAUUACCACCAUGUAUGGCCGGCCACUCCUCACCCUAUGGGCCGGUCACUCCUCACCCUAUGGGUCGGCCACUCCCUAUAAAUAGCCCUAUUAUUCCACUAAUAAGGAAGCCAUUUGCUACCCACAAACUCCUAAACACAUUCUUUCAGAAUUCUAACUUUGGCAUUGGAGAUUCUUAGGCCAAAUCCCCCCUCCCAUUCAUCGUGGGCGCAUAAGGCUUUUGGCCUUAGUCUUAGGUAUUAUUAUUUUGCAGGUGCAUUUUCGUCAAAGACGAAGAUGGUGGAAAUUUGGAUCCACAAAUUGGUGUUUUCAUUGAGAGUUUGAUUCACAAGCUCGAAGAAGACUCUCGCAUUCAAAGUUUCACAUUUCUCAUUCAUAAGUAAAUUUUUCAUACGUUCUUAUUCCUAGAAUUUUUUUAAAUCUUUGAAUAGACGUAGGAGAGAAAUACAAUGGCUAGAAAUUUAGAAACCACGACGAACGAAACUUCCUACGUUCAAAGAUCCAGAUCAAAUGAUGGAAAUUGCGAUGUAGCCCCACCACGACGAUCCACGAAGCUCAACGUAGUGGCAAAAUGAGUAACUUGGCCACCACGGAGUACCACCACCACCAUAGCCAAGGCAACCCAUGUUGCAGUGGGGAGUGGGACAACUCCAUGGCAGCAAGGCCACGAAGCAACAACAGAUGCCAUCUUGCAGUAAUGAGCCCAAGCCUGUGUCACAAGGUAGUCAACCCAGCGCUAGGUAACCUAGAUCUAGUAGGCCCACGACGUUGCCAUAGUAGCUGAGGCCUAAAGCAAGGCCCAAGCAGCUGCGACUGCGGCAAAUGGAGCAACACAACACUGGCGGGGCCAAUGCACCCUUGGCCUAAUGCCAAGCAGGCUAAAUCGCACCACACCCACUAUUCAAACUAACCCUAAGUUGAGUAAGUAGCAUUGAAGGUUGUCAACCGCAAGGCGUUGAAGUACGAAUAAAGUUACACACCCCGCACAUGACUUGGCCCACUUCCGCGGCCCAACUUGCUCGCAAGGUCCACCUAGUGAUCCCGACCAGUCGAAGGCCAGUUCAAUCAUCCCAUCUUCAGAUUUCUGGACUGACGAUUGAAUCGGGGGUAUUUUCACCCCGAUUUUCUACAGAUUUGACAUAUCUCAACACAAAUCUCGCACUUGGAGUCCAUUGCACUUCCAUUACUCAAGGAGACGCAUACCAUUUAAGAUCUUCCAUCCCAAAUGGCGAACAACACUUGUCUUGACAAGUCAUAGAGUUGACAUGCACUUUUGCGCAGUAGACGACCUUAGUGAAUCAGCUUUUGCAACGCACAAAGAUGCAGUAUGCCCCAGACGAUGUGUCCCGAAGCAGGACAAGUAUAGACGACGAUUCUCUCCAGCAGCGUCCCAACAAGCAGCCGCUCGACUAGCCACGAACCGAGCAUUCUGGCAGUGUACACUCCCGUCUAGGUCCUCAAGAAAGCAUAUACUCUCAUCUUAGCGCGCGGAUGAGCGUGCACUCCUGGUUAGGCCUACGGACGAGCAUACAUUCACGGUUGGGACCAUACUCUUAUAAUUAACAUGGACAACCUGCUAGACGAAGUGUUCAUUCGCGGCUAGGCUCGCAAAGAGCAUUUUCCACCUCAUAUUGGAGUAAGCAGCACAGAAGACGAAGAUAAGCAGUCAAUUAAUCUGGCUCAAAUUCAAUCGGCCACCUGUAAGUAACUAGCUCGCCUGCCAAGAACGUACCAUAUGCAAUGUAGCCACGACAUAGACUAGCUGAGCACAACGAUGAGCAACCUAGACUAACAGGUUACGACUGGGGGUAGCCAGAAGCUUCACUGCCCCAAUAUAGGUAAAUUUAGAAAGAAGUUGAGAGGCUUCUGACAGAACGAUUGUGCGAUUUCCAACGCAAUGAAGCUACUGACAAGGCGCUUAAACGAUACACGACCAACAUAAACGGGUCACCUUUUAUUGACAAGAUUGAGCAGACAGAACCAUCCUACAUACACUGGCGGAUACAAAUAUUACUUCUAUUUUAACAUACGCAUCAACUCAGCCUAAUGGCGUGUCGAGGGCAAAUGGGUUCCAGAAUGGCACACUAACCCAACCACCAAGAACCAGGGCCAAAUCUUAUUUUCAUCACUCCACACGAUUCAAUGCUUGAGCAUCACAUCACCAGUAAUAGAGCACCGCAGACCUAAUGGUCCAAUUCCUCCUGAUGCACACAAGCUCACCCCAGCUCCACGCUCAAAGCCGUGCCUACCUGCUCCACAACACUCAGCCACCCUUGAUUUGUCACCAUGGCUCACAGUUAUGCCAAUUUUGCACCACAGCUCCCAGCCGUGCUAAUCUUGCCAUGCGGCUUUUAACUACGUUAACCAAGCCCACGAUACUUCAUACUUCAAAACAUCCAAUGACGAAGUAGAACAUGAGGCUCUACUAGCAGCCCCUGCUAGUGAAAGGCUUUGCGGUGAAGAGGCUUCCAAUCCAUUCAAAUUCUCAGUUGACCACCUGUUGGGUUUUACGGCUCAAAAUUAGGAUGAUGCAAAAAAAAUUGUGUUACCUAUUUGGUUUUGGUGUCGUAUUUGGGUUUGGAUUUUGACCUCUUAGUUGGUUUCCUUGGUGGAGAGAUUUUGUUAAUUACCUAUUUGAUUAGGAUUUGGAUUUACUUCCUAUUAAGAUUCUUAUUGUAACCUAAGUCUUAUGCACUAUAAAUAGGACCUCAGGGUUAGUGUAUUUUGUGUGGCUCAUUCGUGUGGCAAUUUGGUGAGAGUCAAUUUGUGAGUUUGUGAGUUAGAGAGCAAUUUGGGAGAAUCUUCUCCGUUAGUUUUGGGUUCUCUACUCGUUUGGUUUAGGGUUUGUAAUUUGUGGGAUUUGGAUUGUGAGAGUUUAAACACUAUUUUGUAAUCUCCGUUUGUUUAGUGAAAUUUCUUGUCAUGCUUCGCUCGUGGACUUAGAUUUUACACCGAACCACAUAAAUCUCUUGUGUUAGUUUGAGAUUGUUUGUUUUAGUUUUCACCUACAACGUUGAUAUCGGUACUUUGCUAUAAUUUGCUUUCCUUUGCUCAUAAAAGUACGACAAGUGGUAUCAGAGCCCAGCUUUCGGCUUGGGCUUUUCUUGGCAAUCAAUAUGAAGCCUUCUGUGUCGUCGGUGAAAGUUGAUAUUGAAAAGUUCGAUGGCAAUGACUUUGGUAUUUGGCAAUUGAAGAUGCGUGCUUUGUUAAUUCAACAAGAGCUUUUAAAAACGCUAAAGGGUGUGAAGGCUUUCCUGAAUUCGUGGACUGAUGAAGAAAAACAAAGAAGUUAUGGAGCGGGCACUUGGAACAAUCCUGCUGACUUUAUCGAAUGAAGUCUUGCGUCAAGUUGGUAGCAUCAAAUCUGCACCGAAGUUGUGGCUAAAAUUGGAGAGUUUGUAUAUGACCAAAUCCCUUGCUAAAUGGUUGUAUUUGAAGAAAAGUUUGCGUACUCUUCGUAUGGAUGAAGGUACGUCAAUUCAUAAGACCAAAUCCUUAUUGCUGCCAAAAGUCCUCAACAGUUCCAAGGGAGAUGGGUAAGAGUUCGUAAUAGUGAGAGAUUGAAUCUUUUCACACUUGGCCAAAUUUUAAUUUUAAUUAGAUGAAACAAUGAAUCUUGAACAAAGCAAAACAAAAUUUAAUACUGAAAGAUUGAGUCAUUGAAGUGGACGUGGAUGUUGGGUACUUAACAGUCCAAGAAUGAAAACUCUCAUAUCAGUUUUUAUCCAAAAUUUUGGAAUUAUGUGAGUAUUGCAACGAUUGUCCGAAUGAUUAUUCUUCUUUUAUUAAAUUUCCAUGGAAAAUGAGCAUGGGGCACAAAAGUUGAACGAAUGAAAUUUCAAUGAUCUGCAAAGGGAUUGUGAGUUUGACAUGCCAUUUUUCUUCCUUUUAUGCAAUCAUGUUUAUUAAAAGACAAAAAUAAAUAUGACUUUACAUAAGCAGAGAGAAAGAGUAUUUUUCUUUGAAAAAAUCAACUAUUUAUUGAAGAGGAUGUGGAUGUUGAUUGAUGCGCCGUGUGAAUAGGAAAAAAAUGACCUUGAAGGGAGACAAGACAUUCAUUAGAAGCUAAAAAAAAGUUAUAGUGAUUUAGAAAAAAGAAAUUUUAACGAAAUAUUUCCGGUAUUGUUCACUCUUUACGAAAAACCACAUUUUUACAUUUCCUGGCUACUAUUCACUACACCUUUAUUUAUCAUUUUUCAUUAAAACUAAAUUUGUUUUUGAACUUUUCGUUAGUUUCCUUUAGAAAAAAGCAAGAAAGCCUCAUUUUCAAAGUGGUAGUCAUUGAAACAAUACUUGAUUAGAAGAAAAGUCAUAGUAUUGUAUUUACAAUCUCAAGUCUUGAGGGGUAACGAGAGUGCAAGUUUCUAAUUGGAAUAUAAUAUGAAAUUUCUACAUAACAAUAUAUGACAAAGAAAGAAGUCUAAGUUUCUAAGUGGAAGGGCUUCCAAUUGAUGUGAGUUUGUUGAGAAAUGAAGAUGAAGAUGAAUAUUGUUGUUGAUGUGAGUUAGUGAACAACAGAACAAGUUGCUUCUCCUUUGGCCUCUAACAUGAUAUUACCGGAAAACAAGUUGUUACUAGUAAAUGUAACUGACUGGUGAACUAAGACAUGCGGUACGAUUUUUGAUAACUAGAGAAGAUGAAUAGUGUCGUGACAAAAUUUAUCCAAGUAGACCCAAGGGAAAGACUUAGGAACUUCAUAUGCAGUGGGAUAAAAUCUUAAGCUAAUUUCCUUUUUAAUCUUAUAGUCAUUAUGUAAAAUGUAUAUGCAUAUUUCUAGAUACAUACACACCAAUGUACAUAAUAUUAACUCCUUUUAAGUAGUCAUUUGCAAAUCCCUCUUGAGUGCUCUUUGGAAUGCUCAUGCGGUGCCGUUCUAAUCUCUUAUAUAUAACUUUUUGUGAUCUGUUUUUUCAUCAAUAUGCCAAAAUCCCUUUAGAAUUUGCAACUUAUCUUUUUGGUUACGGUAAAAAAAAACUCGGAAUUUCAUUUAAACUCGAAAAUCUAGGGAUGUGAAAGCAAUUUUCUCUUGUUCGACAACAUUUAGCGAGAGCAAAGGCAAAUUGUACAGGAAAAAGUUAGAAAUUGGGGAUGAAGAUUCCCAAUUUUAAUUUCGUCUAAAUAAGUGUAAUUUCACAAUUCUAACUACGAUGAGAAUCACAAAUAUAUUGCAGGGAAAUCUUGCAACAGCCAAACUUUACGAUUAGGGUGCCAAAUUUCGUGAUAAAACCUAAUAAGGGUUUAGGGCUGCAUUGUUCACUCUGUUAACUCUCCAAAUCUUCGACGGAUUUUCGGCUCGUGCAUCAUCUUCUUGCUUUGUUCUAGGUCAACGCCUCUACUCUCUUCUUUCUUGAAUUAUUUUAGCUUUUUAGGUAGGCUCUUUAUGGCUGUUGUGAAUUUUGCUAGUUAUUUUUAUUUUCUGAUAGUCAUUUGUUUGUUGUGCGUUUUUCCUUCCAAUUGAAUUGUGUAUUGGUUGGAUCUGUAACAUUUAUUUUUUAUUUUAUUUUAUGGAUUUUGGUGUUAGUUCUUUGUCAUGGAUGUUGUCCCUUUGAAGGUUAACAAUAGCCAAGACUAAACAUGAUGAUAUUGUUAAUUACUUUCUCAUGAUACUAAUGCCAUAUUGUUCUCUCUUUUGCACUUACAAGUGAAGAGAAAUAUCCUAGACCCUAACUGGAUAUGUUAUUGUCAUGGUCAUGCAUUGGUAUGGUAACAAUAUGUUUGGAUAAGGAAAAUAAACUUAGAAUUUGACAAAAGAUAGAAUUUAUAAAUUGAUACAAUCAAUUCCUUUGUUUAGAUUCAUAAACAUAGAAAUUUAAACUUUCCGUGUGAGAAAAAACUUGGAAUUUGGGACCUUCAAUUCUCAUGUUUAAAUUUUAUGUAAAUAGGUGUCAUUUCUAAAUUUCAGCAAGUGAGAAUUUAAAAAUAACAAACAUGUAUUCAAAUUUCAUUCCUCUUUUAGGUUAACCAAACAAGAAAUUUUAUAAAUUCUAGAAAAUAAAAUUUCGUUAUUUCAAUUUCUGUUAUUUUAAAAUUAGUAAUCUUAAAUUUUCCCAUCCAAACAAAGAGUUUCCUUGUCAUAGAACUUUCAAUUGGGAUCAAGGAAGACAAUCUUUUCACAACUGAUUAUUCUCACCAAAUUUUAUUAUUAUUUUAAAGCAGAUCAAUACCAAACUUCAAAAGCAAAGUAGGAAGGCUAAAAUUAAGGUGAAGAACCUACUUCCACUAAUUACCAUGGGAGGGGGAGAGAGAGAGAGAGAGAGAGAGAGAGAGAGAGAGAGAGAGAACCAAGCGAGAGAGAAGAGAGAGAAAACACCAAGUAGUAUUAUAAUAUAGGUGGGGUUAAAUCACCUUUCGUGAAGUUGCGGUAAGAGCAGCUCCAGCGGGAGGUCCAGCUUGAUGGACCGGUGAGAUUUCCUACCCAAUAGCCCCAGCUCCUUGCUCCAGCCCAUGCGGGCGAUUGGGCUGAGGGGGUGCCCGAGUGAGAGGCCUGACUCGAAUCGGUAGCCUGAGAGCUUGAGGCCAAAUGAUGCAUGGACGUCAGCCACGUUAUAAGAAGGAAGCAUAAACUAUGAAUAAUGAUAGAGAUUUAGAUUUUGGUGUGUGAUUUCAUCGGAUGGAUGGUGGGUUAUAUGGAGGAAAAAAAAAAGAUUAGGUUGUAGAUAAUGCCACGUGGCAUGCCGUCAUUCGUUAAAAAUCUGAUCGAAAUCUAUCAUCAAAGAUUUUAAACAGAUUAUGACACGUGACGCAACGUGAUUGGUUAAAAAUCUUAUCAGAAAUCUAUCCUUAACGAUUCUGAAAAGGUAACGAGAUGGGGCACGACGGCAUUGGAUAAAAAUCUUAUCGAAAUCUAUCACCAAAAAUUAUCUUUUUGGAUAAUGACACGUGGUGCAACGAGAACGAUUAAAAAUCUUAUCCGAAAUUACAAAUAGAAUUAUUUUGUAUUAUUUUAUAAAAUAAAAAUACUAAUAUUUUAUUGCCUAUUGACAUGACUAUUCAAUUAUGGGUGUGGAGAUGCAGAAGAUAAUUAUUAUUAAUUAAAGGUAAUUAUUGUUCAUUGGAGGGGAUUGAAUAUGAAGUUGCAGUAGAAGGCCUUUGUCACAGCAAUAGGCAGUUACUGUUCUAAGGACUUCUAUCCUAGAACAGAGACAAAAACACCAAGUAGUAUUAUAAUAUAGGUGGGGUUAAAUCACCUUCCGUGAAGUUGCUGUAUGGACUUCUAUCCUAGAGAAAAGUCGGUCAAUGGUGUUUGACACAGUCAGUCAACGACAAAGACAGAAUUGUGUAACCAUAAUUCUCUCUCUAUCUCUUUUUCAUUAACGGAGGACAGUGUAUAAUUACUACGUAUAUAUCUCUGCUCAAUUAUUGAAAAGAAAAAUCCAUGUGCAUUAUUUUUAUUAUUAUUAUCUCAGAAAUGCAGAAAUUGAUUAUCUCUUCCUUCUGCAUAUUGAUACUGGUUUUCUUCAAACUAGUUGAAGCAAGCCAAUAUGUGUGCGCGAAAUCCAACUGUAGCAAUGAUCAAGGCCCGGCUAAUUUCCUUAGGAGGGAGAGAGAGAGAGGGGAGAGAGAACCAAGUGAGCGAGCAGAGAGAGAAAACACCAAGUAGUAUUCUAAUGUUGGUGGGGUUAAGUCACCUUCCAUGAAGUUGCAGUAAGGACUUCUAUCCCAGAGAAAAGUCAGUAAAUGAUGUUGACACAGUCCGUCAACGACAAAGACAGAAUUGUGUAACCAUAAUUCUCUCUCUAUCUCUUUUUCAUUAACGGAGGACAGUGUAUAAUUACUACGUAUAUAUCUCUGCUCAAUUAUUGAAAAGAAAAAUCCAUGUGCAUUAUUUUUAUUAUUAUUAUCUCAGAAAUGCAGAAAUUGAUCAUCUCUUCCUUCUGCAUAUUGAUACUGGUUUUCUUCAAACUAGUUGAAGCAAGCCAAUAUGUGUGCGCGAAAUCCAACUGUAGCAAUGAUCAAGGCCCGGCUAUCCAUUUCCCAUUGAACAUCAGGCGCACACAUCAUUGUGGAAAUUCUGGGCUUGAAUGCAAUGGGAGAUAUGAGCAGCAAAUACUAAUAAAAUUAUUUGUCAAAGACACAGAUUACAAGCGUCAGGAAAUCCAAGUCUAUUCCCCAAGUAACUGCCUGCUGCUAAAGCUUGUUGAAAUCCCAAACAUGCCACCCUCUCCCUUCGUGCCAGUAGUCGAUUACAUGAUUAAUUUCAUAAACGUUACCUUAUUCAGUUGUCCUACUUCUGUUGCAAUACGAGAUACGUAUGGUUGUCAAGUCCCCUGCCUUGGCGACCGUGGCAAGAGAACUUAUGCCAUUGAUUCUGGGGUUUAUUUUGAAACUCUCUUCCAGAAUCUAGAAUCCUGUACAAAAAUGUAUGAUGUUUUAUCAGUUCCAAUAGCCGAUGAAUAUUAUGUUUUUCGUUUCAAAUGGUCUAUACCAAAUUGCAGAAAAUGUGGAGAGGGAAAGAAGUGUGAAUGGCAGAACAAUGAAAUUAAAUGUCUUCCCUGGAGGAAACCAAGUAAGGAUAACAUAUGUAUUCAUUGCUAGUUUUAAACAUCUUUACAUUUAUGUCUUAGUAAUUAUUAUUUGAAGGAUGUUGUCCAAUCCAUUUUUACUAGGAAUAUUACCUGACAGUCUCGUUUAAAUUCGCAAUGAUCUUCUACAGGCAACACAUGGAAAAAAGUGGUUACAGGUGGAAUCCUGUGUGCUUUGCUUCUUGUUCUACUGACGAUUGCAGCAUAUCGGGUAUAUAGCGCUGAUAGAAAGGAGAAAGAGAGUCGAUUAAGAAUUGAAAGAUUCUUGGAGGACUACAAAGCACUCAAACCAAGCAGGUAUUCGUACGCAGAUAUUAAGAGGAUUACAAAUCAAUUCAAGGACAAGUUGGGCGAAGGAGCCUAUGGAACUGUCUUCAAAGGAAUGCUCUCUUCUGAAUUCUUCAUUGCUGUCAAAGUCCUCAACAGUUCCAAGGGAGAUGGGGAAGAGUUCGUAAAUGAAGUGCGAACGAUGGGUCAUAUCCACCACGUAAACGUGGCUCGCUUGGUUGGAUUUUGUGCUGAUGGAUUUGUACGAGCUCUUGUUUACGAGUUCUUCCCCAAUGGUUCCCUGCAGGAUUUCAUUUCAUCUGCAGAUAGUAAGAAUUCAUUUCUUGGUUGGGAUAAGCUACAAGAUAUUGCCCUAGGCAUAGCCAAAGGAAUUGAAUAUCUUCACCAGGGAUGCGAUCUACGAAUCCUGCAUUUCGACAUCAAACCCCAUAAUGUUUUGCUAGACCAAAACUUCACUCCAAAAAUUUCUGAUUUUGGUUUGGCCAAGUUAUGUUCCAAGGAUCAAAGCUUGGUGUCCAUGACUACAGCAAGGGGGACCAUGGGCUACAUUGCACCUGAAGUGUUCUCCAGGAAUUUCGGAAAUGUGUCGUACAAGGCAGAUGUUUAUAGCUUUGGAAUGCUACUGCUUGAGAUGGUAGGAGGAAGGAAGAAUAUUGGUUCAAUUACGGAUAACACUACAAAUGAAAUUUACUAUCCACAGUGGAUUUAUAAUCUUCUAGAGGAAGGGGAUGACCUACGAAUCCACAUUGGGGAAGAAGGAGAUGGUAAAAUUCCAAAGAAACUUGCAAUUAUAGGGCUAUGGUGUAUCCAGUGGCACCCGUCGGAUCGUCCUUCCAUGAAAAUAGUGGUUCAGAUGUUAGAAGGAGGAGGAGAAAGCUUGAGUAUGCCGCCUAAUCCCUUUGUGCCUACUGGUUCUACAACUAGGAAUGCAAGACACCUAGAGCUAGAAGCUAUUGCUGAAUUAGAGUAAAAUGUAUAUGCAGAUAUGUAGACGUAUAGAUAUAGUAAUAUUUAUAUUGAAUAAGAGGCCGUUUGAUAACCAUUUCGUUUUCAGCUUUUAAUUUUUAUUUUUCACUUUUUUGAAAACUAAAAACUAAAAUCUUGUUUGGUAAAUACUUUUAGUUAAAAAAAAAUGAAGACUGAGAACUAAAAUGUGAAAGCUCAAAGGAAGUAGAUUAAAAGUAGUUACCAAACAAACCGGAAUCUCAAUAAAUAAAAAAGAUUGAAUUGCACAAUGCAAUCCAAACCAAUCAAAACAUUUAAAAUAGCAAAAAAAAAUUAAAAUUCUAGUUGAUUAGAUUCUAAACAUAGUAAAAAUGAACAGAUCCGAUGAAAAAAACAAAAAAUUCUCAGAUAAAAAUAGGGAUAAAGUAAAAUAUUUAUAAAUAGCUCUUUGUCUCUUAUGCCAUCAAUUAUUUCUAUAGUAUAUACACGUUUUUGGAAAAAUUAGGUUCCCAUCCCUUAUUUUCAUAUUACAUUGAUUGAAAUCUUAUUAUUUUUCUAUUUUAGAUCAAGGUCCCUUGACUUAUUCUAUGUCAUCAUUUUAGUAUUUAAAAUAUUACACGUUAUCAUAAACGAAAUCUCAUCCCUUUCUGCAUUUAAGGCAAAAUAAACUAUAUGAGUAAGUUUAAAACAAGGAAAAUCCAUUUGAACUCCUCCAUUCUUCUUCUUCUCUUAUAAACAUCUGGAAUCUACAACACCCCAAACCCAAUUUUCUCCAUUUUUUCUCCUUUCCUGAAUUGAUCCAAUGCAUAUAUGUUGAAUAAACCUAUUGUGAUUAAAAUACAAAUUAGCAUCAAUGGUUUUAUUGGCUUGUGAGAUUUGUGUGGCAUAGGCAAGGCAAUGCAGGCAUCGUUUUCUCAAGGAAUCUGGUUGAUUCAAACAUGCAGAGACUGUAGAGUGAGUGGGCUAUGUGAAAACUGUACCAUUCUGAAGUCAUUUUCUUUUGUUCUUUAUAUUUUUUUUUCUUUUUCUUUUAUUAUUAUAUAUUAGUCUUGGUUAUUCAAUGCCUGGUUGGCUACACUUAUAUCCAUGGGUACAUUUUUAAUCUACAUGUUUCGUUCUAAUAUAUCUAUUGCUAUAAUAUGUUUUGGUUGGUUCAAAUUUGUUUUACAUAAAUAUAUGGGUACAAAGUUUUUGGAGAAUAUUAUGUAAAUGGUUUUUAAGGUUGCUGCAUUUUACGUACCCACAUAUGCAUGUCUAUAAAACAAUGUGGUAUGAUGUACAUUCUUUUCUUUGAGUUUUUAAAUGUACCCAUGAGUUUUUUUGUAAAUUCGGUAUGUACCCAUAUGCUAUUUAUGUUAUGGGUACAUACAUUAUUUUUGGUCUAAGUUCAGGGUACAUUGCUUUUGUAUGUAUGAAUUCAAGGGGUACAUUAUUUCCCUUAAUACUACUCAAUAAAAUUCACAAAAUAUGUGUAGUGUGCAUGAUUUUUUAUUGUAGAAAUUGUUUUUUUUUAAGUCUCAUAAUUCAUGAAAUUUGUACAUAUAUGAUCCCAUAAAUUUUUUAAUUUUAUUAAAUUUCUUUUAGACUUGAUCGAUUGAUUGAAUCUCAUCAUACUAGGAUUUUGAAUUACAUAAAUUCUUGGAUUUAAAUCCCUUAAAUGUUGGACUGCAAUCAAUAUUUUAAAUUAUAGUUUUUUAUUUAAGAUAUCAAAAAGAUGACAUGGAAAUAUAGUAAUACUAAAAUGCUGAGGUGUACAAAGUCAAAGGACUUUGAUCAAAAAAUAAAAAACAAUAAGAUUUCAAUCUAACAAUUAAAUUGACUAGGGACCGGAACCAAAAUGACCCUAGAUUUUUAUUGAGUUUAAUCUUAAUCAAAAAAAGACUUCUUGUAUCACAGAAAAUACAAGAACCAUUAUUUGAAUGAAAUAAAAGCUAUGGGAUGGAGAUAUAAAUGGAUCAUUUUAUUCACAAUCGGAUUAUAUUUAUUUGAUACACUAUUGUCAAUAUGAAUGUUGAGAAAAAGACUACAAAAGAAAAAACAAUUUAUAAAUAUAACUAACAAUUCCAAUUUCAAUCAAUUAGACAAUUAGAUAAUACAUCAGUAAACGCGGGGUGACUCAGUGGUUAGAAACGAAUUUUAGGCUCGUAUUCUAUACAAUACGUCUUGGGUUCGAUUCCUGACAAUGGUGAAUCACGCGACGGUAGAUAUAGGGGUGUUGUUGGAAGUUUUGAGACUCAAGUCCUUUAUAUAGAUUUAGUGCUUUAGUUUAGUAAUUAGAAUAUGGGUCAUUUGGAAAUGGAUUGAAGGUUUGGGCCUUAUGGUUGUGUGGAUUAGGCUUGUAUAAUAUAGCCUAAAUACAAUUAAUAUUAAUUAAUCAAGACAAGGGCCUUGGGCCUUACUUGGGGCCUUGGAAUUUAAAAUUAAUCUGAUUCAUUAAUUUUAAUUUUCGGAUUAAGUUUUUAAUUAAUUUAUUAUUAAUUAAAAACGUUUUGAUUAAAAGACACAGCUCUUAGAAAAGAGUUAUGAACCUUCAAAUACACUGAACUGGUAUUUGAAAGGGUGUGAAACAACCUAUAUAUCUGCAAUCCAUGGUAUCCAAAUAAAUCAUCUUUUCUUCUUCCUUUUCUUCCGUACAAACUUUCCAGAGAGAGUAAACACACAAAGCAAUUCGCUAGAAUUCUAUAAUUUAGUGCGGGUUAUAGGAUUAGGUAGUUGUAUCCUGGUCGAGCAGACGUUAUAGAACCACAAGCACAAGAGUGGGACGGAAUUACUGUUCGAAUGACAUAGCUUUUACGUUAGCCUCUACCUUCUGUAAUCAAGUUAGUACCGUUGACAUUCUUAUAUUAAUUUCUGUAUUUAUUGUAUACUUUUCAUUUUGUAUAGCAAGUACCUUUUGUUAAAUAAAAAUUGUGAAUUUCAAGUUCUGUUUAUUUCUGUUAUUCUGUUUAUUUCUGAAUUGUUCUCCAACACCCCUAUAUCUACCGUCGCGUGAUUCACCAUUGUCAGGAAUCGAACCCAAGACGUGUUGUAUAGAAUACGAGCCUAAAAUUUAUUUCUAACCACUGAGUCACCCCGCGUUUGAUUAUAUUUCACUUAGACUUAUCUUGCGGUAUAGCAUGUCAUCCCCGCCCAAGUUUUUCUGUUGGCAUUGAGUUUGGGAUACCAAAACUUGCCAAACAAAGUAGAUUGAUUAGUAAGCGAAGCUAAUUAUUCGACUAAACAUUGUUUAGAAUUUUAAUUAAAAGAAACAAUAUGAAUCUGUUUAUUUUUUUUUUUGACAAACUAUAACGUUAAGGAGUUAAAUUGUUAGUUAUUAAGAGUACAAUGAUAGGUGAGGAUCGAACCUCCACCAGAGUGCAUAGACAUUAUUGGUUCUACAACUGCGGUAAAUCACAUAAAACAAAACGUAAUACUUUGAGGAUGGAAGACACUUCGUGGAUAGCGGGCAAUCAACACUAUCAGUUGCUAUCCAAAACUUGGAAUUAUGUUUAUUGUCCGAAGGAUUUUUCUUCCAUUAAAUUGCUAAGGAAGAUGAGGAUGGGUGGAGUGUCUAAAUGUCAAGGUUGACAAGAACGUGUAUGGUGUUCAGCUUGCGAUUGAGAUUUGUUAGAGUGGCACAACAAACCACAUAAAAUUUUCUAAAUGAUAAGCUUGAGUAUAAUUUUUUAUCACGUAUUUAUCUUUAAAAUCAUUAUAAUUAGAUUUUCUCUUAAUUAAUAUAGACCGUUAGAUUCAUCUAAUGACCCAAGUUUUUUUCCUCUUUUCUUUCCACUCUUUUCCAUUCACCGUGUAGCAGUCGUUCUUCCCCAACUACGUUUCUUAUUUUUCUUCACAAAAAAUUUGUAGAAAAUAUUAAGAAAAGAAAAGUCAUCAAUAUCAGACUCGACCAGGUAAUCGUUCCAACCUUCCCAGCAACUCUCAGUCUUAACUAGGCACCAAAUUUUCUCCGCCACCUAACUCGUCAUUCAUUCAUGGGUGUUUCAAGCUUGGUGAAAAUUGAUAGAGUUCCAUGUGUGUACACGGAUGUGAACAUAUUGGCCACUCUCUAAGAAUGAGUCAUUGGAAAAGUUGAAGGAAAGAUGUAACCGAUGAAAUUAAUGGAUUGGAAUUACAAUGAAGUCUGUGUUGGUUUAUCACAAAGAACCCAGAUACAAAAUUUUAAAAGCAAACAAUUUCAACUUCUCAAAUAUUAUCUAACAAACUUUCAAUGAAAUGUUGCUCAUAAUUGAAAAAAGGUUGACGAAGGACGGAGUUGGGGUUAUUUUAGAUGAGGAAGAGUUAAAAGAAGGAAGCACCAUUUAAUUAAUAAAAGUGAUUGGAGAAAUGGUAAUUCAAUGGUGGGCGUUUUUAAGGUGUGGACCUUGUAUCACACCCUGAUCCCAACAUACAUUGAGGAUCGACACGUGACAUGGGGACAUAGGGGACAAAAAUCUUACAUAAGAUACAGAAUGAAAUACUAUAUAAUAUCCCAAAAUGAAUAUGAUAGUGGGUUCACCCCUAUAAAAUACAUACGAGUUUGUACAUUCACAAAAAAAUAAAAAAAAUAAAAAUAAAUAAAAAUAAAAAACACACACACAACUCUCGCUAGGCCAAGACUUGCCCAUGGUGCUCAAAGGAAAGUCCCAAAAGAAAUAGUACAAUGAAGGAUAAAGGGGUAACCUAAACACUCCAAGUCUCUGAUCUCUGCACUGCUACCCCCACCGGCUCCUCGUAAUCUACUCAGACCUGUCACAUGUACAAACAGUGCCUACAUUGUGGGAAUGGUGCACCAGGCAAACAAAAACCCGGAUAAGCUGCAAAACUCGUGUGAGUGACAAUAAUGCAACGUAUGUGAUAAUCAAGAAAAACAGACCAUCGAUCACAGUUUAUAAAUCUCAAAUAUAACUUCAUACUUAUGAAAUCAUAAUCAAGUCACUGAAAACUUCGAAUGAGUCACCCAGACAUCUAACGACUUUUCUAAAUCAAAUCUCAGAGAUUCCCAAAACUAUCGUUCACAAAUACACUAAAAACUAGGGCUAGAGUGACACAGUUCAGCCAAAGCCUACAUAAGUAACCAAAUAAGAAGUGGCCCCCCAUAGCGGAUUAACCAAGCAGAGCCACUCCUGAGAAAGUAACCAAGUAGGUAGUGACCCCCAUCACGGAUUAACCAAGCAGAGUCACUCCUACGAAACUGUUAGGUAGUGAUCACCCAUUACGGAUUAACCAAGCAUGAUCACCCCUAAGCACGUAUGGCCAUACCUAAGAAAUAAGGAUCGCCCAUCGCGGAUUAACCAAGCACGAUCCAAAAAUAUUAUGGGUCCCCUAUCGCCGAUUAACCAAGCAUGACCAUCCAUGUACCACUGCUACAUGGUGUAAAUUCGGUGUCACCUAACCUCGUGACACUAGGGUAACGGUCCUCUAGUAGCCCUCACGUUUUUCAAACAUUUCAAAUAUAUAAUUUAAAACACAAUUCAUAAACAUUUCGAAUAGGGAAGUCACAUAGUGUUUAAUAAUGUAGGUCAAUGGCAAACUUUAAAAACAAUUAUUUAGCAUAAAACAUAUUUUAGAAAUCCAUGCUGUAUCCACAAAGUAUACUAGCACGGGAGAUUUUCAGGGUAAUAACUCUAUCACAUAUAUUAAAGUCACUCACCUGGAGUCCGCACUAACGCACCCUGGCACGAAUAUCAAGACGUCGCGUACUAUCAUCUGCAACAUCCCACAUCGACCAACGAAGAGGGGGUGAUGUGCCUUCUAUGUACAUGCCCACCUCCAUAGCAUGAGGCAUUUUGGGAGCUCACUGGCUUCAUAUUCCAUCGGAACUCCAAAGUUAAGCAAGUUUGGGCGAGAGUAGUCCCAGGAUAGGUGACCCAUUGGAAAGUUAUUGUGUGAGUCCUAGAAACAAAACCGUGAAGGCGUGGCCCGAGGGGGCCCAAAACGGACAAUAUUGUGCUACGACGGAAUCGAGACUGAGAUGUGACAGAAUGGUAUCAGAGCCACUCUGCCGUGUGGUGCGAGUGUGCCGACGAGGACGUCGGGCCCCUAAGGGGGGUGGAUUGUAACAUCCCACAUCGACCAACGAAGAAGAGGUGAUGUGCCUUAUAUGUACAUGCCCACCUCCAUUUAGCACGAGGUCUUUUGGGAGCUUAUUGGCUUCGGGUUCCAUCGGAAAUCUGAAGUUAAGCGAGUUCAAGCAAGAGCAUUCCCAGGAUGGGUAACCUACUGGGAAGUUCUCGUGUGAGUUCCCAGAAACAAAACUGUGAGAGCGUGGCCAGGGCCCAAAGUGGACAAUAUCGUGUUAUGGCGGAGCCGAGAUUGGGAUGUGACAUUGUCACCUAAGACAAAGUACAGAUCCACAUUUAGAGUUCUUCAAGUAUUCACAUAAUAAAAAAUUUCCAUACGCCCCCUACAACUAAUGAACAGAAAUCGAGACACGUUGACAAAAAGUCAACCGUCGAUCAACGGUAGGGUCCACAACCCUACAUAACUCGAUCCGCAAUAUCCAACCACUGUAUUUGUGAUUCAUAAGUUCAUAAGGUCUUCAAAUCCUACCUACAAUAACAUACUAAACUUUGGUGAUGAUCUAAUGGUCGAAUCAUCAUUUGCUAUAAUGUUCAAAUGACGCAAAUUCAUCAAUCAGAUGUCAAAUAUGGAAUCAGACAUCGAAUUUAGCUUAGGAAUGUCAAGUGGUGUCUCGAGCACGCACCGCCGUGCGCAACAGCUGGCAACCUAGAUUCGUCGGAAAAAUCACCUAAUUCCAAAAUGAAUGUUGUGAGACGUGGAGUAAAUUGUAUACCUGUGAAGAAGCCCAAUUUGGCCGGGAAGUGGCCUGAAAUCACUUUAGACCGUCGGAAACCCUAAAAUAGGUGAAUCUCGAUUCGUCAUCCCCGGUAUUCCACCGUUCUCAAACUUGUUUAGGGUUUGCUCAUGGUCUCAAAAGAAUGCUAAUGAUGGUGGUGAUUGAAAGAGAACGUUUCAGAAAUAGUGAAUCACCAAUGAGGGUUUCACGAAACCGACAUGGGUGUUCCUCGUGGAACCAAGACCAAAUCUCAACGGUUUUGGCUAGAAAUGGAUGCUGGGAUGUCAUGGUGAAGUUUGGUAGUGAUGGGAGGUUGAAGAAAGACAAAAAAAAUCGACAAAAAAAUCGUCGUCGGAGUCGCAAGAAACGAGUUAGAAAAAUGAGUCGUCGGGUCUGAAACGUCGAAGGCUUUUGAGACAACUACUUACUCUCUCUUCUCUGAUUAGUCACUCCACUCACUCUCUCAUUUGAUUGGUCCAGCCUUCCCACAUGGUGGGAGUUCCCUCAUAUAGUAACCCAAAAUUUACUAUUUAAAUCUGGUAUUGAACGUCCGUAACUUUUUCGUUAUGGUUUCGAUUCGCAAACGGUUUUCACCUAUGCGCUCGUAUGAUCGAAUUAUACUCAAAAACAUUAAUUAUGACCUCGAAAAGGUCUACGAGUUUUAAAAGAUUAAUUACAAAAAUUCACACCUUGUAACUAUACGAUUCAAAUCCUAAAAUUAACGGAAUUAAAAUAAACUAAAAAUAAUGUAAACACGAAAUACAGACUUUAAUAAUGAAAUACGUAAUUAAUAGUGGAAUUCCGGGGAUGGGAUUUCACAACUUGCGUCCGGACCUUCAAUGCGGAUCAAAAUCCAAAGGUCGUGAUCUGACGAGCUCAUGCAUAGAACAGAGUUGUUGUGACCCAAUGCAAUUCAAAACUUUUAUGUUUUUUUAUUUACUGGGUACGUUUUUUAUUUACUGGGUACAUUUUUGCAAGACGUUAAAGAAAGCGCUUCUUGGGAGGCAACCCAUGUAUUCAAAAAAGGAAGAUCUAUGAAUCGCUCUACAAUUAGUUUUGCGUUUCUAAAAACCUUCCCUUUUCUGCAUUUCUAUUUUGCCAUGAUUGUCAUUUUUUAUUUUUGUUGUUUAUUUAAUUAUUUUUGGGUGUGGGUUUAUUUUUGAAACAUUGACAGAUAUGCAAGAUAUUCUUACAUUCAUUUUCAUGAAAAAAAGAAAAGGGAACAUUAAGCAGGAAAUUACAAGAGGGAGCCUUCACAAAGGCUGCUUAGGAGAAGUCUCAGUAGUCGGCGGAGCCCCAGAAGAAGGAGGCAGCGGAGGUUGAUCAUUUGGAGCUUCAGUACGCGGUGCAGCCCCAGAAGACGAAUGCAAAUGUUGUUGGAACAAACCCACAAACCGCUGAUGAUCAAGUAAAAUCUGACAAUCAGAUUCCUGCAUCUGGUCAAUCUUCCUCUUCAUGUUUGUAGCAUAAUUAUGUGCGAGCCUGUGCAACUGUUUAUUCUCAUGCUUAAGCCCUCUAAUCUCCUGCUUAAGACUCAUCACUUCAGCCGCCAAUGAUUCAACUUGACGGGUUCGGGCAAAUAGGCGUUGGGCCAUAUUAGACACGGAACGUGCGCACUGCACACUGAGAGCUAGAGAAUCCUUUACAUCCAACUCAUCAGACCGUUUGGCAAGUAGUCUAUUAUCUUUGGGAGUGACAGGGUUCCUGACCACCACCGCAGCUGUCAUAUCAUUCUUCAUCACCGAAUCCCCAACGAUAAGGGGACCAGUAGGGGAUAUGAAGGAUGGGCGCCAUAUGUUGUCUGGAGAAGGCGGGACUGCCUCUUCACCAAGGUUCAAGUCAAAACGACGAUCGGAUGGGCCAAACAUUUUCACAGGUGUUAAAGAAAGAAGAGGUCGGACAAGUCAAGAUCGUAGAAGUGCAAGAUGAGAGUUUUUACAGGCAGAAAUUCAAGUGUGCUUUGAACGUCCUACGUACUUCUAUAAAAAUCAGCACUCGAUGGGAUUUCAGAGAUCGAAGAGGCAAGCUCAGAAAUCGAAGAGGCCAACUAAAAAAAUUAAAGAGGCGCUAGCUUUCUCAAAAGCUGAGCUUGCUCAGAAACCACGGCCAAUCUUCUUUUCCAGAUUUGUCCGCACUUGUCACAUGCAACUCGACGGGAUUUCAGAGAUCGAAGAGGCAAUUCCAGAUAUCGGAUAGGCAUCUGCUUUUGCAGACGUGUCAACAUCUGUCACAUGCAGAGUAAGCUUUGCGAAAAUCACGGGCAGUUUGUGAAGCGCCGAUUCCAACCAUCUGCUUUUGCAGACGUGUCAACAUCUGUCACAUGCAUAGUAAGCUUUGCGGAAAUCACGGGCAGUUUGUCGAAGCACCGAUUCCAACCAUCUGCUUUUCCCGACGUGUCAACAUCUGUCACUUGCAGAGUCAGCUUUACGAAAAUUACGGGCAAUCUGUCGAAGAUCUCUUGUGAAGUUUACUAUUAAAUCAUCCAACGGUUGCUGACAAGAGUGAAAGAAUAGUACCGACUAUUAAUUCCUAUAAAUGUCAUCCUUCACCCUCAAUUGCAAGGCAGACAUACAUAACCCCCUUCUUCUCAGAAAAUGCCUUUCCAACACACCCUCUCGAGUCACUCAGUGUUCCUAAUUCCUUGGGGUACCUCUGCAAACAACUCAUCCAAAGCAAAAGUAUUUCAUAUCAUGAAGGUUGAAAGCAAGAGUAUCUCAUAUCAUGCUUUCUCCCUGUCCUUCUCCUUGUCUUUGUUUUAGGACAAGGAGAAAGAGAGCAAUCAGCCAGCACUUGGUAUCAAUCUUCCGAUCUGGAACCGACUGCCUGGAACCCCUUCCUGAUUGCUUACCUAGCCUUGCUCUCGAGAACUCAUCUUCAUCAUCUUAUGCUUCCUCUUCGUCUACCACAUCUGCCUGGGGAACAGAUAAGGGAAGUGAAAAUGAUACCUCGAAGCAUGUGGAAACAAUUUACCAAUUCAUCCUUAGCUAGGGACAAGGAGAAAAAAAGCAAGAGGUGGGCACUUGGAAAGAUUGAAGAAAGAAACAGACCAACACCUCUACCUCAUGCCUGCCCGCCGUGCAGAAGAAUCAAGCAGAGAAGAAUACAGACUGCACAAUCAAAUCAGGGAACUCUCAUAUUUCUCGCUCAGAAUUCCAAACCAGUUCAAGAUCAACGCUGUGGAAAGUCAACAAGAUCAUCUAUCUCCAAAACCAGAUUUGCGUUCUUAAACUCUACUCUGUCUGGUUUUUACUUUGCUAUACUUGUCAUGUUUAUUCGUUGUUUGUUUGUUUGCUUGUUGUUGUGUGAGUUUAUGUUUAAAACAUUGAGGACAAUGUUUGAUUUAAGUGUGGAGGGAUAACCAUUGUUUUGCAUGAAAUUCGUAGGAGUUUAUCACCCAUUACUUCUAGUGUUGUUCCUUGCUGUUUUAAGUGUUUUAAGCUGUUUUGGAGUGUUUCAGUGUGUUUUGACAUAAAAAUCCGAAAAUCUCAUAAAAAUUUGAAAAAUUGUUUUGAAAAACCAAAAAAGAGUUGUUUUUGUAUGUUUAUUUGUGUUUUAGGGUACCUUCCAACACAAUGAUGAGGAUUUGGUUUUUAAUUACAUGACUGUUAAAGAGAAUUAUAAACAUGGAUGAAAAUUUGAUUUACUCUUUGGUGUAUGCUUGGUUGUGGUUAUAAUUUAUGAAUUCACAUGCAAUCAUAAAGGAAAAAUCAAUUUUGUAACAUGCUUGAAAGAAGGAACUCAAAUGUACGCUACAACCUUGUGAGACUUGAGCCUAGACGUUUAUUUGGAGAGUUAAUAAUGUGCAUUUUUGUUUUCUAAAGUCGUUGUAUGAUCUCAUUAUUCUUUGCUUGGUUGCUACCUAGAAUGCGUUCAUCAUUAUAGAUCCACAUACUAGAACUCAUGCCCGUUCCAUUCAAAGCAUGACAUUAAUUUGCAUAACACAUAUCCAAGAUGAAGUUGUUUAGUGAACCAAAGCCAAAAUAGCCGAACCCACCUUUGUCAUUUGUUUUGUAGGUUUAAACCCCGUUGAGCCUUGUUUAGCCUAUUUUCUUUGUUAAACCACAUCAUCUCUACCUAACCUAGAAUAGGACUAUCCAUACCCUUGUUCUUGAAGUAUAGUGGAGCAUAACUUAGAAAGAAUUCAUUUUGAAACUUAUUGGGGGAAUUUAGAUUUCAAAUUUUUUGUGUGCCAAAGAAAACGGCAAGAGAAAAAAUUCGUGAAAAAAAAGAAAAAAGAAAAGAAAAAUUUGCAAAUUUUCCUGUGUUUAAAAGUAGAUGCCUAAAUUAACCCUUACAUUAAUUUUCCUUGAAUAAUUUCUCAUUCCAUCUAAUUUAGAUCCAUCUUGCUCACUAUUCUUUUUAAAUUUGUGGAUUUUGAAAUUUCAAAUGAGAAUGAAAUUGGAUGAGUUCAAUUUUCGUUUAAUUCUUACAAUUAAUAAGAAAUUCCGUCGAAAACAUUUUGAGUAUUGUUUAAUUUUUCAAUAUUACCGUAUUGUGUCAUUGAAAUAAUUAUCAGAGGAAUUAGGGAAUUCUCUUAAGGAACAACUCAAAAUGUAGUACAUGAUUAAAUAAUUCCUUUGAAUGGUCAACUAUGAUCAACAUAUCUUGUAUCAGAUCUUAGUCAAAUACCUGUUAAGAGUGUAAAUUUCUUGUGUGAAAAUGAGUGUAUCUAGUAAUUUUGGCAUUAGGAUGUUACUACAUUCUCAAAAUGCUGUUUUUUGAUUAAAUGAGCUGUGAGGUACUAAUCAAAUAUGCUCGAGGGUAAGAAUGGCUUAAAUUAUGUGAGUGGUGAUCUGGUUCAUGUUUCAUUAAAAAUCCCUGAGGCAAAUGUUGGAAGAUUUAGGUUAUGUUUUGUUUGUUUCGUUUGUUUUGUUUUGCUCGAGGACUAGCAAAAGCUAAGUGUGGGGAAUUUGAAUUUGAUAGGAGCAUUAUUAUGCGACUGAGUUAGCUUGUUCUCAUGCAUUUAUGUUGUUAUUUCUUAGUUAAUUAUGUAUUUUAAGCUAUUUUCGUGUGUUUGUAGGUCCAUAGGCCUUAUAAAGCAAUAAGGUGCAUUUUGGAGCAGUUUUGGGCUUGGAAUGGAUAGCACAUGCAUGGAGUAAGGUGAUGGACGAAAUUGAAGACUAAAGAGGCUUGGAAUGUGUUAAAAAGAAAGAAUAAUUAAUGACAAAGAGCUCAGCAACCAAACAGGGAACAUGAGUCAAGAUUACCUUAUUUUGAUUUAAUCUUUCCUAAUCUUCAAUGUCCCUAAGUUCCAACAACAUUCCUUGUCUAUUUCAUUCACUCAUUGCCUAGCACCACCCUUGUUCCCUCCAUCAUUCCAAAUUUCUUGCAUCAAUCAUCACUCCACCUUAACCCUUGACUCAUUUCUACACCAUUCCACCUCCCUUUCCUUUCUCUACCAUGUGCACAAUCAUUCAUGUUCCCUACUUGCAUUCAUUGUUGCAACACCACUCCAUUUUACCCCUCAUGCUUUGCAUCAUUACUUCACUUUCACCUUUGAAUCAUUUCAACACCACUUCAUUUUACCCAUGGUUUGCAUCAUUACUUCACUUUCACUUUCACCUUUGCAUCAUUACUUCACUUUCACCUUUGAAUCAUUUCAACACCACUCCAUGUCCCCCUCCAUUGCCUUGCCCUUCCUCUAUAAAAGGAAGUGUGUGUAACAUAAAUUUAGUUCAUAUAUUUUUUUAGAUCAUUCACUCCCAUUUCAAUACAACCUUCAUCCAAACACAUUCAUUCAUCUUCACAUCCAUUCCUCCAUACAAACAAACCUUCAAACACUCACCAACACCUUGUGCCAUAGCAAAGGAAGGAAAGGAAAAUGCUUGGACGUGCGUGCUGUCAACUUGGAUCGUUGGAGCGUUUAGGUGUUUUCUUUCUUUUGUUUCCAAUGUUAAAUUCAUUUUCUGAUUUUGUUGCAAUUAUGAGUGGCUAAAACCCUAUUUAGUUAGGGGGAAGUUUGAAGCCAUGAACAUGCUUGAGAUAUGAAUUGAUUUCUUCCAAUUGUGAUUUGAUAAGUUGUGAUUGCAAUUCAAUUAUCUAUUUUAUUCAUAACUGAUUCUUGUAUGUUUAUUAAGGAUGCAUACUUAAUUUUCAUGCAUGAAUUAGAUGCUAGAAUAUAAAUGAGUUUCACCUAAUCGUUACAAGUUUAUAUUCAUGAGUAGUGAAGGUUGUUUAUCACAAUCUGACACACCCCGUCCCGAAGGAGGGCGUGCUGGCCGUCACGUGAGAGUGACGUAACCAUUUACACAGUUCGGAAGCUUUAAAAAAAAAUUCCAAUUACUAAUAUAACACACCCGAGGGUGAGUCCUACUUUUGUGAAUUCUGUCAGAACACCGUUGGAUUCCUCGUGGCCACCAAAGCUCUGCUAACUUGAACCUGGGGCGCAAAACAAAAGCUUGAACUUGAACCUUUCAGGCGCAAAACAAAAGUUUUUUCGAAAACUUUUCAUUUAAAACAUUUCUAACCCCUCACUGUAAAACCUGUAUACUUUCCCAGAAAAUAGUGUAUAUAUAAACAUAUAUAUAAGCAAAAAUCUCGAAUCUCAAACCUUUAACACUUUUCAGAAAUAUAUAUAUAUAUAUAUAUAUAUAUAUAUAACCAUUUGAAAUCUCAAGACUUGAAUCCCAAAUCUUUAACAUUUUUCAAGAAAAGCAUGCCAUGCCAUAAAUCAAAAAUAUAAAUCAGGUGAAAUAAGGAAUCAAUCGGAGACCCUGCAGUUGGUCCUAUACGAUUAAUUCAAUAGCUCAUUAUCUCACUAAGCCGGAGUCACCACAGUAACCUAUACGGCCCUACUCUGCACAUCACUCAGAACUACGUAAGGUAGUCUAUACGAUGAAAGGUGUAAAAAUACGCUCUAGUGCUUCUCUCAUCAUAUCAUCAGCGCGCAUAACUAAGAUCACCCACUAGUCGGAAUCACGCCUAGUGAUCUAUACGACUAGCAUGUCGGAACCCUCACAUGGUCUGUACGACAUCCACCUACUUGGAUCCAAGGCGAGCGUGCGGUGUGGUGAAUAAAAUAAGCACUAACACCUAGGGUGCAGGUUAUGAGCUUAAAACAUCUUAUCAACAAUCAAUUAAAUGAAUAAAUGAACUCACCUGACUUACCUGUGCCUCCACCGCACCAUGCAACAUGUAUGCAUCAAAUAUCAAUUCGUAUAACUCAUACGCAAUUCACAUUUUUCAAUUAAUUCUAUGCAUGGCAUUUUUAAAACAUAUUUUCAUAUAAAUUCAUUUUAUGGGAAAAAUCAAUAGUAUAAAGGUAAUACAAAAACAAAACUGCCCACUCACCUGGAGUUCGCCCAACAACUCCCUAGCACCACACAUCAAGGCGUCAUGAAGAUUAGUGCCUAGAACAAUAAUCAAACCCAACCUCAGAAAUCAUGCCGAUAGAAUACAUAACUUAUAUAAGACGCGUCCCUACGUAGUUCGAUCCGGAUGAUCUGCAACUCGGAUUUCAAAUCCGUAACUUCCAGAGGUCCACAAUAUACCUCUAGGACAACAUCCUAAAAUUUCAUUACCAUCCAACGGUCGGAUCUCCGUCAAUUUCCAAAACUAAGUGCCGGUUAACAUUCUAUUUUAUGAACUUACAACUCCAAUUCCGGAAGAUCCGUAAAUCGGAUUCCCAAUCCGUAAGUUCCUAUAAUCCUCAAAUAUUACGUAUUACAACGUAUCAACGUUUGGUGACGAUCCAACGGUCGGAUCGUCAAUUCACAUUUUCACCUAACUACGAAUCGUAACCAACUUAGGUUCAAUUACUCAAUUUACGUCCAUCAAUUAUCAAAACUGAACCUAGAGCCUUAAUCACAUGCUAAUAAUGACAUUGGCGGGCCAUUGGCCAUGCGCCGCCGCGCGGGCCGCCGCGGGUGGCGGUUGGCCGCCCCCGGCUCGCCGGAAAAUUCAACUAUUUCCAAAAAUUACCAAAAUUUGCAGAUUUGAAGAUAUCAAUGAGUAGAACAACUUUCAUACCUGUGGCCAAGGCCAAUUUGGCCUGGAAGUGCUUCAAUUUCACCAAAACCGUGAAGAACCCUAGAAUUAGGUGUUUCCAAUUCGACCUUCAAACUUGUUCCAACGCCUCAAUUACCUCUUAGUAUUUGUUCUAGGUCCUAAAGGAAUGCUAAUGGUGUUAGUAAUUGAAAGAAAACAUUUCAAAAUUUCAAGAAUUUAAACAAAAGGGUCGCGGCACCCGUGUGGGUGUUCUUCGCGAAAUCACCAUGAAAUUUAAUGAUUCUUGGGGUGAAACGUGAAGAGGGAAGGCCUAGAUGUUGAUUAGGAGUGGUACCUUGACUCAAUUCGUCGGAAAUUUGGACGAAAAUGGUGAGAACCCGCCGAUUGGAAGUCGCGGGUCGCACGGGUAUACGGGUUGGGAAAACCCAUUUCUUCCUUCUCUCCUCCGCUUCUCGCCCUCUCUCCUUUCCUCCUUUCCUUCCUCUGGUUGGUCAGCUUCUCCCUCUCUCUUCUUCUGAUUCGCCUCUCCUCCUUCUUCUCCGAUUGGGCAGUUUUUGCCCAAUCUCUCUUCUUCUUUCUGUUUUCUGGUUCUUCUCACGCGCACACACACACACAACUUCCUUUUUCUCAUCCCAGCCAUCUAUUUCAUUCAUCAUUAAAUCUGGGUCGUCCAUUUUCAUAAAAGAAUUUCUAUUUUACUAAAAUUAUAAUUCCUUAAAAUCCCAAAUUUCAAACGUUAAUAACUUCUUCGAUAUAACUCCAAAUCACGAACCGUCUACGCCCACGCGUCCGUAACGACGAGUACUACGAGGAUAUGUCAAGAAAACAAAUCUUAGAUGGCACGACACAACGAUUAACCUCGAAUGAUGUGCGUGCCUCAAAGGGCAUUUUUGUAAAAUCCUUUAUGAAAACUUUAAAAAUUCUUAAAAUUAGGGACGGGCUGUCACACAAUCGCGUUAAUUGAAUUCUUGGCAAUUGUAUCAUGCAUUCAUAGUUAUAAUUGUCUCGUCAACACUUAUGAUUUUCAUUGAACGUAAUGAUCUCUGAUUGUAUCUCUAUUAUGCAUUAAUAUAGGGGACUUUUAGAGGAUGAUUUGGGUUGUCGCAUGCAUUCAUCCAAUUCAAUGAGUAAAGGAAAAUCUGAGGGUUAAUUUGUGCAUCACGGUUAAUCUGGGUGUUGAGCAUAAUAGUUUAUUGAAAAGCAAUUGGAAAUCGAUUCAUGUACAAGUGUGUCAUGUGUGAAGAACGGACCUCUAACUAAUCCAUCCAUCAUUUUAUUUCUCAAAUUCAUUUUAUAAUCUGCCUAGUUUUAUAACUUGCUUGUUUAUUUCAAAUUCAUCCAAACCAAAAUCCCCUUUUUACUUUCUUGUUUCAAAGUGUUAAAUUUCUGUUUUGUUUGUGUUUUUGAGUGUUUUGAUUCAAGCCAAAACACUAAAUUCAUCCAAAGUUGAUUUAAAGUCCAAAUCUGACUAGUUUGUGUUUUUAGGCAGUUUUGAGUGUUUUUAAGUUGUUUUGAAUCUUUAGAAUCUGUUUUGAGUCCCUUGAGUCUAUUCAAACAUUUUUAAUUUUGUUUUUAUGUUUUUGAGUCAGUUUAAAGGUUUUAGCAAGCCCUCCUAAUCCCCGGUUUAGAACGAUCCCUACUUGCAUUUAUACUACAAUUUGACAACAAGAGGGUUUAAUUUGAGUGCUUAACUUUCAUCGCAUCAUGUGAGUUCCCAGAAACAAAACUGUGAGGGCGUGGCCAGGGCCCAAAGCGGACAAUAUCGUGUUAUGGCGGAGCCGAGAUUGGGAUGUGACAUUGUCACCUAAGACAAAGUACAUGUCCACAUUUAGAGUUCUUCAAGUAUUCACAUAAUAAAAAAUUUCCAUACGCCCCCUACAACGAAUGAAGAGAAAUCGAGACACGUUGACAAAAAAUCAACCGUCGAUCAACGGUAGGGUCCACAACCCUACAUAACUCGAUCCGCAAGAUCCAACCACUGUAUUUGUGAUUCAUAAGUUCCUAAGGUCCUCAAAUCUUACAUACAAUAACAUACUAAACUUUGGUGACGAUCUAAUGGUCGAAUCAUCAUUUGCUAUAAUGUUCAAAUUACGCAAAUUCGUCAAUCAGAUGUCAAAUAUGGAAUCAGACAUCAAAUUUAGCUUAGAAAGGUCAAGUGGUGUCUCGAGCACGCGCCGCCGUGCGCAACAGCUGGCAACCUAGAUUCGUCGGAAAAAUCACCUAAUUCCAAAUGAAUGUCGUGAGACGUGGAGUAAAUUGUAUACCUGUGAAGAAGCCCAAUUUGGCCGGGAAGUGGCCUGAAAUCACUUUAGACCGUCGGAAACCCUAAAAUAGGUGAAUCUCGAUUCGUCAUCUCCGGUAUUCCACCGUCCUCAAACUUGUUUAGGGUUUGCUCAUGGUCUCAAAAGAAUGCUAAUGAUGGUGGUGAUUGAAAGAGAACGUUUCAGAAAUAGUGAAUCGCCAAUGAGGGUUUCACGAAACCGACAUGGGUGUUCCUCGUGGAACCAAGACCAAAUCUCAAUGGUUUUGGCUAGAAAUGGAUGCUGGGAUGUCGUGGUGAAGUUUGGUAGUGAUGGGAGGUUGAAGAAAGACAAAAAAAUCGACAAAACAACCGUCGUCGGAGUCGCAGGAAACGGGUUAGAAAAAUGAGUCGCCAGGUCUGAAACGUCGAAGGCUUUUGGGACAGCUACUUACUCUCUCUUCUCUGAUUAGUCACUCCACUCACUCUCUCAUUUGAUUGGUCCAGCCUUCCCACAUGGUGGGAGUUCCCUCAUAUAGUAACCCAAAAUUUACUAUUUAAAUCUGGUAUUGAACGUCCGUAACUUUUUCGUUAUGGUUUCGAUUCGCAAACGGUUUUCACCUACGCGCUCAUAUGAUCGAAUUAUACUCGAAAACAUUAAUUAUGACCUCGAAAAGGUCUACGAGUUUUAAAAGAUUAAUUACAAAAAUUCACACCUUGUAACUAUACGAUUCAAAUUCUAAAAUUAACGGAAUUAAAAUAAACUAAAAAUAAUGUAAACACGAAAUACAGACUUUAAUAAUGAAAUACGUAAUUAAUAGUGGAAUUCCGGGGACGGGAUUUCACACCUUGCAUCCGGACCUUCAAUGCGGAUCAAAAUCCAAAGGUCGCGAUCUGACGAGCUCAUGCAUAGAACAGAGUUGUUGUGACCCAAUGCAAUUCAAAACUUUUAUGUUUUUUUAUUUACUGGGUACGUUUUUGUAGGAGGAAAAGGGGAAGUCGAGAGAUUCUUUGCGCAUUAAAGAGGGAAAGAGAGAAAGGGGGAGCUAAGAGGUUCUUCGCGCGUUAAAUUUUUGCUUCUGAUUUUGCAACCUAGAAAUAAAGUAUUUUCUUUAUGGUUUAUGGUUCAAGAAUAUAAUGGAUACAGCCUAAAAAUGUUUCUUUUUUUAUUUUUUACUUUUUUUUUCUUAUGUUGGCUUUUGGUUUAUUUUUAUAAUGCACUAUAUAUUAACUAAAUUUAUAAACAUUUUGUAUCUUUGUUGCAGUCAAAUUAAUCAUAUGGGUCGGCAUGACGAAGUUCGACUGAGACAUACAGAUGUUUUGCAAUCUUAAGUCUAACCUGACACACCCCGACCUCAAUAUCUAGUGGACACCAAAAUUGAGGUGUGAUGGCCAUCAUCCGGAUGGGUGAUGAAACCAUAAUAUGCAUGAAACAUAACUAAAUUAUCAACCAAUAAAAUCUAUUGAAAAAUUUGGCAGAACAUCCCUUAAAAUAGGGAUAUGCCCAAAUUAAAAACACUUGCACAUGAUCAAAAUUAUUCAACACUUCCCCGAAGGGCCACACUUAAUGGGACUUCGACCAUCUAUUACAUGCAUGAGAAUAUGUUCAGAGCAUAAUUACCCAAACACGUCUUAUUAAAAUAUUGAGUAAAUACCAUACAAGAUAGAAUACGUCAGAGCUGUUGCAAAAUACCUCAAUGUCCGAUGUAAUCACUGAUAGAAUUACUGAAUCAUGUAUAGAUGGAAAGCUGAUAAAUACAUGUAAUUUGAGUGGAUACUUACCAGCAGCAUGGAUACAAUAUCAUCCACCGGUCGUAACUAAUGACAAGCUGAGAGUAUAACUGUAGUACCUCUUAUUAGUGCAAUGCAUGAUAUGAAUUCCAUCUCACAUAUAUAUGCAAGCCAUAAUCAAACCAAUAAACAUCCAACAAAAGCCACAAUCCUUUUAACAUUCGACCACAAGAUCAAUUUUCAUAUUUCCCAAACCUAGGUUCCAAAGCAUUGUUUCGAAUUAUUAAUACAAGAAACCACCACCACCUCAAUCAACUCCUAUUCCCAAGUGUAAGCAAUUACUAAAUGCAUCACUUUCGACUCUAGUCUUAAUUAGAUUACUUGGGAUACUCAUUCACACCAUCAGAUCCAAGUACUAUUUUGAUAAACUUUAAAUAGCAUGGUUAAAAUAAAUGAAACACUUUUAGAAAAUAAGUGAAGAUGUUGUUUACAAAUAUAGAUGCAUCUGUAUAUAAAAGCUUUGGCGGUUGAUCCGUAUACACUUCCAAAGAUAUAAGCAAGUUCAUUGGAAUAUACAUGCAUAGUUAAUGUAUUACAGUAUAAUUAAUAAGAAAACAAUUGCAUCCCUUUAAGAAUAUAUAUAUAUAUAUAUAGACACACACACAUACAUACACACAGGCCCUUUAUGCAAAGGAAUUUCCAUUUUUUUUCAAAAAAUGGGGAUUAGUUGUGGGGCCCACGUUGCAUUGAACUUUAACGAUCCGAACAGUCUAUUUUGUAAGUCUCGAUUCAUAUAUCAUCCUUGUAAAAAUUCAAUUCAAUCCGAACCCAUUUGCCUAUUUAAUUAUCAAGAUAAAAUUUUAUUGUUUCUUAUAUAACAAAGUAUUCGUUAAUUUCUUUGAACUCAAUUAGAUAUCUUAAACAUUUCCGAUUUGGUUAAUAUUUUGUAAGGAUGAUCUAUGUGGUGCAACUUGAAAAAUAGACGAUUACGAUCGUUAAAGUUCGAUGUGGUGUAAACCCUACAAUUAAUCUUCAUUUUUAUAAAAGAAUGGGAACCCCUUCCCUUAAAGGUUUCCUAUGUAUAUAUUUGUUCUCCAGACAUAUGCAGAAGGUAAUGUAAAACUAAUGAGAACUUAAAUGGAUAUUCCAUACAUAGGACAAUUCCAUAUAUGCUUUUUCAACAUUUAUAUCGAAAAGCCAAAUUGUUUUGAGGAAAUUAAUUGUAGCAAUGAUCCCUUAACUUUUAUCUUAUUGGAACAAUGGUCUCUCAACUAAAAAUUCAUGACCAUUGGUUCCUUAACACCACACAACGUGUAGUUAUGGUCAUUUUCAUUAACUCCGUCAGAACUUUUGUUAAAACAAGUAAUGUUAGAAGAAUCAUUGCUACAAUUAGGUUAAAGUUGGGGACCAUUGCUCUAAUUAAAUUAAAAUUGAGGGAUCAUUUCUCCAAAUUGCUUAAAGUUCAAGGACCAUUUCUACAAUUUUCUCAUCUAGUUUCCCAUAUUUACCCCAUGAUUCAGCUUCACAUGCAUUGCACAUGACUCAUUUUGACAAAAAAUUUAACAAAAUUGACGAAAAUGACCAUAAAUGCACGUUUUGAAGAGUUAAGAGACCAAUGGUCGUGGAUUUUAGUUGAGGGAUCAUUGCUCCAAUUUGGUUAAAGUUGAGGGAUCAUUGCUACAGUUUUCUCAAAUGUUUCGUAUGCGAAAAUAGGCAUUUGUAAAGUUUGGCUUGUUUAUGGCAUUAUUACUUUAGUCUAAAGUAAGGCUGGGAAUGGCACUGUAGAAAUGAAUAGUGUUCCAAUCCGAAUUUCAGUUUAAUUACAACAAUGCCAUUGCUCUUUGUGUUGCCUUUAGGUGAGCAGCCCGGCUUGCAGUCAGGCCCAAAUGUAUUGGUUUUAGCUGAGAAGCCCGGCCCUUGGUCAGGCCCAAAAUUUUAAAUUACAGUUUUGCCCAUACAAAAUAACAAUCCGAUUGUAUCGGGAAGGACAAUUUUGUCCUUUCAGUUUUGGGUGAGAUAAGGGGUAACAGGGUAAGUUUCAUUUGCUGUCGUUUAAUGAGGGUUUCGGGGAUGAGGGCUCUGUGUGUGUGUGGAUGAGAGAGAGAGAGAGAGAGAGAGAGAGGGAGAUGGCGAUGGAAGGAGAGCGAGGGGGAAGGGAAGGGUUCUCGGCACUGUUGCUGCAUGUGGAUUUCACAUGUGGGAGAGUGGGUAUGGUCAGAGAAAACCAUAUAGGUCAUUGGGAUUUCAGGGAAACGGGGUAGGGGUCAUGAAUGAACUCUGCUGAGAGUGUGGGUACCGGAUCUUGCGCUGCAUGCCUCAAAUCAAAGAUAAGUUCGUUUUUUUAUUGUAUUUUUUGUGGUAGCUUAGCUUUUGGAAUUGUUUAGUAUGUUAGGUCCGAUUUUGGGGGAUUUAUCUUUUUAGAGAGAGAGAUGGACAGGGAGAUAGAGAGAGAGAGAGAGAGAGAGAGGAGGAGGAAGCAUGACUGUGUGCAAUUUUUGGUGUUAAUUAAUGGGUUGGUGCGUAGGGUGAGUGACAGAGUGACAGAGUGAAGGAGGGACGUGUGGGAGGGUAUGAGUUUUCAGUUCUUUCUUUUGAUUCAACAGGUUAUACAUUGUUUGAAAAACCUUUUUUUAUUAUUUUUUUCUCGUUUGCUUUGUUAAAACCAUCAUUUGAAUUUUUGGGUUUCACUGUGUUCAUUUCUCUGCUUCUUCAUAAUUUGCUGGUGUUUGCUUUUCAUCCCUCUAUUGGUAGAUCUUUUUCUCAUUUCUUGGUUCCUUAUGUAUUCUUUGGUACAAAUCUAUUUACUUUUUGGCUGUGUGAUAAUCUUAGCAGGUGAACUAUAUGAACGUUUUUUUUGAAACGAGUUAAGAAGAUCCAGCUGAAAAGAGCAUGCAAGAUAGAGAACUGGUAUGCUGCUCGCCAGGGAAAGGCUGCUGGAGAGGCUGAGACGGAUGCCUCCUUCAAAAACCAGGUCAGUUUCCUGCUACUCGGCGUCUUAAUGUAUCCAAAUUGUUUAUCUUUUGAUGAAAUUAGCUGGCUUUAUUUUCUAUUUUAUUUAUCUGCAUAUUAUUUUGGUUUGUUGAAAUUUUGACUAUAGUCAUUGUGUCACAUGGGCGCCCAGCCCAACCCAAAUUAGUUGAGGAUAUUUAAAUCUUCACCAUGGUAUUAUAGUACUCACUCACAGUUGUGAAUACUAAGGUGCAGGCAUGGCAUGAAGAAGUGGACCGUGCACGCCAAGGUCAGAGGGAUGCAGAGGGCAAACUUUUUUCUUUGGAGGUAAGUAUCCUUUGUUUAUUGCCCAACAGUGUUGUUAUUAUCAAUUUGUAGCUUUGCGUUCUGAAUUUUUUGCUUUGUCAAACAACCUUUUUGAAAUGCUCGAUUUCAAGCCGAAGUCCAAAAAAUGAGAGUUGAGAUGGCUUCCAUGAAGAGGGAUGUAGAGCAUUACUCGCGCCAGGUGAAAUCUGCUUCCUCUCUUUUCGUAUAUCUUCAUAUGAAGAGUUUUACUAAGUUAUAUUGAGAACUAUGUUAUUUAUAGGUUAUAUUUUCCAUUUUGCAAGAACACAUGGAGCUAAGGAAGAGCUAUCGUGAACUCACUGAUCUACUGGUAAUGUCACUCAAACUGCUUUAUUUGUGCAUGCUGCUACUAUGCGCUUGAAUGCAUUUUAUUACUGGCGGGAUGCGAAGAAUGCUAGAUAUAUGUGCUGGAUCGCUUGAUUAGUGUUAGGGUUUUAACAACUAAUUGUUAGCAGCUAGAAGCUCUGGUUAGAUGAAUGCUAAUUUGAUUUUCCUUACAGUACUUGAGUGCCAGUUUCAUAUUGUUUGUUCCCUGCUGGAUACAUGCUGUACAGUUUCAUUUCUGUUUCUUCAUAACUUUCUUGGCCCUGCGAUAUAUGCAUAUUGAGUACAAUGAAUAUCCAUUGUUCUCUAACUGUUGGGCUUUACUAUCUUUGUAGCAGCCUGCCUAACAUUUUUUAGGCUCUACACUCUACCAUCCAAUUUAUGAAAAAUUCAAAGAUUGGACGGUAUUGAUUGCAUAAAUGAAAAAAAUACUAUGAUAUUAGAAAGGUGAAUGUAAUUGUGUUAGAAGAAGCGUCUAGCAUGAUGGGUAAUAUUUUAAGUUUGUAUUUCUAAAAUUUUUUCGUUCUGGAGUAUGAUUUACCUCAAUUGUUUUGUACUUUAAUCUUUACUAAUUUUCAUUGUGGAGUAUGAUUUGCCUCAACUAACAACUUUUCAUUGUUUAACUUUUUCCUCCCUUAGAUAGUUGCAUAUGUUUGAUUUGUUAAUCUGCUUCUUACACAUGUUGUUUCCUAAUGGUGUAGGUGGAUUGCCGGAUGCAUGUGCAGAUUACUUGAAUAGACGAAGCUAAGAAUGACUUAGUAUUAAGUGAGAAAGAAGCUUGGGUCAGUUGGAUUUUGACAUUUGAUUUAUUCAUGUUUUUUUGUUGCUUGCAAUGUUCUCUCAUUGUUUGUUCUGAGAUUCUGUGAUCUUAUUUUUCAUAGGAACUGACAUUGGUUUGCCAUAUAAUGUUUCAGGAACUAAUACAACAACUAAUCACCUUGCUUAGGUCUCAAGACACAUACUUAACAGGUUAACAAACGCUAACCUAUAAACUUAUCUACUAAGCUGGACCAUUAACCUCUGUUUAUAUCCCUGCCACUCAUCUUUUGGCACUUAUCAAUAGCAAAAUCUAGAGUUGUUGAAACCCCAAUUUUAAUGAAUAUUAUUUUUAGUUGAUAAUUAAAAUUAAUUGAUGAUUAAUCUAUUCCAUUGUGCAUUAUUUUAUCGCCAAAUACUUUGAAUAUUCAUUAGCAAAAGAUAUAGGGUUCACUAUUUAAUGAAUAGAAUUUUGAUGGUGGAUUGCAUUUCCUGAGUUAUAAAUGUGGUGAAUCCAUUAUUUACUAGCUGAAUAAUCAUAAUGUUUUGGCCACUUACCUUGAAUUUUGUUCAAAUUGAAGAAGUCACAUGUUUCUUUCUGUUGUUGAGGUAAUCUCUCUGUUGAAAGCUUCUAUUUCUUUUUUCUUUUUCUUUUUUUCAUUUGGGUAGAUUUUUUUUUUAUGGAUUUAUGUAUUUUUUUUCUUCAGAGAAUUCGAAAUGAAAUAAGAAUAGCGGAUUGAGCAUAAACAAAUUGAUGAAAUUUUUAUUUGAGUGUUUGUGUUGGUCCUUUUUUGAUUUGUUGAGGUUUGGAAUUAUUUGAGUUUUUUUGCUGUUAGUACUGUGAAGGAUGCUUGGCAAUCGCGAAAUGGGGGCUACCUCUUUGGAAAGAGAAGUCUCGCUAUCCAACCUCUCAUGAAUUACAAACAGGGUGCUUUCUUGCUGAAAAACCACUGAAUCAGUAGAACUUUCCUCGGUUCUUCAAUUCGAUUCGAAUAAUUUUUUUACCCAGAAAAGCCAGCGUUUCCUGGUGAGUUUUACAGCUUUCUCAAUGUUUUUUUUAUUUUGGAUUUGCAAAUUUGUUUUCUGUUCAAAUUUCCUUUUGUGAUUUUGGAGGUUUUGUUUAUCGAUUCUCUCACUCAUCUCUCAGCUCUCUCCCACUUUUGAGGUACAUGUCGUUGGAUUCCGUUUGCUGCUGUUGAUCUGCAGGUAAAGCUUCAAUUACCAUACAAAGUUUACAUUUUUCAUGAUUUCUUGAAUUUGGGUUUUAAACAAAGGAAAUAUUGCUAGAUUCUUAUCUUAUGUGCAAAUUACUGGCUAUUUGGAUUGGUGCUUGAGAUUUAGAGAAUGUCUCGCAGCUUUAAUUUCUUUUUCCUUCAUUAUUACUGUUUUCAAAAUUUUUAUUGCUGGGUAUUGAUAAUUUGUAGUAUGUGAGGGCUUCAAUAUGUUGGAAUUUUGAAUGGUUAUUGCUUCAUCGGAAUUUGGGUGGUCCAAAUUUUGAAUUAGAAGAAACCCAUUUGAUUAAUAUUUUUGGUGGAUUGGUUCUCUGUGUUUUCUUUGCUAUUUCUCCCCCAGUUGGAAAUUGGAAGCCCCAACUUUGAGCUCAGAGCUUGAAUUUCUCAAUCGUUCGUUUCUCUACACUCUCAUCAGUCACUCUUGAUCCUCUAUCUAAAGAACUGGGUAAUUUUCCAGCUCUAUCAAGUAAUACUCAAUUUAAUUGCUUAAUUGAGGUUUUUUGUUUCUCUUUUUCGCUCUUUCAUCAGUUCAUUGGCUUUGAUGUUGAGCUUAAGUAAAUGGGAGAUCAUUAAUUGGCAUUGUUCAAAAUAUAAUUAUGUGUUUUUGGAUUUGUGAAACGAUUUGCCUAAUGAUGAUAGUGGUUAAAAUAAAUUUUUCGUUAUGAAAGAGAACAUUGUUCUUCAUUUGCCUACGGUUUUAACUACAAAGUUAAACUACUAUGCUUUUGUUCAAUUGAUUGCAACUCAUGCCGCAGUUUGCUUCACAAACCUCUAUGGUUAGCUUCCAUACAGUAUGUUGCAAGUUUGAGGAUAUCUUUACAUCUUAAUUUUUGCUCUCUCUGGUUGCUUCAAGUUUGUAAUUUUACGUGUUACAUUGCUACUUGAUUUGAUUAUAAAAAUGCAAAAGAAAAUCCAUUUUGCUUUUAUUCAACUUAAAUGUAUCCUUUUGUUUGUUCAUAAUUGUGUUGAAUUUAUUCAACUUAAAUGUGUUUUAUUCAUCUGUUUACGCUUAAAACAACUGGUUCCCCUAGCAAUGCGCGGACCUAAUUUCUAGUACAUAUACUAAAAGCCAGCAGAAAAUUACUGUUCAUCAUGGGAGAUAGAGCACUGUUCAUUAACAGUGAAAGGGAAAAAAUGCCCUCGGUUUCUUCUUUACUUCACGUACUGUUUACGAAUUGCUACAGUAUAAAGUCCGUUUUGUCAUUCCUGUCCACGCAUCUUUCAUCGUCCGUUUCUCUUGCUUCGACCGCAUCUUUUUCGCUUUACCUUUCCUCUUCGUUUUUCGCCUUCGCUAGGCUGCAAUUUUCGGAGGUGGAUUGUUUGCCCUUCUAUUUCCAUGCUCUCCCCAUGCCCUCCAUUGAUGUGUGGUCACGGUUAAACUAUGUCAACAUUUUAUAUUAAUUUUUUUAUAGAAAUAAUAAAAUAAAAAGUAAUAGGUAUCCAGGAAAUUUUCGUCAAAAUAUCCAGGAAAUAGGUAUCCAGGAAAUUUGCUUUACCGAUAUUUUAAUAGGUAUCCAGGAAAUUUGCUUUACCGAUAUUUCGCCGAUAUUAUCGGUUUUUUGCUUUACCGAUAUUUUAAUAGGUAUCCAGGAAAUUUUCGUCAAAAUAUCGCGAUAUUAUCGAUAUUAUCGAUAAUAUCGCGAUAUUUUAGAUAAUAUCGAGACAUUUUGGUUUCUCGACAGUCAGUCACAAUCUCGCCGGAGAAUCAGAAUAACUCCGAGCAAGAACAAAACCUGCAACCAAACGGAACAAAAUCAUCACUAUCUUUCAACAAAAAUCACCACUUUAUACCAAAAUCAGUGACAAAAUUACACUAAUCCGAGAAGCAAGGGCUUGAAUUCGAGCAAGAUCUGGAAGAAAACAGUAGAAGCUGAGAAAUCGAGUACCUCACCGGCAGUUACAGUGCUAAAGAUCAUCAUCUUUGGAAGGCCGCGGAUCAGACGGAGCUGAGAGAUCAAUGAGUAAGCAUUUCAUAGAUCGUAUUCGAUGAGCAGCUGAAAGAGAGGAGAGAGAAAGCAGAGAGAGACGCGGACGAGGAGGAUCUCGCUGAUGGGGACGACGAAGGAGAGGUAGAGGUCGCGGCCCGCGGGACAUGGUGACGGGCUCGACGAGGAGGAAGGCGAAGGAGGAGCAGAGGAGAUGGGUGCGUGCGUGCUGCGGUGCAGAGAAGAGAGAUGAGGGAGAUAUGAGAGAGAGAGAGCCGAGAGGGAGACAGAAGAAAAAGAAAAGAAAACAGAAAGAAGAAGAAAAGAAGAAGGGAGUCGCGGGGGAACAAAGAGAGAAAAGAGAAAAGUGGAGGGGCUGCCACGUGGCCACUUCAGAAAGAAAGGGAUCCAAUGUUUUGGAUCCUGAUUGGGUAGUCAAAGAGGACCAAUUUGAUAUAUUAAAAUGUUUAGGGGAUAAUUACACAAAUAUAUCUUUAUAAAUGGGGGUGGGUGUUACAUAUUGCCCUAAAAAACUCCAAGUAAUUACAACAUCGUAUUAGAAUUGUAAUUGAUCCUUGUUAGAUUUGGUUUAGAAAUUCUAUGUAAUUUAGUGAUUGUUUCAUAUUAGAUUUAGAUUUGAAUUUUUUACUCCAUUCAGAUUUUAAAUGAUUAUAAUAGAUUUAAAAAUUUACGAACUUUGAUGAAGUUUAAUAAUUUUUAAAACUUUUAUGUAAAAUUUUAAGUGAAUUCCCUCAAAUUUUCAGGUAGCGAUUUGAGAAUGUUUAAAAUAUUAUGUGAAAUAUUUCUAAUUUUUUCGAGUUUCCCAGCUUUUUAAAAAUCUCUUUGAAUCAAUUUCUAAAUUAAUACAUUUGGAAUGUAUGAAUUUCUUAAAAAUCAUGAUCGAAUACCCCUUAAACUUUAAAGAAUCACUUAAAAUCCUAAUUAAAUGCCCUUAGAUUUUUAAGGAGAAUUAAAAUGUUUAUAAGCCCCAAUUGGAUGUACCGCUUAAUUUAACUAAUUGACACAACACAACAUAACCAGUUAAGAUUACAAAUUAACACAAAAGACGACUUGAUGCGAGGUCAUAUCUACAAAACUUGCCGCAAUAAGCCCCAAUUGGUGUGUUUAAACUUCUUUCAUUAAUUACUACAUAUUUUCUACACUCAUAAUGUUUGUCAGCUCGCUAUAUAAUCAACUUGAUAAUGUUAAAUCCAUCAUGCAAUGCAUUUCCUUCCAAUUUUUUGUGAUAAACUAAUAGAUAAUUGACUAAAUAAACAUCCUGCAAAGUUUCAAUAAAAAUUUUCAAGUUUUUUUUACAAUUUCCGUGAUUUUCAUGUAAUUUUUAUCGGUAUCGAUAUUAUGCCGAUAUUUUUAUCAAUAUUUCCGUGUUUUCGAGUACAUAUUUCCGAUAUUACCGAUUCAUCCGCGAUUUUCUCCCUUUUCGCCAGCCCCUCUUUUGCUCUCAAAUCCUUGCUCUUUCUUUUUCAAACUAGUCUCAGAAGAGAUCCUGGGUUUAUCUAAUCCUUUGUUGUUCGGCGUUUUGUUCUCAUCUUGCGAUCGUCGGGGCAGCAGCUUUAAGGUAAGUUUGUUUUUAAUGAUUUAUCCUCAAUUUACGAUGUCUGGGCUAACAAAUUUAAGAUCUUUAUUUUUCUUUUUGCUGUGGAUCUGCAGGUUUUGACAAGUUUUUUGUGAAAUUGGUGCUGUCAGUGGGUGUUAAUAUCAGGUACCCAUGUUCAGUUUUUCGUUUUGAUUUGAAGGAAUUUCUUGCGCAGAAGAGCUAGGUUUCUUGGUGAGUUCUUCGGGUUGUGCAUAUGGGUAAUUUUCUUUUAGGUAUAACCCUCUGCUUCUGCUGCUCUCUCUCUCUCUCAUCCCUGCCUGCUCCUCUCCAAUUGUUUGCUGUUCUUAAAUAUUGUGUUCAUUGCCUGAUACAAGGAGCUGCAGCAAUCUGUUUUAUCCUACACGGGACAACGAGGCAAUGGCGUGACAACAAGUGAGCUUGGAUAUCCAAAGAAAAAGAACAGUUGGUUCAUCUGCUGGAGUCUGAAGCUCAGAGAAGUGGAGGAAAAUUGCAGGUGUGCGAGAAAUUUUAUUUUGCUGAUAGGACUCCUUAUUUACCGAUGCAUUUUGAAUUAAUUGAAAAGUUGGAUUUGAGUUAACAGCUAUAAAAAUGUAGACAUGAUUGCUGAGAUUAUGCUAUGAAAGUGGAAUAAAAAAAUGGUAGUUUAUAAUAUUGCGUACCAAUUUUUUUCUCUCUUUUUUACCAAAUGAUAAGGGUGGUGGCUCAGGCCGCCCCCCUACGCGUCCCCACUCUUCGACAAGUUGAAAUCAUGGUGAUAGUUUAUGGGUUGCGGUCUUGGGAUUCUGCAAAUAGAAUAAAAAACAGACACUUAACUAUCUUGUUAUUAAGCAUUUCUGCAUCAUUCAGUUGCUCUUGAUUUUCGUCUUUUAAGCGCUCUUAUUUCUGCGAUCUGACUUGAGGAGGGGUUUUAGACCUAUGGUUGUGGGUGUUUUGUCUGACCCCAUUAAAUUGGUUUCCGAGAUUUGUAGACUUGCGAUCGGCGGUCAAACAUUUCGUGAUUCUUGCUUUUUUUCCGACUGGGAUUGACGAAUUUUGGCCGAAUCUGUUUCCUGUUUUCUUCUCUGUUUGAGCGGCCGCUGCCUUUCGGUCGUUGAGCGCCGGCAGUCUUUAGAUCUUUGGCAAAUCAAUUUAAUACAACCGAGGUAUGUUUUAUAACUGCUGUCUUUCAAUUUUUGUUCUGUAUUUUUGUUAAUUUGGAUGAAGCUCUAAUAAUUUUGUUUUGGAUCAGUUGUGGUCCUCUGUUAGGAUUUUCCUGGCUAAGAGGGUAUUUGCAUUUUUGUUGCUUGGUUGGUCGAUCCAGUGUAUUAAAAGCGUGAGGCGUGGGCGAGGCGUCCGAGGGAAGCUCGGCCUAGGCGUGAGGCGUGAGGCGAAGCCUCAUGGGACCUAAAUUUUUUAAUAUAUAUACAUUGAGCGUACACAUAUAUUAUAUUAAAAAUAAGAAGAUUAUUAAUCAAUAAUCACCUUGAGCACACACAUAUAUUAUAAAUAUAUACACACACACAUAUAUAUACAUAUAUUAUAUUAUAUAUGCAUAAAAUAGAGGAUGAAAAACACAAUGAGCACACAUAUAACAAUGCACGCAAACAACACACACAUCCAUUAUAUAAAAAUAAAAAUCAGAAAAAAGGCAUAGAGACAAAAGUGCAAGGAAGAUGUAUGAGACAGUUAAAAUCCUACCCAAAAUUUGGGUUUGGGAGUAAAGAAAAAAAAAAAAAAAAAAAAACUCACUGAGGCGCGCCUAGGCGGCUCCGGCGACGCCUAGGCGGCCUUUCGCCCACUCCAGCAAAACUGAGGCGUUAGCCAUGGAGCCAAGCCUCAAGGGCGCCCUAGGCGCGCCUCGAGGCGAGUUUUUUAAAACAUUGGGUCGAUCACAAAUUUACGAACAGCUGUGGUGGUCCUGUUAGAGCCAAGCCUCAAGGGCGCCCUAGGCGCGCCUCGAGGCGAGUUUUUUAAAACAUUGGGUCGAUCACAGAUUUACGAACAGCUGUGGUGGUCCUGUUAUUUUUUUGGUAUGUUUUUUCUCCUUUUUGGUUUUUUCCCGGUUUGAGCACCCAUUCAUGAAGAAUUAAAAUGUGUUUAUAGUUUUUCAGGAGAGAUUAGAAAAGUGAUUUCAAUUUGGGAAAAUUUAAUGUUGGUUAAAAUUUGUUUAUAAUUUUUGGGAAGGAAUGAGAGGACCCAUUGAAGUAUGUGUUGUGAUUAUUUUUUAUUCAUAUUUUUAACAAAUUGGGCAUGAAUUGGUAGGUUAACUGUGUGUGUUUAUUAUUUGAAUCGGCCAUGUUUGUCUUUCUAUGGUUCUAAAAAAUUUGUAAAGGCUGUUAACUUGGAAGAAAAUGGGAUCGAGGGUGAGGGGAAAACAGCAGAGAAAGCAUGGAAGAGAGAUUUGGGAUUAGGGGUAGGAAAACAGAUGAAAAGAAUAUGAUAGAGGAAUGGGUUCAGUUCAUUUUCACUAUUUUUUUUAACUGAUUUGGAUUUUGUUUGGGUUUGAGGCCAUCAUUGGCGUUAAGACGUUUAUUAUCAGAUCGUGUGUGUUUUUUGCUAACUUUUAUUGGUAAUUUUUAUGUUGUUCUUAUGAUUUUGUGUGGUAGGGUUUCUGAAUUUUAUCGUUGUUCAUUUGGUUUUUUCUGAAUUUUAUCUGAUUUUGUGUGGUGAGUUUACAAAAUAAUACUAAAUAAAUUUAUUUGUAAUUUCGGAUGAUUGUGAUUCAAUCCUACUACAAUUGAAAUUCACAGAAAGAAUGAAAAACCAGAACAAAACUGCAGCACCUAAAAAGUUGUCAUACAAAAAAACAUGGAAUGUAAAAAUAUGUUAAGAAAUCUAGUUCGUUAAUUUCCAGCUGGUAAGCGGCAUUAUGUAACUUUAGUAGUAUAACUAAUUAACUACUUAUCUAGUGGGUUGCACUUCUAUCCUUGAUCUCAGUUGUGGCUGCAAAGUGCAGGCCACCACCAAGUCUCAGUGUUUGUGUAUUAGCAAAACACUUAAAUAAAUUAAAUUCUGAAAUGUAAAUUAUAUUCCUAUAACUUUAAGAUGCACAUAUAGUAUUGUUGAAGUCGAACUGAAAGCACUGACAAUUCCAAGCAACAGAGCAGCAAUUAUUAAGAGCCAAAACUCAUUCCUAGUCUCCUCAUCCUGGUACUCUACUCCGUAAUCUUCGUUCAGCAUCAUUGACUGAAAUUAGGAGAGAAAAAGAAAAGGAAUUUCAGAAAUUGUCUAUGAAGCAAAGGAUACUGCAGUUACUUCAAGACAUGUAAAUUGCAUAUGUAUAAAGUAAUUUUCUACAUAAAGUAACGAGGCAUAACUCUCUCUCUCCUCUUCAAACCCUAAACAGAGCAAAGCCACAAACUUUACAGAGAUUAGAAUGAGAACUGGAAUUAAUAGAACAAUGACUGAAAAGUAACAUACUUGAGGAGUGAAUGAUUUAGUGUUUCCAUCAUCGGAAAGCCGGAGUAAGUCGCUAAGAGAGGUCGCAAACAGCCCAAAGGGACAAACCCAGACCCCCGGCCCCGAUCCAUACCCUUCCCCCUCAAAUCCCGACGGCCCCCAUACUUUUCUCUGACUGUACCCCCUCUCCCACUCAUGAAAUCGAGGAUCUGUAGCAAUGGUACUGAGAUCCCCACUCCUCCCCCUCCCUUUCUCUCUGUCACUCUGUCUCCCUCUCCCUCUGUCUGUCUAUCUUUAUCCCAGAGCGGCAUGGCCUCGCAUCCCUGAAACCCUCACCGAAAGGUGGCAAUUUUGUAAAUAACUUGAAAUCCACCAACAGCAGGGGCAGAGAAUUGAAACAGACAUUUAGGCUCGUUCGAUAACCAUUUAGGCCAAAACUGAGCACACCUAAACCAUUCCUACUCGUGCCAAAUGUUAGCGGGGAAGCAAGAUGAUGACUUUAUUGUUCAAAACCAAAAGAAAAAAAGAGAGAAAACAAAAUAACAAAUCUAAUGGUUGUAGUGUAAAAGCUGAGAACGUAAAUAAACAUGCAGGGAAAAAAAUUGAAGAUACAAAGUAGCUGCAUCAUGAAACACUUGCUCCAAUUAGACGCAAAAAGUGAUGGUGAUGAGAAGAGAGAGAAAAUGCAGUCGUUUUGAUUUUUCUGGCUUUUAAAGGGAGCAGCUUUCUUCGACCACCAAAAAAAGGAAGCUGCUUUUCGUGUGGUUGUGAUUUCCUGAGUGUAUGUGAGCGGGUCUAUGGCACUUGCACUUUUUGUGUCGGUUACGGUAACCGGGCGAGGUGGACACGGCGGCGUGGGACUGAAUUCGGAGAGGUGAGAAAAAUUAAAAACACAAAAAGAAGGUGUUCAUUUUGUCACAUUUUUAUUACUAAAAAUUCAAUAAAGUACAUUCAUUAGUAUGGUAACUUAACUAUUUAAUUCCAUCUCAUUAAACUAAAAAAAACAAUUACAUAAAAAUAAGGGAAACCUUGUCCAGAGAGACCUGAGAGAAAGUGACGACUUCUCCUCUCAUUCCACUCCAUACUUGAUCUCUAAAGUCCAUUUGGCAUGUAAUUGAUGUUCAAUUUCAAAUUUAGUGGUAGCAAUUAGCAAAGCUAAUGAAAGAAUAAAAUAAAAUGAAAGAAAAAGCAUCAUGAAAUAAAUCAAGAUGAAGAAUGAAAUUUUGGCAACUCGCCAUUCUCUUCUUUUAUACAAAAGAUACAUCCUAUUUGUAGUGAAAACAGGUCCCGACAAACCCAGUUAUCGUCAAGAAGUAUUUUGUAUGACUUUAAAAACAUAUUCCGAGAAAUUAUCUCUUGGCUGAGAACAACAACAAAUCUUCAUGCAUAGCUUGUAGAGAAAGACAUCAGGCAUACAAAAGAACACGCAAGCAUAAAAUAAACGACGCAGGGAAAACCAAAAAUACAAUUGGAUACGCUGUCAAAAGAACAUAAAUAAAUGAAAAUUACAAAACAAAGAAGUGAUGAGAAACCAAAGUACCCAUUUCAUAAUCUAAUUGCUUUUUAGUUUGCUUGCCAUUUUUAGUUCUUCAAUUUAGAGAGAAACCAUAAUUCAGCACAUGAAUAAAGUGAAAACAUAAAAGAUAUGUGGGAUAAGCUAACAGCCAUCCCUGAGUAAUGCAUUCACUUCUGAACCCCAAACACACCAAAACAAAAAUUCACACACAUGAACUACAGCUCUGCUAUGUAACAAGAAUUAAAAGCAUCUCAAAACAAAAUGGCAAACUAUAAGAGCAAUGUAAAAGUAAAAUUGCAAGAAAUCUAAUACUUGGAGGGCAAGUACUAAUCAGACGAAAAUGAAAGAUUGAACUACCUCGCGUGGAACUGUGCCUUGGUUUUUUCCCAUGCUUACAGGAAGCUUUGCACUGAGCUCUUAUAGCCCAAAUUUUCUCUGAAGGGAAAAAAACACAAUUUUGAAAUAAGAUUUUCAUAUUAUACCUUAAAGAGAAGAAUUAGACAACAAAAAAGAGAACAAUGAGUACUUUUCAUCAUAUAUUGUUAGAGUAUGUGGUCCUCUAGUCCAAUGGUCCUGCAGCCAUAUUUACUUUAUAACUCUUUCUUUAGUCUAAAAACAUCUUGGAUCUCAAAUUAAUAUGAAUACGGAUUCAUACGCAUGCAUUGCAUUACAAUCACAAUGCAACAUCUCAUUAGAAAUCCCCACACAAAAUUCUUUUAUUGCUACUUUGAUUUUAGUUUAUAUUUUUUCUGAAGCACGAGGGAGCUAAUUUUUUUUUAAAAAUUUUUUAUUCCAAUAAUGUUAUAGGGUUGAAAGGAUAUUAUCAAUUUAAUUGAUUGUAUUUGAUUGGUGGAACUUCUAUAUCUAUAUUUCAGGUUUUCAAAUUCAGCACUGGGAGAGUCAUUCAUAAAAUGUUUGACAGUGAGAUUACCUCCAUGGAUUAUGCUCACAAUGGACAGCUCAUUUUCCGCGGUGAUGGGACAAUAUAUUUCAGUCAUUCGCCAUUCAAUCAAUUCAAACCGAGGAACAAGCAACAUCAAGAAGAGGAUCUGCCAUGUCAGGAUCACUGUCGUCCAAUUAAUACAAAAAAUCUAGAUAAAAACGAUCAAUUUACAUAAAAGCCUUUCAUUUUCUCAGCAACCAAGCAAAAGAAAAUACCUAUCCGUUAAACACUCGAUUUGGGAGUAAACGUUGCUGAAACUGGACUUCAAUCCCCUCAACCGCAACAAUCGAAUCGAGGUGUGCAAGUCAUUGAAAAACUCACCCAAGAUUUCAAAAUCUGCAUAAAGAAAUAAAUAAGCACAUAAAUUAGCCAACCCUGUUAUGAUCCCACAUCGGGUACACAAGAAAUUGUGUAGUGGUACUUAAGUGCAAGGGGUCAUCCCACCUAUUGGACUAGUUUUUUGGAUUGGGCUCUUCCCUUGGGCUUGAGUACCUAACAUUGGUAUCAGAGCCUAGGUUCCCGACGCUGCGAGACUUGGCGAGUGGUGCCGCCUCAUGGUGCCGCCUUGGGAGUAUGGGCUCCCAAGGGUCUUGGAGACGGGCAAGGUAUGAAAUGUCGAUAUUAUCGCGAUAUUUCGCCGAUAAUAUCGGUUUUUUGAGUUACCGAUAUUUUAAUACUUAUCCACUGAGUUUUCGUCAAAAUAUCGCAAUAUUAUCGAUAAUAUCAACAAUAUCGCGAUAUUACCGAUAAUAUCGCGAUAUUUUGGAGAUGUGCGAAUCGGAGAAGAAGGCCGGAGCUUCUACAGCUCCUGCCGACUGUAAAAGAGCACCCUAGACUCCGAUCUAGGUAUCAAAAUGAAAUACAAGACGAGAGGAAUGUUUUUAUAACUUCCGUUUGCCGUGAAACGGUCGAAGGUGUUCGGAAAGUUCGUCGACACCCACGGCCUCGCCAGAGAUGGGUGUGCCUAUUCUCGAGCCGAUUUCGUCCCAAAAACCUUGCAAAAACACGAGAUAGAACUUAAAUUUCACAUCUAAGCUUCAAUCUAGAAUAGAAUGAGGUAAACCCGAAGCUUACCUAACCGGAGAAAUUCAAGAAACUCGCCAGAGGGUUCCUGCGUCGCCGAGUUGCAGAGACGAGAAAGAGAUGGAGAAAGACGAGGUUGCUGAUAACGAUGGGUGUCUUCCUCAAGCAGGUGCGAUGGUGUGCGUGUGUGUAUGUGGGUCUCGGUGCAGAGAGAAAGGAGAGAGAUGAGAGUUUCAAGAAAGAGACGGCGCCAACGAGAGCUAUUUGUUUUUUUUUAUCUUAAAAAGAGAGAGGUCUAAGAGAAAUGGGAAGAGAGGGCCGAGUGAAAUGAAAGGAGGUCCUUGAAUUAUUGAGAGAUAUCUCUGAGAGAGGCCUAGGAUUUCUAAAAGGUAAUUAGAAAUGGGAAAAAUGGGGCACAUCUUAGCCUUUAUUUUGGAAUCCUAAGAAGUUCACCACAUGGAUGCAUGACAUGUGUGCAUGCCAUGUCUGUUGAAUGGGAAAAGUCUGACAUGGAAAGACAAAGAGUCGUUUGGUCCUCUGGGCUCGAGGCAAGAUAGAAAGUGCUAGGGUUUUUUUUUCUGAAAUGAACAUAAGCUGCUAAAUUCGCAUAUAUUAUAGUUGUUGCUAAAGAUUGACACUAGUGCGGACUUGGACGUGUUGGUCAACAUGUCCUCACAAUCCCCAAGUUCUCCGGUUCGAACCCUUACGCCCAUCAAAUUUUUCUUUCUUUUCGAUGCGCUUUUUCCAUGGCUCUAGGUCUUGAUUUCGAAUCCAGGUGAGCCCUUUCCUUUUUCUUUUUUUUUUCUUUUUGUUUUAUUAUUUGUUUAUUUUAAUUUAUUUGUUUCUUUUAUGUUUUUCCUUUCUUUUAGUUUCUUUGUCUUAGGCGUUCGUGUUUAUUAAAGUAGGAUGUAAAAUCAAUUAUCUUAAAAUUAUGUGUUUUUAAAUUUUGGACUUGUUUGUUGGAUACUUUUUUUGCAUUUUAUCAUUAUUUUAUUAUGAAAAUAUGCUAAAAUAUGCUAAAAUAUCACUUAUGUUUUUGUGAAAAUAUGCUAAAAUAUUUAUAUAUAUGGUUUUGUUUUGAAUUCUUUUUGUACUAAUUCAUUAUAUAUAAAUGAUUAUGGUGUGUUUAAACUUCUUUAAUUAAUUACUACAUAUUUUCUAUACUCACAAUGUUUGCUAGCUCGCUAUAUAAUCAACUUAAAUCAGUAAAAUCCAUCAUGCAAUGCAUUUGCUUCCAAUUUUUUGUGAUAAACUAAUAGAUAAUUGAUUAAAUAAACAUCCUGCAAAGUUUCAAUAAAAAUUUCCAAGUUUUUCUUACAAUUUCUGUGGUUUCCAUAUUAUUUUUAUCAAUAUCGAUAAUAUCCCGAUAUUUCCAUCGAUAUUUCCGUGUUUUUGGACUACCGAUAUUUCCGAUAUCAUCGAUAUUUAUACCUUGGCGACGGGGGACUUGCCGACUGGUGCCGCCAUGGACGUUGGGUCUUUCGAAAGGUGGUGUAAUGUUAUGAUCCCACAUCGGCUACACAAGAAAUUGUGUAGUGGUACUUAAGUGCGAGGGGUCCUCCCACCUAUUGGACUAGUCUUUUGAGUUGGGCUCUUCCCUUAGGCUUGAGUACCUAACAAACCCAUAAAUCAAAGAAAUCAAAAUCCACCCAGAAUCAAAGAAAUCAAAAUCCAUCCAAAACCAAAGAAAUCAAAAUCACACACAGAUAUACAAGGUGUACAGUAUUGACAUGCCUUAAAUGAUAUUAUUCACAAGAUUUAUAAAGCUCAUGUUGUAAUACUUGUGCAGAAUCUAUCAUUCACGGCGUCACUUUUGUGCAAGUCGUAAAUAAAAUUAUUCACGAUUUAAACAUUGUGUGUCGUAUUUGACAAUUUAUACUACGCACUUUCUUUUUCUUUUAAAGCUUUGCGUUAUGUCGUAAAGUUGACUUUCUAUAUAUUUGGGUUGUACCUUUUAUGGCGCAAAUAACACGUCGUAAAUAAUGGCUUUUAGCACAGAAGUUUUGUGGUAAAGAAGCCCGCGCACUAAUUCAUUCUCGCGCCUUCUCUUUUUUAUUUAGCCGCUUCUUUUUUUGGUUUUUUUUUUUUUUAAAAUUCCCCUCAAAUCUUAAAAGGGUUUGUAUUUUCUUUGGUAAACUUGAAAGAGAAACAUUGCAAUUGCAUUUUCAUUUACCCAAUAUUAAUUGUCGAGAGCCCACCCCCUUCCCUUCUCUCUGACAUCGUAACUCUCUCCUCUCCAUCGAUCUCGCUCCAUCUGCUCGCCGUCGCUCUAUAUGCUCGUCAUCGCCGUCGAUUCGUCUGCUCGUCGUCACCGUCGCCCAUCUGCUUUCCGUCACCGUCGAAGUGCCCCGCCAUUCAAAAUCUGAAAUCCCCAAUACAGGGUGCUUUGCGGCAUUUCGUUCUCCAAAACUUUAGGUAUGCUCUCAAUCUGUAUCAACCCUAUCCUGUCACCUCUACUUCAAGGUGAACAAUUUAUAGUUUAUAAAUUUUACUUGUGUUAAUAUAUAUUUUUUGGUAAAUGUUAUGGAUAUUUUAUCAAAUCAGAGAGUAAAUUCGUAUUAAGUGAAGAUUGGCAAAGAACAUAUUGUUUUGAAAGGUUGAAUAAUGUUUGCAGAUCACAUAAAUCAGUAGUUGUCAAGUCCAUAAGAGAAGCAAGAAAUCGGAAAGCAAGGCUUCGACUAAAACCAAAUAAUGUCAAAUUAAUUCAAGAUUGGAAGACUUUCCUUGCAAAGUGUAAGCUCAUUUUCAUUUUCUUUCAUUUCUAAGAUUAGUUAUCUUCUUUUGAGUUCAAAAUUGGGUCAGAGAAAUCAAACUGAUAGUAGUUAAAAGUCUAUUUCAACACCAAGCCUUGUCUACACAAGAAUUUGGUGUUAGUUAAACAUGUGUAUGAUUCUAUCUUGAUUGCAUGUUAAUUUAGUUUGAAGAUAGAUUUGGUACAUGCUAGCUAAUUGAUACGUGAUAUGAAUCUUUGGUUUCCUUUUGAUAGGACAAAAGUGAAACAUUCAGAGAGAUGAAGUCUAAGCAACUCCGCACACAUGUAGUCGCAAGGGAUAUGGUAGGUUGGCCGAGGAUUUGGUAAUUACAUUUCAUUCUAGUGCCUUCUUUUCUACAGGACAAGAACAAUUUACUAAUUUUAUUCUGUGUUCUACUGUGUGUUUACUACAUAUAUGUUUCUAUUUUGUAGAAAAGAAAAAGUGUAGACCCUUCUCUAGUUUCUAGAGGUGAUGUUUGGAUUGCAGCACAUACUAAAAAGGGUGGUGGACCAUCCAAUUUGCUUGCUGCAGAGACUAUUGUAAGUAAUUUUUAACCAUUUAUUUCUUCUUGUUUGUUGAUAUGCAAUGACGGAUGAGGUCUUAACUUUGAUGUGCAACGUUAGGAAAAAAAUUAAGCAAUAUGGAAAUGGAUCAUCAUCUGGUUUUCGAGGUGACGUUCUUUCCAAAGUUUUUGGUGCUGAGCGACAUGGUCGUGCAAGAGGAGUUGGAGGUGGUGUUCCUCCUACAAAGCUUGGAAUAUUUUCACAACAAAAAUUGCGUAAUCACCAAAUGGAUGAAAAGGUGCACAAUUUAACUAAUCAGGUCAGAGCACUGACAGAAUUGGUGCAUCUUUUUAUGAAAAAUCAGGUUAGUGAUUUAAUAACAUUGGUAUCAUAUUGAAUAUUUGUGAAAUCAGUUGUAGUGACACAUCAAAUCACAGGGUAAUGAUCUACCAAGUGAGGCAUCUCCUGACACACAGGUUGCAGCUCCUGAGGCACAUGUUGAUACUGUCGCAAGAACUGAAACUCGUCUUUCCCAAUGCGCAACAAAUGAAUCGUGGUGGCGAGGUUGAUACACUUUUUCAAUGAGCCUUCUAACUAUUAAUGCUCAUUGACUCUGUUAAAAGCUCUGCCAUUUUCAAUCUAACUAGACACUAGAAAUGAUCAUUGACUCAGUUAAAAGUUUUGAUGCUUUGGUCCUUUUGCAUAGUUGCGCAUCUACUGAUUUCUAUUUUUUUUCAAAUCCUGCAGGUUAUUUCUGAAAACAUUGAAACAUCGUGGUGUGCCAGAUGGUUUGAUUAUAAGACACCUUCCUUUUGGUCCACCAACUUAUUUAUAACUGCUAAAUGGUACGUAGUGUGAUAAUUUUCAAAUAUUUUGAUAUUAAGACAGGUGUAGGACAACAUAGAAAUUCUUAGGGCCUUCAGCAACAAAAUUAUGAAAAAGUGAGUGAGAUACAAUUAAAAAAAUGAAAGAGAAGGAUCAUGAUUCAUGAUCUAAAGGUUUGAAUAGGGUAGAAAGGAUUUAGUUUCGUUGUUAAAAUCGAUUUGUGAGUCUAUUGUUAUUGUAUUGUCAAUUUGUUUAUUUACUUGAACUUCCUAGUAUCAAUUUGGUUCGAUAUAUCUAGCACCACCAUAGAUAUAUCUAGUAUCAAUUUGGUUAGAUAUUGUCAAUUUGUUAUUUUAUUGUCAACUAUAGAAUGUGCAUCAGUUGUAAAAGGAACAAAACAAUUCAGAUUUUUUGUUUAUGUCCAAACUUAGAAUUGUAUUGUAAUUGACAAUUUCUACUAAUUAAUCCAAGUAUUUGGAGUUUAAUAUGUUUAUGAUCAAUAUUGUUAUCCUUGUAUUGUAUCAGUUUAGAUGUUAUGAAGUGAGGUCUGUCUAAAAAUGAUAUGCUAAAUAUAGAUGUAAAUUACGGCAUCUAAAAUCAGCAAUAAUUGUUGAUGGUAGUCUUUUUUUUACGAUGUAUGCCGUAAUCACCUUCACAAUAUUACGACACUCAACAAAUGCUGUAUCAAAUAUAAAUUACUGCACACUAGUAUGUCGUAAUUGUUUUUCAGUAUUACGACACCCUAUUAACGCUGUAACUAAUACCAAUUAAGGCACGUAGGACAUGCCUUAAGAACAUUUAUGGCGUGUUUUACUUAAAUUAUUCACGACUAUUAGAGUACGUUGUAUUUGUCAAAACAUCUUUUACAACAGGGGCUUUUACUGCUUGGAGGCUCAAGCCGUGAAUUUCCAUUUAUGGCACCCUUUGUGCGCCGUAAAAGGCCAAUUCUAUUGUAGUGAUCCAUGGGUACAUUUUUAAUCUACAUGUUUCGUUUUAAUAUAUCUAUUGCUAUAAUAUGUUUUGGUUGGUUCAAAUUCGUUUUACAUAAAUAUAUGGGUACAAAGUUUUUGGAGAAUAUUAUGUAAAAUGGUUUUUAAGGUUGUUGCAUUUUAUGUACCCACAUAUGCAUGUCUAUAAAACAAUGUGGUAUGAUGUACAUUCUUUUCCUUGAGUUUUUAAAUGUACCCAUGAGUUUUCUUGUAAAUUCGGUAUGUAUCCAUAUGCUAUUUAUGUUAUGGGUACAUACAUUAUUUUUGGUCUAAGUUGGUGGGUACAUUGCUUUUGUAUGUAUGAAUUCAUUGGGUACAUUAUUUCCCUUAAUACUACUCAAUAAAAUUCACAAAAAUGUGCAGUGUGCAUGAAUUUUUAUUGUAGAAAUUGUUUUUUUUUAUUUUUAAUUUUUAAGUCUCAUAAUUCGUGAAUUUUGUACAUAUUGAUCCCAUAAAUUUUUGAAUUUUAUUAAAUUUUUUUUAGACUUGAUCGAUUGAUUGAAUCUCAUAAUAAUCCCUUAAAUGUUCCAAUCAAUAUUUUAAAAUACAGCUUUUUAUUUAAGAUUUCAAAAAGAUGACAUGAAAACAUAGUAAUACUAAAAUUUUGUUUUAAAUUACAUUUGUGUAACAAUCAAUGGUAUGUUAAAACUGGGCAAAAAAAAAAAUGGUAUAUUAAAAAAUUAUAAUUUAUUCUUUUUUUCAUAACUGUCUUCUGCUUAGAUUAAUUUUUUCCAACGUUUCUCUUCGGGAGAAUUAGUUCUUACCAAUAUAUAUGCACAUUAUCUGCUUUUUACCUGGUCUUAACACAUGAUUAAUUACUUUCCUACCUGCUAACGCGUUGACUUGCGCAUCCAAAGUAUUAUCAAAGUCACUGCCACCAAAAAGGUGCCCACUCCACAACCUUUGGUUGAACCAAAGAACAUCACAACAAUAAGGAAAUCGUUAAAUCUAUCUCCGCAACAUUUUUAUUAAUCAUUAGAUAGAUUAAACGAUCCCCCUAUUCAUAUUGUGUUCUUUUGUUGAACCAAACCAUGUCAACAAAAUAUAUCUAUGGUUAAAGCAUCUAGAUUCAAGCUUUUGGAUGUGCAACUUAAACCCCUCAAUGAAUAGCCAAGCAAUUUAUCAUGUGUUUACAGUAGGUCAAAAGAAGAAAGUGUUUGUCUAUAUAUUAAUAGGAACUAAUUCCUCUGAAGAGGAGAGAUGGAAGUGAUGAUAAUAAAAAAAAAAAAAGUCGUAUUCAGUGCACAAGGCUCCCGCUUUACGCAGGGUCUGAGAGAGGUGAAUGUCGGCUAGCCUUACCCCCAUUUUAUGGAGAGGCUGCUCCCAAGUCUCGAACCCGAGACCUACCGCUCAUGGGCGAAGACACUUGCCAUCGCACCAAGUGCGACCUCUAAGGGAUAAGAGAGUAAUCAUGAAAAUUUUGAAAGUGAAAGCAUUGCCUUGGAAUAUAUAUUCUCUUUAGGAAUUCUGUGCCCAACUAAAUUCUAGAUUCUCAAAAUAUGAAAUUAGCAACUUCACCAAACACUUGGACAUGUAACAGGUCACACGUAUGGUACCAACCUUACCAACCUUACCAACCAUCUAUAUACCUAUGUUUUCGAACAUCGUUAGAUAAUUAAAGUACAGUUCACACAGCAUUUCACAUAAAAAUGGCAUCAUACAACACAUGAGAAGUACUUCUUACAGUAGCAGUCUCGUAACAUGACUAUAGUUUUUGUUACUUCUUAAGAAAAAAGAGUUUAAAAUCCUAUUGAAAGAUAAUUGUAGAGACAGAAACCCAAACUAGUUAAUUAGGUUUCUUUACAUCUCAAUAAAAUUGAAGGGAAUGUAUCUAAUAUUAUCUACUAGAGCCUCUACAAUCAUCAUAGAAUCCACAACCCACAUUUUAAUUAAUCGAAAUUCCAUGAACACAAAUAAGCAAAAGUUGAGUGAAGCCUAAGCAAUAUGUGAUCAUUUAGAGAGUCAAACUCCAUCUUUUUAGAAUUAGGGACUUUUCAAUAUGAAAAGGUAACCUCCACAAUCCAAUAUCAUAUGAAAAGGAAAACCCAAGAAAAAUACAGUAUAAUUGUGUGCAAGAGCAACACAAAAAAAGUUGAAGAAUUAGAAAUCAUAAAGAGACUUGAGACGAUUGUUGCUCACUUAGCUAAAGAGCAUUUGCACUUGAGGUCUCGAGUUCGAUUGCCCCCUUUCUUUAGAUCGCUUGAGAGGAAAAACCUACCAUUCUCUAGUCUAAAGAUAUAUGCAUCUUUGACAUGAAUGACUAGAGGGGAAGAAAGUGCAGACAAAUCACACAUACCUUCAAAAAAUUUUAUGGGGUUGGUGAAUGGUGAUUAGGGAUACUGACUUUUAAUAGCCGUUGAUCAGUGUAUAUUGCACACGCCUUCAUCAAUGGCUAGCGUCGGUACAACUGUGAUUGGGAGGGCCUUUUUACGAUAAUAGAUGGGUAAAGGUUUCAUUAGAAGGGGAAUUUUGUUCUGGUUUGCCAUAAUAACUUGAAAUUAAUGGUUUUUUGUAAUCCUUAAGUUAUUGUCAUUUUAGGUUAACUUUGUACCUGGACUCUUUACUGGAGCUAUCAAUUGAAACCCCCAUUUUCUUACCAAAAUAUGAAAAACAAAGAGUCCCAUUUUUACAGCACAGUCCUACUCUAGUUGAAAUCCGAUCGACGGUCAAGAUUUUCUAGUCAUGUGAAAGUAUCACAUAUAUAAAAUUGACUGGAGAAGGCAUGCCACAUUGCCAUGCCCUUGACAGCUUUACUUUGUUUACAAACUUUCUAAAAGAAAGAAAGAAAAAAAUCUAAAAUGGAAGGUGAUAGCGAUUUUACCACUUGUAAAACAAAGGGUUAAACCAUAGAAAAUUCUUGCAAGAGAACAAGUGUUUGUAGUAUAGAAUGGCUCAAGCAAGGUCGAUCUCCUCAGGGACUGAUAUAAACAAUUUACGAGUUUUUAUGUAUUUAACUUAUUUAACUCUAAGAAUUACACUAAUUUAACGAAACUAAAUAUUAUUGGAUGUGACUUAAACAAAUAUCUAAAAUGGGAAUUGGUUUUAGGGAAUAAUGAUUCAACUUAAACAAAACAAGUAAAUGAGGAAAUUCAAGAUAAAAUAAAUGAUUAAGAAAAAUAGAUUGACAAUAUGCUAGAGUUCAACAUUUACCAACAACACUCUUACGUAGCUAUUCCAAUUGCUUAAAUAAUUGAAAACACAUAUGCUUUGAAUGUUGGAUUUUCCUUGUGUAUGUUUUACUUGUGACAUUCAAGCUAAAACGCAUACCACUACAUGCAACUUAUCCAUGACAUUUGAAUUAAAUAUAAACAUGAGUGAUUCAUUAAUCUUGGUGAAAAUCCUUUUGUUAAACCAUAUAAUCCCUAAGAGCAUGAUAUUUACCUUAGGAGAUUACAAUUCUCAAUCACAAGAAGCACAACCAAUUUUAACGUGACAUUCGUUCAAAAUUGCAUCCGAUAACUUUUCUAAGCAUCCUAAUGGUGAUCAAGCAUCAAGGUACAUAGAUAGUUUAAUUCAGUGAUUGAAAAUAUCAAAACAAGCAUGUAACAACACUUAAGCAAUUGAAAAAUAAAACUACGUAUUCAUGUUGCGGCUCAUGGCCUCACUCUAGCAUAAUACUUUAAAUAAUUAAAGCCCAAACAAUUUACCAAAUUUCAUCUCUGUACUCCGCAGAGACGCUAAACGAGACAUAUUUGGUCCAUCUCUGAACAUCUUUUCUUACUGUUCUUACAAUAGAAAGGGCACAAAAUUGACUUACACAGUCUUGCACAAUACUCACUUUGCUUCAACCCAUAUUUCACUUUGUCAAAUCAUACACGUUCCUGCAACAGGUGAACUCAUAUUUAUCUACCACUUCUUGCUAAUUUUAAUUUUUCCAUUCCCAUUUUUACUACAAGUUUUCACAUAAUUUUUUUAUUGCAUUUGUCAAUUCUUUAUACUUUUUAAUUGUAUUUUUUUUUUUGUCUUUUAUGUGUUUUCUAUGUUGGCACAAGGUUACAACAGUAUUAAACAAUUACAGGUCCUCCAGAGGUUUGCUUAUUGCCCUAUUUCAUCAAGCUCGGUAUAAAUAGAUCUUAAUUUUUUACUACAGUUAAAUACAUGGACAUGCCUCCACAAAUACAAAUUAGUUCUUGCUUAAAUACUUUGUGUGUUUACAUAGAAAAUGUUCCCAUCGUCUACCAAAAUCCUCCACACAUGAAAACAAAAAUUCUUACUCAAAAUACUUAUUACAAUACCACCAUAUCUGUUGUUUUUUAUUAAAUUAACACACUGUUUUCAAUUUUAUCUUCAACACAAAAGAAAAUGCUCUUACACAAUGUGUUUGCUUACAUUUUAUAACUUAUCUACCACAUGUUAAUCGCAGUUAUAUAAAUAGGAAAAUACGUGUUCAAUAGAAGUGUGAUGCAUGUCACUUCGUUAACAAUAGUGGAAACUAAACAAUUAAAUAAUUUGUUUCAAUUAGUUAGUACAUUUUAUAAAUUUCUCAAUUAGAACUGUUUCAGUAUAUUUAAUACAUUUUUAAACAACUUUCCAGUUAGUUGCCCAAACUAAUUAUUCCAGCUUAUUCACAGUAUAAUACCAACAAUUUAACAACCAAUGAUACUUCGUUUAACAUAAACUUCAUUUGGAAAAAACAAAAAAAAUCUUUUUCUCUGCUGAAAAAAUCAACAGAUUUAAUGAUGUAGAUCAGUUAUACCAACAAAUUACCAUAGUUUACCCAAUGCUAUACAGGUUUGACUUUUGUUUAUAUUCUUGGAUCUGUUGCUUGGUUGUAUAAUUUGGCUGUGUGUUUUGUUUCAGGACAAUUUGUUCUUCGUUUCUUGAGGCUUCUAUGUGUAGAUUUGAACCGUUUAGCUUUCAAACCGUUUAUACUCAAGGUAAAUAAUUUCGUUUGUUUCUUUUUAACCUUUUUUGUAAGAAUUUUUUAUUUAAUGUUGUGAGAGUUGUGUUUUCUAUAGUAUGGAAAUUGAAUCUUUGUGAUCUUAUAUCGUUAGAUACGUUGCUUGGUUAAUGUGAACACGGAAAAUUCCCGAAACGAAAAAGACAAGAACAACGUGCACAAACAAAUAUUUUGUAUUUGAUGAUUAUUUUGGGUUACAAUCUCUCUCUAAUUUGAUCCUCUGAUUCGAUCUCCGUAAGAUAUUGGUUUGUGGAUGUGCGAUUGAUCCAAGGGCCGUCGAGGCUUGAUCUUGGAUGAACGGUGAUGAACGGAUCUUCAAGGGCUUUUGGGCUUGAUCUUGAAGAAUAGUGAUGAACGGGUCUUCAAGGGCUUUUGGGCUUGAUCUUGAAGGAUGGUUGGAUGUGUGGAUUUGUCGACGUUGUUAAUCCAAAGGGCUGUUGGGGCUUGAUCUUAGGAUGAACGGAUGAUGAACGAAUAACACUUUCUUCAAGGGCCGUCGGGGCUUGAUUUUGAAUUGGUGAAAGUUCUUCAAGGGCCGUCGGGGCUUGAUCUUGAAGGUAGAUGAUUGUUGAUCCAAGGGCUGUCGGGGCUUGAUCUUGGAAGAACGAUGAACGAAGAACGAAGAAGGCUUUCUUGAUUCUUCGGGAACCUGGAUGCUUGAGAGCUUCGGAGUUUCAGAGCUUCAGAGCUUCAAGGUGUAAUAUGAAUUUGGUUCCCUUAAAUGAAUGAAAUUGGCUUCUAUUUAUAGAAUUUUCCAAGGCCUAAUUUUGAAUAUAAUAUUCCAGAUGAAAUAAGUCGUUUCUGCCAAGUGUUGACACGUGUCCUAUUUGAUGACUUUUCCGACUCAUUUCAAUUUUUCGUCGAGUCACACACUACGUGUAAAAUUUAUGUAAUACAUGAGCGUUGAAACUUUGAUUUAUCAGUCAACAUUUAUUUACCAAAAUUUCGAUGUCUACAAAUGCCCCCACUUCAAGGCGCGUCGUAUACAUGUGCUUGUCACGUGUAGGAGAUGCGUUUUGAAGUCCCCUUACUGUAGAUGUCGAUCCAAGGGCCGUCGAGGCUUGAUCUUGAACCGGGCUGGAGAUUUCUUCAAGGGCCGUUGAGGCUUGUUCUCGAACUUUGUUCGAAAUUUCUUCAAGGGCCGUUGAGGCUUGAUUUUGAAUUGGGCUGAAAGUUUCUUCAAGGGCCGUUGAGGCUUGAUCUUGAAUUGGGUUGAAAGUUUCUUCAAAGGCCGUUGAGGCUUGUUCUUGAACCUUGUUUGAAAUUUCUUCAAGGGCCGUCGAGGCUUGAUCUUGAAUUGGGCUGGAAGUUUCUUCAAGGGCCGUCGGGGCUUGAUUCUUGAAGGUGGAUGAUUGUUUAUUCAAGGGCCGUUGAGGCUUGUUCUUGAACCUUGUUUGAAAUUUCUUCAAGGGCCGUCGAGGCUUGAUCUUGAAUUGGGCUGGAAGUUUCUUUAAGGGCCGUCGGGGCUUGAUUCUUGAAGGUGGAUGAUUUUUUCUUCAAGGGCCGUUGAGGCUUGUUCUUGAACCUUGUUUGAAAUUUCUUCAAGGGUCGUCGAGGCUUGAUCUUGAAUUGGGCUGGAAGUUUCUUCAAGGGCCGUCGGGGCUUGAUUCUUGAAGGUGGACUCGAACACAUGGCAAGCAGGCACGAGGUGAAGGUGACGGUCUGUUUCUUUGCUCAAUCUUUCCAAGUGCCGACCGAUUGCUUUUCUUUCUCCUUGUCCCGCAGGCAAGAGCAAGGGUAAAAGAAAAGCAUGCCAUGAGAUAUCUUUGUUUUUGACUCUGAUGAUAUGAGGUACUUCUGCUUUUGAAGAAGUUGCGGAUGAAUCGACACGUGCUUUGUUGUGCUUGUCUCCACAUGCUCAGACUCUUGGCAGAAUGUGAAAGGUGGCAUUUUCUCGAGUUACUCAACUCAGACUCAUUCUGCUGAGUUGACUGUGCGGGCCGCAUUCUUCUCUGCUUGUUUCUUCUGGCAGCCUUGCUCUCGAGUACUCAUCUUUAACAUCUUAUGUUUCUUCUUUGUCUACCACACUGUGGAAGACGAGUACUCGAGAGUAAUACCAUGUAAGCAAUCAGAAAAGGGUUCCAAGCAGUCGGUUCCAGAUCGGAAGAUUGAUACCAAGUGUUGGCUGAUUGCUUUCCUUCUCAUUGUCCUACAGGUUAGAACAAAGACAAGGAAAAGGACACGGAGAAUGCAUGAUAUGAGAUACUCUUGCUUUCUCCCUUCAUGAUAUGAAAUACUUUUGCUUUUCAAGAUUUGUUUGCAGAGGUAUCCUAUGGGAUGAAGAACACUGAGUGAGUUGAGAGGGUUUGUUGGAAAGCCAUUUGUCGGAGAUGACGGAAUGUUAUGUAUGUCUGCCUUGCCAUGGAGCGUGAAGGUCGACAUUUGUAGGAAAUAAUAACUGGUACUGUUCUUUCACUCCUGUCGGCAACCGUUGGAUGAUUGAACAGUAAACUUCACGUGAUUUCCUCAAAGCUUUUUCUGCAUGCGACAAGUGCUGACGAGGCUGAGAGAGACAUGCGAUUGGAAUCGGCGCUUCGACAAACUUUUCCAUGAUUUUCGCAAAGCUGACGAGGCUGAGAAAGACAGAUGGUUUGGAAUCGGCGUUUCGAUAAACUGCCCGUGAUUUCCGCAACGCUGACGAGGCUGAGAAGGACAGAUGGUUUGGAAUCGGCGUUUCGACAAAUUGCCCGUGAUUUCUGCAACGCUGAGUUUGCGUGUGACAGGUGCUGACGAGGCUGAGAAAGCUGACACUUCUUCGAUUUUUGAGAUCAGUCCGUGAUCCUUGAGUAGGCCUAGCUUUGGAGAAAGCAGGCGCUUCAUCGAUCUCUGAACUCGCCUCUUCGAUCUCUGAAAGCCCAUCGCAUGCUGUUUUUUUAUAGAGGUACGCAAGACAUUCAAAGCACACUUGAAUUUCUACCUGUGAAAAAAAACUCCCCUUUUGCAUAUCUGAGAUCUUUAAUUUGCCCGACCUCUUCAUUUUGUUGAACACCUUCGGAAAUGUCUUUCCCAUCUGACCGUCGUCUUGACUUGAAUAUCGAAGAAGAUAUUGACAUGUCUUCUCCAGGCAACAUUUGGCAGCUGUCCUUCGUAUCCUCCAACGAACCUCUUACGGUUGGGGACACUGUGAUGAGGAAUGACGCAACGGCUGCAGUGGUUGCUAGAAAUCUUCUCACUCCUAGGGAUAGUAAGAUGCUUUCCAAGCGGUCCGACGAGAUGGCUGUUCAAGACUCUCUGGCCUUCAGCGUCCAAUGUGCGGGCUCAGUAUCAAACAUGGGCCAACGCCUUCUUGCUCGAUCUCGUCAGGUUGAGUCUUUGAUGGCCGAGGUGGCUAGUCUUCGGCAGGAGAUCAGAGGGCUUAGGCACGAGAAUAAAGAGUUGCAUAUGCUAGCAACUAGUUACUCAACGAGCAUGAAGAAGAAGCUAGACCAACUGCAGGAGUGUGAAGUUCGGGCUCGAAAUGAUCAUCAAAGGUUUAUGGCGUUACUCCCGAGGCAUCUUCUGCCUUCGUCAUCUGGCGCUUCACCAAAUGUUGAGGCUCCGGAAAAUCAAACUCUGGCGCUUCGUCUUUCUGGAGCUUUACCAAGUGUGGAGGCUUCAGUUGAUCCACCUCCGGUGCUUCGUCUUUCUGGAGCUCCGUCGAGUACUGAGGCACCACAUGAUCAUCCUUGAAGAUCCUUUCCUGUAAAUUUGAUUUGACUUUUUUUUUAAGGUAUGUAUAAUGUAAAAUUUCUAGAAAAAUAAAAUGGACUUUAUUUCUCUGAACAUGUUUUUUUUGUUUUUUUUUUUGGCUGUAUAUUUUCUCUUUAAUCAUGGUGCACCCAUUUUCCACAUGGUGCCAGACGGACCAAAGAUCAAACAUUUCCUUUUUUUAUUUUUUUAUUUUUUCUUUAAUCAUGGUGGCAGACGCAUAAACAAUUUCAUUUAUAUUUUUUUUUCUUUUUGCUGGCACAUGGUGCCAGAUGCACCAUUCAUUUAUAUAUAUUAUUAUAUAUGUUUUUUUUAUUUUUUUUUAUUUGCACAUGGUGCCUGAUGCACCACCUCUUUUUUUUUCACGUGGUGCCAGCAUCACUUUGCUCCACCAUCCAUUUUUUUUAUUUUUAUUUUCUGUAUAAAUUUGGGUGAUGGGUAGAGGAUUUUGCAGGCAGGGAGCAAGGAGGCCGAGAAGAUGGUGCUUCGAACUUCAUGACCGGCUAGUCGUUUGACGGCGGUCGUUGAAGUCGUUGGCAGUUGCGAGGCAAAAGACGGAGGAGAAGGUGGAGUAGGUGACCUUGAUGUCGGAUCCAGCUAGAACCCAGAGCACAGCGACUGAGCCCAAUCACCGAGCACAACCGCUGCACACCCGUUGUACUGCCACCGAGCACUGCCACUGCGCAUCUGUUGCACUGCCAAUUGCUGCAAAGGAUUAUGUUUAACGGCGGAGACGCUGCCCUAUUUGCCAUGCUAUGCCGACGUGCUUCACAUAAUUAACCAUCCAGAAUUGUUAAACAUUCCAUCUGGGUUUAUCGCAAAAACAGAAGAAGAAAAAAACCAAGAUCCAUCCAUGCCAAACACCAAUCUGCCAUCUUUUUGGGAUUUGUACGACAUCAUCAGCCAAAACCUGCUUGGUCCGCUCGCAAAUUGUGGGAGAGGAAGAGUUGGCGGAGCAGCUGUAACACUGGAAAAUGGAGGACGUUGACGAGUCCUCCAAGUUGUUCUUGACGUUGGUGCUGGAGAAACCUGCCUCUCUCAUGACUCUGCUGACACUUGGGUCGUCAAGGAUGGGGAUGAUGAGCUGCUCGAGCUCGACUUUGAUGGUUAAGAGCGGCUGCUGCUGCUGCUCGAUGCAGUCUCUUCUCUGAUGGGCUUGGGCUCUCUUGAGGGCGUUGGAGAGAGAGGGCUGCCCGUGGAGGAGAGGGCAUGGAGUUGUUGGGAGAAAUCAGGGCCGGAAUGGAAAAUAUUCCCGAGCUGCAUCAACGAGGAGAUAACACCGCUAAGUUAUUCAUCUGGUUUGCUUUAGUCAAAUGGAUCAAUCCGCGGGUCAUGCUCGCUUGCCAUCAUCAUCCCAGUGCACAGGCAUGUCGGGCACAUGACCUUUCCAGCACCAGAGCAAUUUGGGCACCUCUCAGUUGUGGGCACUCGCAAAGGUUGGUCUGAUGCACUAGAUGCUGAUAUAGGAUUGAUGUUCAAGCACACUCCACUUGCAGAACAUCUAGCACAGGCCAAGUACCCAGUUCCAUGGCAAUAUUUGCACCUUUUCUUCUCUUGCUGCUCAACAUUAUUAGCUUCAAUCAACAUCAAUGCUGAAAUGACACCCACUGCCCCACCGGAGAAGGAUGCCACAAUAGGAUCAACCUGACUUAAUUGUAAAGGCAGAUGCAUGCUACGAAUGAAAUCUUCAUACGAGGUACCUCCUAUACCUAAUUUUAGUUCCAACGAUGGCGCAAUGAGACCCCCAAAUACAAUUACACUAGAUAUCAUAGAUAAGCUUGUGAGGUAGAGCUGCUUCAACGUCUUUGGUGUCAUAUGAGGGAGAAAAGGGAUAGUGGAUGGAAUGUCAGGCAUCUCAUUUGACUCUUCCUCACAAGCCUCAUCCAUAUCUCUCGCCAUCUUUAUCCGUUGCUGCACCCGCAAUCUCCUUAGCUCUUCCAUGAGAAGAAAAAUCUUGUUGUGCCGGCUUCUUAUGUUGUCCUAAAUUUCCUGUAGUUGCAUCUGCACAAAGUCCUGCACCGUCUCCGGCUCUUCUAUGAUACAAAAAGUGCUUGGCGUGUUAUCGCCGGGGAAUGAUUCCUUGGAAGCAGAACAGGAAAUUUGGGGAUGCGGGGAGGUGAAUUUGGACAGAGAGAGACGUCUAGGGAUUCCAUGGGAGGGGGGUUGAGAGUGGUUUUUUGCCGGCGCCUCUAGGGUAGUCGUCGUUGGCUAUUGCUAUAGAGAGGUCAAUGACUUCACCGGAGAUGGCGUUGUUCUGGAGCCCGAGCGUGAGAAGCCGGGUGAGAUUGUCUGGAAAGGGUCCCCAGAGGUUGUUGUCGGCGAGGUCGAGAAGCUUGAGCUUGGUGCAAUUGACGAGAGGAGAAACGGUGUCGUUGAGGCGGUUGUUGUGGAGGUCGAAGAGUGAGCUGGGCGAGAUCAGAGAACCUUGACGAAUUCGGAGCGUUGAGGGUUAUCAACACGAUCCCAUCGACGAAGAAGAAGCAGAAUGGGCCUCUUGCGGGGCCUAUGGCAUCAACCGGUCUUUGGGCUUCUGGGCCAGUAAAUUGGAGAGAAGCCUGGGCUUUUGACUUGCAGAGAGAUUAGGCUCUGGGAGCCGCUUGUAGUAUUGUGGCUAAAGGGGUUGCUUCCUGUGGCCACUUAUAUAUAUAUAUUUUGUAAAUACAUAAAACAUUUAUCUCUUUUUUUUUCUUUUUUUUUUGUACAAAGAAAUUGUAAUAGCAUCAAAACUUUUAAUAAAAUCUUUAUUCCUUAUUUUGGUGUGACUGAACUCAAAUUUUGAAUAUUCGAGUUGCCUACGUACCUCUCCAAAGAAGAGAUCAAGUCGUAACGUAGUUCAAAUGAGUGAUGAAUUUAACAGUGAUUUUGAUGAUGAUUUUGUCGUACACAGUUUAUGCUCUUGCGGGCCAGGAGCUUUGGUUCGUGCAGUUUAGGCUCGUGCGAACAAGGAGUGUUGGUGUUGCCUUUUAUGCUCGUGCAGACCAGGAGCGUUGGUGUUGCCUUUUAUGCUCGUGUAGACCAGGAGCUUUGUGCCAUGCAGUUUAGACUCGUGCAGGCAAGGAGCGUUGGUGUUGCCUUUUAUGCUCGUGCAGACCAGGAGCGUUGGUGUUGCCUUUUAUGCUCGUGCAGACCAGGAGCUUUGUGCCAUGCAGUUUAGACUCGUGCAGGCAAGAAGUGUUGGUGUUGCCUUUUAUGCUCGUGCAGACUAGGAGCUUUGUUGUGCCAUGCAGUUUAGGCUCGUGCAGGCGAUGAGCUUUGGUUCAUGCAGUUUAGGCUCGUGCGAACAAUGAGCAUUGUGCCAUGCAGUUAGGCUCAUGCAGGCGAGGAGCGUUUAUUGGUUCGUCAAGCGAUCCAGGAGAGUCGUUCCUCGCAAUCUUCAUAGCAAGGAGCCUUGACUGAGUGAUUGAAGAAGUCUUUGGGGAAGAAAUCGCGCAUCGUGAUGGGGAUGGACGAUAUUUGUGUCGUCAUUUCAUCAUCUUCAACACUUUCACUUUUCUUUGAAGGUUGACAAGAGCUGCUUUGCCCCAUUUCCGAUUGGCGGACUUGUGGAUGAGACGUAUGCUUCUUCUGCAGUUUCUCUAGAGUGACAUGAGUCAUUCCUUCAACUUCGCUUGGCUCAACUGGCAUGGUUUUGGAGCAUGCCCCCAGCGAUUGAGGUGAAGAUUUUGAGUUGACAAAGCCGGAAGUGACGUCUUCUUCCAUGAUUUCAUCUUCUUUGUCUUCUUGGGCUUGUUGGCGUGAAGAUUGGCCGGCGUAGAUGAUGGUGCGCCUCUUUACCUUCAGUGGUCCUUUUGUGUCGACCUCCCAAGCUGUUUGGCGCUUUAUCCUUGAAUGAAUCAAGCUUCGAACGUCGUCUUUUCCUGCUAGACCGUCGAGCUUUUCUUCCUUUGGCGUUGUCUUCCUAUUUCUAGAAUGCUUCUUGGUUUCUUCAAGUUUUUCCAAAGCCGAUCGUUGGGGAGGAGAGCCAGCCUUGCUGCUUUGUUUCUUAGGUUUUGACAACCUUUCAAAAACAGAGCUUUGGGGUGUUGGCGUGUUAAGCCGUUUGAAGAUGGAAGUUCGGUCUUGCCCACCAAUGCGAUCAAGUGCCGACCUUCUGGGUUUUGAACGAUUCAGCCUAUCGAAGACUGACACUCGAAUAGGAGGUUGAGGCUCCUCUUGAUCUUGUUCAAUCCUCAAGCUGAUGUGUCGAGUGCUAGCAUUUUUUGCUUUACUUGAAAUCUUCACGGGUGCAUUUGGUGUGAAGCCAAGUCUAGCUCUGUUGUUGUCAACUCCGUAAUCAUGCUUUUCCAACUUCUUCUGAGUCUCGGUGAAGUCAUGAUCUUUGUCGUUGAUGGUGUUUGAAACCUUCUUCUCAAGAUUUGAAGAGGAAGCAAAGUCGUACCCAGCCUUUAACAUGAGUUCGUAGGCGUUUGGGUUGAGACCUUCUUCGGUCCUCUUAGUUGGAAUGAAGCUUGGGUUCGCUUUGACGCCAUGAUGCGCCUCCAGACGGUUGAUAAGUCCAACGGUUUGCAAGUUUUUCUCCUCCGCAGUCUUUAUCAGCCUUGCAAUUGUUUCCUUCAUCUGAACUAGUUGUUCUUCAAUAGAGGUAGCGCCGAUGGUCAUGACUUGUUCUUUGUUUGAAGCCAUGAAGUGUGCUUGAAUUUCUUGAACAGAGAAAGAGAUGAGAGGUAGAGAUUGUCCCACUGGGCGUGCCAAUUUGUGAACACGGAAAAUUCCCGAAACGAAAGAGACAAGAACAACGUGCACAAACAAAUAUUUUGUAUUUGAUGAUUAUUUUGGGUUACAAUCUCUCUCUAAUUUGAUCCUCUGAUUCGAUCUCCGUAAGGUAUUGGUUUGUGGAUGUGCGAUUGAUCCAAGGGCCGUCGAGGCUUGAUCUUGGAUGAACGGAUCUUCAAGGGCUUUUGGGCUUAAUCUUGAAGAAUAGUGAUGAACGGGUCUUCAAGGGCUUUUGGGCUUGAUCUUGAAGGAUGGUUGGAUGUGUGGAUUUGUCGACGUUGUUGAUCCAAAGGGCCGUUGGGGCUUGAUCUUAGGAUGAACGGAUGAUGAACGAAUAACACUUUCUUCAAGGGCCGUCGGGGCUUGAUCUUGAAUUGGUGAAAGUUCUUCAAGGGCCGUCGGGACUUGAUCUUGAAGGUAGAUGAUUGUUGAUCCAAGGGCCGUCGGGGCUUGAUCUUGGAAGAACGAUGAACGAAGAACGAAGAAGGCUUUCUUGGUUCUUCGGGAACCUGGAUGCUUGAGAGCUUCGGAGUUUCAGAGCUUCAGAGCUUCAAGGUGUAAUAUGAAUUUGGUUCCCCUAAAUGAAUGAAAUUGGCUUCUAUUUAUAGAAUUUUUCAAGGCCUAAUUUUGAAUAUAAUAUUCCAGAUGAAAUAAGUCGUUUCUGCCAAGUGUUGACACGUGUCUUAUUUGAUGACUUUUCCGACUCAUUUCAAUUUUUCGUCGAGUCACACACUACGUGUAAAAUUUAUGUAAUACAUGAGCGUUGAAACUUUGAUUUAUCAGUCAACAUUUAUUUACCAAAAUUUCGAUGUCUACAGUUAAAUGAUUUGGCUGUGUGCAUUGUUUCAGGACAAUUUGUUCUUCGUUUUUUGGGGCUUCUGUGCGUAGCUUUGAAGUCCUUUGUAGUCAACAUAAAUAAUUUUAUUUUUCUUUGUUUUUAGUCUUCUAUGUAAGAAUUUCUUAGUUAAUAUUCUGAGAAUUAUGUUUACUAUAGUAUGAAAAUUGAAUCUUUGUGAUCUUCGAAGUGUAACGUCAUUGCAACAUGGACGACUGCCAUUAUCGAACAUGAAAAACAUUUUGAUUUCUGUACUCCGUCUAGUAGAAAACUCUCGACUUCUUCAGAAACCACGAGAAACUUAAAACUGAGAAAGCUUCGCGGUCUCCCUUCCAUCUCUGCUACGCGGUCUCUGCUUUGCGAUCUCUGCUUCCUUCGUGAUUUCUUCCUUCCUGAACGACAUCUAUUCGAAUUGAAAACCUUCUGGAGCUCUCUUCCCCAAAUUUCAGCAGCAACUUUGCUCCAGAUCUUUCCAAUUGAAAUUCCUCUCCUUCACAUUUUGCAUAUUGAAUUUCGCAUCAUCAUCAUCUCCCUAGAACCUAGGAGUUCGGUUCGGUUUCGAGUUUUCCGACGGAAAUCCGGCGACAGCGGCCAUCGAGGUUGGUCUGAAACUAUUCCUCAUCACCACAGGUACUUUCUACACCUAUUACAUUUUAGAAAAAGUUUCAUGACUUUGUGGAAUCCAAUUUAACGAUUAGAAAAAUUUUCAUUAAUUUUCUGGGUUCGUGAGUUGGAGGGGGAUUAGAAAUUUUUUCAUUAUUUUUCUGGGUUUGUGGUUUUUUUUUUCCAAAACGUUUUUCCUUUCUACUAAUCCAAGUUCCUUCACAUCAAUCUCUCUGUUUUGUUCUUGAUCUUCCUCGAGUAGAAUACCUCUUCUUGCUCUGGAGCGCGUGGGCAGUCUCUCUAAGGCAGCCCAUGACGUCAUUUUCCGAUUCGACUCGGAGGAGGUUGGCUGCUCUUCUUGGCUGAGCUUCAUGGCUGGCCGAAUUCCCCUAUUCCCUUCCUCUUAUACUUUUUUAUAUUCGUUCACCAAAACAAUAGGAAAACGUCUCCGUCUGUUUGAUUGACGGCGAAAAAAAAAAAGACGGAGAAUAAAAGCCUGACGGAAGCUGAAAGCUUGGACUCUGUUUGUAUUUUUAAUGGAUUUUCAGAACACAGGUCAAGAAUAUUGCGAUUUGAGAAAAAAAGAAAGAACCACGUUGACAUAAUAUAUUCACAAUAGGUGUACAAGGUUCAUAAAGCUUUACUGUGGUUCCAUUUUUUGUUAAUGGAAUUAGCCUUUUGUUUUAGGAAGAACUUGGAACCCCCUCCGUCCAUUCUAUCCCCAAUGGAAUUAACACUUAGAUAGUACUAUGACAAUGUGUCAUUAUUUGAUGCAUACCUGUAUAAAUUUAGGCUAAGUGUUUUAUACACAAAUUGAUACAGAUUAACUAUACAAUGAUAACUAUAUACCGGAGAGCUAACUAUACAAUGAUACAUUCUUAUCUGUUAAUUAUCUUUGGUUACCAGCUAUCCAUGUUGCUGUCAUAUUAAACUACACAACAUCAGUUGUAAUUUAUGUCUUAUUAGUAUCAUCAUUUUUGUUCAUUAUUUCAAUGUCUAACAUAACUCCGCCUAUGUCUUACAUGGCCGGUCCCAAGCCCGGAUAAAGGAGGAGGGGGAGGGCGUCAGGUAGUCGACAGCCGGCACUCCAUGAUCACGUCGAAUCCUUAUGAAAAUGAAUCCAGAACAAAACCCCACUUAGUGGGAAAAGGCUUUGUUGUUGUUGUAUUUCAAUGUCUAACAUGAUGAUCUGGUUUCAAUUUGCUACAGGCAUUAUUUCCAGACAAUAGCUAUGGUUUUGAUUGUAGCGGUGACUGAAAAAUUAUUCCGAAACUAACAUUUGAGGAAUUCAAGGUUUGUUAGUUAAUUUGUACAUCAGAAUACCAUGACAAACUAUGAAGUUGUAAUUGUUGACCUUACAAUGUAUCUUUUUUGGUUUGGAGCAUUAGACUUAUAUGUGUUGCUUUCACCUCAUGAAGGCUAACUCUUUAUUUUAGGCCGUAAGAGUAUAAUUUCUUGGAGAAUCUACAUUGUUGAUAAUUUUUUGAACAAUAUUAUCCCCAAAAUUUCUCCGCAUGUUACCCUCAACGUAGACAUCAUAUAACCAUCAUUGAACUUCUGAACCAAAAAUUUGAGUUUUAUGAUUAUAACUAAACGUCUAUAAACACAUGAUACAGAUUGAGACGAAUGUCAAAUUUAAAAUGGCAUUAAUACAGCUGCAAACUCUGAUUUGCGGGAUUUGAAAUGGAGCAGUUACUUCUUGCUUCACUUCAGCAGCAUAGUCCAGCUUCUAAAUUCAGUUCUCAGGUAUGAGGUUUCUCAGUUACCUCUUUUUUGUAAUAAAACAUUUGAUCAGUACUUGCCAGGAUAUCCAAUUAAUUAGGUCAGUUUUUGUUAGCAGUAAUAAUUUGUUUUUGCAGCUUUAUAUGUGUCUCUGUCUCCAAAUAUGAUGAUCUCUUAAUUUGCUUCUAUAGCUUUUGUAAUAUAAUGAUCUCUUAAUUUUCUUUUGCAUAUCUUCUUUGCUUCCUCUGCUAGCUCUAUAUGAGAUUCCAUCUCCAAAUAAUUAUUCCUUAUUUCCUAUUUUUACCAGAAGCAAAUCAUUGAAUACACAUGGUAAAUUAAAAGGGUUUUAGUUUUUGGAGUAGUUUAAAUUUUUUGUUUGUUAUUGCUUGUAUUGCUGUUAAAUAUUUGAUGGGUAGUUUGAAAUGGGGAACUUGGUUGAUUGAGUAUUAACUUUUAUUAAAUUAAUAUUCUUAUUCAAUAUUGAAUUAAGACUCCUCUUAUUAAAUUAAGACUCUUAAGGCUCUAAUCUAAUGUUCAUGCUCAAUAUCUCCUCUAUCUUUCUACAAUUGGUAAAACUUUUGUAUUAUUAUUCCAAUUUUGGUUACUGGGUUGUGGAAUUUUCCAUUUUUUUUCUGGGUAAUCAAUACUAUAUAUAUGCAUGACAAGUAUAAACAAUAUUUUGGGGCAAAUUUAGUUGUUUAAUUUUUAAUUUUUAUGUGACAGUGAGAUUAUGGUAGGAUUUCGUUUAGAUUCUGCGGCCCAAUGGGAGUCUCUGCUUUGAUAAGAUUGGGGUUGAUGCCAAGAAAGCCAAUAAGCCUACUGUGGACGCCGUAGCCGCCUGGCGCUGUUUUCCAAAAUCCUCUCUCACUUGGUUAAGCAAUUAAGACUUUUUGGUUCAGUUUUUAUUAUGCCCAAUUUUGUAUUUAAACCUUAAAAAAAUUUAAACUGAUAUGGGGAUACUGAAAUAGGCUGCAGAGCUGCCAUCCCUGAAUCAGAAGAUGUUCAGAAGGAAGAAGAAGAACAAGAAGAAAGUCGUGGAAUAUCAAAAGCUUUUAGCUUUGUGAAGGUAUGCUUUUUCCCAACUCACCUCUUGCUUUUGUUGCACUGAAUUGGUAGAUUGGGUUCAAAAAUAUAUAUAUGUGAUUUUUCGUGUAACUAUUUCUUUACAUAAUUACCAAUUGGAGGUGAUUUGAGAUCAUGUAACAUUUCCUCGCUAGAACCGAAGAUUGCCGUCGCUCAGAGCUGCGUUUCAUGAAACAAGUUCAUCUCCUGCCAAUUUUGUGUACCCACCUUUUAUUCAUGAGGGUUGGUGCUUGCUUGCAACACAAUUUGGUGCUAUUAAGUUUUGCGGUUUUACAAUUUGUUCAUGCUUAAACCUCUUUCAAAUUUUCAUUUCUAUGUAAAUCUUGCAGGUAGGACGACACACCUAUCUUGGCAAUGUCGGGAUGUCUAGGCUUGGGUGGAGACGUGGUCUUAUGGAAGAGGUGAAGUAGCUUAGCUCGAUCUCAUUAGCUCUUAUCUGUUCUAUUAUGCUAAGAUCAAUAGUAAAAAGUUCUAUUGAUUUUAUAAUCAAAGAUACAUAUAUUAUAGAAACAGAGGGUAUAUAAUUAAUUUCUUGAUGUAAACAAUUAUAACUUGAGGAACCAUUUAAAGUAUUUUGGUAAUCAGCAUACUUAAACUUAAAUGUGAUAUAUCCGUUUAGUAUUUUUUUUAUACAGUGAUAAUACUUAAGUAUAAUUUACAUCAUAUAUCUUUUGAAGUACAUGAAACUAUGAAGAAAAUGAUAAACCAAAUCCCAUUCCAUCUCUGUUUGCUACUGCACAAUCACAAUCCAAUUCCAACAUGGAAUCCUCAGACGACAUGCCUACUGCAGAACAAGUUUCAUCCUGACUUAACUUAUAUUUAGUCCACGUCCUGUUUAGAUUGUAAUCCUAGUUCUACGUGUGUUUGUAUAGUACUCCUAUAAAUAUCAAUGAACAUCGCUCACUCUAAUUAAGAGUUGAGAUUCUGCAAAUCAUAUUUACUAUCUUUCAUGGUAUCACGAGCCAGCGUCUAACGACAACGGUUCCUAUUAUAAUUUUUUUCUCUUUUGCAGAUCCUAAACUAUGGCAUCUUCUUCCUCCUCCGCUGCUCCCUCCAUCACAAAUUUUCUUACGAUCAAGCUCGACCGCAACAACUACCCUCUUUGGCAUGCUCAGUUUCUUCCCUUGCUGCGCAGCCGCAACUUACUCUCUUAUGUUACUGGCGAAACUCAAUGCCCCUCUUUCUUCUUGAUGACAAUGGUAAAUUCACCGAUAAAGUCAAUCCAUUAUAUAAUGAAUGGAUCCAGACUGACCAGAUGAUCCUAUCUUGGAUUACGAGUUCUCUUACUCCCAAGGUUCUUGCUACGAUCGUCAACAAAAUUGAUUCGGCCUCUGCUUGGUCGUCAAACUCGAAUUAAUCUGAUUGUGAGGGUUUUGUUUUAUAUCAAUAUAUUGCAACAGAAGUCACACUUUGAAGAGUUCAUGCUGCACAGAAAGAUGAUGAAAUGCUACCCGUUGAGUCUAUCAUUGCUCCAUUGGAGACAGAGCUGAAGCUUACUGCAGGAGUUAUACAUUUGUUAUGCAAUAUGACCCCUUUAAUUUUAUUUUAAAACUGAUACAAAAAUACUACAAAAAUUUAUGUAGUAUUUUUGUAUCAGUUUUGAGUGUCUAUUUUGGCUUCCAUAUAUCGUCUGUACAUGUGAGAGGUAUAGUGUUCAAUAUGUAUUUGGUUUCUAUAUUGUUAAUGGAUCCUUUUUUUUUUUUUAAUUUUAAUAUAAUUUUAUUAAGGUAACCAAGUUGCAGGAUGACAUCAGAACACUUGAUCUGCAGGUAAACCUUCAAUUUCCAUAUGAAGUUUGCAUGUUCGUUGUUUCUGGAAUUUGAGUUUUUAUUAUUUCUCAAUUCUAUCACAUAGAUUACGAUUUCACAUAUGUGAUUAUUAAUGGCAAUUAUAUGAUAGAAGAAUUGGGAUUGGAAGAAGAUAUUGAGUUGUUUAUUUAUGGGGAUUAGAAAAUGAUUAUCAUACAAGUGAUAUUUAUUUUUGUGUGGAUUGUUAAUAUAUAAAACUAUAAGCUUUUGAGAUUGGGAGAUAAAACCCACAAAUUCAAAUCAGACAAAAUAAAUAAAAAAUUUAACUGACUUAAAGAUCAAACUCCAAAAGGGUAUUAAAAACAAGGCUUAUUUGAUCCAUUGAGUGUGAAAGUUUUGAGCUUUGAAGAAGCAUAGGAGGAGAGUUGUUAACCAAGCUGCAUUAUCCAUGUAUUAGGAUGUUGAGGGUAGGCAGGAAAAAUACUUUUUGACGCCAUAUCCAGAGGAGCAUAACGACAGGCCUGCAUUUUUGCAGCAAGGACCAAAACAAGUAGAAGUGAAGGCUUGACUGUUUGGGUAUUAAUCCUAAACCUAAUUAUUCUUAUUUAGGUUUAGGAUAAAUGAUUGAGUGUGUCUCGAUGAUUGUAUUACCAUGUUUGAUGAAUGACUUGAGGAGUUGGAAAUGGUUUAUUGCUUAUGUUUUUCUUAGGUGUGUACUUUGGUUAUUUCCGAGCUUUUCACGACUCUUGAUACCUAAUAGAGAAAAUGGAAACCCCAACUUUAAUUUUAUGAAUUGGUUUUGGUGCCUAAAAUGAAAUCUAGCAUAGUGAAAUCUUGCAUAAUGAAAUUAUGACAAAUUUCCCUUCAUCUUUAGAUUUUCAUUUAGUUCAAUUUGUAUGCAAUUUAGGGUUAUUCAAUUCAUGAGUGAUCAAAUUAUGUUUUUAAUUCCUUCUUCUUUUGAUUUACAGUUCAACAUUGUCGUACAAAAUGAAAAAGGUGCCAGUAACAUAGUUAUGGAUUUGGAUGCCUUUAGCGGAAUAAAACUGAAUUUUUUAACUUUGUAUAGUUGUAAACAUAAAAUACUCCAUCAGAUAGACUCAUAGCAUUUGAAAACAAUCCUUGAGGAUGGCAUAACAACAUCUCCAACUUUUGUCAUGUAAUGUAUGAAUGUAAAUAGCACUUUGUAAACAUAUGGAUGUAAUAUAUGUAUAUAAACAGUCUUUAGCAUGUAUAUUUUUCAAAACUUUCUACAUCUUCAACAAUGUUUCAAUGAUUUCUUGAUGUAAACAAUGAUAAUUUGAAGAACCAUUUAAAGUUUUCGGUAAUCAGCAUACUUAAGCUUAAAUGUGAUAUAUCCGUUUAGUAUUUUUUAUACAGUGAUAAUACUCAAGUAUAAUUUACAUCAUAUAUCUUUUGAAGUACAUGAAACUAUGAAGAAAAAACCCUAAUUAAUCUGAUUAUGGGGGUUUUGUUUUAUAUCAAAAUAUUGCAGCAGAAGUCACACUUUGAAGAGUUCACGCUGCACAGAAAGACGAUGAAAUGCUAUCUGUUGAGUCCAUCAUUGCUCCAUUGGAGACAGAGCUGAAGCUUGCUGCAGGUGGUAUACUUUUGUUCUGCAAUAUGACCCCUUUAAUUUUAUUUUAAGACAGAUAGGGUUGAAAAGAAUUUAUGUAGUAUUUUUGUAUCAGUUUUGAAUGUCUAUUUUGACUUCCAUAUUUGGUCUGUACAUGUGAGGUAUAGAGUGUUCAAUAUGUAUUUGGUUUCUAUAUUGUUAAUGGAUCUUUUUUUUUUGUUUUUUAGGUAACCAAGUUGCAGGAUGAAAACAAAACACUUGAUCAGCAGGUAAACCUUCAAUUUCCAUAUGAAGUUUGCAUUUUUGUUGUUUCUGGAAUUUGAGUUUUUUGCAGGAUGAAAACAGAACACUUAAUCUGCAGGUAAACACUUGAUUUGUUAUUUCCAAGCUUUUCACGACUUUCGAUACCCAAUAGAGAAUAUGGAAACCCCAACUUUAAUUUUAUGAAUUUGUUUUGGUGCCUAAAAUGAAAUCUAGCAUAGUGAAAUCUUGCAUAAUGAAAUUAUGACAAAUUUCCCUUCAUCUUUACAUUUUCAUUUAGUUCAAAUCGUAUGGUUUAGGGUUAUUCAAUUCAUGAGUGAUCAAAUUAGGUUUUUAAUUCCUUCUUCUUUUGAUUUUCAGUUCAGCAUUGUCGUAUUUUGGAUGCCUUUAGUGGAAUAAAACUGAAUUUUUUUAACUUUGUAUAGUUGUAAACAUAAAAUACUCCAUGAGAUAGACUCAUAACUUUUGAAAACAAUCUUUGAGGAGGGCAUAACAACAUCUCCAACUUUUGUCAUGUAAUGUAUGAAUGUAAAUAGCACUUUGUAAACAUAUGUAUGUAAUAUAUGUAUAUAAACACCACUCUUUAGCAUAUAUAUUUUUCAAAACUUUCUACAUCUUCAACAAUGUUUCAAGCCCCGCGGCAACGGGCGGGUACACUUGCUAGUAUACAUCUAAAAUUAUAAGACUAAAUCCUUUAGUUCUUGGAUUCAUCUAAGAACUACUUAUUCCAGCAGAUGCUAUGCUUGCACUACUAGAAUUUAUGGCUUGCCCUGUCAACUAUUGCGCGACAGAAGAUUUCGUCGGUUUCACCUUUUUUAACCGACAGAAUAUAAGUUUAGUAGGGCAAAAUCAGUCAACAAACUGGGUUGAUUGAAUAAAUUUACAGGAUGGCUAGAGUUCGUAGGUUAAGACAUCGGUCGUUGGGCAAACAUUUGGAGCGAAGAUGUGAGUGUUUUAACUGACGAAUAAGCUGGUCGUCAUGUAGAUCUUCUUUCCCGACGGACGGUUCAACAGGUAGCUCUUUGGAUAAUAAUUCAUCUUCAAGGGGAACAGGUUGCCCCUCAGAUGAAUGGUUAGAGGCAAUUGUGAGACUAUAAUUUUCUAGGGCCGGAAUAAAAAAUACAUAAACCCUCACCUAUUCUGUCUCUGUAACCAUCCACCAAAUACCCAUUUUUCCCUUUCUAUUUCUCUCCUAGUAAUUUCCCCUGACCGAAUCACACAAUCCAACCAACUCUCUUUAAGCCUCCCUCACUGAUUCCAUGGAUUUCAUGGACUUAUCCCACCCUCUCUCCUUCCUUCUAUAUAUAGCAAGUCCCCUUGCCUCAGUGUCCCUGGCAACAGAAUUUAUGGCGUUUCUUCGUUCUUUCAAUUAUUUGAAAGCUUCCCUGCCCUGCAAUCUUGUAUAAAGGCGUAUGGUGUUUCAUCAGUUCCAUUUGGUGGUCGGGUGGGAAAUGAAAUUAAAACACUGCAUUUCAAAUGCAUUUCAAAUGGUCUAAACCAAAUUGAAUCAAAUGUGAAGCAAAGGGCAAGAGGUGUAGAUUGAAGAACAAUGGCACCAAGAGCGAAAUUGAACUUGUUGACAGGAGGAAACCAAGUAAGGAUAACACGUCUAAAUCUUAUUUUGAAUCCAUUCAGCUCAUGAUGUUUUGAAUGAUGAUGAUCGGUAUACUCUGCUACAUGCUGUGAUUUUUCCGCUUUCAUGUAAUUAACGGCUUAUAUUUGUGGUAACCAUAUUGAUUAAAAAAGGUCGUACCCAGUGCACAAGGCUCCCGCUUUACGCAGGGUCUGAAAGGUGAAUGUCGGCUAGCCUUACCCCCAUUUUAUGGAGAGGCUGCUCCAAAGUCUCAAACCCAAGACCUACCGCUCAUGGGCGAAGACACUUGCCAUCGCACCAAGUGCGAUAUUGAUUAAUUUCGAGAAAUGACAGUCUAAUUUUUGCAACUGUCUUUUGCAGGCAAAACAAAGACGUUUGCAAGGGUGAGUUGUGUAGGAGCUUUGUUUCAUGUCCAAAGGACACUUGAGAAUAAAUGUUUACACUCAUGGAUAAUAUCUAUCUAUUUGCAGGAGUAACCCUGGGUUCAUUUGUUCUGUAACUGCUGGUCAUUGCGGCAUAUCACGCCUAUAGCACUGACAAAAGUAAAAAGAGAAUCGAAUGAAAUUUGAUAAGUUUUCAGCGGACUACAAAGAUCUUAAGCCAAGCAUAUAUUCCCAUGCAGAUAUUAAGAGGUUUACAAAUCAAUUCAAGUACAAGUUGGGCCAAGGAGCAUACGGAACUAUUUUUAAAGGAAUGCUUUUUUCUGAAUGCUUUGUUGCCAUGAAGUACUUAACAAUGGGCCAUAUUCACCAUGUCAAUGUGGUUCACUUGGUUGGUUUUUGUGCUGAUGGAUUUAGAUGAGCUCUGGUUUAUGAGUUCUUUUCCUUUGGUUCACUCCAGGAUUAUAUUUCAUCAGUAGAUAGAUUUCUUUCCUUGGUUGGCAUAAGUUACAAGAUAUUGCUAUCAGCAUAGCCAAAGGAACCAAGGAUGUGAUCUACAAAUCCUCCAUUUCGAUAUCAAACCCCAUAAUGUUUUGCUCAACCAAAAAAUCACGCCAAAAAUCUCUGAUUUUGGUCUGGCCAAGUUAUGUUCCAAGGAUCAAUCGGCGUGACUAAAGCAAGGGGGACUAUGUGACUAAAGCACCCGAAGUGUUUUCCAGGAAUUUCGGAAAUGUGUCUUACAAGGCAGAUGUCUUGAAUGCUGCUGCUUGAGAUGGUAGGAGAAAAGAAGAAUAUUGGUUCAACCAGAGGACACGACAAAUGAAAUCUACUAUCCAAAAUGGAUUUAUAAUCUUCUAGAGGAAGGAAAUGACCAACAGAUCCCUAUUGAGGAAGAAUGUUAUGGUAAGAUUCCAAAGCAACUUGCAAGUUUAGGGCUCUGGUGCAGCCAGUGACACUCAGUGGAUCGGCGGUCCAUGAAAACGGUGGUUCGGAUGUUAGGAGGAGGAGAAAACUUGAUGAUGCAAGCAACCCUAAAAGCCUCAUACAGUUAGAAGCAAUUGCUGAAUUAGAGUAACAUACGUAUAUGUAUACGCACCAACACAAGUCGUUCUUAGAUGAAUCCAAGCCAAACAAUUACAGACAAUAGUUAUUCACUAAAUCACUUUAAGGCAAGAAUUUAAUUAAUAAUACAUUACUGCACUUUCUUAACCAUUUGACUAUCACCUAGCUGACAAUGAACACGUUAGCUCCGCGUUAGAACAUCUUGGGUUCAAUUCAUUGUCUUGAAUAUCACCCACUGUCACAGGCGUCUUUUGGGGGCAUAGAGAAGGCCUGAGAGGCAUUUGCAGACAUUCAACAUCUCCUCCAAGCAUUUUGACAACUUUGGACAUCGAAGGGCGAUCACUUGGUUUCAUUUGAAUACACCACAAGGCGGUUAUAACCAUCUUUCUUAUUACUUUCUUUUCCUCCUCUGUAACAUUGUCCAUUUCCAAGUCAUUUCCUACAAUAUACUGAUCGUAUACCCACAUUGGGAAGUAGAUUUGGCUUGAAUGCUCUACCGUUGGAUUCAAAUUCCUCCUUCUGCUUGCCAUUUCCAUCAACAACAUUCCAAAACUAUAGACAUCUGACUUAUAUGAGACGCCUCCAAUAUUUUUGUAGAACAACUCAGGAGCAAUAUAUCCCAGUGUACCCCGUGCUGCUGUCAAAGAGACAAUGCUAUUAUCUACAUGAUACAAUUUUGCAAGCCCAAAGUCAGAAACCUUUGCUUUAAAGUUCUCAUCAAGAAGGAUGUUAUGAGGCUUGAUGUCGAAAUGUAGAAUUUGCAUUUCGCAACCUUGGUGUAGAUAUUCGAUCCCUUGAGCCACUCCAAGAGAAAUCUCGUACAUGUUCUUGAUAGUUAAGGGGACACUUCCUUCUUUGGAAUAAAUGUAUUUAUCAAGAGAACCAUUAGGCAUGAAGUCAUAGACUAGAGCGCGUUUUGAUCCCUCAACAUAGUAUCCAACAAGUUGCACCACAUUGGCAUGGUGAAUCCUUCCGAUUGUAGCUAAUUCGCUAAUGAAAUCUUGGCCAUCAGCUUUGGGCUUGGCCAAAACUUUAACUGCUACAAAUCGACCACUGCGUAGCUUUCCCUUAAAUACAGAGCCAAAGCCACCUUUGCCCAACUUGUCCUUAAACUUGCGAGUCAUUUUCUUGACGUCCGAGUAAGAGUACCUUAUAGGCAUGAAGUUGUUAUUGCAUUGCAGAAAAUCUUCUAUUGUGCUAUACAUUGAUAAAUGUCUUCUGCGCCAUGUGUAGAUUAGAAAUGCAGUCACAAUUGGAACUCCAAAAACAAAUCUGGCUAGGAAAAAUAACCCUACAUGCAUUGACAUUAAUAUGUUAGAUCCACUGCGUACUACUUUUUCUUCCCUUUCUUUCCAAAUUACUUUGUCUUUGAUGUAAUUAAAGAGAGAAUGGGAAAUGUACAUAUGUUGAUAAUACAAUCUCGUCUUAGUCCUUACCGAUGCAUAUGAGUAUAAACCAUACACGUACUGCAACAAAAUCAAUCGACUAUGAGUUUGAAAAGUGCAUAAAGUGAAAAAAAAAUAAAAAAAAUCAAAGGGUGCCUUUAUUGACAUCCAAAUUUUAGUUAGUUUUACUCAACUAAAAAAUUUUUGUCAUCAAACUUUUUAAUUUGCCGUCGAAAUUGAGUUCACCCAACCCACAAAGCAGCAACUACCACUCACCAAAAAAACCAACAACACACAGCCACCAGUACCAUUCACCAAUAGAAAGAGAAGGAACACACAGACCCACCAAGGAGCCGGCAUCGACGCGUCUACGAGGGAGGGACCGGAGGGUGGUGUAGUUUUGUUGGGCGCGCGGUAGUGGUUUUGUCUGUUCAUUUUCUCUUUGUUUUGGUAGGUGGAGGCUGGUGUGGAUUUGGGCGAACUUAAAAAUGAGGGGAAACUAUGAAGUUUGACAAAAUGUUUUAGUUAGGUGAACUUCACUAAAAUUUGGGUGCCGAUAAAGAUACCCAAAAUCAAAAGACUAGAUGGACUAAUUAAAUGAAGCUCUUACCCAUAUAUAACGAUGGACGCAACUUGCCAGCUGCUGCAGUACAUACCACGGAAAAGUGAGCAAAGACAUACAGUUACUAGGUUUAAGAAGUACAGAUAGAGCACACAAAAAAUAAAAGAAGCUUUUGGGAAGAAACUUCUUACGCAAAUAGAUUUUUUUCAUGACCUACAGUAAAAAAAUGUCAAGAAGAAUACACAACAUUAGCAAUAGCUCACCCAGUCUUCAAAAUUUAAAAAAUCAAGUUUGUCGAUCGAAAACUUGUAAAUAAAACAAAAAGAGGACCCCUUACCGAUUUGUUGCCAUAGAUAUUGAAAGAAACCUACAAGAACAAAGAAAGAACAAGACCACAUGCAUUAGAAUAACAAGUGUGAGGUGUAUAAGCCGUUAGAAAAUAAAUUUAAAAUUCUAGUGCUGUCAAUACAUUGAUAAUAUAUAUAUAUAUAUAUAUAUAUAUAUAUAUAUGUAUGUAUGUAUUAUUUUUUCUGAAAAUUUAACUUUUCCCGUCCAAACUCAUUUUUCUAGUCUCUAGCCCAACAUAUAAUAUUUAUCUGAAUAAAACCAAAUGAUUAGGAUCCAACUAAGAAACUUACCAAAUUAAGUUUGUGUGUCCAUUUUUAUAUUUUUUGGAUCCCUAAUAUACCCCAUCUAAGCCAGUAUGGAAAGGUCUUGUAAUUUUGCUUUAAGUGAUUACGUGCAUUGAAUUUGGCAAGGUCUUAUAGCCAUGAAAUAUGGUUCUAGAUGGAGGAAUUAAUUUGGAAUUUUUUUUAAUUUCGACAACAAAUUUCAAUUUGAAUAUACCUAAUUUAGUGUUUAUUUUCAACAAUAAAUGUGCCUACUUUUUAAAUUUGUAACAAAAUUAAUUUACCUACUUUUUAUGGUAUUAGUGACACACCCUGUCCCGAAGGAGGGCAUGCUGGCCGUCACGAGAGAGUGACGUAACCAUUUGCACAGUACGGAAGCUUUAAGAUACAAUUUAUAAGUUGAUACACCCGAAGGUGAGUCCUAAUUUUUGUCCAAUCUGUCAGAACACCGUCAAAUUCCUCGUAGUCACCACACCUUUGUGAUUCCUGAACCUGGAGGGGCGCAAAACCAAAAUUGAGUGGGUCAGUAAAACAAUUCUUUUCCAAAUCCAAACAUUUCUCAAAACGUUGUAACCCUCUCCGUAAAACUUGUAUACUUUCCCAGAAAUGUAAAAUAUAAAUAUACAUAUAUAUUCUCAAACUUCAUUUUUACUAUCUCAACAUUUUUCUUUAUCAAACAUGCCAUGCCAUGUCUAAUUCAACAGUUAAGUAUGGAUGCAUCAACAAUAAUCAUAUCAGGUGCAAGAAAGUAAUCAACCGGAGGCCCUCUAAUAGCCCUGUACGGUUGAACCUAGAGCUCAAAAUCUAUCACUCUCACUCUGCCGGGAGUCACCUCUGUGACCUGUCCGGCCUUCUGCACACAAGUUACGCUCUAGUGCUUUCUCAUCAAUCAUCUGUGCACAUAAUCUAAGGUCACCCACCAGUCGAAAUCUCACUAACACUCUUCGACUGGCCCGUCGCACCCACUCCGCGUGGACUGUGCGACCAGCAUCUACUUGGAUCCAAGGCGAGCGUGCGAUGCGGUGAAUACUAUAAGCACUAAACCAUGGUGCAGGAUUUGAGCUCAAUAUAUAUCAACAUCAUCAUAACAGUACUUAAAUACUCACCUGAUACUCACCUGUGCGUCCGCCGCACCAAUUCAUACAUAUGCAUCAUAUUUCAAUUCAUAUCAUUUCAUGCAUGGCAAUUCGAUUCACAUUUCUAUAUACAUUUCAUAUACUUCUAUGCAUGACCUUUCAAUUCACGUUUUCAUAUAAUUCUAUAUACCUUUCAUUUAAAACAUAAUUUCAUUCUAAUUCAAUUUCUGGGAAAACGUCAAGUAUAUAUAUACGGAAAACAAAACUGCCCACUCACCUGGAGUUCGUCCAACAACUCCCUAGCACCACACAUCAAGGCGUCAUGACGAUCGCCGUCUAGAACAGUAAUCAAAUCCAGCCUCAGAAUUCAUAUCGAUAGAACAUAUAACUUAUAUAAAAUAUGUCACUACGUAGAUCGAUCCGGAAGAUCUGCCACUCAGAUUUUAAAUCCAUAACUUCCAGAGGUCCACAAUAUAUCUCUAGGAUAACAUCCUAAAAUUUCAUUACCAUCCAACGGUCGGAUCUCCGUCAAUUUCCAAAACUAAGUGACGGUUAACAUUUUAUUUUAUGAACUUACAAUUCUAAUUCCGGAAGAUCCGUAACUCGGAUUCCCAAUCCGUAAGUUCCAAUAAUCCUCAAAUAUUACGUAUUACAACGUAUCAAAGUUUGGUAACGAUCCAACGGUCGGAUCAUCAAUUCACAUUUUCACCUAAUGCGAAAACUAUAAAACGUUAUUCGAACACCUAACCAACAAUCCUUAAUAACUUUCUCAUACGGUGUUCAAUUUGGGUAUAUGAAUAUACCACAGUGAUCUACUCAUUAAAAUAAUUUUUUACUGUAGCACGCGCCCCCACGCGCCAAGGAAGGCACGGACCUACGCGCCCCCACGCGCACCUUCUUCUUCCUUGGGUCGCCGGACUGGUUUUUCCGGCGGCCGUUUUUCAAAUUGCCAUAACUUUGUCAUUUCUCAACGAAAUCAAGUGAUUCAAAAACGAAAGUUGUAGCCCUUGAAGAGACAAAGAGAAUGGUACCUUGCACAACACCUAGUUCGCCGUGGUUUGGCCGGAAACUGCUUCGAAAGCCUCGGAGGUCGCCAGAAACUGGGUAUUUUUCAAAUCAGUAUAACUUCUUCAAUACUCAACGAAAUUGAGUGAAACAAAAAGGAAAGUUGUAGUACUUGACGAGACGAAGAGAUUGAUACCUACCUCGACUCCUAACUCACCGGAUAUUCGCCGGAAAAUGCCUCGAAAGCUCCGGCCAAACUUUGAACUUGUCGAUCUCCGUGUUCUUACAUCCAAAAACUUCCAACGAAGCACUCCGAGCUUCCUUGGGACCUCACUAAGCUCGCUAUGAUCUUGUUUUAGCCUAAAACGUAGUCAUUUAGAAGAUCAUGAACAAUACCAUUUCACGGGAACUUUGAAACUAGGGUUUUCCGAAGCAAAACUUACCUGAAAUGGAUACCAUCGUGAUCGUGGAGGUUCCAGGAGUUUGAUGGUGGUCUUAACUCUGUCGUUGGUGGAAGUUUAAGGUUGUUUUGUGGUUGGUUUGUUCGAACGGAGAAGAAGAGUGACAGAGAGAGUGAGAGAGUCGUGAGGGAAGAGAGAGAGAGACAGCAUGCAGAAAAUAGGGAGAGGAUUGAGGGGUGUGGGGAUCCCACGUGGUCCUUUUCCAAUCCCCAACUCCAAACCAUAAAAUUUUAACCUAAAAAUCUAAGUUCAAUCCUUAAUAAAUUCCAUUUUAUUUUCAAAACUUAGGAACCUAGAUAAUUAUCAACUUGAGCUUCACAUACUUAGUAUUUCUUAAGGGCAAUUUCGUUCAUUCACAGCCACGAAUGUAAUAUUUUGGAACGGGCUGUGACAAUUAGUAUACAUAAAUGUAGAAUAUAUGUCCGUAUAUAUUUGAUCCAAUUAGUAUUAGGGAGAAUGACAAGUCAUCCAAGUCUGCUACUGUUAAUAAUUCUGUUACUGUAAAUUAACUGAUUGUAUUAGUUGUGAUUAGUUAAGAUAGUUAUAAAGUAGUUAGGGGUAUCUAUGUAAAUAGCCAAAGGCUAUAUAUAUUCCUACACAAUGUGUAAAGUUCUCAGUCAAGUAAAUACAAUCAAGAAAACUUACUGUUGAAGUUUUCUGUUUCUACAUGGUAUCACGCCAUUCCGCUUCACAGCUUCGAUCUUUCUCUUCGCUUGCUGCAUCGAUCGACUCUUGAUCGAUUUUUCUUCUCUGAUCUUCUCUUCGCUUGCUGCAUCGAUCGACUCAUGAUCGAUUUUUCUUCUCUGAUCGUCACUUCUUCCCUUCCGAUCUUGUAGUAUUUUCUUGAUUUCUGUCAGUAAUGGCGGCUCAAUCGACUGGUUCAUCUUCUCCGGUCAUCUCCCCCUCGAGCCCAAACCCUAAUUUUCUCUGGAAACCCUAAUUCCUCUGGAAAUCCGAGUCCUCUGACUUCCUACACUUCUCUCUCACAAUUCAUAACAUCGGCAGCAUGGUGCCGAUCAAGCUCAAAAGAUCCAAUUACCUACCAUGGCGCGCCCUGUUUGGCCCGAUUUUCCGGCGAUACAAGCUUCUUGGAGUAAUCGAUGGUACUGACGUCUGUCCAUCGCCAUUUCUGCCUGAUCGUAGCAUCAAUCCUGCUUUUGAGGACUGGUAUGAGAAAGAUCAAAAUCUUUUUGAUCUGGUUGAAUUCCACACUUUCUGAGGAAAUCAUCCCGUUCACGGUUGGGGUUUCAUCCUCUCGAGAACUUUGGGUAAAGCUUGAACAGCGCUUUGGUGGAAUUUCAGAGGCUCAUAUCCAUCAGUUGCGAUCGCGCCUUCAAUCUGUUCAGAAAGGAUCGCGUUCUAUCUCUGACUAUCUUCAAGAACUCAAGGAAAUUUCAGAUUCUCUGCAAGCUGCUGGUGCUUCUGUCUCUGAUCGAGAUCUUAUCGCCGCCACACUACAUGGCUUGCCUGAUGAAUUUGAGUCUUUCAUCGACUGUAUCAUGCUCCGAUUGUCCUCUACCUCUCUGAUGAACUUCAUGGCCUCCUUCUCACAAAGGAAUUGUCUAUGGCCAGACGCAAAACUGUCAGUUCAUCUCCUGUCCCUGAAUCUUUUCAGGCUUUCUCGGUGCAGUCUCAGCCUCAUCUCCUUCCUACUCCAUCUGCUUUUGCUGCUCAGAAUCUCCCUCUUCAAUCUGCAUCUCGGUUCAACUCUAAUCGUGGCAGGAACACUAAGGGCCAGUUCUUUUCCAAUCGAGGUCAUCGAGGUAAUCGUGGUAAUUUUCCUAAUAAACCGUGGCAAUCGAGGUUAUCAAGGAUUUCGCAGCAAUCAAGGCUCUUCUCACUUCAAAGUGCUUUGUCAAAUCUGUGGUUCUACCAGUCAUGAGGCUAUUGACUGCUUUGAUCGUAUGAAUCCUGACAUCUUGUGGUCGUAUUCCUCCAGCUAAGCUUGCUGCCAUGUGUGCCACAACAUUCUGCUAAACCAUCUCAGCCUUGGUUAAUUGAUUCAGGGGCAACCUCUCAUAUCACUAAUGAUGUUGCUAACCUCACCUCUCCUACUCCCUACACUGGCGAGGAUUAAAGUGUAUAUUGGAGAUGGUAAAGGUUUAUCCAUCCUCAAUGUUGGUUCAUCUACUCUGCACACCUCUCAUAAUUCUUUUCAAUUGCGAAAUGUUUUACAUGUUCCCCACAUAACCCAUAAUCUUAUCUGCUUAUCAGUUUUGUUAAUGAUAAUAAUUGUUCAUUGACACUUGACCCUUAUGGAUCCUAUGUCAAGGAUCGUAUUUCGGGGAAGAUGCUUUUACGGGGACCGGUUAGAGAUGGCUUCUAUCCUCUUCAAAGUUCCAGCAAUCUUCAUCCUCUUUCACAUACCGCUUUACUUAGUAUUAAAGCUCCAGUUACAAUUUGGCACAAGCGUUUGGGUCACCCUUCCUCCUCCAUUUUUAGAAGGCUCCUUUCAUCCAAUAAUCUUGCUUUACAAGGCAAGUCUACUGUGGACUUUUUCUGUUCGGAUUGUGCUCUUGCCAAGAAUCAUAAGCUUCCAUUUAAAGCUGCUACUUCAUCAUCAACUCACAGCCUUCAACUACUGCACUGUGAUCUGUGGGGACCUGCCUCAAUCACAUCAAGUAGUGGUUUUCAAUAUUAUUUGCUCAUUGUUGAUGACUAUAGCAAAUAUAGUUGGUUCUUUCCUUUGAAAUCUAAGUCAGAUGUAUUUUCUACAUUUGUUGUCUUCAAAUCAUAUGUAGAAAAUUCACUUGGAAAUAAAAUAAAGGUUCUGCGUUCAGAUUCAGGGGGUGAAUUUACUAGUCACUCUUUUGCAUCAUAUCUCAGCAAACAUGGCAUUCUUCAUCAGUUCAGUUGUCCCCACACCCCUGAGCAAAAUGGUUGUGCAGAAAGAAAGCACAGGCACCUUGUUGAAAACAGCUCGCACUUUGCUUCUUGCAUUCUCAUGUCCCUCAUAUUUUCUGGGUUGAAGCAUUCUCCACUGCUAUCUAUCUUAUUAAUCGCCUUCCUAUUUCUGGCAUUUCACAGUCCCCUUGGCAGUUGCUAUUUCACAACCAUCCAGACUACUCUAAGCUCAAAGUAUUUGGUUGCCAAUGCUUUCCUUGGCUCAAACCUUACUUUCAUAGCAAAUUGGAUCCCAAGAGCAAAAAGUGUGUUUUCUUGGGGUAUAGUCUUCAACACAAAGGCUAUAGGUGCCUUGAUCCUAUCACCAAUCGCAUCUACAUCUCUCGUCAUGUCUGUAUUCGAUGAAAGUACUUAUCCAUUUCAGUUGUCCCACAUUCAACACUCUUUUCCUGUUCCAAGUCCUCCAUCUUCCUCACCAACAAUUUCUUCCUCUCUGGAUCUUCAUUUUUUAGCAAACACAUUCCUCCUGUUUUCAGUCAGCCAUCUACAUCACCAUUAUGUGCUUCUGUGCCUGUUCCUAUUUCUUCAUCUUCAUCUUCCCCUGCACCUGUCUCAGUUGGCUCUUCUUUCCAGUUUUGUUCCUCCUUCAGCACAUUCAUCUUUCUCCCAAAAUCAACAGAGUCAUCCUCCUGCCCCUGUUAAUUCUCAUCCAAUGAUUACUAGAUCCAAGGCUGGUAUACUCACGUCGAGAGCCUGUGCAGCAACUAAGCACCCACUUCCGGUUGAUAUGGAUUAUGUUCCUACAACAUACUUGCAAGCUUCUAAGCAUGCUCAUUGGAGGCAAGCUAUGCAAGAUGAAUUUAAUGCCUUGCUAACCACUGGUUACUUUGGUCUCUUGUUCCUUCUCACCAUUCUCAAAACUUAGUGGGCUGCAAGUGGGUUUUCCGGAUUAAGAAGAAGCCCGAUGGCACUGUUGACAGAUAUAAAGCCCGGCUUGUGGCCAAGGGUUUUCAUCAACAAGAAGGUAUUGACUUUUCAAGAAAACCUUCAGUCCAGUUGCCAAACCGGUUACAAUUCGGAUCCUUCUUACCCUUUGCUGUGCAAUAUAAUUGGUUUCUCAAUCAAUUGGACAUUAGUAAUGCCUUUCUUCAUGGAGACUUAAAGAGAGGAUGUCUACAUGCAACAACCCCCUGGUUUUGUUGAUCCCUUUACCCUACAUUUUGUAAGUUGAGGAAAUCGUUGUAUGGUCUCAAACAAGCUCCUCGAGCUUGGUUUGAUAAACUGUUCCAAGCUCUUCCUCUCUUGGAUUCACCCAAUCAUCCUCAGAUGCUUCUUUAUUUGUUCUCAAUGGUCCUCAGUUUAGUCAUUGUCCUUGUCUAUGUUGAUGACAUUCUUGUCACCGGACCCUAUCCUUACCUCUGUCAACACUUCAUUCAGCAACUUGGGGCUCAAUUUCCAGUAAAAGACCUUGGUCCUCUUCAUUAUUUCUUGGGAUUAGAAGUACAUCGAUCUUCCCAGGGUAUAUUUCUCCAUCAAACAAAGUACUUAUUGGAUCUUCUCAAGAAAACAAAUAUGGAGGGUGCAAAACCUUGUUGUACUCCCCUUGGCUCUAAGAAAUUAGAUCACAGUGGCCCUCUUCUGUCCAAUCCUACUGAAUAUCGCUCCAUUGUUGGUGGUUUACAAUAUCUUACUUGGACUAGACCCGACCUUGCUUUUGCUGUGAACCAAAUCUGCCAAUUCAUGCAUGCUCCCAGGGAACAACAUCUCCAGGCAGCAAAAAGGGUUCUCAGAUUUCUCAAAGGCUCUAUCUCACAUGGUGUGUGGUUCACUAAAGGCCCUGUCCAUCUUUCUGCCUACUCGGAUGCCGACUGGGCUGGUUGCACAAUUGACAGGAGAUCAACCACUGGUUAUUGUGUAUUUUUGGGUUCCAAUCUUAUCAGCUGGAGUGCCAAGAAGCAAAGUACUGUUGCCAAGGUCCUCUACAGAGGCUGAAUAUCGCUCCUUAGCUCACACAGCUGCUGAGAUAACUUGGGUUUGCAGAUUCUCAAAGAUCUGCACUAUCCUCUCUCUUACAUUCCCUACUUUUGGUGUGACAACAUAUCAGCAAUAUCUUUAGCAUCUAAUCCUGUCUUUCAUGCUCGAACAAAGCAUGUUGAGAUCGAUUAUCNGAAGUUUUCUGUUUUCUACAUGGUAUCACGCCAUUCCGCUUCACAGCUUCGAUCUUUCUCUUCGCUUGCUGCAUCGAUCGACUCUUGAUCGAUUUUUCUUCUCUGAUCUUCUCUUCGCUUGCUGCAUCGAUCGACUCAUGAUCGAUUUUUCUUCUCUGAUCGUCACUUCUUCCCUUCCGAUCUUGUAGUAUUUCUUGAUUUCUGUCAGUAAUGGCGGCUCAAUCGACUGGUUCAUCUUCUCCGGUCAUCUCCCCCUCGAGCCCAAACCCUAAUUUCUCUGGAAACCCUAAUUCCUCUGGAAAUCCGAGUCCUCUGGACUUCCUACACUUCUCUCACAAUUCAUAACAUCGGCAGCAUGGUGCCGAUCAAGCUCAAAAGAUCCAAUUACCUACCAUGGCGCGGCCCUGUUUGGCCCGAUUUUCCGGCGAUACAAGCUUCUUGGAGUAAUCGAUGGUACUGACGUCUGUCCAUCGCCAUUUCUGCCUGAUCGUAGCAUCAAUCCUGCUUUUGAGGACUGGUAUGAGAAAGAUCAAAAUCUUUUGAUCUGGUUGAAUUCCACACUUUCUGAGGAAAUCAUCCCGUUCACGGUUGGGGUUUCAUCCUCUCGAGAACUUUGGGUAAAGCUUGAACACAGCGCUUUGGUGGAAUUUCAGAGGCUCAUAUCCAUCAGUUGCGAUCGCGCCUUCAAUCUGUUCAGAAAGGAUCGCGUUCUAUCUCUGACUAUCUUCAAGAACUCAAGGAAAUUUCAGAUUCUCUGCAAGCUGCUGGUGCUUCUGUCUCUGAUCGAGAUCUUAUCGCCGCCACACUACAUGGCUUGCCUGAUGAAUUUGAGUCUUUCAUCGACUGUAUCAUGCUCCGAUUGUCCUCUACCUCUCUUGAUGAACUUCAUGGCCUCCUUCUCACAAAGGAAUUGUCUAUGGCCAGACGCAAAAACUGUCAGUUCAUCUUCCUGUCCCUGAAUCUUUUCAGGCUUUCUCGGUGCAGUCUCAGCCUCAUCUCCUUCCUACUCCAUCUGCUUUUGCUGCUCAGAAUCUCCCUCUUCAAUCUGCAUCUCGGUUCAACUCUAAUCGUGGCAGGAACACUAAGGGCCAGUUCUUUUCCAAUCGAGGUCAUCGAGGUAAUCGUGGUAAUUUUCCUAAUAACCGUGGCAAUCGAGGUUAUCAAGGAUUUCGCAGCAAUCAAGGCUCUUCUCACUUCAAAGUGCUUUGUCAAAUCUGUGGUUCUACCAGUCAUGAGGCUAUUGACUGCUUUGAUCGUAUGAAUCCUGACAUCUGUGGUCGUAUUCCUCCAGCUAAGCUUGCUGCCAUGUGUGCACAACAUUCUGCUAAACCAUCUCAGCCUUGGUUAAUUGAUUCAGGGGCAACCUCUCAUAUCACUAAUGAUGUUGCUAACCUCACCUCUCCUACUCCCUACACUGGCGAGGAUAAAGUGUAUAUUGGAGAUGGUAAAGGUUUAUCCAUCCUCAAUGUUGGUUCAUCUACUCUGCACACCUCUCAUAAUUCUUUUCAAUUGCGAAAUGUUUUACAUGUUCCCCACAUAACCCAUAAUCUCUUAUCUGCUUAUCAGUUUGUUAAUGAUAAUAAUUGUUCAUUGACACUUGACCCUUAUGGAUCCUAUGUCAAGGAUCGUAUUUCGGGGAAGAUGCUUUUACGGGGACCGGUUAGAGAUGGCUUCUAUCCUCUUCAAAGUUCCAGCAAUCUUCAUCCUCUUUCACAUACCGCUUUACUUAGUAUUAAAGCUCCAGUUACAAUUUGGCACAAGCGUUUGGGUCACCCUUCCUCCUCCAUUUUUAGAAGGCUCCUUUCAUCCAAUAAUCUUGCUUUACAAGGCAAGUCUACUGUGGACUUUUUCUGUUCGGAUUGUGCUCUUGCCAAGAAUCAUAAGCUUCCAUUUAAAGCUGCUACUUCAUCAUCAACUCACAGCCUUCAACUACUGCACUGUGAUCUGUGGGGACCUGCCUCAAUCACAUCAAGUAGUGGUUUUCAAUAUUUAUUUGCUCAUUGUUGAUGACUAUAGCAAAUAUAGUUGGUUCUUUCCUUUGAAAUCUAAGUCAGAUGUAUUUUCUACAUUUGUUGUCUUCAAAUCAUAUGUAGAAAAUUCACUUGGAAAUAAAAUAAAGGUUCUGCGUUCAGAUUCAGGGGGUGAAUUUACUAGUCACUCUUUUGCAUCAUAUCUCAGCAAACAUGGCAUUCUUCAUCAGUUCAGUUGUCCCCACACCCCUGAGCAAAAUGGUUGUGCAGAAAGAAAGCACAGGCACCUUGUUGAAACAGCUCGCACUUUGCUUCUUGCAUCUCAUGUCCCUCAUAUUUUCUGGGUUGAAGCAUUCUCCACUGCUAUCUAUCUUAUUAAUCGCCUUCCUAUUUCUGGCAUUUCACAGUCCCCUUGGCAGUUGCUAUUUCACAACCAUCCAGACUACUCUAAGCUCAAAGUAUUUGGUUGCCAAUGCUUUCCUUGGCUCAAACCUUACUUUCAUAGCAAAUUGGAUCCCAAGAGCAAAAAGUGUGUUUUCUUGGGGUAUAGUCUUCAACACAAAGGCUAUAGGUGCCUUGAUCCUAUCACCAAUCGCAUCUACAUCUCUCGUCAUGUUGUAUUCGAUGAAAGUACUUAUCCAUUUCAGUUGUCCCACAUUCAACACUCUUUUCCUGUUCCAAGUCCUCCAUCUUCCUCACCAACAAUUUCUUCCUCUCUGGAUCUUCAUUUUAGCAAACACAUUCCUCCUGUUUUCAGUCAGCCAUCUACAUCACCAUUAUGUGCUUCUGUGCCUGUUCCUAUUUCUUCAUCUUCAUCUUCCCCUGCACCUGUCUCAGUUGGCUCUUCUUCCAGUUUUGUUCCUCCUUCAGCACAUUCAUCUUUCUCCCAAAAUCAACAGAGUCAUCCUCCUGCCCCUGUUAAUUCUCAUCCAAUGAUUACUAGAUCCAAGGCUGGUAUACUCACGUCGAGAGCCUGUGCAGCAACUAAGCACCCACUUCCGGUUGAUAUGGAUUAUGUUCCUACAACAUACUUUGCAAGCUUCUAAAGCAUGCUCAUUGGAGGCAAGCUAUGCAAGAUGAAUUUAAUGCCUUGCUAACCACUGGUUACUUGGUCUCUUGUUCCUUCUCACCAUUCUCAAAACUUAGUGGGCUGCAAGUGGGUUUUCCGGAUUAAGAAGAAGCCCGAUGGCACUGUUGACAGAUAUAAAGCCCGGCUUGUGGCCAAGGGUUUUCAUCAACAAGAAGGUAUUGACUUUCAAGAAAACCUUCAGUCCAGUUGCCAAACCGGUUACAAUUCGGAUCCUUCUUACCCUUGCUGUGCAAUAUAAUUGGUUUCUCAAUCAAUUGGACAUUAGUAAUGCCUUUCUUCAUGGAGACUUAAAGGAGGAUGUCUACAUGCAACAACCCCCUGGUUUUGUUGAUCCCUUACACCCUACAUCUGUUUGUAAGUUGAGGAAAUCGUUGUAUGGUCUCAAACAAGCUCCUCGAGCUUGGUUUGAUAAACUGUUCCAAGCUCUUCACUCUCUUGGAUUCACCCAAUCAUCCUCAGAUGCUUCUUUAUUUGUUCUCAAUGGUCCUCAGUUUAGUCAUUGUCCUUGUCUAUGUUGAUGACAUUCUUGUCACCGGACCCUAUCCUUACCUCUGUCAACACUUCAUUCAGCAACUUGGGGCUCAAUUUCCAGUAAAAGACCUUGGUCCUCUUCAUUAUUUCUUGGGAUUAGAAGUACAUCGAUCUUCCCAGGGUAUAUUUCUCCAUCAAACAAAGUACUUAUUGGAUCUUCUCAAGAAAACAAAUAUGGAGGGUGCAAAACCUUGUUGUACUCCCCUUGGCUCUAAGAAAUUAGAUCACAGUGGCCCUCUUCUGUCCAAUCCUACUGAAUAUCGCUCCAUUGUUGGUGGUUUACAAUAUCUUACUUGGACUAGACCCGACCUUUGCUUUUGCUGUGAACCAAAUCUGCCAAUUCAUGCAUGCUCCCAGGGAACAACAUCUCCAGGCAGCAAAAAGGGUUCUCAGAUUUCUCAAAGGCUCUAUCUCACAUGGUGUGUGGUUCACUAAAGGCCCUGUCCAUCUUUCUGCCUACUCGGAUGCCGACUGGGCUGGUUGCACAAUUGACAGGAGAUCAACCACUGGUUAUUGUGUAUUUUUGGGUUCCAAUCUUAUCAGCUGGAGUGCCAAGAAGCAAAGUACUGUUGCAAGGUCCUCUACAGAGGCUGAAUAUCGCUCCUUAGCUCACACAGCUGCUGAGAUAACUUGGGUUUGCAAGAUUCUCAAAGAUCUGCACUAUCCUCUCUCUACAUUCCCUACUCUUUGGUGUGACAACAUAUCAGCAAUAUCUUUAGCAUCUAAUCCUGUCUUUCAUGCUCGAACAAAGCAUGUUGAGAUCGAUUAUCACUAUAUUAGAGAAUUGGUUUUGGCUCAACUUCUCAAAGUCAAGUUCAUCUGCAGUGAAGACCAAUUAGCUGAUCUUCACACCAAGUCUCUGUCUAAAACCAGAUUUAAUUAUCUGUGUUCCAAGCUUCCCAUUGGUCUCAUUUCUGAUCCCCCUUCUCGCUUGAGGGGGUGUAUUAGGGAGAAUGACAAGUCAUCCAAGUCUGCUACUGUUAAUAAUUCUGUUACUGUAAAUUAACUGAUUGUAUUAGUUGUGAUUAGUUAAGAUAGUUAUAAAGUAGUUAGGGGUAUCUAUGUAAAUAGCCAAAGGCUAUAUAUAUUCCUACACAAUGUGUAAAGUUCUCAGUCAAGUAAAUACAAUCAAGAAAACUUACUGUUGAAGUUUUCUGUUUCUACAGGUUUUGGAUUGGAGGAGUUGACACAAAAUUAUAAAUAUAUUAAACAAAUUUAUCUAUUCUAAAGUUGGAGGGAAAUUGGCCUGUACAUUGCUACAGUAAUUUUUUUUUACCCAAUUUCACGUUAUUUACAACAAAGCUAUCAGAUUUGGGUUGGGUUGGAGGGUAAUUUGUUAAAAGUUAGGAGGGUAAUUUUGUGCAUAGGGUUUAGGUGCCCUCCUAUACAUGACCCUUGAUUUUACUUUAUUUACACCACUGCCAUCAAAUAUGUGGCUGAAUUGGAGGGUAUUAUUAAAAGUUAGGAGGGUAGUUUGUUCAAGGGGUGAGGGCGACAUUCGCAGACAGAGAGCGAUGGGAGCCAUGGCCAUUGCACAGAGAGAAAGGGAGUGAUGGGGGAAAUUACAGACAGAAAAGGAAGGGAUGGGGGGGAUUUGAUGGAUGGUCACAGAGAGAGAUUGGGUGAGGGAUGUGAGAGGAGAUUACAGAGAGAUAAAUAAAAGGGAGGGAUCGGGGGAUGUGAGGGAUGGUCAGGGAGAGAAAUAGUGAGGGAGGGAGGGAUGGGGGGGCUGAUUUUCGGUUCCUCCUUCCAGAUUUGUUCCGUAAAAACCUGUUGGGUAGAAUUCAAUUUCCUCCCCCUUUCCCCUGAACGAAAAAUUCGAAACCUACAACUCAAAACUCACUCAUUUGUCGUCCCUCCUUGGCUUUCCGCUUUACUCAUCUCCCGGUGGUUCUCUCUCCAUACGAUUCCAUUUCGGUGAGUUCUUCGUUGCCCUCAUGAUUUCCCACUUUUAUUUUUGGGGCGUCCUUAGUCGUCGUUUUUAUCUGGGUUUACUGCAUUGUUGCUUUUAGUUUCUGGAUUUUUAUUUUUUUGGCACUUGGAUGAAUCGUGGUUAAUAAUUUCACAUCAUGGGAUUUUCGCACUUCUGAUGGAAUUGAGCGCGGGGAUUCGGGGUGGGGUUUUACUGAUAAUUUGUCUUCAUUCAAACGAAGGGUUAAAAUUUAUGAGUAUUAACAAAUUUUGUAAAUUAUUCUUAUACAUUUUAUUGAGGGAUCUAAUCGAUUUCUUUCUGUAGUGGGAUUGAAAUUGGGGCUUUGUGGUACUCUCUCUCGCUCACUCUCUCUCCUAUGUGUAUGAAUUGAGUUCUGCAGUGAGUUUGCAGGUGGGCGCGUUCACUAACUAAGCUUUCAAGGGAACCGAUCAACGGUUUGCUUGCUGGGGGAAUUCGGAGACUACCAGUGUAUGAUUUAGUUAUCAUUAAUUUUUUUACUUAAUUUUAUCCAUAUAUAAUAUGUGGGUAAAUUUAGAGGUCGCACUUGGUGCGAUGGCAAGUUCCUUCGCCCAUGAGCGGUAGGUCUCGGGUUCGAGACUUGGGAGCAGCCUCUCCAUAAAUGGGGGUAAGGCUAGCCGACAUUUACCUCUCCCAGACCCUGCGUAAAGCGGGAGCCUUGUGCACUGGGUACGAUCUUUUAUAAUAUGUGGGUAAAUUUAUACUAAACAAUUGUGAUAAGCCAAUAUGCUAUACGACUUUGAAAGCAUUGAUUUUGUGUUUAGUUUGCAUUUUUGCAUUGUGAAUGUUGAAUUUUGUGUUUAAUUUGGAUUUUUGUGUUUGAAUUUGUAGCAUGAUCUUCCGCUGCAGCAUCCAAAUUUUGCAUUUGUAAAUUGUCAAAGAAAAACGAAGUAUGAGGAAAUUAUAGGAGAUUGUGUCGGCUUUGGCCAUGAAGGGUAUCAGCAGCUUGUUCCCCCAUACAGGUGAUUAAUCGCAGUCUGUUCUAUUUGGAUGAGAAAGUGAUUGAAAAAUAUGAUUUUUUAUUUGUUGGUUGAUUUUGUAUAACUCCGCCGUGUAAGUUUAUCUUACAUUGCCGGUCCCAAGCCCGGAUAAAGGAGGAGGGGGAGGGCGUCAGGUAGUCGACAGCUGGCACUCCAUGAUCACGUCGAAUCCUUAUGAAAAUGAAUCCAGAACGAAAUCGCGCUAAAGCUAGGGCGUCACCCAUAAGUGGCGCGCUGUGUGGCCCGAGCACAGUGAUAAGUGAGCAAGGGUCGUUGUAUCUCCAUCGGCACCCGGAUGCAGUGUUAAAUGAGCAAGGGGCUAUAGAAACUUCUUUUCGAACGACUCCACUCAAAGUUGUUUGGGAGCAUAUGCUCCUAUCAACUUUACACGGGACACACAAAAGAAGUACUUUGAUCCUAUUAGACGGGGAAGGGUGAAGAAGCUAGGACAGAAGGGUAGAGUUCAAGAGAGCAAAAUGCGUUUAGGAACGUGGAAUAUAGGAACCUUGAACGGGAAAAUCUAUGGAAGUAGUAGAAGUUAUGGUGAGGAGAAGGAUAAAUAUUAUGUGCCUACAAGAAACUAAGUGGGUUGGUCGUAAGGCAAAGGAUCUAGAAAACUCAGGGUUUAAACUAUGGUAUUCGGGCACAAAUAGAACGAGAAACGGUGUUGGCAUCAUCGUGGACAAGACCUUGACACAAGAUGUUGUAGAUGUCAAGAGGGUAGGAGAUAGAAUCAUGGCAAUCAAGAUUGUAAUAGGACAAGAACUUAUCAAUGUGAUUAGUGCGUACGCACCUCAAGUAGGGUUGGAUACGAGUUCGAAGGAGAAAUUUUGGGAAGACCUUGGAGACUUGGUGCAAGGAAUUGCUCAGACGGAGAAGUUAUUUAUAGGAGGAGAUUUAAAUGGACACGUGGGCAGGGAGACAGGCAACUAUGGAGGUUUUCAUGGUGGCCAUGGUUUUGGGGAGAGAAACGAGGAUGGGGAAGCUAUCUUGGAUUUUGCAAUGGCAUAUGAUCUCUUCUUAGCCAACACCUUCUUUAAGAAGAGAGAAGAACAUGUGAUCACCUACAAGAGUGGGUCGUCAAAAACACAAAUAGAUUUUCUUCUAAUGAGGAAAGGGGAUCGUAUAACUUGUAAGGAUUGCAAAGUUAUACCAGGAGAGAGCGUGGCUAAUCAACAUCGCUUGUUGGUGAUGGAUGUACAUAUCAAAAGAGUGAGAAAAAAGAACAAGACUUGGAAGUGCCCAAGGACUAGAUGGUGGAAUCUAAAAGAAGAAAAACAAGCCAUUUUCAAAGAGAAAGUAAUCACCCAGUGUGUGUGGGAUAGAGAGGGGGAAGCUAACCAAAUGUGGGAUUCCAUGGCUAGUUGUAUCCGAAAAGUAGCAAAAGAGGUAUUAGGAGAGUCCAAGGGCUUUGCCCCACACCAAAAGGAAUCUUGGUGGUGGAAUGAGGAGGUACAAACAAAGGUGAAGGCUAAGAAGGAAUGUUGUAAAGCCUUAUACAAGGAUAGGACCGAUGAAAAUGGUGAAAGGUAUAGAAAAGCGAAGCAAGAGGCGAAGAAAGCUGUGAGAGAAGCUAAGUUAGCGGCUUAUGACGAUAUGUAUAAGCGACUAGAUACCAAAGAAGGAGAGUUGGAUAUCUAUAAACUAGCUAGAGCAAGGGAAAAGAAGACAAGGGACCUAAACCAAGUGAGGUGCAUCAAGGAUGAGGAUGGAAAGGUUCUUGCUACAGAGAACGCGGUUAAAGACAGAUGGAAAGGUUAUUUUCAUAAUCUUUUCAAUGAAGGACAUGAAAGGAGUGCUUCUUUAGGGGAGUUGAGUAACUCAGAAGAGUGUAGAAACUACUCUUUUUAUCGUAGAAUCCGGAAGGAAGAAGUGGUUGUAGCUUUGAAGAAGAUGAAGCAUAGAAAAGCAGUAGGCCCAGACGAUAUACCAAUCGAAGUGUGGAAAGUUUUGGGAGAGACAGGUAUAACAUGGCUCACUGACCUUUUCAAUAGGAUUUUGAAAACGAAGAAGAUGCCAAAUGAGUGGCGAACGAGCACUUUGGUGCCUAUCUACAAGAAUAAGGGCGAUGUACAAAAUUGCAUGAACUAUAGGGGUAUUAAGCUAAUGAGUCAUACAAUGAAGCUCUGGGAGAGAGUCAUUGAGCAUAGAUUGAGGCAAGAGACACGGGUUUCGGACAACCAAUUCGGGUUCAUGCCAGGGCGCUCAACCAUGGAGGCAAUCUAUCUCUUACGAAGAUUGAUGGAAAGAUAUAGAGAUGGGAAAAAGGAUUUACACAUGGUCUUUAUAGAUUUGGAAAAAGCGUAUGAUAGGGUCCCAAGAGACAUUCUUUGGAGGAUUUUAGAGAAGAAAGGAGUACGAGUAGCAUAUAUCCAAGCUAUACAGGAUAUGUAUGAAGGAGCAAAGACUGCCGUAAGAACUCAUGAAGGACAAACCGAAAGCUUUCCCAUAACUGUAGGAUUACAUCAAGGCUCAUCCUUAAGUCCUUACCUUUUUGCGUUGGUAAUGGAUGAGUUAACAGGACAUAUUCAAGAUGAUAUUCCUUGGUGUAUGCUUUUCGCAGACGAUAUAGUGUUGAUAGAUGAAACUCAGGAAGGGGUAAAUGCAAAGCUUAACCUUUGGAGAGAAGUGUUGGAAUCUAAAGGUCUUCGCCUAAGCCGAUCAAAGACAGAAUAUAUGGAGUGCAAGUUCAGUGCAAAUGGAGGCCAAAACGAGUUAGGGGUGAGGAUCGGAGAUCAAGAAAAUACCAAAGAGCGACCGUUUUCGUUACCUAGGAUCUAUCUUGCAAAAGAACGGAGAAUUAGAUGGAGAUCUCAACCAUAGAAUACAAGCUGGAUGGAUGAAGUGGAAGAGUGCAUCCGGCGUGUUGUGUGACCGCCGUAUGCCACUGAAGCUCAAGGGAAAAUUUUAUAGGACGGCAAUAAGGCCGGCGAUGCUGUAUGGCACAGAAUGUUGGGCGGUGAAGCAUCAACACGUACACAAAAUGGGUGUAGCGGAGAUGAGGAUGCUUCGUUGGAUGUGUGGGCACACGAGAAAGGAUAAGAUUAGGAAUGAGGAUAUCCGGGGUAAAGUAGGAGUAGCCGAAAUUGAAGGAAAGAUGAGAGAAAAUCGGUUACGGUGGUUUGGACAUGUGCAAAGAAGGCCUACUGACGCUCCGAUUAGAAGAUGCGACUAUGGGACAGAGGUUCAGGGCCGAAGGGGUAGAGGAAGACCUAGGAAAACUUUGGAAGAGACCCUAAGAAAAGACUUAGAGUACUUGGAUCUAACGGAGGACAUGACACAGGACAGAACACAAUGGCGUUCUAAGAUUCAUAUAGCCGAUCCCACUCAGUGACUUGGAUUUUCCAAGUCUCCAACCGAGAAGUUUUCCUCACUCGGGAAAUUAAGGGAACACUACCUCAACCUACAUGCUCCACUCACAAAGCUUCAACAUACAAGCUUCAACAAAAGAAAAUUCAAAGAACUUAGCGAAGAAGGCUUUGGUGUAUUUAACACAAUACGUUGAAAUGAAGGAAAGCUUAUUUAUUGAUAUCCCCGAUAAGUUACAAAUAUGUACAUAUACUUGAGUCAAAAUAAACAAACAAGAGGGAGCCUUCACAAAGGUUGCUUAGGAGAAGUCUCAGCAGUCGGUAGAGCCCCAGAAAGAGAAGGCACCGGAGGGGGAUCAUUCGGAGCCUCAGUACUGGACAGAACCCUAGAAGGAGGAGGCAUCAGAGGUUGAUCAUUUGGAGCUUCAUUACGCGGUACAGCCCCAGAAGACGAAGGCAAUAAAUGCCUUUGGAACAAACCCACAAAUCUCUGAUGAUCAAGUAAAACCUGACCAUCAGAUUCCUUCAUCUGGUCAAGCUUCCUCUUCAUGUUUGUAGCAUAGUCAUGUGCGAGCCGGUGCAACUGUUUAUUCUCAUGCUUGAGCCCUCUAAUCUCCUGUUUGAGACUCAUCACUUCAGCCGCCAAUGAUUCAACUUGGCGGGUUCGAGCAAAUAGGCGUUGGGCCAUAUUAGACACAGAACCUGCACACUGAACACUGAGAGCCAGAGAAUCCUUAACAGCCAACUCAUCAGACCGUUUGGAAAGUAGUCUGUUAUCUUUGGGAGUGAGAAGGUUCCUGGCCACUACCGCAGCGGUCAUAUCAUUCUUCAUCACGGAAUCCCCAACGGUAAGAGGACCAGUAGGGGAGACGAAGGAUGGGCGCCAUAUGUUGUCUGGAGAAGGCGGGGCUGCCUCUUCAACAAGGUUCAAGUCAAAACGACGGUCGGAGGGGCCAGACAUUUUCAAAGGUGUUGAAGAGAGAAGAGGUCGGACAAAUCAAGAUCUUAGAAGUGCAAGAAUGGAGCUUCUACUGGUGGAUAUUCAAGUGUGCUUUGGAACUUAAUGUCAGCCCCUAUAAAAAUCUGCACUCGACGAAGCUUCAGAAAUCGAAGAGGCGCCUGCUCAGAAAUCGAAGAGGCGUUUGCUUUCUCAAAAGCUGGGCUGCUCAGAGACCACGAGGGUCGAUCUCAGAAAUCGAAGAGGCGUUUGCUUUCUCAAAAGCUGGGCUGCUCAAAGACCACGAAGGCCGAUCUCAGAAAUCGAAGAGGCUUGCUUUCUCAAAAGCUGGGCUGCUCAGAGACCACGAGGGCCGAUCUCAGAAAUCGAAGAGGCACCUACUUUUCCAGCCUUGUCAGCACCUGUCACACGCACACUCAGCUUUGCGGAAAUUAUGGGCAUUCUGUCGAAGAUUUCUGGCGAAGUAGAAAGCACAUGAAUCGUACUGUUCAAUCACCCACUUCCCACACGCAACAGUAGCUCAUGGGUACCACAGAUAACUUUGCCAAAGUUCUCUGACAAAGUUGAGACACGUGAAGCUUGCAGCUCCCACUACAUCGCUCUGACCAAGAAGGGUAAAAGAAUUAGCAAAGAAACAACACUAACAAAGUUUAGACACAUAAAUUUUGAAGGUCUAGCUACCAUAUUAUUACCCACAAGGGUAAAGGAACAGUACCACUGCUGGAUAAUUGGAAAGUCCCGGUGUGUCAACCUCUGUGCUUCGUGGCAAGGUAGACUAGCAAACAUGCCCAACCUUUACUCACAUUCGAGAAAACACUCCCAACAAGAUUGCUUGCUCCAAAAUCGAAGAGGCACCGCCCUCCGAAUCUCGAGAGCCAGACUCCCAACAUGAUUACUUUCUCAAAAAUCGAAGAGAGGGUAAAGGAACAGUACCACUGCUGGAUAAUUGGAAAGUCCCUGUGUGUCAACCUCUGUGCUUCGUGGCAAGGUAGACUAGCAAACAUGCCCAACCUUUACUCACAUUCGAGAAAACACUCCCAACAAGAUUGCUUGCUCCAAAAUCGAAGAGGCACCGCCCCUCCGAAUCUCGAGAGCCAGACUCCCAACAUGAUUACUUUCUCAAAAAUCGAAGAGAGGGUAAAGGAACAGUACCACUGCUGGAUAAUUGGAAAGUCCCUGUGUGUCAACCUCUGUGCUUCGUGGCAAGGUAGACUAGCAAACAUGCCCAACCUUUACUCACAUUCGAGAAAACACUCCCAACAAGAUUGCUUGCUCCAAAAUCGAAGAGGCACCGCCCUCCGAAUCUCGAGAGCCAGACUCCCAACAUGAUUACUUUCUCAAAAAAUCGAAGAGACACCGCUCUCCGAAUCUCGAGAGCCAGACCCCCAGCAGGAUUGCUUUCUCAAAAAUCGAAGAGGCAUCGUUCUCCGAAUCUCGAGAGCCAGAUCCCCGACAGGAUUGCUUGUUCGAAAACCGAAGAGGCACCACUUUCCCAACUUCAAGAGCUGGAUCUCCUUGGAUAAAGCUUGUCUGUAAUCUUCACACGCAACAUCAGCUUUCCAGAUACCACAGACCACUUUUUCAAAGUGCUCUGACAGAGUUAAAACAUGUGAAGCUGGCAGCUCCCACUACCGUGCUAUGACCAAGCAGGGUAAAGGAAUAGCAUUAUUACUUGAUGUUAGGGAGACUCCUAUAUAUGUCGACCUCCAUCCCCAACGGACAGGCAGACCUGCAAAAAUGCUCAACCCUUCCUCUUAUCUGAGAGGGCACUCCCAACGAAGCCUUUCGAAAUAUUCAGCUUUCUUUCCCCCCGAUAAUACCUCUGUAAACAAGCUAUACUAGAGCAAGAAUAUCUCAUAUCAUCAGGGUUAAAAGCAAGAGUAUCCCAUAUCAUGCUUUUUCCCUGUCUUUUCCUUUGGCCUUGUUCUUACCUGCAAGACAAGGAGAAAGAGAGCAAUCAGUCAGCACUUGGAAUCAAGCUUCCAGCCAGGAACUGACUGCCUGGAACCCCUUACCUGAUUACUUACCUGGCAUUGCUCUCGAGUACUCAUCUUCAACAUCUUAUGCUUCCAGGGAAGAUACCGCAUCUGCCUGAGGAACAGAUAGGGCAAGUGAGAAGGAUACAAGGAAGCAUGUGGAGACAAGCGUAACAGCACACGUGCCGAUACAUCCAUUACUCUGUCAAAAGCAAAAGUAUCCCAUAUCAGCAGGGUCGAACGUACUCUAGAUUUGAUGGACUUGUUUUGACCCUCAAAUUCUUCAGUCGGCCUUAUACUCUGGAGGAAACCAGAAAACCCUCCAGCCCAGUUCAAGAAUAAGCCUGUGGAAAGUUACUUCUUCAAAAGCAAAAGUAUCCCAUAUCAUCUCUUCUCAUUUUUCUUCUCUUUAUCCUUCAUGCUGCCUGCAAGAUAGGGAGAAUGUGAACAAUCAGCCGGAGCUCUGAUUGCUUACCUUGUCUGUCACCUCUUUCAGCAGAUCCCCUAGCUCGGCGACUUGGGGGACUCCUACUACAUGGUUUGUAUCGCGCUUGACCAAGCCUGAAACUACAAGUAAGCUUCAAGUGACAAUUGAUACAUUACCUUGUGCAUCUCCACCAGUUACAGAUACCACCCCUGGAUGGAGGAAGAGUACUUCCAGAGAAGAUGCCACAUCUACCUAUGAGACAGAUAAGGAAAGUCAAGACGAUACCACACUCCGGUACUUAGAAGUUUCGUGGUUACGAGAUCAUUCUCCCACAAUAUUUCCUAAUGUCAUUUGUACUAAAUCAUUCACUUGUACUCACUAAAGGAGAGCUUGAACCUAUGUACUUGUGUAAACCCUUCACAAUUAAUGAGAACUCCUCUAUUCCGUGGACGUAGCCAAUCUGGGUGAACCACGUACAUCUUGUGUUUGCUUUCCUAUCUCUAUCCAUUUAUAUACUUAUCCACACACUAAUGACCGGAGCAAUCUAGCGAAGAUCACAAAAAAGUGACCGUUUUCGCUACCUAGGAUCUAUCUUGCAAGAGAACGGAGAAUUAGAUGGAGAUCUCAACCAUAGAAUACAAGCUGGAUGGAUGAAGUGUAAGAGUGCAUCCGGCGUGUUGUGUGACCGUCGUAGGCCACUGAAGCUCAAGGGAAAAUUUUAUAGGACGGCAAUAAGGCCAGCGAUGUUGUAUGGCACAGAAUGUUGGGCGGUGAAGCAUCAACACGUACACAAAAUGGGUGUAGCGGAGAUGAGGAUGCUUCGUGGGAUGUAUGGGCACACGAGAAAUGAUAAGAUUGGGAAUGAGGAUAUCCGAGGUAAAGUAGGAGUAGCCAAAAUUGAAGGAAAUAUGAGAGAAAAUCGGUUCUGGUGGUUUGGACAUAUGCAAAGAAGGCCUACUGACGCUCCGGUUCGAAAAUGUGACUACUGGACAGAGGUUCAGGACCGAAGGGGUAGAGGAAGACCUAGAAAAACUUUGGAAGAGACCCUAAGAAAAGACUUGAGUACUUGGAUCUAACGGAGGACAUGACACAAAACCGAGCGCAAUGGCGUUCUAGGAUUCAUAUAGCCGACCCCACUUAGUGGGAAAAGGCUUUGUUGUUGUUGUUGUUGGUUGAUUUUGUAUGGACGAUGUAUUAAUUUUUUUUUUUUUUUGGGAUUUUGUGUAUUGGGUAUUGUGUAGAACCAGCAAUGCAGGAUCUGAUCAGUCACGCCCGAAAAGGGGUUUGUUUCUCAAAUCACAUUAAUUAAUUAGAUUAUUAAUGUGCGUUGGAAGGCUCUUCAAUAUGAUUUCUAAUUUCUCCUUUCCAGCAUUCUCUUUUUGGUUUUUGGAGUAUGUAUGUGAUUUGUAUUUGAUUAUAGAAUAAAAAUUAAUAAAACACGAGAUGCAGCAAUUAAUUUGCAUCCUUAUGACAACACAUAUAUGAAAGUGCAUUCAAUUUCAAUGUGCGAAUGUGUGACAGGACAGGAUGUGCCUGCCUGCUGGUGGUGGUAUGCUUGCUGUUGUUUCUUGCGUUGUUAAUUUUUUGUGUGUUGAUUUGAUUAACAAUUCAAGCGUAUCUUAUUUUUUUUGUGUUGGUUAGCAGCCAGUUUUAUGGCCCCGAUCUAGUGAUGCUUCUCAGUGACUGGUAAUUGCAGUUCAUUGCCACCAGUUGGUCAGCUACCUGCUCUGAAAGAGCUCUACGUAGAAGGGAUGAAAGUUGUUAAGAGUGUUGGUGUUGAGUUGUACGGGGGAAAUCAACCAUUUCAAUGUUUAGAGAAGGUAAAGUUUCGGGAGAUGCCAGAGUGGGAGGAAUGGCAGCCUAGUCCAAGUGGAUGUGAAAGUCCAGACUUUCCUCAUCUUAAGGAGCUGAGGUUAUCCGAAUGUCCGAAGCUGAGAGGAAACUUGCCCACUCAUCUUCCCUCCUUGAAAACACUUUAUGUGAACAAGUGUGAGGUUCUACAUAAAAACAGGGCCAGUAAUACCCUGAACGUGGAAUCCUUACGAGGAUCUCUUGAAAAACUGACAAUAAAUGGAUGCCCGGGUCUCUCAUUGUUACUAGAGUCGAUGGAGACGCUGCCGUCGCUUCAGAAGCUUGAUAUUGAUAGUGUUGGUGGGAAAGAGUUGUUGGUGCAAAUGGUGCACAACAGCAAUCGUCUUCAAAGUUUUGACUUUAUAUAAAUGUUCCUCACCCUUGUCGUUCCCUACAAAUGGUCUGCCCACCACGCUGACGUCACCGAGCAUAACAGAUUGCAAGAAAUUAGAAUUCCUAUCACGUGAGAUGAUGGCCAAAUUGACUUCCCUUCAGUCUUUGCGUCUAUCCAACAGCUGUGAAUGCAAAGGCUUGAGUAAUUUUUGUGAGUCUGCUGUUUGGUUUUUUUUUCUUCAUUUUAGAGAUUUUUCUACUGUUUGGUUUUUGGGUUUUGUCUAAUUUUUGUGGUCUGCUUUAUAGAUUGUUCUCUUUGGAAGCUUCUUUCCAGCCUUGACCUUCUUCUUGCCUGGUGCCUUCUCAUUGAGUAUUGGAGGAGCAUUAAAACACAGGUGUGUGUGUUUUGUCGAUGUAAGAGAUGAACGACAUAAAAACAUCCGUCUUUGUAUUUUUUUGUGCUUUUUCUAACCCAUCAAUUUCUUUUGAGUCAACCAAAUAGUCCCAAAUUGCAACUUAUGUUGUGAGGUAUUAUUGUCUAAAAUUAAGUAUGCAUGUAUAUUUUAUGUUUGUGCGCGCGCACACCUCCGCAUGGUGUUAAUCUCUGUGGGUCAUCUAUGUAUAUGUAGACAUAUCUAUAUGUGUAUGUGUGGAAUGCAACAUAUCGGAUUUAGGUUAUACUGUGCAUAGUUUUAUUGCCUGUUAUUAUCUACGAUAUCACUAUGCCAUUUCUAUGCAGGCUCUGAAAGUUAUCCAUGAGCUUUAUAAGCACUUACCAUAAUUUAAGCAGUCUGUUUUGGGUUCUUUUUCAUUAGGUCAUUAGCUACAGAUUAAUGGAGAAACGAGGACCAUGCAACUGAUUUGGGUUCUUUUUCUAAUUUUCUGAUUUUGGGGUUUUGCAGGGAGUACUGAUGUACUGAUUUUCUGGGAUUUUUUUUGUCCUUGCAGGAUUUUUGGUCUUUGGAAUGGGUAUGUGUUGUUUUUAACGUUUCAGUUCUAGCUUGUUCCGUUCUUCGUUGCUUCGUGAUUCUCAUUUUUUAGUGUUGGGUGAUGGAAAUUUGUUCAAGUAGUUGGUAGUUUUUUUAGAAAGUUGGCAUUUUUAGUUAUAUUUUCUGUUUAAUCCUAAAUGUUAGACUGGAAAAUCAUUGAAAUGACGGUUUUUUAAAAACUCAUAAUUUUUUUGUUCUGGGAGUUAAAAGCAUCUUUUCCAGAUUGGUUAUAAGGGUUAUGUUCUCUUCAAUUGGUUCACCUAAUUUUGAUUAGUUUUAAGUUUUGUCCUUUUAAGUUUUGUCUUUUAAGUUUUGUUCUUUAAGUUGUCUUUUAAGUUUGUUCUCUAAGUUUUGUCUUUUAAGUUUUAUCUUCUGUGCUGUAAUGAGAGAUUUCUGUUGGCCUUUCGGAUUUUGGCAUGGGAAAGUUCACUUAUUUGUCUAAUUAGAUUGUGUAUGCCUUCGAUUCUUUAUUUAAUUGUUCUGUUUGUGUUCAGGUGUGAUGAUCUAAAUUUCAUAUGUUUGGAAUUAUUCACUUAACACCAAUUUGUUACAUUCAGAUCUCCACCCCACAUUUCACUAGUUCAAAUUCCAUAGAAGUCGGUUACUGCAGAUUGCGUCUACAAUUAGAUCAGAGAUCAACUGCUCUUUUGUUAUCCUGCAGAAGAUUGCUUUUGGGAAGGAUCUGAAGUAGUUUCUUUCUGUAAGUUUAUUCCCAUGUAGCUCUGUCUUUUCUAAUUGAUGGUGUUGAUAUUACACUGUAAUUCAUGAUGAUGAUUUAAUUGUUUAUUGAUUUGUAAUUGUUUGUGAAUAAUGUGGCAUAUAUGACUUGCAAUAUGUGUUUGUAUGAAAGGGAUGACAUAUUAUGUUGCUGACUUAAUUGUUUAUGUUUUUCAUAUUUGCGAAUGGUGUUAUGAUCAAUUAGGUGAUUGCUGACCUGUGACUUUGUUUGGAGCUCAAAUUUUGUGAGCAUUACAUUGGAUUGUUUUGAUGUUGUUUUGGUUGACAAUGCAGGGAUAGGAGAAACAAAGAGGAUGACACUUAUAACUGCCCUUCCCCAUCGGCCGUCUUCAAAUUUGGAUCACAAGAAGGGAGCAACAUAGGUGUUUUCCUUCUUCAUUUAGAUAUGGUUAGUGUAAAUAAUUGGACAAAAGAGCCAAACAAACCCUGUUCUCUCAAAUGGAGUCGAUGAUGUGGUCGAUGGCCACCAGCCCCAACUCAAGAGUUUGGCCUUCAUAUAAUUGGAUUGUAGUAUAAUUUUAUUUUGGUUCAUUUCUUUUUUCCUUUAUAUAAGUGCAGGUGUUGUGAUGUUUUGAAUAAAGGGUGAUGAAAGGUGGUUCACACACUUCCUCCUUACUUAAAGCAAGUGGAGAUGAUGGGUUGUAUAAAAAGAAAAACUUGCCAGGUACUUCGAUUUUCUAUUUUAUUAAUUAUUGUUUGGUUUUCCAAAUGUUGUAUUCACAAAGAGAGACCAAUGAUGUCUUUGAGAAACAAGUUUCUUUGUCUACAUUGCGAGAAUUUGCAGUUUGCAACUUUCAUUGGUUAUUAUAUUUGAUUGAGUUAAACUUGGAUUUCUGGAUUUUGACUUUUUCGUUUGUUUCUUUGUUGUAGAGUUGGCUUCAUUUCAUUCCAGUAACUCUAUUCCAGUAACUCUCUAAAAUAGGGCCAAGAACUCACUAAAUAGGUAGUCAAGAGGAAUUCAGUUUUGCCUUCAAUUUUUGCCUUCUGUUUACAUUCUUCCUGGAUGCACUCUCACCGCUUCUCUCGCUUACCACUUUUGUCUCACUCACCGCUUCAUCUCUUCUGUUGCUUACAAGGUCGUGUCAUAUAUUUUUUUAAUUUUUGUGUGUUUAAUUUAUUGAAUAUUUGAAAAAAGAGAUAAAAUUUUCAAUUUACAAUUACUGAUAUGAUGUUUGUUUUGAAAAUCAUUAAGGUGAAUGGAGAGAUUUACAACCAUGAAGAGCUGAGGAGCCGUUUGCCAAAUCAGAUUUAUAAGGUCUCAUCAAUUAUAAAUAAACGACUUUUCAUUCCCAAUGACCUUUAUCGUUUUUCUUAAUGGGUUAGCUGAACAUGAGGUAGAUGCUGACUUUAUAAAAUAUGAGAAUGUUUUAGGAUUUCAUUCUAAUUUUUUGGCUGUUUGAUUACUUUGCUUUUCGUAAUUUGUUUUGCUUAUCGUCAAUUGGAUGGGACAACAUAUUUUUGUAACCAGUUUGUACUUUUUUUUUUUGUGGAAACUAACCAGUAUGUACUUUUACCAUCUCGGUUUUGAUGGAAUUGGAGCUUUCAGUAAUGGGUUCUGAGGGAAUUGGAGUUUUGAGUAAUGGGUUUUUUAACAACUAUAGUAUCAUUUGUGAUUCUUUUAUUUAUAAGAUAUUAUAUAGGAAACUGUUAUUAGCACUCUAAUAAUCUUAUUCUACACUCGCGACAAGUGUAUUUUUCUUUCUAAUUAUGGAAAGUUUGGAGUGCAAAAUGAGAAUUUUGGAGUGCCAAUAACAAUUCCCUAUUAUAUAUAGCUCUACUAAGAAGGCGACUGUAUAUGUCUUCAUCCUGUUAAAUUGUAUAUGGCUCUUGAUGUCGGCUGAAUUAAAUCAAAAUGAAAACCAAGCUGCUGAUCUUACCAGCCCAUAUCACUUAUCACUUAUUUAAAUUAUUUGAAGAUGCAUACGUGGAUUGGUGAUUUUGUUGGAUUCACUUAGCUCAAAUAUAUGUUAUCUGAGUCGCUACAUUUGAGAAUGUGAUUCUGUUCCUACCACCAUUUUGCCCACUUUUUGUGGAAAUUAUUCAUUCCUGUUGUGAAUAAUAUCCCCGGCAGCGAAGUGCGGGCGCAUUUUCUAGUUUAAGUUAAAUCACACAAUGGGUCAUCAAUAAUGACAAACUCGUCAUUUAUGCGAGUCAAACAUGAGACCACCUACCUACUAGUUUAGUGGAAUACCACAAGUGACAUGUUGAUACCUUUAAAUCUCAUAUAAUGGAUUGCAGAAUUAGGAUAUACCUAGUCUAAUUUAGUCAGUGCGUGAACCCGAACAAUUAACCAGGGUUUUAUUCUUGCUUGAAUGUUUGUAAUAUGUUCCUAGUUUGACAAGGCAAUUAUAUUUCCGACUACAAAAGUUAUUAAUUUAGUCGAGAAUUGACGCACCUGAAAUGGUGUGAGGAAAACAUGUAGACACAUCAGACGCGGUCCAUCCUGAGCAUUGUGUAUUAAGGAUAAAGCUCAAAGCCAUACAUGAGGGCAUUGUGUAUGUCUUUAUAAGAGAAGUUGCUGUAGUCCUCAACGUGGCCGGCAGCCAAACUCAUCCACUCUACACUGCAACCCUCAUCCAAAUCCCAUGCUUCCAACCUGCCCCCGACAUAGUCAUCGACCAUGACAUAGCUAUACGUUUUUGGUUGACUCGAAGAAGAAGAAGAAGAAGAAGUAUUAUUCAAGCAUGGAGCAGUGUCCACGUACAGAGAAGAAUUCGAUGGAUUCGAACACUUCAAGUAAUAUAUAGAUAGAGAAUUGAUGUCAUAGGUGGGCCAAUAUAGAGAAUCGAUGUCCUCGAUGGGCGGAAUAUUUUGAGACAUGGAAGAGCAAUUGUUGUUGUCAAGCCCAGGAUCUAGAAGUCGGAUUGUUUUGUUAAUGUAGUUGAUUGCCUGGACAUAGUAUUUUCCGGAAGAAGGUAGGUCUAGUACUGUAAUGUUGCUCUCACAGGACAGAGUAAACCUUACGUCGCCACAGUACUUUGGAUCAUCGUUCAGUCGAAAAGGAUGGCUUAUGUUGUGGAUAUGGCCGCAGGAUGAAGUGCAGGACUUGGCACUACUGUUGUCAGCGUUACAAGUUUCACUGCAAAAGCAAAGAAGAAGAAAGGCUAAACUUAAGGUGAAGGACCUGGUUCCACUGAUUUCCAUUGCUCUGAGAGAGAGAGAGAGAGAGAGAGGGCACUAUAGCUUAAACACCAAGGAGUUAUAUAAUAUGGGAGGGGUUAAAGCACCUCGCUUAAAGUUGCAGUAAGCCCGUCAAAUAUCCUAGGGAAAAGUCGGUCAAUGCUGUCCUAUAGAGAAAAGUCGGCCUUGAUGUUUGACACGGUCACACUCUCUCUCUCUCUCUCUCUCUCUCUCAUUGACGAGGGACACUGUAAUUGAAAAAAAAAAUUGUUAUUCAGAGAUAGAUCUUGAAAUUCUUAUUUUAUAUAAAAAAAAGGGGUAUUUAGAUUUUAGGACCUAUAUAAGAUAAUUUUUAGAUUAUAAGGUUUCAAAAUCUUAUUUUAGUCCCUAAUUUAAUAUUCAUCGCCACAUCAUAUUAUAAGAUACCUCUAUUACCUACCAUAUUUACAAACUUUGCCAUUUAAAUUGUCAACCUAUUCUAUAAUUAAGGCUUAAAUAUAUUCCGUUAAUAAACCAUUCGUCAAUAAGAUAAAUCCAACUAUGGUAAAUUAUACUAAUUUAUACUUGCUGACAAACAAAUUAAGUCUAUAGUAAUUUUAGGUCAGUCACCUUAAGAAGUCGAAGAUGAAAAAAUCAAAUACAAAACAAUAGGUUAAAAAAAUUAAAUAAUAACCCUUAAUAUAUAUAUAUAUAUAUAUAUAUAUAUAUAUCACAAAAAAAAAGUAUAACAACUCCUUAUUGUCUAUAUAUAGGAAUUGCAUAAGUGUCGGUACAUAUGUGUAGGUACAUACAUGCACAUAGGUACGGAAGUAUCGGUAUGGAAGUGCCGGUACAUACGUACACAUAGGUACGAAAAUAUUGAUACGUUAGCAUCGGUACAAAAGUAUCGGUGCGGAAGUGUCGAUACUUAUGUACAUAUAUAUAGGUACGCAAAUAUUGAUACAUAAACAUCAAAAGAAAAAAUCGGUAGAUUCGAUGUAUGAGAAGGUAAAAAUAAAUCAUCAACACUAGAAAAAAAUGAUAAAAGUAAAUCAUGCACUAUUAGAUGCAUAAGAAGAAGAAAUAUUAGAUGUGGAUGGUGGCCCUAGCCCUCUCUUCUAACACGGUUGAAGAUAAUUUUUUGGGUUGGACAAAAAGUUUCAUUUUUAAGGAGAACCAUUUAUGUUAGCAAUAAAACUGAAAAGUUAUAAAUAAAAUAAAUAUAAGACAUUAUAAUUCACUCAAGGAUAAUAUAGGAAGAAAAAAAUUACAUAAAAGGAAUUAACUCUGACAUUAAAUAUAAAUGCUGACUUGGACAUAAGUCAAAGGACUAUAAUUAGUUUUUUAUCUUGGUUAAGGUUUUAGUCUAAAGAUAAUCUUUUUCAAGGAUUAAUAUCUAGUUUCCUAUAAAAAAAAACACCUAAUAUUAAUCAUUCAAAUGAAAUUGUUAAAAUUAAGUAUAAAUAAUACAUAAUGAAAACUGAACACAUACAAUCAACGGUCACGACCAUGAAAUCCUCCGGAUCCUCAGAAAAAAAUCCGACGAUGAUCUUUUUCUGUGUAAAAUAAUUUGAGGGUAUAAUACUGGAUGUGCGAUUAAACCGAAGAACCCACCCACCUCCAUCUUCUCUGACCAACUUGAACCCAGCCACUACUACAUGUCAUCCCGACAACCCACUCUCAGCUUCCCAAACCGCCAUUUUUCACCCAAUGGAACAUUUAAAGAAAAAAUCCAUCUGCAAAUCGAAAACCACCGAAAAAAAUUAAAUCAGAUACAUUGGAAAAAACGCAAAACUCAAUGGAACAACACUGGCGUGGAAGAGAAAAAAAGCAGAAGGUGAGAAUGGAGAGAAAGAAGCGAACGGAAAGAAAAAGCAAAGAAGAGGUUGGAAACGGAACAACAGAAGAACAAUAGAAGAACAGAAAUGGGUAUGGGAAACGGAACAACAGAACAAAAAGCAGGCGGUGUAUAGAGCAAGAAAAGCAAACCUCACGAUGACCAACACGUGCUAAGAGAGGCCCCGGUUCACUGUGUAUCACAUUUUUUAAUAUUUUUUUUGGUCUUCCCACCGGCUAUACAUGGGAUUCCAAAAUUAAGAAGGUAUAAAUUUUUAUUGUUUCUUGUGCCACAAACCAUGUGGCCCAGUCUUAAUCACAUUUUUUAAAUAUUUUUUUUGCUCUUCCCAUCAGCAGUACAUGGGUUAAAAAAAUUAGGAAAGUAUAAAUUUUUAUUGUUUGUUGUGUCACAAACCACGUUGCCCGGUUUUAAUCACAUUUUUUUAAUAUUUUUUUGUCUGCCCACCAGCUAGGUUUAAAGAAUUAAAAAAGGACUAAAAGAAAGACUCCACAGAUGGAGGAACAUGGGAAUAGAAAGGGCAAAUUUGGGAUUUUACUGUACAAAAAAGACAAAAAGUAACUGCUGAAGACUAACUUGAGGGGCAUUUUGGUCUGCACACUGCCCUAGAACAGUAACCAUCGGAUUGGGUUUUAGUAUAUAUAGAAUAUGUUUAGAUAAGGACAAUAAACUUAGAAUUUUGCCAAAAGUCAGAAUUUAUAAAUUGAUACAAUCAAUUCAUUUGUUUGGAUUCAUAAACAUAGAAAUUUAGACUUUCCGCGUGAGAAAAAACUUGGAAUUUGGGACCUUCAAUUCUCAUGUUUAAAUUUCAUGUAAAUAGGUGUCAUUUAUAAAUUUCAGUAAGUGAGAGUUUAAAAAUAACAAACAUGUAUUCAAAUUUCAUUCCUCCUUUGGUUAACCAAAAAAGAAAAUUUAUAAAUUCUAGAAAAUAAAAUUUCUUUAUUUUAAUUUCUGUUAUUUUAAAAUUCUUAGGGCUUGUUUGGUAUUCUACUUGAAUCCAACUUUUUAAACUAAAAAAUAAUUUUCAAGUUUUAGGCCUUAAAAACUUAUUUGGUAGAACUAUUUAAAAAAACUGAACUUAAGACUAACUAAAAAAUAUAAUAUAUUAUCUAAAAACACAAAAAAUGAGUUUUUAGAAUUUUUAAACUUAAAUUCACUCAUUUCUUUUCUCUCCCUCCUCCCCUCUCACUCCAAAUCUCUCUCUCUCUCUCUCUUUUCUUCUUUCUCUCUCCCCUUCUCUUUUUUUUAACCUUUUUUUGUCUCUCAUCUAAUCCGCUCUCUUCAUUUUCUCGGUUCUUUCUCUCACUCAUAUUCCUCUCUAUCUCCUCCAAUUCUCUCUCUUCAUUCUUUUUCAACCAAUAAUUUCUUACUUUUUUCCUCUUCUCUCCUCUUGAUUCUCUCUCUUCAUUCUUUUUCAACCAAUCAUUUUUUACUUUUUUUCCUUCUCUCCUCUUUCUCCCUCGACUUCCUCUUUUUGGAUCUCUUUGUUCAGUUUGAGCUGUAAGAUUUAAAAUUAUUUUAAAUCGUAUACCAAACAAGUUUUUGAGUCUUAAAGAAAAUUGUUUUUCAAAAAAUGUUCUUAAGAAAUGUUUUGAGAAAUGAUAAAAAAUUUCAAAUAAGAUACCAAACAAGCCCUUAAUAAUCUUAAAUUUUCCCAUCCAAACAAAAAAUUUUCUUGUCAUAGAACUUUCAAUUGGAAUCAAAGAAGACAAUCUUUUCACAACUAAUUAUUCUCACCAAAAGCAAUUUUUAUUUUAAAGCAAUCAAUACCAAACUGCAAAAGCAAAGUAGGAAGGCUAAAAUUAAGGUGAAGAACCUGCUUCCACUAAUUUCCUUAGGAGGGAGAGAGAGAGGGGGAGAGAGAACCAAGCGAGCGAGCAGAGAGAGAAAACACCAAGUAGUAUUCUAAUGUUGGUGGGGUUAAGUCACCUUCCGUGAAGUUGCAGUAAGGACUUCUAUCCCAGAGAAAAGUCAGUAAAUGAUGUUGACACAGUCAACGACAAAGACAGAAUUGUGUAACCAUAAUUCUCUCUCUAUCUCUUUUUCAUUAUCGGAUGACAGUGUAACACUACUACGUAUAUAUCUCUGCUCAAUUAUUGAAAAGAAAAAUCCAUGUGCAUUAUUUUUAUUAUUAUUAUCUCAGAAAUGCAGAAAUUGAUCAUCUCUUCCUUUUGCAUAUUGAUACUGGUUUUCUUCAAACUAGUUGAAGCAAGUCAAUAUGUGUGCGCGAAAUCCAACUGUAGCAAUGAUCAAAGCGGGGCUAUCCAUUUCCCAUUAAACAUCAGGCGCACACAUCAUUGUGGUAAUUCUGGGCUUGAAUGCAAUGGGAGAUAUGAACAGCAAAUACUAAUAAAAUUAUUUGUCAAAGACAUAGAUUACAAGCGUCAGGAAAUCCAAGUCUAUUCCCCAAGUAACUGCCUGCUGCUAAAGCAUGUUGAAAUCCCAAACAUGCCACCCUCUCCCUUCAACGUGUCAGUCGAUGACUACAUGAGUAACCUUACCUUAUUCAGUUGUCCUACUUCUUUUGCAAGACGAGAUACGGAUGUGUAUCAAGUCCCCUGCCUCGGCGACCGUGGCAAGAGAACUUAUGCCAUUUAUUCUGAUUAUGGUUUUAGAACUCUCUUCCGGAAUCUACAAUCUUGUACAAAAAUGUAUGAUGUUUUAUCAGUUCCAAUACCCUCUGAAUAUUAUGUUCUUCGUUUCAAAUGGUCUAUACCAAAUUGCAGAAAAUGUGGAGAGGGAAAGAGGUGUGAAUGGCAGAACAAUGAAAUUAAAUGUAUUCAAUGGAGGAAACCAAGUAAGGAUAACAUAUGUAUUCAUUGCUAGUUUUAAACAUCUUUACAUUUGUUUCUCAGUAAUUAUUGUUUAAAACAUGUCCAAUCCAUUUUUACUAUGAAUAUUAACUGACAGUCUCAUUUGAAUUUGCCUUUAUCUUUUACAGGCAACACAUGGAAAUUAGUGGUCACAGGGGGAAUCCUGGGUUCUUUGCUUCUUGUUCUACUGAUGAUUGCAGCAUAUCGGGUAUAUAGCGUUGAUAGAAAGAAAAAAGAGAUUCGAUUACGAAUUGAAAGAUUCUUGGAGGAUUACAAAGCACUCAAACCAAGCAGAUACUCGUACGCAGAUAUUAAGAGGAUUACAAAUCAAUUCAAGGACAAGUUGGGCAAAGGAGCCUAUGGAACUGUCUUCAAAGGAAUGCUCUCUUCUGAAUUCUUUAUUGCUGUCAAAGUCCUCAACAGUUCCAAGGGAGAUGGGGAAGAGUUCGUAAAUGAAGUGCGAACGAUGGGUCAUAUCCACCACGUAAACGUGGCUCGCUUGGUUGGAUUUUGUGCUGAUGGAUUUGUACAAGCUCUUGUUUACGAGUUCUUCCCCAUUGGUUCCCUGCAGGAUUUCAUUUCAUCUGCAGAUAGUAAGAAUUCAUUUCUUGGUUGGGAUAAGCUGCAAGAUAUUGCCCUAGGCAUAGCCAAAGGAAUUGAAUAUCUUCACCAGGGAUGCGAUCUACGAAUCCUGCAUUUCGACAUCAAACCCCAUAAUGUUUUGCUAGACCAAAACUUCACUCCAAAAAUUUCUGAUUUUGGUAUGGCCAAGUUAUGUUCCAAGGAUCAAAGCUUGGUGUCCAUGACUACAGCUAGGGGGACCAUGGGCUACAUUGCACCUGAAGUGUUCUCCAGGAAUUUCGGAAAUGUGUCUUACAAGGCAGAUGUCUAUAGCUUUGGAAUGCUGCUGCUUGAGAUGGUAGGAGGAAGGAAGAAUAUUGGUUCAAUCACGGAUAACACUACAAAUGAAAUUUACUAUCCACAGUGGAUUUAUAAUCUUCUAGGGGAAGGGGAUGACCUACGAAUCCACAUUGGGGAAGAAGGAGACGGUAAAAUUUCAAAGAAACUUGCAAUUAUAGGGCUAUGGUGUAUCCAGUGGCACCCGUCGGAUCGUCCUUCCAUGAAAAUAGCGGUUCAGAUGUUAGAAGGAGGAGGAGAAAGCUUGAGUAUGCCGCCUAAUCCCUUUGUGCCUACUGGUUCUACAACUAGGAAUGCAAGACGCCUAGAGCUAGAAGCUAUUGCUGAAUUAGAGUAAAAUGUAUAUGCAGAUAUAUAGACGUAUAGAUAUAGUAAUAUUUACAUUGAAUAAGAUACCGUUUGAUAACCAUUUCGUUUUCAGCUUUUAAUUUUUAUUUUUCACUUUUUUGAAAACUGAAAACUAAAAUCUUGUUUGGUAAAUACUUUUAGUUAAAAAAAAAUGAAGACUGAGAACUAAAAAGUGAAAGCUCAAAGGAAGUAGAUUAAAAGUAGUUACCAAACAAACCGGAAUCUCAAUAAUAAAAAAGAUUGAAUUGCACAAUGCAAUCCAAACCAAUCAAAACAUUAAAAUAGCAAAAAAAUUAAAAUUCUAGUUGAUUAGAUUCUGAACAUAGUAAAAAUGAACAGAUCCGAUGAAAAAACAAAAAAUUCUCAGAUAAAAAUAGGGAUAAAGUAGAAUAUUUAUAAAUAGCUCAUUGUCUCUUAUGUCAUCAAUUAUUUCUAUAGUAUAUACAGGUUUUUGGAAAAAUUAGGUUCCCAUCCCUUAUUUUCAUAUUACAUUGAUUGAAAUCUUAUUAUUUUUCUAUUUUAGAUCAAGGUCCCUUGACUUAUUCCAUGUCAUCAUUUUAGUAUUUAAAAUAUUACACGUCAUCAUAAACGAAAUCUCAUCCCUUUCUGCAUUUAAGGCAAAAUAAACUAUAUAAGUAAGUUUAAAACAAGGAAAAUCCAUUUGAACUCCUCCAUUCUUCUUCUUCCCUUAUGCACAUCUGGAAUCUACAACACCCCAAACCCAAUUUUCUCCAUUUUUCUUCAUUCCUGAAUUGAUCCAAUGCAUAUAUGUUGAAUAAACCUAUUGUGAUUAAAAUACAAAUUAGCAUCAAUGAUUUUAUCGGCUUGUGAGAUUUGUGUGGCAUAGGCAAGGCAAUGCAGGCAUCGCUUUAUCAAAGAAUCUGGUUGAUUCAAACAUGCAGAGACUGUAGAGUGAGCGGGCUAUGUAAAAACUGUACCAUUUUGAAGUCAUUUUCUUUUGUUCUUUACAUUUUUUUUUCUUUUAUUAUUAUAUAUUAGUCUUGAUUAUUCAAUGUCUGGUUGGCUACACUUAUAUCCAUGGGUACAUUUUUAAUCUACAUGUUUCGUUCUAAUAUAUCUAUUGCUAUAAUAUGUUUUGGUUGGUUCAAAUUUGUUUUACAUAAAUAUAUGGGUACAAAGUUUUUGUAGAAUAUUAUGUAAAAUGGUUUUUAAGGUUGCUGCAUUUUACGUACCCACAUAUGCAUGUCUAUAAAACAAUGUGGUAUGAUGUACAUUCUUUUCUUUGAGUUUUUAAAUGUACCCAUGAGUUUUCUUGUAAAUUCGGUAUGUACCCAUAUGCUAUUUAUGUUAUGGGUACAUACAUUAUUUUUGGUCUAAGUUCAUGGGUACAUUACUUUUGUAUGUAUGAAUUCAUGGAGUACAUUAUUUCCCUUAAUACUACUCAAUAAAAUUCACAAAAAUAUGUGUAGCGUGCAUGAUUUUUUAUUGUAGAAAUUGUUUGUUUUUUUUAAGUCUCAUAAUUCAUGAAAUUUGUACAUAUAUGAUCACAUAAAUUUUUUAAUUUUAUUAAAUUUCUUUUAGACUUGAUCGAUUGAUUGAAUCUCAUAAUACUAGGAUUUUGAAUUACAUAAAUUCUUGGAUUUAAAUCCCUUAAAUGUUGAACUGCAAUCAAUAUUUUAAAUUACAGUUUUUUAUUUAAGAUAUCAAAAAGAUGACAUGGAAAUAUAGUAAUACUAAAAUGCUGAGGUGUACAAAGUCAAAGGACUUUGAUAAAAAAAUAAAAAACAAUAAGAUUUCAAUCUAACAAUUGAAUUGACUAGGGAUCGGAACCAAAAUGACCCUAGAUUUUUAUUGAGUUUAAUCUUAAUAAAAAAAAGACUUCUUGUAUCACAAAAAAUACAAGAACCAUUAUUUGAAUGAAAUAAAAGCUAUGGGAUGGAGAUAUAAAUGGAUCCUUUAUUUCACAAUUGGAUUAUAUUUAUUUGAUACACUGUUGUCAAUAUGAAUGCUGAGAAAAGACUACAAAAGAAAAAAACAAUUUAUAAAUAUAACUAACAAUUCCAAUUUCAAUCAAUUAGACAAUUAGAAUUAUAAGAAGAAAAAAAAAAGAAAUUUCAGUUUUCAGUUUAAAAAAAAUGAAAAAAAAAUGGUUAUCAAAGCCGUCCAAAUAAUACAAGUUUGUUUCCACUCUUUGUUUAAGCAUAGAUGCCAAUUUUUGUUUAUCAUUUUUUUAACCUUUAUUUUUUGUUACAGUAGAAGCCCUGGAAGGAAAUCGAGCACUGGACUUACCAAACUCUUAACUUAUUUCUACACACCAAGAGCUUGAUUUCGGUUCUUAUUUAUACUAUUUAAGCUAUAAGCCGUGACAAGAAUUAGAGAACUAUCAUUUGUUGUGAGCUUCAAUUGGUUAGCACUUUGUAUGUUUUCAUUAGAAUAUAUAUUUCACUUAGACUUUCUUAUUAAAAAAGGGAUCAGCUGGUGACUUUACCACGACAAUCCAAUUUUAUGGGGGUCAUGAAUACUCACAAAGGCAUUUCAGCCUCCCCCUAUAUCUACCGUCGCGUGAUUCACCAUUGUCAGAAAUCGAACCCAAGACGUGUUGUAUAGAAUACGGGCCUAAAAUUCAUUUCUAACCACUGAGUCACCCCGCGUUUGAUUAUAUUUCACUUAGACUUAUCUUGCGGUAUAGCAUGUCAUCCCCGCCCAAGUUUUUCCCUUCGCGUUGACUUUGGGAUACCAAAACUUGCCAAACAAAGUAGAUUGAUUAGUAAGCGAAGCUAAUUAUUCGACUAAACAUUGUUUAGAAUUUUAAUUAAAAGAACCAAUAUGAAUCUGUUUUUUUUUUUUUUGACAAACUAUAACGUUAAGGAGUUAAAUUGUUAGUUGUUAAGAGUACGGGGAUAGGUGAGGAUCGAACCUCCACCAUAGUGCAUAGACAUUAUUGGUUCUACAACUGCUGUAAAUCACAUAAAACAAAACGUAAUACUUUGAGGAUGGAAGACACUUCGUGGAUAGCGGGCAAUCAACACUAUCAGUUGCUAUCCAAAACUUGGAAUUAUGUUUAUUGUCCGAAGGAUUUUUCUUCCAUUAAAUUGCUAAGGAAGAUGAGGAUGGGUAGAGUGUCUAAAUGUCAAGGUUGAUAAGAACGUGUAUGGUGUUCAGCUUGCGAUUGAGAUUUGUUGAGUGGCACAACAAACCACAUAAAAUUUUCUAAAUGAUAAGCUUGAGUAUAAUUUUUUACCACGUAUUUAUCUUUAAAAUCAUUAUAAUUAGAUUUUCUCUUAAUUAAUAUAGACCGUUAGAUUCAUCUAAUGACCCAAGUUUUUUUCCUCUUUUCUUUCUACUCUUUUUUUCUUCUCUGAUUUUCCAUUCACCGUGUAGCAGUCGUUCUUCCCCAACUAAGUUUCUUAUUUUUCUUCACAAAAAAAUUGUAGAAAAUAUUAAGAAAAGAAAAGUCAUCAAUAUCAGACUCGACCAGGUAAUCGUUCCAACCUUCCCAGCAACUCUCAGUCUUAACAAGGCACCAAAUUUUCUCCGCCACCUAACUCGUCAUUCAUUUAUGGGUGUUUCAAGCUUGGUGAAAAUUGAUAGAGUUCCAUGUGUGUACACGGAUGUGAACAUAUUGGCCACUCUCUAAUGUGUUGGUUUAUCACAAAGAACCCAGAUACAAAAUUUUAAAAAGCAAACAAUUACAACUUCUCAAAUAUUAUCUAACAAACUUUCAAUGAAAUGUUGCUCAUAAUUGAAAAAAGGUUGACGAAGGACGGAGUUGGAGUUAUUUUAGAUGGGGAAGAGUUAAAAGAAGGAAGCACCAUUUAAUUAAUAAAAGCGAUUGGAGAAAUAGUAAUUCAAUGGUGGGCGUUUUUAAGGUGUGGACCUUGUAUCACACCCCGAUUCCAACAUACAUUGAGGAUCAACACGUGACAUGGGGACAUAGGGGACAUAAAUCUUAUGUAAGAUACAAAAUGAAAUACUAUAAAUAAUAUCCCAAAAUGAAUAUGAUAGUGGGUUCACCCCUAUAAAAUAUAUACGAGUUUGUACAUUCACAAAAAAAAAAAAAAAAAAAAAAAAAAAACACAUACACACACACAAAACUCUCGCUAGGCCAAGACUUGCCCAUGGUGCUCAAAGGAAAGUCCCAAAAGAAAGAGUACAAUGAAGGAUAAAGGGGUAACCUAAACACUCCAAGUCUCUGAUCUCUGCACUGCUACCCUCACCGGCUCCUCGUAAUCUACUCAGACCUAUCACAUGUACAAACAGUGCCUACAUUGUGGGAAUGGUGCAUCGGGCAAACAAAAACCCGGAUAAGCUGCAAAACUCGUGUGAGUGACAAUAAUGCAACAUAUGUGAUAAUCAAGAAAAACAUACCAUCGAUCGCAGUUUAUAAACCUCAAAUAUAACUUCAUACUUAUGAAAUCAUAAUCAAGUCACUGAAAACUUCGAAUGAGUCACCCAGACAUCCAACGACUUUUUAAAAUCAAAUCUCAGAGAUUCCAAAACUAUCAUUCACAAAUACACUAAAAACUAGGGCUAGAGUGACACAGUUCGGCCAAAGACUACAUAAGUAACCAAACAAGAAGUGGCCCCCCAUAGCGGAUUAACCAAGCAGAGCCACUCCUGAAAAAGUAACCAAGUAGGUAGUGACCCCCAUCACGGAUUAACCAAGCAAAGUCACUCCUACGAAACUGUUAGGUAGUGAUCACCCAUCGCGGAUUAACCAAGCAUGAUCACCCCUAAGUACGUAUGGCCAUACCUAAGAAAUAAGGAUCGCCCACCGCAGAUUAACCAAGCACGAUCCAAAAAUAUUAUGGGUCCCCUAUCACGGAUUAACCAAGCAUGACCAUCCAUGUACCACUACUACAUGGUGUAAAUUCGGUGUCACCUAACCUCGUGACACUAGGGUAACGGUCCUUUACUAGCCCUCACGUUUUUCAAACAUUUCAAAUAUAUAAUUUAAAACACAAUUCAUAAACAUUUCGAAUAAGGAAGUCACAUAGUGUUUAAUAAUGUAGGUCAAUGGAAAACUUUAAAAACAAUUAUUUAGCAUAAAACAUAUUUUAGAAAUCCAUGUUGUAUCCACAAAGUAUACUAGCAUGGGAGAUUUUCAGGGUAAUAACUCUAUCAUAUAUAUUAAAGUCACUCACCUGGAGUCCACACUAACGCACCCUAACACGAAUAUCAAGACGUCACGUACUAUCAUCUGUAACAUCCCACAUCAACCAACGGAGAGAGGGUGAUGUGCCUUAUAUGUACAUGCCCACCUCCAUAGCAUGAGACCUUUUGGGAGCUCACUGGCUUCAUAUUCCAUCGGAACUCCAAAGUUAAGCGAGUUUGGGCGAGAGUAGUCCCAGGAAGAGUGACCCACUGGAAAGUUCUCGUGUGAGUUCCUAGAAACAAAAUCGUGAAGGCGUGGCCGGGGGGGGGGGUUAAAGCGGACAAUAUUGUGCUACGACGAAAUUGAGACUGAGAUGUGACAGAAUGGUAUCAAAGCCACUCUGCCGUGUGGUGCGAGUGUGCCGACGAGGAUGUCGGGCCCCUAAGGGGGGUGGAUUGUAACAUCCCACAUCGACCAACGGAGAGGAGGUGAUGUGCCUUAUAUGUACAUGCCCACCUCCAUUUAGCACGAGGUCUUUUGGGAGCUCACUGGCUUCGGAUUCCAUAAGAACUCCGAAGUUAAGCGAGUUCGAGCGAGAGCAUUCCCAGGAUGAGUAACCUACUGGGAAGUUCUCGUGUGAGUUCCCAGAAACAAAAUUGUGAGGGCGUGGCCAAGGCCCAAAGCGGACAAUAUCGUGCUAUGGCGGAGCCGAGAUUGGGAUGUAACAUCGUCACCUAAGACAAAGUACAAGUCCACAUUUAAAGUUCUUCGUGUAUUCACAUAAUAAAAAAUUUCCAUAUGCCCCCUACAACUAAUGAAGAGAAAUCGAGACACGUUGACAAAAAGUCAACUGUUGAUCAACGGUAGGGUCCAUAACCCUACGUAACUCGAUCUGCAAGAUCCAGCCACUGUAUUUGUGAUUCAUAAGUUCCUAAGGUCCUUAAAUCUUACGUACAAUAACAUACUAAACUUUGGUGACGAUCUAAUUGUCGAAUCAUCAUUUGCUAUAAUGUUCAAAUGACGCAAAUUCAUCAAUCAGAUGUUAAAUAUGGAAUCGGUCAUCGAAUUUAGCUUAGGAAGGUCAAGUGGUGUCUCGAGCCACGUGCUGCCGUGCGCAGCAGCUGGCAACCCAAAUUCGUCGGAAAAAUCACCUAAUUCCAAAAUGAAUGUCGUUAGACGUGGAGUAAAUUGUAUACCUGUGAAGAAGCCCAAUUUGGUCGGGAAGUGGCCUGAAAUCACUUUAGACCGUCGGAAACCCUAAAAUAGGUGAAUCUCGAUUCGUCAUCUCCGGUAUUCCACCGUCCUCAAACUUGUUUAGGGUUUGCUCCUGGUCUCAAAAGAAUGCUAAUGAUGGUGGUGAUUGAAGGAGAAUGUUUCAGAAAUAAUGAAUCGUCGACGAGGGUUUCACGAAACCGACAUGGGUGUUCCUUGUGGAACUAAGACCAAAUCUCAACGGUUUUGGCUAGAAAUGGAUGCUGGGAUGUCGUGGUGAGGUUUGGUAGUGAUGGGAGGUCGAAGAAAGCCAAAAAAAUCGACGAAAAAACAGUCGUCGGAGUCGCAGGAAACGGGUUAGAAAAACGAGUCGCCAGGUCUGAAACGGGUCGAAGGCUUUUGGGACAGCUACUUACUCUCUCUUCUUUGAUUAGUCACUCCACUCACUCUCUCAUUUGAUUAGUCCAGCCUUCCCACAUGGUGGGAGUUCCCUCAUAUAGUAACCCAAAAUUUACUAUUUAAAUCUGGUAUCGAACGUUCGUAACUUUUUCGUUAUAGUUUCGAUUCGCAAACAGCUUUCGCCUACGCGCUCGUAUGAUCGAAUUAUACUCGAAAACAUUAAUUGUGACCUCGAAAAGGUCUACGAGUUUUAAAAGAUUAAUUACAAAAAUUCACACCUUGUAACUAUACGAUCCAAAUUCUAAAAUUAACGGAAUUAAAAUAAACUAAAAAUAAUGUAAACACGAAAUACAGACUUUAAUAAUGAAAUACGUAAUUAAUAGUAGUAUUCCGGGAACGGGAUUUCACACCUUGCGUCCGGACCUUGAGUGCGGAUCAGAAUCCAAAGGUCGUGAUCUGACAAGCUCAUGCAUAGAACGGAGUCGUUGUGACCCAAUGCAAUUCAAAACUUUUAUGUUUUUUAUUUGCUGGGUACGUUUUUGUAGGAGGAAAAGGGGAAGUCGAGGGAUUCUUUGCGCAUUAAAGAGGGAAAGAGAGAAAGGGGGAGCUAAGAGGUUCUUCGCGCGUUAAAUUUUUGCUUCUAAUUUUGCAACCUAGAAAUAAAGUAUUUUCUUUAUGGUUUAUGGUUCAAGAAUAUAAUGGAUGCAACCUAAAAAUGUUUCUUUUUUUAUUUUUUACUUUUUUUCUUCUUAUGUUGGCUUUUGGUUUAUUUUUAUAACGCACUAUAUAUUAACUAAAUUUAUAAACAUUUUGUAUCUUUGUUGCAGUCAAAUUAAUCAUAUGGGUCGGCAUGACUAAGUUCGACUGAGACAUACAGAUGUUUUGCAAUCUUAAGUCUAACCUGACACACCUCGACCUCAAUAUCCAGUGAACACCAAAAUUAAGGUGUGCUGGCCAUCAUCCGGAUGGGUGACGAAACCAUAAUAUGCAUGAAAACAUAACUAAAUUAUCAACCAAUAAAAUCUAUUGAAAAAUUUGGCAGAACAUCCCUUAAAAUAGGGAUAUGCCCAAAUUAAAAACACUUGCACAUGAUCACAAUUAUUCAAACACAUCCCGAAGGGCCACACUUAAUGGGACUUCGACCAUCUAUUACAUGCAUGAGAAUAUGUUCAGAGAAUAAUUACCCAAAUACGUCUUAUUAAAAUAUUGAGUAAAUACCAUACAAGAUAGAAUACGUCAGAGCUGUUGCAAAAUACCUCAACGUCGGAUGUAAUCACUGAUAGAAUUACUGAAUCAUGUAUAAAUGGAAAGCUGAUAAAUACAUGUAAUUUGAGUGGAUACUUACCAACAGCAUGGAUACAAUAUCAUCCACCAGUCGUAACUAGUGAAAACUGGAUAAUAUAAUCAUGUCAUUGCCGAGUAAUCUCAAGGCAAUGACAAGAUGAGAAUGUAACUGAGUAAUCAUAUCAUUACUAAAUAAUUUCAAAGCAAUGACAAGCUGAGAGUAUAACCGUAUAAUCAUGUCAUUACCGCGUAAUCUCAAAAUAAUGACAAGCUGAGAGUAUAACUGUAGUACCUCUUAUUAGUGCAAUGCAUGAUAUGAAUUCCAUCUCACAUAUAUAUGCAAGCCAUAAUCAAACCAAUAAACAUCCAACAAAAGCCACAAUCCUUUUAACAUUCGACCACAAGAUCAAUUUUCAUAUUUCCCAAACCUAGGUUCCGAAGCAUUGUUUCGAAUUAUUAAUACAAGAAACCACCACCACCUCAAUCAAUUCCUAUUCAUAAGUGUAAGCAAUUACUAAAUGCAUCACUUUCGACUCUAGUCUUAAUUAGAUUACUUGGGAUACUCAUUCACACCAUCAGAUCCACGUACAAUUUUGAUAAACUUUAAAUAGCAUGGUUAAAAUAAAUGAAACAUUUGAAUGAAACACUUUUAGAAAAUAAGUGAAGAUGUUGUUUACAAAUAUAGAUGCAUCUGUAUAUAAAAGCUUUGGCGGUUGAUUCGUAUACUUCCAGAGAUAUAAGCAAGUUCAUUGGAAUAUGCAUACAUGGUUAAUGUAUUACGGUAUAAUUAAUAAGAAAACAAUUGCAUCCCCUUCAGAUUAUAUAUAUAUAUAUAUAGACACACACACAUACACAUACAUACACACAGGCCCUUUAUGCAAAGGAAUUUCCAUUUUUUUUCAAAAAAUGGGGAUUAGUUGUGGGGCCCACGCUGCAUUGAACUUUAACGAUCCGAACAAUCUAUUUUGUAAGUCUCGAUUCAUAGAUCAUCCUUGCAAAAAUUCAAUUCAAUCCGAACCCUUUUGCCUAUUUAAUUAUCAAGAUAAAAUUUCAUUGUUUCUUAUAUAACAAAGUAUUCGUUAAUUUCUUUGAACUCAAUUAGAUAUCUUAAACAUUUCCGAUUUGGCUAAUAUUUUGCAAAGAUGAUCUAUGUGGUGCAACUUGAAAAAUAGACGAUUUCGAUUGUUAAAGUUCGAUGUGGUGUGAACCCUACAAUUAAUCUUCAUUUUUAUAAAAGAAUGGGAACCCCUCCCCUUAAAGGUUUCCUAUGUAUAUAUUUGUUCUUCAGACAUAUGCAAAAGGUAAUGUAAAACCAAUGAGAACUUAAAUAGAUAUUCCAUACAUAGGACAAUUCCAUAUAUGCUUUUUCAACAUUUAUAUCGAAAAGCCAAAUUGUUUUGAGGAAAUUAAUUGUAGUAAUGGUCCCUUAACUUUUAUCUUAUUGGAGCAAUGGUCUCUCAACUAAAAAUUCAUGACCAUUGGUUCCUUAACUCCACAAAACGUGUAGUUAUGGUCAUUUUCAUUAACUCCGUCAGAACUUUUGUUAAAACAAGUAAUGUUAGAAGAAUCAUUGCUACAAUCAGGUUAAAGUUGGGGACCAUUGCUCUAAUUGAAUUAAAGUUGAGGGAUCAUUACUCCAAAUUGCUUAAAGUUCAAGGACCAUUUCUACAAUUUUCUCAUCUAGUUUCCCAUAUUUACCCCAUGAUUCAGCUUCACAUGCAUUGCACAUGACUCAUUUUGACAAAAGUUUUAACGAAAUUGACGAAAAUGACCAUAAAUGCACGUUUUGAAGAGUAAGAGACCAAUGGUCGCAGAUUUUAGUUGAGGGAUCAUUGCUCCAAUUUGGUUAAAGUUGAGGGACCAUUGCUACAAUUUGCUCAAAUGUUUCGUAUGCGAAAAUAGGCAUUUGUAAAGUUUGGCUUGUUCAUGGCAUUAUUACUUUAGUCUAAAGUAAGGCUGGAAAUGGCACUGUAGAAAUGAAUAGUGUUCCAAUCCGAAUUUCAGUUUAAUUACAACAAUGCCAUUGCUCUUUGUGUUGCCUUUAGGUGAGCAACCCAACUUCCAGCCAGGCCCAAAUGUAUUGGUUUUAGCUGAGAAGCCCGACCUUUGGUCAGGCCCAAAACUUUAAAUUACAGUUUUGCCCAUACAAAAUAACAAUUUGAUUGUAUCGGGAAGGACAAUUUUGUCCUUUUAGUUUUGGGCGAGAUAGGGGGUAACCGGGUAGAUUUCAUUUGCUGUCGUUGAAUGAAGGUUUCGGGGAUGAAGGUUGUGUGUGUGUGUGAGGGAGAUGACGAUGGAAGGAGAGCGAAGGGGAGGGGAAGGGUUCUCGGCACUGUUGCUGCAUGUGGAUUUCACAAGUGGGUGAAUGGGUAUGGUUAGAGAAUACCAUAUAGGUUGUCGGGAUUUCAGGAAACGGGGUAGGGGUCAUGAAUGAACCCUGCUGAGAGUGGGUGCCGGAUCUUGCGCUGCAUGCCUCAAAUCAAAGAUAAGUUCAUUUUUUUAUUGUAUUCUUUAAUGGUAGCUUAGCUUUUGGAAUUGUUUAGUAUGUUAGGUCCAGUUUUGGGGGAUUUAUCUUUUAGAGAGAGAGAUGGACAGGGAGAUAAAGAUAGACAGAGAGAGAGAGAGGAGGAGGAGGCGGAGGAAGUAUGGCUGUGUGCUAUUUUUGGUGUUAAUUAAUGGGUUGGUGCGCAGGGUGAGUGACAGAGUGACAGAGUGACGGAGGGAUGUGUGGGAGGGUAUGGGUUUUUAGUUCUUUCUUUUGAUUCAAUAGGUUAUACACUGUUUGAAAAACCUUUUUUUUAUUUUUUUGUUCUCGUUUGCUUUGUUAAAACCAUCAUUUGAAUUUUUGGGUUUCACUGUGCUCAUUUCUCUGUUUCUUCAUAAUUUGUUGGUGUUUGCUUCUCAUCCCUCUGUUGGUAGAUCUUUUUCUCAUUUCUUGGUUCCUUAUGUAUUCUUUGGUACAAAUCUGUUUACUUUUUGGUUGUGUGAUAAUCUUAGCAGGUGAACUAUAUGAACGUUUUUUUGAAACGAGCACAGUGAAGCAAGCGUAGAUUGGGAGGCAACCCAAUAUUUCUAUUCAUUGCCUUUUUCUGUCAUUUUCAAUUUUCUUGCAUGCUAAACUGAAUUAUUUCUUUUCUUUGUAUUUGGGUUAUGUCCACCCUUGGAGUUGAUUGCGGAAUUAUAGUUUGGGGGUCAUCAUUUGAUUUCACUGCAAAUUGGGGAAGUUUUUAGUCCAAAUGCCGGAUCACUUCAAGUAUCACCUUCCAUUCGAAGUUCACUUCCAUGCCAUGGAACCUAUGGGAGUGUGACUGGAGGCAUCGUCCGGCUGCAAGACGUUAAAGAAAGCGCUUCUUGGGAGGCAACCCAAGCUUUCUAUCUUUCAUCUUUAUUUUGAAUAAUUUUAAAUGUUCUUGUUCUGUUUUUCUCUUAUUUUCUGGUUUUUGUAUUUAAGUCCUACUUUUGUUCCUUUAUGCAGGUAAUGAUUUUGCAAUCUCUACCACAACUUCUUGCAAGGUAGUUUUACAUUCAUAAAAACGAAAGGAACAUUAAGCAUAUAAAUACAAGAGGGAGCCUUCACAAAGGCUGCUUAGGAGAAGUUUCAGCAGUCGGCGGAGUCCCAGAAGGAGGAGGCAUCAGAGGUUGAUCAUUUGGAGCUUCAUUACGUGGUACAACCCCAGAAGACGAAGGCAAAUGCAAAUAAGGAAGAUCUAUGAAUCGCUUCACAAUCGAAAAGGAACAUAUGGUAGAAAAAUUCAAAGAUGAGCAUACAAACAAGAAGGAGUCUUCAUUGGUCAGGAGGUGUCGCAGCAGUCGAAGGAACAUCAGAAAGACGAAGUGUCAGAGCUUGAUUGUCCGGAGCACUUGGUGAAGCACCAGAUGAUGAAGGCAGAAGUUGCCUCAGGAGUAAAGCCAUAAACCUUUGAUGAUCACUCCGAGCCCGAACUUCAGCCUCUUGCAGCUGGUCCAACUUCCUCUUUAUGCUUGUUGAGUAGUUAGUUGCGAGCAUGUGCAACUCUUUAUCUUCAUGCCUCAGCGCUCUGACCUCUUGCCAAAGGCUAGCCACUUCAGCCAUCAACGACUCCACUUGACGAGUUCGAGCAAGAAGGCGUUGGCCCAUGUUUGAUACUGAGCCUGCACUUUGGACGCUGAAAGCCAAAGAAUCCUGAACAGCCUGCUCGUCAGACCGCUUAGAUAGCAUCCUACUGUCUCUUGGAGUAUGAAGAUUUCUAGCAACCACUGCAGCUGUUGCAUCAUUUCUCAUCACAGUGUCCCCAACUGUAAGAGGACCGUUGGAGGAUAUGAAAGAUGGCUGCCAAAUGUUACCUGGAGACGAGAGGUCAAUAUCUUCUUCGAUAUUCAGGUCAAAACGACGGUCGGAUGGGCUAGACAUUUUCAUAGGUGUUAAAGAAAGAAGAGGUCAGACAAGUCAAGAUAGUAGAAAUGCAAGAAGGGAGUAUUCACAGGCAGAAAUUCAUGUGUGCUUUGAACAUCCUGCGAACCUCUAUAAAAAAUAGCACACAAUGAGAUUUCAGGGAUCGAAUAGGCGAGUUCAGAGAUCGAUGAAGCGCCUGCUUUCUCCAAAGCUAGGCCUACUCAGGAAUCACAGGCUGAUCUCAGGUAGUGAAGACGCGCCUGUCUCUCUCAGCCCCGUCAGCACUUGUCACAUGCAGAGAAAACUUUGAGGAAAUCACGGGCAGUUUGUCGAAGCGCCGAUUCCAACCAUCUGUCUUUCUCAGCCUCGUCAGCUUUGAGGAAAUCACGGGCAGUUUGUCGAAGCGCCGAGUCCAACCGCCUGUCUCUCUCAGCCUCGUCGGCACUCGCUUUCUCAAAAGCUGGGCUUGAAAUCACAGGCCAAUCUUCAGUUUCUAAAUUUGUUCGCACUUGUCACAUGCAACCUCUGCACUCAACGAAGCUCAGAACUCGAAGCGCCAAUUCCGGAUAUUAAAGAAGCCUUUGCUUUAUCAGACGUGUCAGCAUCUGUCAAUUGCACAUCUGCGUUGCGUAAAUCACGCGCAAUCUGUCGAAGAUUUCUGGAGAAACGGAAUGCACGUGAAGUUUACUGUUAAAUUACCCCAGGCUUGCUGACACGAGUACUAGAACAAUGCCUUCCCAGCCAUUAAGAAAAAUUCUACAAAUGUUAAAGGCAACCUCACUCAACUUUCAGCCUCACUCAACCUUUCUUCCUCUCUGAGAAUGUAUUCCCGAAGAAGCCUCCCGAGUCACUCUGUGUUUCUCAUCCCUUGGGAUACCCCUGCAAACAACCCACCCAGAGCAAAAGUAUUUCAUAUCAUAACGGUUGAGAGCAAGAGUAUCUCAUAUCAUGCUUUCUCCCUGUCCUUUGUCUCGCCAGCACUUGGUAUCAAUCUUCCGAGCGGGGACCGACUGCCUGGAACCCAUUCCUGAUUGCUUACCUAACCUUGCUCUCGAGUACUCAUCCUUCUUAUGUUUCCUCUUCGUCUACCACAUAGGGGAAGUGAUAAUGAUACCUCGAAGCAUGUGGAUACAACGUGCUGAUUCAUCCUCAACUAAGGACAAGGGAGAAAGCAAGCAAGAUGUGGGCACUUGGAAAGAUUGAACAAAGAAACAGACUAACACCUCUACCUCGUGCCUGCCUACCGAGCAGAAGAAACAAGCAGAGAAGAAUGCAGACUGCACAAUCAAACAACCCAGGAACUCUGAUAUUCCUCGCUCAGGAUUCCAAACCAGUUUGAGAUUCGCCUACACAAAUUGGUGUGUUCUUUCCUUUUCUUUAUGUGUCUUUAUUUCAUUUUAUAUUUCUUUCCUUCCAUUUUCAUGUCUUAUUGUUCAAAAAUUCCUUUCAUUAUCAUUGGGGACAAUGCUAUAAUUAAGUUUGGGGGUAUUUGGAAAUAUAUUUCGUUAGUUUAUUUCUCUAUUAAAAAAAAAAAAAAAUUUUGCAUUUUUAUUGUUGUUUGUAGCUACUUCUCAAUUCAAUGAUGAGAUUUGAUUUUAAUUUCCUUCUUACUUUCAAGAAAGUCUAAGUUCUUUUCGUUGUCUUUGUGUUAACUGUGAUUUCCAGAAAUCAACUUGAAAAAAGAAAUGUGCCUAGUCUUGUCAAUGUGAAACUUGAGCAUGAUUUAGCGUUUCAUAUGUGAAUCAUGUGAGAUUAUGUAAACCUUGUGAGUUUUUUAGCCUAUACAUGAUUGAACCAUUAUGCAUCAAUCUCAUUCCUUCUUGUGCGUAUGAUCUCACUGUACAUGUAUCUCUAGAACUUGCUUUAUACUACUCGAUUCAUUAAUCAAUUCAUGUAAUAACUUGGAAGUGAUAUAGGCCAUCUUUGGAUCGUUUGAGCCUUUCAUGCCUACCUUAUAUGCUAUGUUUAUCCUUAGUAGCCCUUUGAGCCUUUAACUAAGCCAUUUCUUUGUUAACCACAUCUCUUUACCUUGCUCCAAUAUUGGAGUUGAGCCCAUACACAAAAAUCGAUUCCUUAUUGUUUUGAGAAAGUAUUACAUGGGUUGUGCUUUUGGGGGUUUCAUUUAUAUAGAAAGAUGGAUGGAGUAUGUGUAUACAAUGAAAUGUGAAUUUGAUGGGUGAUGUAGAUUUUGAAAAUUAUUUCAAAAGAAAAAAAAAACGAAAAAAAACGAAAAAAAUGAAAAUUGGAGAGUGUUGAUUUGUUGAAAAUGUGUCGGUAGAGUAUAAAUUUCCUUUUAAAGUUAAAUUUGGGGAGUAACAGGUGCUCGAGGUUUUAUUAUUUUGCUUUCAAUUUGAGGUGGUGUGAUAUUGAGGUGUUGGAAAACUACCAAAGUGUACUUUCUCAAAAUUUUUGAUUUCCAUAUCCUUUCUUUCAUUAGCCUAUCACCUUUAGCCCCAUUACAACCGUAAUAAAGUCCUAUUGAUCCAAGGUAUUACUUAAAUAUUGAUAAGCGAGUUAGGUGGACAAGCAAGCACAUGGCGGCAUGUACAAUGAGAUUACUUGAGUGAAACACAUUAACAAAAAAUUAUGAGUGAAUGAGCGUAUGUCUUGUGAGAAACUCACAUGUUUGCAUAUGAUGAUUUAAAGGAGCUUGGAAUUGCAUUGACAUAGCUAGCUCACACAUGGCAUUUCAACGUUUUGUUUGAAGGAAAUUUGGUUAACUAUUGGAUGAUGUUUUGAGCUCUUGCUUACUUCUUGGCAGUGUAUCUCAUGACUAGCACUUAUCUCUGAAAUCGAAAUUGAGAAGUUGGCUACUAAGUUGUUGAAUCUAGUCUUAGUUGAGUGGUUUUGUUUUGCUAGAGGACUAGCAAAAAUGUAAGUUUGGGGGUAUUUGAUCACUCAUAUAUUUCAUGCAUUUAUACCAUCCAUUUCUAAAGUCUUUGUGAUGUUUUUGUGUUAAAGUUGUGGCAUUUUACCUUACCUUGUGUUAAUGUACAGUUAAUUUUAUUUUAGGAUCAAUUUCAAAGAAAAUGGGCUGAAAAGAAAAUAAAAGAAAAGAAAUAAAUGGGACGGAAAGGAAGACACUGACAGAAUAAAAGAAUGAAGAAAGAGGUAGAACGGCAGAUAGAGAAGUGGGAAGAAAGUGGAGUGCGCAUGGGAUGGAAGUGGAACAAAAAGCAGGAGAGGGAGUGAGGAGUGCGGGAUAAAAGCAAAGAAAAAUAGAAGAAUAAGAAAGAAGUGGGAGGACACGGACUGAGUGGAAGAAUUAAAGAGAGAAGCAGGGUGCAGGCACGGACAGAAAGGAGAACUGAAGAAUAAAAGAGAAGACAGAGAAGCAGAAAAAAGAAGAGAAACUGACGUGAAAGCCAGUGCGCAGAGGGCGCAGAGAGAUAGGAGAGAUUGUGCGGGAGCAGAAGCACAGAAGCAGAGGGAACAAAAUCACAGACUGACAGCAGACGCAAGAGGCACGGCAGAGAGCAAAGCUUCACUCUAUUUUUCUUGGUUUUAUCUUCUCAAACCCAUGUUUUACUUUUGGUUUAAUUUGUGAAUUAUGUGUAACUAAAUUUUAAGUAGUUAGGGGCUGUUUUGAAGCCCCGAAUAUGAUUGUAAGUUUGUUGUGAUAUUUUGUUUGAAUGACUUUUAUGAAAGGAUGAAAAUUGUUUCACUACUUAUGUGAUUGAUAAAUUCUUUAUGUGUUUCUAUGGAUGCAUACAUAGUGAGCAUAUCUAGGAUUUUAAUGCUAUGAAUAUAUGUUUACCUGCCCUUGUUGAAUGAGGACCUACAUAUGUUCUAGAGUAGCACUUGUUAAUUGUGGUUAACAUGUGAACCGAUUUCUAGGAUAAGUAAGACAAUGCCAGUACUUAUCAUGCCUUGUGAUGACUCAAACUCUUUUCGUUCUUAAUGAUUUCUACUUGUUAAAUCUAUGAACACGACAUUCUAGAUUACAUGCUAGGGACUACGUUAAGUUGAAAACGCUAUUCUCUUAACAUACUACGUAAGAAAAAGUAAUAGGUUGUGUUCUAACAUUGAGCCAACUUGAGCAUCUUCAUCCGGAAAUAAAAGGAAUUUGAAUGAAACAUAACAUGUUUGCAUGAUUAUUUGGUGGUGGAUAGCAUUUCCCCUAAUUCGUUUUCUUAACUUGUGAAUUAAAAUCUAUUGGUAUUAUUUAAAACUGGUUGAGGUCCUGUUUUGUCCGAUUUAAUUUAAAUAGCUAAUCAACUUCAAAAAUCCCAAACAUUUGUGUGAGCAUAGCUUGGUGUGUCUAGUUUAUGUGUAUAAAAUUUCGUUGCAUUUGGAUAAGUGUAAGUUAGUCUAAUAAUUAUUGUUCGGUGGCUGGUCAGUGGAGACAACCAUCCUGUUUUUGUGACAUUUUAAGUGUUUGGAUAAAACAAUUUUCUGCGGAAAAGACCCUUAUUUUCAUAUGCUACAAUCGACAAAAUUUUAGUGUUAAUAAGGAAAAUCAAUAGGAUUAUUGUGGGCUACUUUGUGGUGCGUUAUAAUUACUACCAUGCUGUCAGUGGGUGUUAAUAUCAGGUACCCAUGUUCAGUUUUUCGUUUUGAUUUGAAGGAAUUUCUUGCGGAGAGGAGCAAGGGUUUCUUGGUGAGUUCUUCGGGUUGUGCAUAUGGGUAAUUUUCUUUUCGGUUUAACCCUCUGCUUCUGCUGCUCUCUCUCUUUCUCUCAUCCCUGCCUGCUCCUCUCCAAUUGUUUGCUGUUCUUAAAUAUUGUGUUCAUUGCCUGAUACAAGGGGCUGCAGCAAUCUGUUUUAUCCUACACGGGACAACGAGGCAAUGGCGUGACAACAGGUGAGCUUGGAUAUCCAAAGAAAAAGAACAGUUGGUUCAUCUGCUGGAGUCUGAGCUUAGAGAAGUGGAGGAAAAUUGCAGGUGUGCGAGAAAUUUUAUUUUGCUGAUAGGACUCCUUAUUUACUGAUGCAUUUUGAAAUAAUUGAAAAGUUGGAUUUGAGUUAACAGCUAUAAAAAUGUAGACAUGAUUGCUGAGAUUAUGCUAUGAAAGUGGAAUAAAAAAAUGGUAGUUUAUAAUAUUGCGUACCAAUUGUUUUCUCUCUUUUUUACCAAAUGAUAAGGGUGGUGGCUCAGGCCGCCCCCCUAAGCGUCCCCACUCUUCGACAAGUUGAAAUCGUGGUGAUAGUUUAUGGGCUGUGGUCUUGGGAUUCUGCAAAUAGAAUGAAAAACAGACACUUAACUAUCUUGUUAUUAAGCAUUUCUGCAUCAUUCAGUUGCUCUUGAUUUUCGUCUUUUAAGCGAUCUUAUUUCUGCGAUCUGACUUGAGGAGGGUUUUUAGACCUAUGGUUGUGGGUGUUUUCUCUGACCCCAUUAUCCGAGAUUUGUAGACUUGCGAUCGGCGGUCAAACAUUUUGUGAUUCUUGUUUUCUCUGCCUUUCGGUCGUUAAGCGCCGGCAGUCUUUAGAUCUUUGGCAAAUCAAUUUAAUACAACCGAGGUAUGUUUUAUAACUGCUGUCUUUCAAUUUUUGUUCUGUAUUUUUGUUAAUUUGGAUGAAGCUCUAAUAAUUUUGUUUUGGAUCAGUUGUGGUCCUCUGUUAGGAUUUUCCUGGCUAAGAGGGUAUUUGCGUUUUUGUUGCUUGGUUGGUCGAUCACAGAUUUACGAACAGCUGUGGUGGUCCUGUUAUUUUUUGGUAUGUUUUUUCUCCUUUUUGGUUUUUUUCCCGGUUUGAGCACCCAUUCUUGAAGAAUUAAAAUGUGUUUUAUAGUUUUUUCAGGAGAGAUUAGAAAAGUGAUUUCAAUUUGGGAAAAUUUAAUGUUGGUUAAAAUUUGUUUAUAAUUUUUGGGAAGGAAUGAGAGGACCCAUUGAAGUAUGUGUUGUGAUUAUUUUUUAUUCAUAUUUUUAACAAAUUGGGCAUGAAUUGGUAGGUUAACUGUGUGUGUUUAUUAUUUGAAUCGGCCAUGUUUGUCUUUCUAUGGUUCUAAAAAAUUUGUAAAGGCUGUUAACUUGGAAGAAAAUGGGAUCGAGGGUGAGGGGAAAACGGCAGAGAAAGCAUGGAAGAGAGAUUUGGGAUUAGGGGUAGGAAAACAGAUGAAAAGAAUAUGAUAGAGGAAUGGGUUCAGUUCAUUUUCACUAUUUUUUUUUAACUGAUUUGGAUUUUGUUUGGGUUUAACUCCGCCUAUGUCUUACAUGGCCGGUCCCAAGCCCGGAUAAAGGAGGAGGGGGAGGGCGUCAGGUAGUCGACAGCCGGCACUCCAUGAUCAUGUCGAAUCCUUAUGAAAAUGAAUCCAGAACAAAAUCGCGCUAAAGCUAGGACGUCACCCGUAAGUGGCGCGCUGUAUGGCCCGAGCACAGUGAUAAGUGAGCAAGGGUCGCUGUAUCUCCAUCGGCACCCGGAUGCAGUGUUAAAUGAGCAAGGGGGCCAUAGAAACUUCUUUUCGAACGACUCCACUCAAAGUUGUUUGAGAGCAUAUGCUCCUAUCAACUUUACCCGGGACACACAAAAGAAGUACUUUGAUCCUAUUAGACGGGGGAGGGUGAAGAAGCUAGGACAGAAGGGUAGAGUUCAAGAGAGCAAAAUGCGUUUAGGAACGUGGAAUAUAGGAACCUUAACGGGAAAAUCUAUGGAAGUAGUGGAAGUUAUGGUGAGGAGAAGGAUAAAUAUUAUGUGCCUACAAGAAACUAAGUGGGUUGGUAGUAAGGCAAAGGAUCUAGAAAACUCAGGGUUUAAACUUUGGUAUUCGGGCACAAAUAGAACGAGAAACGGUGUUGGCAUCAUCGUGGACAAGACCUUGGUACAAGAUGUUGUAGAUGUCAAGAGGGUAGGAGAUAGAAUCAUGGCAAUCAAGAUUGUAAUAGGACAAGAACUUAUCAAUGUGAUUAGUGCGUACGCACCUCAAGUAGGGUUGGAUACGAGUUCGAAGGAGAAAUUUUGGGAAGAUCUUGGAGACUUGGUGCAAGGAAUUGCUCAGACGGAGAAGUUAUUUAUAGGAGGAGAUUUAAAUGGACACGUGGGCAGGGAGACAGGCAACUAUGGAGGUUUUCAUGGUGGCCAUGGUUUUGGGGAGAGAAACGAGGAUGGGGAAGCUAUCUUGGAUUUUGCAAUGGCAUAUGAUCUCUUCUUAGCCAACACCUUCUUUAAGAAGAGAGAAGAACAUGUGAUCACCUACAAGAGUGGGUCGUCAAAAACACAAAUAGAUUUUCUUCUAAUGAGGAAAGGGGAUCGUAUAACUUGUAAGGAUUGCAAAGUUAUACCAGGAGAGAGCGUGGCUAAUCAACAUCGCUUGUUGGUGAUGGAUGUACAUAUCAAAAGAGUAAGACAAAAGAACAAGACUUGGAAGUGCCCAAGGACUAGAUGGUGGAAUCUAAAAGAAGAAAAACAAGCCAUUUUCAAAGAGAAGGUAAUCACCCAAUGUGUGUGGGAUAGAGAGGGGGAAGCUAGCCAAAUGUGGGAUUCCAUGGCUAGUUGUAUCCGAAAAGUAGCAAAAGAGGUAUUAGGAGAGUCCAAGGGCUUUGCCCCACACCAAAAGGAAUCUUGGUGGUGGAAUGAGGAGGUACAAACAAAGGUGAAGGCUAAGAAGGAAUGUUGUAAAGCCUUAUACAAGGAGAGGACCGAUGAAAAUGGUGAAAGGUAUAGAAAAGCGAAGCAAGAGGCGAAGAAAGCUGUCAGAGAAGCUAAGUUAGCGGCUUACGACGAUAUGUAUAAACGACUAGAUACCAAAGAAGGAGAGUUGGAUAUCUAUAAACUAUCUAGAGCAAGGGAAAAGAAGACAAGGGACCUAAACCAAGUGAGGUGCAUCAAGGAUGAGGAUGGAAAGGUUCUUGCUACAGAGAACGCGGUUAAAGACAGAUGGAGAGGUUAUUUUCAUAAUCUUUUCAAUGAAGGACAUGAAAUGAGUGCUUCUUUAGGGGAGUUGAGUAACUCAGAAGAGUGUAGAAACUACUCUUUUUAUCGUCGAAUCCGGAAGGAAGAAGUGGUUGUAGCUUUGAAGAAGAUGAAGCAUAAAAAAAGCAAUAGGCCCAGACGAUAUACCAAUCGAAGUGUGGAAACUUUUGGGAGAGACAGGUAUAACAUGGCUCACUGACCUUUUCAAUAGGAUUUUGAAAACGAAGAAGAUGCCAAAUGAGUGGCGAACGAGCACUUUGGUGCCUAUCUACAAGAAUAAGGGCGACGUACAAAAUUGCAUGAACUAUAGGGGUAUUAAGCUAAUGAGUCAUACAAUGAAGCUCUGGGAGAGAGUCAUUGAGCAUAGAUGAGGCAAGAGACACGGGUUUCGGACAACCAAUUCGGGUUCAUGCCAGGGCGCUCAACCAUGGAGGCAAUCUAUCUCUUACGAAGAUUGAUGGAAAGAUAUAGAGAUGGGAAAAAGGAUUUACACAUGGUCUUUAUAGAUUUGGAAAAAGCGUAUGAUAGGGUCCCAAGAGACAUUCUUUGGAGGAUUUUAGAGAAGAAAGGAGUACGAGUAGCAUAUAUCCAAGCUAUAAAGGAUAUGUAUGAAGGAGCAAAGACUGCCGUAAGAACUCAUGAAGGACAAACCGAAAGCUUUCCCAUAACUGUAGGAUUACAUCAAGGCUCAUCCUUAAGUCCUUACCUUUUUGCGUUGGUAAUGGAUGAGUUAACAGGACAUAUUCAAGAUGAUAUUCCUUGGUGUAUGCUUUUCGCAGACGAUAUAGUGUUGAUAGAUGAAACUCAGGAAGGGGUAAAUGCAAAGCUUAACCUUUGGAGAGAAGUGUUGGAAUCUAAAGGUCUUCGCCUAAGCCGAUCAAAGACAGAAUAUAUGGAGUGCAAGUUCAGUGCAAAUGGAGGCCAAAACGAGUUAGGGGUGAGGAUCGGAGAUCAAGAAAUACCAAAGAGCGACCGUUUUCGUUACCUAGGAUCUAUCUUGCAAAAGAACGGAGAAUUAGAUGGAGAUCUCAACCAUAGAAUACAAGCUGGAUGGAUGAAGUGGAAGAGUGCAUCCGGCGUGUUGUGUGACCGCCGUAUGCCACUGAAGCUCAAGGGAAAAUUUUAUAGGACGGCAAUAAGGCCGGCGAUGCUGUAUGGCACAGAAUGUUGGGCGGUGAAACAUCAACACGUACACAAAAUGGGUGUAGCGGAGAUGAGGAUGCUUCGUUGGAUGUGUGGGCACACGAGAAAGGAUAAGAUUAGGAAUGAGGAUAUCCGGGGUAAAGUAGGAGUAGCCGAAAUUGAAGGAAAGAUGAGAGAAAAUCGGUUACGGUGGUUUGGACAUGUGCAAAGAAGGCCUACUGACGCUCCGAUUAGAAGAUGCGACUAUGGGACAGAGGUUCAGGGCCGAAGGGGUAGAGGAAGACCUAGGAAAACUUUGGAAAGAGACUCUAAGAAAAGACUUAGAGUACUUGGAUCUAACGAAGGACAUGACACAGGAUCGAGCACAAUGGCGUUCUAAGAUUCAUAUAGCCGAUCCCACUCAGUGACUUGGAUUUUCCAAGUCUCCAACCGAGAAGUUUUCCUCACUCGGAAAAUUAAGGGAACACUACCCCAACCUACAUGCUCCACUCAGAAAGCUUCAACAUACAAGCUUCAACAAAAGAAAAUUCAAAGAACUUAGCGAAGAAGGCUUUGGUGUAUUUAACACAAUACGUUGAAAUGAAGGAAAGCUUAUUUAUUGAUAUCCCCGAUAAGCUACAAAUAUGUACAUAUACAUGAGUCAAAAUAAACACACAAGAGGGAGCCUUCACAAAGGUUGCUUAGGAGAAGUCUCAGCAGUCGGUAGAGCCCCAGAAAGAGAAGGCACCGGAGGGGGAUCAUUUGGAGCCUCAGUACUGGACAGAACCCUAGAAGGAGGAGGCAUCAGAGGUUGAUCAUUUGGAGCUUCAUUACGCGGUACAGCCCCAGAAGACGAAGGCAAUAAAUGCCUUUGGAACAAACCCACAAAUCUCUGAUGAUCAAGUAAAACCUGACCAUCAGUUUCCUUCAUCUGGUCAAGCUUCCUCUUCAUGUUUGUAGCAUAGUCAUGUGCGAGCCGGUGCAACUGUUUAUUCUCAUGCUUGAGCCCUCUAAUCUCCUGUUUGAGACUCAUCACUUCAGCCGCCAAUGAUUCAACUUGGCGGGUUCGAGCAAAUAGGCGUUGGGCCAUAUUAGACACAGAACCUGCACACUGAACACUGAGAGCCAGCGAAUCCUUAACAGCUAACUCAUCAGACCGUUUGGAAAGUAGUCUGUUAUCUUUGGGAGUGAGAAGGUUCCUGGCCACCACCGCAGCGGUCAUAUCAUUCUUCAUCACGGAAUCCCCAACGGUAAGAGGACCAGUAGGGGAGACGAAGGAUGGGCGCCAUAUGUUGUCUGGAGAAGGCGGGGCUGCCUCUUCAACAAGGUUCAAGUCAAAACGACGGUCGGAGGGGCCAGACAUUUUCAAAUGUGUUGAAGAGAGAAGAGGUCGGACAAAUCAAGAUCUUAGAAGUGCAAGAAUGAAGCUUCUACUGGUGGAGAUUCAAGUGUGCUUUGGAACUUAAUGCCAGCCCCUAUAAAAAUCUGCACUCGACGGAGCUUCAGAAAUCGAAGAGGCGCCUGCUCAGAAAUCGAAGAGGCGUUUGCUUUCUCAAAAGCUGGGCUGCUUAGAGAUCACGAGGGUUGAUCUCAGAAAUCGAAGAGGCGUUUGCUUUCUCAAAAGUUGGGCUGCUCAAAGACCUCGAAGGCUGAUCUCAGAAAUCGAAGAGGCGCUCGCUUUCUCAAAAGCUGGGCUCCCUAGAGACCACGAGGGCCGAUCUCAGAAAUCGAAGAGGCACCUACUUUUCCAGCCUUGUCAGCACCUGUCACACGCGCACACUCAGCUUUGCGGAAAUUAUGGGCAUUCUGUCGAAGACUUCUGGGGAAGUAGAAAAAACACAUGAAUCUUACUGUUCAAUCACCCACUUCCCACACGCAACAAUAGCUCAUGGGUACCACAGAUAACUUUGCCAAAGUUCUCUGCCAAAGUUGAGCACGUGAAGCUUGCAGCUCCCACUACAUCGCUCUGACCAAGAAGGGUAAAAGAAUAGCAAAGAAACACAGCACUAACAAAGUUUAGACCCAUAAAUUUUGAAGGUCUAGCUACCAUAUUAUUACCACACACAGGGUAAAGGAACAGUACCACUGCUGGAUAAUUGGAAAGUCCCUGUUUGUCAACCUCUGUGCUUCGUGGCAAGGUAGACUAGCAAACAUGCCCAACCUUUACUCACAUUCGAGAAAACACUCCCAAUAAGAUUGCUUGCUCCAAAAUCGAAGAGGCACCGUCCUCCGAAUCUCGAGAGCCAGACUCCCAACAUGACUACUUUCUUAAAAAUCGAAGAGAGGGUAAAGGAACAGUACCAUUGCUGGAUAAUUGGAAAGUCCCUGUGUGUCAACCUCUGUGCUUCGUGGCAAGGUAGACUAGCAAACAUGCCCAACCUUUACUCACAUUCGAGAAAACACUCCCAACAAGAUUGCUUGCUCCAAAAUCGAAGAGGCACCGCCCUCCGAAUCUCGAGAGCCAGACUCCAAACAUGAUUACUUUCUCAAAAAAUCGAAGAGACACUGCUCCCCGAAUCUUCGAGAGCCAGACCCCCAGCAUGAUUGCUUUCUCAAAAAUCGAUGAGGCAUCGUUCUCCGAAUCAAUCGAAGAGGCGCUCGCUUUCUCAAAAGCUGGGCUGCUCAGAGACCACGAGGGCCGAUCUCAGAAAUCGAAGAGGCACCUACUUUUCUAGCCUUGUCAGCACCUGUCACACGCACACUCAGCUUUGCAGAAAUUAUGGGCAUUCUGUCGAAGACUUCUGGUGAAGUAGAAAGCACAUGAAUCUUACUGUUCAAUCACCCACUUCCCACACGCAACAAUAGCUCAUGGGUACCACAGAUAACUUUGCCAAAGUUCUCUGCCAAAGUUGAGCACGUGAAGCUUGCAGCUCCCACUACAUCGCUCUGACCAAGAAGGGUAAAAGAAUAGCAAAGAAACAGCACUAACAAAGUUUAGACACAUAAAUUUUGAAGGUCUAGCUACCAUAUUAUUACCCACAAGGGUAAAGGAACAGUACCACUGCUGGAUAAUUGGAAAGUCCCUGUGUGUCAACCUCUGUGCUUCGUGGCAAGGUAGACUAGCAAACAUGCCCAACCUUUACUCACAUUCGAGAAAACACUCCCAACAAGAUUGCUUGCUCCAAAAUCGAAGAGGCACCGUCCUCCGAAUCUCGAGAGCCAGACUCCCAACAUGACUACUUUCUCAAAAUCGAAGAGAGGGUAAAGGAACAGUACCAUUGCUGGAUAAUUGGAAAGUCCCUGUGUGUCAACCUCUUUGCUUCGUGGCAAGGUAGACUAGCAAACAUGCCCAACCUUUACUCACAUUCGAGACAACAGUCCCAACAAGAUUGCUUGCUCCAAAAUCGAAGAGGCACCGCCCUCCGAAUCUCGAGAGCCAGACUCCCAACAUGAUUACUUUCUCAAAAAUCGAAGAGACACUGCUCUCCGAAUCUCGAGAGCCAGACCCCCAGCAUGAUUGCUUUCUCAAAAAUCGAAGUGGCAUCGUUAUCCGAAUCUCGAGAGCCAGACUCCCAACAUGAUUACUUUCUCAAAAAUCGAAGAGACACUGCUCUCCGAAUCUCGAAAGCCAGACCCCCAGCAUGAUUGCUUUCUCAAAAAUCGAAGAGGCAUCGUUCUCCGAAUCUCGAGAGCCAGAUACCACAUACCACUUUUUCAAAGUGCUCUGACAGAGUUAAAACAUGUGAAACUGGCAGCUCCCACUACCGUGCUAUGACCAAGCAGGGUAAAGGAAUAACAUUACUACUUGUUAGGGAGACUCCUAUAUAUGUUGACCUCCAUCCCCAACAGACAGGCAGACCUGCAAAAAUGCUCAACCCUUCAUCAUAUCUGAGAGGGCACUCCCAACGAAGCCUUUCGAAAUAUUCAGCUUUCUUUCCCCCCGAUAAUACCUCUGCAAACAAGCUAUACUAGAGCAAGAAUAUCUCAUAUCAUCAGGGUUAAAAGCAAGAGUAUCCCAUAUCAUGCUUUUUCCCUGUCUUUUCCUUUGGCCUUGUUUUUACCUGCAAGACAAGGAGAAAGAGAGCAAUCAGUCAGCACUUGGAAUCAAGCUUCCAGCUAGGAACUGACUGCCUGGAACCCCUUACCUGAUUACUUACCUGGCAUUGCUCUCGAGUACUCAUCUUCAACAUCUUAUGUUUCCAGGGAAGAUUCCGCAUCUGCUUGAGGAACAGAUAGGGCAAGUGCGAAAGAUACAAGGAAGCAUGUGGAGACAAGCGUAACAGCACACGUGCCGAUACAUCCAUUACUCUGUCAAAAGCAAAAGUAUCCCAUAUCAGCAGGGUGGAAAGUACUCUAGAUUUGAUGGACUUGUUUUGACCCUCAAAUUCUUCAGUCGACCUUAUACUCUGGAGGAAACCAGAAAACCCUCCAGCUCAGUUCAAGAAUAAGCCUGUGGAAAGUUACUUCUUCAAAAGCAAAAGUAUCUCAUAUCAUCUCUUCUCAUUUUUCUUCUCUUUAUCCUUCAUGCUGCUGCAAGAUGGGGAGAAGGUGAACAAUCAGUCGGAGCUCUGAUUGCUUACCUUGUCUGUCACCUCUUUCAGCAGACCCCUAGCUCGGCGACUUGGGGGACUCCUACUACAUGGUUUGUAUCGCGCUUGACCAAGCCUGAAACUACAAGUAAGCUUCAAGUGAAAUUGAUACAUUACCUUGUGCAUCUCCACCAGUUAAAGAUACCACCCCUGGAUGGAGGAAGAGUACUUCCAGAAAAGAUGCCACAUCUACCUAUGAGACAGAUAAGGCAAGUCAAGACGACACCACACUCCGAUACUUAGAAGUUUCGUGAUUACGAGAUCAUUCUCCCACAAUAUUUCCUAAUGUCAUUUGUACUAAAUCAUUCACUUGUACUCACUAAAGGAGAGCUUGAACCUAUGUACUUGUGUAAACCCUUCACAAUUAAUGAGAACUCUUCUAUUCCGUGGACGUAGCCAAUCUGGGUGAACCACGUACAUCUUGUGUUUGCUUUCCUAUCUCUAUCCAUUUAUAUACCUAUCCACACUAAUGACCGGAGCAAUCUAGCGAAGAUCACAAAAAGCGACCGUUUUCGCUACCUAGGAUCUUAUCUUGCAAGAGAACGGAGAAUUAGAUGGAGAUCUCAACCAUAGAAUACGAGCUGGAUGGAUGAAGUGUAAGAAUGCAUCCGGCGUGUUGUGUGACUGUCGUAGGCCACUAAAGCUCAAGGGAAAAUUUUAUAGGACGGCAAUAAGGCCAACGAUGUUGUAUGGCAUAGAAUGUUAGGCGGUGAAGCAUCAACACGUACACAAAAUGGGUGUAGCGGAGAUGAGGAUGCUUCGUGGGAUGUGUGGGCACACGAGAAAGGAUAAGAUUGGGAAUGAGGAUAUCCGAGGUAAAGUAGGAGUAGCCGAAAUUGUAGGAAAGAUGAGAGAAAAUCGGCUCCGGUGAUUUGGACAUGUGCAAAGAAGGCCGAAUGACACUCCGAUGUGACUACGGGACAGAGGUUCAGGGCCGAAGGGGUAGAGGAAGAUCUAGGAAAACUUUGGAAGAGACUCUAAGAAAAGACUUAGAGUACUUGGAUCUAACGGAGGACAUGAUACAAAACCGAGCGCAAUGGCGUUCUAGGAUUCAUAUAGCCGACCCCACUUAGUGGGAAAAGGCUUUGUUGUUCUGUUGUUGUUGUUGGAUUUUGUUUGGGUUUGAGGCCAUCAUUGGCGUUAAGACGUUUAUUAUCAGAUCGUGUGUUUUUUGCUAACUUUUAUUGGUAAUUUUAAUGUUGUUCUUAUGAUUUUGUGUGGUAGGGUUUCUGAUUUUUAUCGUUAUUCAUUUGGUUUUUUGUGUGUGUUGGUUUGUUUAUUUUGCAGGUUGUGUUUGUGCUGGGACAACAUUUUCCACCUUCUGUUUGCACUGGGAUGAUUGCGUUUUAAAACUGUUGGGGUGAGAUUUACAUAUGGAAUCAUUCCAUUUUUUUUCUUCCAAAUAUGUGCAUUUAGUUCUCUUUUAUUUUAAAUUUUAAAAAUUAAAUCGUUAUUUGAGUAAAAUGUUUUAUCAGUUUAUGUUAUGUGUUGUGACCAGGAAUUCUGUUGGAUUUGCGAAUUUUGGUUUGAUGAGAGAAAUGAGGAGUUUUUUUUGUUUGAAUUUUUUAUUGGACCGAUUUUCAAUUGGAUUGCAUUCUGCCUUUUUGCACCAUUCGUAUGCAAGCAAUUCAUUGUUUUAAAUACAAUUUGAAGAGAGCUGGGUUGCGGGUUGGAUAUAAAAUGUUAAGGUGAGAUAAAAUCGAGAUACCAAGGGUGGAAGAAUGAUUCAGAAUUGGGGGAGGAAAACAGAGGGAAGAUAGAAGAGUAUAAGAGAAGGAUAGGGUUGACCUCAUUUAGAGUUUUUAUUUACUUAUUUUUUUUUAUAAAUUGAUUCAGGACUUGCAUAUCAUUUCUAAAUUUCUAACAUUUUUGUUUAAUUUGACUCCAGUUGAUGGAAAACAGAGCUCUUACUCCUAUCAAUCAGUUGGUCCCGUACAUAAAUGCAGAAAAAUCAAGGUUCGAGUUUGCAGAGUAUGCAGACCAAGGUUUCCCGAAACUACUGGUGCAUAUUCAGGCUUGCAUUGUAUAUUACUUACCUAUUAAAAAUUUGUUUGGAAUUUGCUUUUCCCACAGAGGAGAAGAGCUGACAGUUACGCUGUGGGCAGAUGUUGCUCGAAGUAUUGCUUCUUUAUCCAUUGAAUCAUUGUCUCUGCCGAUCAUUGUGGUUUUCACAAGUUUAAAGGUCAAGCUGUACCUAGGUAUUUGACUUAGUUAAAAACUAAUCUAUUUACUAUUAAUUUUUCUAUUAUAUUCAAACGUUAUUUAAUAUAUACUCUACUAAUAUUUUCUUAACAUGUCACACAAACAUAUUCACUUCUUUUGAUCAAUUUUUUACAGCGUUUCAUAUAAAAGCUAACAUUUAGUUGAAAUUGAUUAGCAACUCUUUUCUUGCAUGUAUACAUACGAAUUAAACAAUAGUAUUAAACUAUUUGUUAUCAUUCUCAGUUUUUGUUUUAGAAUUAGAUUAAUAUAUUUAACCUGUUUUAGAAUUAGAAUUAUUUGGUAUCACUCUCAGUAUUUGUUUUAGAAUUAGAAUUAGAUUAAUAUACUGAGAUUAUUUAGACAAAUCUAGCAUUUUCUCAAAAUAUUUGACUUUUAAACUUAGAUUAAUAUAUUUAGCAGUUUUUUAACAUGCAAUUUUUCAUUAAUUUUUCAACACACAGACAAGAUAGUCUUGAACACCAUUGGUUCAUCACUUUUCUUCAUUGAUCUAGAUAUUCUGGAAGUAAAUUCAUACAAAUCAGUGUAAGUGUGUUUACUUUGUUUAAAAAAAUAUUAUAUGCUCUCACAAUAAAAGAAGGGCUAUUCUCACAAAAUUUAUGAACUAAUGUUCUGUUUUAACCUCUACAGCUUUUCCAAAUGCACAGAACCUCUAAAAAUACUGCCACCUUUUACAAAACAGGCCCGUGAAGCUCAAAUCUUGCAGACAGCGAAGGUCACAAUUGCAGACGCUGAAAUUUUCAUGCCAAAAUAUGAUGUGGAGGAUGAGAAAUUGUUUGCUGUUGUUCUCUUUUCAGUUUUGCAGGCGAUGAUCUUUUACCAAAUGUCGAGGAGCUUCCAUGGGACAUGCUCUAUGCUCUCGCUUCCCAGUUGCCUCUGUUGGGGUUGGAAAAGCUACAGAUCACAAUGUAAGUCAAAAACAGUAAAGUUCCCAAGAUGUUCUGUGCUGGAGCAGAUUUAAAGGUACGAAUUUUUAAUUUUUUUGUGAAGUCGAUGUUUUGUUUUAAAAGGAGUUAUAAUGGAUUGAUUGGACAAGUACAGAGUGUUUGUUUGUUUGGUUGAAUGUAAAAAGGAAUUGGAAGAAUGAUGAAAGUACUUGCAUUUGGUUGUAGUUGGUCAGGCACUGAAGGACCGGUCAAUACGAAGUGCAUCUGUGGGACAAUAGUUGAAAGAAGGCCAGAGCAGGAAGAGAAGGCAAGGUUUGUGAAGAAAAACAGUAAAAGGUCGUACCCAGUGCACAAGGCUCCCGCUUUACGCAAGGUCUGGGAGAGGUGAAUGUCGGCUAGCCUUACCCCCAUUCUGCUUUUGUUUAAUUAGAAGAAAUGUGCAUUUUUUUUUCCCAGUCAAAUUCUGCUUUUGUUCUGACUAUUUUCCUUACUGUAUGCUGAUUUUAUUAUUUAAUUUUUGGUUUUUCCUUGAUUGGCUUGGGAAUUACAAUCAAAUGAUGAAUCUUCAGUUUACUUGGGUAAGCAUUUUUUAACAUAUAAUUUAGCUGACCAUUUUAACUGUCAGACCAUGUUGUUUUUGGUUAUCUAAUCAUUCCAAGAUGGCAAGUUAGGAUUGGAAGGGUUGCUAGAAAUAAGGAUUAUAUCUUGGGACAUUCGGUGAGUGAUUUUUCAAACUUUCAGUUUUACAAGACAAAAUAUCUAUUUUUGUGUGUAUUCUUCAAGCAUGUUAUCAUUAUUUAGGUUGUAGGAAAAAAAGAGAGUGACUUGAGGUGUUUUUAGAUAUUUUUGUGUGUAUUCUUCACAAUGUAUUAAAAGCGCGAGGCGUGGGCGAGGCGUCCGAGGGAUAGCCCACGCCUCACGCCUUACGGGACCUAAAUUUUUUAAUAUAUACACUGAGCGUACACAUAUAUUAUAUUAAAAAAAAUUAUUAAUCAAUAAUCACCCUGAGCACACAUAUAUAUUAUAAAUACAUAUAUACACAUAUAUAUACAUAUAUAUACAUAUAUUAUGUUAUAUAUAUAUAUAUAAAAUAGAGGAUGAAAAGCACAAUGAGCACACAUAUAACAAUGCAUGCAGACAGCACACAAUAUAGUGCAAGGAAUAGGUAUGAGGUAGUUAAAACCCUACCCAAAAUCUGGGUUUGGGAGUAAAAAUAAAAAAAAAAAAAAAAAUUGCAUGAGGCGCGCCUAGACGGCUCCGACAACGCCUUCCGGCGCCUUCCGCCCACUCCCUCAAAACAAAGGCGGCAACCCUCAAGUCCAGCCUCACAGGGUGCCUAGGCGCACCCUGAGGUGAGCCUUUUAAAACAUUGAUUCUUCAAGCAUGCUAUCAUAAUAUUUGUAACUAUAAAAAAUAAUAUACUAUUAUACCUCUGUUUCUCUUUUCUUUGUUUUCAUGAGAAAUUAAUUGCCAUUGGCAGCACUAUAGAAAGCCAUCUUUCUCCAUUAUUCUCCGCUUCAUGCAUAAUUACAUAAUUCUACUAUCACAGUUGUCAGUCCUGAACAAUAAUGCAAGUCUAGUGGCAAAAACCACCUCAAUGAACAACUCACACACACACACAGACACUGAUCAUACAUCUCUAACUCUCUUUUUCAAAUAACACACUCUGAUCCAAAACAGGGUAAAUAAAAUGCACAUCCUUAUACAUUUCUAACUUUGUUUUUCGAAAUCCAAAAUAGGGUAUUCUAACUCUCUUUUUCAUUCAUUUCUUACAAACCAAUCAUACAUUUAAAAUAGGCUUUGAAUAAAAAUAGGGUAUAUAAUUAUAUACCUCAAAAUGCCUAGGAACCAACUUCCCCCUCCAACGAUUCAAAUUCUUGAAAUUGCCAACACAGUAAAUCCAUUAGUACUAUAUAAAUGAAAACACAAUUGAAACCCAUCAAACAAAACAAUCCCACAAUUUAAAUGAUUCAAUCCUACUACAAUUGAAAUUCACAGAAAGAAUGAAAAACCAGAACAAAACUGCAGCACCUAAAAAGUUGUCAUACAAAAAAAAACAUGGAAUGUAAAAAUAUGUUAAGAAAUCUAGUUCGUUAAUUUCCAGCUGCUAAGUGGCAUUAUGUAACUUUAGUAGUAUAACUAAUUAACUACUUAUCUGGUGGGUUGCACUUUUAUCCAAUUGGUAAGGAAAGGAAAAUAAAAAUCAACCCCUUGGUCUUAGUUGUGGCUGCAAAGUGCAGGCCACCACCAAGUCUCAGUGUUUGUGUUUUAGCAAAACACUUAAAUAAAUUAAAUUCUGAAACGUAAAUUAUAUUCCUAUAACUUUAAGAUGCACAUAUAGUAUUGUUGAAGUCGAACUGAAAGCACUGACAAUUCCAAGCAACAAAGCAGCAAUUAUUAAGAGCCAAAACUCAUUCCUAGUCUCCUCAUCCUGGUACUCAACUCCGUAAUCUUCUGUCAGCAUCAUUGACUGAAAUUAGGAGAGAAAAAGAAAAGGAAUUUCAGAAAUUGUCUAUGAAGCAAAGGAUACUGCAGUUACUUCAAGACAUGUAAAUUGCAUAUGUAUAAAGUAAUUUUCUACAUAAAGUAAUGAGGCAUAACUUUCUCUCUCCUCUUCAAACCCUAAACAGAGCAAAGCAAACUUUACAGAGAUUAGAAUGAGAACUGGAACUAAUCGAACAAUGACUGAAAAGUAACAUACUUGAGGAGUGAAUGAUUUAGUGUUUCCAUCAUCGGAAGCCGGAGUAAGUCGCUAAGAGAGGUCGCAAACAGCCCAAAGGGACAAACCCAGAUCCCCGGCCCCGAUCCAUACCCUUCCCCCUCAAAUCCCGACGGCCCCCAUACUUUUCUCUGACUGUACCCCCUCUCCCACUCAUGAAAUCGAGGAUCUGUCGCAAUGGUACUGAGAUCCCCACUCCUCCCUCUCCCUUUCUCUCUGUCGCUCUGUCUCCCUCUCCCUCUGUCUGUCUAUCUUUAUCCCAGAGCGGCAUGGCCUCCCAUCCCUGAAACCCUCACCGAAAGUUGGCAAUUUUGUAAAUAACUUGAAAUCCACCAACAGCAGGGGUAGAGAAUUGAAACAAACAUUUAGGCUCGUUCGAUAACCAUUUAGGCCAAAACUGAGCACACCUAAACCAUUCCUACUCGUGCCAAAUGUUAGUGGGGAAGCAAGAUGAUGACUUUAUUAUUCAAAACCAAAAGAAAAAAAGAGAGAAAACAAAAUAACAAAUGUAAUGGUUGUAGUGUAAAAGCUGAGAACGUAAAUAAACAUGCAGGGAAAAAAAUUGAAGAUACAAAGUAGCUGCAUCAUGAACACUUACUCCAAUUAGACGCAAAAAGUGAUGGUGAUGAGAAGAGAGAGAAAAUGCAGUCGUUUUGAUUUUUCUGGCUUUUAAAGGGAGCAGCUUUCUUCGACCACCAAAAAAAGGAAGCUGCUUUUCGUGUGGUUGUGAUUUCCUGAGUGUAUGUGAGCGGGUCUAUGGCACUUGCACUGUUUGUGUCGGUUACGGUAACCGGGCGAGCUGGACACGGCAGCGUGGGACUGAAUUCGGAGAGGUGAGAAAAAUUAAAAACACAAAAAGAAGGUGUUCAUUUUGUCACAUUUUUAUUACGAAAAAUUCAAUAAAGUACAUUCAUUAGUAUGGUAACUUAACUAUUUAAUUCCAUCUCAUUAAACUAAAAAAAACAAUUACAAAAAAAUAAGGAAAACCUUGUCCAGAGAGACCUGAGAGAAAGUGACGACUUCUCCUCUCAUUCAACUCCAUACUUGAUCUCUAAAGUCCAUUUGGCAUGUAAUUGAUGUUCACUUUCAAAUUUAGUGGUAGCAAUUAGCAAAGCUAAUGAAAGAAUCAAAUAAAAUGAAAGAAAAAGCAUCAUGAAAUAAAUCAAGAUGAAGAAUGAAAUUUUGGCAACUCGCCAUUCUCUUCUUUUAUAUAAAAGAUACAUCCUAUUUGUAGUGAAAACAGAUCCCGACAAACCCAGUUAUCCUCAAGAAGUAUUUUGUAUGACUUUAAAAACAUAAUCCGUGAAAUUAUCUCUUGGCUGAGAACAACAACAAAUCUUCAUGCAUAGCUUGUAGAGAAAGACAUCAGGCAUACAAAAGAACACGCAAGCAUAAAAUAAACGAAGCAGGGAAAACCAAAAAUACAAUUGAAUACGCUGUCAAAAGAACAUGAAUAAAUGAAAAUACCAAACAAAGCAGUGAUGAGAAACCAAAGUACCCAUUUCAUAAUCUAAUUGCUUUUUAGUUUGCUUGCCAUUUUUAGUUCUUCAAUUUAGAGAGACACCAUAAUUCAGCACAUGAAUAAAGUGAAAACGUAAAAGAUAUGUGGGAUAGGCUGACAGCCAUCCCUGAGUAAUGCAUUCACUUCUGAACCCCAAACACACUGAAACAAAAAUUCACACACAUGAACUACAGCUCCGCUUUGUAACAAGAAUUAAAAGCAUCUCAAAACAAAAUGGCAAACUAUAAGAGCAUUGUAAAAGUAAAAUUGCAAGAAAUCUAAUACUUGGAGGGCAAGUACUCAUCAGACGAAAAUGAAAGAUUGAACUACCUCGCGUGGAACUGUGCCUUGGUUUUUUCCCAUGCUUACAGGAAGCUUUGCACUGAGCUCUUAUAGUCCAAAUUUUCUCUGAAGGAAAAAAACACAAUUUUGAAAUAAGAUUUUCGUAUUAUACCUUAAAGAGAAGAAUUAGACAACAAAAUAGAGAACAAUGAGUACUAUUCAUCAUAUAUUGUUAGAGUAUGUGGCCCUCUGGUCCAAUGGUCCCGCAGCCAUAUUUCCUUUAUAACUCUUUCUUUUAAUCUAAAAAACAUCUUGAAUCUCAAAUUAGUAUGAAUACGGAUUCAUACUUUAUAACUAAAGAUCUUACUGCUCUUGAUAAGAUGAACAAUACGCCAUUUCUCGCAUGCAUUGCAUUACAAUCACAAUGCAACAUCUCAUUAGAAAUCCCCACACAAAUUUUUUUUAUUGCUACUUUGAUUUUAGUUUAUAUUUUUUCUGAAGCAUGAGGGAGCUAAUUUUUUUUUUUAAAUUUUUUAUUCCAAUAAUGUUAUAGGGAGGGUUGCAAGGAUAUUAUCAAUUGUAUUUGAUUGGUGGAACUUCUACAUCUAUAUUUUAGGUUUUCAAUUUUAGCACUGGGAGAGUCAUUCAUAAAAUGUUUGACAGUGAGAUUACCUCCAUGGACUAUGCUCACAAUGGACAGCUCAUUUUCCGCGGUGAUGGGACAAUAUAUUUCAGUCAUUCGCCAUUCAAUCAAUUCAAACUGAGGAACAUGCAACAUCAAGAAGAGGAUCUACCAUGUCAGGAUCACUAUCGUCCAAUUAAUACAAAAAAAUCUAGAUAAAAACGAUCAAUUUACAUAAAAGCCCUUCAUUUUCUCAGCAACCAAGCAAAAGAAAAUACCUAUCCGUUAAACACUCGAUUUGGGAGUAAAUGUUGCUGAAACUGGACUUCAAUCCCCUCAACCGCAACAACCGAAUCGAGGUGUGCAAGUCAUUGAAAAACUCACCCAAGAUUUCAAAAUCUGCAUAGAGAAAUAAAUAAGCACAUAAAUUAGCCCAACCCAUAAAUCAAAGAAAUCAAAAUCCACCCAGAAUCAAAGAAAUCAAAAUCCAUCCAGAACCAAAGAAAUCAAAAUCACACACAGAUAUGCAAGACAACGCAAAUUUGAAGCCUUACUUUUCGGGUAGCUUGGCGGCUGACAUGAGUCUUCUUCAGAGUUUCAUCCAUCCAUGGAUCCAUUUGGUCCGCCCGUCGCUUCUGGGUCGUACAAUCUUAAAAUCUGCAAAAUGAAUUUAAAGAAUCAAUUUUUACGAUUGAAAAGCCAAAAGUGCUACAAACUCCAAAUUGCUGAGAACCAAAGUGGAGUAACAGUUACAGGUCACGAGAUGAGAUGAGGACAUUGUCGGAUUUCAGGGCGAACCUGACUCUGGAAAUUGCAUCUCGGAUCGGGCUUUCGAACUUCAAAGGAGCUCCGCUCAUUGUGGUCCUUGCAGACCGAACUGGCCUAACAAUCAGCGAGAGAAAGGAGACGGCGGCAAGAUGAGGGAUACAAUGGAUGCGAGAUCGUCUGUAUCGUUCUCGCGGGGGGUUUGCAAGACGGACGAGGAAAGUAGGGUUUGAUGAGGCAUUGUCUUCGCGCGGGGUAUGUGUCCUUCCCAUUCCAUGAUUAUCAACACGUGUGCAUCAACAGAAGCGGCAGAGAGAGGCAUUAUUGUAAAUAAAGUGAAAUCGAAGGGCAAUGGCCCUUUUUUUUUUAAGGUAAUGGCAUGGCCAUAAAUAGAAUGAAAUCCAGAUCAAAACACUGUCAUUUGUACAGUACAAUUUCUCCAUCUUCUUUAGACUAAAGUAAUGUAUAUGUUAUACGCACCAACACAAGUCCUUCUUAGAUAAAUCCAAGCCAAACAAUUACAGACGAUAGUUAUUCACAAAAUCACUUUAAAGUAAGAAUUUAAUUAAUAAUACAUUACUGCACUUUCUUAACAAUUUGACUAUCACCUAGCUGACAAUGAACAUGUUAGCUAUGCGUUAGAACAUAUUGGGUUCAAUCCAUUGUCUUGAAUAUUACCCCCAGUCACAGCCGUCUCUUGGGGGCAUACAGAAGGCCUGAGAGGCAUUUGCAGACAUUCAACAUCUCCUCCAAGCAUUUCGACAACUUUGGACAUCGAAGGGCGAUCACUUGGUUUCAUUUGAAUACACCACAAGGCGGUUAUAACCACCUUUCUUAUCACUUUCUUUUCCUUCUCUGUAACAUUGUCUAUUUCCAAGUCAUUUCCCACAAAAUACUGAUCGUAUACCUACAGCGGGAAGUAGAUUUGGCUUGGAUGCUCUACCGUUGCAUUCAAAUUCUUCCUUAUGCUUGCCAUUUCCAUCAACAACAUUCCAAAACUAUAGACAUCGGCCUUGUAUGAGACACCUCCAAUAUUUUUGUAGAACAACUCAGGAGCAAUAUAUCUCAUUGUACCCCGUGCUGUCGUCAAAGAGACAAUGCUAUUAUCUACUGGAUACAAUUUUGCAAGCCCAAAGUCAGAAACCUUUGCUUUAAAGUUCUCAUCAAGAGGGAUGUUAUGAGGCUUGAUGUCAAAAUGUAGAAUUUUCAUUUUACAACCUUGAUCUAGAUAUUCGAUCCCAUGACUCCAAGAGAAAUCUUGUACAUAGUCUUGAUAGUUAAGGGAAGACUUCCUUCUUUGGAAUAAAUGUAUUUAUCAAAAGAGCCAUUAGGCAUAAAGUCAUAUAUUAGAGCGCGCUUUGAUCCCUCGACACAAUCACAAUCACAAUCACAAUCACAAUCACAAUCACAUUCCAACAUGGAAUCCUCAGACGACAUGCCUACUGCAGAACAAGUUUCAUCCUUACUUAACUUCUAUUUAGUCCACUUCCUGUUUAGAUUGUAAUCCUAGUUCUGCGUGUGUUUGUAUAGUACUCCUAUAAAUAUCAAUGAAAACCGCUCACUCUAAUUAGGAGUUGAGAUUCUGCAAAUCAUAUUUACUAUCUUUCAUGGUAUCACGAGCCAAGGUCUAACGACAACGGUUCCUGUUAUAAUUUUUUUCUCUUUUGUAGAUCCUAAACUAUGGCAUCUUCUUCCUCCUCCGAUGCUCCCUCCGUCACAAAUUUUCUUACGAUCAAGCUCGACCUCAACAACUACCCUCUCUGGCGUGCUCAAUUUCUUCCCUUGCUGCGCAGCCGCAACUUACUCUCUUAUGUUACUGGCGAAACUCAAUGCCCAUCUGCCUUUGUUCUUGAUGACAAUGGUAAAUUCACAGACAAAGUCAAUCCAUUAUAUAAUGAAUGGAUCCAGACUGACUAGAUGAUCCUAUCUUGGAUUACGAGUUCUCUUACUCCCAAGGUUCUUGCUACGAUCGUCAACAAAAUUGAUUCGACCUCUGCUUGGUUGUCAAACCCGAAUUAAUCUGAUUAUGGGGGUUUUAUUUUAUAUCAAUAUAUUGCAGCAGAAGUCGCACUUUGAAGAGUUCAUGCUGCACAGAAAGAUUCUUAAAUGCUACCUGUUGAGUCUAUCAUUGCUCCAUUGGAGACAGAGCUGAAGCUUGCUGCAGGAGUUAUACAUUUGUUAUGCAAUAUGACCCCUUUAAUUUUAUUUUAAAACUGAUACAAAAAUUUAUGUAGUAUUUUUGUAUCAGUUUUGAGUGUCUAUUUUGGCUUCCAUAUUUCGUCUGUACAUGUGAGAGGUAUAGCGUUCAAUAUGUAUUUGGUUUCUAUAUUGUUAAUGGAUCUUUUUUUUUUUAAGAUAACCAAGUUGCAGGAUGACAGCAGAACACUUGAUCUGUAGGUAAACCUUCAAUUUCCAUAUGAAGUUUGCAUGUUCGUUGUUUCUGGAAUUUGAGUUUUUAUUAUUUCUCAAUUCUAUCACAUAGAUUACGAUUUCACAUAUGGGAUUAUUAAUGGCAAUUAGAUGAUGGAAGAAUUGGGAUUGGAAGAAGAUAUUGAGUUGUUUAUUUAUGGGGAUUAGAAAAUUUUUAUCAUAAGUGUGGAUGCAAAUUUCUUCCUCCUUGAUCUUGGACAAAAUUGCACCUACAAAACAAUUAACACCUUAGGUCAAGGCCAAGAGCCUCACGCGCUCACGAUGAAGGGGGGGGCUUUGGUCGAAGAACCUCCGAUGCCAAAGUUAGAAUUUAGAGAGAAAAAGUGUUUGAGAAUUCUAGAGAAUUUUAGCAAGAGUUGCAACUAGGUUUUGGUGAGAAAUGUGGGGCUUUCUAUAGAGGAGUGGCCGGCCUCUUAGGGUGAGAAAGGACCGGUCACAUAGCCUAGUUUGUGGGUUUUGUUCAUGAUUUAAGAUGAUUUUGGGAGUUAUGUGAUUAAUUGACUAAUUAAUUAGGAAAACUAAUAAAAAGGGCUUGAAAACUUUGAGUUUUAAUGAUAAGGACAAAAUAAAGGGUAAAGUGAAUAGUACCAGGAUUGACUUUUUAGUGUAAAAAUGUGGUUUUUCGUUAAAAUGAACAGUACCGGGUGCUUUUCGUUAAAGUUCCCUAAUUAAUUUGGCGAAAUAAAAUUAUUACCAAAUGAAUUAGCUAAUUAAUGGGAUGAAAUGGGCAAAUAUCAAGAGAUAAACAAAACAUGACCAAUUCCUUUUCUAACAAUAGGUGGCCGGCCCUUCACUUGUUUUUGGGGUUGCAUGGAUGUUUUAAUUGACAAUUAAGGAAUUGAUUAGGCAAUUAAUCCCUUAAUUAGUCAAUUAUUAUGAUUUUAAAGGAAGAUUUUAGGAAAUAUGAAAGGAAUAUAUUAUUUAGCUAAUUGAUUAGCUAAAUGGAAUAAAUUAGGUUUUGGGAAUUACCUUAAAUGAGGAUGGAUGAGAUAAUUUGGAAUUGGUUACCUUUUUGGAGCAUUUUUGACUUGGUUAAGGAUGAUUGCCCGCUACUUGCGCAUAGGAAUCCCGUUAUACCUCAAGGGUAUUUUUGUCAUCUUUUACCCAAAAAACCACGUGUCACCUUGUGAUUAUUUUUGGCUCCACAAUACGAGUGAUAUUUAUUUUUGUGUGGAUUGUUAAUAUAUAAAACUAUAAGCUUUUGAGAUUGGGAGACAAAACCCACAAAUUCAAUUCAGACAAAAUAAAUAAAAAAUUUAACUGACUUAAAGAUCAAACUCCAAAAGGGUAUUAAAAACAAGGCUUAUUUGAUCCAUUGAGUGUGAAAGUUUUGAGCUUUGAAGAAGCAGAGGAGGAGAGUUGUUAACCAAGCUGCAUUAUCUAUGUAUUAGGAUGUUGAGGGUAGGCAGGAAAAAUACUUUUUGACGCCAAAUCCAGAGGAGCAUAACGACAGGCCUGCAUUUUUGCAGCAAGGACCAAAACAAGUAUAAGUGAAGGCUUGACUGUUUGGGUAUUAAUCCUAAACCUAAUUAUUCUUAUUUAGGUUUAGGAUAAAUGAUUGAGUGUGUCUCGAUGAUUGUAUUACUAUGUUUGAUGAAUGAUUUGAGGAGUUGGAAAUGGUUUAUUGCUUAUGUUUUUCUUAGGUGUGUACUUUGGUUAUUUCCGAGCUUUUCACGACUUUUGAUACCUAAUAAAGAAUAUGGAAACCCCAACUUCAAUUUUAUGAAUUGAUUUUGGUGCCUAAAAUGAAAUCUAGCAUAGUGAAAUCUUGCAUAAUGAAAUUAUGACAAAUUUCCCUUCAUCUUUAUAUUUUCAUUUAAUUCAAUUGGUAUGCAAUUUAGGGUUAUUCAAUUCAUGAGUGAUCAAAUUAUGUUUUUAAUUCCUUCUUUUGAUUUACAGUUCAACAUUGUCGUACAAAAUGAAAAAGGCGCCAGUAACAGAGUUAUGGAUUUGGAUGCCUUUAGUGGAAUAAAACUGAAUUUUUUAACUUUGUAUAGUUGUAAACAUAAAAUACUCCAUGAGGUAGACUCAUAGCUUUUGAAAACAAUCCUUGAGGAUGGCAUAACAACAUCUCCAACUUUUGUCAUGUAAUGUAUGAAUGUAAAUAGCACUUCGUAAACAUAUGGAUGUAAUAUAUGUAUAUAAACACUCUUUAGCAUGUAUAUUUUUCAAAACUUUCUACAUCUUCAACAAUGUUUCAAUGAUUUCUUGAUGUAAACAAUGAUAAUUUGAAGAACCAUUUAAAGUAUUUUGGUAAUCAUCAUACUUAAGCUUAAAUGUGAUAUAUCCGUUUAUUAUUUUUUAUACAGUGAUAAUACUCAAGUAUAAUUUACAUCAUAUAUCUUUUGAAGUACAUGAAACUAUGAAGAAAAAACCCUAAUUAAUCUGAUUAUGGGGGUUUUGUUUUAUAUCAAAAUAUUGCAGCAGAAGUCACACUUUGAAGAGUUCACGCUGCAUAGAAAGACGAUGAAAUGCUAUCUGUUGAGUCCAUCAUUGAUCCAUUGGAGACAGAGCUGAAGCUUGAUGCAGGUGGUAUACUUUUGUUAUGCAAUAUGAUCCCUUUAAUUUUAUUUUAAGACAUAUAGGGUUGAAAAAAAUUUAUGUAGUAUUUUUGUAUCAGUUUUGAGUGUCUAUUUUGGCUUCCAUAUUUGGUCUAUACAUGUGAGGUAUAGAGUGUUCAAUAUGAAUUUGGUUUCUAUAUUGUAAAUGGAUCUAUUUUUUUUUUAGGUAACCAAGUUGCAGGAUGAAAACCGAACACUUGAUCUGCAGGUAAACCUUCAAUUUCCAUAUGAAGUUUGCAUUUUCGUUGUUUCUGGAAUUUGAGUUUUUGCAGGAUGAAAACAGAACACUUGAUUGGUUAUUUCCGAGCUUUUCAUGACUUUCGAUACCCAAUAGAGAAUAUGGAAACCCCAACUUUAAUUUUAUGAAUUGGUUUUGGUGCCUAAAAUGAAAUCUAGCACAGUGAAAUCUUGCAUAAUGAAAUUAUGACAAAGUUCCCUUCAUCUUUAAAUUUUCAUUUAGUUCAAUUCGUAUGCAGUUUAGGGUUAUUCAAUUCAUGAGUGAUCAAAUUAGGUUUUUAAUUCCUUCUUUUGAUUUUCAGUUCAGCAUUGUCGUAUUUUGGAUGCCUUUAGUGGAAUAAAACUGAAUUUUUUUAACUUUGUAUAGUUGUAAACAUAAAAUACUCCAUGAGAUAGACUCAUAGCUUUUGAAAACAAUCUUUGAGGAUGGCAUAACAACAUCUCCAACUUUUGUCAUGUAAUGUAUGAAUGUAAAUAACACUUUGUAAACAUAUGGAUGUAAUAUAUGUAUAUAAACACCACUCUUUAGCAUAUAUAUUUUUCAAAACUUUCUACAUCUUCAACAAUGUUUCAAACCCCGCAGCAACGGGCGGGUACACUUGCUAGUAUACAUCUAAAAUUAUAAGACUAAAUCCUUUAGUUCUUGGAUUCAUCUAAGAACUACUUAUUCAAGCAGAUGCUAUGCUUGCACUACUAGAAUUUAUGGCUUGCCCUGUCAACUAUUGCGCGACAGAAGAUUUCGUCGGUUUCACCUUUUUUAACCGACAAAAUAUAAGUUUAGUAAGGCAAAAUCAGUCAACAAACUUGGUUUACUGAAUAGAUUUACAGGAUGUUUAGAGUUCGUAGGUUAAGACAUCAGUCGUUGGGCAAACAUUUGGAGCGAAGAUGUGAGUGUUUUAACUGACGAAUAAGCUGGUCGUCAUGUAGAUCUUCUUUCCCGACUGACGGUUCAACGGGUAGCUCUUUGGAUAACAAAUCAUCUUCAAGGGGAACAGGUUGCCCCUCAGAUGAAUGGUUAGAGGCAAUUGUGAGACUAUAAUUUUCUAGGGCCGGAAAAUCUGUAACCAUCCACCAAAUACCCCUUCUUCCCUUUCUAUUUCUCUCUCAGUAAUUUCCCCUGACCUAAUCACACAAUCCAACCAACUCUUUUUAAGCCUCCCUCAUUGAUUCCAUGGAUUUCAUGGACUUAUCCCACCCUCUCUCCUUCCCUCUAUAUAUAGCAAGUCCCCUUGCCUCAGUGUCCCUGGCAACAGAAUUUAUGGUGUGUCUUCGUUCUUUCAAUUAUUUGAAAGCUUUCCUGCCCUGCAGUCUUGUACAAAGGCGUAUGGUGUUUCAUCAGUUCCAUUUGGUGGUUGGGUGGGAAAUGAAAUUAAAACAUUGAUUUCAAAUGGUCUAAACCAAAUUGAAUCAAAUGUGAAGCAAAGGGCAAAAGGUGUAGAUUGAAGAACAAUGGCACCAAGAGCGAAAUUGAACUUGUUGACAGGAGGAAACCAAGUAACGAUAACGCGUCUAAAUCUUAUUUCGAAUCCAUUCAGCUUAUGAUGUUUUUAAUGAUGAUGAUCUGUAUACUUUGCUACAUGCUGUGAUUUUUUCGCUUUCAUGUAAUUAACGGCUUAUAUUUAUGGUAAAGAUAUUGAUUAAUUUUGAGAAAUGACAGUCUAAUUUUUGCAACUGUCUUUUGCAGGCAAAACAAAGACGUUUGCAAGGGUGAGUUUUGUAGGACCGGUGUUUAGCUUUGUUUCAUGUCCAAAGGACACUUGAGAAUAAAUGUUUACUCAUGGAUAAUAUCUAUCUAUUUGCAUGAGCAACCCUGGGUUCAUUUGUUCUGUUACUGCUGGUCAUUGCGGCAUAUCACGCCUACAGCACUGACAAAGUAAAAAGAAAAUCGAAUGAAAUUUGGUAAGAUUUUAGCGGACUACAAAGAUCUUAAGCCAAUCAUAUAUUCCCAUGCAGAUAUUAAGAGGUUUACAAAUCAAUUCAAGUACAAGUUGGGCCAAGGAGCAUACAUAACUGUUUUUAAAGGAAAGCUUUUUUCUGAAUGCUUUGUUGCCAUGAAAGUACUUAACAUUUCCAAGGGUGACGGGGAAGAGCUUGUAAAUGAAGUGGGGAACAAUGGGCCAUAUUCACCAUGUCAAUGUGGUUCACUUGGUUGGUUUUUGUGCUGAUGGAUUUAGAUGAGCUCUGGUUUAUGAGUUCUUUCCCUUUGGUUCACUUCAGGAUUAUAUGUCAUCAGUAGAUAGAUUUCUUUCCUUGGUUGGCAUAAGUUGCAAGAUAUUGCUAUCAACAUAGCCAAAGGAACCAGGGAUGUGAUCUACAAAUCCUCCAUUUCGAUAUCAAACCCCAUAAUGCUUUGCUCGACCAAAAAAUCACGCCAAAAAUCUCUGAUUUUGGUCUGGCCAAGUUAUGUUCCAAGGAUCAAUCAGUGUGACUAAAGCAAGGGGGACCAUGUGACUAAAGCACCUGAAGUGUUUUCCAGGAAUUUCGGAAAUGUGUCUUACAAGGUAGAUGUCUUGAAUGUUGCUGCUUGAAAUGGUAGGAGAAAAGAAGAAUAUUGGUUCAACCAGAGGACACGACAAAUGAAAUCUACUAUCCAAAAUGGAUUUAUAAUCUUCUAGAGGAAGGAAUGACCAACAGAUCCAUAUUGAGGAAGAAUGUUAUGGUAAGAUUCCAAAGCAACUUGCAAGUUUAGGGCUCUGGUGCAGCCAGUGGCACUUGGUGGAUCGGCGGUCCAUGAAAACGGUGGUUCGGAUGUUAGGAGGAUGAGAAAACUUGAUGAUGCAAGCAACCCUAAAAGCCUCAUACAAUUAAAAGUAAUUGCUGAAUUAGAGUAACAUAUGUAUAUGUAUACGCACCAACACAAGUCGUUCUUAGAUGAAUCCAAGCCAAACAAUUACAAACAACAGUUAUUCACUAAAUCACUUUAAGGCAAGAAUUUAAUUAAUAAUACAUUACUGCACUUUCUUAACCAUUUGACUAUCACCUAGCUGACAAUGAACACGUUAGCUCCGCGUUAGAACAUCUUGGGUUCACUUCAUUGUCUUGAAUAUCACCCACUGUCACAGGCGUCUCUAGGGGGCAUAGAGAAGGCCUGAGAGGCAUUUGCAGACAUUCAACAUCUCCUCCAAGCAUUUUGACAACUUUGGACAUCGAAGGGCGAUCACUUGGUUUCAUUUGAAUACACCACAAGGCGGUUAUAACCAUCUUUCUUAUUACUUUCUUUUCCUCCUCUGUAACAUUGUCCAUUUCCAAGUCAUUUCCCACAAUAUACUGAUCGUAUACCCAUAUUGGGAAGUAGAUUUGGCUUGAAUGCUCUACCGUUGGAUUCAAAUUCUUCCUUCUGCUUGCCAUCUCCAUCAACAACAUUCCAAAACUAUAGACAUCUGACUUGUAUGAGACACCUCCAAUAUUUUUGUAGAACAACUCAGGAGCAAUGUAUCCCAGUGUACCCCGUGCUGCCGUCAAAGAGACAAUGCUAUUAUCUACAGGAUACAAUUUUGCAAGCCCAAAGUCAGAAACCUUUGCUUUAAAGUUCUCAUCAAGAAGGAUGUUAUGAGGCUUGAUGUCGAAAUGUAGAAUUUGCAUUUCGCAACCUUGGUGUAGAUAUUCGAUCCCUUGAGCCACUCCAAGAGAAAUCUCGUACAUGUUCUUGAUAGUUAAGGGAACACUUCCUUCUUUGGAAUAAAUGUAUUUAUCAAGAGAACCAUUAGGCAUGAAGUCAUAUACUAGAGCUCGUUUUGAUCCCUCAACACAGUAUCCAACAAGUUGCACCACAUUGGCAUGGUGAAUCCUUCCGAUUGUAGCUAUUUCGCUAAUGAAAUCUUGGCCAUCAGCUUUGGGCUUGCCCAAAACUUUAACUGCUACAAAUCGACCACUGCGUAGCUUUCCCUUAAAUACAGAGCCAAAGCCACCUUCGCCCAACUUGUCCUUAAACGUGCGAGUCAUUUUCUUGACGUCCGAGUAAGAGUACCUUAUAGGCAUGAAGUUGUUAUUGCAUUGCAGAAAAUCUUCUAUUGUGUUAUACAUUGAUAAAUGUCUUCUGCGCCAUGUGUAGAUUAGAAAUGCAGUCACAACUGGAACUCCAAAAACAAAUCUGGCUAGGAAAAAUAACCCUGCAUGCAUGGACAUUAAUAUGUUAGAUCCACUGCGUACUACUUUUUCUUCCCUUUCUUUCCAAAUUACUUUGUCUUUGAUGUAAUUAAAGAGAGAGAAUGAGAAAUCUACAUAUGUUGAUAAUACAAUCUCAUCUUAGUCCUUACCGAUGCAUAUGAGUAUAAACCAUCCACGUACUGCAACAAAAUCAAUCGACUAUGAGUUUGAAAAGUGCAUAAAGUGAAAAAUAAAUAAUAAAUAAAAUCAAAGGGUGCCUUUAUUGACACCCAAAUUUUAGUUAGUUUUACUCAACUAAAAAAUUUUUGUCAUCAAACUUUUUAAUUUGCCGUUGAAAUUGAGUUCACCCAACCCACAAAGCAGCAACUACCACUCACCAAAAAAACCAACAACACACACCCACCACUCACCAAUAGAAAGAGAAUGAACACACAGACCCACAAAGAGCUGGCAUCGACGCUGUCGAUGAGGGAGGGACCAGAGGAUGGUGUAGUUUUGUCUAGCGCGCGGUAGUGGUUUUGUCUGUUCAUUUUCUCUUUCUUUUGGUAGGUGGAGGCUGGUGUGGAUUUGGGCGAACUUAAAAAUGAGGGGAAACUAUGAAGUUUGACAAAAUGUUUUAGUUAGGGGAACUUAACUAAAAUUUGGGUGCCGAUAAAGAUACCCAAUAUCAAAAAUACUUGAGCGUAUAGACUAAUUAAAUGAAGUUGAUCAAGUUUGUCUCGAUCGAAAACUUGUAAAUAAAACAAAAAGAGGACCCCUUACCGAUUUGUUGCCAUAUAUAUUGAAAGAAACCUACAAAAACAAAGAAAGAACAAGACUACAUGCAUUAGCAUAACAAGAGUGAGGUGUAUAAGCCGUUAGAAAAUAAAUUUAAAAUUCUAGUGCUGUCAAUACAUUGAUAAUAUAUAUAUAUAUAUAUAUAUAUAUGUAUUAUUUUUUCUGAAAAUUUAACUUUUUCCCUCCAAACUCAUUUUUCUAGUCUCUAGCCCAUCAUAUAAUAUUUAUCCGAAUAAAACCAAAUGAUUAGGAUCCAACUAAGAAACUUACCAAAUUAAGUUUGUGUGUCCAUUUUUAUAUUUUUUGGAUCCCUAAUAUACCCCAUCUAAGUCAGUAUGGAAAGUUCUUGUAAUUUUGCUUUAAGUGAUCACGUGCAUUGAAUUUGGCAAUGUCUUGUAGCCAUGAAAUAUGGUUGUAGAUGGAGGAAUUAAUUUGGAAUUUUUUUUAAUUUCAACAACAAAUUUAGUGUUAUUUUCAACAAUAUCUAUUGUUUAAUUUUAUGAAAAUAAUUUACCUAAUAUGAAAAUUAAUUUUAUGAAAACAAUAUCUAUUGUUUUAUUUUAUACCUACAGGAUAAUUACAUGAAAAUAGUUUACCUACUAUGAAAAUUAAUUUUUUGAAAGCAAUAUCUAUUGUUUAAUUUUAUGAAGAUAAUUUACCUACUAUAAUUACAUGAAAAUAGUUUACCUACUAUGAAAAUUAAUUUUUUGAAAGCAAUAUCUAUUGUUUAAUUUUAUGAAGAUAAUUUACCUACUAUAAUUACAUGAAAAAAUUUACCUACUAUGAAAAUUAAUUUUUUGAAAACAAUAUUAUUGUUUAAUUUUAUGAAAAUAAUUUACCUACUGUAUAAUUACAUAAAAAUUAAUGUGCCUACUUUUUAAAUUUGUAACAAAAUUAAUUUACCUACUUUUUAUGGUAUUAGUAUACAUAAAUGUAGAAUAUAUGUCCGUAUAUAUUUGAUCUAAUUAGGUUUUGGAUUGGAGGAGUUGACACAAAAUUAUAAAUAUGUUAAACAAAUUUAUCAAUUCUAAAGUUGGAGGGGAAUUGGUCUGUACAUUGCUACAGUAAACAAAUGCUACUCAAUUUCACGUUAUUUACAACAAAGCUAUCAGAUUUGGGUUGGGUUGGAGGGUAAUUUGUUAAAAGUUAGGAGGGUAAUUUGUUAAAAGUUAGGAGGGUAAUUUUGUGCAUAGGGUUUAGGUGCCCUCCUAUACAUGACCCUUGAUUUUACUUUAUUUACACCACUGCCAUCAUAUAUGUGGCUGAAUUGGGGGGGGUAUUAUUAAAAGUUAAGAGGGUAGUUUUGUUCAAGGAAGAAAAUAUCGGUAAUAUCGGAAAUAUCGGUAGUCCGAAAACACGGAAAUAUCGAUGGAAAUAUCGGGAUAAUAUCGAUAUCGAUAAAAAUUACAUGGAAACCACGGAAAUUGUAAGAAAAACUUGGAAAUUUUUAUUGAAAUUUUGCAGGAUGUUUAUUUAGUCAAUUAUCUAUUAGUUUAUCACAAAAAAUUGGAAGGAAAUGCAUUGCAUGAUGGAUUUAACUUAUUUAAGUUGAUUAUAUAGCGAGCUGACAAACAUUGUGAGUGUAGAAAAUAUGUAGUAAUUAAUGAAAGAAGUUUAAACUUUAUAUAUAAUGACUUAGUACAAUAUUUUACACUUUAUACAUUGCAUGGUAAGAUACAUGAGUUACACAAACAACGGGAAAUUAAUGAGAAAACCCUUCCCAAAACGUCAGCACCCGCUUUUUUAAAUAACUUAUAUAAUGAACCUGUCUGGAUCACUUGUUCUAAUAUAUAAACACAAAACAAUACUAUUUGUAUCACAUUUUCUGACAAUCUCAUUGACCGCUUUUAAUUAAUAAAUUGGUCUCAAGUCUAGUUUCCUAAGAAUUUGUUUGUUUGGGCUCAUCUUUGUUGUAAUAACUUAAUUGGGCUUAGAGUUUUAUUGGGUUUACCUAGCCCGUGCGAGCUCAUCUUUGUAUUUAUUUGACGGAUACCCCGAUUUGUUAUGGCAAAAGCAACCACGCAGUCGACGCCCGAAAACCCUUCCCUCUCUCAUUUGGUCUUCGUCUGUUUUCCCGCAUCAUCCAACAGGUGGACUCGGCGCUUCUCUCUCUCUCCCCCCUCUUCGCCCUCUCCACCAAACCCUAACCCCCCAAAUUCCAACCUUCCACCAUUCAAUCCAACCAAAAUCCCCCCAAUCGGACCCCUACCCGACCCAGUUCAUCUCCGAUUGCCUCCAAUUCCACUCCGCCCCGACCCAUUUCUUCAAAAUUCCAAUUCCACUCCGCCCCGACCCAGUUCCUUCAAUUUCUCAGGUAGGUAAGCUUCGGGUUUUUCUUUUUAUAUUCUAGAUCGAAGCGUAGAUGUGAAAUUGAAGUUAUAUGUCGUGUUUUUGCAAGGUUUUUGGGAUGAAAUCGACUCGGGAAUAAGUACACCCAUCUCCGGCGAGGCUAGGGGGUAGUUUUACAGUCGACCGGAGCUGUAGAAGCUCCAGCGUUCGUCUCCGACGUGCACAGUUCCGAAAUUUCGCGAUAAUAUCGAUAAUAUCGCGAUAUUAUCGAUAUUAUCGCGAUAUUAUAACGAAAACACCUUGGAUACCAUUUAAAAUAUCGGUUCGGGAAAAAACCGAUAAUAUCGGCGAUAUAUCGCCGAUAUUAUCGAUAUUUUCUUCUAUGGUUUUGUUCAAGGGGUGGGGGCGACAUUCGCAGACAGGGCGAUUGGAGCCAUGCCCAUGCCCAUUGCACAGAGAGAAAGGGAGUGAUGGGGGAAAUUACAGACAGAAAGGGAAGGGAUGGGAGGAUUUGAUGGAUGGUCACAGAGAAAGAUUCGGUGAGGGAUGUGAGGGGAGAUUACAGAGAGAUAAAUUAAAGGGGGAUCGGGGGAUUUGAGGGAUGGUCAGAGAGAGAAAUAGUGACGAAGGGAGGGAUGGGGGGGCUAAUUUUCGGUUCCUCCUUCAGAUUUGUUCCGUAAAACUUGUUGGGUACAAUUCAAUUUCCUCCCCCUUUCCCCUGAACGAAAAAUUCGAAACCUACAAUUCAAUUUCCUCCCUUCUUGGCUUUCCGCUUUACUCAUCUCCCGGUGGUUCUUUCUCUCCAUACGAUUCGAUUUCGGUGAGUUCUUCGUUGCCCUCAUGAUUUCCCAGUUUGAUUUUUUGAGCGUCCUUAGUCGUCGUUUUUAUCUGGGUUUAUUGCAUGGUUGCUUUUAGUUUAUGGAUUUUUAUUUUUUCCGCGGUUUGAUGAAUCGUGGUUAAUAAUUUCACACCAUGGGAUUUUUGCACUUCUGAUGGAAUUGAGCGCAGGGAUUCGGGGUGGGGUUUUACUGAUAGUUUGUCUUCAUUCAAAUGAAUGGUUAAAAUUUCUGAAGUGAGUGUGCAGGUGGGCCCGUUCACUAACUAAGCUUUCAAGGGAACCCAUCAACGGUUUGCUUGCUGGGGAACUCGGAGACUACUAUGAUUUAGUUAUCAUUUAUUUUUUUACUUAAUUUUAUCCAUAUAUAAUAUGUGGGUAAAUUUACACUAAACAAUUGUGAUAAGCCAAUAUGCCAAACGACUUUGAAAGCAUUGAUUUUGUGUAUAGUUUGCAUUUUUGCAUUGUGAAUGUUGAAUUUUGUGUUUAAUUUGGAUUUUUGUGUUUGAAUUUGUAGCAUGAUCUUCCGCUGCAGCAUCCAAAUUUUGUAUUUGUAAAUUGUCAAAGAAAAACGAACAACAACAACAACAACAACAAAGCCUUUUCCCACUAAAUGGGGUCGGCUAUAUGAAUCCUAGAACGCCAUUGCGCUCGGUUUUGUGUCAUGUCCUCCGUUAGAUCCAAGUACUCAAGUCUUUUCUUAGGGUCUCUUCCAAAGUUUUCCUAGGUCUUCCUCUACCCCUUCGGCCCUGAACCUCUGUCCCGUAGUCACAUUUUCGAACUGGAGCGUCAGUAGGCCUUCUUUGCACAUGUCCAAACCACCGGAAUCGAUUUUCUCUCAUAUUUCCUUCAAUUUUGGCUACUCCUACUUUACCUCGGAUAUCCUCAUUCCUAAUCUUAUCCUUUAUCGUGUGCCCAUACAUCCCACGAAGCAUCCUCAUCUCCGUUACACCCAUUUUGUGUACAUGUUGAUGCUUCACCACCCAACAUUUUGUGCCAUACAACAUUGCUGGCCUUAUUGCCGUCCUAUAAUAUUUUCCCUUGAGCUUCAGUGGCCUACGACGGUCACACAACACCCCGGAUGCACCCUUACACUUCAUCCAUCCAGCUUGUAUUCUAUGGUUGAGAUCUCCAUCUAAUUUUCCGUUCUCUUGCACGAUAGAUCCUAGGUAGCGAAAACGGUCACUUUUUGUGAUCUUCGCUAGAUUGCUCCGGUCAUUAGUGUGGAUAAGUAUAUAAAUGGAUAGAAUUAGGAAAGCAAACACAAGAUGUACGUGGUUCACCCAGAUUGGCUACGUCCACGGAAUAGAGGAGUUCUCAUUAAUUAUGAAGGGUUUACACAAGUACAUAGGUUCAAGCUCUCCUUUAGUGAGUACAAGUGAAUGAUUUAGUACAAAUGACAUUAGGAAAUAUUGUGGGAGAAUGAUCUCGUAACCACGAAACUUCUAAGUACCGGAGUGUGGUAUCGUUUUGACUUGCCUUAUCUGUCUCAUAGGUAGAUGUGGCAUCUUCUCUGGAAGUACUCUUCCUCCAUCCAGGGGUGGUAUCUGUAACUGGUGGAGAUGCACAAGGUAAUGUAUCAAUUUCACUUGAAGCUUACUUGUAGUUUCAGGCUUGGUCAAGCGCGAUACAAACCAUGUAGUAGAAGUCCCCCAAGUCGCCGGGCUAAGGGAUCUGCUGAAAGAGGUGACAGACAAGGUAAGCAAUCAGAGCUCCAGCUGAUUGUUCACAUUCUCCCUAUCUUGCAGGCAGCAUGAAGGAUAAAGAGAAGAAAAAUGAGAAGAGAUGAUAUGGGAUACUUUUGCUUUUAAAGAAGUAACUUUCCACAGGCUUAUUCUUGAACCGGGCUGUAGGGUUUUCUGGUUUCCUCUAGAGUAUAAGGCCGAUUGAAGAAUUUGAGGGUCAAAACAAGUCCAUCAAAUCUAGAGUACGUUCGACCCUGCUGAUAUGGGAUACUUUUGCUUUUGACAGAGUAGUGGAUGUAUCGGCACGUGUGCUGUUACGCUUGUCUCCACAUGCUUCCUUGUAUCCUUCUCACUUGCCCUAUCUGUUCCUCAGGCAAAUGCGGUAUCUUCCCUGGAAGCAUAAGAUGUUGAAGAUGAGUACUCCAGAGCAAUGACAGGUAAGUAAUCAGGUAAGGGGUUCCAGGCAGUCAGUUCCUGGCUCGAAGCUUGAUUCCAAGUGCUGACUGAUUGCUCUCGUUCUCCUUGUCUUGUAGGUAAGAACAAGGCCAAAGGAAAAGACAGGGAAAAAGCAUGAUAUGGGAUACUAUUGCUUUUAACCCUGAUGAUAUGAGAUAGUCUUGCUCUAGUAUAGCUUGUUUACAGAGGUAUUAUCGGGGGGAAAGAAAGCUGAAUAUUUCGAAAGGCUUCGUUGGGAGUGCCCUAUUAGAUAAGAGAAAGGGUUGAGUAUUUUUGCAGGUCUGCCUGUCCGUUAGGGAUGGAGGUCGACAUAUAUAGGAGUCUCCCUAACAUAAAGUAAUAAUGUUAUUCCUUUACCCUGCUUGGUCAUAACACGGUAGUGGGAGCUACCAGCCUCACAUGUUUUAACUCUGUCAGAGCACUUUGAAAAGGUGGUCUGUGGUAUCUGGAAAGAUGAUGUUGCGUGUGAAGAUUACAGACAAGCUUUAUCCAAGGAGAUCCAGCUCUUGAAGUUGGGAAAGUGGUGCCUCUUCGGUUUUCGAACAAGCAAUCCUGUCGGGGAUCUGGCUCUCGAGAUUCGGAGAACGAUGCCUCUUCAAUUUUUGAGAAAGCGAUCAUGCUGGGGGUCUGGCUCUCGAGAUUCGGAGAGCAGUGUCUCUUCGAUUUUUGAGAAAGUAAUCAUGUUGGGAGUCUGGCUCUCGAGAUUCGGAGGGCGGUGCCUCUUCGAUUUUGGAGCAAGCAAUCUUGUUAUGAGUGUUUUCUCGAAUGUGAGUAAAGGUUGGGCAUGUUUGCUAGUCUACCUUGCCACGAAGCACAGAGGUUGACACACAGGGACUUUCCAAUUAUCCAGCAGUGGUACUGUUCAUUUACCCUCUCUUCGAUUUUUGAGAAAGUAAUCAUGUUGGGAGUCUGGCUCUCGAGAUUCGGAGGGCGGUGCCUCUUCGAUUUUGGAGCAAGCAAUCUUGUUGGGAAUGUUUUCUCGAAUGUGAGUAAAGGUUGGGCAUGUUUGCUAGUCUACCUUGCCACGAAGCAUAAAGGUUGACACACAGGGACUUUCCAUUUAUCCAGCAGUGGUACUGUUCCUUUACCCUCUUUUCGAUUUUUGAGAAAGUAAUCAUGUUGGGAGUCUGGCUCUCGAGAUUCGGAGGGCGGUGCCUCUUCGAUUUUGGAGCAAGCAAUCCUGUUGGGAGUGUUUUCUUGAAUGUGAGUAAAGGUUGGCAUGUUUGCUAGUCUACCUUGCCACGAAGCACAGAGGUUGACACACCGGGACUUUCCAAUUAUCCAGCAGUGGUACUGUUCCUUUACCCUUGUGGGUAAUAAUAUGGUAGCUAGACCUUCAAAAUUUAUAUGUCUAAACUUUGUUAGUGUUGUUUCUUUGCAAUUCUUUUACCCUUCUUGGUCAGAGCGAUGUAGCGGGAGCUGCAAGCUUCACGUGUCUCAACUGUCAGAGAACUUUGGCAAAGUUAUCUGUGGUACCCAUGAGUUACUGUUGCGUAUGGGAAGUGGGUGAUUGAACAAUACGAUUCAUGUGCUUUCUACUUCGCCAGAAAUCUUCGACAGAAUGCCCAUAAUUUCCGCAAAGCUGAGUGUGCGUGUGACAGGUGCUGACAAGGCUGGAAAAGUAGGUGCCUCUUCGAUUUCUGAGAUCGGCCUUUGUGGUUUCUUAGCAGCCCAGCUUUUGAGAAAGCAAGCCUCUUCGAUUUCUGAUAUCGGCCUUCGUGGUCUUUGAGCAGCCCAGCUUUUGAGAAAGCAAACGCCUCUUCGAUUUCUGAGAUCGACCCUCGUGGUCUCUGAGCAGCCCAGCUUUUGAGAAAGUAAACGCCGCUUCGAUUUCUGAGCAGGCGCCUCUUCGAUUUCUGAAGCUUCGUCGAGUGCAGAUUUUUAUAGGGGCUGACAUUAAGUUCCAAAGCACACUUGAAUAUCCACCAGUAGAAGCUCCAUUCUUGUACUUCUAAGAUCUUGAUUUGUCCGACCUCUUCUCUCUUCAACACCUUUGAAAAUGUCUGGCCCCUCCGACCGUCGUUUUGACUUGAACCUUGUUGAAGAGGCAGCCCCGCCUUCUCCAGACAACAUAUGGCGCCCAUCAUUCGUCUCCCCUACUGGUCCUCUUACCGUUGGGGAUUCCGUGAUGAAGAAUGAUAUGACCGCUGCGGUAGUGGCCAGAAACCUUCUCACUCCCAAAGAUAACAGACUACUUUCCAAACGGUCUGAUGAGUUGGCUGUUAAGGAUUCUUUGGCUCUCAGUGUUCAGUGUGCAGGUUCUGUGUCUAAUAUGGCCCAACGCCUAUUUGCUCGAACCCGCCAAGUUGAAUCAUUGGCGGCUGAAGUGAUGAGUCUCAAACAGGAGAUUAGAGGGCUCAAGCAUGAGAAUAAACAGUUGCACCGGCUCGCACAUGACUAUGCUACAAACAUGAAGAGGAAGCUUGACCAGAUGAAGGAAUCUGAUGGUCAGGUUUUACUUGAUCAUCAGAGAUUUGUGGGUGGGUUUGUUCCAAAGGCAUUUAUUGCCUUCGUCUUCUGGGGCUGUACCGCGUAAUGAAGCUCCAAAUGAUCAACCUCUGAUGCCUCCUCCUUCUAGGGUUUUGUCCAGUACUGAGGCUCCGAAUGAUCCCCCUCUGGUGCCUUCUCUUUCUGGGGCUCUACCGACUACUGAGACUUCUCCUAAGCAACCUUUGUGAAGGCUCCCUCUUGUUUGUUUAUUUUGACUCAAGUAUAUGUACAUAUUUGUAACUUAUCGGGGAUAUCAAUAAAUAAGCUUUCCUUUAUUUCAACGUAUUGUGUUAAAUACACCAAAGCCUUCUUCGCUAAGUUCUUUGAAUUUUCUUUUGUUGAAGCUUGUAUGUUGAAGCUUUGUGAGUGAAGCAUGCAGGUUGAGGUAGUGUUCCCUUAAUUUCCCGAGUGAGGAAAACUUCUCGGUUGGAGACUUGGAAAAUCCAAGUCACUGAGUGGGAUCGGCUAUAUGAAUCUUAGAACGCCAUUGUGUUUUGUCCUGUGUCAUAUCCUCCGUUAGAUCCAAGUACUCUAAGUCUUUUCUUAGGGUAUCUUCCAAAGUUUUCCUAGGUCUUCCUCUACCCCUUCGGCCCUGAACCUCUGUCAUAUAGUCGCAUCUUCUAAUCGGAGCGUCAGUAGGCCUUCUUUGCACAUGUCCAAACCACCGUAACCGAUUUUCUCUCAUCUUUCCUUCAAUUUCGGCUACUCCUACUUUACACCGGAUAUCCUCAUUCCUAAUCUUAUCCUUUCUCGUGUGCCCACACAUCCAACGAAGCAUCCUUAUCUCCGCUACACCCAUUUUGUGUACGUGUUGAUGCUUCACCGCCCAACAUUCUGUGCCAUACAGCAUCGCCGGCCUUAUUGCCGUCCUAUAAAUUUUUCCCUUGAGCUUCAGUGGCAUACGGCGGUCACACAACACGCCGGAUGCACUCUUCCACUUCAUCCAUCCAGCUUGUAUUCUAUGGUUGAGAUCUCCAUCUAAUUCUCCGUUCUUUUGCAAGAUAGAUCCUAAGUAACGAAAACGGUCGCUCUUUGGUAUUUCUUGAUCUCCGAUCCUCACCCCUAACUCGUUUUGGCCUCCAUUUGCACUGAACUUGCACUCCAUAUAUUCUGUCUUUGAUCGGCUUAGGCGAAGACCUUUAGAUUCCAACACUUCUCUCCAAUGGUUAAGCUUUGCAUUUACCCCUUCCUGAGUUUCAUCUAUCAACACUAUAUCGUCUGCGAAAAGCAUACACCAAGGAAUAUCAUCUUGAAUAUGUCCUGUUAACUCAUCCAUUACCAACGUAAAAAGGUAAGGACUUAAGGAUGAGUCUUGAUGUAAUCCUACAGUUAUGGGAAAGCUUUCGGUUUGUCCUUCAUGAGUUCUUACGGCAGUAUUUGCUCCUUCAUACAUAUCCUGUAUAGCUUGGAUAUAUAUGCUACUCGUACUCCUUUCUCUCUCUAAAAUCCUCCAAAAGAUGUCUCUCUUGGGUCUCCCCCUAUCAUACGCUUUUUCCAAAUCUAUAAAGACCAUGUGUAAAUCUGUUUUCCCAUCUCUAUAUCUUUCCAUCAAUCUUCGUAAGAGAUAGAUUGCCUCCAUGGUUGAGCGCCCUGGCAUGAACCCGAAUUGGUUGUCCGAAACCCGUGUCUCUUGCCUCAAUCUAUGCUCAAUGACUCUCUCCCAAAGCUUCAUUGUAUGACUCAUUAGCUUAAUACCCCUAUAGUUCAUGCAAUUUUGUACAUCGCCCUUAUUCUUGUAGAUAGGCACCAAAGUGCUCAUUCGCCACUCAUUUGGCAUCUUCUUCAUUUUCAAAAUCCUAUUGAAAAGGUCAAUGAGCCAUGUUAUACCUGUCUCUCCCAAAACUUUCCACACUUCGAUUGGUAUAUCGUCUAGGCCUACUGUUUUUCUAUGCUUCAUCUUCUUCAAAGCUACAACCACUUCUUCCUUCCGGAUUCUACGAUAAAAAGAGUAGUUUCGACAUUCUUCUGAGUUACUCAACUCCCCUAAAGAAGCACUCAUUUCAUGUCCUUCAUUGAAAAGAUUAUGAAAAUAACCUUUCCAUCUGUCUUUAACCGCGUUCUCUGUAGCAAGAACAUUUCCAUCCUCAUCCUUGAUGCACCUCACUUGGUUUAGGUCCCUUGUCUUCUUUUCCCUUGCUCUAGCUAGUUUAUAGAUAUCCAACUCUCCUUCUUUGGUAUCUAGUCGCUUAUACAUAUCGUCAUAAGCCGCUAACUUAGCUUCUCUCACAGCUUUCUUCGCCUCUUGCUUCAUUUUUCUAUACCUUUCACCAUUUUCAUCGGUCUUAUCCUUGUAUAAGGCUUUACAACAUUCCUUCUUAGCCUUCACCUUUGUUUGUACCUCCUCAUUCCACCACCAAGAUUCCUUUUGGUGUGGGGCAAAGCCCUUGGACUCUCCUAAUACCUCUUUUGCUACUUUUCGGAUACAACUAGCCAUGGAAUCCCACAUUUGGUUAGCUUCCCCCUCUCUAUCCCACACACACUGGGUGAUUACUUUCUCUUUGAAAAUGGCUUGUUUUUCUUCUUUUAGAUUCCACCAUCUAGUCCUUGGGCACUUCCAAGUCUUGUUCUUUUUUCUCACUCUUUUAAUAUGUACAUCCAUCACCAACAAGCGAUGUUGAUUAGCCACUCUCUCUCCUGGUAUAACUUUGCAAUCCUUACAAGUUAUACGAUCCCCUUUCCUCAUUAGAAGAAAAUCUAUUUGUGUUUUUGACGACCCACUCUUGUAGGUGAUCACAUGUUCUUCUCCCUUCUUAAAGAAGGUGUUGGCUAAGAAGAGAUCAUAUGCCAUUGCAAAAUCCAAGAUAGCUUCCCCAUCCUCGUUUCUCUCCCCAAAACCAUGGCCACCAUGAAAACCUCCAUAGUUGCCUGUCUCCCUGCCCACGUGUCCAUUUAAAUCUCCUCCUAUAAAUAACUUCUCCGUCUGAGCAAUUCCUUGCACCAAGUCUCCAAGGUCUUCCCAAAAUUUCUCCUUCAAACUCGUAUCCAACCCUACUUGAGGUGCGUACGCACUAAUCACAUUGAUAAGUUCUUGUCCUAUUACAAUCUUGAUUGCCAUGAUUCUAUCUCCUACCCUCUUGACAUCUACAACAUCUUGUGUCAAGGUCUUGUCCACGAUGAUGCCAACACCGUUUCUCGUUCUAUUUGUGCCCGAAUACCAUAGUUUAAACCCUGAGUUUUCUAGAUCCUUUGCCUUACGUCCAACCCACUUAGUUUCUUGUAGGCACAUAAUAUUUAUCCUUCUCCUCACCAUAACUUCUACUACUUCCAUAGAUUUUCCCGUCAAGGUUCCUAUAUUCCACGUUCCUAAACGCAUUUUGCUCUCUUGAACUCUACCCUUCUGUCCUAGCUUCUUCACCCUUCCCCGUCUAAUAGGAUCAAAGUACUUCUUUUGUGUGUACCGUGUAAAGUUGAUAGGAGCAUAUGAGCCUAAACAACUUUGAGUGGAGUCGUUCGAAAAGAAGUUUCUAUAGCCCCCUUGCUCAUUUAACACUGCAUCCGGGUGCCGAUGGAGAUACAGCGACCCUUGCUCACUUAUCACUGUGCUCAGGCCACACAGCGCGCCACUUACGGGUGACGCCCUAGCUUUAGCGCGAUUUCGUUCUGGAUUCAUUUUCAUAAGGAUUCGACGUGAUCAUGGAGUGCCGGCUGUCGACUACCUGACGCCCUCCCCCUCAUCCUUUAUCCGGGCUUGGGACCGGCAAUGUAAGAUAAACUUACACGGCGGAGUUAAAGAAAAACGAAUGAGGAAAUUAUAGGAGAUUGUGUCGGCUUUGGCCAUGAAGGGUAUCAGCAGCUUUUUCCUCCCAUACAGGUGAUUAAUUGUUUUUCAGUCUGUGUUCAGUUUUAUUUAUUGGAUUUGGUUAGCAGCCAGUUUUAUGUAUUGGAUUUUUUAUUUGGAUUUAUAGCACUAAGGGUAUAGGUGAACGGUGAAGCGGUUUGUAUGGGCUCAUGUGUGUUUUAGAUAAUCUCAAGGACUAUGUAGAUACUAUGAUUUGGGGUUGCUUUUUUAAACCAUGAUAAAGCAUUCCAAGUAAUUUUAACAUAGAUAUCAUUUUUUAUGUAAGCAUGAGUAUAUGAAAUGUUAAGACGAUAAUAUAUCAUGUGAUUUAAAAUUCAAAGAGAGACAAUGAACCGUGUUUGAUAUUUUGUUUGUCUUGGUUCGUUUAAAUUUGGGCCUUUUUCAGUUGGAUUCAUGGGUUUUGUUUAAGAUAUCAUUUUUGGUUUAUGAAUGGUUUUAAACAUCCACAACAUCGCGCAGGCACACUUUCACUAGUAUUUUACUAAACUAGUGCACUUGAAUGUCCGUAGCUAAAUAUAUUAUAAUGAAUUAGUGGAACAUAAGAAAAUAUGGAAAAACGUAAGUGUACCAAAAAGUCCGUACCUAAACAUGGUAUACUAAAUUAGUGUAACAUUAUGUCUGUACCUAAAUAUAUUAUACUAAACUAGUAUACCGAAAUAUUCAUACCUAAACAUAUUAUAUUAAACUAGUGUACUGAGAUGUCUGUACCUAAAUACAUUGUAAUAAAUUAAUGGCACAUAAGAAAAUAUGCAAAACAUAGGUGUGCCGAAAAGCCUCUACCAAAAUAUUUUCUUAUAUAAGAUACUUACAAUAAAUUGGUGAUGCAAAAUGUCAACAAAUAAAAGCUAAUUCAUUUGAAUUCAAAUGAGUAUUAAAAUUUAAUUCAUAUCAGCAUAAAAUUAUAAAUAGGAAAAAAAAAUAAAGACAUUGAAUGCAUAUGCUGCCAUUAAAUAGAGUCUAGGAACUAAAAUAAAUUUUUAAUCUUGUGUGAGACAUUUUUCUAAAUUUUAUUUUAUUUAAGGAUUAAAAUCUAGUUUUCUAUUACUUAUAUUUCUGACUACAUAUGGUUAUUAGUUACUUUAGUCGAGAGUUGACGCACCUGGAAUGGUACGUGGAAAACAUGUUAGCACUUGAUUCCCAGUCAAAGCCACACACGAGAGCAUUGUGUAUGUCUUUAUAAGUAAUAAAAACUAAUAACCUGAAAUGCUCUCGUAUUUCUAAAGGCCCGACUCCAAGUUCAAAGCCAUACACGAGAGCAUUGUGUAUGUCUUUAUAAGAGACGUUGCUGUAGUCCUUGACGGAGUAGUCAAAGUGACCCAAAUUCAUCCAAGCCUUCCCCUCUGCACUGCAACCCUCAUCCAAAUCCCAUCCUAUCAUGGCCCCGACCUUGACGUAGCUAUACGUUUUUGGUUGGCUCGAAGAACUUGUAUUAUUCAAGCAUGGAGCAGUGUCCACGUACAGAGAAGAAUUCAACGGAUUCAAACAUUUCAAGUAAUAUAUAGAUGUUGAAUACAGUGAUGAAUAUCGUACGUAUGGAUGAGUAAUGAGCGGAAAAUUUCGAGGCCUGGAAGAGCAAUUGGUGUUCACAAGGCCAGGAUCUAGAAGUCGGAUUGUUGUGUCAGUGUAGUUGAUUGCCUGGACGUAGUAUUUUCCGGAAGGUAGGUAUAGUACUGUAAUGUUGCUCUCACAGGACAGGGUAUACCUUACGUCGCCACAAUAUUUUGGAUCAUGGUUCAGUCGAAAAGGAUAGCUUAUGUUGUGGAUAUGGCAGCAGGAUGAAGUACAGGACUUGGCACUAGUGUCGACCUUAGCGUUACAAGUUUCACUGCAGAAGCCAAGAAGAAGAAAGGCUAAACUUAAGGUGAAGGACCUGCUUCCACUAAUUUCCAUUGGGGAGAGAGAGAGAGAGAGAGAGAGAGAGAGAGGUGUACUAGUCCACACCAAGUAGUUAUAUAAUAUAGGAGGGGUCAAGCACCUUCCGUGAAAUUGCUGUUGAAAUAUCCUAGAGAAAAAUCGUCGUCAAUGGUGUCCUAGAGAAAAGUCGGGCGAUGGUGUUUGACAGUCAGUCAACGGCAAAGAUAUUUCUCUUUCAUUAAGGAAGGAUACUGCGUAAUUACUACGCAUAUAUCUCUGCUUAAUCACACAAAACAAAAAUUUCCAGCUAUAGUAUCAUUUGUGAUUCAUUUAUUAAUAAGAUAUUAUACAGGGAACUGUUAUUAGUACUCUAAAAAUCUCAUUCUACACAAGUUUAUUUUUCUUUUUAAUUAUAGAAAGUUUGGAGUGCAAAAUGAGAUUUUUGGAGUGCCAAUAACAAUUUCCUAUUAUAUAUAGCUCUACUUGGAAGGUGACUAUAUGUCUUCAUCGUGUUAAAUUGUAUAUGGCUCUUGAUGUCGGCUGAAUUGAAUCUAAAUGAAAACCAAGCUGUUGAUCUUACCAGCCCAUAUCACUUAUCUCUUGCUUAUUUAAAUUAUGUGAAGAUGCGUAUGUUGAUUGGUGAUUUUGUUGGAUUCACUCAGUUCAAAUAUAUGUUAUCUGAAUCGUUACAUUUGAGAAUGUGAUUAUGUUCCUACCACCAUUUUGCCUACUUUCUGUGGAAAUUAUUCAUGCCUAUUGUGAAUAAUACAUUCACCUCCUGCAGCGAAGCGCGAGCACAUUUUCUAAUUUAAGUUGAAUCGCAAUGGGUCAUCAAAAAUUACGAACUCGUCAUUUAUACAAGUCAAACAUGAGACCACCUACCUACUAGUUUAGUGGAAUACCACAAGUGACAUGUUGAUACCUUUAAAUCUCAUUUUCCAUAUAAUGGAUUGCAAAAUUAGGAUAUACCUAAACUAAUUUAGUCAGUGCCCGAACAAUUAAGCAGGGCUUUAUUCUUGCUUGAAUGUUUGUUAUAUGUUAAUAGUUUGACAAGGCAAUUAUAUUUCCGACUACAAAAGUUAUUAAUUUGGUCGAGAUUUGACGCACCUGAAAUGGUGUGAGGAAAACAUGUAGACACAUAAUCCGCAGUCCACUGUCCUGGGCAUCUAUCUUCAGGAGGUAUGAAUCCAAGCUCAAAGCCAUACACGAGAGCAUUGUGUAUGUCUUUAUAAGAGACGUUGCUGUAGCUGUAGCUAAAGCCAACGGAGUCGUAAAAGGAAUCCAAGGGCAUCCACUCUACACUGCAACCCUCAUCCAAAUCCCAUCCUAUCAUGGCCCCGACCUUGACGUAGCUAUACGUUUUUGGUUGGCUCGAAGAAGAACUUGUAUUAUUCAAGCAUGGAGCAGCAGUGUCCACGUACAGAGAAGAAUUCAAUGGAUUCAAACAUUUCAAGUAAUAUACAGAUGCAGAUCUUGGAUACCGUGAAUAUCGUACAUAUGGAUGAGUAAUGAGCGGAAAAUUUCGAGGCCUGGAAGAGCAAUUGGUGUUCACAAGGCCAGGAUCUAGAAGUCGGAUUGUUGUGUCAGUGUAGUUAAUUGCCUGAACGUAGUAUUUUCCGGAAGAAGGUAGGUCUAAUACUGUAAUGUUGCUCUCACAGGACAGUGUAUACAUUACAUUGCCGCAGUGCUUCGGAUCAUGGUUCAGUCGAAAAGGAUAGCUUAUGUUGUGGAUAUGGCCGCAGGAUGAAGUACAGGACUUGGCACUAGUGUCGACCUUAGCGUUACAAGUUUCACUGCAGAAGCCAAGAAGAAGAAAGGCUAAACUUAAGGUGAAGGACCUGCUUCCACUAAUUUCCAUUGCAGAGAGAGAGAGAGAGAGAGAGAGAGAGAGAGGUGUACUGGUACUCACCAAGUAGUUGUAUAAUAUAGGAGGGGUCAAGCACUUUCCGUGAAAUUGCAGUUGAAAUAUCCUAGAGAAAAAUCGUCGUCAAUGGUGUCCUAGAGAAAAGUCGGGCGAUGGUGUUUAACACAGUCAGUCAACGGCAAAGUUAUCUCUUUCAUUAAGGGAGGACACUGCGUAAUUACUACGCAUAUAUCUCUGCUUAAUCACACAAAACAAAAAUUUCCAUUUUUUCCCUAAAAAUUAAUUUUCUUUCACCUCCAACCCAUCAUGUAUAUUCUAUAAGAUAAGAAUAAUCCAUUGACUAGCUCCAAUUAAGCAAGUUUCAUAACUUGCUUGAUGACUCUGAUCAUGUGUAAUUUUGGGGAAUUGGAUGCUAUUUUAUCCCUACUUUGUUAGGCUUUUGUAAAUGGUUCUUUCACAUUUUUCAAAUGGUUUACAAUCUCUCUCAUUUUCUCUAUUUAUUUUUAAUCUUGUUUGUAUUUUCAAUCUUUCGUUCUUCCAAUUGCUGGAGCUCUACCAGAUUGGCUUUUCAUUGUUCUGAGUCUAUAUUAGACCCUUUUUCAGGUUUUGAUUUGUUAUGUCUCAUUUUUUUUAUUUACUCGGUUAAUUUGCUUCAAUUCUUUCAAUUCUUUCUUGUUAUUUUGAUGAUUUAUAUUAGUAUUAUAUAAAAUAGGAAGAACUUAUACAUUAAUCCGUUUAUCAAAUAUAUGAAAAAAUAAUUUACCCAACGAAUGUGUUAUGUCGUGUGUAAGAAUGUUUUUCCUUUUGUGUUUUAAUUCUGCACUUAUUUUUAUUUUUUCCACAUAAAUAUAACGAGCCUACAUUAUUUUUUCUAUGAAUUAUUUACCUACUUUAAUUAUUUUAUAUACCUACGUUAUUUAUUCUUGAAUCUUUUCACACAUGGCCAAACUUCUCUUGGAAGUUUAAUUAGAUGAAACAAUAUGAAUCUUGAACAAACCAAAGCAAAGCAAAACGUACUCAACACUUACAGGAAAUCAGUCCAAGAAUGAAAACUUUCUUAUCACUUUCUAUCCAAAAUUUUGGAAUUAUGUGUGUUGCAACGGUUGUCCGAAGGAUUAUUCUUCUUUUAUUAAAUUUCUAAGGAAAAUUAGCAUAUGGGGCGUAAAUGUUGAAUGGAUGAAUUUUCAUUGACUUGGAAAGGGAUUGUGACUUUAACACGCUAUUUUUCUUCAUCUUAUGCACUCAUGUUUAUCAAAAGACAAAUAAAUAUGACUUUACAUAAGGAGAGAGAAAGAGUAUUUUCCUUUGUAAAAAUCAACUAUUCAUUUUCGAAGUGGUAGUCAUUGACACGAUACUUGAUUAGAAGAAAAGUCAUAGUAAUUUGUUUUUAUGGGAACGAGAGUGCAAGUUCUUAAUUGGAAUAUGAGAUGAAGUUUCUACAUAACUAUCUGUGGCAAAGAAAGAAGUCUAAGUUUCUAAGUGGUAAGGGCUCCAAUUGAUGCGCGUUUGUUGAGAAAUGAAGAUGAAGAUGAAUAUUGAUAUUGAUGUGAGUUAGUGAACAAGUUGCUUCGAUCUCCUUUGGCCCUCUAAGAUGAUUAUUGAUUGGUGGACUAAGACGUACCAUACAAUUUUUUAUAACCAGCGAAGAUGAACAGUGUCGUGACAAAAUUUAUCCAAGUAGACCCAAGGGCAAGACUUAGGAACUUCAUAUACAGUGGGAUAAAAUGUUGGGCUAAUUUCCUAUUUUAUCUUAUAGUCAUUAAGUAAAAUGUAUUGCACAUUUCUGGAUGCAUACACAUUAAUGUACAUAAUAUUAGUUGAAUAUCAGAGUACGCAACUUUUACAAACAAAUUAACUGAAUAUAAAACGUUUAUAAAAUUUUAUUAAACGGAAUUGCCAAGAAGGCUACAUGAAUCCAAGAGACCACAUCUUGAUUGACUUGUUAUCUCUCAAUAACAAAGCUCUCUAUUUAUAAUAAACUAACCCUAGUCCCUAAUAAGCAAGGAAAUGAAAACCUAAUUUUAAUGGGCUAAGCCCAAAUCCAAACACUAAAUAAAUAACUAUUUUCCAACACCCCCGUCAAACUUGUGGCGGUACACGUCAUGAGUUUGCCAACAAGCAGAUGUGGAUGCAAGCUCCGUUAGGCGGACACGACAAGACAAGCUUCGUUAGGCGGACACGACAAGACAAGCUCUGUUAGGCAGACACGACAAGACAAGCUCUGUUAGGCGGACACGACAAGACAAGUCUCUAUCCCUCGCACAUCAAUCAAAAGACUCCUUUUUGGUGUGAAAACUGAAAACUUUUAUUCAUUUUAUUUCUUUCAUUUUUCUCAUCGGCUUCAUCUUCUUUCCUUUCCACUUCUUCUUUCUUUUUCUUUCCGUUUUCCUUCUGUACAUUCUCCCUUUUUUCUUGUUUCCUCUUCUUCUGUUUUGCGUUGUAAGUUCCUCUUCUUCGAUGGAUUUCAGAGAGAGGGAGUCACAACAGCUAAGAAGGUGGUGGUGCAUAGAGAGAGGGAGUCAAAGCGGUGGAAUUUCUUCUCAGGAAACCUCCACUCCGCCUACACCACCACCUAGACAGUCGCCUAGAUCGUCGCCUAGACCGCCCAAGCUGCCUAAGAGCGCCUAGGCGAGCGCCUAACAGCUCCAUGAUUUUUCUUAACGAUUCAGACCUAAUCGCAUCGGCACCACCACGCCCAGCUCCUAGGUUGCCGCUUAGGUCAUUUUUUAGAACACUGGUAAUACUCGUGUGGUGCAAUUCUAAUCUCUUAUAUAUAACUUUUUUGUGAUCCAUUUCUCCAUCACCAUGCCUAAAUCCCUUUAGAAUUUGCAAUUUCCUCACCCCAACAAACCCCAACAUUCUGUUGGAUAUGGUAAAAAAAAAAAACUCAGAAUUUCAUUUAAACUUGAAAAUUUAGGGAUGGGAAAGCAAUUUUCUCUUGUUUGGCAACUUGUAGCGAGAGAACAGGAAAAUUCCACAGGAAAAAAGUGGAAAUUGGGGAUGAAGAUUCUUGAGUUUAAUUUUGUCUAAAUAAGUGUAAUUUCACAAUUCCAACUACGACAAGAUUCACAAAUUCAUAUAUGGGGAAGUUUUGCGAGCACCAAACUUUACUAUUAGGGCACCAAAUUUCAUGAUAAAACCUGAUAAGGGUUUAGGGCUGCAUCGUUCACUCUGUUAAGUCUCCAAUCUUCGACGAGAUUUUUAGCUCGUGCAUCAUCUUCUCACUUUGUUGUAGGGUUACAUCUCUUCGUUCUUGAAUUAUUUUUAGCUUUUCGGGUAUACUUUUUCUGCUCAUUGUGAAUUUUGAAAUGGGGCAGGAAGAACAUACAAAAAAAAGAUAAGAGCUGGAGCCCAUCCCAGACAUAAUACGACAGUGUUGGAACCCCAGUGUUGUCCCACAUCGGCUAGAGGGCUCAAGUGAAAGUGCUUUAAAUAGAAAUACCCCUCUCUAACUAACAUCGAGGCCUUUUGUGAUAAAACCCCACACCUGAGGAUUGUGCAGGUGGUUAAGUGGGGACAGUAUCGAUGUUGUUGGAGUGGGCCCUCGGCCCGUCGACCUGAAAAUUUCCACAUGGUAUCAGAGCCAGGAGGCGGGCCCGUACUGCCACGUGAUUGGGUGGGUCCCCUUUGGCCCCGCGCGAUGUCCACGUAGGCCAAAGAUGCCACGUGUUUGGGUGGGUCCCCAAUGGCCCCGCAUGAUGGGUGAGUCCCCAAUGGCUCCACGUGGUUGUCGAUGUGGAUUUUCACGUGUGACCCAUAAAUGGGGUCUCACGUGCGGGGGAGUGUUGGAACCCCAGUGUUGUCCCACAUCGGCUAGAGGGCUCAAGUGAAAGUGCUUUAAAUAGAAAUACCCCUCUCUAACUAACAUCGAGGCCUUUUGUGAUAAAACCCCACACCUGAGGAUUGUGCAGGUGGUUAAGUGGGGACAGUAUCGAUGUUGUUGGAGUGGGCCCUCGGCCCGUCGACCUGAAAAUUUCCACAGACAGUUUUCCAUCCUUAAUCCGAUCAAUGCACUAAGACAAGUGGAGAGCAAAAGAGUUUCCAUGGGUUUAGUACCUAGUACCAAAAUAAGGUGGUACUUCGGCUAUUGCGAUGGGAAUCUUUAUGAACACUAAAUUUGGAAUGUAAUGUUUUUUCGAAUCAACACCAGGGGGCUUCGAGCUAUGUGUUCUGCCCUAUUAUUCAUUACUUCAAAGUUAACGUACUUUGGAAAGAUUGUUGGAUUAAAUCAUAUUCUAAAAUGUUAAAGCAAAGGAUGGAAUGUCCCAAGCACUUAGUCACUUGGGUAAGAGCUAUUUAGACACAGGCAUAAAUGAUCCAAAAGACCAUGCAUUCACAAGUAAAUUGCACCAAAAUAAGAUAUCCCCAAGUACCAUCACUAGGGAAAAGAUGUUGAAGUUAUGGAAAGGACAAGCCCUCAUCCUAGCAAACAACAAAUUAAUGCAAAACAUUGUCAACAACCCUAUUUGGCAACAACUUCCCUUUUGGAAGAAGUUGAAGGAUCUACGAAAAUACUGGCUGAUGGAUCACCAUUGGAAGUAGAUCCUCUUCUUCGGAUGCCUCAAAGUCAGAAAUUUUGCUCAGUAAGUCUUUAAGAGCAGCGAAAUCGGCAUCCCAUAUUUUUUUCAGAAUCUGGUAGGUGUCUCAACCUCCAAAAUGAUCUUACUGCGCGUAGCCAAAUAUAUACCCAAAGUUGUACCCCUCUGCAUAUUUUUCUUCGGACGCCUUCUUGUGAGAUGCACGCACGCCCAUUAUUUCUGACUCAUGCUCAUCCUUGAGUUGUUUAAGAUUUGCAAAGCGAACUUUGUCUUUCUAUUCGAUCUAACGGCGAAGUCUUUCCACCUCUAACGGCGAACAUUGUGAGAUGCACGCACGCCCAUUGUAAGCAUUCCGCUUCGAAGACAACGUUCGAUUGAUUAAGCUUCAAGACGCAACAAAGUUUGUUCCACCUCAACUUUGGCUUUGCAUUCUAGCUCCAACUUUUCCUGCAGUUCAGCAAGAGUUGCCUUGUAUUCAUUUGCUUUAAUAUAUUCAAGAGUGGCUUCAUUUAUGCAUUUCUUUACCUCUACAUUAUGGGCUACUCUCAUAAUUUGUUGCUCUACCUAUACCCUCUUGAGCUUCGCCAAUUGAGCUUGCACUUGUUGCUUGAGCUGUAUUUGGCCUCUGAUUCAUGCAAGGAAAACCGCUUAAGAUGACAAAUUCACUUCGCUUGGCCAAAAAGAGUCGCCUCUGUCCAGACAUGAGUCUGACCAAUGCAAGUAAAGGAAAGGAAAAACAAAAUUACCAAAGUUAUUUUGUAAGAAAAGAAUGAAGGAUUACCUCAUAUCGACUUUCGUGACAUCGCAUCAUGGCGUCUUCAAAGGACGUGCGAGCUUCCUAGUAGUCCGCAUGGGUAAUUGCAGCGCUAAGAAAAGCUCGGGUAAAAUUUAUGUUUCGAGUCUUAACGACAAGCAAGGGCAGCGCGCCCCCUUCAAUUCUGGUUAAAGUCGCCAGCAAGGGAAUGUUAGGUUCGAGAGGCACCUCGACAGGUUCAGGUAAACUCCUUGUCACUAGAGGAAUCAGAACUGGGAUAUAAAGGGGUUUAAGGACUCGAACAUCAUUCGGAAGUGGUGGCAAAGCUGUCUGCUAUUGCGCAGGUAGAGAUUCAAGCUUGGAUUCAUGUGGUUGUUGUUGCGUCAGUUCUUAAAAUGGAAGGAAAAGAGGUUGAGAUUCUCUUAUGAGAUGAUGCGGAGCAGGAGUAUCUGGAGUUGUAUUUAUCGAAACAACCAGACGUCUUUUUCUCCUCAUAGUGGAAUUUCUUCCUCCUCUUUGGGAUUCUUGGGUACCACCUCUAUUAUUGGUAGACUUAUUUGAAAAGGUGUAGCUAACGACGUUGAGGAAGUUUUACCAGACCGUUUUAGCUUUUUUUUGCUGGAGUGGGAUAAAUUUUGGGUUUGAGAUGAUGGACCCCCUAAUAAACCUAUUUCACUUUGAUCCAAUUAGGAUCCAGAAUGGGGAACUUAGAACAAUGAUUGAUGAUUGUAUUAUUCCCCCAAUCCAAAAAUCGAACUGAGGAAGUCAGCCAGUUCCAAUUACGGUGCUUAGUAAGGAUUUGCGUUGCCUGAGUGAUCAACUCUGGUCAACACGUGCCAAUAUUCUUCAGGUCAUUGUUCAGACAAAGGUUGCAAUAAGUGAUGUGAUAGCAGCAUAUUUAUGCGACUUAGUUAGCUUGUUUUUCUUGCAUUUAUGUUGUGAGUUCUUACUUAUUAUAGUGUUUUAAGCUAUUUUCGUGUGUUUGUAGGUCCAAUUGACAAAGUUGGCAAGAAAAUGCAAUUUGGAGCAUUUUGGAGCAGUUUUGGGCAUCAAAUGGAUAGCUUAUGAAUGGAGUAAGAUGGAUGGACGAAUUUGAAGUUCAAGAGGCUAGGAAUGUGUUGAAAAGAUGAAGAAAAUAAAUUCAAGAGAAAGAAGAUAAGGAAUUAGCUCAAAAGAAGGAACAUUAUCCAAAACCUUAUCCAACCUUAUCUUAUCCAAACAAACCUUAUCUUAUCUUAUCCUUGCCUAAUCUAGCUUUAUCCUAUCUUAUCUAAAUCAGUUUGUGCCUUAAAUCCAGCUGCAAGAGGACCUAAAUAUCUGAUUUCUAGAAGGCCUAUCAUUUCCUUACACUUAUGCCGCACCUUUAUCCUUCUAGAACCCCUAAAUUUGUGCCGCAUCUCAGCCCUAUAAAUAUACAUCUUUGAUGCACAAAUAAAUGACCCACGCACCCACAUAUAUUCAGAUACAAUUGAGAGAUUUCAGAGAAUUCAAAAGGUGUACCUGCGUGGAGGAAGGAGAAGGAGAAGCUUGUGUCGUGGCUUGCAAUCCAAGGGGGAGUUUGAAAUCUGCCAUUGGAGUUGCUAGGGCGUUCUUGGUUCUUUCUAUCCUUAGAUUUGUUUCAAUGUUGCUUUUAAUUUGGUUUUAUGUUUUCAAAGACAUGAGGAACUAAUCUCUUUUUAGUUGGAGGUGAAUUUGAAGCCAUGAUUAUAUGUUUUGAUAUGAAUUGAUUACAUCCAGUUAUUGUUUCUUGAGUCUUGAAUGUGAUUUGCUUAUCUGAGUUAUCAAAACUUGUUUAUGUAUGUUGAUUGAGGGUCGACACUUAAUUUGCAUGCAUGAAUUUGAUGCUAGAGUAUAAGGGAGUUUCACCUAAUCAUUAUGAACUUAUAUUCACAAGUAGUAAAGGUUGCUAGUCACAAUCGUGUUAAGUAAAUCCUUGGCAGGAGUAUCAUGCUUUUCAUAGUUACGAAUGCCUCGUCAAUGCUUAUGAUUUUCAAAGAACUUAAUGACCUUUGAUAUGUUUUCUAUCAUGCUUUUCAUAGUUAGGGAACUUGAGAAGGAUAAUUUGGUUGUGAUGUGUAUCCCGUCCAAUUCAAUGAAAUAAGGGAAAUCUGAUGGUUAAUUUGUGCUGUCACGGUUAACUUGGGGUGUUGUCAUUCAUGGUUUAAGGGAACAAUACUGGAAAUUGGUUUAUAUGCAUAUGUCAUGUGUGGAGAAAGAUCCUCUGGCUAAGUUUUCAUCAUUCAAAUCACCUAAUUUACUUUGUUUUGCAAUCUGUUUUGUUUAGUUAAUUUUCGUCCAAAUCAAUCCCCCUUCUAAUUAAGUGUCUUAGAUUAGUUAAAAAAGUGUUUCAAUCUGUCCAACUUAGUGUUUUAAGUCCCACUAGUGUUAAAUUCGUCCAAAUAGUUCUUAGAACCUGUUUUGAGUCUUUUUAACUUAGUUUUGCUGUUUUGAGUGUUUUAUGUCAAUUUUGAGUUUGUAGUGUUUAGUUGUGUGUUUUUUAGUCUAUUUGAGUGUUUCUAAGUCUAAUUUGGUAUUUCUGAGUCAUAUUUGUGUAGAUUAACAUCCCUAGUUAAUCCCCGGUUUAGAACGAUCCUUACUUACAUCUUUACUACAAUUAUCAUUCAUAGGGUUUAAUUUGUGUGUCAAGUUAAUUUUCACAUCAAAUUUGGCGCCGUUGCUGGGGAUUAGCAAACUUGCUAAUCUCUUUUGUUUGAGUAGUGUGUCUUUAUUGUUAUGGCAGAUGAGUCUACAAAAUUUGUGAAAACAUUAGAUAUAAAGAAAUGUGAGAAAUAAGAACCAAAUAACAGUGAAAUGAAUGAUAUAAGACUCAUCUGUCAGAACAACAAGGCAUUCGAUUUUCAAAAGUACACUCAACGAUCACUGGAGGAUGAUCUUAGAGUUGUAGUUGGAAUCAUCUUCCAGUGAUUUGAUAUAAAAACAGAUUUGAUGGGAUUUAGAAGCAAAUGUUGGGUUUGAAGAGAUUUAGGUAAUGGUUGGGGACGGGGAGUGAGUUGAUGGGAUUCAGUAGCAAAUGUUGGAUUGUAGAAUCUAAAAACAGAUUUGAGAGGCUAAAAUGUAAUUCGGAUAUUAGUACUACGGUCUAAUAACGUAUUUGUAAGUGAAAAAUUUUAGGUUUGUAUUUCAAGAAUAAGGAGUUCAUAACCAAUUUAUUCCAUAUAUCAUUGUGCAUAUAAAAUAAUGUAAUUCGAAAAUUAAUUUAGUGACGAUGCUACAAUUAAUUAUAUCAUCAAUUUUGGAAUCCCAUUCUUGGCUUAUGUCAAAAUCCAAACAAAUUUAAACCCUCAUUUUUUUCAGAUUUUGGAAAGAAUGGCAUCAUUGAAUUCAAUAUCGUGAUAUGGGAGACUGAGUAAGCUAAAUUUGGAGUAUUUUAAUGUCACAGUAUAAAUAUGGCACCAACAAUAGACGUAAGCCAAAGUCAUAGGUUUAAUGCAGACAAUAGUAAAUACUGAAUACUGAAUAUUGGAUACUGAAUGGAGGGCGGCUUUAACGCUUUCAGUGUACCAAAUUUUGAUACUAAUUGACUUGAUCUCUUCACAUGGUACAUAGGUAGUCUAGCUCGAAUGUUAUGCAGCCAUAAAAUUAAAUAAAUUAAUAUUGUAUCAUGUCCCGGAGUUCAGCACGUGACAUUAUUGUGAGGUCUAGGUACAGUCCUUAGAGUGAUAAAAACAAGGCUCCUCCAGGGAGGGCUAGUCGGAGGUGUGAAUGGACAUUUACUUCACACUCAUAGGAAAUCAGUCCAAGAAGUGGACAUGGAUGCUGGGUACUCAACACUCAUAGGAAAUCAGUCCAAGAACGAAAGCUUUCUUUUUAGUUGCUAUCCAAAAUUUUGGAAUUAUGUGUGUUGUCCAAAUGAUUAUUCUUCUUUUAUUAAAUUUCUCAGGAAAAUGAGCAUGAGGCGUAAAAGUUGAACGAAUGAAAUUUCAAUGAUCUGGAAAGGGAUUGUGAGUUUGCCACACCAUUUUUCUUUCUUUUAUGCCUUCAUGUUUAUUAGAAGAUAAAAAUAAAGAAGGAAAACUAAUGAAAAGUCCAAUUUUUUUUUAGUUUUAAUGAAAAAUGACAAAUAAAUGUGUAGUGAAUAGUACCAGAGAAAGGUAAAAAUGUGGCUUUUCGUUAGAAGUGAACAGUCCUGGGAGUGUUUCGUUAAAACUUCCAAAUAAAUAUGACUUUAUUUGGAGAAAAAAAAGUAUUUCCUUUGAAAAAAAAUCAACUAUUUAUUUAAGAGGAUGUGAAUGAUUGAUGGUGAAUACAAAGAACCACCUUAGAGGGAGACGAGACAUUUAUUAGAAGCCAAAAAAAAAGUUACAAUGAUUUAGUAAAAAAACAAGAAAACCUCAUUUUCUAAGUGGCAGUCAUUGACACGCUAUUUGACUAGAAGAAAAGUCAUAGUAUUGUAUUUACUUUCAAGCCUCUAGGGGGAACGAGAGUGCAAGUUUCCAAAUGGAAUAUGGGAUGAAAUUUCUACAUAACUCUAUCUGACAAAGAAAGAAGUCUAAGUUUCUAAGUGGUAGGGCUUCCAAUUGAUGUGAGUUUAUUGAGAAAUGAAGAUGAACAUGAAUAUUGAUAUUGAUGUGAGUUAGUGAACAAGUUGCUUCGAUCUCCUUUGGCCCUCUAAUAAGAUAAUACCGGAAAACAAGUUGUUACUAAUACAUGUAUCGGAUUGGUAGACUAAGACGUACGGUACAAUUUUUUAUAACUAGAGAAGAUGAACACUGUCACUGUCGUGACAAAAUUUAUCCAAAUAGAUCCAAAGACUUGGGAAGCUUCAUAUGCAGAUCUAAAGCUAAUUUCCUUUUUAAUCUUAUAGUCAUUACGUAAAAUGUAUAUGCAUAUUUCUAGAUGGAUACACACCAAUCUUGAAAUAGGGGAUGAAGAUUCCCGAUUUUAAUUUCGUCUAAAUAGGUGUAAUUUCACAAUUCCAACUAUAACGAGAAUCACAAAUUUAUAAGCGGAAAAAUCUUGCCAGCGUCAAACUUUCUUGAAUAAGGGUUUAGGGCGCCAAAUUUCAUGAUAAAACCUGAUAAGGGUCUAGGGCUGCAUCUUUCACUCGAUUAACUCUCCCAUCUUCGAAGGGAUUUUCGGCUCUUGCAUCAUCUCUUGCUUUUGUUCUAGGUCAACGCCUCUACUCUCUUCUUUCUUGAAUUAUAUUUUUAACUUUUCGGGUAUACUCUUUAUGCCAAUUGUGAAUUUUGCUAGUUAUUUUUAUUUUCUGAUAGUCAUAUGUUUGUGUGCUUUUUUUCUUCCGAUUGAAUUGUGUAUUGGUUGGAUCUGUUACACAAUUUUUUAGUUUUUUUAUGGAUUUUGAUGUUAGUUCCUUGUUAUAGAUAUUGUGUUUUUGAAGGUUUAACAAUAGGCAAGACUGAAUAUGAUGAUUUCGGUGUUAAUUACUUUCUCAUGGUACUAUACUAGAUUGUUCUCUCUUUGCAUUUACAUGUAACCAACUGUUCAUUGUAGAAAUGUAGUAUUUGGAAGACCUUUUUUUUUUUCUUUCUGAUUUAGUGUAUGUUUUUUGGACAAAAGAAACAUGUAGAAGAGAAAACAUGAUUGAUAACAUUGUGCAUCUUUUUUUUUUUUUUUUGACAGAAAGCGAUAGAGUGUUCCAUGGCCAAUUUGUUUUAUCUAGAGAUAGUUUGCACAAGAUGCAAACAUUUUGUAAACCCUAUACGGCUACCAUAAUAGACAACCACAAACAAGGGUCCCGAUAAAAUUGUCACAAAGACGACAAACGCGGCAAUCCUCACACUGGUACCUUGACAUAAAACCAUCGACAAUAAGACCAAAUAAAUCGCAUAAGAAAUACAAACAAAUCACCACAGUAACACAAAAUCUACUACCCUAACCUGCUCAAGGUCCUACAAACAAAAACUUAAACCUAAAGUCGAUGACAUGUCCACAUGCAUGUCCAAAGGGAAGAGACGUGGCAGGAGGCAUGGGUUGCACGACCAUGUGGGUGUGUCGGUGGCAAGGACAACAAAGGCUUGGGGCUUGGGUGGCAGAGGAGAUACCACGACACGCCAGAGCCACUGUCACAUUGUCAUCGCCGCCGCCACGAGCCCAUAGUAACCUGCAUAAAAUCGUUAGUGCUAAAAGCCGCCAAGGGUUUCCGCCGACUGGGAAAAAGAUAAGAUUUGUGAAGACGGAGGUCACAUGGAUGGCAUCAUAGCAAAAUUGAAAUCUUUUAAUCAUCCUCAGCAUUAUUCCGACAGCUAUCCACAAACUGAAGCAACGAAUUGGGCAAGUGUGCAACAAAUUUUCAAUGUGCGUCCAUUGUGAAUGAUUUACAAGGAGUGGGUUUAAUGACGUUUGUAGUUAAAGUGGGAUGCAACUUAGAGCACCAUCACUUGACUAUGUUCCUCUCAUUUUAUCUGUUCAUUUUUGCCUCAUUUGUUUUUUGGUUGCACCGCCUCAAAAACCUUGUGCGUCUACAUGUAUAUAGAACUUUUGGUUAAAACAGAGUCACAUAUCUUAUAACUAUUUAAAUUUUGUUGCAUAUCACAAUAUAUAUUUGUUCAUACAUUCAAACAUGUAUGGCAAAUACUGAGGAGGAACAUAGAAAAAAAAAUGAAAAUUAUUGUUAGUACAAUUGUAUAUGUUAUUGACAUGGUCAUGCAUUGGUAUAGUAAGAGUUUUCUCGUCGUAGAACUUUCAAAUGAUUGGAAUCAAGGAAGACAAUCUUUUCCCCAAUUAAUUAUUCUCGCCAUAUUUUUCCUUAGCGCCGUUAAGUUUCACUUAAAAAGCAAAAGAAGAAGGCUAAAAUUAAGGUGAAGAACCUGCCUCCACUAAUUUCCAUGAAGUUGCAGUAAGGACAUAAAUCACCUUCCGUGAAGUUUCAGUAAGGACUUCAAAUAUCCCAGAGAAAAGUCAGUCAAUGGUGUUUUGACAGAGUCAGUCAACGGCAAAAGACAGAAUUGUGUAUCAUAAUGCUCUCUCCCUCUCUCUCUCUCGUCAAUGGAUGACACCGUAUAAUUACUACGUAUAUAUCUCUGCUCAAUUACACAAAAGAAAAAUCCUUGCGCAUUAUUUUUGUUAUUAUUAGCUCAGAAAUGCAGAAAUUGAUCAUCUCUUACUUUUGCAUAUUGUUACUGGUUUUCUUCAAACUAGUUGGAGCAAGCCAUGCGUGCCUGGAAUCCAAGUGUGGCGAUGAUCAAGGCGCAGCUAUCCAUUUCCCAUUGCGCAUCAGCCGCAAACAUCAUUGUGGAAAUCCUGGGCUUGAAUGCAAUGUAAGAUAUGAGCAGCAAAUACUAGUAAAAUUAUUUGUCAAACACAUAGAUUACAAGAGUCAGGAAAUCCAAGUGUAUCCCCCAAGUAGCUGCCUGCUGCUAAAGUCUGUUGAAAUCCCAAACAUGCCACCCUCUCCCUUCAACGUGUCAGUCGAUGACAUGAGUAACUUGACCUUAUUCAGUUGUACUACUUCUGUUGCAAGCGAUCCAUAUCCGUAUCAAUUCCCCUGCCUCGGCGACCCUGGCCGCAUAAUUUAUGCCGUUGAUUCCAGUUCUACAUAUCUAUUGGAAGAUCUCUUCCAGAAAGUACAAUCUUGUUCAAAGAUGUAUGAUGUUUUAUCAGUUCCAUUCGGUUCUUGGGUAGGCGGUUAUAAUGUUCGUUUCAAAUGGUCUGAACCAAAUUGCACAGUAUGUGAAGCACAGGGAAAGAGGUGUAGGUGGAAGAACGAUGGCACAAAUAGUGAAAUUAAAUGUCUUGACUGGAAGAAACCAAGUAAGGAUAACAUAUAUAUUCAUUGCUAGUUUUAAACAUCUUUACAUUUACGUCUUAGUAAUUAUUAUUUAAAAUAUGUUGUCCAAUCCAUUUUUACUAGGAAUAUUACCUGACAGUCUCGUUUAAAUUUGCAAUGAUCUUCUACAGGCAACACAUGGAAAAAAGUGGUUACAGGUGGAAUCCUGGGUGCUUUGCUUCUUGUUCUACUGAUGAUUGCAGCAUAUCGGGUACAUAGCGCUGAUAGAAAGGAGAAAGAGAGUCGAUUAAGAAUUGAAAGAUUCUUGGAGGAUUACAAAGCACUCAAACCAACCAGGUAUUCGUACGCAGAUAUUAAGAGGAUUACAAAUCAAUUCAAGGACAAGUUGGGCGAAGGAGCCUAUGGAACUGUCUUCAAAGGAAUGCUCUCUUCCGAAUUCUUUAUUGCUGUCAAAGUCCUCAACAGUUCCAAGGGAGAUGGGGAAGAGUUCGUAAAUGAAGUGCGAACGAUGGGUCAUAUCCACCACGUCAACGUGGCUCGCUUGGUUGGAUUUUGUGCUGAUGGAUUUGCACGAGCUCUUGUUUACGAGUUCUUCCCCAAUGGUUCCCUGCAGGAUUUCAUUUCAUCUGCAGAUAGUAAGAAUUCAUUUCUUGGUUGGGAUAAGUUGCAAGAUAUUGCCCUAGGCAUAGCCAAAGGAAUUGAAUAUCUUCACCAGGGAUGCGAUCUACGAAUCCUGCAUUUCGACAUCAAACCCCAUAAUGUUUUGCUAGACCAAAACUUCACUCCAAAAAUUUCUGAUUUUGGUAUGGCCAAGUUAUGUUCCAAGGAUCAAAGCUUGGUGUCCAUGACUACAGCUAGGGGGACCAUGGGCUACAUUGCACCUGAAGUGUUUUCCAGGAAUUUCGGAAAUGUGUCUUACAAGGCAGAUGUCUAUAGCUUUGGAAUGCUGCUGCUUGAGAUGGUAGGAGGAAGGAAGAAUAUUGGUUCAAUCACGGAUAACACUACAAAUGAAAUUUACUAUCCACAGUGGAUUUAUAAUCUUCUAGAGGAAGGGGAUGACCUACAAAUCCACAUUGGGGAAGAAGGAGAUGGUAAAAUUCCAAAGAAACUUGCAAUUAUAGGGCUAUGGUGUAUCCAGUGGCACCCGUCGGAUCGUCCUUCCAUGAAAAUAGCGGUUCAGAUGUUAGAAGGAGGAGGAGAAAGCUUGAGUAUGCCGCCUAAUCCCUUUGUGCCUACUGGUCCUACAACUAGAAAUGCAAGACGCCUAGAGCUAGAAGCUAUUGCUGAAUUAGAGUAAAAUGUAUAUGCAGAUAUGUAGACGUAUAGAUAUAGUAAUAUUUACAUUGAAUAAGAGGCCGUUUGAUAACCAUUUCGUUUUCAGCUUUUAAUUUUUAUUUUGCACUUUUUUGAAAACUGAAAACUAAAAUCUUGUUUGGUAAAUACUUUUAGUUUAAGAAAAAAUGAAGACUGAGAACUAAAAAGUGAAAGCUCAAAGGAAGUAGAUUAAAAGUAGUUACCAAACAAACCGGAAUCUCAAUAAUAAAAAAUGAUUGAAUUGCACAACGCAAUCCAAACCAAUCAAAACAUUAAAAUAGCAAAAAAAAUUAAAAUUCUAGUUGAUUAGAUUAUGAACAUAGUAAAAAUGAACAGAUCCGAUGAAAAAACAAAAAAAAUUCUCAGAUAAAAAUAGGGAUAAAGUAAAAUAUUUAUAAAUAGCUCCUUGUCUCUUAUGUCAUCAAUUAUUUCUAUAGUAUAUACAAGUUUUUGGAAAAAUUAGGUUCCCAUCCCUUAUUUUCAUAUUACAUUGAUUGAAAUCUUAUUAUUUUUCUAUUUUAGAUCAAGGUCCCUUGACUUAUUCCAUGUCAUCAUUUUAGUAUUUAAAAUAUUACACGUCAUCAUAAACGAAAUCUCAUCCCCUUUCUGCAUUUAAGGCAAAAUAAACUAUAUGAGUAAGUUUAAAACAAGGAAAAUCCAUUUGAACUCCUCCAUUCUUCUUCUUCCCUUAUGCACAUCUGGAAUCUACAACACCCCAAACCCAAUUUUCUCCAUUUUUUCUCCAUUCCUGAAUUGAUCCAAUGCAUAUAUGUUGAAUAAACCUAUUGUGAUUAAAAUACAAAUUAGCAUCAAUGGUUUUAUCGGCUUGUGAGAUUUGUGUGGCAUAGGCAAGGCAAUGCAUGCAUCGCUUUCUCAAGGAAUCUGGUUGAUUCAAACAUGCAGAGACUGUAGAGUGAGCGGGCUAUGUAAAAACUGUACCAUUCUGAAGUCAUUUUCUUUUGUUCUUUAUAUUUUUUUUCUUUUUCUUUUAUUAUUAUAUAUUAGUCUUGAUUAUUCAAUGUCUGGUUGGCUACACUUAUGUCCAUGGGUACAUUUUUAAUCAACAUGGUUCGUUCUAAUAUAUCUAUUGCUAUAAUAUGUUUUGGUUGGUUCAAAUUUGUUUUACAUAAAUAUAUGGGUACAAAGUUUUUGGAGAAUAUUAUGUAAAAUGGUUUUUAAGGUUGCUGCAUUUUAUGUACCCACAUAUGCAUGUCUAUAAAUGACACACCCCGUCCCGAAGGAGGGCAUGCUGGCCGUCACGUGAGAGUGACGUAACCAUUUGCACAGUACGGAAGCUUUAAGAUACAAUUUAUAAGUUGAUACACCCGAAUGUGAGUCCUAAUUUUGUCCAAUCUGUCAGAACACCGUCAAAUUCCUCGUAGUCACCACACCUUUGUGAUUCCUGAACCUGGAGGGGCGCAAAACCAAAAUUGAGUGGGUCAGUAAAACAAUUCUUUUCCAAAUCCAAACAUUUCUCAAAACGUUGUAACCCCAAUCCGUAAAACUUGUAUAUUUUCCCAGAAAUGUAAAAUAUAAAUAUACAUAUAUAUUCUCAAUACUUCAAUUCAUUAACUCAACAUUUUUCAGUACAAUUAUGCCAUGCCAUGUCUAAUUCAACAGUUAAGUAUGGAUGCAUCAACAAUAAUCAUAUCAGGUGCAAGAAAGUAAUCAACCGGAGGCCCUCUAAUAGCCAUGUACGGUUGAACCUAGAGCUCAAAAUCUAUCACUCUCACUCUACCGGAGUCACCUCUGUGACCUGUCCGGCCUUCUGCACACAAGUUACGCUCUAGUGCUUUCUCAUCAAUCAUCUGUGCACAUAAUCUAAGGUCACCCACCAGUCGAAAUCUCACUAACACUCUUCGACUGGCCCGUCGCACCCACUCCGCGUGGACUGUGCGACCAGCAUCUACUUGGAUCCAAGGCGAGCGUGCGAUGCGGUGAAUACUAUAAGCACUAAACCAUGGUGCAGGAUUUGAGCUCAAUAUACAUCAACAUCAUCAUAAUAGUAAUUAAAUACUCACCUGAUACUCACCUGUGCGUCCGCCGCACCAAUUCAUAUAUAUGCAUCAUAUAUCAAUUCAUAUCAUUUCAUACAUGGCAAUUCAAUUCACGUUUUUCAUAUAGUUCUAUAUACUUUUCACAUAUUUCUAUUUAAAGCAUAAUUUCAUGCUUUUUCAAUUUCUGGGAAAACGGCAAGUAUAUAUAUAUACGGAAAACAAAACUGCCCACUCACCUGGAGUUCGCCCUACAACUCCCUAGCACAAUACGCCAAGGCGUCAUGACGAUCGGCGCCUAAAACAAUAAUCAAUUCCAACCUUAGAAUUCAUAUCGAUAGAAUAUAUAACUUAUAUAAAAUACGUCACUGCGUAGUUCGAUCCGGAAGAUCCACCACUCAGAUUUUAAAUCCAUAACUUCCAGAGGUCCACAAUAUAUCUCUAGGAUAACAUCCUAAAAUUUCAUUACCAUCCAACGGUCGGAUCUCCGUCAAUUUCCAAAACUAAGUGACGGUUAACAUUUUAUUUUAUGAACUUACAACUCCAAUUCCUGAAGAUCCGUAAAUCGGAUUCCCAAUCCGAAAGUUCCAAUAAUCCUCAAAUAUUACGUAUUACUACGUAUCAAAGUUUAGUGACGAUCUAACGGUCGGAUCGUCAAUUCACGUUUUCACCUAAAUGUGAAAACUAUAAAACGUUAUUCGAACAUCUAACCAACAAUCCUUAAUAACUUUCUCAUACGGUGCUCAAUUUGGGUAUAUGAAUAUACCACGGUGAUCUACUCGACGUCACGGACGUCGACAUAUUUUUAAAAUAAUUUUAUUUUAUUUUAUUUUUUUUACUGUAGCACCUUCUUCUUCCUUGGGUCGCCGGACUGGUUUUUCCAGCGGCCGUUUUCUGGGCAGUUUUUCAAAUUGCCAUAACUUUGUCAUUUCUCAACGAAAUCAAGUGAUUCAAAAACGAAAGUUGUAGCCCUUGAAGAGACAAAGAGAAUGGUACCUUACAAAACACCUAGUUCUCCGUGGUUUGGCCGGAAACUGCCUCGAAAGCCUCGGAGGUCGCCGGAAACUGGGUAUUUUUCAAAUGAGUAUAACUUCUUCAAUACUCAACGAAAUUGAGUGAAACAAAAAGGAAAGUUGUAGUAAUUGACGAGAUGAAGAGAUUGAUACCUACCUCGACUCCUAACUCGCCGGGGAUUCGCCGGAAAAAGCCUCGAAAGCUCCGGCCAAACUUUGAACUUGUCGAUCUCCGUGUUCUUACGUCCAAAAACUUCCAACGAAGCACUCCGAGCUUCCUUGGGACCUCACUAAGCUCACUAUGAGCUUGGAUUGUCCUAAAACAAAGUCAAUUCGAAAAUCAUGAACAGUGCACUUUCACGGGGAGUUUAGAAUCUAGGUUUUCCGAAGUAAAACUUACCUGAAAUUGGUGUCUACGUGAUCGUGGAGUCUCCAGGAGUUCGAUGGUGGUCUUAACUCCGUCGUUGGUGGAAGUUUAAGGUUGUUUUGCGGUUGGUUUGUUCGAACGGAGAAGAAGAGUGACAGAGAGAGAGAGAUUCGUGAGGGAGGAGAGAGAGAGACAGUAUGCAGAAAAUAGGGAGAGGAUUGAGGGGUGUGGGGAUCCCAUGUGGUCCUUUUCCAAUCCCCAACUCCAAACCACAAAAUUUUAACCUAAAAAUCUAAGUUCCAUCCUUAAUAAAUUCCAUUUUAUUUUCAAAACUUAGGAACCUAGAUAAUUAUCAACUUGAGCUUCACAUACUUAGUAUUUCUUAAGGGCAAUUUCGUCCAUUCACAGCCACGAAUGUAAUAUUUUUGGAACGGGCUGUGACAAUCUUCCCUCCUUAUAGAAUUUCGUCCCCGAAAUUCCAGCAACCAACUAAAUCAACCAUACUUCAACAAUAGCUUCGGGUAAAUCUCUCUCAUCCGAUUCUCUUUCUCCCACAUAAUUUUCUACUGAAUGAUUUCCUUCACAAAGCUUUUACCACUUACUCUGUCUUAAUUCUCAAGACUUUCUUUUUCCAAUCUAAAGUCGUCCUUGGUUCCUUAUCAAGUCGAAUCCAAUUUAAUUCUCAAUAGUUGCACCAGAAUCUCAUGUGACGAAUCUGCCACCUAGUGACAACGUAUCGAACCCAAAAUACAUUAAGUAUCUUAGCCAACUCUGAAGACAUCACCACAUGUAUGCAACUUUAUUGAUUCCUUUAGUGAUCAAAACGGACUGAUGUGUUCAAGACUUAUCUUGUCUUCCUUUCUGAAUCUUACUAUUUCUGUUCAUGGUGAAAUUUCCAAAAAUAUCAAACCAUUUACCUUACACACUCGAUUAGUGGCAUAUCCAUCUGUUAGUCUCUUUUGCCAUUCCUGGUUACUUCAGGUUAACUUAAUCACCUGAAUACUUUGAGGAGACUCAUCCAAAAUUUCGGGUCCACCAAAAUUCUUUUGUGAUCGAAUCUUUCUCUACCCAGAAGCAUUCCAUCCACAAUUCAGCAAAAAUCGACACACAUGACACGCUUCAUGGACAUUAUGGCGUUACUUUGAAAACUGGCGAAACCAACAUACUUAAGAAACUCAGCAGUCCCGUAACCCAAUUCUCUUUUCCAUAAAACAAAUAAGUACUGUUGCACUGUCUGGGAAAGGUUGUUACUCAACACUGGAGUAAAUAUACUAACUUGUUACGUUGCCCAACCAUCACUUCACAUUCAAUCGUAACCAUCUUGUAUACAAGGAAACUUGUACACAUAGUCCAAAGUAAUAUCUUUCCAUUUCUGUUUAGAAACAGAAAAUAGCUGUCUCAAUCCAAAGGUUUAUCUCUUUCCGCCUCAAUCUGCUGAUCAAAUAAACUGUCGAGUGGUAUGAUAAAUCUUAUUACUUUUGGAAUAUUGCAGAAGUUGAACAGUGAACUUUGUCCAAUAUUUGCUUGCUUCAAAUCCUCAGCAUUAGGCACAUACUUUUGGUUUUCUUGUAUCCACAUACCAUUUGAUUCACGAAUCAUGUAUUCAUUCUUUUUCCCUUCUUUCUCUACCUUGGUUAAUUCUUAAAUUUCCUCGUCAAACAUUUAAGUUUCGAGUACGACCUUACCAAACAGGCCUAACUUGAAAUUUAACAAGUAUAACUUCUUCUCGAUCUUUCAUUCUUAACUUUACUUUAGUUGGUUUCCAAUCCACAAGAAGAUAAUCAUGGCAAGCGUACCAGAUAUUAAUUAUUACUGCAGUCUUCUUAUCAAGUGCUUCAGUUACAACAAUUCACAAUCACCCUGAUCGUACAAUCAUAAUCACUAAGUAAUUCAAUCCACCUUUGUUGCCUCAUAUCACAAUCCUUCCAAGUAAACAAAUAUUGGAGACUCUUUUGAUUUGUAAAAUCUUGUAUUCUUAUCAACAUAUAAUGUCUCCAUAACUUCACAGCAAGGAUGAUAAUCGUGACUUCCAAAUCACCAGUAGGGUAAUUCAUCUUAUGAGGUUCCAUUUAUCGUGAAACGUAUGCAAUCACCCUAACAUUUGCAUCAACAUGCCUCCAAUACCAUUCAAGAAACAUCACUAAAAAUUUAUGAUUACCACUAUUCUCUGGGAAUACCAAAAUACGUGCAUGAGUGAGGAAAUACUUCAGUUGUUGAAUCCUUUGCUCACAAUUUCCUUCCCACUCAUACAUAACCUCUUUUCUCAACAGUCUCGUCAAUGACAAAGCAAUGACUAAAAACUCUUUCACAACCAUCCAAGAUAGUCUGGUAAGUUAAGAAUUUCCGAAUCUCAAUUAUGGCUUGUGGUUGUUCCAAUUUCUCAAUUCUGCUGCCUUUUAAGAAUUCAUUUGAAUACCUUAAGCAGAUAUAACCAAUCUCAUAAUGCCACUUGAUUCAUCCAACAUUCGCAUUUGCUAAACUUAGCAUACAACCAACGUUCUUUCAAUCUUUGCUUCAUCGACUUAAUACGUUUACAUGCUCUGCUCUGGCUCAGAAUGUACCAGAAUAUCGUCAAUGAAAAUGAUAUCAAUUAUCAAGGCAUUAUUGGAAUACUUCAUCCAUCAACUCAUAAAACCGCAUGAGUAUCCACAUAGCAUCACCAAACCUCAUAAGGACCAUAACAAGUCCAGAAAACCAUCUUAUGAUCAACGUCAUUCAUAAUCUUUAAUUGGUAAUAACCAGACUUCAAGUCAAUCUUUGAAAAUAUACAAGCACCUUUGAACUGAUCAAAUGAGCGUCAAUACACCACAAUGGAUAACGGUUCUCAUUCGUUACCCGACUCCAUUGUCUAUAAUCAAUGAACAGUCUCAAGAUCCAUUUUCUUCCUCACCAACAAACUGGGGCUCCUCAAAAGUGUUGUACUAGGUUGAAUAAAACUUUUAUCAACCAAUUCUUUCAACUAAAUUUCCAAUUCCCUUAACUCAUCAUGAACCAAUCUCCAAUAUAAAUUUAUACCUGGCAACAAAUCAAUAAUGAACCUCAUAUCUCUGCCUGAAGACAAUCCAGGUAUACUUUCAGGGGAGACAUCAAGAAAAGUCUAACCCUUUUGACAUUAUUCACACUACUCCAAACAACAUCAUUUAGCACCCCAUGAGCUAAGUAUUUUUAACAGCCUUUCGAAAACAAUCUCUUUGCUCUCACAGCAUUAAUAACGGCCUGACUCAAUCCACCUUGCAUACUUACAAAAGUAAUCUCUGGUCAUCCAGAUCGAUGGAAAGUACUGGUUUCCCGUAACAUUCCGUCUUGUCACAAUUAUAACCAACCGAUCUAAUGGAACAGAAUUAACUGAUACAAUAUAUAUUCUAUUAUUAUUAAGCAUUCUAAAUAAGUACAAUACUAACAUAAAAUAAUCUACCGGGUUGCUUGCUUAACGAAUCCACGAAUGAGUUAUUAAUAUUACGGUCUGCAGCCCGCAAUACUGAUAAAUCAUCGUUGUCUCGAUAAGUAGGCAACCACUCUCAAAGAUAUAACAUUACUAUUUUGUCACUCAAUGCAAAAUACAUACACUUGUCUCAACUACAUUUAUUUACUACUCUCUAGGUAAUAACAUACAUAAUAAGAAAUAUAUCAGUCGAAGUCAACUAGAAUGACCAAUACGGCUGAUUCAACUCUUAUCUCAAUAAUACGUCGGCCGGAUCCACUCCGCGUGGUCGGUACGGCCGAGCCUAUAACUCAUCCAACCUCUCUGUACUCACGGUCAAUCCGACCAAACUACUAAGUCCAUAACUCUGCUGAAUCGACACUAUGAUAUCAUGGAAAAUUAUUGAGUACAACUGAUUCUAGGGACGAUUCACAAUUCUGUGUCCCCUCUGUUCACAUAAACACAUUCAUUAAUUUCACACUUCCCAAAGUGUUAAUUUUGUACCUGCUGCACAAGGUACAUUUCCUUUACUCGAGACACCUUGUCUCAAAUAUCUGGGAUUACCAGUAUAUCCAUCACUUUUACUCUGACCAGCAACAUUAAAACCUCAGCUGGAAGAAUUAACUCUAGCUUCACUUCUUUCGAAGCUCUGAAUCUUUCUAUAUCUUUGAUAUGACGAAUCAUUAACUUUAUCGUCUUCUUUUAAUUCCCAUUCAUUUCUUAUUCUUCUUUAUUCUCGUUGCUCAUGUUCUCAGAGUCCUCAAGACUCAACAGCAUCUCGUAUAUUCCUGGUAAGAAGUACAAUGGAUAGUGGUCACCCAAAAUACCACUUCCCUUUUGCCACCCAGCUUAAAACAACAUAACACCUCCACCAAAUUAGCAGCAAUAUCCGAAUGGAAACGAGGCUAGUCUGAAAACUUUCUAUAAUAUUCAUUUAUCGUCAACUUCCUUGAUUCACAUUUGCAAAAUCUUGCUUACUACCAACGAUAAAUGCCGGAGGGAUAAACUUUUCCUUAAAUAAGUCCUUAAACAAUUUUAAAUCGGCUACUUCCUCUGAUGACAACAAUCAAUACUCCUGCUUCCAUCAGGAUACACGUUCAUAACUCAAACCAGGUAGUCGUCUCGACCCACCUGUCAGAAGGAAAUUUCCUUUGACUUGCAUAAUCUGAAACAUCUUUUCCAAUUGGUUAAUCCGUUACUUCGCUCCCUCAGGUUCAUCAUUCCAUAAGGUGAUUCAAAUUCGACUCAUAACCUGUCUUAAAAUGUCCCUUUUUAUAAUAGACUGAAUCACCAUAAUAAUAGUUUCCCCUAAACCGCUAUAUUAGGGAGACUAAAUUCCUCUAACUAAGUGGCUUGCUACGAGGCGGUGUAGUUCUGACAGAAUUCACUAGAACUUCUCAAAAUGUCCAAGAUUGCAACCAUGCUCUGAUACCAACUGACACACCCCGUCCCGAAGGAGGGCAUGCUGGCCGUCACGUGAGAGUGACGUAACCAUUUGCACAGUACGGAAGCUUUAAGAUACAAUUUAUAAGUUGAUACACCCGAAGGUGAGUCCUAAUUUUGUCCAAUCUGUCAGAACACCGUCAAAUUCCUCGUAGUCACCACACCUUUGUGAUUCCUGAACCUGGAGGGGCGCAAAACCAAAAUUGAGUGGGUCAGUAAAACAAUUCUUUUCCAAAUCCAAACAUUUCUCAAAACGUUGUAACAAUAAAAACCAGUCCGGCGACCCAAGGAAGAAGAAGGUGCUACAGUAAAAAAAAUAAAAUAAAAUAAAAUUAUUUUAAAAAUAUGUCGACGUCCGCGACGUCGAGUAGAUCACCGUGGUAUAUUCAUAUACCCAAAUUGAGCACCGUAUGAGAAAGUUAUUAAGGAUUGUUGGUUAGGUGUUCGAAUAACGUUUUAUAGUUUUCACAUUUAGGUGAAAAUGUGAAUUGACGAUCCGACCGUUAGAUCGUCACUAAACUUUGAUACGUAGUAAUACGUAAUAUUUGAGGAUUAUUGGAACUUUCGGAUUGGGAAUCCGAUUUACGGAUCUUCCGGAAUUGGAGUUGUAAGUCCAUAAAAUAAAAUGUUAACCGUCACUUAGUUUUGGAAAUUGACGGAGAUCCGACCGUUGGAUGGUAAUGAAAUUUUAGGAUGUUAUCCUAGAGAUAUAUUGUGGACCUCUGGAAGUUAUGGAUUUAAAAUCUGAGUGGUGGAUCUUCCGGAUCGAACUACGCAGUGACGUAUUUUAUAUAAGUUAUAUAUUUCUAUCGAUAUGAAUUCUAAGGUUGGAAUUGAUUAUUGUUUUAGGCGCCGAUCGUCAUGACGCCUUGGCGUAUUGUGCUAGGGAGUUGUAGGGCGAACUCCAGGUGAGUGGGCAGUUUUGUUUUCCGUAUAUAUAUAUACUUGCCGUUUUCCCAGAAAUUGAAAAAGCAUGAAAUUAUGCUUUAAAUAGAAAUAUAUGUGAAAAGUAUAUAGAACUAUAUGAAAAACGUGAAUUGAAUUGCCAUGUAUGAAAUGAUAUGAAUUGAUAUAUGAUGCAUAUAUAUGAAUUGGUGCGGCGGACGCACAGGUGAGUAUCAGGUGAGUAUUUAAUUACUAUUAUGAUGAUGUUGAUGUAUAUUGAGCUCAAAUCCUGCACCAUGGUUUAGUGCUUAUAGUAUUCACCGCAUCGCACGCUCGCCUUGGAUCCAAGUAGAUGCUGGUCGCACAGUCCACGCGGAGUGGGUGCGACGGGCCAGUCGAAGAGUGUUAGUGAGAUUUCGACUGGUGGGUGACCUUAGAUUAUGUGCACAGAUGAUUGAUGAGAAAGCACUAGAGCGUAACUUGUGUGCAGAAGGCCGGACAGGUCACAGAGGUGACUCCGGUACUAUUUUGACCAUUCUAUUUAACUUGUGUUUCAUUUAUUUUAACCAUUCUAUUUAAAGUUUAUCCCAAGUAAUCUAAUUAAGACUAGAGUCGAAAGUGAUGCAUUUAGUAAUUGCUUACACUUGUGAAUAUGAGUUGAUUGAGGUGGUGGUGGUUUCUUGUAUUAAUAAUUCUAUUUAAACUCAUACCCUCCCACACCAUCAGAUCCAAGUACUAUUUUGAUAAACUUUAAAUAGAAUGGUUAAAAUAAAUGAAACACUUUUAGAAAAUAAGUGAAGAUGUUGUUUACAAAUAUAGAUGCAUUUGUAUAUAAAAGCUUUGGCGGUUGAUCCGUAUACACUUCCAGAGAUAUAAGCAAGUUCAUUGGAUUAUACAUACAUAGUUAAUGUAUUACAGUAUAAUUAAUAAGAAAACAAUUGCAUCCCUUUCAGAUUAUAUAUAUAUAUAUAUAUAUAGACACACACACGCACACAUACAUACACACAGGCCCUUUAUGCAAAGGAAUUUUCAAUUUUUUUUUUAAAUGGGGAUUAGUUGUGGGGCCCACGCUGCAUUGAACUUUAACGAUCCGAACAGUCUAUUUUGUAAUUCUCGAUUCAUAGAUCAUCCUUGUAAAAAUUCAAUUCAAUCCGAACCUAUUUGCCUAUUUAAUUAUCAAGAUAAAAUUUUAUUGUUUCUUAUAUAACAAAGUAUUCGUUAAUUUCUUUGAACUCAAUUAGAUAUCUUAAACAUUUCCGAUUUGGUUAAUAUUGUGUAAGGAUGAUCUAUGUGGUGCAACUUGAAAAAUAGACGAUUACGAUCGUUAAAGUUCGAUGUGGUGAGAACCCUACAAUUAAUCUUCAUUUUUAUAAAAGAAUGGGAACCCCUUCCCUUAAAGGUUUCCUAUGUAUAUAUUUGUUCUCCAGACAUAUGCAAAAGGUAAUGUAAAACCAAUGAGAACUUAAAUAGAUAUUCCAUACAUAGGACAAUUCCAUAUAUGCUUUUUCAACAUUGAUAUCGAAAAGCCAAAUUGUUUUGAGGAAAUUAAUUGUAGCAAUGAUCCCUUAACUUUUAUCUUAUUGGAGCAAUGGUCUCUCAACUAAAAAUUCAUGACCAUUGGUUCCUUAACUCCACACAACGUGUAGUUAUGGUCAUUUUCAUUAACCCCGUCAGAACUUUUGUUAAAACAAGUAAUGUUAGAAGAAUCAUUGCUACAAUUAGGUUAAAGUUGGGGACCAUUGCUCUAAUUAAAUUAAAAUUGAGGGAUCAUUUCUCCAAAUUGCUUAAAGUUCAAUGACCAUUUCUACAAUUUUCUCAUCUAGUUUCCCAUAUUUACCCCAUGAUUCAGCUUCACAUGCAUUGCACAUGACUCAUUUUGACAAAAAUUUUAACGAAAUUGACGAAAAUGACCAUAAAUACACGUUUUGAAUAGUUAAGAGACCAAUGGUCGUGGAUUUUAGUUGAGGGAUCAUUGCUCCAAUUUGGUUAAAGUUGAGGGACCAUUGCUACUUUUUUCUCAAAUGUUUCGUAUGCGAAAAUAGGCAUUUGUAAAGUUUGGCUUGUUCAUGGCAUUAUUACUUUAGUCUAAAGUAAGGCUGGAAAUGGCACUGUAGAAAUGAAUAGUGUUCCAAUCUGAAUUUCAGUUUAAUUACAACAAUGCCAUUGCUCUUUGUGUUGCCUUUAGGUGAGCAGCCCAGCUUGCAGCCAGGCCCAAAUGUAUUGGUUUUAGCUGAGAAGCUCGGCCCUUGGUCAUGCCCAAAAUUUUAAAUUACAGUUUUGCCCAUACAAAAUAACAAUCCGAUUGUAUCGGGAAGGACAAUUUUGUCCUUUCAGUUUUGGGUGAGAUAGGGGGUAACAGGGUAAGUUUCAUUUGCUGUCGUUGAAUGAGGGUUUCGGGGAUGAGGGCUCUGUGUGUGUGUGGGUGAGAGAGAGAGAGAGAGAGAUGGCGAUGGAAGGAGAGUGAGGGGGAAGGGAAGGGUUCUCGGCACUAUUGUUGCAUGUGGAUUUCACAAGUGGGAGAGUGGGUAUGGUCAGAGAAGACCAUAUAGGUCGUUGGGAUUUCAGGGAAACGGGGUAGGGGUCAUGAAUGAACCCUGCUGAGAGUGGGUACCGGAUCUUGCGCUGCAUGCCUCAAAUCAAAGAUAAGUUCGUUUUUUUUAUUGUAUUUUUAUGGUAGCUUAGCUUUUGGAAUUGUUUAGUAUGUUAGGUCCGAUUUUGGGGGAUUUAUCUUUUUAGAGAGAGAGAUAGACAGGGAGAUAGAGAGAGAGGGAGAGGGAGAGAGAGAGAGAGAGAGAGGAGGAAGCAUGACUGUGUGCAAUUUUUGGUGUUAAUUAAUGGGUUGGUGCGCAGGGUGAGUGACAGAGUGACAGAGUGAAGGAGGGACGUGUGGGAGGGUAUGAGUUUUCAGUUCUUUCUUUUGAUUCAACAGGUUAUACACUGUUUGAAAAACUUUUUUUUUAUUAUUUUGUUCUCGUUUGCUUUGUUCAAACCAUCAUUUGAAUUUUUGGGUUUCACUGUGCUCAUUUCUCUGCUUCUUCAUAAUUUGCUGGUGUUUGCUUCUCAUCCCUCUGUUGGUAGAUCUUUUUCUCAUUUCUUGGUUCCUUAUGUAUUCUUUUGUACAAAUCUGUUUACUUUUUUGCUGUGUGAUAAUCUUAGCAGGUGAACUAUAUGAACGUUUUUUUUGAAACGAGUUAAGAAGAUCCAGCUGAAAAUAGCAUACAAGAUAGAGAACUGGUAUGCUGCUCGCCAGGGAAAGGCUGCUGGAGAGGCCGAGACAGAUGCCUCCUUCAGAAACCAGGUCAGUUUCCUGCUGCUCGGCGUCUUAAUGUAUCCAAAUUGUUUAUCUUUUGAUGAAAUUAGCUGGCUUUAUUUUCUAUUUUAUUUAUCUGCAUAUUAUUUUGGUUUGUUGAAAUUUUGACUAUAGUCAUUGUCACAUGGGCGCCCAGCCCAACCCAAAUUAGUUGAGGAUAUUUAAAUCUUCACCAUGGUAUUAUAGUACUCACUCACAGUUGUGAAUACUAAGGUGCAGGCAUGGCAUGAAGAAGUGGACCGUGCACGCCAAUGUCAGAGGGAUGCAGAGGGCAAGCUUUUUUCUUUGGAGGUAAGUAUCCUUUGUUUAUUGCCCAACAGUGUUGUUAUUAUCAAUUUGUAGCUUUGCGUUCUGAAUUUUUUGCUUUGUCAAACAACCUUCUUGAAAUGCUCGAUUUCAAGCCGAAGUCCAAAAAAUGAGAGUUGAGAUGGCUUCCAUGAAAAGGGAUGUAGAGCAUUACUCGCGCCAAGUGAAAUCUGCUUCCUCUCUUUUCGUAUAUCUUCAUAUGAAGAGUUUUACUAAGUUAUAUUGAGAACUAUGUUAUUUAUAGGUUAUAUUUUCCAUUUUGCAGGAACACAUGGAGCUAAGGAAGAGCUAUCGUGAACUCACUGAUCUACUGGUAAUGUCACUCAAACUGCUUUAUUUGUGCAUGCUGCUACUAUGCGCUUGAAUGCAUUUUAUUACUGGCGGGAUGCAAGAAAGCUAGAUAUAUGUGCUGGAUCGCUUGAUUAGUGUUAGGGUUUUAACAACUAAUUGUUAGCAGCUAGAAGCUCUGGUUAGAUGAAUGCUAAUUUGAUUUUCCUUACAGUACUUGAGUGCCAGUUUCAUAUUGUUUGUUCCCUGCUGGAUACCUGUUGUACAGUUUCAUUUCUGUUUCUUUAUAACUUUCUUGGCCCUGGGAUAUAUGCAUAUUGAGUACAAUGAAUAUCCAUUGUUCUCUAACUGUUGGGCUUUACUAUCUUUGUAGCAGCCUGCCUAACAUUUUUUAGGCUCUACACUCUACCAUCCAAUUUAUGAAAAAUUCAAAGAUUGAACGGUAUUGAUUGCAGAAAUGAAAAAAAUACUAUGAUAUUAGAAAGGUGAAUGUAAUUGUGUUAGAAGAAGCGUCUAGCAUGAUGGGUAAUAUUUUAAGUUUGUAUUUCUAAAAUUUUUUCGUUCUGGAGUAUGAUUUACCUCAAUUGUUUUGUACUUUAAUCUUUACUAAUUUUCAUUGUGGAGUAUGAUUUGCCUCAACUAACAACUUUUCAUUGUUUAACUUUUUCCUCCCUUAGAUAGUUGCAUAUGUUUGAUUUGUUAAUCUGCUUCUUACACAUGUUGUUUCCUAAUGGUGUAGGUGGGUUGCCGGAUGCAUGUGCAGAUUACUUGAAUAGACGAAGCUAAGAAUGACUUAGUAUUAAGUGAGAAAGAAGCUUGGGUCAGUUGGAUUUUGAUAUUUGAUUUAUUCAUGUUUUUUGUUGCUUGCAAUGUUCUCGCAUUGUUGUUCUGAGAUUCUGUGAUCUUAUUUUUCAUAGGAACUGACAUUGGUUUGCCAUAUAAUGUUUCAUGAACUAAUACAACAACUAAUCACCUUGCUUAGCUCUCAAGACACAUACUUAAUAGGUUAACAAACACUAACCUAUAAACUGAUCUGCUAAGCUGGACCAUUAACCUCUGUUUAUAUCCCUGCCACUCAUCUUUUGGCACUUAUCAAUAGCAAAAUUUAGAGUUACUGAAACCCCAAUUUUAAUGAAUAUUAUUUUUAGUUGAUAAUUAAAAUUAAUUGAUGAUUAAUCUAUUCCAUUGUGCAUUAUUUUAUCGCCAAAUACUUUGAAUAUUCAUUAGCAAAAGAUAUAGGGUUCACUAUUUAAUGAAUAGAAUUUUGAUGGUGGAUUGCAUUUCCUGAGUUAUAAAUGUGGUGAAUCCAUUAUUUACUAGCUGAAUAAUCAUAAUGUUUUGGCCACUUACCUUGAAUUUUGUUCAAAUUGAAGAAGUCACAUGUUUCUUUCUGUUGUUGAGGUAAUCUCUCUGUUGAAAGCUUCUAUUUCUUUUUUCUUUUUCUCUUUUUCAUUUGGGUAGAUUUUUUUUUUAUGGAUUUAUGUAUUUUUUUUCAGAGAAUUCGAAAUGAAAUAAGAAUAGCGGAUUGAGCAUAAACAAAUUGAUGAAAUUUUUAUUUGAGUGUUUGUGUUGGUCCUUUUUUGAUUUGUUGAGGUUUGGAAUUAUUUGAGUUUUUUUUGCUGUUAGUACUGUGAAGGAUGCUUGGCAAUCGCGAAAUGGGGGCUACCUCUUUGGAAAGAGAAGUCUCGCUAUCCAACCUCUCAUGAAUUACAAACAGGGUGCUUUCUUGCUGAAAAACCACUAAACCAGUAGAACUUUCCUCGGUUCUUCAAUUCGAUUCGAAUAAUUUUUUUACCCAGAAAGCCAGCGUUUCCUGGUGGGUUUUACAGCUUUCUCAAUGUUUUUGUGAUUUUGGAUUUGCAAAUUUGUUUUCUGUUCAAAUUUCCUUUUGUGAUUUUGGAGGUUUUGUUUAUCGAUUCUCUCACUCAUCUCUCAGCUCUCUCUCACUUUUGAGGUACAUGCCGUUGGAUUCCAUUUGCUGCUGCUGAUCUGCAGGUAAAGCUUCAAUUACCAUAUAAAGUUUACAUUUUUCAUGAUUUCUUGAAUUUGGGUUUUAAACAAAGGAAAUAUUGCUAGAUUCUUAUCUUAUGUGCAAAUUACUGGCUAUUUGGAUUGAUGCUUGAGAUUUAGAGAAUGCCUCGAAGCUUUAAUUUCUUUUUCCUUCAUUAUUACUGUUUUCAAAAUUUUUAUUGCUGGGUAUUGAUAAUUUGUAGUAUGUGAGGGCUUCAAUAUGUUGGAAUUUUGAAUGGUUAUUGCUUCAUCGGAAUUUGGGUGGUCCAAAUUUUGAAUUAGAAGAAACCCAUUUGAUUAAUAUUUUUGGUGGAUUGGUUCUCUGUGUUUUCCUUGCUAUUUCUCCCCCAGUUGGAAAUUGGAAGCCCCAACUUUGAGCUCAGAGCUUGAAUUUCUCAAUCGUUCGUUUCUCUGCACUCUCAUCAGUCACUCUUGAUCCUCUAUCUAAAGAACUGGGUAAUUUUCCAGCUCUAUCAAGUAAUACUCCAUUUAAUUGCUUAAUUGAGGUUUUUUGUUUCUCUUUUUCGCUCUUUCAUCAGUUCAUUGGCUUUGAUGUUGAGCUUAAGUAAAUGGGAGAUCAUUAAUUGGCAUUGUUCAAGAUAUAAUUCUGUGUUUUUGGAUUUGUGAAACGAUUUGCCUAAUGAUGAUAGUGGUUAAAAUAAAUUUUUCGUUAUGAAAGAGAACAUUGUUCUUCAUUUGCCUAUGGUUUUAAGUACAAAGUUAAACUACUAUGCUUUUGUUCAAUUGACUGCAACUCAUGCCGCAGUUUGCUUCACAAACCUCUACGGUUAGCUUCCAUAUAGUAUGUUGCAAGUUUGAGGAUAUCUUUACAUCUUAAUUUUUGCUCUCUCUGGUUGCUUCAAGUUUGUAAUUUUACGUGUUACAUUGCUACUUGAUUUGAUUAUAAAAAUGCAAAACAAAAUCCGUUUUGCUUUUAUUCAACUUAAAUGUAUCCUUUUGUUUGUUCAUAAUUGUGUUGAAUUUAUUCAACUUAAAUGUGUUUUAUUCAUCUGUUUACGCUUAAAACAACUGGUUUCCCUAGCAAUGCGCGGGCCUAAUUUCUAGUACAUAUACUAAAAGCCAGCAGAAAAUUACUGUUCAUCAUGGGAGAUAGAGCACUGUUCAUUAACCGUGAAAGGGCGAAAAUGCCCUCGGAUUCUUCUUUACUUCACGUACUGUUUACGAAUUGCUACAGUAUAAAGUCCGUUUUGUCCUUCCUGUCCACGCAUCUUUCAUCGUCCGUUUCUCUUGCUUCGACCACAUCUUUUUUGCUUUACCUUUCCUCUUCGUUUUUCGCAUUCGUUAGGCUACGAUUUUCGGAGGUGGAUUGUUUGCCCUCCCAUUUCCAUGGUCUCCCCAUGCCCUCCCAUUUCCAUGAUCUCCCCACGUCAAUAUUUUAUAAAAAUAAUAAAUAAAAGGUAAUAAGAAUAUAAAAUGUUGACGUGUCUUAACGUGACCACAUAGGCAUUGGGAGAGCAUGGAAAUGGGAGGGCACACAAUCCACCUCCGACUUUCUCCCUUUUCGCCAGCCCCUCUUUUGCUCUCAAAUCCUUGCUCUUUCUUUUGCAAAAUAGUCUCAGAAGAGAUCCUGGGUUUAUCGAAUCCUUUGUUGUUGGGCGUUUUGUUCUCAUCUUGCGAUCGUCGGGGCAGCAGCUUUAAGGUAAGUUUGUUUUUAAUGAUUUAUCCUCAUUUUACGAUGUCUGGGCUAACAAAUUUAAGAUCUUUAUUUUUCUUUUUGCUGCGGAUCUGCAGGUUUUGACAAGUUUUUUGUGAAAUUGGUGCUGUCAGUGGGUGUUAACAUCAGGUACCCAUGUUCAGUUUUUCGUUUUGAUUUGAAGGAAUUUCUUGCGCAGAAGAGCUAGGGUUUCUUGGUGAGUUCUUCGGGUUUUUCAUAUGGGUAAUUUUCUUUUCGGUUUAACCCUCUGCUUCUGCUGCUCUCUCUCUUUCUCUCAUCCCUGCCUGCUCCUCUCCAAUUGUUUGCUGUUCUUAAAUAUUGUGUUCAUUGCCUGAUACAACGAGGCAAUGGCGUGACAACAGGUGAGCUUGGAUAUCCAAAGAAAAAGAACAGUUGGUUCAUCUGCUGGAGUCUGAAGCUCAGAGAAGUGGAGGAAAAUUGCAGGUGUGCGAGAAAUUUUAUUUUGCUGAUAGGACUCCUUAUUUACGGAUGCAUUUUGAAAUAAUUGAAAAGUUGGAUUUGAGUUAACAGCUAUAAAAAUGUAGACAUGAUUGCUGAGAUUAUGCUAUGAAAGUGGAAUAAAAAAAUGGUAGUUUAUAAUAUUGCGUACCAAUUGUUUUCUCUCUUUUUUACCAAAUGAUAAGGGUGGUGGCUCAGGCCGCCCCCCUAAGCGUCCCCACUCUUCGACAAGUUGAAAUCGUGGUGAUAGUUUAUGGGCUGUGGUCUUGGGAUUCUGCAAAUAGAAUGAAAAACAGACACUUAACUAUCUUGUUAUUAAGCAUUUCUGCAUCAUUCAGUUGCUCUUGAUUUUCGUCUUUUAAGCGAUCUUAUUUCUGCGAUCUGACUUGAGGAGGGUUUUUAGACCUAUGGUUGUGGGUGUUUUCUCUGACCCCAUUAUCCGAGAUUUGUAGACUUGCGAUCGGCGGUCAAACAUUUUGUGAUUCUUGUUUUCUCUGCCUUUCGGUCGUUAAGCGCCGGCAGUCUUUAGAUCUUUGGCAAAUCAAUUUAAUACAACCGAGGUAUGUUUUAUAACUGCUGUCUUUCAAUUUUUGUUCUGUAUUUUUGUUAAUUUGGAUGAAGCUCUAAUAAUUUUGUUUUGGAUCAGUUGUGGUCCUCUGUUAGGAUUUUCCUGGCUAAGAGGGUAUUUGCGUUUUUGUUGCUUGGUUGGUCGAUCACAGAUUUACGAACAGCUGUGGUGGUCCUGUUAUUUUUUUGGUAUGUUUUUUCUCCUUUUUGGUUUUUUCCCGGUUUGAGCACCCAUUCAUGAAGAAUUAAAAUGUGUUUAUAGUUUUUCAGGAGAGAUUAGAAAAGUGAUUUCAAUUUGGGAAAAUUUAAUGUUGGUUAAAAUUUGUUUAUAAUUUUUGGGAAGGAAUGAGAGGACCCAUUGAAGUAUGUGUUGUGAUUAUUUUUUAUUCAUAUUUUUAACAAAUUGGGCAUGAAUUGGUAGGUUAACUGUGUGUGUUUAUUAUUUGAAUCGGCCAUGUUUGUCUUUCUAUGGUUCUAAAAAAUUUGUAAAGGCUGUUAACUUGGAAGAAAAUGGGAUCGAGGGUGAGGGGAAAACGGCAGAGAAAGCAUGGAAGAGAGAUUUGGGAUUAGGGGUAGGAAAACAGAUGAAAAGAAUAUGAUAGAGGAAUGGGUUCAGUUCAUUUUCACUAUUUUUUUUAACUGAUUUGGAUUUUGUUUGGGUUUGAGGCCAUCAUUGGCGUUAAGACGUUUAUUAUCAGAUCGUGUGUUUUUUGCUAACUUUUAUUGGUAAUUUUAAUGUUGUUCUUAUGAUUUUGUGUGGUAGGGUUUCUGAAUUUUAUCGUUAUUCAUUUGGUUUUGUGUGUGUGUUGGUUUGUUUAUUUUGCAGGUUGUGUUUGUGCUGGGACAACAUUUUCCACCUUCUGUUUGCACUGGGAUGAUUGCGUUUUAAAACUGUUGGGGUGAGAUUUACAUAUGGAAUCAUUCCAUUUUUUUUCUUCCAAAUAUGUGCAUUUAGUUCUCUUUUAUUUUAAAUUUUAAAAAUUAAAUCGUUAUUUGAGUAAAAUGUUUUAUCAGUUUAUGUUAUGUGUUGUGACCAGGAAUUCUGUUGGAUUUGCGAAUUUUGGUUUGAUGAGAGAAAUGAGGAGUUUUUUUUGUUUGAAUUUUUUAUUGGACCGAUUUUCAAUUGGAUUGCAUUCUGCCUUUUUGCACCAUUCUUAUGCAAGCAAUUCAUUGUUUUAAAUACAAUUUGAAGAGAGCUGGGUUGCGGGUUGGAUAUAAAAUGUUAAGGUGAGAUAAAAUCGAGAUACCAAGGGUGGAAGAAUGAUUCAGAAUUGGGGGAGGAAAACAGAGGGAAGAUAGAAGAAUAUAAGAGAAGGAUAGGGUUGACCUCAUUUAGAGUUUUUAUUUACUUAUUUUUUUUUAUAAAUUGAUUCAGGACUUGCAUAUCAUUUCUAAAUUUCUAACAUUUUUGUUUAAUUUGACUCCAGUUGAUGGAAAACAGAGCUCUUACUCCUAUCAAUCAGAUGGUCCCGUACAUAAAUGCAGAAAAAUCAAGGUUCGAGUUUGCAGAGUAUGCAGACCAAGGUUUCCCGAAACUACUGGUGCAUAUUCAGGCUUGCAUUGUAUAUUACUUACCUAUUAAAAAUUUGUUUGGAAUUUGCUUUUCCCACAGAGGAGAAGAGCUGACAGUUACGCUGUGGGCAGAUGUUGCUCGAAGUAUUGCUUCUUUAUCCAUUGAAUCAUUGUCUCUGCCGAUCAUUGUGGUUUUCACAAGUUUAAAGGUCAAGCUGUACCUAGGUAUUUGACUUAGUUAAAAACUAAUCUAUUUACUAUUAAUUUUUCUAUUAUAUUCAAACGUUAUUUAAUAUAUACUCUACUAAUAUUUUCUUAACAUGUCACACAAACAUAUUCACUUCUUUUGAUCAAUUUUUUUACAGCAUUUCAUAUAAAAGCUAACAUUUAGUUGAAAUUGAUUAGCAACUCUUUUCUUGCAUGUAUACAUACGAAUUAAACAAUAGUAUUAAACUAUUUGUUAUCAUUCUCAGUAUUUGUUUUAGAAUUAGAUUAAUAUAUUUAACCUGUUUUAGAAUUAGAAUUAUUUGGUAUCACUCUCAGUAUUUGUUUUAGAAUUAGAAUUAGAUUAAUAUACUGAGAUUAUUUAGACAAAUCUAGCAUUUUCUCAAAAUAUUUGACUUUUAAACUUAGAUUAAUAUAUUUAGCAGUUUUUUAACAUGCAAUUUUUCAUUAAUUUUUCAACACACAGACAAGAUAGUCUUGAACACCAUUGGUUCAUCACUUUUCUUCAUUGAUCUAGAUAUUCUGGAAGUAAAUUCAUACAAAUCAGUGUAAGUGUGUUUACUUUGUUUAAAAAAAUAUUAUAUGCUCUCACAAUAAAAGAAGGGCUAUUCUCACAAAAUUUAUGAACUAAUGUUCUGUUUUAACCUCUACAGCUUUUCCAAAUGCACAGAACCUCUAAAAAUACUGCCACCUUUUACAAAACAGGCCCGUGAAGCUCAAAUCUUGCAGACAGCGAAGGUCACAAUUGCAGACGCUGAAAUUUUCAUGCCAAAAUAUGAUGUGGAGGAUGAGAAAUUGUUUGCUGUUGUUCUCUUUUCAGUUUUGCAGGCGAUGAUCUUUUACCAAAUGUCGAGGAGCUUCCAUGGGACAUGCUCUAUGCUCUCGCUUCCCAGUUGCCUCUGUUGGGGUUGGAAAAGCUACAGAUCACAAUGUAAGUCAAAAACAGUAAAGUUCCCAAGAUGUUCUGUGCUGGAGCAGAUUUAAAGGUACGAAUUUUUAAUUUUUUUGUGAAGUCGAUGUUUUGUUUUAAAAGGAGUUUAUAAUGGAUUGAUUGGACAAGUACAGCGUGUUUUGCAGAUAAAGGGCCCUAGCCAAUUUUCUAUGACCUAUAAAGCAUUAACCAAAUUGGGUUUUGUUUGUUUGGUAACAGGGGUUGUUCAGGUUAGGUUGGAGAGGUUGGAGGUGAGAAAUGCAAUUGGGAAAGAUACGCUGAGAGUUUUACAGAACACCUUUGAAGCUGUCAGUGAGGAUUCUUCUGCUAAUGUUUUGUUGAUCAGCAGUAAAGUUCCCAAGAUGUACUGUGCUGUAGCAGAUUUAAAGGUAGGAAUUUUUAAUUUUUUCGUGAAAUCAAUGUUUUGUUUUAAAAGGAGUUUAUAAUGGAUUGCAUGGACAAGUACAGAGUGUUUGUUUGUUUGGUUGAAUGUAAAAAGGAAUUGGAAGAAUGAUGAAAGUACUUGCAUUUGGUUGUAGUUGGUCAGGCACUGAAGGACCGGUCAAUACGAAGUGCAUCUGUGGGACAAUAGUUGAAAGAAGGCCAGAGCAGGAAGAGAAGGCAAGGUUUGUGAAGAAAAACAGUGAUGUGUUUAAUUAGAAGAAAUGUGCAUUUUUUUUUCCCAGUCAAAUUCUGCUUUUGUUCUGACUAUUUUCCUUACUGUAUGCUGAUUUUAUUAUUUAAUUUUUGGUUUUUCCUUGAUUGGCUUGGGAAUUACAAUCAAAUGAUGAAUCUUCAGUUUACUUGGGUAAGCAUUUUUUAACAUAUAAUUUAGCUGACCAUUUUAACUGUCAGACCAUGUUGUUUUUGGUUAUCUAAUCAUUCCAAGAUGGCAAGUUAGGAUUGGAAGGGUUGCUAGAAAUAAGGAUUAUAUCUUGGGACAUUCGGUGAGUGAUUUUUCAAACUUUCAGUUUUACAAGACAAAAUAUCUAUUUUUGUGUGUAUUCUUCAAGCAUGUUAUCAUUAUUUAGGUUGUAGGAAAAAAAGAGAGUGACUUGAGGUGUUUUUAGAUAUUUUUGUGUGUAUUCUUCACAAUGUAUUAAAAGCGCGAGGCGUGGGCGAGGCGUCUGAGGGAUAGCCCACGCCUCACGCCUUACGGGACCUAAAUUUUUUAAUAUAUACACUGAGCGUACACAUAUAUUAUAUUAAAAAAAAAUUAUUAAUCAAUAAUUACCCUGAGCGCACAUAUAUAUUAUAAAUACAUAUAUACACAUAUAUAUACAUAUAUUAUGUUAUAUAUAUAUAAAAUAGAGGAUGAAAAGCACAAUGAGCACACAUAUAACAAUGCAUGCAGACGGCACACAAUAUAGUGCAAGGAAUAGGUAUGAGGUAGUUAAAACCCUACCCAAAAUCUGGGUUUGGGAGUAAAAAUAAAAAAUAAAAAAAAAAUUGCUUGAGGCGCGUCUAGGCGGCUCCGACAACGCCUUCCGGCGCCUUCCGCCCACUCCCUCAAAACAAAGGCGGCAACCCUCAAGUCCAGCCUCACAGGGUGCCUAGGCGCACCCUGAGGUGAGCCUUUUAAAACAUUGAUUCUUCAAGCAUGCUAUCAUAAUAUUUGUAACUAUAAAAAAUAAUAUACUAUUAUACCUCUGUUUCUCUUUUCUUUGUUUUCAUGAGAAAUUAAUUGCCAUUGGCAGCACUAUAGAAAGCCAUCUUUCUCCAUUAUUCUCCGCUUCAUGCAUAAUUACAUAAUUCUACUAUCACAGUUGUCAGUCCUGAACAAUCAUGCAAGUCUAGUGGCAAAAACCACCUCAAUGAACAACUCUCACACACACACAGACACUGAUCAUACAUCUCUAACUCUCUUUUUCAAAUAACACACACUCUGAUCCAAAACAGGGUAAAUAAAAUGCACAUCCUUAUACAUUUCUAACUUUGUUUUUCGAAAUCCAAAAUAGGGUAUUCUAACUCUCUUUUUCAUUCAUUUCUUACAAACCAAUCAUACAUUUAAAAUAGGCUUUGAAUAAAAAUAGGGUAUAUAAUUAUAUACCUCAAAAUGCCUAGGAACCAACUUCCCCCUCCAACGAUUCAAAUUCUUGAAAUUGCCAACACAGUAAAUCCAUUAGUACUAUAUAAAUGAAAACACAAUUGAAACCCAUCAAACAAAACAAUCCCACAAUUUAAAUGAUUCAAUCCUACUACAAUUGAAAUUCACAGAAAGAAUGAAAAACCAGAACAAAACUGCAGCACCUAAAAAGUUGUCAUACAAAAAAACAUGGAAUGUAAAAAUAUGUUAAGAAAUCUAGUUCGUUAAUUUCCAGCUGCUAAGUGGCAUUAUGUAACUUUAGUAGUAUACUAAUUAACUACUUAUCUGGUGGGUUGCACUUUUAUCCAAUUGGUAAGGAAAGGAAAAUAAAAAUCAACCCCUUGGUCUUAGUUGUGGCUGCAAAGUGCAGGCCACCACCAAGUCUCAGUGUUUGUGUUUUAGCAAAACACUUAAAUAAAUUAAAUUCUGAAAUGUAAAUUAUAUUCCUAUAACUUUAAGAUGCACAUAUAGUAUUGUUGAAGUCGAACUGAAAGCACUGACAAUUCCAAGCAACAGAGCAGCAAUUAUUAAGAGCCAAAACUCAUUCCUAGUCUCCUCAUCCUGGUACUCAACUCCGUAAUCUUUGGUCAGCAUCAUUGACUGAAAUUAGGAGAGAAAAAGAAAAGGAAUUUCAGAAAUUGUCUAUGAAGCAAAGGAUACUGCAGUUACUUCAAGACAUGUAAAUUGCAUAUGUAUAAAGUAAUUUUCUACAUAAAGUAAUGAGGCAUAACUUUCUCUCUCCUCUUCAAACCCUAAACAGAGCAAAGCAACAAACUUUACAGAGAUUAGAAUGAGAACUGGAACUAAUCGAACAAUGACUGAAAAGUAACAUACUUGAGGAGUGAAUGAUUUAGUGUUUCCAUCAUCGGAAGCCGGAGUAAGUCGCUAAGAGAGGUCGCAAACAGCCCAAAGGGACAAACCCAGAUCCCCGGCCCCGAUCCAUACCCUUCCCCCUCAAAUCCCGACGGCCCCCAUACUUUUCUCUGACUGUACCCCCUCUCCCACUCAUGAAAUCGAGGAUCUGUAGCAAUGGUACUGAGAUCCCCACUCCUCCCUCUCCCUUUCUCUCUGUCGCUCUGUCUCCCUCUCCCUCUGUCUGUCUAUCUUUAUCCCAGAGCGGCAUGGCCUCCCAUCCCUGAAACCCUCACCGAAAGGUGGCAAUUUUGUAAAUAACUUGAAAUCCACCAACAACAGGGGCAGAGAAUUGAAACAAACAUUUAGGCUCGUUCGAUAACCAUUUAGGCCAAAACUGAGCACACCUAAACCAUUCCUACCCGUGCCAAAUGUUAGUGGGGAAGCAAGAUGAAGACUUAUUUUUCAAAACCAAAAGAAAAAAAAAAGAGAAAACAAAAUAACAAAUCUAAUGGUUGUAGUGUAAAAGCUGAGAACGUAAAUAAGAGCAGUUCCAGCCUUGUAAAUAGGCCGGGGGACAGGGGAGAAGAAAAGGCCUGAGGGCCUGUCAAGUUGCUCCAGCUAUGAGGAGCCCGAGCUCGUGGAGAAGGCCCGAGCAGGGGGUCUGUCAAUUUGUGACAGCCUCGGAGCCCGAGCUCCAAGCCCAUUUUUUAUUUUUUUCUGUCAGGCGCGUGCACCCCACUCGCGCGUGGGGGCGCGUCGCCCGACAACUUUUCAGAAAAACAGACAACUUUUCAGCCUUUCACAGUUACCGUUGGGAAGCCACGUGGCUUCCCACGGUCUGUUCGAUCUCAACGGCUCCUUCAUUUGGACCGUUGGAUCUCAAUGGUAAAAAAAAUAAAAAAAAUCUGAUUUAAUAUCAACCGUUCGAUCCGAGAUCAACGGUCGAUAUUAAUAUGCUUUAUAAAUAAAGAAAAAAUAGUUUUAAAAUUAAGAAAAGUUACCGUUGUGACACGUGGCACAAUCUGGAGUGUUGGAAUUCAAAAUUUUUUAAAUCCAACGGCAGAAAUUAAUUAUUGGAAUUUUUUUUUAAAAAUGGAAAAAAUCCGAAAAAAUUGUAAAAAAUCUGAAAUUUUUUUUGUAAAAAUUUGUUUUUACUUUUCUAUAAAUACCACUUCUUCUCUAUCUACCUUACACCACAAUUUCAUAUUUUCUCAACUACUUUCAAUCAAAUUCCUAUCUUUCUCUUAAAGUUUCAAUCCAAUUUUUUUCCACAAAAUGGCUACUGAUGCAGGUUCGAAUUGGUCGCUUCUUGAAGAUGUUGCGUUGUGCACUAGCUGGGUUCAAGUUACUCAUAAUUCCGUUACGGGUAAUGAGAUGCAGUUGCGAGAAAUGUGGAGUUUAAUUCAUACCAAAUUUGUUGAGCAAAUGAGUGGGAAAAGAACCAAAGAAUCGAUAUCGAGUCGUUGGAAAAUACUUAGCCAUUCCUUUAGUACGUGGAGAGAUGCCUUGACACAAGCUAGUAAUAAUGUUCGAAGUGGGGCAAAUUAUGCGGAUGAGGUAAGAAUAUAUUAUAAUUAUUUGUUUGUAUUAUUAUUUUGUUACCUAAUUUGAUUAUAAUUAUUUGUUUGUUUCAUUUAUUUGUUACCUAAUUUCAUUAUUAUUAUUUGUUUGCAAUAUUUAUUUGUGACCUAAUUUCAUUAUUAUUAUUUGUUUGUAUUAUUUAUUUGUUACCCAAUAAUUUCAUUAUUAUUAUUUGUUUGUAUUAUUUAUUUGUUACCUAAUAAUUUCAUUAUUAUUAUUUGUUUGUAUUAUUUAUUUGUUACCCAAUAAUUUCAUAAUUAUUAUUUGUUUGUAUUAUUUAUUUGUUACCCAAUAAUUUCAUUAUUAUUAUUUGUUUGUAUUAUUUAUUUGGUACCUAAUAAUUUCAUUAUUAUUAUUUCUUUGUAUUAUUUAUUUGUUACCUAAUAAUUUCAUUAUUAUUCAUUUGUAGCAACUUCAAGCACAAGCAUGGUAUGCUGCCAAAAUCAAAUCAAGAAACAAAUCAUUCCACCGAUGGGAAUGUUGGAAUAUUGUUAAAGAUUGUCCUAAAUUCAAAGUUGUGCCUGUUGGUCCAGAAGUAUGCAUGAACAGCAUCCCUCUACACAGCACCUUUGUAUACAGCAACCCUCCACACUCUACACCUGAUGAUGGCACUCAGGUUGAUGAAGAAGAUGUAGAUUUAUUUAAUUUCGUAAUAUAUUUAUCCUAAUAAUAGAAUCUUUAUUCAUCAAAUUGUUCACGUAUAAUGAAAUAAUGAAACACACCAAAUAAAACUAAAAAACUCACCAAUUGGAAUUACAUAAACAUACCAAAUAAAAUUACACAAACAUACCAAAUAAUAAAAAACUCACUACAAAAAACACACCAAAUUAAAUUACAUAAACACACCAAAUACAAACAAAUAUAGUAAAUAAACUUAAGUAUCUUCAGCUUGUUUCAAUGCCCACUGGUGCUCUAUCAAGUCAAUUUGCCGAUCAUUGUGUAUAGAUGACCUUUGAAGUGCAGUAUAUUGUUGAAUAACCCUUUCAUUGUAACGUCCAUCCCUUUCUAAUGGCUCGUGUUGCACGGGUUCUUCGGUGGCAUCAUGCGCACAAUAUAUCCGUGUUCUUGAAUUGUUCAUCGUGUCUGGCUCUGGCUCAUAUUCAUCAACCGCAUCAUAAUCGAACUCAUCUUCCACAAUCAUGUUGUGAAGAAUGACGCACGUCAUCAUGAUGGAUCGAAGUGACUCUACAUCGAACAUUCUGGCAGCACCCCUGACAAUCGCCCAACGAGCUUGAAGGAUACCAAAACAACGCUCCACAUCCUUCCUGCAUCCCUCUUGACAGCUUGCAAAGUGUUUUUCCUUUGCACUUCUCGGACGUGGCACUGUUUUGACAAAUGUUUCCCACUGUGGGUAAAUGCCGUCAGCUAGGUAGUAUGCCCCGUCGUACCUACGUCCGUUGACGACAUACGUGACUUGUGAUGCCUUUCCUUGGAGGACGUCGUUGAACACUAGGGAUUGGGUAAGGACGUUGAGAUCAUUUUGAGCCCGGGAACCCCGAAAAAGGCGUGCCAUAUCCAUGUAUCAAAAGAUGCCACUGCCUCCAAAAUGAUAGAUUUUGCUCAUUUUCUGUCCCCAUAUGCGCCUUGCCAUGCACUUGGACAGUUUUUCCACGUCCAGUGCAUACAAUCGAUGCUUCCUAUCAUCCCAGGAAAACCUCGCAUCUCGCCCUUCUUCAGAAGCCUUUGCAAGUCCAUGUGAGUAGGUCUUCGGAGGUACUCUGCCGUGUACAAAGAUUCGACUGCUCCGCAAAACCUCAUCAGGGCCUCAAGAAUGGUUGAUUUCCCCAUCCUCGUUAUCUCAUCCACUUGGUCUGCAGAUGCUCCAUACGCAAGCAUCCGCAACGCAGCAGUGAUUUUUUGCUCUGGCAGAAGAUCCAUAACACCACAAGCAUCCUUCUUUUGCACGAAGUAAGAAUCAUGGUUGCAAACAUCAGUCAUGAUUCUGUUGAACAAAUGUCGUUCCAUUCUAAAACGGCGUCUGAAGUACGUAUCAGGAAAUGCACUGUUAUGGACGAAGUAAUCGUCCAACAGCUCUUCACCCCGUCGUUGCCUGCUUCUAUCAAGGUUUUUUGAACGGCUGGGCCUGCAUAUCUGAGCAACAGUCUGGAUGACUCGACGAGAAUGUGAGGCUCUGGCCAUUCUUGUUUCGUCAUCUCUCUUUCUACGCUCCUCAUCUUCUUCCAUCUCAUUUCUGCCUAUAUGAAGGUUGAACAUUCCUUCAGAUUGGUUAAACAAUUCUUUCUCUUGCUGAUUGAUUUCCCACAUCAUCCUUGAUGAAGAAGAAGACAUUGUAGGAUGGAUGGUGAAGAAGAAGCAAAAUCUAUGAAUAAUGAGAUUGAGAUGUUGAGAAAAUUGGUGUGAGAUUUGUGAGGAUGGAUGGUGGAUUAUAUGGACGAUUCAGAAAGGAUCGGAUUGUAGAUAAGGCCACGUGGCAUGCCGUCAUUCGUUAAAAAUCUGAUCGAAAUCUGUCCUGAAAGAUUCUGAAAAGAUAAUGACACGUGGCACGAUCGUAUUGGAUAAAAAUCUUAUCGAAAUCCAUCUCCAAUAAUUAUCAUUUUGGAUAAUGACACGUGGCGCAAUUUUGAACGAGUUAAAAUCUGAUUGAAAUCUGUCUUGAAAGAUUCUGAAAAGAUAAUGACACGUGGCACGAUCGUAUUGGAUAAAAAUCUUAUCAAAAUCCAUCUCCAAUAAUUAUCUUUUCGGAUAAUGACACGUGGCGCAAUUUUGAACGAGUUAAAAUCUGAUCAAAAUCUAUCGUCAAAGAUUCUCAAACGAUAACGACACGUGGCACGAUGACAUUUGAUAAAAAUCUUAUCGAAAUCCAUCGUUAAAUAAUUGUUUUUUUUUAUAAAAUGAUACGUGGCGCAACGAUAACGAUUUAAAAAAUCUUAUCCGAAAUUACAAAUAAUUUUAUUUUGUAUUAUUUAAACAAACAAAAAAAACUAAUAUUUUAUUGCCUAUUGCCAGGGGGAGGGCUCCAAGGGUGGAGAUGCAAAUGGCAAUUACUGUUCAUUAAUGUCAGUUACUAUUCAUUCAAGGCAGUUACUGUUCAAUAGGGUGGAUUCAAUAGUGGAUUGCCAGGGGGAAGGUCUUCAUGGGUGGAGUUGCUCUAAACAUGCAGGGAAAAAAAUGAAGAUACAAAGUAGCUGCAUCAUGAAACACAUACUCCAAUUAGACGCAAAAAGUGAUGGUGAUGAGAAGAGAGAAAAUGUUGUCGUUUUGAUUUUUCUGGCUUUUAAAGGGAGCAGCUUUCUUCGACCACCAAAAAAAGGAAGUUGCUUUUCGUGUGGUUGUGAUUUCCUGAGUGUAUGUGAGCGGGUCUAUGGCACUUGCACUGUUUGUGUCGGUUAUGGUAACCGGGCGAGCUGGACACAGUAGCGUGGGACUGAAUUCGGAGAGGUGAGAAAAAUUAAAAACACAAAAAGAAGGUGUUCAUUUUGUCACAUUUUUAUUACUAAAAAUUCAAUAAAGUACAUUCAUUAGUAUGGUAACUUAACUAUUUAAUUCCAUCUCAUUAAACUAAAAAAAACAAUUACAAAAAAAUAAGGAAAACCUUGUCCAGAGAGACCUGAGAGAAAGUGACGACUUCUCCUCUCAUUCCACUCCAUACUUGAUCUCUAAAGUCCAUUUGGCAUGUAAUUGAUGUUCAAUUUCAAAUAAAGUGGUGGCAAUUAGCAAAGCUAAUGAAAGAAUCAAAUAAAAUGAAAGAAAAAGCAUCAUGAAAUAAAUCAAGAUGAAGAAUGAAAUUUUGGCAACUCGCCAUUCUCUUCUUUUAUAUAAAAGAUACAUCCUAUUUGUAGUGAAAACAGGUCCCGACAAACCCAGUUAUCCUCAAGAAGUAUUUUGUAUGACUUUAAAAACAUAAUCCGUGAAAUUAUCUCUUGGCAGAGAACAACAACAAAUCUUCAUGCAUAGCUUGUAGAGAAAGACAUCAGGCAUACAAAAGAACAGGCAAGCAUAAAAUAAACGAUGCAUGGAAAACCAAAAAUACAAUUGAAUAUGCUGUCAAAAGAACAUGAAUAAAUGAAAAUUACAAAACAAAGAAGUGAUGGGAAACCAAAGUAUUCAUAAUCUAAUUGCUUUUUAGUUUGCUUGCCAUUUUUAGUUCUUCAAUUUAGAGAGAAACCAUAAUUCAGCACAUGAAUAAAGUGAAAACGUAAAAGAUACGUGGGAUAAGCUGACAGCCAUCCCUGAGUAAUGCAUUCACUUUUGAACCCCAAACACACCGAAACAAAAAUUCACACACAUGAACUACAGCUCCGCUAUGUAACAAGAAUUAAAAGCAUCUCAAAACAAAAUGGCAAACUAUAAGAGCAUUGUAAAAGUAAAAUUGCAUCUAAUACUUGGAGGGCAAGUACUAAUCAGACGAAAAUGAAAGAUUGAACUACCUCACGUGGAACUGUGCCUUGGUUUUUUCCCAUGCUUACAAGAAGCUUUGCACUGAGCUCUUAUAGCCCAAAUUUUCUCUGAAGGAAAAAAAACACAAUUUUGGAAUAAGAUUUUCAUAUUAUACCUUAAAGAGAAGAAUUAGACAACAAAAAAGAGAACAAUGAGUACUAUUCAUCAUAUAUUGUUAAGAGUAUGUGGUCUUCUAGUCCAAUGGUCCUGCAGUCAUAUUUACUUUAUAACUCUUUCUUUUAGUCUAAAAAAACAUCUUGGAUCUCAAAUUAUUAUGAAUACGGAUUCAUACUUUAUAACUAAAGAUCUUACUGCUCUUGAUAAGAUGAACAAUACGCCAUUUAUCGCAUGCAUUGCAUUACAAUCACAAUGCAACAUCUCAUUAGAAAUCCCCACACAAAGCAGCUCCACUCAUUGUGGUCCUUGCAAACCGAAUUGGCCCAACGAUCAGCGAGAGAAAGGAGACGGCGGCGAGAUGAGGGAUAUGAUGGAUGCGAGAUCGUCUGUAUCGUUAUCGCGGGGGGUCUGCAAGACGGACGAGGAAAGUAGGGUUUGAGAAGGCAUUGUCUUCUCGCGGGGUAUGUGUCCUUCCUAUUCCACGAUUAUCAACACGUGUGCAUCAGGAGGAGCGGCAGAGAGAGGCAUUGUUGUAAAUAAAGUGAAAUCGAAGGGUAAGGGCCCAUUCUUUAAGGUAAUGGCAUGGCCAUAAAUAGAAUGAAAUCCAGAUCAAAACACUGUCAUUUGUACAGUACAAUUUCUCCAUCUUCUUCAGACUAAAGUAAUGUAUAUGUUAUACGCACCAACACAAGUCCUUCUUAGAUAAAUCCAAGCCAAACAAUUACAAACGACAGUUAUUCACAAGAAAAUCACUUUAAAGCAAGAAUUUAAUUAAUAAUACAUUACUACACUUUCUUAACAAUUUGACGGUCACCUAGCUAACAAUGAACACGUUAGCUAUGCGUUAGAACAUAUUGGGUUCAAUCCAUAGUCUUGAAUAUCACCCCGAGUCACAACUGUCUCUUGGGGCAUACAGAAGGCCUGAGAGGCAUUUGCAGACAUUCAAUCUCUCCUCCAAGCAUUUCGACAACUUUGGAAAUCGAAAGGCGAUCACUUGGUUUCAUUUGAAUACACCACAAGGCGGUUAUAACCAUCUUUCUUAUCACUUUCUUUUCCUCCUCUGUAACAUUGUCUAUUUCCAAGUCAUUUCCCACAAUAUACUGAUCAUAUACCCACAUCGGGAAGUAGAUUUGGCUUGGAUGCUCUACCGUUGCAUUCAAAUUCUUCCUUCUGCUUGCCAUUUCCAUCAACAACAUUCCAAAACUAUAGACAUCGGCCUUGUAUGAGACACCUCCAAUAUUUUUGUAGAACAACUUAGGAGCAAUAUAUCCCAUUGUACCCGUGUUGCCGUCAAAGAGACAAUGAGAAAACUCUUGAGUUCUUCAGAAACCACGAGAAACUUAAAACUGAGAAAGCUUCGUGAUCUCCCUUCCAUCUCUGCUACGCAAUCUCUGCUUCCUCCGUGAUUUCUUCCUUCCUGAUCGACAUCUAUUCGAAUUGAAAACCUUCUGGAGCUCACUACCCCCUUUGUCAGCAGUAAUUAGGGGUGGGUUCAAAAAACCGAAAACCGAAAAAAAUCGACAACCGAACCGAACCGAGGCCGAAAAAAACCGAACCGAAAAAAAACCGAACCGAAACUGUCAAACCGAACCGAACCGAAUCUGACCGGUUCGGUUUCGGUUUUUGAGGUUCAAAAACUGAACCGAACCGAACCGAACCGAUAUAUAUAUAUUUAAUUUUUUUUUCAAUAUUAUAAAUAGUUUAGGCAUACAAUCAUAACAAAACAGAACUUGUUGCCAAGUUGGUUUAAGCGAAAUUUUUCACACUGGUGGCAAUGGGUUCGAACCCUCAUGCCUUUAGGAUUUAUGAGAUUGUUUUUUAAUUUUGUUGAGAAAUCAACAAAAUCCUUUAACCCUAACUUUUUUAUUUUUCAUUCCCCUCUUCUCUCUCUUGUUCCCUGCCUCCAGUCCAAACUCCCUCCAUGAACCCUAACCCAGUAACCCUCUCGCGCCGCCUGAGCUUCCUGUCUCUCUCGCUCGGUCUUCAAUCGCUCUGUCUCUCUCAAUCUCUCAGGCAACCCGCGACAGUGCGACCCUUCUCACUCUCAAUCUCUCACACCUCGCCCUCUCCAUCAGUCUCUCAUCUCGCCGUUUCGAGUCUCGAUAGCAAAAGGUUAGCCUCCUCUCUCUCUCUCUCGGUCUUCAACUUCAAUCACUCUCUGUCUCUCUCAAACUCUCUGUCUCUCUCGGUCUUGAAUCUCAGGCGACCCACGACGGGGCGACCCAUCUCACUCUCAAUCUCUCACACCUCGCCCUCGCCGUCAGUCCUUCAUCUCGCCGUGAGCUUCUUCUUGCCGUUUCGAGUCUCGACUGCAAAAGGUUAGUCUCGCCGUGAGCUUCUUCUUGUUCGUUCGCAGACGGAAGCUCUCUACUCCAAACUCUACGAAAAGUACACAAAAAUCAAGGUGUUCUGUGUUCUUUCCCACUUCUUUACAAUUUUUUUUGCUCAUUCAUUUUUUUUUGCUUAAUCAGUUAAUUGUAUGUUAAAUUUGCUCAGGGGAGAAAUUUGAGGUUAGGGAAAUAGAAAGUAAUUGUCUUUUUUUGUACUUUUGAAUUUUUUUUGCUCAUUCAUUUUUAAUUGCAUGCUAAAUUUGAGUUGGGAACUUUUGCUUACUUGUUACCCAGUUGGAUUUUUUUGAGCUACUUUUGCAGUUUCUUUCUUCGUCUUAAUUUGGGAACAAUUUGAUCAUGUUUGACUUAUCAUUUUGUUAUUGGAGGAAAUCAGCAGCUUUAUGGUUUGGCAAGGUGUAGUGACGAUAGAUAGCCUACUUUUAUGUAUAAUUUGAAAGAGGAUGGAGAUAAGUAUAUUUCUCUGGGAAUCAGAGCUUCCAUGAUAUGUGAUUACCUGUUAUCUUUGAAUUUCUCUUCCGACUCUUGUAUUUCCUUAAGUGAAACUAUGGCCCUGCAAAUUUGACAUGUUGUUGAAGGUUGUAAAUCAUAUGUUGUUCUUUUAGUGGUAAAAAUCUUGUUAAACAUGUAUUUUCAUUUAGGUUAUGGACUCUUGGACAUGCUAAGUCAUGAUGGAAAAGACCAAAGAUUCAUUGGUAACGUGUUCUGAAAAGUAGCAUAGGCAUUGCAAUUCUCUGAGUAGCGUUUUAUUAUGGAUAACGUUUUUGGUGCUGAAGGAAGAUUUCCAUCAAACCUAGCAUCAAUAGAGCAUAUUGUUUCUUGACUACAUUAUGUAUGAGUAUUAGAGUUUAAAUUGUAAACGGAUCUGGACAAUAUAUGAAGUUGGUAUUGAUUUCUCUCAGAGAACAAAUAGAAUUGAACAUCCAGGCUUGUUCUUGUUGACAUGAUUUAUAUAAGAUAUACUUAUAUCACUUUAGAGAAAACUGGUUAUAUGCAUCUGUAUUGUCUCAAAUUAAUUUUAGGCUUCCCUUCAAAGCGUUCUUUUUGUCCAUCCAUCUGGGUGGUGUUCAAUUUUAGAUUAUCCUUUGAAUACUAGACGUCCAGAUAAUGGCUUUGUGGUCCUUCAAAUAAAUUACUGAUAAUGUUCAUGCAGUUGAUGGUGAAACAGGUAUGGUAAUUAAACGACUUCAUGUUUAGGAAUGAUAGGCUUGUACUUUGUAUUUUAAAGAUGUGUGCAUUUUUCAUAUAAAUUUUGUUCAUUGUGUUAGAAUGCUUAUAUUAUAAUUGUGUUGGAGAUGUUAAAAUUUUAGAUUUCAAUUUUGUUUUCAUUUUUCCCAAAAAAAAAAAAAACCGAAAAAAACCGAAACCGAAAAAAACCGAAAAAAAAAAUGGACCGAACCGAACCGAACCGUUUUGAACCGAACCCAGCUCUAGCAGUAAUAAUUUGUUUUUGCAGCUUUAUGUGUCUCUGUCUCCAAAUAUGAUGAUCUCUUAAUUUGCUUCUAUAGCUUUUGUAAUAUGAUGAUCUCUUAAUUUGCUUUUGCAUAUCUUCUUUGCUUCUUCUGCUAGCUCUAUAUGAGAUUCCAUCUCCAAAUAAUUGUUCCCUAUUUCCUAUUUUUACAGGAAGCAAAUCAUUGAAUACACAUGGAAAAUUAAAAUGGUUUCAGUUUUUGGUUAGUUUAAAUUUUUUGUUGGUUAUUGCUUGUAUUGUGAAAUCUCGUUCCCGGAUUUCACUGUUAUAAUGUACGUGUUUGUAUUCUCGAGAAUUUAUAUUAAGUUAUUUGAAGUUAUACUUUAAUUAAACUAGUUACGAAGGUUAGAGUUUGGAAAUUAAUUAUUUAAAAUUCGUAAACCGUCCGAGGUCACAAUUUAUAUCUGUGGAUAGAGCUAGGGGUGGGCAAACGGGUCUAGGAACCGCGGGGCGGGUCGGGUCUAGCCGGUUCGGGGCGGGUACAAGUUUUGUAAACUCAAAACGGGGCGGGUCGAGGCGGGUCCAUGUAAUUGGCGGGGCGGGGCGGGUCUAAAUUUCUGAAAAACCGGGUACCCAGGCCCGGACCGUUUCCACCGUCCAUAUACGAAGAUUAAAUCUCUACCAUUCAUUACUACCACUCUUUCUCUUAGUCGCUGACUCUCGCCUCCUCUCUCGACUUUUCCAGGAUCCAUCCUCUCUCAAGAUGGACUCAGCGCCUACUCCACCGCUCACUCCUCCUCUCGUUGAAGCCACGGCGGUCUUCAUCGGUGCUACCCCUGCCCCAUAUUCUCUCAGAUCAGAGUCGUCACUCCCCUCUCCCACUCGAGUCGAGGCCUCUUGUGAACACCACCACCGCCGUCGAAACCUCCUCCAUGAAAGACACCUUCUCCAAAUAUUCUGAUUACCUCAACAAUCUCGUAAUCCCUAAUUUAAUCUUCACCAAUUUGCAGCUCUGUGAGCGACUCGAAGGUUUGUAGAAUGACAAGCGGGAAAGGGUUGUAAAAGCAAGUCGCGAUAUCACCAUUAAUAGCAAAAAGGUCAUCUUUAAGGUUCACAGGUAAGAAAGCUGCGACCUUUUGCUUCAAAUUUUGUUUCUGUUUUUUGGGUUUUUGAUUUUGGAUUUUGGUUUUUUUUUUUAUAAUAAUUUUAUUUAUAUCAUCAUUGAAAUGAUGUUGCUGUGGAAUUUGAACUUGAACAGAAUCAAUAAACACAACAAAGAGGAAGUUCUGCAGAAAGCUGAAAAGGAUUUAGUAGCUGUGAGUCUGCGACAGAUCAGUACAUUUCCCAGCUUGUUAGAGAGAUGCAGGCUAAGUUUUUUUCUUUUAUUACUGUUACUCUGGGAUUCUUUGAGAAAACUUGAAGCUUGAAUUGUUUUUGUUUUCUGGGUGAUUUGGAAAAUGGGCGAAAAAAAAAACAAGGACCCGUGUACCCGGCCCAAACCGGCCCGUUUGAAAAGGGUCGGGUUAGGUCCGGUUUCUAUUUUAAAAUUUGUUGCACCCGGCCCGCUCCGGCCCGUUUCUUUUACACCCGGGUCCGGUCCGGUCCCUUCAAAAUUGGGCCCGGCCCGGCCCGUGCCCAGCCCUAGAUAGAGCUCGAUCUCACGAACGCGUAGGCGCAAAUCGUUCAUGAAACAGAUCUAUAACGAAGAAGUUAUAGACGUUUUAGUUGUUGGAAAAUAAAUAAUUAAAUGUUUAGAAGCUGCCAAGUGGCAGCAAGGGAGAGGGGAGAAAGGAGAGAGUGCGGGAGAGAAAAGAGGGGGACACCCAAUAAGAAAGGAGAAAGGAGGGAAAUGAGAGAAAAGAAAAAAAAAAAGGGAAGAAAAGGGAGAAACGGGUUCGUACGACCCGUGGGUAUUGCCGGCCACCCAUCUCCAUUUGCCGACGAUUUUCCGACGAAUUUCUUCAAACAACCACUUGGAAACACUCCCUUGUCCUUCCCUCUACAUGUUUCACCCUAAAAAUAAAAGGUUUUGGACUUGAAUAGGGAGAAACCGCACUAAGGGUGUAGCGGGUGUGUGUGUCAAAUCUCCCAAAUCCAAAAUGUUUACACCCAACGACCACCAUCAAAAGACUUUCCUUAAGCCCCUGAACAAAGCCCAGGCAGUGGUGGAGACGUCGGAGCAAGUUUAGAGGUCGAAUUGGAGCACACCCAAUUCUAGGGUUCUUACGGGUUUUAGAGAAAUUGGAAUACUUCUUGAUCAAAUUAGCCUUGGUCACAGGUAUAAAGUUUACUCUACUCAUUGAGAUCUUUAUUUCUGUAAUUUUUGGUAAUUUUUAAAAAUAGUUGAAUUUUUCCGGCAAAUCGGGGCGGCCGACCGCCACCCGCUGCGGCGCGUGCGGCGGCGGCCUGGCCAGCGAGCCAACGAUGUCCUUUUAAGUUCAAUUAGAUGCCCUGAUUUCAUAACUGACAUCCUUAUGUUAUGGUUUGAUUGUUUAAACCUAAUUUCAUUACGAUAUGUGGGUAGGUCAAAAUGUGAUUCGACGAUCCGACCGUUGGAUCGUCACCAAACUUUAAUGCGUCAUAGAAUGUAAUAUUUGAGGAUGGUUGGAACUAACGGAUUGGGAAUCUGAUGUAUGGAACUUCCUGAUUUGGAUUUCUAAGUUUGUAAAUCAAACAUUGGUCACCACUUGAAAUUGUAAAAUCAAACAUUGCAUAUAAGCAUGCUAGAGCCUUUAAUUGUUAAUUACAUGUAUAUGUGUUGCUAAAAUGAACUUAGUUUAUCAAAUUUUUAUUUCAAUAUCAACUUCUAUGGCAUGCGUGGUGUCUCAUGUCAAUCACACAAAUGUUAUGUAAAAAGAAUAUACACGUUGUGUUGCAUGAUUGACAAUUAACGACACAUAGUGUUAUAACCGUGUCAAUGUUAUGAAGGUUUUUAUGCAAAGUCACUUGAUAUGCCGCAACAAUUAGUAAACAAUAUUAGAAAGACCUAGAGGAACCCACAAUUAAUUCCGAUUCAAUAAGUAGGUCAUGUGCAAGCAAGGCAUGGGCUUCCCAUGGGUAGGAGCUGGAAUUUACCCAUAUUUGGUAGUUAUGUACCAUAUGUUUACCCGCAUGACGCUGAGUGUAAUCCUUCUUAAGGUUCAACAAUAUUGUUUCUAUUAACAAAUAUAAAUAAAAAAUAAGCAAAAUACUAGAGAGAUUACACGUUUAUAUUACAUUGUUGUACCAUAUUGUGAUAUGGCUGUGUACAUACCAUGUCUUGUAAUGAGUUUAUCUCAUUAGAUGUUAGACUGUUAAUUAUAUGUAUCACUUGUCAUAUCAUACAAUACAUCAAUAUGAUAUAAAUAUGCCAUCUCUCAAACAUUACUCUUAUCAGAAACCCCAAAAAAUAGGAAAUGCUCUAUACUAAAGCGGAAUGAGAAAAACAUUGUUCAUAGGCAACAGUAUUUUUACUUUUUUGCCCUCAUUUUUAAUGUUUCUGUGUUCCUACUUUUAUGCCUCUAUACGGUGAAAUCGCCAAUUGACCUAUGGGCAUGGGUGUGUAUAAAAAUUGUUUUGCACACGUGGCGUGCUAGGGAGAUUUCUCUGCAGCACUGCUUCAUUAACUGUUUCAUUUCUCUGCACCGUUUCCUUCUAGCUCCACUCCGAAUUGAUACCGAAUACUGGUCAACCAAAUUUUCUCAUCAUUUCGUUCCGUCCUUCUCCACAUCUUCAUUCUUGCUCCACCAUGAAUCGAAACAAAAAAUUGCUCAUCCAAAUUGUUUGGUAUCAGCCGCUCCAAGGAGACAAAUUGCUGAGAAAAGUAAAGAAUUCAGAUAAAAAGUGAAAUUGUUCAUUCAUAACCUUUAGGGAAAUACAGAUGGGUUCUUUAUACCCCAUUUCAGCUACUACAGACAAAAGGUUAGGUAACCCCAAGUGCUGAGUCACCAUAUUCUAAUAUUCCAUUACAAUGCAAAGGAAAUAACUUAAGGGAAUGAGCUAAAGCAUAUCAAGGUCCUAACACAAGUCAAUUUCAGUUAACUCAAAUCCCUAAAACCCAAUUUUCUCCAGAUCGUUGGAUUUAGUUUGCUGUUGUUGUUGCUAAUCUACAGGUAAAGCUUAAAUUUACAUACAAUUUUUUAUUUUUCUUGAUUGGAAUUUGGAAAGAAUUAGUUGUUCUUGGAAAGAAUUACAGAAAAUUGGAAAAGGGAAAUGGGAAAGCGAGGAAAUGCAAGAAAAUGUGUUUGGAAAAUGGAAAAUGACUUUUCUUUGGCAUUCGCUUUGACUUUCAUCCUUUCUGCGUUUGCUUUUCCUCAUUUUUUUUCUCAAGAACCAAACAUAAAAUAAAUAAAUAAACCUAUAAAAAAAAGAAAAGGAAAAUCACAAGAUUAAGAACCUGGGAAUGCAACAAUCGAGCUUCUGUGCCGAAAUAUCAAUUGGGUCCCGUUGGAUCUUCGGUGCUUCUUCUGCAUUCAAAAAGUUGGGGUAUUUCUGCAUCAUUUUUGUGUGUAUUUUUAAAUUCCAGAAGAAAGUGGAUAGAGAGAGAGGAAUAUGCUUUGGGUCGAAAUGGGAACACAAUUCCAAAUUCGCCCUCAAUCCCAAAGUUCAGUAAUUUAUGCAAUUUUUGUCGAAAUUGAUAUUCUUUAUUGCUGAUAUUUGUUAAAAAAGAGGGGGAUAAGAGCAGUAAAAAGAAUCUACAGAAAAUAUUUGUUUUGGAAGAGUAUGUCUUGAUUGGAUAAAACUCGCACCAGAGGGCGAGCGCAUCUGCUAGUAUGCAUUUAAACUUAUAAGGCUAAAUCCUUUAGGGGCGUUUGUUUGCCCUCCUUAACUCUCAUUGGACUGGACUAGAUUAAGGGUUAGUCCAAUCCCGUGUUUGGUACCCGCUAAAACUAACUUUAAUGAGACUAAAGGGGAUUCGCUCCGACUAUCUCCCUCGCUAGGAGGUCUUAGCGAGAGCGCCCUGUGACUAUGGGACUGCUAAGCCCUUCGGCUGGUAUGUCCUCAUCUCCUCUCAUCCACUCUUCUUUCUCUGUUUUCUUGAGCACCGACAGCCACCAUCACACCACCACUCCCAACUUCAGCGAGAUACACUGCUAGCCCAACACCACUCUCUCGAGAUCCAAGGAAAGCAAGCAUCAUUUGGCAAUUUUUGGUAGAAUUGCAGGGGAAGAAGAAACGAAAUGAAAAGGCUUGAAUUUGUUACAGGCCAUUGAUGGACAAGAUUUUUUUUUUGGGAAAUCGAUGAUCAGGGAUUUUUUUUUGGAGAAAUCUGGAGAUCAUGCAGCUUAUGGAACUCUCUAGAUAGAUUAAAACUCACAUAACCAAUAUGGGCAAUAAUUCAUACCUGAGAUAGAGUUUGAGAGAGCUUAAGCUCUCUGCGUUAAUGGCAGAGCGCCCGAUGGUGCAUCGAUGAUACGUACAACGCCGUAGGUGGAUUCCCCAUGUCCCAAGGGUUCGAGGUUUAGAUUUUUUAGGGUUGAUUUGGUCAGCAUCAAGAGAAAUGGUGGGGGUUCCUUCUCGGAGAUUAGAGAGAGAAAGGUUGUAGAUUAUUGUUGAGGAGAGAGAGAGAGAGAGAGAGAGAGAAAAGUGCAGAGAAAGAAAGAGAGAAUGAAAGAGGGGUCACGGGGUGAGGGACCGUAAGAGCAAGUCCACCCAUGCCAAUCGGCCGGGGGACGGGCUACAGCAAAGGGCCCGAGGGCCAGUCAAUUCAUCUCCAGCCAUGGAGGGCCCGAGUGAGGGUGGGAGCCCGAGGGCCGGGGGGGUGGGUAAUUGACAGGCCUGUGGCCCGAGGCCCGUGACGUCAGGCCUGGGUCCAGGCUAUUUUUUUAUAUUUUUUUUGUGUCAGGCGCGUGCCCCUCACUCGCGAGUGGGGGCGCGUCGCCCGACAAGAAAUCAGACAAGUGGGGUUUUCGGCCAGUUACCGUUGGGAAGCCACGUGGCUUCCCACGGUCCGUUCGAUCCCAACGGCUCUUUAAUACGAGCCGUCCGAUUUGCAACGGUAAUAAAAAAAAAACUGAUUUUAUAUCAACCGUUCGAUCUAAGAUCAACGGUUGAUAUUAAUCUGCUUUAUAAAUUAAAAAAAAAUAGUUUUAAAAUUAAGAAAAGUUACCGUUGUGACACGUGGCACAAUCUGGAGUGUUGGAAUUCAAAUUUUUUUAAAUCCAACGGUAGAAAUUAAUUAUUGGAAAAAAAAAUUUAAAAAAAAUGGAAAAAAUCCAAAAAAAUUGUAAAAAAUCUGAAAAAAAAAAUUGUAAAAAAUUGUUUUUACUUUUCUAUAAAUACCACUUCUUCUCUAUCUAUCUUACACCACAAUUUCAUAUUUUCUCAACUACUUUCAAUCAAAUUCCUAUCUUUCUCUCAAAGUUUCAAUCCAAUUUUUUUCCACAAAAUGGCUACUGAUGCAGGUUCGAAUUGGUCGCUUCUUGAAGAUGUUGCGUUGUGCACUAGCUGGGUUGAAGUUACUCAUAAUUCCGUUACGGGUAAUGAGAUGCAGUUGCGAGAAAUGUGGAGUUUAAUUCAUACCAAAUUUGUUGAGCAAAUUGGUGGGAAAAGAACCAAAGAAUCGAUAUCGAGUCGUUGGAAAAUACUUAGCCAUUCCUUUAGUACGUGGAGAGAUGCCUUGACACAAGCUAGUAAUAAUGUUCGAAGUUGGGCAAAUUAUGCGGAUGAGGUAAGAAUAUAUUAUAAUUAUUUGUUUGUAUUAUUAUUUUGUUACCUAAUUUGAUUAUAAUUAUUUGUUUGUUUCAUUUAUUUGUUACCUAAUUUCAUUAUUAUUAUUUGUUUGCAAUAUUUAUUUGUGACCUAAUUUCAUUAUUAUUAUUUGUUUGUAUUAUUUAUUUGUUACCCAAUAAUUUCAUUAUUAUUAUUUGUUUGUAUUAUUUAUUUGUUACCUAAUAUAAUUUCAUUAUUAUUAUUAUUUGUUUGUAUUAUUUAUUGUUACCCCAAUAAUUUCAUUAUUAUUAUUUGUUUGUAUUAUUUAUUUGUUACCUAAUAAUUUCAUUAUUAUUAUUUGUGGUAGAUUAUUUGUUAUAUAAUAUUUAUUUGUUAUUAUAAUUUCAUUAUUAUUAUUUCUUUCUAUUAUUCAUUUAUUAUUAUUAAUUUUUAUUAUAUUUAUUUUUCCUUACAUAAUUUCUUAAUUUAUUAUUUUGUUAUUUCUUUAUUAUUGUUAUUCCAUAUUAUUUCAUAAUUAAUUUCAUUCAUAUUAUUUAUCUUCCUAGAUAAAUUCAAUAUUUGUCUUUUGUAUAAAUUUCAAAGAGAAUUAUGUUGCAUGAAGUAUGGCCAUGCAUGUUAGUGUCCCAAAAUUCAAGCAAUGGCAUGUUGGAAGUCAUGCCAUUGAAAGCCCGUUACACCCAGGUUGCAUUGAACAGCACCCUCCCAGCACAUUUUGUACACAGCAACCCUCUCCACACUCUACACCCUGAUGGACCUGAUGAAGAAGAUGUAAAGAAGUGCCUGAAACACCCAUUCCUGAACAAGCGUCAAGCGUCGGGGUCGACCGUUUCAUUAAUUAGGCUCAAGGUAAGAAGGCUUCAAAGAGGAAAGGGAGUGCUUCCAUGAAUUAUUUACAUGAAUUUUGAUCAUUGGCUAUUUGACGUUGAAUAAUGACGGCGGGAUUUAUAGAGAUUUGAGCAAAAGAAUUGAGGCAGAAGAAGGCAAGAAUUGCAAAUUUUGAGCAAACAGAACAGAACACAAGAUUGCUACUUAGAACAGGGAAAGGCAAGAGCUACUUAGAGAAGAAACCUUAGAAGAAGAAAAAGAUGAACAAGAGAUCGUCAAUUUGAACACGCGUUUAGGAAGGUGAAUUGACGUUGGCACGGGAUUUGGCGAAAUAUGAGGCUGAAAAGGCUAGAGAAGAGGCAAAAGCUGCAGCUACUGAACAAACAUUUCAAGUUGAACAGAGGGAAAGAGAGCUACUUAGGCAAGAAAGGGAGUUGCUUAGAGAAGAAAGAAAUGCACAACGAGAUCGUGACAUUAUGAACACGCGUUUAGAAGGGAUGUCUCCAAAUUCUAAAUAUUUUUGGAAGUCGGAGAAAGCGGAUGUGGUGCGAAGGAGGCGUGUAAGAGAAGCGAGAUCAAGACAAGAUGGUCCUAGCACAACAAGACAAGAUGAUCCUAGCACCACAAAUUGGUUAAGUGAUGAUGAAUAGGGUACUUUUUGUAAUCGGACCCCAUAGUUUUCCGAUCACUUUGGGUUGUAAUUUAUUAUUUAUGUUGUUUCCAAUUUAUUGAAGUUAGUACUUUAUUUAACGUGAGAGUACAUUUAUUUAAUUUCGUAAUAUAUUUAAAAUUAAACUACAGUCAAUGACGUGUCCAGAUGCGUGUCCAUAGGCAAGACACGAGUACAGACGUGGCAAGAGACGAGGGUUGUACAACCAUGAGCUUGUGUCCGUGGCAAGGACAACAAAGGCUUGGGGCUUAGGAUGGCAGAGGAAAUACCACGGCAAGCUAGAGCCACCGACACAUCGUCGUUGCCGCCAAACUUACGUAAAAUCGUUAGCACAAAAAGCCGCCAAGGGUUUCCGCUCACUGGGAAAAAGAUAAGAUUUGUGAACGCCAAGACCACAUGGGUCACAACAUAGCAAAAUUGAAAUCUUUGUCAUCCUCAGCAUUAUCCGACCGCUAUCCACAAAUUGAAGCAACGAAUUGGGCAAGUGUGCAACAAAUUUCCAAUGUGCUUCUAUUGUGAAUGAUUUACAGGGAUUGGGUUGAAUGAGGUUUGUAGUUAAAGUGGGAUGCAAUUUAGAACACCAACGUUUGAUUAUGUUUCUCUCAUUUUUUUCUGUUCACUUUUGCCUCAUUUGUUUUUUUUGUUGCAUCGUCUCAAAAACCUUGUGCGUCUACAUGUACAUGUAUAAGUAUAAAUUUUGGUUAAAACAAAAAGUCACAUAUUUCAUAAUUAACUAUUUAAAUUUGUUGCAAAUCACAGUAUAUCUUUGUUCAUACAUUCAAACAAGCAUGACAAAUACUGAGGAAGAAAAUGAAAAUUAUUGUCACUACAAUUGUAUAUAUUUUUUUCUUUUUGAACAAACGAUAUUAUCUACACUAAGGGGGUGAGGGAGUGGCCUAAGCCUAACAAUGAGCUAGCAAUAAUAUAGUUCAAUUUGCCUUUGAUGAGAAUCGAACAUAAGACAUUUCACUUACAAGUGAAGAGAAAUAUCCUAGACCCUAACUGGAUAUGUUAUUGUCAUGGUCAUGCAUUGGUAUAGUAACAAUAUGUUUGGAUAAGGACAAUAAACUUAUAAUUUUGCCAAAAGUCAGAAUUUUUAAAUUGACACAAUCAAUUCCUUUGUUUGGAUUCAUAAAUAUAGAAAUUUAGACUUUCCGCGUGAGAAAAAACUUGGAAUUUGGUACCUUCAAUUCUCAUGUUUAAAUUUCAUGUAAAUAUGUGUCAUUUAUAAAUUUCAGUAAGUGAGAGUUUAAAAAUAACAAACAUGUAUUCAAAUUUCAUUCAUCCUUUAGGUUAACCAAACAAGAAAAUUUAUAAAUUCUAGAAAAUAAAAUUUCGUUAUUUCAUUUCUGUUAUUUUAAAAUUUUUAGGGCAUGUUUGGUACUCUACUUGAAUCUAACUUUUUAAACUCAAAAACAAUUUUCAAGUUUUAGGCCUUAAAAACUUGUUUGGUAGAACUAUUUUAAAAAACUGAACUUAAAACUAACUAAAAAAUAUAAUCUAUUAUCUAAAAACACAAAAAAUGAGUUUUUAGAAUUUGUAAACUUAAACUCACUCCUUUCUUUUCUCUCCCUGCUCCCCUCUCACUCCAAAUCUCUCUCUCUCUUUUCUUCUUUCUCUCUCCCCCUUCUUUUUUUUUAACCUUUUUUUGUCUCUCAUCCAAUCCGCUCUCUUUAUUCUCUCGGUUCUUUCUCUCACUCCUCUUCCUCUCUAUCUCCUCCGAUUCUCUCUCUUCAUUCUUUUUCAACCAAUCAUUUCUUAUUUUCUUUCCUCCCCUCUCCUCUUUCUCCCUCGACCACCUCUUUUUGGAUCUCCUUGUUCAGUUUGAGCUAUAAGAUUUAAAAAUUUUAAAUCGCAUAUCAAACAAGUUUUUGAGUUUUAAAGAAAAUUGUUUUCAAGAAAUAUUUUGAGAAAUGAUAAAAAAUUUCAAAUAUGAUACCAAACAAGCCCUUAAUAAUCUUAAAUUUUCUCGUCCAAACAAAAAGUUUUCUUGUCAUAGAACUUUCAAUUGAAAUCAAGGAAGAUAAUCUUUUCACAACUAAUUAUUCUCACCAAAAGCAAUUUUUAUUUUAUAGCAGAUCAAUACCAAAUUGCAAAAGCAAAGUAGUAAGGCUAAAAUUCAGGUGAAGAACCUGCUUCCACUAAUUUCCUUAGGAGGGAGAGAGAGAGAGAGGGGAGAGAGAACCAAGCGACCGAGCAGAGAGAGAAAACACCAAGUAGUAUUCUAAUGUUGGUGGGGUUAAGUCACCUUCCGUGAAGUUGCAGUAAGGACUUCUAUCCCAAAGAAAAGUCAGUAAAUGAUGUUGACAUCCGUCAACGACAAGGACAGAAUUGUGUAACCAUAAUUCUCUCUCUAUCUCUUUUUUCAUUAACGGAGGACAGUGUAUAAUUACUACGUAUAUAUCUCUGCUCAAUUAUUGAAAAGAAAAAUCCAUGUGCAUUAUUUUUAUUAUUAUUAUCUCAGAAAUGCAGAAAUUGAUCAUCUCUUCCUUCUGCAUAUUGAUACUGGUUUUCUUCAAACUAGUUGAAGCAAGGCAAUAUGUGUGCGCGAAAUCCAACUGUAGCAAUGAUCAAGGCCCGGCUAUCUAUUUCCCAUUGAACACCAGGCACACACAUCAUUGUGGAAAUUCUGGGCUUGAAUGCAAUGGGAGAAAUGAGCAGCAAAUACUAAUAAAAUUAUUUGUCAAACACAUAGAUUACAAGCGUCAGGAAAUCCAAGUCUAUUCCCCAAGUAACUGCCUGCUGCUAAAGCCUGUUGAAAUCCCAAACAUGCCACCCUCUCCCUUCAUCGUGUCAGUCGGUUACCUGACGAACGUUACCUUAUUCAGUUGUCCUACUUCUGUUGCAAGUGAUCCAUAUUAUCCGUAUCAAGUCCCCUGCCUCGGCGACCGUGGCAAGAGAACUUAUGCCAUUGAUUCUGACUCUGGUUUUAGAACUCUUUUCCGGAAUCUACAAUCUUGUACAAAAAUGUAUGAUGUUUUAUCAGUUCCACUAACCUAUGAAGAUUAUGUACAUCGUUUCAAAUGGUCUAUACCAAAUUGCAGAAAAUGUGGAGAGGGAAAGAAGUGUGGAUGGCAGAACAAUGAAAUUAAAUGUAUUCAAUGGAGGAAACCAAGUAAGGAUAACAUAUGUAUUCAUUGCUAGUUUUAAACAUCUUUACAUUUAUGUCUCAGUAAUUAUUAUUUAAAACAUGUUGUCCAAUCCAUUUUUACUAUGAAUAUUAACUGACAGUCUCAUUUGAAUUUGCCUUUAUCUUUUACAGGCAACACAUGGAAAUUAGUGGUUACAGGUGGAAUCCUGGGUUCUUUGCUUCUUGUUCUACUGAUGAUUGCAGCAUAUCGGGUAUAUAGCGCUGAUAGAAAGGAAAAAGAGAGUCGAUUGCGAAUCGAAAGAUUCUUGGAGGAUUACAAAGCACUCAAACCAAGCAGGUAUUCGUACGCAGAUAUUAAGAGGAUUACAAAUCAAUUCAAGGACAAGUUGGGCGAAGGAGCCUAUGGAACUGUCUUUAAAGGAAUGCUCUCUUCUGAAUUCUUUAUUGCUGUCAAAGUCCUCAACAGUUCUAAGGGAGAUGGGGAAGAGUUCGUAAAUGAAGUGCGAACGAUGGGUCAUAUCCACCACGUCAACGUGGCUCGCUUGGUUGGAUUUUGUGCUGAUGGAUUUGUAAGAGCUCUUGUUUACGAGUUCUUCCCCAAUGGUUCCCUGCAGGAUUUCAUUUCAUCCGCAGAUAGUAAGAAUUCCUUUCUUGGUUGGGAUAAGCUGCAGGAUAUUGCCCUAGGCAUAGCCAAAGGAAUUGAAUAUCUUCACCAAGGAUGCGAUCUACGAAUCCUGCAUUUCGAUAUCAAACCCCAUAAUGUUUUGCUAGACCAAAACUUCACUCCAAAAAUUUCUGAUUUUGGUUUGGCCAAGUUAUGUUCCAAGGAUCAAAGCUUGGUGUCCAUGACUACAGCUAGGGGGACCAUGGGCUACAUUGCACCCGAAGUGUUCUCCAGGAAUUUUGGAAAUGUGUCUUACAAGGCAGAUGUCUAUAGCUUUGGAAUGCUGCUGCUUGAGAUGGUAGGAGGAAGGAAGAAUAUUGGUUCAAUCACGGAUAACACUACAAAUGAAAUUUACUAUCCACAGUGGAUUUAUAAUCUUCUAGAGGAAGGGGAUGACCUACGAAUCCAUAUUGGGGAAGAAGGAGAUGGUAAAAUUCCAAAGAAACUUGCAAUUAUAGGGCUAUGGUGUAUCCAGUGGCAC